RNAcentral lists this long non-coding RNA (397114 nucleotides) under Malus domestica (apple). The record is from RNAcentral. Lineage: Eukaryota; Viridiplantae; Streptophyta; Magnoliopsida; Rosales; Rosaceae.
GGGAUUUGAGGGAUGGUCAGAGAGAAAUAGUGAGGGAGAGGAUGGGGGGCUGAUUUUCGGUUCCUCCUUCCAGAUUUGUUCCGUAAAACCUGUUGGGUACAAUUCAAUUUCCUCCCCCUUUCCCCUGAACGAAAAAUUCGAAACCUACAACUCAAAACUCACUCAUUUGACCCCCCUCCUUGGCUUUCCACCUUACUCAUCUCCUGGUGGUUCUUUCUCUCCAUACGAUUCGAUUUCGUUGAGUUCUUCGUUGCCCUCAUGAUUUCCCAAUUUGAUUUUUUGGGCGUCCUUAGUCGUCGUUUUUAUCUGGGUUUACUGCAUUGUUGCUUUUAGUUUCUGGAUUUUUAUUUUUUUUGGCGGUUUGAUGAAUCGUGGUUAAUAAUUUCACACCAUGGGAUUUUCGCACUUCUGAUGGAAUUGAGCGAGGGGAUUCGAGGUGGGGUUUUACUGAUAAUUUGUCUUCAUUCAAAUGAAUGGUUAAAAUUUAUGAGUAUUAACAAAUUUUGUAAAUUAUUCUUAUGCAUUUUAUUGAGGGAUAUGGGGAUCUAAUCGAUUUCUCUCUGUAGUGGGAUUGAAAUUGGGACUUUGUGGUACUCUCUCUCGCUCUUCCUCUCUCAUAUGUGUAUGAAGUGAGUUCUGAAUUGAGUUCUUUCAAGGGAACCCAUCAACGGUUUGCUUGCUGGGGGAAUUCGGAGACUACCAGUGUAUGAUUUAGUUAUCAUUUAUUUUUUUACUUAAAUUUAUCCAUAAAUAAUAUGUGGGUAAAUUUAUACUAAACAAUUGUGAUAAGCCAGCCAAUAUGCCAUACGACUUUGAAAGCAUUGAUUUUAUGUAUAGUUUGCAUUUUUGCAUUGUGAAUGUUGAAUUUUGUGUUUAAUUUGGAUUUUUGUGUUUGAAUUUGUAGCAUGAUCUUCCACUGCAGCAUCCAAAUUUUGCAUUUGUAAAUUGUCAAAGAAAAACGAAGUAUGAGGAAAUUAUAGGAGAUUGUGUCGGCUUUGGCCAUGAAGGGUAUCAGCAGUUUACCGCCCCCCCCCCAACACAGGUGAUUAAUCGUUUUUUAGUCUGUGUUCUAUAUGGAUGAGAAAGUGAUUGAAAAAUAUGAUUUUUUUUAUUUGUUGGUUGAUUUUGUAAGGACGAUGUAUUAAUUUUUUUUUUUGGGAGCAGCUUCUCCAUAAAUGGGGGUAAGGCUAGCCGACAUUCACCUCUCCCAGACCCUGCGUAAAGCGUGAGCCUUGUGCACUGGGUACGACCUUGUGUAUUGGGUAUUGUGUAGAACCAGCAAUGCAAGAGCAGGAUCUGAUCAGUCACGCCCGAAAAGGGGUUUGUUUCUCAAAUCACAUUCAUUAGUUAGAUUAUUAAUGUGCGUUGGAAGGCUCUUCAAUAUGAUUUUGUAAUUUCUCAUUUCCGGCAUUCUCUUUUUGGUUUUUGGAGUAUGUAUGUGAUUUGUACUUGAUUAUAGAAUAAAAAUUAAUAAAACACGAGAUGCAGCAAUUAAUUUGCAUCCUUAUGACAACACAUAUAUGAAAGUGCAUUCAAAUUCAAUAUGCGAAUGUGUGACAGGAUUUGCCUGCCUGCUGCUGCUGGUAUGCUUGCUGUUGUUUCUCGCGUUGUUAAUUUUUUGUGUGUGUUGAUUUGAUUAACAAUUCAAGCGUAUCUCUUUUCUUUUUUUUUUUUUUUUUUUUUUUGUGUUGGUUAGCAGCCAGUUUUAUUUAUUGGAUUUUUUAUUUGGAUUUAUGGCACUGAGGGUAUAGGUGAACAGUGAAGCGGUUUGUAUGGGCUCAUGUAACUUAAACAUGUAGUGAGAAGCGAGGAUUUUGUUUUAGUGUUUAUGAUAAUCUGAAGGAAUAUGUAGAUACUAUGAUUUGAGGUUGCUUUCUUAAACCAUGAUAAAGCAGUCCAAGUAAUUUUAACAACAACAACAACAACAACAACAACAACAAAGCCUUUUCCCACUAAGUGGGGUCGGCUAUAUGAAUCCUAGAACGCCAUUGCGCUCGGUUUUGUGCCAUGUCCUCCGUUAGAUCCAAGUACUCUAAGUCUUUUCUUAGAGUCUCUUCCAAAGUUUUCCUAGGUCUUCCUCUACCCCUUCGGCCCUGAACCUCUGUCCAGUAGUGACAUCUUCAAACCGGAGCGUCAGUAGGCCUUCUUUGCACAUGUCCAAAUCACCGGAACCGAUUUUCUCUCAUCUCUCCUUCAAUUUUGGCUACUCCUACUUUACCUCGGAUAUCCUCAUUCCCAAUCUUAUCCUUUCUCGUGUGCCCACACAUCCCACGAAGCAUCCUCAUCUCCGCCACACCCAUUUUUUGUACGUGUUGAUGGUUCACCGCCCAACAUUCUGUGCCAUACAACAUCGCUGGCCUUAUUGCCGUCCUAUAAAAUUUUCCCUUGAACUUCAGUGACCUAUGACGGUCACACAACACGCCGGAUGCACUCUUACACUUCAUCCAUCCAGCUUGUAUUCUAUGGUUGAGAUCUCCAUCUAAUUCUCCGUUCUCUUGCACGAUAGAUCUUAGGUAGCGAAAACGGUCGCUUUUUGUGAUCUUCGCUAGAUUGCUCUGGUCAUUAGUAUGGAUAAGUAUAUAAAUGGAUAGAGAUAGGAAAGCGAACACAAGAUGUACGUGGUUCACCCAGAUUGGCUACGUCCACGGAAUAGAGGAGUUCUCAUUAAUUGUGAAGGGUUUACACAAGUACAUAGGUUCAAGCUCUCCUUUAGUGAGUACAAGUGAAUGAUUUAGUACAAAAGACAUUAGGAAAUAUUGUGGGAGAAUGAUCUCGUAAUCACAAAACUUCUAAGUAUCGGAGUGUGGUAUCGUCUUGACGUGCCUUAUCUGUCUCAUAGGUAGAUGGGGCAUCUUCUCUAGAAGUACUCUUCCUCCAUCCAGGGGUGGUAUCUUUAACUGGUGGAGAUGCACAAGGUAAUGUAUCAAUUUCACUUGAAGCUUACUUGUAGUUUCAGGCUUGGUCAAGCGCGAUACAAACCAUGUAGUAGGAGUCCCCCAAGUCGCUGAGCUAGGGGAUCUGCUGAAAGAGGUGACAGGCAAGGUAAGCAAUCAUAGCUCCGGCUGAUUGUUCACAGUCUCCCUAUCUUGCAGGCAGCAUGAAGGAUAAAGAGAAGAAAAUGAGAAGAGAUGAUAUGGGAUACUUUUGCUUUUGAAGAAGUAACUUUCCACAGGCUUAUUCUUGAACUGAGCUGGAGGGUUUUCUGGUUUCCUCCAGAGUAUAAGGCCGACUGAAGAAUUUGAGGAUCAAAACAAGUCCAUCAAAUCUAGAGUACGUUCAACCCUGCUGAUAUGGGAUACUUUUGCUUUGACAGAGUAAUGGAUGUAUCGGCACGUGUGCUGUUACGCUUGUCUCCACAUGCUUCCUUGUAUCCUUUUCCCUUGCCCUAUCUGUUCCUCAGGUAGAUGCAGUAUCUUCCCUGGAAGCAUAAGAUGUUGAAGAUGACUACUCGAGAGCAAUAUCAGGUAAGUAAUCAGGUAAGGGGUUCCAGGCAGUCAGUUCCUGGCUGGAAGCUUGAUUCCAAGUACUGACUGAUUGCUCUCUUUCUCCUUGCCUUGCAGGUAAGAAUAAGGUCAAAGGAAAAGACAGGGAAGAAGCAUGAUAUGGGAUACUCUUGCUUUUAACCCUGAUGAUAUGAGAUAUUCUUGCUCUAGUAUAGCUUGUUUGCAGAGGGAUUAUCGGGGGGAAAGAAAGCUGAAUAUUUCGAAAGGCUUCGUUGGGAGUGCCCUCUUAGAUAUGAGGAAGGGUUGAGCAUUUUUGCAGGUCUGCCUGUCCGUUGAGGAUGGAGGUCGACAUAUAUAGGAGUCUCCUUAACAACAAGUAGUCAUGCUAUUCCUUUACCCUACUUGGUCAUAGCACGGUAGUGGGAGCUGUCAGCUUCACAUGUUUUAACGCUGUCAAAGCACUUUGAAAAAGUGGUUUGUGGUAUCUGGAAAGCUGAUGUUGCGUGUGAAGAUUACAAACAGCUUUAUCCAAGGGGAUCCGGCUCUUGUAGUUGGGAAAGUGUUGCCUCUUCGGUUUUCGAACAAGCAAUCCUAUCGGGUAUCUGGCUCUCGAGAUUCGGAGAACGAUGCCGCUUCGAUUUUUGAGAAAGCAAUCAUGCUGGGGGUCUGGCUCUUGAGAUUCGGAGAGCGAUGUCUCUUCGAUUUUUGAGAAAGUAAUCAAGUUGGGAGUCUGGCUCUCGAGAUUCGGAGGGCGGUGCCUCUUCGAUUUUGGAGCAAGCAAUUUUGUUGGGAGUGUUUUCUCGAAUGUGAGUAAAGGUUGGGCAUGUUUGCUAGUCUACCUUGCCACGAAGCACAGAGGUUGACACACAUGGACUUUCCAAUUAUCCAGCAAUGGUACUGUUCCUUUACCCUCUUCGAUUUUUGAGAAAGUAGUCAUGUUGGGAGUCUGGCUCUCGAGAUUCGGAGGACAGUGCCUCUUCGAUUUUGGAGCAAGCAAUCUUGUUGGGAGUGUUUUCUCGAAUGUGAUUAAAGGUUGGGCAUGUUUGCUAGUCUACCUUGCCACGAAGCACAGAGGUUGACACACAGGGACUUUCCAAUUAUCCAGCAGUGGUACUGUUCCUUUACCCUUGUGGGUAAUAAUAUGGUAGCUAGACCUUCAAAAUUUAUGUGUCUAAACUUUGUUAGUGUUGUUUCUUUGCUAUUCUUUUACUCUUCUUGGUCAAAGCGAUGUAGUGGGAGCUGCAAGCUUCACGUGUUCAACUUUGGCAGAGAACUUUGGCAAAGUUAUCUGUGGUACCCAUGAGCUACUGUUGCGUGUGGGAAGUGGGUGAUUGAACAGUAAGACUCAUGUGCUUUCUACUUCACCAGAAGUCUUCGACCGAAUGCCCAUAAUUUCCGCAAAGCUGAGUGUGCGUGUGACAGGUGCUGACAAGGCUGGAAAAGUAGGUGCCUCUUCGAUUUCUGAGAUCGGCCCUCGUGGUCUCUGAGCAGCCCAGUUUUUUGAGAAAGCAAGCGCCUCUUCGAUUUCUGAGAUCGGCUUUCGUGGUCUUUGCGCAGCCCAGCUUUUGAGAAAGCAAACGCCUCUUCGAUUUCUGAGAUCGACCCUCGUGGUAUCUGAGCAGCCUUGCUUUUGAGAAAGCAAACGCCUCUUCGAUUUCUGAGCAGGCGCCUCUUCGAUUUCUGAAGCUCCGUCGAGUGCAGAUUUUUAUAGGGGCUGGCAUUAAGUUCCAAAGCACACUUGAAUCUCCACCAGUAGAAGCUCCAUUCUUGAACUUCUAAGAUCUUGAUUUGUCCGACCUCUUUUCUCUUCAACACCUUUGAAAAUGUCUGGCCCCUCCGACCGUCGUUUUGACUUGAACCUUGUUGAAGAGGCAGCCCCGCCUUCUCCUGACAACAUAUGGCGUCCAUCAUUCGUCUCCCCUACUGGUCCUCUUACCGUUGGGGAUUCCGUGAUGAAGAAUGAUAUGACCGCUGCGGUGGUGGCCAGGAACCUUCUCACUCCCAAAGAUAACAGACUACUUUCCAAACGGUAUGAUGAGUUAGCUGUUAAGGAUUCUCUGGCUCUCAGUGUUCAGUGUGCAGGUUCUGUGUCUAAUAUGGCCCAACGCCUAUUUGCUCGAACCCGCCAAGUUGAAUCAUUGGCGGCUGAAGUGAUGAGUCUCAAACAGGAGAUUAGAGGGCUCAAGCAUGAGAAUAAACAGUUGCACCGGCUCGCACAUGACUAUGCUACAAACAUGAAGAGGAAACUUGACCAGAUGAAGGAAUCUGAUGGUCAGGUUUUACUUGAUCAUCAAAGAUUUGUGGGUUUAUUCCAAAGGCAUUUAUUGCCUUCGUCUUCUGGGGCUGUACCGCGUAAUGAAGCUCCAAAUGAUCAACCUCUGAUGCCUCCUCCUUCUAGGGUUCUGUCCAGUACUGAGGCUUCGAAUGAUCCCCCUCCGGUGCCUUCUCUUUCUGGGGCUCUACCGACUGCUGAGACUUCUCCUAAGCAACCUUUGUGAAGGCUCCGUCUUGUUUGUUUAUUUUGAGUUAUGUAUAUGUACAUAUAUGUAGCUUAUCGGGGAUAUCAAUAAAUAAGCUUUCCUUCAUUUCAACGUAUUGUGUUAAAUACACCAAAGCCUUCUUCGCUAAGUUCUUUGAAUUUUCUUUUGUUGAAGCUUUGUGAGUGGAGCAUGUAGGUUGAGGUAGUGUUCCCUUAAUUUCCUGAGUGAGGAAAACUUCUCGGUUGGAGACUUGGAAAAUCCAAGUCACUGAGUGGGAUCGGCUAUAUGAAUCUUAGAACGCCAUUGUGCUCGGUCCUGUGUCAUGUCCUUCGUUAGAUCCAAGUACUCUAAGUCUUUUCUUAGAGUCUCUUCCAAAGUUUUCCUAGGUCUUCCUCUACCCCUUCGGCCCUGAACCUCUGUCCCAUAGUCGCAUCUUCUAAUCGGAGCGUCAGUAGGCCUUCUUUGCACAUUCCAAACCACCGUAACCGAUUUUCUCUCAUCUUUCCUUCAAUUUCGGCUACUCCUACUUUACCCCGGAUAUCCUCAUUCCUAAUCUUAUCCUUUCUCGUGUGCCCACACAUCCAACGAAGCAUCCUCAUCUCCGCUACACCCAUUUUGUGUACGUGUUGAUGCUUCACCGCCCAACAUUAUGUGCCAUACAGCAUCGCCGACCUUAUUGCCGUCCUAUAAAAUUUUCCCUUGAGCUUCAGUGGCAUACGGCGGUCACACAACACGCCGGAUGCACUCUUCCACUUCAUCCAUCCAGCUUGUAUUCUAUGGUUGAGAUCUCCAUCUAAUUCUCCGUUCUUUUGCAAGAUAGAUCCUAGGUAACGAAAACGGUCGCUCUUUUGCAAGAUAGUCCAAGUAAUUUUAACAUAGAUAUAAUUUUUUAUGCAAUGCAUGAGUAUAUGAAAUGUUAAGACGAUAAUAUAUCAUGUGAUUUAAAAUUCAAAGAGAGACAAUGAACCAUGUUUGAUAUUUUGUUUGUCUUGUUUCGUUUAAAUUUGGGCGUUUUUCAGUUGGAUUCAUGGGUUUUGUUUAAGAUAUCAUUUUUGGUUUAGCCAACGCAAAAGUUUACAUCUUUUCUAUGUUGGAUUCAUGGGGUUUUCUUAAGCUUUCAAGUUUUCAGUUUUUGUCAAGAAAUUUAAUCUAGGUUUCAUUUAUUUUUCAAACUAGACACUUUUGUGAAGAUUUUCUUUAUAAUUCAGUAAAUGAUUGCUCCUUUACCUGUAAAUUUGACUUAUGUAAAUUUCCAGGUUGUUCAAAACCCGCAGGGAAGCGCGGGCAAUUUUUCUAGUUAAAUGUCUAAAAGAAACGUAUAAGAGAUUUGGUGGCAUGAUUUUGUAAAUGAACACAAAUUCAGGGACAUCUUUUAUCCAACAUGACAUCAUAUUUAAAAUUUGGGUUUUAUUUAGAAGUUAUAAUAUUUAUGUGGCCUUUUGUCUAGAGUUUAAGAGUUGCCAGGAUUGGAUGAAAAUUUGCUGAGUGUUGGACAAAUGAUGCAGCAUGGAUAUUUCCUUCUAUUUGGAUUGAUGAGGUUGCUCUAUUUGAAGAUAAGAUGCUGGAAAAUCAUGUGGUUACAGUACAAAUGACUGGGAAUAGAUGUUUCCCUCUCAUAAUGGAAGAUAAGAAAUUCAAUGUGUUGAAAGCUGCUUUGGAAGACGGUGCUUAAGAUUGGCACAUAAGACUUGGACAAUUGAAUUUUCAAAGCCUGUAGUUACCUGUUAGUCGGGAAAUGGUACUAUGAAUGCCAAAGUUGAAGCAAACACAAACAGUAUGUGAAGGUUGUGCGGUGGGAACGCAUCACAGAGAAGCCUGUAGCAGGGAGAUAAUGUGGAGAGCAAGUCAUCCACUAGAGUUGAUACACUCUGAUAUUUGUGCAGGUUACAACAUCGGGUGGAAACAAGUAUUGCUUGACUUUCAUAGAUGAUUGUACAAGAAGGUAUUGGUUGUAUCUUCUGAAGCACAAGUCUAAAGUGUUCACUGUGUUUAAACAUUUCAAAGCCAUGGUUAAGCUACAAUGUGGAUACCAGAUCAAAAGAUUGAGGAGUGACAACGGUGCAAUAUCUAUUUACUAGACAUCCUUUGGGAUUCUUCCAUAUUAGAACAAGGAUUCUAUUCUAAAAAGGCCCCCUCUCCCACGGUAUAAAUACACCCAUCUAGGGUUCAUCUACGGUAGCACAAUCUAAACACUUUGAAUUCUCUUGCCCACUGCUUGAGUCUAAAAUCAUUCAUUAACUUAACUAACCUCCCCCCCCCACCCCCCCCAACCAAAGGUUUGCUUACGAUUGUUUCACUAUUUUGCAGGUUGUUCCAGACUACAUGAAUUCGUGCUCGACCGCCUCUUACGGCUCCAAACUAAUUAAUAAGUUUAAGGGGGAUAUGAUGAAGAAGUAUGAGAUGACUGAUCUUGGCUUGCUUUAUCAUUUUCUUGGUAUGUGAAUAGUUCAAACAGAGCAAAAGUAUCUUUAUCAAUCAAAAGAAGUACACUCUUGCACUUUUAGACAAAUUUAGUUUUGAAGAUUGCAAGCCUCUCACUAUAACACUUGCAGUGAAUACGAAGUUGAAAGGAGAAGAUGGUGGUGCUCUUGUAGAUAAAGCUCUUUAUAGGUAGAUUGUUGGUAGUCUGUUAUAGUUGAUAGCUACAAGGCCUAACAUUGUGUUUGAUGCGAUCUUACUCUCAAAAUUCAUGCACAGUCCUUCAAAGAAACACUUUGGUAUUGCAAAAUGGGUGCUAAGAUACAUACAAGGAACCUUGGAUUAUGCCAUUGAAUAUUUGAAAUCCAAGGAAGCAAUAUUAUGCUAAUAGGCUAUUGUGGCUGUGAUUGGAGUAGGGAUGAAAAUGAUUUGAAAAGUACUCCUGGAUAUGCAUUUUCAUUUGGCAGUGGAAUCUGCUCAUGGGCUUCAUCGAAACAACACAGUGUAGUAUUGUCUACUGCAGGUGCUGAGUAUGUUAGUGCCUCUGAAGCUAUUACUCAAGAGAUUUGGCUUUGAUUUAUAAUGGAAGACUUUGCUGAAUUACAAACUUAGGCUACUUGAUUGCAUUGUGACAACACAUCUGCCAUUGUCAUGACAAAAACCAUGUGUUUCAUGAAAGAUCCAAGCACAUAAAUAGCAGGUAUCACUUCUUUAGAGAAUCACUACAAAACAAUAUCAUCAAUCUAUUGUAUUGCAGAUCAGAGGAACAAUUGGCAGACAUCUUCAUCACAGCAUUGUCAAAUAAUCUAUUCUUCUAUCUCAGAAACAUGCUAGGGAUCAAAUCAGCAACAAUCUUAGAAGUGAGUGUUAAUGAUUAAGCAUUGGUGUUGAUUCCUUAGACUGCAAGCUUAGAAGGUAUGGACUGCACAGAGAGAAGGAGGGGGAGAGAGCGCGGAGAGAGGAAGAUGACGGAAGGGUGGGUCUUUUGAACAGAGACCUUGCAGACAAAGGGUGAGGGAGGGAUGGGACUGAUCUUAACGAAAUUACAGGUUUGUUUUCAAUUUCUUAUUUACAUGUUUUCAUAUUCAAUGGCAAUUUGGUUUCUUUUAUUUCAAAUUUAACUUCGAAAAUGUCUUUUAAAUUUAGGUAUUUUGUCUUCAACUCUAUCGCUUCCAUGCUAAUUAAGGUAGAUUAAAAAGUAGGUUUUUUAUUCAAAAUGGUCCUUGAGAUUUGCAUCAUUCAUAAGUUUGGUUUUUAAGAUUUAAAAUCAAUAGAAGUAGUCCUUGAGAUUGUCCACCAUCCAUGAUUUUGGUUCUUCCGCUGAAGCUUUUGGCCGGAAGUUUGAGCAAUUUUCAAAGUUUCGUAACUCAAUCGUUUUUUAACCAAAUUCGACUCAUAAUAUAUCAAAAUAAAGAUAGGAAAGUGUAGAAUAAGAUUAUAUCUAUUUGGAAGCCCAAUUAUUGCCGAAGAUGGUCAGAAAAUAGCCUCAAAGUUGACUGGUCCGAGGGAAAACUGGAACCGGAAAUUCGCUGAAAACUGGGUAAACUUUAAACGUUCAUAACUUCUUCAAUACUCAACAAAAUCAAGUGAUUCAAAAACGAAAAUCAUACUUCUCAACGAGAAGAAGAGAAUGGUACCUUUUUCAACAGCUAACUUGCCGUGGUUUGGUCGGAAAACGGCUCGAAAGUGGCUGUUGAAAAACAAGUCAACAACUUUCAAGCCGUUUUCUGGCCAAACCACGGUGAUUUAGCUAUUGAAAAAGGGUACCAUUCUCUUCUUCUCGUCGUGAAAUAUGAUUUUUGUUUUUGAAUCGCUUAAUUUCGUUGAGUAUUGAAGAAGUUAUGAACGUUUAAAGUUUACCCAGUUUUCCCUCAGACCAGUCAAUAUUGAGGCUAUUUUCCGACCAUCUUCAGCAACCAUUGAGCUUCCAAAUAGAUAUAAUCUUAUUCUAUAUUUUCCUAUCUUCAUUUUGAUUUAUUACGGGUCGAAUUUGGUUAAGAAAUGAUUGAGUUACGAAGCUUUGAAAAUUAUCCAAACUUCCGGCCAAAAGCUUCAGCGGAAGGACCAAAAUCAUGGAUGGUGGACAAUCUCAAGGACUACUUCUAUUGAUUUUAAAUCUCAGGGACCAAACUUAUGAUGAUGCAAAUCUUAGGGAUCAUUUUAAAUAAAAAGCCUAAAAAGAAUUGCAACAGAAACAACUAAAAACCAAGUUGGCCUGCAGGGUUAUCUGUAUGUGUAUUAUAUUGAUAAUUCUAGGACUUAUCAUAUCAUGUUCCUAACUUGAUGCUGUGGGCAUCUUCUCCUAUUAAUAACAGUGGCACCUUAAUUUGAUCAACCAAAUUUGGUGAAGCACCAGACAAACAGAAACCCAUGCAUACAGAGCCAACUGCACUGAAGCAUGAAUUUAAAAAAAAUAAUGUACAUGAUUAUUAUUCCACUACUUAAUUUGUUCCAACUCACCACAAAUUUCUCUUCAUUAUGGUUGUUAGGACAAUAGAUUAGGUUGCAAGAUAAAUUUCCAAAGUUCUACUAGCUUAGGUUUUCAGAAAUCAAACAUGCAAAGUUUCUAUGCAUGUUUUGAAAUUGGUUUUAGGAAGUGGGCUUCCAAGUCUUAACAAUAAUGGACACUAUGAAAUCAGGGUAACCAAUUGGGGAUAACUAUAUACUUCAAAAACGCAUAUUUUACACACACACACACACAUUCUGUCAAGAAUCAGAUUUGAUUGGCACAGAUGAAGAUGAACAAUAAGAAUGAACAAUAAGAGGCUAGCUAGGAGCUGAGUAAAUUGAAUCGAUUACCAUGUUGUAAUUGGCCUAGCUACUCUCUAGUUAUUCUUCAAGGUUGUAUAUAAUAUAUCUACCUAUAUAAUCUCACCCUGUUUCCCCCUUUUGUCUCUCUGUGCACUCAGAAAACAAGCCACCCUAAUUCAAGUUCUCUAUCUUCAGAUCACCAGCAAUAACCUCAUCAAGGUCCUAGGAGGAAUCACGAGGAUUCACAGCCGAAUUGGUAUGUACUUAUGCUUUUGCAAAAAGCCCUUUUCUUGCCAUUUUUCUGUUUUAGAAUUGGGACCAAAAUGAUUAUGAGUGAUUUUGAAAAACACCGAGAAAAAAUGGCUAUCAAGCAAGCAGGCUGUGAGUAUUCAAAAUAUAAUUUUCAGUCAAAUAAAAUAUUGGCACCACAAGCUUUUAAGUAGGGAGGGAUGUUUGAUUAUAUAUUUAAAUUAAGCAAAGAAUCUUGCAUAAGAAAACGAUCCAAGUUGAAGUAAACCAAAUAUAUGGUGCAACAACUGUUAGUUUGGUCAGUCUUCAUCACACUAAUCAAAUGGGCCCGAGGGGUUGAUUUUCACAGUAACCACUUACUUUUUAGUAUGUUCCGGAGUAUUUUAGUGUUUAACUAUUUUUUACAUUUUUGAGGUUCGGAGUGAUUUUUAAAACGAGUCAUGAAUUUUAGUUUUCUAAUAUUACACUCUCUAUGCUUCAGAUUUUCCACAUUUUGACUUGGACUUCUUUUUUUCUUUGUUCUGUUUGAAGAACUUAGUACUUUUGAUUUCAGUAGCAAAAUAAUUUGAACAGGAUGAGAGAGAGAGAGAGAGAGAGAGAGAGAGAAAUAAAGCAUCUACUUGAUCUCUGUACUUUCUCUUAUUCUUAUGUGUGGUUAAGGUUGCAUAUCUGAAUUUUAACCUAUCAUCAUGUAAGUAUUAUAGUGUGUUUUAGAAGCGGGAGUGUGUGAAAUGUGUUGAUGCUGAUGAUGGUGUCGAAUUUGGGGACACUUCCCAGCUAGCAGAGCAAGUAACAGAGAGCUUUUUCCAACUCAAAUUUAAUGAUUCAAGCUGCUUAAGACUUGCAUAACAUUUCCAAGUUGUAGUCGAUGUGCCUGAGUUCUUGAGUACUUCAGUCUUCACUAAUGAAUGUAACACCAUUAAGACUUGGAAUGUCUUUGGGGGGUACGAAAUAACAUUGCUCAUUUCGUAUUUUAUGGGUUCGAAUUUUUUGUCGAGUACGUGAUUCUUGCAAAAGAGUUGUAAAUAUCGUUGUAAAUAUGUGUAAGUAGAGUUGUAAACCCUACCAUUGAACACUUAAUAUAGUUGUACAUAUAUAUAGAAAUUUUUACAUGCUUUGUACAGUUUUAAACACCCACAACAUCGUGCGGGCACACUUUCGCUAGUAUUUUAUUGUACUAGUGCACUCAAAUGUCUGUAGCUAAAUAUGUUAUUAUGAAUUAGUGGAACAUAAGAAAAUAUGGAAAAACAUAAGUGUACCAAAAAGUUCGUACUUAAACAUAGUAUACUAAAUUAGUGUACCGGUAUGUUCGUGCCUACCCUAAACUAGUAUACCGAAAUGUCCAUACCUAAACAUGUUAUUCUAAACUAGUGUACUAAGAUGUUUGUACCUAAAUACAUUGUAAUAAAUUAAUGGCACAUAAGAAAAUAUGCAAAAACAUAGGUGUGCCGAAAAGCCUCUACCAAAAUAUUUUCUUAUAUAAGAUAAUUACAAUAAAUUGGUGAUGCAAAAUGUCAACAAAUAAAAGCUAAUUCAUUUGAAUUCAAAUGAGUAUUAAAAUUUAAUUCAUAUCAGCAUAAAAUUAUAAAUAGAAAAAAAGAAAGACAUUGAAUGCAUAUGCUGCCAUUAAAUAGAGUUUAGGAACUAAAAUCAAUUUUUUAAUCUUGUGUGAGACAUUUUUCUAAAUUUUAUUUUAUUUAAGGAUUAAAAAUAUAGUUUUCUAUUACUUAUAUUUCUGACUACAUAUGGUUAUUACUUUAGUCGAGAGUUGACGCACCUGGAAUGGUGUCUGGAAAACAUGAUGACCCAUAAUUCCAGCCUUGGCAGCGUAUUCCAGGCCAGAAAUGAAGCUCAAAGCCAUACACGAGAGCAUUGUGUAUGUCUUUAUAAGAGACGUUGCUGUAGUCCUUAACGGAGUAGUCAAAGUGACCCAAAUUCAUCCAAGCCCUCCCCUCUGCACUGCAACCCUCAUCCAAUUCCCAUACUUCCAUGUACUCCCCGACCAUGACGUAGCUAUACGUUUUUGGUUGGCUCGAAGAAGUAGAACUUGUAUUAUUCAAGCAUGGAGCAGUGUCCACGUACAGAGAAGAAUUCAAUGGAUUCGAACAUUUCAAGUAAUAUAUAGAUGUUAAAUUCCCUCGUGAAUAAUGUUCAUAAUAAUUUAAAGUAUUGUGCGGAAAAUUUCGAGGCAUGGAAGAGCAAUUGGUGUUCACAAGGCCAGGAUCUAGAAGUCGGAUUGUUUUGUCGUUGUAGUUGAUUGCCUGGACGUAGUAUUUUCCGGACGAAGGUAGGUAUAGUACUGUAAUGUUGCUCUCACAGGACAGAGUAUACCUUACGUCGCCACAAUAUUUUGGAUCAUCGUUCAGUCGAAAAGGAUAGCUUAUGUUGUGGACAUGGCCGCAGGAUGAAGUACAGGACUUGGCACUGGUGUCGUCCUUAGCGUUACAAGUUCCACUGCAGAAGCUAAGAAGAAGAAAGGCUAAACUUAAGGUGAAGGACCUGCUUCCACUAAUUUCCAUUGGAGAGAGAGAGAGAGAGAGAGAGAGGUGUACUAGUUCACACCAAGUAGUCAUAUAAUAUAGGAGGGGUUAAGGCACCUUCCGUGAAAUUGCAGUUGAAAUAUCCUAGAGAAAAAUCGGUCGUCAAUGGUAUCCUAGAGAAAAGUCGGUCGAUGGUGUUUGAUACGGUCAGUCAACGGUGAAGACAGUUGUGAAACAAUAAUGCUCUCCCCCGCUCUCUUUAUUAUAUAUGUCUUUCAUUAAUGGAGGAUACUGCGUAAUUACUACGCAUAUAUCUCUGCUUAAUCACACAAAACAAAAAAUACCAUGCGCCUAUAGAAAAUUUGACUUUUUCCCUAAAAAUUAAUUUUCUUUCACCUCCAACCCAUCAUAUAUAUUCUAUAAGAUAAGAAUAACCCAUUGACUAGCUCCAAUUAAGCAAGUUUCUUAACUUGCUUGAUGACUCUGAUCAUGUGUAAUUUUGGGGAAUUGGAUGCUAUUUUGUCUCUACUUUAUUAGGCUUUUUCAAAUGGUUCUUUCACAUUUUUCAAAUGGUUUACAAUCUCUCUUCAUUUUUAUUUUUUGCAAGAAUGUAUUUAGUUUUGGUUUACAAUUUCACCUAGCCAACCAAAUGUCGUAAAUACACUUGUGACUCGUUCAUCACUGAUUCAUGAAAAUGUGUCCUACUAUAUAAGCAACAAAUUCAAAACCAGGUUGAAAACUUAUGUAUGUAACUAAGGACUCAUGAGAAUUGUAACCAUUGUACCUAAGUACCAUAUGUGCUCGAUAGCUUGAGGUGUUUGUCUGACUACGUAAGUACAUUGGAGGUUUGUUGGAUUGCUUGGGUUUUCACUUGAAACCAGUGGCUGGCCAAUAUGCAUCACUUUUCCACAUAACUUUUAUGCAAAAAUCUUUCCUUAAGUUUUUACAUCACAGUUCUUGACUAGCUUCAAUAGACAUAUUGUUGUCAUGCUUGCUUAGUUAUGAUCCUUCAAAGUUUCUAUGUUCUCAGUUUCCCCUUCAAAUCGAUAUGUUUUGUAACUUCUUCUUUUUUUCUUUCUUCAGUACUUUUAUAUACUGAGAGCGAUAAUUCCGCGACUUGGUGAGAUUGGAAUGAUAAAUUAUUAGUGAGCCUUCACUUUUUCUUGAACAAUAAUCACUUUAGGAUGAGUUACAUUACCAACUAGAGAGAUUGGUCUAGUCACAUCUCUUCAGAAUGUUGAAAUAAGUUUCAAGUUUAAUCCAUAGCUCAACCAAAAUAAAUAAGAUAUUGUUGAUUGCACAUUGAUUUAUAUGAGAAAAUAAAUAAACUACUAGUAAGGAAACUGUUGGCAAGUGUUGAAUUGUUCUGGUAUUUAAGGUCUUCUUUUUCAACCUGCUGUACUUCUAGUGUAAACUUUCCUUCUUUUUUAAUGUAGAUUAGCAUAGAAUAUCGCUUAUGAUUAGAAGAAGAAAAAAGAAAAAUAAAAAGGAAACUAUUGAAUUUUGUUCAAAGUCUAGGUCGUAGUUCUUCUCUAGAUUAGAAGAAGCAGUUUUUUUUUUUUUAAGCAUAGCAAUACCAAACUGGCCCCUAAACCAACAUAAGACAAGUGAAUAAAAAACUACCACAUUGAAUUCCUAAGUAGGUAGCAUUUUACACAUCGGAGAUGCUCUUAUACUAUCCUUUUUAUAAUUUUAUAUUAUUCUUGAGUGGCAUCACUCAUCUUUGGUGCAUCCAAUGGAACCCAGUGGAUCUAGAUCGUCCAUCCAUUAAAGUGGAGGUUCAGAUGUUGGAAGGAGAGAACUUAACCAUGCCUCCAAAUUCUUGUGCCUAUACAGGUCUUGCACGAACUAAUACAAGUCCGCCUGCAGUGCCGGUAUAUUAGACUUCCAUGACUAUCGUGGUCUUUGGGGUUAACUGAAGAAUUUCCGAGCGAAUGGAACCACAUGUAACACAGCUAAGCCUAAUUGAUAGCGAUUUUACCACUUUUAAAACAAAGGGUUAAACCAUAGAAAAUUCUUGCAAGAGACAAGUGUUUGUAGUAUAGAAUGGCUCAAGCAAGGUCGAUCUCCUCAGGGACUGAUAUAAACAAUUUACGAGUUUUUGUGUAUUUAACUUAUUUAACUCUAAAAAUUACACUAAUUUGACGAAACUAAAUAUUACUGGAUGUGACUUAAACAAUUAUCUAAAAUGGGAAUUGGUUUAUAGGAAUAAUGAUUCAACUAAACAAAACAAGUAAAUGAGAAAAUUCAAGAUAAAAUAAAUGAUUGAAGAAAAAUAGAUUGACAAUAUGCUAGAGUUCAACCUUUACCAACAACACUCAUACGUAGCUUUUCCAAUUGCUUAAAUAAUUGAAAACACACAUGCUUUGAAAGUUGGAUUUUCCUUGUGUAUGUUUUACUUGUGACAUUCAAGCUAAAACGCAUACCACUACAUGCAACUUAUCCAUGACAUUUGGAUUAAAUAUAAACAUGAGUGAUUCAUUAAUCUUGGUGAAAAUCCUUUUGUUAAACCAUGUAAUCCCUAAGAGCAUGAUAUUUACCUUAGGAGAGUACAAUCCUCAAUCACAAGAAGCACAACCAAUUUUAACGUGACAUUCGUUCAAAAUUGCAUCCGAUAACUUUUCUAAGCAUCCUAAUGGUGAUCAAGCAUCAAGGUACAUAGAUAGUUUAAUUCAGUGAUUGAAAAUAUCAAAGCAAGCAUGUAACAACACUUAAGCAAUUGAAAAAUAAAUCUACGUAUUCAUGUUGCCGCUCAUGGCCUCACUCUAGCAUAAUAAUUUAGUUACACAUAAUUAAUUUGAUACAUAAGAAAUUAUUCAUAAAAGAAAAUAAAUAACUAAGAAAGAAGACACCCGUUUCUUUUCUCCCGUCGCAAGUCUAUGUGAAAUUUUCCGUGUGCACUGCCUUCUCCUGCUCCUCCCUCUGUUUCCGUGCUCUGCCUGCACUCCUGCUUUGCUCCCUCUGUUUCCGCACCUCUCCUCUAUUCCCUGUGCUUCUGCUUCUGUCCUUCUGCUGCUCGCCAGUCCGAGUCAACUGCUUCUUAUUCUUUUAUUUUCUUUUCAGUCCUGCGCACUCCACUUCCUUCCCACUCUUCUCUGUUUUUUAUUUGUUUAUUUUUUUCUUUUCUUUCCACACCUCUUUGUCUGCCAGUCUGUCUUUUUUAUUUGUUUCUUUUUCUUUUCGUCACUGCCUCAAUGCUCUCUCCACUCUGUCAGAAUUCUUCCAUGCUGUUUUUCCACUUUGUUUCCUGCCAUCCUCUCUGCUCCUUUGUCCGUGUCUUCACUUUUCUUCCUUUUAAUUGAAAUUAAUCCUAAAACACAUUUAACUGCACAAUAACACAAGGUAAGGUAAAAUGUCAUAAUUAUAACACAAAAACAUCACAAAGACUUUAAAAAUAGAUGGUAUAAAUGUAUGAAAUAUAUGAAUGAUCACUAAUCGACAAUGAUUCAUACAGCGACAGAUGAGACGCGCAAAGCAGCUUCAAAGAAAGCACUAUACUGCUUUAGUUAUGUGCUAAGUUGCAUGCAUGGACGCUUCAAUACACUAGCGUGUGACGUAUCAGACACAAAAACAAACACAAAACUUCACAGACACUCUUGGACACUUGUCCAACACUCCACAUGGCAUAUCGUUGACUUUGACUGACUGACACUUUAGGGAUACACGUAGGACAUUGUUAAAAAAACACGCCAGUGGUAAUUGUAAAAUUAAAUUAAAAUUUUAGGGUAAAAUUGAAAUAUGAAAAAAUUGUCUUAGGGUAAUAUGAAAAACGGAUUUAGAGGUAAAUGUAAUGUUGUAUUUUGUUUGGAUGAAGAAAUUUAAUAAUACUAAGGAAUUUUAAAAUGAAAUUUUAUUUUCUAGAAUUUCUGAAUUUUCUUAUUUGGUUAACUUAAAAUGAACAAGAGAAUUUGAAUACGGAAUUUAUUUAUUUAUUUUUAAACUCUCACUCAUAGAAAUUUAAAAAUGACACAUAUUUACAUGAAAUUUAAAUUUGGGGAUUCGAGGUCUCAAAUUCCAAGUUUUUUUUUCUUGCAAAGAUUCUAAAUUUCUAUUUUUAUGAAUCGAAAAAAAAGAAAUUGGUUUGUGCCAAUUUAUAAAUUCUAACGUUUGUCAACUUAUAUUGUUGCCAUACUUGCUUAGUUAUGAUCUUUCAAAGUUUUGAGCUCUCAGUUUCCCAUUCAAAUCGAUAUGUUUUGUAACAUUCUUUUUUUUCUUUAGUACCUUUGCAUUUUAAGAGCUUUAAUUGCGCUACGUGAUGAGAUUGUAAUGGAAUUAUUAGUGAGAAUUUCUUGAACAAUAGUCACUUUAGGAUGACUAGUACAAAGAUGUCAAAGUGAAGUGGGCCCUUACCAUUGACCUGCUAGGGGCACAGCCAUCAUUAUUGACCCCGAAAAGUAUGCAUGCCAAUAAAAAAUAAUUUAGUCAAAUUCUUUCUUUUUUUCAAAUAAGUAACUCAAUUUCUAAUAAACUCGAAUUUGCUGACUAGUGGGUUCUUACCUAAAUUAUAUCUUGUUUUGUCUAUGACAUUUUGAACUCCAUAAGCAAAUUUAUUGUUUCAUCUAGUUAUAUAUCUUUACACAUUAGUCACUUAAAAGAGUGUUAUAACAUUAAUUACGUAAAUGAGUGUUGUACAAACAAAAACAAAAGAAUAUCUCUUAGAUUAUUGGUGCAAAUAUCAUAUAUCAUCACAUGAUUCACCCCAAAUGUUUCGUUUUCAAUGCCAAGAGUAAUGAUGAUUACAUGUGUGUCAUUGUUAGAGGCUACCAACAGAGAGCAUUUGUGUAGUGAUUUUGUAUGUUUGCACGAGAUUUGACUUCUCAACCAAACUUUGAGCACCGAAUAGGAUGCUGGUUCGAUUAUGUACUUUUUUAUGCCCUGAGAACUGAGAACUAUGAGUUUCUCUGUGUUCUGCUUGCCUAAAAGCAUACAUUAACAACCUUGGGAUCACCUAAAUUCUAUUAAUAUAGCAUGAUAUCAAUUUAUCAAUAAAAUUAUUAAUUUACAAAGAUUAUUUCUUUUCUUGUGCAUCCAAUGGAACCUAGUGAUCUAGAUCGUCCAUCCAGUAAAGUGGUGGUUCAGAUGUUGAAAGGAGAGAACUUAACCAUGCCUCCCAAUUCUUGUGCCUCCACAUGUCUUGCACGAAAGAAUAAAAGUCCUCCUGCAGUCCCGGUACAUUAGGCUUCCAUGACUUCCGUGGCCUUUGGGGUUAACUCAAGAAUUUCCAAGCGAAUGGAACCACAUAUGAGUAUGACACAGCUAAUCCUAAUCGAUAAUGAUUACUACAGCGACAGAUGAGCGCAAAACAACUUUAAAGAAAGCACUGUUACUAGUACUUUGUUAUGUGCUAAGUUGCACGUGUGAACACUUCAAUACACUAGCGUUUUACGUAUCAAACUCAAAAACAAACACAACACUUAGUCGACACUCUUGGACACGUGUCCAACACUCCACGUGCCGUGUCGUGGACUUUGACUGAAGGACACUUCUUGGGCACUUUUAAAAUUGAAUUAAAAUUUUAGGGUAAAAUUGAAAUAAGGAAAAAAUUAUUUUAGGUAUAAUAUGAAAAAUAGAUUUAGAGAUAAUGCUAGAGAUCGCAAAUUUCUCUCUUGACGUAGGAGGCAGAUUGUCUGCCCUCCUGUUUGGAUGCCCUUCCCAUCCUCUUCUAUUUGUGCAGUCACGGUUAAGCCACGUCAACAUUUUAUAUUCUUAUUGCUUUUUGUCUUAUUAUCUCUAUAAAAAAAUUAAUAUAAAAUGUUGACGUGGCUUAACCGUGACCGUACAAAAUGGGAGGGGAUGAGGAUGACACCCAAACAGAGGGCAGACAAUCUGCCUCCCUUGACGUAAUAACAUGAAAAUUAUUGAUGACUUAAGUGUACGUGAAGCAGCUCUAGUCAAUACUCAAUUGCAAUUUGGCCCAUUUUUCUAAAGCGUGUUUGAAGCCGAGUCAUUGUUGGAAAUCUGCAAGUUCAGUUUCAUAAUUUCAUGCACUUCUACAUGAUAAGUUUCAAAAUUUCUUGCACAUCUACAAGAUUAAUUUCAUAAUUUUUUGCACUUCUGCAAUAGCAGUGUCAAAAGUUUUAGAAUUCUGCAAGGUUAGUUUCAAAAUUCCUACAUUUCUACACAAAUUUCAAAAUUUAUGCAUCAAAAUAAAACUCAAAACCUCAAAUCGAGUACUUUCAAAAUACUAAAAUCAAAACCAAAGAUCAAAAGUUUCAAUCAUUGUCAAGAAAAAAUAAAAAAUAAAAGGUUAUAGAGGACGGUGUCAUUCCACACUACAAGUUUAUACAAGUAUUGUCCUUUACUAAAAGGCUAUUUGAGGACUGAGGAUUUAGGGUUUAAGGUUUCGAAUGUAGGAGGGCAGUAAUCACGGACAACUUCUUCGAAAGAAAGGAGCAAAGAUCUAACUUCAUCCAGCAAGUGCCUUUCCAUACUCAAAUCCUCCUCAUGACAGGAGUCAGUACGAAUUUCACCUAGCCAACCAAAUGUCGUAAAUAAACUUGUGACUCGUUCAUUCACUGAUUCAUGAGAAUGUUUCCUACUAUAUAAGCAGCAAAUUCAAAACCAGGUUGAAAACUAAAUUAUGAAACAAGGGGCAACUUUUAUCUUGAGAAACCAUUUGAAAACUUAUGUUCUGUCGUAUGCAAGAAGGUAUUUCCUUUUGUGUUUUAAUUCUGCACUUAUUUUUAUUUUUUCCACAUAAAUAUAAUGUGCCUACAUUAUUUUUCUAUGGAUUAAUUUACCUACUUUAAUUAUUUUAUAUACCUACGUUAUUUUUUCUUGAAUCUUUUCACACUCGACCAAACUUCUCUUGGAAUUUUAAUUAGAUGAAACAAUAUGAAUCUUGAACAAAGCAACGCAAAACGUAAUACUGAGAGAUUGAAUCAUUGAAGUGACGUGGAGCUGGGUACUCAACACUCAUAGGAAAUCAAUCCAAGAAUGAAAACUCUCUUAUCACUUUCUAUCCAAAAUUUUGGAAUUAUGUGUGUGUUCCAACGAUUAUCCGAAGGAUUAUUCUUCUUUUAUUAAAUUUAUAAGGAAAAUUAGCAUGGGGCAUAAAUGUUGAACUGUGAAAUCCCGUCUCCGGAAUUUCACCAUUCAUUAUGUAUCUCGCAAUUUAAAUUCGUAUUUCACGUUUAUGUUAUUUUUAUUACUUAAUUUUAAUUCCGCAAAUUUUGAGCUUAAAUCGAAUAGUUAUCGGGUUUGAAUUUUCGUAAUUAAUCUUUAAGACUCGUUGACCUUUCGAGGUCACAAGUAACGUUUUCGAAUAGAUCUCGAAACCACGAGCACAUAGGCGAAAGCCGUUUGGGAGUCCGGGUUUUAACGAUAUAGUUACAGACAUUUGAAGUUGUUACUAAAUUAUAGAUUUUAAAUUUAUUUUGAAACUCCCACCUUGUGGGAAAAGGACUAAUGAGAUAAGAGAGUGAGGGACCAAUUAGAAAUGGGAGAGAAAAGGAGAACGAAUCAGGAAGGAAGGGAAAAAGAAAAAAGAAAAAAAAAGGAGGGACUGGAUGCUGCCAGGUGGCAGCGGGAGAGAGAAGAAGAUGAGGUUGCGGGAGAGAAAAGGAAGGGAAGAGUGACCAAUGGAAGGAGAGAGUAAGGAGGGGAAGGAGAGACCCAAAAAUGGGUCAUUUUUCACCCGCGAACUACCAUUUUUGACCUGGCCAUAUCUUCUUCAUCCGACUUCCGUUUUGGGUAAUCUUGGUGUCCAUAGAAAGCUCUUGACGAGUCCUACAUCCCUGUAGUGUUAGAUGUCUAUUUUUCCUUUCCAUUUUUCUAGGUCGAAGCCACAAAGUGCCUAGGGUUUUCCUGCGAGUUUUCUCAUUUUACAGUGAUUCCGACAAUGAUUACCGUCGAUCAUCACUACCAAUAGACUCCUCUCAACCCCUGGACCAAGGCCCAAGCAUUGGAUGAGGCGUCGAAGUUCGUUUUGGCGAUGAAUCGAGGAACACCCAUUUCUAGGGUCUCCAACGUGUUUGGAUGAAAUUGAGACACUUCUCGGCCGAAUUGGACUUGGCCACAGGUAUGAAAAUUGAUCCCCACACUGAGAUAUACUUGCCUGUAAAUUUGGUAAUUUUUUGAAAUUGUUGAAUUUUUCGGCGAGUCGGGGCGGCCGACCGCCACCGGCAGCAGUGCGGGCGGCGGUGCUUCGGCCAGUGGGCCGACGAUGCCUUUCUAAGUUCAAUUAGAUGUGCUGGAUUUGUAUUUGAUAUUCGUAUGACGUGGUUUGAUCGUUUGAACCUAAUUUCAUUAUGAUACAUUACUUGAUCAAAAUAUGAAUUGACGAUCCGACCGUCGGAUCGUGAUGAAAUUUUAGUAUGUUGUUCUAGAGGAAUAAUGUGGAUUUUAGAAGAUUACGGAUCCAAAAUCCAUGUGUAGAUCUUCUGGAUCAAAUUACGUAGAGAUGUGGACCCCACCGUUGAUCUGAAGUUGACUUUUGGUCAAUAGGUAUUGAAUCAUUUAUUUUACUAAAAUUAGUAUUGCUAGAGACUCAAUGAGGCUUUGCGGACUUGUCUUGGUGAGUGACUUUAAUAUAUGUGAUAUGGUUUUUACCCUGUUUUCUUAUAAGUAUCCUUUGUGGAUAUGACUUGGUUUUGUAAAUGUGUUUUCUGUUAAAAUGUGAUUUUAUAAUUGGUCAUCGAUCUAUUUUUAUUAAAUGUGAUUUGAUUUAUGGAUUGGAAAUAUUUGUGAAAAGGUGAAUUGAAGUGCAUAUUGAAAUAUUUAUGAAUUGUGUUAUAAAUAUACAUUUGAAAUGUUGAGAAAUGCGAGGGCUAGUAGGGGACCGUUACCCUAGUGUCACGGGGUUAGGUGACACCGAGUCUGCACCAUGUAGCAGUGGUACAUGGAUGGUCUUACUUGGUUAAUCCGCAAUGGGGGACCAUAUUAUUUAUGGAUCGCACUUGGUUAAUCCGCGAUGGGCGAUCCUUAUGGCCAUGUAUACUUAGGAGUGAUAAUGCUUAGUUAAUUCACGAUGGGUGAUCACUGCCUAACAGUUUUAUAGGUGUGACUUUGCUUGGUUAAUCUGCGAUGGGCGAUCCUUAUGGCCAUACAUACUUAGGGGUGAUCAUGCUUGGUUAAUCCGCAAUGGGUGAUCACUACCUAGCAGAUUCAUGGGAGUGACUCUGCUUGGUUAAUCUGCGAUUGGGGGUGGGGGGGGGGGCGCGGGGAGGGUCACUACCUACAUGGUUACUCAGGGGGUGGCUCUGCUUGGUUAAUUUGCCAUGGGGGGCCACUUCUUGUUUGGUUACUUAUGUAGGCUUCGGCCGAACUGCGUCCCUCUAGCCCUAGUUUUUAAUGUACAUAUGAACAAUGGUUUUUGAGAAUCUUGGGGGUUUGAAUGGGAAAAGCCGUUGGAUGUCUGGGUGAGUCCUUCGGAGUUGUUGAGACUUAACUAUAUUUUCAUAUUUACAAACUUAUAUUUGAGGUUUAUAAACUGUGAUCGAUGGUCUUUUCUUUUAUUGAUUAUCACAUACUUGUAUUAUUGUCACUCACCUGAGCUCCGCAACUUAUCCAAGUUCCGUUUGGCCGGUGCACCAUUCUCAUGAUGGAGGCACUGAUUUUACAUAUGAUAGGUUUGGGUAGAUUAUGAGACACCACUUGAUAUUUUGGUUCCAUUGAGUGGUCUGGAAUCCUUGCUCUUGCUCAUUCCCAUAAGGUUAGUCUAGAACCCUAGAUUCGAGUGAAUGAGAAUUACCCACAAUAGAUGAUAGGAUUUUUACCACCUGCACAAAAGGGUUAAAAACACCUAAAAUACUUGCAAGAGAAACAAGGUUAUCGUAGUAUAAUUGGCUCAAGUAAGGUCGUUCUCAACAAGGACUAAUUUAAAUAGAUUGACGUGAAAUCAAUUCCCAACUAAUUAAUUAAAACAAAGUCUUUGAAAAAGGUGAUUUAACGGCCUAAAUUAAGAAAAACGAAUUUAAUUAAAAAGAUUACUUAAAAACCCCAACUGGAAGGAGGAAGAAACAAUUUUUACAAUUCAAAGUGAGAAAGUACUAGGGUUCUGCCGUCACCCUAACAAUCCUAUGUAACUCUUCUAAAUUACUUAUGAACCAUACAUGCAUAUCUUGAAGGUUAGGUUUUCCUAGAGUAUAUCCUACCUGAAACCUCCAACAUAGAACAUAUAUCUAACAUGCAACUCGUCUGUUGUGUUCAGAUCGAAUGUGAACAUGCAAGACUAAUUAAGUUUUAUGAAAACCCUUUUGAAAAAACCAUAUAACCCUUAAAACGUGUCGUCCAUCCUAAGAGGUUGCACAUAUUAACCACAAGAAGCCUUAGUCAAUUUUAGGGACAGCCCUCUACCAAAAUUGCAUCAAAUUACUUUUCUAAUUAUCCUAAUGGUCGCGAAUCACUAAGAAAAAUAGAUAGUUUAAAGCACAGUGAUUAACAAUCCAAAACUUGCAUGCAUGAAUUCAUAAGCAAAUUAAAAGAGACUACAUAUUCUUGCUAAGGAUCAUGGCCUCACCCUAGCAAAAUAAAAUUAGUUACGCAUAUUCAUAAUUAAAAUCAACAUAAUUGUAUUAAACUAGAAAAAGAAUGAAAACACCUUGUAGAAUAAAAUUUGAAAAUCUCUAAACUUUGUCCCAAAUCUUCUCUCCAAAAAAUUGCAUGCGUUCUCUCUCUAAAAAAAACCCCUAGGUCUGCCAAAAGGCUUAUUUAUACUACUCUAAAUAAAAUCCUCCUAAUAAAAGGUCUUAGAAUAAGACUAGGAAACUAAAUAAAUUGAAAUAAAUUAGGAAACCUAAUCCUAAAUUGGCUUGGUAAAUUUGCCCAAAAUUCUGCACAGCCACGUUCUGGACCCAAAUCAGCUCCAAAACUAGCCCAAAAUUUAUGAACUUAAACUUUGACUAUUCUGAACACUUCUCCAGAAGGUCACGAACCCAUCUGAAGUCAUCUUAGGCUCCAAAAACACAGUUUAAGCCUAGAAACGUCAAUUUCCAACAACGCGCACUGCUCCUUCAUUUAAUCUCCAAAAAAUAACCGCUUGGUAGAAAUUGCUGAGAUUUUGACACGAACAAGCUAAGGAACAUACGAAAUCACUCCAAAAUUCGUCUGUUUGGUCAUGUUUUGCUCCAGAGGAAGUCAAAUUUCCUAUGUUGAAAAUAUAAAGCACAAUAUCAAAAUUCUAUCAAAAUAAUUAUCAAAUUAUACUAAGAAUAGGGUGAAACAUAUAAUAUAAUUUUGACUCAUCAAUAGACCUUGUGAAUAUAAAAUAGAUUUACCAUGUUAUUUCUCAUAAUCCAAGUAGGAAAUUAUUUAGAGUUCCUUGUUUAAAUUUGUGAAAUGAUAUGUUACUACAUUCAUUGAUUAACAUAAUUAAAUGCUAAGAUCAUGUAUCUUUGAUUCAUGAAUUGAUUGAUUGAUGGGAUUGCGGAAUGACCUUGGUUAUGGUUGUUAUUAUUAUGAUUAUUUUAGUUGAUCAAUGUGGCUUGAGAAUAAUAUGUGCUUCGUUGGUUAUUAGAUAUGUUACAUGCUGUGGAUGGAACUAUCAUGCUGAAAACAUGGAAUUUAUAUGAUGGAUGGAAUGAGAAUCUUGAAUGGCAUGUUGGUUUGUUUUGUAGCCUAAACUUGGUAAUGUCAUGCAUGUCAAGUUCUAAUAAUUGAUUACAGAAUGUUAUGUAUUCCUGUUAGAACGCACUAGAAUAAAUGUCUAAAUUAGUGAACGACGAACUAUGAAUGACUUGAUCCCUAAUGAGGGUAUGUAGGCAGUCUAAUGAGGAGGUUAGAUGCAGCCAUAAAGUAUACGAAAAAUUACUAUGCGAUUCGAUUCUCGAGUUGUGAUUUGCCAUAUCCCGGAGGUGGGGUAUGUUGAGAUACGGGUAUUUGGUGAAGUCAUGUGUUGAUUCUGAAUGUAUGUCGGGAUCGAAGCAUGACAUGAACGAAUAAAUUUUCCUCGACUUGGAAAGGGAUUGUGACUUUAACACGCUAUUUUUCUUCAUCUUAUGCAUCAUGUUUAUCAAAAGACAAAUAAUAUGACUUCACAUAAGGAGAGAAUAAGAGUAUUUUCCUUUGUAAAAAUCAACUUUUGUUUAAGAAGAUGUGGAUGCUGAUUGAUGCACCAUGUGAAUACGAAGAACGACCUUGGAGGGAGAUGAGAUAUUCAUUAGAAGCUAGCGAAAAAAAAAAAGUUAAUAAUGAUUUAGUCAAAAAGCAAGAAAGCCUCAUUUUCUAAGUGGUAGUCAUUAACACGAUACUUGAUAAGGAGAAAAGUCAUAGUAUUUUAUUUUACUGGGAACGAGGGUGCAAGGUCUCAAUUGGAAUAUGAGAUGAAGUUUCUACAUAACUAUAUAUGACAAAGAAAGAAGUCUAAGUUUGUAGGUGGUAGGGCUUUUAAUUGAUGUGAGUUUGUUGAGAAAUGAAGAUGAGCAUGAAUACUGACAUCGAUGCGAGUUAGUGAACACGAUGCUUCUCCUUUGGCCUUUUAAUAUGAUAAUACCGGAAAACAAGUUGUUACUAAUAUAUGUAUAUCUGAUUGGUGGACUAAGAUGUACAGUACGAUUUUUGAUAGAGUAAUGUUAUGGAAACUAAAUUUGUAGACUAGAUUUUGAAAACUAAAUGACAUGGAAUCCUUACUUAUGUGCUCAUUUCCGAUUAGUGACACAUCAUUUAGUUUGUAAAUUUAGUCUACAAAUUUAGUCUCCUUAACAUUACUUUUUUUGAUAACUAGCGAAGAUGAACACUCUCAUGACAAAAUUUAUCUAAAUAGACCUAAAGGCAAGACUUACGAACUUCAUAUGCAGUGGGAUAAAAUCUUAAACUAAUUUCCAUUUUUAUUUUGUAGUUGAUAGGGAUUUUACCACCUCCAAAGGUAGAGAUAAAAACACUUAAAAAUACUUGCAAGAGUACAAGGUUAUCGUAGUAUAGCAGCUCAAGCAAGGUCGUUCUCCACAGAGAUUGAAUGAAUAAUUUAUGUAAAUAUCAAAUCUUAAUUAAUUAUUUGAAAACAAAGUUUGGAAAAAGGUGAUUUUAUGACCUAAAAUAGUAAAAAUGAAUUUAAUUAAAAAUAAUUAAAUAAAUUGGCAAAGUAAAGAGAAUAAAAGAAAAUAGUUUUGAAAAUAAAUUUGAGCACUAUAGGCCGUUCUGCCAUCACCUUAACAAUUUUACGUAGUUCUUCCAAUUACUUAUGAAUUACGUAGUUCUUCAAGGUUGUAUAUAAUAUAACUACCUAUAUAAUCUUAGCCCGAGACAUGUAUAUAUAUAUAUAUAUAUAUAUAUAUAUAUAUAUAUAUAUAUAUAUAUAUAUAUAUAUAUAUACAUGUCCUGAGAAAUAUGAACAAUUAAAGGGUUUUCUAUUCAAAUUUACAUGGGUUUUGUUUGCAGCCUCGGAUCAUACAUGUGCAUUUAAUUUGGUUUUGUUUUCAGUUUCAAGAGACCCUGACAUUUUUCCUUUUAUGGGCCUUUUCUUUGCAGACUCGGACGCCCUUUGUGCUCAAGGUAGGGGCGGAGCCACCAAGGGACUAGGAUAGUCCCUGGCCCAUCCUGACUUCAUCUGAGGCAUGAACCUCAUGGAAGAAGAUGAAGCAAAUGACGUCGUUAAACUGUUUUGAUUUUAAAUCUUUUCGGCUGUCUAAUGCAACGAUAAGUUUGGCAGGGGAGUUUUAAAAGAGAUGUGCAAUUUUAAAUGGAAAAAGCAACCCCACUUCUGGUUCGAUUCUCUCACCUAACAGUAAUAUACACCCUAUAAUUUUCUAAAGCAACCCACCUUCUUUAUUUGCAGACCUCUCCCCCUUUUCCUUCUUUUUCUACUUCUUUGUAUUUUCUUUAGCCUUCCACAACCUACCUCUUACUUGGUUGUUUGGGUUUUUACAUUUUUUUCUUCUUAGUAUUGAAUUUAAGAGAAUUUUUUCAAUUUUAUGAGGAUUACACAAAUUGCAUAUGUCAACAUGUUAUGAAUUCAACUUUUUACACACACUUAUAUAUAUAUAUAUAUAUAUAUAUAUAUAUAUAUAUACACACACAUAUUUGUGAAAUACCCCUCCUCAUUCAGAAUUUUGGCUCCGCCACUGGCUCAAGGAAAACAAUUUCAACUUUUUACUUCUAAAGUGUUGCUCUUAUUUAGCAGCAGGUAUUCCGUUGUAUACAAUAAUAUGUUUUGUGUUAUGCUAGGAACCCUGUUUCCUUCUUUUGUCUCUCUGUGCACUCAAAAAACAAGCCACCCUAAUUCAAGCUUUCUACCUUCAGAUUUCCACAUUUUGACUUGCUUUUUUUUUUCUUUGUUUUGUUUAAAGAACUUAGUACUUUUGAUUUCAGUAGCAAAAUAAUUUGAACAGGAUGAGACAGAGAGAAAUAAAGCAUCUAUUUGAUCUCUGUACUUUCUCUUAUUCUUAUGUGUCGUUAAGGUCGCAUAUCUGAAUUUUAACCUAUCAUCAUGUAAGUAUUAUAGUGUGUUUGGGAAGCGGGAGUGUGUGAAAUGUGUUGGUGCUGAUGAUAGUGUCGAAUUUUAUGUGUCGUUAAGGUCGCAUAUCUGAAUUUUAACCUAUCAUCAUGUAAGUAUUAUAAUGUGUUUGGGAAGCGGGAGUGUGUGAAAUGUGUUGGUACUGAUGAUAGUGUCGAAUUUGGGGACACUUCCAGCUAGCAGAGUAGGUAACAGAGAGCUUUUUCCAACUCAAAUUUAAUGAUUCAAGCUGCUUAAGACUUGCCUAACAUUUCCAAGUUGGGGGGGGGUAGGAAUUUAUGGGUUUGAAUUUUUGUCAAGUAUGUGAUUCUUGCAAAAGAGUUGUAAAUUUGUGUAAGUAGAGUUGUAAACCCUACCAUUGAACACUUAAUAUAGUUGUACACUUAUAUACAAUUUUUUACAUGCUUGGUACGGUUUUAAACACCCACAACAUCACGCAGGCACACUUUUGCUAGUAUUUUACUAAACUAGUGCACUCAAAUGUCCGUAGCUAAAUAUAUUAUAAUGAAUUAGUGGAAUAUAAGAAAAUAUGGAAAAACAUAAGUGUACCAAAAAGUCCAUACCUAAACAUGGUAUACUAAAUUAGUGUACCAUUAUAUCUGUACCUAAAUAUAUUAUACUAAACUAGUAUACCGAAAUAUUCAUACCUAAACAUAUUAUAUUAAACUAGUGUACUGAGAUGUCUGUACCUAAAUACAUUUUAAUAAAUUAAUGGCACAUAAGAAAAUAUGCAAAAACAUAGGUGUGCCGAAAAGCCUCUACCAGAAUAUUUUCUUAUAUAAGAUACUUACAAUAAAUUGGUGAUGCAAAAUGUCAACUGUUUGUACCAUACUUGACCAAUCCCGAAACUACUGAGCACCGGUCAACGUUAUACCGUCAAGGACCCAGAAGAGCUUCCCUUCAACCAGGAGGCCAAUCACAAUGCGACACGUGUCGACAUCAGAAGCCAAUCACAGCUCGACACGUGUCAACAUCAGAAGCCAAUUACAACACGACACGUGUCAAUGUUAGAACAAAACUAGAAACUCUCUUCUAUAAAUAGGGAUCAUUCUCCCACAAUAAUCUCUAAUGUCAUUUUGUACUAAACUAUUCACUAGAACUCACAAAAUGAGAGCUUGAACCUAUGUAUUUGUGUAAACCCUUCACAAUUAAUGAGAACUCCUCUACUCCGUGGACAUAGCCGAUCUGGGUGAACCACGUACAUCUUGUGUUUGCUUCCCUGUCCCUAUUCAUUUACGUACUUAUCUUCACUAGUGAUCGAAGCAACCAAGCGAAGGUCACAAACCUGACACUUUCUGUUGUACCAAAGUCCUCGCUGAUUUUGUGCAUCAACAUUUGGCGCCGUCUGUGGGAAACGACACUUAUUCCCACUCUCUUCAGCUUUGUCAAGCUGGUUUCCACUGCUCGUACACUCUCUUUUGGCCAAGCAUCUCUCUCCGACAUGGGGAGCGAAAGAAGCCAUAGCACACAGAAUGACACCCCCAUUGGACCUAGUAUGAAGCAACGAAAGCAGGAAGGAAAUAGAGUUACUCUUCAAGCUAAAGUUGAUGAGUUAGAAGCUCAGAACAACAAGAUAGUGAUGAGGAACGAGGUUCUCCAGGAGCAGUAUGAAAAACGUUUUGAGAUGCUUCACGAGGCUAGGCAUGCUCAAGCACACAAGCUUGUCGCCCCUGCUGAGGUCAACAAUCAUCUGAAUGCCCCCCAACACGAAGGGUCACCGAUAUCCAACACGGACAUCCCUGAUAAGGAUCGAGCUACACAUCAAUGUGAUAAUCAACAUGAGACUUCUCUCAACCCAGCUGCUUCAACCCGAAGCAGAAGGAGUAGAGGAAAGCACCUCCUCACAAAAGGAGUGGAAGGAUCAAAAGCCGUCUAUCGCGAUUGUCGAGACUUCCUAAAGCAACGUCGAGAGAAUCCCAUCCACAUAAGCUCGAAGAUCAAUGACCCAAGAGUUUCUGAAAGACUCGGUCCUCUCCCACGACCCAGGCCAGCAGUUAAUCUAGGGAAUGGGCAACAAGUCCCAGAAGAACAUGAAGGUACAGGGGACUCGGAAAUGUUCCGACAUACUCACUCUAGGAGUCAGUGUGAUGAGUCCAAGGAAAAAUCACGUUAUCUUGAUCAAACUUUCCUACUUACAAGAGGCGAUGGGGACUUACGGAAGAAACCUUCAGUGGUGCACGACUCCACUCAGGACCCCCUUGUCCUACAGCUCCUGGAGGAAGUAAACAAGUUGAAGGCUGAACGUCAAGCCGAGAUACCUGACUGGAACCAACCCAGGCCUGGGCCCCUCACAAGAAGGAUCCUCAACACCCCCCUCCAAGCAAAGACAAAGCAGAAGCUUGGCUUACAACUCUAUACUGGAAAGGAAGACCCGAUUGAACACCUUAACCUCUUUGAGUCCACCAUGGUAUACCGGAGACACACCGACGAAGAACGGUGCCUUCUCUUCCCCUCCACCCUCUCUGGCUGAGCUUUAAAUUGGUAUUGCCGUCUUCCGCCUGAGACAGUAGACUCAUUUGAAGAGUUGAGGAAGCUGUUUGUCUCUCAACACAUCUUCCAGACCGAUCGCUUGCAUUCCGCAGAUGACUUGUACACUAUUCGCCAGAAGCCAGAUGAGUCAUUACGAAAGUAUGCUGGCCGCUUCAGCCAUGAGUAUUCUCGUUGCGCUGAGGCAGAUGACAAGACUGCCCUCAAGGCCUUCACGACAGGCUUACGUGACUGUUUCUUCAAGUACAUGAUCAAUGCCAACACUUGGAAGACUUACUCUGAGGUGAUGACACAAGCUUACAACCAUGCCUCAGCCGAGGCAAGGACAUAUCAAGGGAAACCCCUUACAGUAACCCCUUAUCAGCAAGUAGGGAGUGGAGGCCAGAUCCAACCAAAUGAGAAGACCUCAACCUUCCAAACGGUAGCAGCACACCCCCUGCCUCAUUUAAUGCUUCGCCAAGUCAGCAGACAUAUCAAUCCCAGGGCAAAAGGAAAGAUUUCCAUCCUCACCAAUCUCAUUUUAAUAAAAAGAAUAAGGGGCACUAUCGCGAUAACUCAGGAUAUCGUCACAAUAACGCCCGUCCCCAAGCAGUCAAUGCAGUGGGCCAAUCACGUGUCAAGACAGGCCCUACCCUCGGUAUGAGACAUACACACCUUUGAACGCUACAUGCGCGGCCAUCUACCCCAGUAUAGCUCAUUUGAUACCAAAGCCAAAGCCAAGACAGCCAGAUUACAAGUCCACGAAAAACACGGGCAUGUUUUGCUGCUACCACGAGUAUAAUGGCCAUGAUGGCGAGAAGUGCGUCAUCCUCCGUGAUCAUAUUGAAGCUUUGGCACGUGAAGGAAAAAUUGAUCAGUUCCUCCUUCACCCUCCAAAGGAUAACCGUAACCAACGCCAGGUGAAUGUGAUAUAUUCUAUAAGCGGCGGCAUACCUAUGUCUGAAUCUUCCAAUAGGGCCAUGAAAAACAGUGAACAAACUUUGAGACCUGGCCAUCAAGUGUUUCACGUGGAAGACAUCAGGGGAGGCAAGUAUCAAAAGCCUAACUGGGAUCCAAUAUGUUUCUACCCUGAGGAAGAAAGAGGUAUCAUCUACCCUCACAACGACCCGCUGAUCGUGGAGGCUCACAUAGCAAAUUUUGAUGUGAAACGAAUCCUGAUAGACACAGGUGCUUCAGUCAAUAUCAUGUUUGCUGAAGCUUUCAAGGCACUUAAUGUAGCUGAACACUUGCUCGAUCGCUCGAUUUCUCCUCUGAUAAGCUUCUCUGGCGAUAUCGUGCAACCUUUAGGGAGUAUACACUUACCCUUCACCAUUGGUACAGGCCCCUACACAGCUAUUAUUACCACUAACUUCCUAGUGGUCAAUUGCCCGACGGCAUACAAUGUCAUCUUUGGGCGCACAGGCAUCAAUGAUCUCAAGGCCAUGGUAUCCAUACAUAUGUUGUUGAUGAAGUUUCCAACCCCUUUCGGCAAUGGAUACAUCAGGGGAGAUCAACUUAGUGCUCGAUCAUGUUACAACACUUCAGUUAAGCAACAACACCUGCCUGUCCCCAAGGAGACCCUCUCUAUACAUAACCAGGUAGUAAAGACCAGUCCAGAUGAAGCCAACUUGAAUCUUCAUGAUGGCAACAGUCAACCCGACGACCCUCGAGAUGACUCAUUCACCCAGCAAGCACAACCCGCUGAAGAGUUAGAGAAUGUCUCUAUCUCCAAAGACCAUCCAAAUCGCAUGGUGAAGAUUGGCACCACUUUGUCACCACCCCUUCGGUUGUCGCUGAUCUCUUUUUUGUAAGAGAACACCGAGGUCUUCGCUUGGUCAUAUAAAGAUAUGCCGGGCAUCUCUCCCGAUAUCAUCUGUCACCACUUGAGUAUUGAUCUCAAGACCAAACCAGUAAAACAGAAGCGAAGAUCUUAUGAUGUUGAACGAUACGAGGCGAUGAAAGCAGAAGUGAAAAACUCAAGGACAUAGGCUUCGUCCGUGAAGUCAAUUACCCAACAUGGGUAGCAAAUGUUGUCCUUAUUAAGAAAAAUCCGACCAAGGAAAGUCUCUUGCUUCAGAAGGUCUUGUGGAGAAUGUGUGUCGACUACACCGACCUAAACAAAGGAUGCCCGAAGGAUAGUUUCCCCCUUCCUCUCAUUGAUAGACUUAUAGACUCUACGGCAGGGUGUGAGCUCUUGAGCUUCAUGGACGCUUAUUCAGGAUACAACCAAAUCCUCAUGAACCCCUCAGACCAAGAACACACAGCCUUCACUACUGACAGGGGACUAUAUUGCUACAAAGUCAUGCCUUUCGGCCUAAAGAAUGCAGGAGCAACUUAUCAGAGACUGGUCAAUUCAAUGUUCGCCGAACAGAUUGGGAAGAGCAUGGAAGUUUACGUUGAUGAUAUGUUAGUCAAGAGCAAACAUGCUGACCAACACAUCACCAACCUAUCUGAAACUUUCACCAUUCUAAAGAGGUAUCGAAUGAGGUUGAACCCCAACAAAUGUGCCUUCGGCGUGGGCUCUGGCAAAUUCUUAAGCUUCAUGAUUAGCCAACGAGGCAUUGAAGCUAACCCCGAAAAGAUCAAAGCAAUCCUCGACAUGAAAGAGCCAGUAACUUCAAAAGACAUCCAAAGCCUUACUGGCAAGGUGGCAGCCUUAACCAGAUUCAUCUCUAAGGCCACAGACAGAUGUGCUCCUUUCUUCAAAACAUUCAAGGGAAAUAAGAAAUACAUUACAUGGACGGAGGAAUGUGCCAAGGCAUUCAGGAACCUCAAAGAGUACAUGAGUAAAGCCCAUCUGCUCUCCAAACCAGAAGUUGGUGAUACUCUCAUUAUCUAUCUAUCAGUUUCGGCUUCAGCAGUCAGUUCUGUUCUUAUUCGAAAGGACAGUGGUGUCGAACGGCCCGUCUACUAUGCUAGCAAGGCCCUACAAGAUGCGGAGACACGAUACUCCAACAUUGAGAAAUUAGCUCUAGCAUUGGUCAUGUCUGCUCGAAAACUUUGCCCUUAUUUCCAAGCACACGCCAUCAUCGUGCUUACCAAUCACCCUCUUCGACAGAUACUCCAGAGUCCUGACACGUCUGGGUGAAUGAUUAAAUGGGCGAUAGCAUUGGGUGAGUUUGACAUCUCCUACCAACCAAAACCAGCCGAAAAAGGGCAAGCAGUAGCAGAUUUCAUCGCCGACUUCACAUAUCCUGUUGACAUUGCUUCUACACCUGAAGCAGUAGCUUCAUUACCAUCGGAAACUCAGAAGAUAGAAUCAACAACCCCAUCAUGGAGUCUGUAUGUUGAUGGCUCAUCCAACCAACAGGGCUGCGGAGCAGGAUUAGUCCUCACUACCCCGGACAAAGUGGCGAUAGAAUACGCUUUUCGUUUCAAAUUCAAGGCAUCGAACAAUGAGGCCGAAUACGAAGCCCUUCUAGCAGGCUUACGUUUGGCCAAGCACCUUGGGGUUAAACAAAUUGAUAUCUUCAGUGACUCCCAAUUAGUGGUCAACCAAGUCACGAACAACUUUGAUGCUAAGGAUAGCUCCAUGGCAGCAUAUCUUGCGCAAACACGACUUUUGCUCAAGCACUUCCACUACCAGAUCACCCAAGUUCCUCGAGCGGCAAACAGUCAUGCAGACGCUUUAGCUCGCCUCGCCUCGGCAGUGGAAGACAAGAUUGGGAGAAAAAUUCAUGUCGAAUUGUUGGCAGCACCAAGCACCAUGGUCGCGGAGGUGUGCAAUUUACAACAAUGAGAUAGUUGGAUCACCCCAAUUUAUAAAUUCCUUGCCCAUGGCACCCUUCCAAAUGACAAAGUCCAAGCUAAGCAGAUUCGAUACAAGUCUGCCCGCUACCUGAUCAUUAAUGACUAACUCUACAAGCGCGGUUUUACCCUGCCAUACCUAAGAUGCCUUACACCUGCGGAGGCGGAAAUUGUCCUUCGGGAAAUACAUGAAGGAGUCUGCGGAGAUCAUGCUGGGUCUCGGUCCCUAGCACACAAGACUUUUCGCCAAGGAUACUAUUGGCCAACACUCCACCAAGAUGCCAUCAGAAUAUCUCGCUCAUGUGAUAAGUGUCAACGCUACACAACUAUCCCUCACUCCCCUCCCGAGCCGCUUACUCCUAUGAUCAACCCUUGGCCCUUCGCCCAAUGGGGACUUGAUUUGAUCGGCCCAAUGCCUGUAGGGAAGGGCAAAGUCCGCUAUGCAAUCGUUGCAGUUGACUACUUCACAAAGUGGGCUGAAGUAGAACCCUUGGCAACCAUUACUGAGGGAAAAAUAGAAGACUUCGUAUGGAAGAACAUCCUCUGCAGAUUCGGCAUUCCCAAUGCGAUAGUCACGGACAAUGGGCGGCAGUUCGACAACAAGAAGUUCAAGAUGUUUUGCUCUAAGUUCAACAUCAACUUAUGUUUUGCCUCUCCAGCCCAUCCCCAGUCUAAUGGACAAGUCGAGGCCGUUAACAAAAUAAUCAAGCGCAUUCUGAAAACUAGCUUGGACAAAGCUAAAGGUUGUUGGCCAGAAUUCGUACCCCAAGUUCUUUGGUCAUACCGCACUUCAUAUCGGACUUCCACAGGAGAAACUCCAUUCUCACUUGCUUUUGGUACAGAAGCAGUUGUCCUGGUUGAGCUUGAGCAAGCAACAUACCGAAUCCAGAAUUACAUGCAGAGUGAGAACGACAAACAACUCACCCUCAACCUGGAUCUAGUCGAGGAACACAGAAAUCAGGCUCACCUGAGGAAUGUCGCCUACAAGCAGCGCAUUUCCAACUACUACGACUCAAGGGUCAAACCUCGCUCUUUCAAAGUGGGAGACUGGGUACUGAAGAAAAGAUUACUAUGUGAUAGGGUCCCGAGUGAAGGAACACUCAGUCCUAACUGGGACGGACCGUUCGAGGUCGUCGGCAUCAGCCGCCCUGGCUCCUACAAGCUCAGAAACUCCGACUGCAAGACCCUUGGCCAUCCAUGGAAUGCUGACCACUUGAAGUAUUAUUACAAAUAGACUCACAUUGUACAAGUGUUAAGCUACAUCCGUUCGGCAUCCUAUGUAACAAAGACCAUUUGGUAUGAAUUCAAUAAAGAGGUGAUUUAGCCAACUCGGCCCUAAACUCUUUUACAUUCUGAGCAAUGAAACACUCAAGUGUUGAAGCUUCAACGCAAAUGUUUCCAAUACAAAAUCAAAUCUAAGUAUGUGUCAACAAGACUAUACAAAGGAUCUAUGCAAACAUAGUCAAACAUUCAUCAAUGAUAGGGCAAACACUUGAAGCUUGAUAAUGCAAACACUUGAAGCUUGACAAUACAAACACUUGCUUGAUAAUGCAAACACUCAUAAACAUACAAAACAAAAAAAACUCUCAGGCUUAUAACAUGGCACAUGCCAUACAAACAACAAACUAGUGUAGGUAGAGUACAUGCAGAAAGUGAAAGCACUUCUAGUCAUCCUCAUCUGAGGUUGAACCCCUGAUCAUAUCACUAUGAGUCCUACCGCCAUUUUCUGCAUUUCCAAACUCAUCAUCACCCUGAUGACUCUGCUCAUCAGCACUAGCCUCAUCACCAGACUCAUCUGCACUGCUAGAAUAAACGGCAAGGUUGAAGGUUUCACCUUUUCGAUGAUGCUCAUCUAUUUCUUCACGAUAUUUUCGAAGAACGCUUCCAUCAUCAUAACGAUCAAGGACAGCCAUCCAUUUCCUUUUUUCAAAGUGAACUUCCCGGGUACAGCGAGGUCUAAGGACAUGGAGAAAGGCCGGGGAACCCAAGAACUCCUUCACAGCAGCUUCCUUCUCAGUCGGGAUACUACUCUUCAGCUCAGAAACCUCAACCAAGGCACUAUCCAACUCCCCUUUAACCUUGGAAACCUCGAGCAAAGUUGUCUCCAACUGUUUCUUAGUCGCCUCCAACUGUACUUUGAGUCUCAAGUUCUCACCAUUCCGCCUCUUCAAACUCUCAAAAUGUUGAUCCCUGACUUCAAUGGCCUUAGCCAAAGCUUUGCUCGUCUUCCUGGCAUCAUUCACAAGCUGCUUAUUCUCUUUCAGUUUCACCUUGCACCGCUCAGCCUCUCGCAGUCUGUCGUGAUACUCAGUCAUGACCUGCAUGACAAGACGAUCAUCGCUACCAAAAUAAUGCUAAUAAAGAGGAGAAAACAAGGAAAUGACAAAGUAACACUCACAUAUGAAGACAGCUUCAACAUCCGGUCACAAUCCGAUUCAUCUUUAGCUAAAGGCUCUCCGAGCUCAUCGAAAGUGAAUCGACGCCCUGCCAGGCAAUUGUUGAUAUACCCAAAGUCCUUUGGUCGCAUGGCAACCUUCAAAUCCUUCCAAGGGACACUGCCAACCUCUUCUUUAUCUUUACCCUUGCUGCUAGAACUAGGAUCACCUUUCUGCCCAAUGUGCUCCCUAACUGGAGGAAAGAUAGGAUUGAUAGUAGGAAGAUGAGGCAACAAUCGCCUAUCUUCCCCGGCAACUAUGGCAGCAGCACAUCCAAUGGCCUCAGCUUCAGCUUUCUUCGAGGCAGCAACCUUGAGGACUUCUUCUCGAGACUUAGUUUUAAUGAUUGGUCUCACUCGGUGCUUGCGAGCUUCCUUGUGAAACAGGAUGUCUUCUGAAGGAACUAACAUGGGCAUUCUCCUUUUCUUGGUGCUAGUCUCCACUUUCUUGCCCACCUUCUCCACUGAACAAGGAAAAUCAAAGUAAGGAAUACCACAUUAUAUAUCUAUAUAAAAAAAAAAAGGGAAGAACAAGGAUCAAGUGAGGAUACAACUUACUCGCUCGUCUCUGGCACUCGGAAACUAAGGGCUGGAAACCGUACUUUCGAAACAAGGGUCGUAGCUUACCCAAGUGUCUAUCUUCUUUAGGCACCCUCAGCACUUUCUCUACAUCAGCUAGCUCCUGUCCGGAGAGUUUGAUGGUGCCUCGUGUCACUGCAUGAAGAAAAAUCUUAGAAGCAAGAGAAAAUCACAACAAUAGCAAAUAAUGAGAAAAUGGAUACAUUACAACCUACAGUCUGGAAGUGAGUAGGAACACGUCGCUCAGGCGUGACACCCUUAGCAUGCUCCCAAUCAUUAUAAAGAAAGCACCAACGUUUCUUCCAUGUGCAGUACGCCUUUCUCUUAUCAAAGACAACACGCUCUCUCUCACUCCGACAUGCACAUUCAGCAUAACCAGUACAUGCUUUCACCGGGCGCAUCUUAUAACAGUAGCGCCACUGAUGGAAGGAAGGUUCACCUAAUCCACACUCCAUCCAUAUAAUAUAAAACCCGAUCAAGGUAUCCCAGAAACCGGGGUUGAGUUGCCCCGGUGCAUAACCAAUAAAAGACAGCAUCCGUUGCAACCACGGAUGCAAAGGUAAAUUUACCCCCAAGGUCACUAAUGUCUGGGUAUAGAACAUAACAUGACCCGUGGGCGGCUCAGAAGGCAAUUCUUCACAACGCACCAAACGUAUUCCUACACUACGGGGGAUACUACAUGAUCGCCUUAGGGCCUCAAGCUGCUUUUCGAUAUCUAACAAGUUAUUUUCUAAAUGGUCCGCUGUGAACUCAGAGCGAAAUAUGGGUAUGGCGUCACAAACAACCCCCUCACCCACUAGCAUGGAGGAAGAACCAAUAUUGGCUAAGGUUUGACAAUUGUGAGGAUCAGAACGAAAUAUGGGUAUGGCGUCACAAACAAACCCCCUCACCCACUAGCAUGGAGGAAGAACCAAUAUUGGCUAAGGCUUGACAAUUAUGAGGAUCAUCCAACGUUUCUUUCAUACCAGACUCUAACAAAGGCCAUGAAGACCCUGACAUGGCAGGCUCAAACCUAGAGCUAGAGCUAGGGGAGCCCUCAUCACUAAGACUUCCAGACUCCGACAUCUACAAACAAACAGAAACAAACUCUAUCACUACAUGAAGGAUCAAAACAUAAGGAAGCUCAUAGGGCAUGCAGAAAAGCUCAACCAGUUCCUUAUGUUCUUAACAGAAUACAUGAACACUCAAACAAUNNNNNNNNNNNNNNNNNNNNNNNNNNNNNNNNNNNNNNNNNNNNNNNNNNNNNNNNNNNNNNNNNNNNNNNNNNNNNNNNNNNNNNNNNNNNNNNNNNNNNNNNNNNNNNNNNNNNNNNNNNNNNNNNNNNNNNNNNNNNNNNNNNNNNNNNNNNNNNNNNNNNNNNNNNNNNNNNNNNNNNNNNNNNNNNNNNNNNNNNNNNNNNNNNNNNNNNNNNNNNNNNNNNNNNNNNNNNNNNNNNNNNNNNNNNNNNNNNNNNNNNNNNNNNNNNNNNNNNNNNNNNNNNNNNNNNNNNNNNNNNNNNNNNNNNNNNNNNNNNNNNNNNNNNNNNNNNNNNNNNNNNNNNNNNNNNNNNNNNNNNNNNNNNNNNNNNNNNNNNNNNNNNNNNNNNNNNNNNNNNNNNNNNNNNNNNNNNNNNNNNNNNNNNNNNNNNNNNNNNNNNNNNNNNNNNNNNNNNNNNNNNNNNNNNNNNNNNNNNNNNNNNNNNNNNNNNNNNNNNNNNNNNNNNNNNNNNNNNNNNNNNNNNNNNNNNNNNNNNNNNNNNNNNNNNNNNNNNNNNNNNNNNNNNNNNNNNNNNNNNNNNNNNNNNNNNNNNNNNNNNNNNNNNNNNNNNNNNNNNNNNNNNNNNNNNNNNNNNNNNNNNNNNNNNNNNNNNNNNNNNNNNNNNNNNNNNNNNNNNNNNNNNNNNNNNNNNNNNNNNNNNNNNNNNNNNNNNNNNNNNNNNNNNNNNNNNNNNNNNNNNNNNNNNNNNNNNNNNNNNNNNNNNNNNNNNNNNNNNNNNNNNNNNNNNNNNNNNNNNNNNNNNNNNNNNNNNNNNNNNNNNNNNNNNNNNNNNNNNNNNNNNNNNNNNNNNNNNNNNNNNNNNNNNNNNNNNNNNNNNNNNNNNNNNNNNNNNNNNNNNNNNNNNNNNNNNNNNNNNNNNNNNNNNNNNNNNNNNNNNNNNNNNNNNNNNNNNNNNNNNNNNNNNNNNNNNNNNNNNNNNNNNNNNNNNNNNNNNNNNNNNNNNNNNNNNNNNNNNNNNNNNNNNNNNNNNNNNNNNNNNNNNNNNNNNNNNNNNNNNNNNNNNNNNNNNNNNNNNNNNNNNNNNNNNNNNNNNNNNNNNNNNNNNNNNNNNNNNNNNNNNNNNNNNNNNNNNNNNNNNNNNNNNNNNNNNNNNNNNNNNNNNNNNNNNNNNNNNNNNNNNNNNNNNNNNNNNNNNNNNNNNNNNNNNNNNNNNNNNNNNNNNNNNNNNNNNNNNNNNNNNNNNNNNNNNNNNNNNNNNNNNNNNNNNNNNNNNNNNNNNNNNNNNNNNNNNNNNNNNNNNNNNNNNNNNNNNNNNNNNNNNNNNNNNNNNNNNNNNNNNNNNNNNNNNNNNNNNNNNNNNNNNNNNNNNNNNNNNNNNNNNNNNNNNNNNNNNNNNNNNNNNNNNNNNNNNNNNNNNNNNNNNNNNNNNNNNNNNNNNNNNNNNNNNNNNNNNNNNNNNNNNNNNNNNNNNNNNNNNNNNNNNNNNNNNNNNNNNNNNNNNNNNNNNNNNNNNNNNNNNNNNNNNNNNNNNNNNNNNNNNNNNNNNNNNNNNNNNNNNNNNNNNNNNNNNNNNNNNNNNNNNNNNNNNNNNNNNNNNNNNNNNNNNNNNNNNNNNNNNNNNNNNNNNNNNNNNNNNNNNNNNNNNNNNNNNNNNNNNNNNNNNNNNNNNNNNNNNNNNNNNNNNNNNNNNNNNNNNNNNNNNNNNNNNNNNNNNNNNNNNNNNNNNNNNNNNNNNNNNNNNNNNNNNNNNNNNNNNNNNNNNNNNNNNNNNNNNNNNNNNNNNNNNNNNNNNNNNNNNNNNNNNNNNNNNNNNNNNNNNNNNNNNNNNNNNNNNNNNNNNNNNNNNNNNNNNNNNNNNNNNNNNNNNNNNNNNNNNNNNNNNNNNNNNNNNNNNNNNNNNNNNNNNNNNNNNNNNNNNNNNNNNNNNNNNNNNNNNNNNNNNNNNNNNNNNNNNNNNNNNNNNNNNNNNNNNNNNNNNNNNNNNNNNNNNNNNNNNNNNNNNNNNNNNNNNNNNNNNNNNNNNNNNNNNNNNNNNNNNNNNNNNNNNNNNNNNNNNNNNNNNNNNNNNNNNNNNNNNNNNNNNNNNNNNNNNNNNNNNNNNNNNNNNNNNNNNNNNNNNNNNNNNNNNNNNNNNNNNNNNNNNNNNNNNNNNNNNNNNNNNNNNNNNNNNNNNNNNNNNNNNNNNNNNNNNNNNNNNNNNNNNNNNNNNNNNNNNNNNNNNNNNNNNNNNNNNNNNNNNNNNNNNNNNNNNNNNNNNNNNNNNNNNNNNNNNNNNNNNNNNNNNNNNNNNNNNNNNNNNNNNNNNNNNNNNNNNNNNNNNNNNNNNNNNNNNNNNNNNNNNNNNNNNNNNNNNNNNNNNNNNNNNNNNNNNNNNNNNNNNNNNNNNNNNNNNNNNNNNNNNNNNNNNNNNNNNNNNNNNNNNNNNNNNNNNNNNNNNNNNNNNNNNNNNNNNNNNNNNNNNNNNNNNNNNNNNNNNNNNNNNNNNNNNNNNNNNNNNNNNNNNNNNNNNNNNNNNNNNNNNNNNNNNNNNNNNNNNNNNNNNNNNNNNNNNNNNNNNNNNNNNNNNNNNNNNNNNNNNNNNNNNNNNNNNNNNNNNNNNNNNNNNNNNNNNNNNNNNNNNNNNNNNNNNNNNNNNNNNNNNNNNNNNNNNNNNNNNNNNNNNNNNNNNNNNNNNNNNNNNNNNNNNNNNNNNNNNNNNNNNNNNNNNNNNNNNNNNNNNNNNNNNNNNNNNNNNNNNNNNNNNNNNNNNNNNNNNNNNNNNNNNNNNNNNNNNNNNNNNNNNNNNNNNNNNNNNNNNNNNNNNNNNNNNNNNNNNNNNNNNNNNNNNNNNNNNNNNNNNNNNNNNNNNNNNNNNNNNNNNNNNNNNNNNNNNNNNNNNNNNNNNNNNNNNNNNNNNNNNNNNNNNNNNNNNNNNNNNNNNNNNNNNNNNNNNNNNNNNNNNNNNNNNNNNNNNNNNNNNNNNNNNNNNNNNNNNNNNNNNNNNNNNNNNNNNNNNNNNNNNNNNNNNNNNNNNNNNNNNNNNNNNNNNNNNNNNNNNNNNNNNNNNNNNNNNNNNNNNNNNNNNNNNNNNNNNNNNNNNNNNNNNNNNNNNNNNNNNNNNNNNNNNNNNNNNNNNNNNNNNNNNNNNNNNNNNNNNNNNNNNNNNNNNNNNNNNNNNNNNNNNNNNNNNNNNNNNNNNNNNNNNNNNNNNNNNNNNNNNNNNNNNNNNNNNNNNNNNNNNNNNNNNNNNNNNNNNNNNNNNNNNNNNNNNNNNNNNNNNNNNNNNNNNNNNNNNNNNNNNNNNNNNNNNNNNNNNNNNNNNNNNNNNNNNNNNNNNNNNNNNNNNNNNNNNNNNNNNNNNNNNNNNNNNNNNNNNNNNNNNNNNNNNNNNNNNNNNNNNNNNNNNNNNNNNNNNNNNNNNNNNNNNNNNNNNNNNNNNNNNNNNNNNNNNNNNNNNNNNNNNNNNNNNNNNNNNNNNNNNNNNNNNNNNNNNNNNNNNNNNNNNNNNNNNNNNNNNNNNNNNNNNNNNNNNNNNNNNNNNNNNNNNNNNNNNNNNNNNNNNNNNNNNNNNNNNNNNNNNNNNNNNNNNNNNNNNNNNNNNNNNNNNNNNNNNNNNNNNNNNNNNNNNNNNNNNNNNNNNNNNNNNNNNNNNNNNNNNNNNNNNNNNNNNNNNNNNNNNNNNNNNNNNNNNNNNNNNNNNNNNNNNNNNNNNNNNNNNNNNNNNNNNNNNNNNNNNNNNNNNNNNNNNNNNNNNNNNNNNNNNNNNNNNNNNNNNNNNNNNNNNNNNNNNNNNNNNNNNNNNNNNNNNNNNNNNNNNNNNNNNNNNNNNNNNNNNNNNNNNNNNNNNNNNNNNNNNNNNNNNNNNNNNNNNNNNNNNNNNNNNNNNNNNNNNNNNNNNNNNNNNNNNNNNNNNNNNNNNNNNNNNNNNNNNNNNNNNNNNNNNNNNNNNNNNNNNNNNNNNNNNNNNNNNNNNNNNNNNNNNNNNNNNNNNNNNNNNNNNNNNNNNNNNNNNNNNNNNNNNNNNNNNNNNNNNNNNNNNNNNNNNNNNNNNNNNNNNNNNNNNNNNNNNNNNNNNNNNNNNNNNNNNNNNNNNNNNNNNNNNNNNNNNNNNNNNNNNNNNNNNNNNNNNNNNNNNNNNNNNNNNNNNNNNNNNNNNNNNNNNNNNNNNNNNNNNNNNNNNNNNNNNNNNNNNNNNNNNNNNNNNNNNNNNNNNNNNNNNNNNNNNNNNNNNNNNNNNNNNNNNNNNNNNNNNNNNNNNNNNNNNNNNNNNNNNNNNNNNNNNNNNNNNNNNNNNNNNNNNNNNNNNNNNNNNNNNNNNNNNNNNNNNNNNNNNNNNNNNNNNNNNNNNNNNNNNNNNNNNNNNNNNNNNNNNNNNNNNNNNNNNNNNNNNNNNNNNNNNNNNNNNNNNNNNNNNNNNNNNNNNNNNNNNNNNNNNNNNNNNNNNNNNNNNNNNNNNNNNNNNNNNNNNNNNNNNNNNNNNNNNNNNNNNNNNNNNNNNNNNNNNNNNNNNNNNNNNNNNNNNNNNNNNNNNNNNNNNNNNNNNNNNNNNNNNNNNNNNNNNNNNNNNNNNNNNNNNNNNNNNNNNNNNNNNNNNNNNNNNNNNNNNNNNNNNNNNNNNNNNNNNNNNNNNNNNNNNNNNNNNNNNNNNNNNNNNNNNNNNNNNNNNNNNNNNNNNNNNNNNNNNNNNNNNNNNNNNNNNNNNNNNNNNNNNNNNNNNNNNNNNNNNNNNNNNNNNNNNNNNNNNNNNNNNNNNNNNNNNNNNNNNNNNNNNNNNNNNNNNNNNNNNNNNNNNNNNNNNNNNNNNNNNNNNNNNNNNNNNNNNNNNNNNNNNNNNNNNNNNNNNNNNNNNNNNNNNNNNNNNNNNNNNNNNNNNNNNNNNNNNNNNNNNNNNNNNNNNNNNNNNNNNNNNNNNNNNNNNNNNNNNNNNNNNNNNNNNNNNNNNNNNNNNNNNNNNNNNNNNNNNNNNNNNNNNNNNNNNNNNNNNNNNNNNNNNNNNNNNNNNNNNNNNNNNNNNNNNNNNNNNNNNNNNNNNNNNNNNNNNNNNNNNNNNNNNNNNNNNNNNNNNNNNNNNNNNNNNNNNNNNNNNNNNNNNNNNNNNNNNNNNNNNNNNNNNNNNNNNNNNNNNNNNNNNNNNNNNNNNNNNNNNNNNNNNNNNNNNNNNNNNNNNNNNNNNNNNNNNNNNNNNNNNNNNNNNNNNNNNNNNNNNNNNNNNNNNNNNNNNNNNNNNNNNNNNNNNNNNNNNNNNNNNNNNNNNNNNNNNNNNNNNNNNNNNNNNNNNNNNNNNNNNNNNNNNNNNNNNNNNNNNNNNNNNNNNNNNNNNNNNNNNNNNNNNNNNNNNNNNNNNNNNNNNNNNNNNNNNNNNNNNNNNNNNNNNNNNNNNNNNNNNNNNNNNNNNNNNNNNNNNNNNNNNNNNNNNNNNNNNNNNNNNNNNNNNNNNNNNNNNNNNNNNNNNNNNNNNNNNNNNNNNNNNNNNNNNNNNNNNNNNNNNNNNNNNNNNNNNNNNNNNNNNNNNNNNNNNNNNNNNNNNNNNNNNNNNNNNNNNNNNNNNNNNNNNNNNNNNNNNNNNNNNNNNNNNNNNNNNNNNNNNNNNNNNNNNNNNNNNNNNNNNNNNNNNNNNNNNNNNNNNNNNNNNNNNNNNNNNNNNNNNNNNNNNNNNNNNNNNNNNNNNNNNNNNNNNNNNNNNNNNNNNNNNNNNNNNNNNNNNNNNNNNNNNNNNNNNNNNNNNNNNNNNNNNNNNNNNNNNNNNNNNNNNNNNNNNNNNNNNNNNNNNNNNNNNNNNNNNNNNNNNNNNNNNNNNNNNNNNNNNNNNNNNNNNNNNNNNNNNNNNNNNNNNNNNNNNNNNNNNNNNNNNNNNNNNNNNNNNNNNNNNNNNNNNNNNNNNNNNNNNNNNNNNNNNNNNNNNNNNNNNNNNNNNNNNNNNNNNNNNNNNNNNNNNNNNNNNNNNNNNNNNNNNNNNNNNNNNNNNNNNNNNNNNNNNNNNNNNNNNNNNNNNNNNNNNNNNNNNNNNNNNNNNNNNNNNNNNNNNNNNNNNNNNNNNNNNNNNNNNNNNNNNNNNNNNNNNNNNNNNNNNNNNNNNNNNNNNNNNNNNNNNNNNNNNNNNNNNNNNNNNNNNNNNNNNNNNNNNNNNNNNNNNNNNNNNNNNNNNNNNNNNNNNNNNNNNNNNNNNNNNNNNNNNNNNNNNNNNNNNNNNNNNNNNNNNNNNNNNNNNNNNNNNNNNNNNNNNNNNNNNNNNNNNNNNNNNNNNNNNNNNNNNNNNNNNNNNNNNNNNNNNNNNNNNNNNNNNNNNNNNNNNNNNNNNNNNNNNNNNNNNNNNNNNNNNNNNNNNNNNNNNNNNNNNNNNNNNNNNNNNNNNNNNNNNNNNNNNNNNNNNNNNNNNNNNNNNNNNNNNNNNNNNNNNNNNNNNNNNNNNNNNNNNNNNNNNNNNNNNNNNNNNNNNNNNNNNNNNNNNNNNNNNNNNNNNNNNNNNNNNNNNNNNNNNNNNNNNNNNNNNNNNNNNNNNNNNNNNNNNNNNNNNNNNNNNNNNNNNNNNNNNNNNNNNNNNNNNNNNNNNNNNNNNNNNNNNNNNNNNNNNNNNNNNNNNNNNNNNNNNNNNNNNNNNNNNNNNNNNNNNNNNNNNNNNNNNNNNNNNNNNNNNNNNNNNNNNNNNNNNNNNNNNNNNNNNNNNNNNNNNNNNNNNNNNNNNNNNNNNNNNNNNNNNNNNNNNNNNNNNNNNNNNNNNNNNNNNNNNNNNNNNNNNNNNNNNNNNNNNNNNNNNNNNNNNNNNNNNNNNNNNNNNNNNNNNNNNNNNNNNNNNNNNNNNNNNNNNNNNNNNNNNNNNNNNNNNNNNNNNNNNNNNNNNNNNNNNNNNNNNNNNNNNNNNNNNNNNNNNNNNNNNNNNNNNNNNNNNNNNNNNNNNNNNNNNNNNNNNNNNNNNNNNNNNNNNNNNNNNNNNNNNNNNNNNNNNNNNNNNNNNNNNNNNNNNNNNNNNNNNNNNNNNNNNNNNNNNNNNNNNNNNNNNNNNNNNNNNNNNNNNNNNNNNNNNNNNNNNNNNNNNNNNNNNNNNNNNNNNNNNNNNNNNNNNNNNNNNNNNNNNNNNNNNNNNNNNNNNNNNNNNNNNNNNNNNNNNNNNNNNNNNNNNNNNNNNNNNNNNNNNNNNNNNNNNNNNNNNNNNNNNNNNNNNNNNNNNNNNNNNNNNNNNNNNNNNNNNNNNNNNNNNNNNNNNNNNNNNNNNNNNNNNNNNNNNNNNNNNNNNNNNNNNNNNNNNNNNNNNNNNNNNNNNNNNNNNNNNNNNNNNNNNNNNNNNNNNNNNNNNNNNNNNNNNNNNNNNNNNNNNNNNNNNNNNNNNNNNNNNNNNNNNNNNNNNNNNNNNNNNNNNNNNNNNNNNNNNNNNNNNNNNNNNNGCUCUUCNNNNNNNNNNNNNNNNNNNNNNNNNNNNNNNNNNNNNNNNNNNNNNNNNNNNNNNNNNNNNNNNNNNNNNNNNNNNNNNNNNNNNNNNNNNNNNNNNNNNNNNNNNNNNNNNNNNNNNNNNNNNNNNNNNNNNNNNNNNNNNNNNNNNNNNNNNNNNNNNNNNNNNNNNNNNNNNNNNNNNNNNNNNNNNNNNNNNNNNNNNNNNNNNNNNNNNNNNNNNNNNNNNNNNNNNNNNNNNNNNNNNNNNNNNNNNNNNNNNNNNNNNNNNNNNNNNNNNNNNNNNNNNNNNNNNNNNNNNNNNNNNNNNNNNNNNNNNNNNNNNNNNNNNNNNNNNNNNNNNNNNNNNNNNNNNNNNNNNNNNNNNNNNNNNNNNNNNNNNNNNNNNNNNNNNNNNNNNNNNNNNNNNNNNNNNNNNNNNNNNNNNNNNNNNNNNNNNNNNNNNNNNNNNNNNNNNNNNNNNNNNNNNNNNNNNNNNNNNNNNNNNNNNNNNNNNNNNNNNNNNNNNNNNNNNNNNNNNNNNNNNNNNNNNNNNNNNNNNNNNNNNNNNNNNNNNNNNNNNNNNNNNNNNNNNNNNNNNNNNNNNNNNNNNNNNNNNNNNNNNNNNNNNNNNNNNNNNNNNNNNNNNNNNNNNNNNNNNNNNNNNNNNNNNNNNNNNNNNNNNNNNNNNNNNNNNNNNNNNNNNNNNNNNNNNNNNNNNNNNNNNNNNNNNNNNNNNNNNNNNNNNNNNNNNNNNNNNNNNNNNNNNNNNNNNNNNNNNNNNNNNNNNNNNNNNNNNNNNNNNNNNNNNNNNNNNNNNNNNNNNNNNNNNNNNNNNNNNNNNNNNNNNNNNNNNNNNNNNNNNNNNNNNNNNNNNNNNNNNNNNNNNNNNNNNNNNNNNNNNNNNNNNNNNNNNNNNNNNNNNNNNNNNNNNNNNNNNNNNNNNNNNNNNNNNNNNNNNNNNNNNNNNNNNNNNNNNNNNNNNNNNNNNNNNNNNNNNNNNNNNNNNNNNNNNNNNNNNNNNNNNNNNNNNNNNNNNNNNNNNNNNNNNNNNNNNNNNNNNNNNNNNNNNNNNNNNNNNNNNNNNNNNNNNNNNNNNNNNNNNNNNNNNNNNNNNNNNNNNNNNNNNNNNNNNNNNNNNNNNNNNNNNNNNNNNNNNNNNNNNNNNNNNNNNNNNNNNNNNNNNNNNNNNNNNNNNNNNNNNNNNNNNNNNNNNNNNNNNNNNNNNNNNNNNNNNNNNNNNNNNNNNNNNNNNNNNNNNNNNNNNNNNNNNNNNNNNNNNNNNNNNNNNNNNNNNNNNNNNNNNNNNNNNNNNNNNNNNNNNNNNNNNNNNNNNNNNNNNNNNNNNNNNNNNNNNNNNNNNNNNNNNNNNNNNNNNNNNNNNNNNNNNNNNNNNNNNNNNNNNNNNNNNNNNNNNNNNNNNNNNNNNNNNNNNNNNNNNNNNNNNNNNNNNNNNNNNNNNNNNNNNNNNNNNNNNNNNNNNNNNNNNNNNNNNNNNNNNNNNNNNNNNNNNNNNNNNNNNNNNNNNNNNNNNNNNNNNNNNNNNNNNNNNNNNNNNNNNNNNNNNNNNNNNNNNNNNNNNNNNNNNNNNNNNNNNNNNNNNNNNNNNNNNNNNNNNNNNNNNNNNNNNNNNNNNNNNNNNNNNNNNNNNNNNNNNNNNNNNNNNNNNNNNNNNNNNNNNNNNNNNNNNNNNNNNNNNNNNNNNNNNNNNNNNNNNNNNNNNNNNNNNNNNNNNNNNNNNNNNNNNNNNNNNNNNNNNNNNNNNNNNNNNNNNNNNNNNNNNNNNNNNNNNNNNNNNNNNNNNNNNNNNNNNNNNNNNNNNNNNNNNNNNNNNNNNNNNNNNNNNNNNNNNNNNNNNNNNNNNNNNNNNNNNNNNNNNNNNNNNNNNNNNNNNNNNNNNNNNNNNNNNNNNNNNNNNNNNNNNNNNNNNNNNNNNNNNNNNNNNNNNNNNNNNNNNNNNNNNNNNNNNNNNNNNNNNNNNNNNNNNNNNNNNNNNNNNNNNNNNNNNNNNNNNNNNNNNNNNNNNNNNNNNNNNNNNNNNNNNNNNNNNNNNNNNNNNNNNNNNNNNNNNNNNNNNNNNNNNNNNNNNNNNNNNNNNNNNNNNNNNNNNNNNNNNNNNNNNNNNNNNNNNNNNNNNNNNNNNNNNNNNNNNNNNNNNNNNNNNNNNNNNNNNNNNNNNNNNNNNNNNNNNNNNNNNNNNNNNNNNNNNNNNNNNNNNNNNNNNNNNNNNNNNNNNNNNNNNNNNNNNNNNNNNNNNNNNNNNNNNNNNNNNNNNNNNNNNNNNNNNNNNNNNNNNNNNNNNNNNNNNNNNNNNNNNNNNNNNNNNNNNNNNNNNNNNNNNNNNNNNNNNNNNNNNNNNNNNNNNNNNNNNNNNNNNNNNNNNNNNNNNNNNNNNNNNNNNNNNNNNNNNNNNNNNNNNNNNNNNNNNNNNNNNNNNNNNNNNNNNNNNNNNNNNNNNNNNNNNNNNNNNNNNNNNNNNNNNNNNNNNNNNNNNNNNNNNNNNNNNNNNNNNNNNNNNNNNNNNNNNNNNNNNNNNNNNNNNNNNNNNNNNNNNNNNNNNNNNNNNNNNNNNNNNNNNNNNNNNNNNNNNNNNNNNNNNNNNNNNNNNNNNNNNNNNNNNNNNNNNNNNNNNNNNNNNNNNNNNNNNNNNNNNNNNNNNNNNNNNNNNNNNNNNNNNNNNNNNNNNNNNNNNNNNNNNNNNNNNNNNNNNNNNNNNNNNNNNNNNNNNNNNNNNNNNNNNNNNNNNNNNNNNNNNNNNNNNNNNNNNNNNNNNNNNNNNNNNNNNNNNNNNNNNNNNNNNNNNNNNNNNNNNNNNNNNNNNNNNNNNNNNNNNNNNNNNNNNNNNNNNNNNNNNNNNNNNNNNNNNNNNNNNNNNNNNNNNNNNNNNNNNNNNNNNNNNNNNNNNNNNNNNNNNNNNNNNNNNNNNNNNNNNNNNNNNNNNNNNNNNNNNNNNNNNNNNNNNNNNNNNNNNNNNNNNNNNNNNNNNNNNNNNNNNNNNNNNNNNNNNNNNNNNNNNNNNNNNNNNNNNNNNNNNNNNNNNNNNNNNNNNNNNNNNNNNNNNNNNNNNNNNNNNNNNNNNNNNNNNNNNNNNNNNNNNNNNNNNNNNNNNNNNNNNNNNNNNNNNNNNNNNNNNNNNNNNNNNNNNNNNNNNNNNNNNNNNNNNNNNNNNNNNNNNNNNNNNNNNNNNNNNNNNNNNNNNNNNNNNNNNNNNNNNNNNNNNNNNNNNNNNNNNNNNNNNNNNNNNNNNNNNNNNNNNNNNNNNNNNNNNNNNNNNNNNNNNNNNNNNNNNNNNNNNNNNNNNNNNNNNNNNNNNNNNNNNNNNNNNNNNNNNNNNNNNNNNNNNNNNNNNNNNNNNNNNNNNNNNNNNNNNNNNNNNNNNNNNNNNNNNNNNNNNNNNNNNNNNNNNNNNNNNNNNNNNNNNNNNNNNNNNNNNNNNNNNNNNNNNNNNNNNNNNNNNNNNNNNNNNNNNNNNNNNNNNNNNNNNNNNNNNNNNNNNNNNNNNNNNNNNNNNNNNNNNNNNNNNNNNNNNNNNNNNNNNNNNNNNNNNNNNNNNNNNNNNNNNNNNNNNNNNNNNNNNNNNNNNNNNNNNNNNNNNNNNNNNNNNNNNNNNNNNNNNNNNNNNNNNNNNNNNNNNNNNNNNNNNNNNNNNNNNNNNNNNNNNNNNNNNNNNNNNNNNNNNNNNNNNNNNNNNNNNNNNNNNNNNNNNNNNNNNNNNNNNNNNNNNNNNNNNNNNNNNNNNNNNNNNNNNNNNNNNNNNNNNNNNNNNNNNNNNNNNNNNNNNNNNNNNNNNNNNNNNNNNNNNNNNNNNNNNNNNNNNNNNNNNNNNNNNNNNNNNNNNNNNNNNNNNNNNNNNNNNNNNNNNNNNNNNNNNNNNNNNNNNNNNNNNNNNNNNNNNNNNNNNNNNNNNNNNNNNNNNNNNNNNNNNNNNNNNNNNNNNNNNNNNNNNNNNNNNNNNNNNNNNNNNNNNNNNNNNNNNNNNNNNNNNNNNNNNNNNNNNNNNNNNNNNNNNNNNNNNNNNNNNNNNNNNNNNNNNNNNNNNNNNNNNNNNNNNNNNNNNNNNNNNNNNNNNNNNNNNNNNNNNNNNNNNNNNNNNNNNNNNNNNNNNNNNNNNNNNNNNNCAACUUGGCGGGUUCUAGCAAAUAGGCGUUGGGCCAUAUUAGACACAGAAGCUGCACACUGAACACUAAGAGCCAGAGAAUCCUUAACAGCCAACUCAUCAGACCGUUUGGAAAGUAGUCUGUUAUCUCUGGGAGUGAGAAGGUUCCUGGCCACCACCGCAGCAGUCAUAUCAUUCUUCAUCACAGAAUCCCCAACGGUAAGAGGACCAGUAGAAGAUAUGAAGGAUGGACGCCAUAUGUUGUCUGGAGAAGGCGUGGCUGCCUCUUCUCCAAGGUUCAAGUCAAAACGACGGUCGGAGGGGCCAGACAUUUUCAAAGGUGUUGAAGAGAGAAGAGGUCAGACAAAUCAAGAUCUUAGAAGUGCAAGAAGGGAGCUUCUACUGGUGGAGAUUCAGGUGUGCUGUGGAACUUAAUGCCAGCCUCUAUAAAAAUCUGCCCUCGACGGAGCUUCAGAAAUCGAAGAGGCGUUUGCUUUCUCAAAAGCUGGGCUGCUCAGAGACCACGAGGGCUGAUCUCAAAAAUCGAAGAGGCGCUUCCUUUCUCAAAAGCUGGGCUGCUCAGAGACCACGAUGGCCGAUCUCAGAAAUCGAAGAAGCACCUGCUUUUUCAGCCUCAUCAGCACCUGUCACAUGCACACUCAGCUUUGCGGAAAUUACGGGCAAUCUGUCGAAGAUUUCUGGUGAAAUAGAAAGCACGUGAAUCUUACUGUUCAAUCACCACUCUCCACACGCACCAUCACUCCUCGGGGUACCACAUAUAACUUUGCCAAAGAUCUCUGACAAAGUUUAGGCACGAGAAUUUCGAAGUUCCAGCUACCCUACUAUUACCCACAAGGGUAAAGGAACAGCACCACUGCUUGACAACUGGAAAGUCCCUAUGUGUGUCGACCUCCGUGUUCUGCGGCAAGACAGGCUGGCAAGAACGUCCAACCUUUACUCACAUUCGAGAAAAGACUCCCAACAUAAUUACUUUCUCAAAAACCGAAACAGCACCGCUUUCUGAAUCUCGAGAGCCAGAUCCUCGACGGGAUUGCUUGUUCGAAAACCGAAGAGGCACAGCUCUCAGAACUUCGAGAGCCAGAUUUCCUUAGAUAAAGCUUGUCUGUAAUCUUCACACGUAACAUCAGCUUUCCAGAUACCACAUACCACUUUUUUCAAAGUGCUCUGACAAAGUUAAAACACGUGAAGCUGGCAGCUCCCACUACAUUGUUGUGACCAAGAAAGGUAAAAGAAUAGCAUUACUACUUGUUAUUGGGAAAUCCCUAUAUACAUCGACCUCCCUCCUCAACGGACAGGCAAACCUGCAAAAAUGCUCAACCCUUUCUCGCAUUCGAGAAUGCACCCUCAACAUAACCUCUCGAAAUACUCAGCUUUAUUUCCCCCGAUAAUACCUCAAGCAAAUAAGCCACACCAAGAACAAGAGUAUCUCAUAUCAUCAGGGUCGAAAGCAAGAGUAUCCCAUAUCAUGCUUUCUCCCUGUCCUUGUCUUCGUCCUUGUCCACACCUGCAGGACAAAGAGAAAGAGAGCAGUCAGUCGGAACCUGAAAUCAAACCUCUAAUCUGGAACUGACUGCCUGAGACCUUUGCAUGGUUGCUUACUUAGCAUUGCUCUCGAGAACUCAUCCUCAACUGCUGUCAAGGUCAUGAAUUCCACCGGCACAUACCUCAUGACAGGUUGAUCAGAUAUUGGCUCUUUACACUGAAGCUGCCAAGCGUGGAUGAGUCACUAUGAAGGAAUGUUCUGAAGGACCAUUUAAAUGCAAAGGUUGCACACCACUUCUUCCAUGCAAAAGAUUGAAGCAGAAGGUUCAACGGUGAGCUGAAACAGAUCACUACAGCACGACACCUUUCCAUACCACAUUCAUUAUUCCGUCAACAGCAAAAAGUAUCCCAUAUCAUCAAGGUCGAACGUACUCUAGAUUUGAUGGACUUGUUUUGACCCUCAAAUUCUUGAGUCGGCCUUAUACUCUGAAGGGAACCAGAAAAACCCUCCAGCACAGUUCAAGAAUAAGCCUGUGGAAAGUUACUUCUUCAAAAGCAAAAGUAUCUCAUAUCAUCUCUUCUCCAUUUGCUUCUCCUUAUCCUGGCAGCUGAAUGAGAGACAGGAGGAAAGGAGAACAAUCAACCGGAAGCCAAAGUCGAACCUCCGAUCCUGGGUUGCUUGCUUGGAAGUUUGACUGCUUACCUUGUCUGUCACCUCUUUCGGCAGAUCUCCUAGCUCGGCGACUUGGGGGACUCCUACUAUAGGGUUUGUAUCGCACUUGACCAAGCCCGAAACUACAAGUAAGCUUCAAGUGAAAUUGAUACAUUACCUUGUGCAUCUUCAUCGGUUAAAGAUACCACCCAUGGAUGGAGGAAAAGUACUUCCAGAGAAGAUGCCACAUCUACAUAUGAGACAGAUAAGGCACGUGAAAAUGAUACCUCACUUCAGUACUUAGAAGUUUCGUGAUUACUCAAUGGCUUGGAUCUUGCAAGUCCCCAACCGAGGAGCUUCCCUCACUCGGGAACUUAGGGGAGCACUAUUUGUACCAUACUUAACCAAUCCCGAAACUACUGAGCACCGGUCAACGUUAUACCGUCAAGGACCCAGAAGAGCUUCCCUUCAACCAGGAGGCCAAUCACAAUGCGACACGUGUCGACAUCAGAAGCCAAUCACAGCUCGACACGUGUCAACAUCAGAAGCCAAUUACAACACGACACGUGUCAAUGUUAGAACAAAACUAGAAACUCUCUUCUAUAAAUAGGGAUCAUUCUCCCACAAUAAUCUCUAAUGUCAUUUGUACUAAACUAUUCACUAGAACUCACAAAAUGAGAGCUUGAACCUAUGUAUUUGUGUAAACCCUUCACAAUUAAUGAGAACUCCUCUACUCCGUGGACGUAGCCGAUCUGGGUGAACCACGUACAAUUAAUGAGAACUCCUCUACUUAUCUUCACUAGUGAUCGAAGCAACCAAACGAAGGUCACAAACCUGACACUUUCUGUUGUACCAAAGUCCUCACUGAUUUUGUGCAUCAACAUCAACAAAUAAAAGCUAAUUCAUUUGACAGCAGGAUUCAACGUUUAUGUGUGCAUUAUAUCUUAAAAGUAAUUCAGCAUUAUAAGGAACAACAAAACCAUUAUCAAUUUUGAUCCAUUUUUUAUGACAUAUUUUGUAUCAUCAGUGUCUAUAAAUAGGAAACCAUUGUCUUAAAAAAUUGUCUCAUUUUUAUAUGGCUUAGGAAAGUUUUUGGAACACUUAUUUUCCCACAUGCAAGGAGAAUUUUGAUUAAUAUGUCCACAUGGACCAUGAAUCAUAAAUUGGUUAACAAUUUCGUAAAGCUGAGGAUUGACAAAUUUGUUUGGCAACUCAGCAGAAAUAAUUGAAUCUAUAUCUGAUGCCAUAUAACAUUUGAAAUUUGAUUUCAAUCAUAUUAACAUAUGAGAAUGAGGCAAACAUAUUUUUUGAAAUUCAAUUGUACAAACAUCUGUUUCCAAAAAUAAUUGAAACAGACAAAAACCCAAAAAAAAAAAAAAGUUAGCAUGAUAAAGCAAAAAAAGGGAAACAAAUUUCAGAUAAGGGAAAAAAUAAGUUUUUAGAAACUUACCUGCCUCAACUUGUCCAAAGGGUUUUCUAGAUUUAAUGAAACCGAGCAUAUCAUCAAGUUUCAUUUUAAAUAUUCUAGAAAUUAUAUCAGGCCUGUCCUCAGGUUUGUAUCCCAUUUUUUUUUUUCAAUUUCUCUUAUAAUUUCUGGCCAUUUUACUUUGCAUGUAAAGGUUAUGAACAAAUCAGGAUGACCAUAUUCUCUACAAAUAGCCAUAGCAUCUUGAUAAUUAUUAAUCAUAUAUCUAGGACUUCCUGUGUAUGAAGCAGGCAACACAAUUUUUUGGCCUAACUUGUUUGCAUCAUUGUCACCUCUUGACAUUGCAUCGUAAAUUCCCUUGUAAAUUUCACUUCUUAAAUUUUUCAGAUUUUGUCUAAUAUAAUCCAACCUAUCUUCUUCAAGUGUUGCAUAGGAAUCUACCAAAUAUUGUUGAAAAAGUCUACCACAUUUUAACAGUGUAGUUAAGUAUGGAUCUCUUUCUUGAAUUUGGUAAGCUAUAUAAGUUCUCAUAGGUAUUCUUUGUCUCUUCGUUUUUGGACCGUUAUAAUUUUCAUUCCAUUGUAAAUCUGGUCUAUACUCAACUUCACCAUAUGGAAAAAGAAUAGGAUACUGAAGGGCCAUAAAUUUUGGAUUCAAUUUUGUAACACACUUUAAUCCUUUUCUUUUACAAUCUACAAUAAUAUCUCUAUUAGAGUCAGAUAAACCUAUAUCACCAAUUAUUAAACCACCUAUUUCAUCACUUGUUGGUUGAUCAUAUUGCUUGCUAUCAUUUGGUUGUCUCCCUAACAACGUAAGUUUUAAAUUGGUCAAACCAUCAGUUUCAUAUUUGUCUCUUGUUGUUUGAAAAAGUUUGACCAACUCAUUUGAUUCAUCAAACAUUUUAAUCAAGUUUUCCACAAUUUUUGAAUCAAGUUUUUUAUUUGUUCCAUCACAAUCAAAAGCUCUAAGUUGAUUCUGUAUUUCAUUAUAUAUAUCAUAAACAUAUAACUGAGCAAAUUUUGGAGACUCAUUAUCAACAGGUAAAAGAGAACCCAUCAAAUGACAAAUUUGACCACUAAUCUUAAAAAUGUAAGGACUUGAUCCGUUAUUCAUUGAGUGAUCAACUUUUGCUCCCAUUGAAGUAAAUGAAAACAUAGAAUUGUAAGCUCUAAUAUUUUCUCGAAAUGAUAAACUCUUUUACUUCCUUUUGGAUCAAGCAAGGAAUCUAAAAAAGAUGGUGUUGGCUUUGGACUUGAAAAUUUAAUUUUUCCUUGUUGACAACAAAGAGUAAAAAUGGGUUGAUUUUUUUUUUUCUAGCUUUGUUUAAGAGGCUCUUUUAACCAAAAAUAUGCACCACAAUACACGCAUUUAUAACUUUUAUCACCCAAAUCCAUAUCUUUCACAACCCCUACAAAAAAAACAUAUAUAAAAAGAAAUGUAAUCAAUACAUGGAAGUAACUUAAUCCUAAAACCAAGCCUAAAGAAAACAAUUAUUGCAAAAAAUUAAAAACAUACCGUUUCUAUUUUUUUUUUUUGGAAAAAGGCCUGACCCUUCUUCAUGAGACAACAAUUGUCAGCAUCUACGGUAUUGAACAAACUCACAACGUUUUUCCCUUUUUUAUCAAAGGUGUACAUGGUUUUUUCAAACGGGAUGAUGUCCAACAUUUCAUUAUCGUUAACAGAGUCAAUCACACAGUGGUUAGUAGAAGAUCUACCGGAGGAACAUUGAUAUUCAACUGAUGAAUAUUCGCAAAUAAAUAUGUCAAUCGCAUACAUAAUAACAUCUUCAGAAUUAUGCCUAUAACUCGCUCUACACAUUCUUUUUCGCUGGUGACCAUCGUCAACCAAUGUAUUACAUUCACUAUCAGUAACGCUUUUGUUUCGUUUUAUAGCAUCUUUUGUUUGAUCAUUUGUACAUUUUUAGACAUGAUGGAAACCAACCGUUACAACUUUUUCAUAAACAAACAACUGGACAACAGAUUAAAAAAAAUGAAAAAAAUCAAUAAAAAGAUAAGAUAUAUAUGAAAACAAUAAAGAUCACACAAAAACUAAUGACAUGUCUGAAUCAAAAGUUUCAUUUCAAUUUAACAAAAUGCAAAAGAAAACUGCAUUGUUAAAGUUUUAAUAAAUAAUUUCAGAACUUUAAAAAAGUUACCUUGAGGACAAAGCGCCUUGGAAGUUGAGGACAAAUAGCUUUAAAUCCAAAAUACUCAAGAUUUUUCAAAUUCUGUUAAAAAAAAAAAAACACAUCACCAGAAAACUCAUUACAACAAAUAAACACUUAUUUGUUCACAGGAACUAUCUAUUGUAAUAUAUGAUGAUGGUGCACGGUUGAGUGUUUAAGUUUAUUAAAUAACUGAAAGUUGGGGGUGGCUGGGUACAUGUUUUCCUUUCCUUUCGUUUUUUUUUUUUUUUUUUUUGGUGUUUAUUUAAUAUCUCCAAGUCAACGGUAGUAGUUCCUAGGAAAACAAAAGUUGAGUUAAUUAUUAAAACAAGGAAUACCAUAGUUCACCAAUGUGACAGAGAUGCACUGUGUGUGCAAGAUUAGGGAUGAGUGCGGAUGUACUUACGCUACCAAAAAAUCUAAGCAGAAUUGAUUACUGAUUUUAAUAAUUAAAAUCAGAUACAAUUUUUCAAAAAUAAAUGCAAGGUGAUGGGUAAGUUUGUCAAUGAAACGAUUUGAAGUCAUAUCUUUACAGGUAGGAGAUAGCAGAUAUUUGCAUUGCAUAUCUUAGCAGAAUGAGCAGAUAUGAAGGAAAAUUAGAUUUAUUCAAUUUCGAUAUAAAGAGAAUUAAUUAAUGCAGGAACAACGUUUGUGCACAUUGAGAAUCAAAUUAACUAAUUAACUUACUAACCCGUAUUGUAAAUUUCACACCUAUACUCAAAACAAAUUUUGUAACCAAUGUCCCAAAAAAGAGGCAAAAGGAAAGAAAAAAAGCCUUUGUAUGGUAUACUACGGCGUUAUCUGUGUAACCGAACUCAACCCAGCAACCUUCUUGUAUACUUGGAAAUUUGUUACAGAUGUUAUGGCUGCAGAAGAAAAUAUAUCUUUCAGCAUUAAUAUCAUUAAGACUUAAGUAUAAUACCAUAGUUCACCAAUGUGACAGAGACACUGUGUGUGGAAGAUUAAUGAUGAGUAUGGAAGUAAUAAUGCUAUCAAGAAAUUUAUGCAGAAUUGAUUACUAACUUUAACAAUUAAAAUCAGAUACAACUUUUCAAAAAUAAACCAAGGCCAUGGGUACACUUUGUCAAUGAAACAAUUUUAAGUCAUAUGUUUACAGCUAGGAGAUCGCGGAUAUUUGCAUUGCAUAACUUAACACAAUGAGUGAAUAUGAAGGAGAAUUAGAUUUAUUCAAUUUCGAUACAAAGAUAAUUAAUUAAUGCUCCUUAGACAUCAAUUUGAUUAAGAUGUGUGCCUGUCUUCUCAGUUUUUGGCAUUAUAGAUGUGGGUGGUAUAAAUUUUUACUUAAAAAAUUGAACUCGAAAUGAAAACCUAGGUGAGAAAGCAUGGAAACAACUCUUGUGUACAAAUGACUUGUACGAAUGAAUUUUCUUGAGAUUUGAUCCCAGCUUUUUGAUAAUUGUCAGCUUUUAUAACUCAAACCAUUUCCAAUAACUAUUUGGUUAUAGGAUGAAUAAUUAAGCAUAAAAAAGUGAGUUCAUGCUUAUGAAAUUGAGAAGGCAGGCACACAUCUUAAACAAAUUGAAAAAUGAUGUCUAAGGAUUACAUAUAGCAUAUUUCAGCUAAUGAUACAACGGCCAUUGAAUUCUGUAUUGCAAAUUUGGCUAUUCAAAAGCCUCUGAAUUUAUAGACUAAAUCAGGAUCGCAUUAUUAAAUCAUAUUAUCAAAUUGGAAUACAAACAUUGAAAAAUACAUGAACUCAUGCGCAACUUUGAUUAAUCCAACAUUAAUAUCGGAUCUAUCUUGAGAGAGUACCUUCUCACAGAUCAAAAUAGUCACAUCUUACUUUCUAACUCUUUCGUAUAGGACCUCAUCCUUCUCACAGAUCUAUAUCUACUUCUAGAUAGCCUUUAGGAUUUCCCUGGCUUAGCACAAGAAUUCUAUCCUUAAAAGAACUCUCUACUGACUGGUAUAAAUACACCAUUCUAGAGUUCGUCUCUGGUUGCGCAAUCAUCGCACUCUAACUCUUUUGCCCACUGGUUAAGUCUUAUACUUGCUUAUUAACUUGACCGUCGGAGAGUCUUUGGCUAACACACACCCCUUAGGUCUUAGGCUUGCUCACGUUGUUUGCUGUUUUACAGGUUACUCAAAUUUGUGCCUCCACCAUCUGCGAUAGUGACGAAUUUGGUUCCAACAAUUGGUUUUUUCAUUGAGAUAGAACUCAUAUUCCUCUCGACUAGAUCACUCUACCCAUUGAGGCCCCUCUUAAAUGAUUGAGAUGUGACUGUGCCAUCUUCCCACAUGAAAAAGAUAUUUCCUUCAUGGAAAAUGUAUGGGAAAACAUGUUAUAGAUACAUGCGUCUAUAAAAGGGCUUCGAAGAAGUUCACGAGCCAAGGAAUAGGCAAAACUCAUUAACCUUGAGAUGCGAGUAAAGGCUAUUGAAGUUAAGGAAUGGGUAAAUGACGGAUCAGAAGUCAACAUCCUCUUUAAGGGUGUAGCUAAGAGGAUCGGCAUUCUUGGCAACAUUAACGAGGGUAAGACCAUCUUCCAAACCCUUAACGAAGCCACUGUCCAGUCGUUGGGAACGGUAAAACUAACAGUUCAAGCAGAAUCACAGUCACCUGGUGACCUUUCAUAUUAUGGUCUGCCUAAUCUUUACAAUGCCAUUCUCAGCCGAAACUGGUUGCACGAGAUGAAAGUUGCUCCAUCAACCUACCACCAGCUGCUUCGCUACCCCAUAGUGGAUGGAGUUUAUAGAGGGCGGAAUGUUUGAGAAGGCAAGGAAGCUGACAGAUACCAAAACCUUUUAACUCUGAAAUGGGGGCAGGAAGAACAUACAAAAACAAGAUAAGAGCUGGAGCCCAUCCCAGACACAAUACGACAGUUUUCCAUCCUUUAUCCGAUCAAUACACUAAGACAAGUGGAAAGCAAAAGAUUUUCCAUGGGUUUAAUACCUAGUACCAAAAUAAGGUGGUACUUCGGCUAUUGUGAUGGGAAUCUUUAUGAACGCAAAGUUUGGAAGGUAAUGUUUGUCCGAAUCAACAUUACCAGGGGGCUUCGAGCUUUGUGUUCUGCUUUAUUACUCAUUACUUCGAAGUUAACGUACUUCGGAAAAAUUGUCGGAUUAAAUCAUAUUCUACAAUUUUAAAGCAAAGGAUGGAAAGUCUCCCAAGCACUUAGUAACUUGGGUAAGAGCUAUUUAGACACAGGCAUAAAUGUCAUCCAAAACACCAUGCAUUCACAAGUAAAUUGCAACAAAAUAAGAUAUCCCAGAGUACCAUCACUAGGGAAAGGAUGUUCAAGUUAUAGAAAGGACAUGCCCUCAUCCUAGCAAAUAACAAAUUAACGCAAAACAUUGCCAACAACCUUUUUUGGCAACAACUUCCCUUUUGGCAGUAGUUAAAGGAUAUGCAAAAGUAUUGGCUGAUGGAUCACCACUGGAAGCAUAUCCUCUUAUUCGAAUGCCUCAAAGUCAGAAAUUUCACUCAGUAAAUCUUUAAGAGCAGCAAAAUCAGCAUCCCGGAUUUCUUUCAGAAUCUGGUAGUUGUCCCAACCUCCCAAAUGAUCUUGCUACGUGUAGCCAAAGAUAUACCCAAAGUUGUACCCCUCCGCAUAUUCUUUUGCGAGCACUUUCUUGUGAGAUGCACGCAGGCCCAUUAUUUCUGACUCAUGCUCAUCCUUGAGUUGUUGAAGAUCUGCAAGGUGAAUCAUCUCACGGAAAAGUCUUUCCACCUCUGAUUGGAGACUAGUCCACUCCCCUUCUUAAGCAUUCCGUUUCGAAGACAACGUUCGCAUUGAUUAGGCUUCAAGGCGCACCAAAGUUUGCUCCGCCUCAACUUUGGCUCCAACUUUUCCUGCAGUUCAGCAAGAGUUGCCUUGUAUUCAUUCGCUUUAACAUAUUCAAGAGUGGCUUCAUUUAAGAAUUUCUCUACCUCUACCUUAUGGGCUACUCUCAUAGUUUAUUGCUCUACUUGUACCCUCCUGAGCUCCGCCAAUUGAGCUUGCAAUUGUUGCUCGAGCUGCAUUUGGCCUCUAAUUCGUGCAAGAAAGACCGCUCAAGAAGAAAAAUUCACUUCGCUUGGUCGAAAAGAGUCGCCUUUGUUCAGACAUCAGCCUGACCAACACAAGUAAGGGAAAGGAAAAACAAAAUUACUAAAGUUAUUUUGUAAGAAAAGAAUGAAUGAUUACCUCAUAUCGACUUUCGUGACAUUGCAUCAUGGCAUCUUCAAAGGACGUGCGAGCUUCCUUGUAGUUUGCAGAAAAAAACUGCAGAGCCAAGAAGAGCUCAGGUAAAGUCUGCGUUUUGAAGUCUAUUAGUGUCCAUUAAGAAGGCAACGUGAUUUAUUGAAGGCUUAAUGACAAUCGAGGGCAGCACGCCCCCUUCAAUUCUGGUUAAAGUCGCCAGCAAGGGAAUGUUAGCUUCGAAAGGCACCUUGACAGGUUCGGGUAAACUCCUUGUCGCUGGAGGUGUCAGAACUGGGAUAUAAAAAGGUUUAAGGACUCGAACAUCAUUCAAAAGUGGAGGCAAGCUUGGAUUCAGGUGGUUGUUGUUGCGUUAGUUCUUGAGAUGGAAGGAAGAAAGGUUGAGAUUCUCUUAUGAGAGGAUGCGGAGCAGAAGUAUCUGGAGUUAUAUUUAUUGAAACAGUAUGACUUCUCUUUCUCCUCACAGUGGAAUUUCUUCCUUUUCUUUGGGAUUCUCUGGUACCACCUCUAUUUUUGGUAGUUCCCCUUCUUUGGGAUUCUCGGGUACCACCUCUAUUUUUGGUAGACGUAUUUGAAAAGGUGUAGCUAAUGACAUUGAGGAAGUUUUGCUGGACCAUUUUCACUUUUUUUUUGCUGGAGUGGGAGAAAUUUUGGGUUUAGGAUGAUGGGCCCCCUUAUAAACCUGUUUCACUUCGAUCCAAUUAGGAUUCAGAAUAGGGAAAAUAGAGCAAUGAUUGAUGACUAUAUUAUUCCCCUAAUCUCAAAAUCGAACUGGGGAAGUCAUCCAAUUCCAAUUAUGGUGCUUAAUAAGGAUUUGCAUUGCCUGAUUGAUCAACUCUGGUCAACACGCGCCAAUAUUCUUUAGGUCAUUGUUCAGACAAGGGUUGCGAGAAGUGAUGUUUUUAACUCUAACCCCUAAGAUGUCACCCUCUCAAUCACCAUCGACUACCCAGACAUCCUUGAACCAAUCUUUAUCUUGCCAAGGAAAAUCUAGGAUAUAUGGCGUUCAUAAUAGGCUGGGUUUUGGCAUGAAAUAGUAAAGGUCGUCAGAGGUUCUUCGCACGUUGUACAUCAUCCUGAAUUCUUGGAGCCCGAGAUCAGACCUUUACCAAUGAUUAGACAAAGCACGUGAUAAGUUUGAAGGCAGCUAGGGCCAAGUCACAUAUAGCAACGUCAUAACUGAUCAGAAUACCUUUUACAAGAUUAGACAAAGGGAAUCUUAGGCCUAGGGAUUAGACGAAGCAGGAAGAUCGACUUGAACAUUUUGCUCAGGUUCCCACCAAACCCUACAUUGGUUUAAUAGGUCUUGAUGGCUUUGAAUGAGGGCCUUGCCUUCUUCUUGACUACAUAAACUCAUCAAUGGAAGAUUGUACGGAAAGUUCUUUGAUGAUUUUGAAGUUUUGCUCGAAGAAACAGCCAUUAGAGAAGACUGAAAGGAUUUAAAAAUUUGAAUGUGUGGGUGAAAAAGUUGAAACCUUUUUCCUUGACUGAUUUGAGGAUUUUUUGAAAGAUGAAAGGAAAGAGCUUGAGGUUAUAUAGGUGGAAUGUUGCGAAGUAGUCCAGCCGUUAAAUGAAGUCCCACCUCUCUAGGGAUUAAUAAAUUCGACAAGUAUUUUUGACAUAAAUUUCUCCUUUUUCAUGCAUAUGCAACAAAGAUAAACUUCAUCAUUGGGACCUUUGGUGCGUUUGGUACGUGGGACGGGACGGGACGGAACGGGACGAGGCGUUCCGUCCCGCGUUUGGUGCGCCAAAAAUGGGUGGAACGGGUUGUUCCACAGGACAGAUUUUGGGUGUUUUUGCGUCCCACCUCCCCCCCUGGAACGGGUUUGUUCCACGUAUGUGGAACGCAAUGUUUUACCAUUUUAAGACAAAUAUACCCCAUGUCUUUUUCAAAAAUUACACCUUCAUUCCGUCCCGUUCCGUUUCGUCCCGUCCCGUUCCGUCCCGUCCCGUCCCGUCCCGUCCCGUUCCGUUCCGUCUGCGUACCAAACGCACCCUUAUGGCACAAUACUCGAGACAACACAUCUCAAUUUGGAAUGUCUCGUCGACUCUAUAAAAAGGGAUCACCUAAUGAAGAUUGAAGGCUAAACAAUCCGUAUUCCAGCUUACUUUGAAAGGCAUGGUCUUGGUCUUUGAAUAACUAUCCAUCCUCAAGGGGAACAAGUUCCUUUUAGAUACAUAUAGUUAGGGGCAAUUGGGGGACCAUGAUUUGCCAGAGCCGAAGUCGGGCUAAUCAAAAUAAAGUUACCUCAAAAGUUCGGUUAUGGUCUUAACAUGUCAAAGCGGAGCUAGAUUAACCGAGCUGUGGUGCCACCAACAUCCUGUUCCGGAGCAGUGUCCAAAGUCCAAACGAUUUCACUGAGAAUGACCAUACUUGUUCCGCAAGACACUGGGAUAUGAUCUGGUAUGGAAUCAACCAAAUCUUCUAUAUGUCUUGGAGUUCAUACAAUCUAGGAAUUGGUAUGCACCACAAGUAAUCACACUCCUAAAGAGGAUGCAAUAUCUACUUCUAGAUAUCCUCUAGGAUUCUCCCAGCUUGACACAAGGAUUCUAUCCUAAAAAUGUCUCUCUCAUGACUGGUAUAAAUAUACCCUUCUAGAGUUCGUUUCUAGCAACACAGUCGUCGCACUCUAAUUCUCUUGGCCACUGAUUGAGUCUUAUACUUGCUUACUAACUUGAUCGCCGAAAAGCCUUUGGCCGGCACACAUUCCCCCUGGGCAGUUUUAGGCUUGCUCACGAUUGUUUGUUAUUUUACAGGUUGCUCGGAUUUGUGCUUCACCAUAUGCGAUGGUGUGCGAAUUUGGUUCAAGCAACCGUGUUGACAAAAAAAGUCAACAUAGGUUCAAGAACUGGACCGAACCAUUCAGACCGUCCUGACAUAAUCGCUCCAAACUAAACCGAACUAAACCGUGACUAUAAAAAAUUUGUAAAAAUAAAAAUAACACAAUUGGCAACCUGAUUCUGACUACAACUCUAAAAUCAUCCUCCAGUGAUCGGUGUAUGUACUUUUGGAAAUUGAAUGCAUUGUUGUUAAGGCAGAUGAGUCUACAAAAUUUGUGAAAACAUAUUUUAGAUAUAAACUACUGAAAUGUGAGAAAUAAGAACCAAAUAACAGUGAAAUGAAUGAUAUAAGACUUAUAUUUCCGAACAACAAUGCAUUCGAUUUCCAAAAGUACAUUCAACGACCACUGGAUGAUGAUUUUAGAGUUGUAGUCGGAAUCAUCCUCCAUUGAUUUGAUAUAAAAACAUAUUUGAUGGGAUUUAGUAGCAAAUGUUGGAUUGUAGAAUCUAAAAACGGAUUGAGAGGCUAAAGUGUAAUUCGGAUAUUAGUACUACAGCCUAGUAGCGUACUUGUAAGUGAGAGAUCUUAGGUUUGUAUUUCAGGAAUAAGGAGUUCAUAGCGAAUUUAUUCCAUAUAUAAUUGUGCAUAUAAAAUAAUGUAAUUCGAAAAUUAAUUUAGUGACCAUGCUACAAUUAAUUAUAUCAUCAAUUUUGGAAUCCCUUUCUUGGCUUAUGUCAAAAUUCAAACAAAUUUAAACCUGUUGUAGGCCUAUUUAACUAAACUACACUAAGGUGUAGAGAGAGAGGGGGCUGGCAGUAGCAAGAGAGAGAGGAGAGAUUUAAUUGUGAGAUGUGUAUUGUAUCACCCCAUUGUGCCUUUAUUUAUAGUAGUAGGAUAGGUAAAAACUUUACCUUACUAGGAUUACAAUUUUUAUUAAGUAAUCAACUCCUAAUAGGAAUACAAGAGAUAUUCCUAGAUUCACUAGGAUUUACAAAAUCACAUUCUUAUUCUAAAUAUGACUGCAACACUCCCCCUUGAGUGUGUAAAUACUCAACAAGCCGUCGCAUCAGAUCUUCAGCAGAUAAGGUAGAAUAGUUGAUGAAGUCAGUGGCACAAUGGGUGAACGCAACUCUCAAAUUUAAGAAAGUAUCCAUUGGUAGUAAAACUCAUAAAACCUCGCUAUAGUAAAACUCAACAUGGGAGAAAAACUCAUAGACUAAGGAGAAAAGUGAGAAGUAUGCAUAAUGUCUAAAACAAACGUCACACAAGAUGAAAUUAGUGAACUCAACGGAGUAUGAUCAUCCCAGGAUAGGUGCCUCAUCAAAAUCUUGUUAGGUAGCAAUAACCCAGUAGGAAAAUGCUCUUAAUCAUAGGAAAAAGAGUUCAUUAAGGUCAAGUGAGUAUGCUUCUGGAUACUCCCCCUGAGUUAGACAUAACUUCUAAAUAAGAAAACUACAAGUGAUUCAACUCAGAUAAUUUAAGCAUAUCGAUUCCUUGGACGAGCUUCUGAAAAGUAGACUUAGGUAAUGACUUGGUGAAGAGAUCAGCCAGGUUGUCCUGGGAACGGAUUUGCUUGACUUUAAUGUUCUGAUGUUGCUGCUGCUAAUAAGAGUAGAAGAAUUUCGACACUAUGUGCUUGGUGUUGUCUCCCUUGAUGUAUCAAUUUUUAACUGCUCGAUACAUGUUGCAUUGUCUUCAAAGAUCAUCGUAGGAAGGUCAACGACGGAAGUAAAACCUCUAGAGCUUCGAAUAUGUUGCAUGGCUGCUCUCAACCAAAAGCACUCACACGAUGCUUCAUGCAGGGCGAGGAUCUCAGCAUGGUUCGAAGAAGUCGCAACUAGCGUUUGCUUGGUAGACCUCCAAGAUAUAGCGGUGUCUCCAACGGUAAAGACAUAAUUGGGAACGUGUCCUAUAUAGGUCAGACAGAUAUCCAGCAUCUGCAUAACCAACAAAGCAAGAAUCAAUCCAAGAACUGAUAGGGGCUGCAACACUCGAAGAUUCGGGGGUAUAAAACAAGCCCAAAUCCAUCGUACCCUUGAGGUAGCAAAAAAUGUCUUUAACAAUAUUCCAGUGCUUGCAUGUGUACGCAUUACCGUAUCUUGCCAAACGAUUAACAACAAAGGAAAUGUCAGGUCUAGUGCAUUAAGCCAAGUACAAUAUAGCCCCAAUUGCACUUAGGUAUUGAACUUCGAGUUCCAAAAUCUCUUCCUCAUCCUCCUUUGUAUGGAAGGGAUCUGGUUUAACAUCUAGAGUCCGAACGACCAUAGGUGUACUCGAAGGCUUUAUCCUAACAUCGCAACACCUUCUGGGUAUAGUUUGGUUGAUGUAUUAGGAUUCCAUCUGAACAAUGCUCGAUCUCCAGGCCGAGGCGAUAUCGAGUUUUCCAAAGAUCUUUCAUCUCAAAUUCCGAUUUCAAGUGUGUAGCAAUUUCUUCAAGCUCUGUGAGAGUUCCAAUGAGGUUCAUGUCAUCGAUAUAAACUGCAACGAUUGCAAAUCUAGAAUGUGGUUUCUUUAUGAACAUGCAUGGGCAUAAUUCGUUGUUCACAUAACCCUGACUUAUCAAAUAUUCACUCAGACAGUUAUACCACAUCCGCCCGGAUUGUUUUUGAAUCCUUAGAGUGACAUCCUCAUUCUAAUAGAGAAAGUGUUCCGUGGUUUAGAACUAUUUGAACCAGUCAAUGGAAGUCCUUCUAGAACUUUCAUGUAUAUUUCUGUAUCUAAAUCCCCAUAGGAUACGCGGUUACCACGUUCAUAAGCUGCAUAUUCAGCUUUUCAGAAACUACCAAACUGAUAAGGUAGCGGAACAUUAUGACGUCUAUUACGGGGGAAUACGCCUCCUUGUAAUCAAUCCUAGGGCAUUGAGAGAAGCUUUGCUCUACGAGGCAUGCUUUGUAUCGCACUAUUUCAUUCUGCUCAUUACGCUUCCUCACGAAAACCCACUUGUAGCCAACGAGCUUCACAUGUGGAGGAGUAGGAGCUACGAGCCCAAACACCUUAUGUUUUGCAAGUGAAUCAAGUUUGACCUAGAUUGCUUGUUUCCAGUUUGACAAAUUUGUUCUACAUCGGCAUUCAUCAACAGAACGUGGUUGCAUGUCAUCACUAAGCAUGAUGUCAGUAGCUACUAAGUACGCGAAUGCAUCGUCGAUGAUCAUCUCAUUCUUAUUCCAAACCUCAUCCAAUACUGCGUGGUGGACCAAAAUCUCACGAUUCUCAAGAAACCAGUUUAUCUCAUCUAAGACAUCACCGUAAUCUAGAAUAACCUUCAUGCGUUGGAACGGAUGAGUGAGUGAUGGUCAGAUUCAAACUGGGGUCACUAGUUGGUGCUGAUUUCCUCUUUCGGGUUUGUGAAUCCUUUGAACCAAGGGGUCUACCACGCUUCAGGAUUGGAGCAUAUGAUUGGCUAGCUGCCAAUGUACUAGGCCACGUGGAAGGUACAGCCUCCCCACCAUCGGGGACGGUCCGGCCUUCCCAGGCAGGAUAGUGACGUAUAUGGGAUACGUAUAUCCUUGCAGGUGCGUUUGCAGCGGGUAUAUGUGAUAUUGUCACCUUUGCUAGAUUGGUAAAAGCAUCUAGUAUGCUCUAAGCAAUGCUCUGAAGAUCUAUAAUUUGGCGCACCUCAGUUUCAAACUGAGCAGUGCGGGGUUCUAAAUAAGACAUAGUGGGAGCAUACCAUGACAAUUCGUGGCAUUCUCCAGGAACAUUAGCAUGUUUAUCUCCUCCUAACGACAGGAAAACUGUCUCAUCAAAGUGACAAUUUGCAAAAUGUGCAGUAAAGAGUUCUUCUGUUAAGGGUUCUAAAUAGUGAACAAUUGAUGGCGAAUCAUAAUCGACAUAGAUUCUCAUUUUUCUCUGAGGACCCAUUUUGGUACGUAGUGGCGGCGUUAUUGGCACAUAAAUAGCGCACCCAAACACCCGUAAAUGAGAGACGUCAGGCUCGUAUCCAAUGACCAACUGUAAUGGUGAAUGUGGUUGGGUAGCGGUGGGCCUCAGGCGGACCAACAUAGCUGCGUGCAAUAUUGCAUAGCCCUUGGCAGAUACCGAUAGUUUGAUUCACAUAACCAAAGUCUGAACUAUUAACUGAAGGUGCUUUAUGAAAGCAUUUGCCAGGUCGUUUUGGGUGUGAACAUAGGGUACAUGAUGUUCCACAUCAAUCCCUACUAACAUGCAAUAAUCGUCAAAAGUUUGUGAUGUAAACUUUCCAGCAUUAUCCAGUCGAAUCGACUUAAUCAGAUAAUUAGGAUGGUAAGUGUGAAAUCCCGUUCCUGGAUUUCACUGUUAUCACCUACAUAUUUGUAUUAUUGAGAUUUUAUAUUAUUUCUCGAUAAUUUAUUUUAAUUUGUUGAAUUUAAAUUUUAAUUAAAUUAGUUAUUAACGUUUGAAGUUUGGGGCAUUUUAAAAAUAAAUAGAAAAAUCUAGAAUUCUCUUAUCAAAUAUGGUGUGCCACAUGGGUGGCCCAGAUUUAAUGAAAAGGAAAAUGGAUGGUGGAGAUGCAAAGGAAAGGACUUGAGAGAGGAGUGGAGAGCAUGGGCACUGCCCAAUUAGAAAUUAAGAAAAGAGGGAAAUGAGAGAAGAAAAAAAUGAGGGAAGAAAAGGAAGAAACGGGUUUGUACGACCCGUGGGUAUUGCCGGCCACCCAUCUCCAUUUUCCGACGAAUUUCUUCAAACAACCACUUGGAAACACUCUCUUGACCUUCCCUCUACAUGUUUCACCCUAAAAAUCAAAGGUUUUGGACUUGAAUUAGGGAGAAACCGCAUUAAGGGUGCGGCGGGUGUGUGUGUCAAAUCUCCCAAAUCCCAAAUGUUUACACACAAUGACCAAUCAAAAGACUUCCCUUAAGCCCCUGAACAAAGCCCAGGCAGUGGUGGAGGCGUCGGAGCAAGUUUGGAGGUCGAAUUGGAGCACACCCAAUUCUAGGGUUCUUACGGGUUUUAGAGAAAUUGGAGCACUUCUUGAUAAAAUUGGCCUUGGUCACAGGUAUAAAUUUUACUCUACUCAUUGAGAUCUUCAUUUCUGUAAUUUUUGGUAAUUUUUAAAAAUAGUUGAAUUUUCCGGCAAAUCGGGGCGGCCGACCGCCACCCGCGGCGGCGACCCGGCCAGCAGGCCGACGAUGUCCUUUUAAGUUCAAUUAGAUGCCUUGAUUUCAUAACUGACAUCCUUAUGAUAUAGUUUGAUUGUUUGAACCUAAUUUCAUUACGAUAUGUGGUUAGGUCAAAAUGUGAUUCGACGAUCCGACCGUUGGAUCGUCAGCAAACUUUAAUGCGUCAUAGAAUGUAAUAUUUGAGGAUGGUUUGAAUUGAUGGAUUGGGAAUCCGAUGUACUGAUCUUCCUAAUUUGGAUUUCUAAGUUUGUAAAAUCAAACGUUGGUCGCCACUUGAAAUUGUAAUUAGCGGGGAUCCGACCGUCGGAUCAUGAUAAAAUUUUGGUAGGUUGUUUUAGAAGUAUAAUGUGGACUUUAGAAGGUUACGGAUCUGAAAUCCAAUGUGCGGAUCUUCCAUAUUGAAUUGUGUAGAAUUGUGGAUCCUACCUUUGACCGAGAGUUGACUUUUUGUCAACAUGUCUCCAAACGUUCUUAAUGCUAAAUUUAGUACUACGAGAGACUUAAGUGAAGUCUAGUGGACCUCCAUUGGUCGGAGAGUGACUUGAAUAUUUGUGAUACGGUUAUUACUUUAAUCAUUUAUGUUAAAAUCAUUUAUGAAUAUGAAUUCGUCUUAUAAAUAUGAUUUCUAUUGAAAUGUGAUUUUCAUAUAUUUAGCCAUAGACUUAUGUUUAUUAAACAUGAUGUGGCUUGUGUACUGAUGAUAAUGGUGAAUAUGUGUGUUUAAUUAUUUCUAGUAAUGCAAAGGAUAAGUAUGAUAGAUUUUAUGGCAAUGUGAUCUUAGAAUCCUAUUAGAAGUAUUUUGUAGAACUUAUAUGCUUGUGAGACCUAUUAGGUGGUGGUCAUGAGAAGUGGAUAUGGUAGGUGACUACGUUGUAAGUAUAGAGGGGAUGAGGGUUAGAUAUACUUGGUACAUUCAGUGGGUACCAUAUCCACAUGGAUUCCGUUGAGUGAUGUUCCGGAAUCAUAUCGUUGUUUGGAUUCUGUUGAUGAUGUUCCGGAAUCGUAUCGUUGUUUGGAUUCCGUUGAGUGAUGUUUCAAAAUCGCAUCGUUGGUUGGAUUUCGUUGAGUGAUGUUCCGGAAUCGUAUAGUUGUUUGGAUUUCGUUGAGUGAUGUUCCGGAAUCUUUGGAUUCCGUUGAGUGAUGUUCCGAAAUCGCAUCGUUGGUUGGAUUCCGUUGAGUGAUGUUCCGGAAUCGUAUCGUUGGUUGGAUUCCUUUGAGUGAUGUUCCGGAAUCGUAACUUUAAUAUGUGUGAUAUUGGUGAUUACCUAUGUUUCAUAAUUAUGACCCUCUGCAGAUAUAAAUUGGUUUUAUGAAUAUGUUUUCUAUUGAAUUGUCAUUUCCAAUACUUAGACAUCGAUUCAUGUUAUGAAAUGGGGUUUGGCGUGUAUAUUUGAAUUAUGGUUUGAUUUGUAUGAUUGGCAUGUUGUGACGAAAUGUGAGGACUAGUAAUGGACUGUUAACCAUUGUGAUGGAGAUUGGUUGCUUCGAUAUUGUUUGAUUUUCCGCUUUGUUGAUCAGUUCUAAAUUUGGUACUUGUGCUUAAUUUCCCUUUGUUGAGCUUUUGUAAAUUAAGUAACUUGUGUUUGUCUCAGUUAUUUGAGACGUCGUACAUUAUGGUUGUUAGCCUUUCGUGAUUCCGUUGAGUGAUGAUCCGGGAUCGUAUUCACCUUGGGUUUUAUUGAGUUUAGAUUGUCAUAACUUCAUAGAUGUAGGCUUCAGUCGAACUGUGUCGCUCUAGCUCAGCAUUCCGAUGAAUUGUAUGUGUUAUUGAUGAUAUGGUUAUUGGCAUUAUUGAUUGAUGUGAUAAUUGGAUGGUGUUGGAAUGCAUAUGUGAGGGUGAAUGACAUUAUGACUAGAGAUUAUUAUUGUGCUUAUUUAAAUGUUCCUUGAGGUGCCACAUAAUUGAAUUGUGGUAUUAUGUUGAGACCUAGUAGUCUAUGUGAUAAAUGUUCGAGAGUAAUGAAAUGGUGAACUACGAAUGGCUUGAUCCCUAUUGAGGGUACGUAGGCAGUCUAAUGAGAAUGUUAGAUGCAGCCAUAAAGCUAGAAAAGAAAAAAAAUUAUUGUGAAAUUUGGACCUUGAGUGGCCUUCUUUCAUAUCCUGGAGGCAGGGUAUGUUAGAAGUUCGAGUUUUCAGUAACAUCACGUGUCGAUCCUGGGCGUAGGUCAGGAUCGGGGCGUGACAGUAAGCCCUUACCUUAAUAAUUUGUGCUAGGUGUUUAGCAAAUGCAGCAUUGCGUGUGGACAAUAGGCAAACAUGUGACCAUCGUGUCGAUGCAUCAACCAACACCAUAAAAUAUCGAAAUGGUCCGCAUGUUGGUUGGAUAGGUCCACAAAUAUCCCCUUGAAUCAUCUGAAGAAACUUAGGAGGGGGUCAUGAAGAAACAUAAGGAGGUAACUGAUGCCCAUGUGAUGAUUUGAGGAUACAACGCAUCAUGUCAUGUCCAGGAUGUACUAAACUAUCAUGCCAAAGUAGCAAAAUGUUCUGGAACUCAGGCAUAGGGUCGGCCAUAUGAUGAGCUUCUAUGCCACGAAUGGUUGUGAUGUACAACCCAUUCGGGAGACGUUCCAACUUCUCAUGAAUACGUUUUUGGGCCAUAUUCGUAAGAAGUGAUACAAAGAAAUUCAGAAUCAUUAUCUUCAGUGGUUUCAAUAUGAUAUUGAUUAUCUCAAAUAUCUCUAAAGCUUAGCAACGUUCUUCCGAAACAUGGAGAAUAAAGUGCCUCCUUAAUGGUUAAGAUUGUACCAUUGGACAACAUGAUACAGGCUUUUCUGUAUCCUUCAAUCAGGUUGGAUGGGCCUGAUAGAGUUGUCAUCAGAGCAUUCUUGGGUAUUAAGUUAGUAAAUAAUGUCACUCACGCAAGAUGGUGUGCAUGUUAGCAUUAUCAGCCAGACAAUUAACUUCCCCACUAGACAUACCUAGAAAGAAUUUAAUUGAAUUGGUCACAUGUAUAAAUGUAAGUCCAUUCAUUAAAAUAAGCAAUUCGAGAAAAUAAUAUCCAUCAAAUAACAAUCCAUAAUUCAAAACAAACCAAAACCAAACAAAUUAUUCCAAAUACUUAGAAAAAUUGUUCAAAAUUAAACCAUGAACCUAGAAAAAUAGGGGGGAGGGUUCGGCCACUCCUAGUGAGUUUGGCCACUAGGGGUAAAACACCCUAAAACAUGUCUAAAAUUCAUUCUUCCAUCGGAGCUGAUGCCUCCUGAAAAUCCAAUAUCUCCAUUGAUGUAAUAGUAUCUUCCGAAUGUUCCACAUAUGCAAAGUUAGACUCACGACGGGAAUGAUACUUGGCAAUAGCCUUGGGGGUAGCUCGGCAUACGCAUGACCAAUGAUCCUUUGGUCCACAGCGGUAGCACAUGUCCAUUUCAGUGGAAGCAGACUGAACGGGAGCUUUGCCCUUGUUCUUGAAGUUUGGGGCCUUAGGGGCAACAGGUGGAUGCUGCUAGGUCGGAUUUCCUCCCUUAGGGCCGACACUCUAUUGACUUUAGGCCCGUUGUUGGGCUUACCGCCUAUUAUCAUAGCCACGACAAUUCUUUCGUCGUUUGUGGCUGCUAGAAUUUCUCGUAUGUACUUCAAGCGAGGUGUUUAAGCUAGUCGGUCAGGCUUGAUGAUUCUUCAUCAAAAGUUGGUUCUACUUUCAACAAGAAGUAGUACAGAGAUCAAAUCCAAAAAUUUGGUGAAUUUAUGUGCCCUAUAUUGUUACUGCAGGACAAUAUUGGUUGCAUGGAAGGUCGAAUAGGUCUUCUCUAUAAGAGAUCUGAUUCGAUUAGUUCCACUUUACAGAACUUUAGAAGUGAUCGGAUUCUACAAACUUCAUAGUUGUUUCAUUCAUGGACUUAAAGUCUUGGAAGCAAAGAUGUCGCCAAACGUGUCUUGCUUCAGGCAAGUAGAGGUCUUUCUAGUGAUCAAAACGGUUGGCCAGAACAAGCUAGAAGGUGUGUGGGUCCUCCUUAAUGAGGUACUCGGUCUACAGUGCAUCAUGGAUGUGUCUUCGAAUGAAGAUCAUUGCAGUAGCUUUUUCAUCUUUGUCGAUGGGUUCAUCAUCAAUUGGUUCCUCGAUAGCGGCUCGAAAACUCUUUGCAGUUAGAUGGAGCUUCACAUCUUGAACCCACCUCAGGUAGUUUCUUCCAGAUACUUCCAGAGCGGUGAAAUCAAGCUUUUUUAAGUUCGACAUGUCCCUAAAACAAAGGGUACAGAAAAAACGUGAUUAGUCAUAUGGUGAUCCAUAGACAUAUAUCGUAGAACAUUCAGGUUCUAUAGACAUGUAUUGGUUUAAUUUAUGCAUGAAAGUUAUAGGUUUCAUGUGGUAAGUUUUGAAUGAAAACUUCAGGUUUCAAAGGCACUAAAUAUGAAACUACAGGUUCAAUUUAGUUUUAUGAACGAUUAGUUCAUGAGUGAAAGGUUUCUGCAAGAAACACAGAAUGCAAUAUGUUGAUUUAAGUAUAGUGGAUUUGAGUUUCUUCGGGAACUCAAGUGUGAGAGCUUCGUUACUACGAAAGUAUGCCAACGGUUCAAAGUAUAAAAAUAAAUUAUUAAAUUGUUAAUGUCCAAAAGUGAUCUUUAGGUCAAUAAUUUUGGAUUCAUUAUCAUAUUAAUGGACUGCAUGUCACUUUUAAUUAAUGCAAUAGAUCGGGACUAAACGGGGUCGAUCGUGGACGCAAAAUUAUUUGGGAAAAUGCCUUGCAGGUUCGGCUGCAAGCAUGUUGGGCCUCGAUGAGGCCAACAAGCCUCAGGCUGAAAGGCUUUGGGGAGCCCAAUAGCCAAGGCUGUUGGCUUUAGGUCGAAAAACAUAGCCCAAAAAUUUGGGCUUGGGUUGGCUGCAGAAGGGCAACCCACUGGUGGCUGUAGGCCACGAGCCGAGAGGGGACACAGGUGCAGGCCUAGCGGAUUGCUGGCCUUGGGUUCAAGUAGGGAACCCAGUCGAGGCUGGGUCCGGGUAGGGGCAAGCUUCAACCCAGUGCACAAGGCUGCGGGAAGCGGGGCAGGGCUCAGGACAAAGCCUAGCAGCCUUUUGCUGCUUGCAGUUUUGGGCUGAGAAUAGAGGGAAAAAUCCAGGGAAGGCUACAAGCUUCCGUUUGGAGGUAGGUUAGGCAUAAGGCCCGAGUUAAGCUAGCCAGGCUGAGGCCUGGUGUGUCCAUGUGCUCGCAACAAAGCCUAGAGGGCUGCUGCCAAGGUCCAAACGUCAAAACGACGUCAUCCUGGUGGCGUGCUCCACACGGCUGAGCUUCAGGUCAAUGGUGGUAGUGUGGCGGAGCCACGGUGGUAGUGUGGCGGCUGUGCCGCAUGUUCCCAAUAUAUAUUUUUUUACAUCCAUAAGGUUUGAAAAACCCUAUAUUGCUUCUAAUUUAUUUAUAUAUUUUGACUCACAAUUCCACAUUGCAAUUUAAUUGGUUAAUGCAUGAAACAUAUAUAUAUGUAUAUUGAAAAAAAUAUGAAACAUAUACAAUAUAUAUAUAUAUAUAUAUAUAUAUAUCGGAAGGAAAAUAUAACCAUAGAGGGGUUCAUACAUCAUGGGGAGUGUUUUCAUGCAUCGUGGACGUUUCAAAUAUCUUCCUUUAUUUUAAGCAUACCUGAUUUGCAGAAAACUAAUAAGAGCCUUUGAAUUUUGUGGAAGAUAGCCUUCUCCUACAAUCCGUCAGUUCCUCAGCUUCUGGCAAGAGCUUGUUGAUAACGUGUUGUAGGUCUAUUUAACUGAACUAUACUAAGGGGUAGAGAGAGAGGGGCUGGCGGUAGCGAGAGAAAGAUGAGAGAUUUAAUUGUGAGGUGUGUGUUGUAUCACCUCAUUGUGGCUUUAUUUAUAGUAGUAGGAUAGGUAAAAACCUUACCCUAUUAAGAUUACAACUCUUAAUAAGUAAUCAACUCCUAAUAAGAAUACAAGAAAUAUUCCUAGAUUCACUAGGAUUUACACAAUCACAUUCCUAGCUAUUCUAAAUAUGACUAUAAACACGGAAAUUCCUGAGAUGAAUGAGACAAGAACACGUGUAUAAAAUAAUAUUUUUGUAUUAAUGAUUUUGGGGUUACAAUCUCUCAGAUUUAAUCCUCUGAUUCGAUCUCUAUAAGGUGUUGAUUUGUGGAUGGGCUGCUGAUCCAAAGGGUCAUCGGGGCUUGAUCUUUAGGAUGAGCAGUGGUGUAUGGAUCUUCAAGGGCUUUUGUGCUUGAUCUUGAAGAACAGUGGUUGAAUUUAUUAAUGUUGUUGAUCCAAAGGGCCGUCAAGGGCUUGAUCUUAGGAUGAACGGUGAUGAACGAUGAACACUUUCUUCAAGGGCAGUCGGGGUUGGAUCUUAAAUUGGUGGAAGUUCUUCAAGGGUCAUUGGGGCUUGAUCUUGAAGGAGGAUUUGACGAAGAAUGGAGAGAGCUUUCUUGAUCCUUCGGGAUUUGCUUGGAAGAUUUGGAGUUUCAAAGCUUCAAGGUUUUGGUGUGAUGUGAAUUGGUUAUGAAUUGGUCUCUAAAAUGAAUGCCUUGGCUUCCUAUUUAUAGAAUUCCAAAACUUUAAUUUUUGGAUUUAAAUGAUCAUUUGAAAUAAAUCAUUUCUGCCAAAUGUUGACACAUGUCAUGUUUGAUGACUUUUCUGAUGAUUCUUGAUUUUUCGUUAAGUCACAUGCUAUGUGUAAAAUUUAUGUGACACGUGAACGUUGAAAUUUUAAUUAUUGAUCAACAUUUAUUUCACCGAAAUUUCGAUGUUUACGAUGACUACAGCAAAACCCUCAUUUUUUCAGAUUUUGGAAAGAAUGGCGUCAUUGAAUUCAAUAUCGUGAUAUGGGAGAUUGAGUAAGCUAAAUUUGGAGUAUUUUAAUGUCACACUAAAUAUGGCACCGACAAUAGACGUAAGCCAAAGUCAUAGGUUUAAUGCAGACAAAAGUGAAUACUAAAUACUAUAUACUGGAUACUGAAUGGAGGGUGGCUUUAAAGCUUUCGGCGUACCAAAUUAUGAUACUAAUUGACUUGAUUCCUUCACAUGGUAUAUAGGCAAUCUAGCUCGAAUGUUGGAUGUAACCAUAAGAUUGAAUAAAUUAAUAUUUUAUCAUGUUCCGAAGUUCAGCACAUGACAUUAUUGUGAGGUCUAGGUAUAGUCCUUAGAGUGAUAAAAACAAGGCUCCUCCAAGGAGGGCUAGUUGGAGGUGUGAAUUGACAUUUACUUCACACUCAUAGGAAAUCAGUCCAAGAACGAAAGCUUUCUUUCCAGUUGCUAUCCAAAAUUUUGGAAUUAUAUGUGUUGUCCAAAGGAUUAUUCUUCUUUUAUUAAAUUUCUAAGGAAAAUGAGCAAGAGGCGUAAAAGUUGAACGAAUGAAAUUUCAACAAUCUGGAAAGGGAUUGUGAGUUUGCCACACCAUUUUUCUUUCUUUUAUGCCUUCAUGUUUAUUAGAAGACAAAAAUAAAUGACUUUACAUUGGAGAAAAAAAAAAGUAUUUUCCUUUGAAAAAAAAAUCAACUAUUUAUUUAAGAGGAUGUGAAUGAUUGAUGCAUAAUGUGAAUACAAAGAACGACCUUAGAGGGAGACGAGACAUUUAUUAGAAGCCAAAAAAAAAAAAGUUACAAUGAUAUAGUAAAAAGGCAAGAAAACCUCGUUUUCUAAGUGGCAGUCAUUGACACACUACUUGAUUAGAAGAAAAGUCAUAGUAUUUUAUUUACUUUUGUUGGAAUGUAUAUUAAUAAUUAUAAUAUUUAAUUCAAAAUAUUGAAUGAAAAACACAUAACCGUUUGAAAGGGAUCAAGGCAUUCCUUGGUAAAACGGUAUCAUCUAAUAGAUGAAUGUUUGUAUCUCUUAAUCAACCAAUAUCUUAGGUUUUAUAUAAACUCAUGUUAGUAUAGCCGUGAAAGAUAUAGAAAAUUAGAGUUAAUUUUUAUUCUUGAGAAAUAGGGUUUCCCCGCUUUGUUUCUCUCAUGCUUCGUAUGUCAAAUUCCAAGUCGUGUCUUGAGAGUACGGAAUAUAUAAAGUUCGCCAGAGUCCGAAGAUUGAAGUGUUUUGACUUCGAAUUAUAAAUUGUUGAAUCCUGGGAGAUGGACGCCUACCAAACUACAAGCACAAGAGUAAGGGCGAAAUUCUAUCUUUAGGACAUUGCAUUUAUGCAAGCCUCAAUCUCCAAAUUUAUCAGUUUUUCUAACUUUAUCUUUAGUUGUUUAUAUUAAUCUUGUAAACUAUUGAUGUUGUUAUUUACUUUAUGAUUAUUAUCAUUGGAAUUCUUGUGUUGUUAUCAUAUUUUCUAAUAUUGCCUCAACAAUCUAAAGAUAGAAGUUUUAUCCCUAUGGAACAAUCAGAAAAAUAUGAAUGUUCGCAGUUCUCAUAUUGAGAGUUUAAAGCUGUGGCUUUAAAAGUGUUGGACAACAUAAGGUGUCGUAUUUGAUGUGAAGCCAAGAAUUGAAUGUUUCUUGACAUUAUACUGUGAGUUUACUCUCGUUAGUUUCUGAUUUAGGUGAGAAAUAAAUAUAUGUUUAUGUGGACUGUAUGCAAUAGGGUAAAUCUAGGUUUGUAUCUCAUAAUUGAAAAGGAUUCGAUACAGAUAUGUCUCAGAAAAUGCAUUCAAUUUGUAUGGGCAUUGCCACAUUCAAUAAAAAGUCAUAUUGGUUGACUGCAAGGGUCAGAUGGUUUGUGGUCAGACCAAUGGAUAUUUGGGCAUCCCCGAUGACUUUUCUCAACAGAUGCCUUGCUUGAUCAGUUUGGUUGGCGAUUGCCGAGCAAAAUGUCUGCAUCAUAAACUUUCAAUUCAUUCCCACAAGGACUAGAUAUGCAUGAUACAAAUGAUCGAAGAUUUUGAUUUUCGCAUGGGUUUCAUUAAUGUCAGAUUUGAAGAUAAUUUGAUGAAACCAAAAUUUUCCUUCAAGACUGAUCAAAAGGAUUUGGAAUGUUUCGAAUGCAUAUACACAUGGCUAUUAGAAGAUAUGUAUAUAAUGAAUGAUAUGAUGCCAAUCCAAUUCUAGGUUGGAACUUGAGCAUGAUGGGAAUAUUUAGAAGAUUAUACUUCUAAAAUCUUUUUAAAGGGAAAAAUUAUGACGGAUCUUGGGUGAAUGACCAAACUGCCUAUUUCAGAUAGGUGCAUACCAAAUGUUUAUUGGUUAAUAAAGAAAUACAAUAGUAAUAUGCAUAUAUUUAUCAGAUUUAUGUGUGUAUUCAUAAAAUCCAUGCCUGCAUUACCAGGUAUAUAGAAAUGCAUUUAUUAUCGUUUGUCAUAUCAUUAUUGCAGAUUUGUAUUUCUCCAUUGUAUAUCAAGUGUUGUACUAUGGAGAAUUAUGAGUACUUUCUCGAAAGAGGAGUAAUGUAAUGGGAACCAUGUUCUUCAUGGUAAGACGAUGAAAUUUGACUUUGAGUAGUGACAAUCAGUCGUGAUGUUGAGACGAUCAGUCGUGAUGUUGUCCUUAGUUAAAUUGUAAAGCAUGAAGUCAUUUUGUUUGAGUUAUUCGUCUUGAAGAUGACGCUUCAGUUGUGGGGGCCAAAGUCUGCUUUGAAAGGUUUAAGCACUCUAAGGUGAGGCUUACUGUGGAAACUGUGUACAUGCUACAGACAAACCCCUAACAAUUGAAGAUAGACUUAAAAAUGACUUGUGUGUUCUUCAUGCCACAAUGCGAUUGUUCUUUCUUCGGGAUAGAGAAGAUAGCCCUCCUUAUGUCCGUAUGUGGCUAUGAACUUUGGUUUGUGACAAAGAGAACCAUUGAUUUCAAGGUCAUUGAAAUGAAAUGGGCAUGACAAUAUCCAUAGGUGAGAUCAAAGGCCAAAGAUAUAAUUGGAAAGCCUAACCAUAUUGUCUAUAAAGCAGAUUUAUGCCGUGUUUACAAACCACAUGUACAUGGUUUUUGUUUGCUCCCUAAGUCCGCCAUGGUGCCUUGCGGGCAAGCCAGGGAUUUACUUCACAUACGAGAUUGGUGGGUGCGGGCGUGCCACUACUAGAUGCCGCUAGUAGACGGGAUUUGAAUGAUUGAGGUUGCGCCUUUGGACUUCAAAUCAAGAGAUUGUGCCAUUUGAGUGGGAAUUGCUCAAAUUAAGGUUCUUUGUUUGCCUUGAAAAUAAGGACUUUACUUAUAUGGAGAGAUAGAACAAUAUGUAAAUGAUAAGGUUGCUUGGAAAUAUAAAUGACAGAGGAAAAUGACUAAUAUUGCAGAUUGCUUGUGACUGGAAAUGAGUACAUAAAAGCUACAAAUGAGAUCGAUACCGCAAAUGAGCAGCAGAGCUAAUAAACUUAAAUAAAAGAAGGCUUUUGGCAAAUCUGGUUUGAGCAGAGUUUGUGCUUUUGUUUGUUUGUUUGAGUGUCCAUAAUCCUUCUCCAUCUACUUCUUUAUAUAAGGAUCUGGAAGAGCCCCCUUAUUGAGAUCUUUGUACUUGCCCGAAAGAAGCUUGGGCAGCUUGCAUUUCCUUACUUGGGUAGCUUGCAUUGCUUUUGCCAACUUGCAUGUAGAAACAAUAUUAAAAGGGGAACUUGCAUCUCCACCAUAUGUUUUAGCACAUGUUUUCCUACUUGUAAUAAACUAACAUUUAAAAGAAGCAAGUUGGCUUCUUUCACAUAUUUUUUGCAUCCACAUCCGUAAGUUGCCUUCCAACCCUUUUGCAAGGAUGCAUGCAUCUUGAUUAAACAAAGCUUGACAAAUCUCCACCACCAAAACAAAUUGGAAGAACAAUAUUAUAGUGUCAAACCCCUCCACUUGCCUCUAAAUAUCUUUCCAAAUUAGCUUUCUUGCAUAUUAAUCCUCUAAAUGCCAUAUUUUACCCAAAUUACCCAAAUAAGUAAAAAUGGGUAUAUUUUGAGUGCAAACAGUUUUAUUACAUUCGGGCAAAAGAUUUGGUGAAAGAAAAUAACCAACCAAGUCAUUUGGGAUAAUGGGAUUUCACGAGGAUGAUGGAGGAAGAUUUAGUCUUCUUUAUAUCUUGUUCAACUAUUAAUAAUUAAAUGUGACAAAAAAAAAAGAGUUUUGCUCAUAAGCCAAGUUAGUCAUGGAUAAAACCAAAGGACAUUCCUUUGAGAGAAAUUAUACACUGAAAAUGUGGGGGUCUUUUGGAAAGAAAAGAUGAUACAUUGAAAAUGUGUGGAGCAUCUUGCAAAAUUAAAUUAGACAUGAUGAUGCUUAUUAAGUAAGCAUAUGAAUAGUCAUGCAUGGUAGUCAUAAUAUGGAAAGGAUGAAAGUCAAGAAGUGCUUUUCCCAUAAUAGCUAGUGAGGCAUGAAGGCCUAGGAAGAUAAAUACAUAAGGUCUUAUCUUUAGUUGUUUCCUACUUUUUAAAGAACAAAACAUGAUCGAUUUAACAAUAACGUUAGAAAUUAACCACAAUUAUCGAAGAAUUGUGGGGGUAGCUUAACUAUUUUUGAGAUAUGAGAUUUACUUACAAAGAAUGGAAACAUAAUUUGCUAAUCAAAUGAGACAAUCAAGAUGUCAUCUCUUGUAAUGAGUAAUUGUUUAAGGUAUGGCAAGGUUAUAGACCUUCUAUAGAUACCUUAAAUGUGGGGGAAGUCUACUUCGGUAUGGCAAGGUUAUAGACCUUCUAUAGACACCUUAAAUGUGGGGGAAGUCUACUUCCUAGUGUUAGCAAAUUAUUACAUAAGUCCUAACAUAUGUUUCGAGGACUUAACAUUGGAAAACAACUAUUCUCGUAUGAAAAAUAAUUUCAUAAUAUGGAAGUGCACACCAUAAGAGUAGUCAACCUUAGUGGUACCAAUUAGUAAAUGUUUGACUAGGGAGUAAGUUAAUCAUCGAGGGGAAUGAGGCUGAAGCCAACAUAACUAAUGAAUCAGUCGGGCGAAAACCUAACUUAGUUGAUUGGGGAUCCCAUGGUCUAAGUUCAAUAGGCAAACUAGUUGGGCAUGAUUCAAAGAAGUUAACAUACUAUAUACCUCAUUCCUAUGAUGGAAGAAGUGUGUUGUCUGCAGAAGUUUUAGGGUGUAUAUUUAUACUUAAUGACAGUGAUAUCUUAUAAAUAAGAGGAAUAGAGCAGACUAUUUUUUAUCAGUGGUUACCUAUGUGAGAAUAGAAGUGGGUCGCUUCUGUGAGAAUGAGAUGGCUAAAUUCUCUAAAGCUCUCAUGAAUCCGAGAUUUGUUCAUGACCAAAAUAAACACAACCGUAUGAACCAGAAUAUAUUAGGAUUAGGGAUGUAUGUUGCUUAUUGUCUCGGUUUACUGCUGCGGUGAACAGUUCAAGAUUCCAUAUCCACUGCGUCACCAAGUAAAUCCGAUAAGUAUUCACUAGGGUAGGUUCAAGUCCAAAAGACACCUCUCCUGAUGCAUAUCUUGUCCGCCUGUACUCUCAAAUUCUUCCUAAUUUUUCAUUCAUGUAGGGGAUUGUUGGAAUUUAUAUAUUAUAAUAUUAAUAAUUAUAAUAUUUAAUUCAAAAUAUUGAAUGAAAACCCCAUAACCGUUUAAAAGGGAUCAAGGCAUUCCUUGGUAAAACGGUAUCAUCUAAUAGAUGAAUGUUUGUAUCUCUUAAUCAACCAGUAUCUUAGGUUUUAUAUAAACUCACGUUAGUAUAGCCGUGAAAGAUAGAAAAUUAGAGUUAAUUUUUACUCUUGAGAAAUAGUGUUUCCCCACUUUGUUUAUCUCAUGCUUCGUGUGUCAAAUUCCGAGUCGUGUUUUGAGAGUACGGAAAAGACAAUUUCUAUGGGGAAAAAGUUGAAAUAGGGGAUGAAGAUUCCCGAUUUUAAUUUCGUUAAAUAGGUGUAAUUUCACAAUUCCAACUACAACAAGAAUCACAAAUUCAUAUGCGGAAAAAUCUUGCGAGCACCAAACUUUACUAUUAGGGCGCCAAAUUUCAUGAUAAAACCUGAUAAGGGGUUUAGGGCUGCAUCUUUCACUCUAUUAACUCUCCAAUCUUCGAAGGGAUUUUCGGCUCUUGCAUCAUCUCUUGCUUUUGUUCUAGGUCAGCGUCUCUACUCUCUUCUUUCUUGAAUUAUUUUAGCUUUUCGGGUAUACUCUUUAUGCCAAUUGUGAAUUUUGCUAGUUAUUUUUAUUUUAUGAUAGUCAUAUGUUUGCUGUGCUUUUUUUCUUCCGAUUGAAUUGUGUAUUGGUUGGAUCUGUAACACAAUUUUUCAGUUUUUUUUAUGGACUUUGGUGUUAGUUCCUUGUUAUAGAUAUUGUGCUUUUGAAGGUUUAACAAUAGGCAAGGCUGAAUAUGAUGAUUUCGGUGUUAAUUACUUUCUCAUGGUACUAUACCAGAUUGUUCUCUCUUUGCAUUUACAUGUAACUAACUGUUCAUUGUAGAAAUGUAGUAUUUGGAAGACCUUUUUUUUCUGAUUUAGUGUAUGUUUGUUGGACAAAAGAAACAUGUAGAAGAGAAAACAUGAUUAAUAACAUUGUGCGUCUAUUUUUUUUUUUUUUUGACAGAAGCGAUAGAGUAUUCUAUUACUAAAAACAACCAAAUACAAGAGGUGUCAUGGCUACAAUUUCUCCAUGGCAAAUUUUUUGCAAACAUUUUGUAAACGCUCUACGGCUACCACAAUAGACCAUUAUAAACAGAGAUUCCGGAUAAAACUGUCACAAGGACGGCAGACACGACAAUCCUCACACCCGUACCCUAACAUAAGAGCAACUCCAUCCAUGGAGCCCUACCCCCUGGCAAUCCACUAUUCAAUCCACCAUAUUGAACAGUAACUGCCUUAAAUGAAUAGUAAUUACCAUUAAUGAACAGUAAUUGCCAUUUACAUCUUCAUCCUUGGAACCCUCCCCCUAGCAAUAAGCAAUUAAAAUAAUAGUUUUUUUUGUUUGUUUAAAUAAUAAAAAAUUGCAAAAGCUCUGGUCCCUCUCUCUCUCUCUGACACAAAAAAAAUAAAAAAUUGCAAAGCCCUCGGGCCACAUGCCCAUCGACUCCCCACCCCCCCCCCUUCGCUCGGGCUCUCACUGUCGCUCAACCUCCACACGGCUGGACCUCUCUCCACCGGCCCUCGGGCCCUUUGUCCUCGCCUGUCGCCCGAGCAACCAGCCUCCGCUGGAGUUGCUCUAAAGCCAUCGACAAUGAGGCUAAAUAAAUCGCUUAAGAGAUACAAACAAAUCACCGCAAUAACACAAUCUACUUAACCCGCCCAAGGCGCUACAAACAAAAUCUUAAACCUAAAGUCGAUGACAUGUCCACAUGCAUGUCCAAGGGGAAGAGACGUUGCAGGAGGCAUGGGUUGCCCGACCAUGUGGGUCUGUCGGUGGCAAGGACAACAAAGCAAUACCAAACUACUUCUAUCAUUCUCCUUAGCGCUAUAUUUUUCCUUAGCGCCAUAAAUUUCGCUUAAAAAGCAUAGGAAGGAAGGCUAAAAUUAAGGCGAAGAACCUGCCUCCACUAAUUUCCAUAGGGGAGAGAGAGAGAGAGAGAACACCAAGCAGUAUUAUAAUAUAGGUGGUCUUAAAUAACCUUCCGUGGAGUCGCAGUAAGGACUUCAAAUAUCCCAGAGAAAAGUCAGUCAAUAGUUUUUGACAGAGUCAGUCAACGGCGAAGACAGAAUUGUGUAUCAUAAUGCUCUCUCCCUCUCUCUCUCUCUCUCUCUCUCUGUCGUCAAUGGAUAACACCAUAUAAUUACUACGUGUAUAUCACUGCUCAAUUACACAAUAGAAAAAUCCUUGCGCAUUAUUUUUGUUCUUAUUAGCUCAGAAAUGCAGAAAUUGAUCAUCUCUUACUUUUGCAUAUUGUUACUGGUUUUCUUCAAACUAGUUGGAGCAAGCCAUGCGUGCCUGGAAUCCAAGUGUAGCGAUGAUCAAGGCGCAGCUAUCCAUUUCCCAUUGCGCAUCAGCCGCAAACAUCAUUGUGGAAAUCCUGGGCUUGAAUGCAAUGUAAGAUAUGAGCAGCAAAUACUAGUAAAAUUAUUUGUCAAACACAUAGAUUACAAGCGUCAGGAAAUCCAAGUGUAUCCCCCAAGUGAUUGCCUGCUGCUGAAGCCUGUCGAAGUCACAAACAUAGAUUACAAGCGUCAGGAAAUCCUAGUGUCUCCCCCAAGUAACAACUUGUCAUAUUCUUUCAUCAGAAACUUAACCUUAUUCAGUUGUCCUACUUCUGUUGCAAGAGAUACAUAUGCGUAUCAAGUCCACUGCCUCGGUGACCCUGGCAGCAGAAUUUAUGCCCUUGAUUCUACAUAUCAAUUAGAAAAUCUCUUCGAGAAUCUACAAUCUUGUUCAAAGAUGUAUGAUGUUUUAUCUGGCAAUUGGGAGGGUAAUGGUUCUGUUCUUCAAUUCAAAUGGUCAAAACCAAAUUGUACAGAAUGUGAAGCGGAGGGAAAGAUGUGUAGAUGGAAGAACAAUGGCACCAACAGUGAAAUUGAAUGUCAACGCGUGAGGAAACCAAGUAAGGAGAACAUUAUAUUCAUUGCUAGUUUUAAACAUCGUUACAUUUAUGUCUGAGUAAUUAUUAUUUGAAGGAUGUUGUCCGAUCCAUUUUUCUGAGGAUAUUAAUUGUCAGUCUCGAUUUAAUUUGCAAUUCUUUUACAGGCAACACAUGGAAAUUAGUGGUUACAGGUGGAAUUCUGGGUGCUUUGCUUCUUGUUCUACUGAUGAUUGCAGCAUAUCGGGUAUAUAGCACUGAUAGGAAGGAAAAAGAGAGUCGAUUAAGAAUUGAAAGAUUCUUGGAGGAUUAUAAAGCACUCAAACCAAGCAGGUAUUCGUACGCAGAUAUUAAGAGGAUUACAAAUCAAUUCAAGGACAAGUUGGGCGAAGGAGCCUAUGGAACUGUCUUUAAAGGAAUGCUCUCUUCUGAAUUCUUUAUUGCUGUCAAAGUCCUCAACAGUUCAAAGGGAGAUGGGGAAGAGUUCGUAAAUGAAGUGCGAACGAUGGGUCAUAUCCACCAUGUCAACGUGGCUCGCUUGGUUGGAUUUUGUGCUGAUGGAUUUGUACGAGCUCUUGUUUCCCUGCAGGAUUUUAUUUCAUCUGCAGAUAGUAAGAAUUCACUUCUUGGUUGGGAUAAGCUGCAAGAUAUUGCCCUAGGCAUAGCCAAAGGAAUUGAAUAUCUUCACCAAGGAUGCGAUCUACGAAUCCUGCAUUUCGAUAUCAAGCCCCAUAAUGUGUUGCUAGACCAAAACUUCACUCCAAAAAUUUCUGAUUUUGGUUUGGCCAAGUUAUGUUCCAAGGAUCAAAGCUUGGUGUCCAUAACUACAGCUAGGGGGACCAUGGGCUAUAUUGCACCUGAAGUGUUCUCCAGGAAUUUCGGAAAUGUGUCUUACAAGGCAGAUGUCUACAGCUUUGGAAUGCUGCUGCUUGAGAUGGUAGGAGGAAGGAAGAAUAUUGGUUCAACCACGGAGAACACUACAAAUGAAAUCUACUAUCCACAGUGGAUUUACAAUCUUCUAGAGGAAGGGGAUGACCUACGAAUCCGUAUUGGGCAAGAAGAAGAUGGUAAAAUUCCAAAGAAACUUGCUAUUAUAGGGUUAUGGUGUAUCCAAUGGCACCCGUCGGAUCGUCUUUCCAUGAAAACAGCCGUUCAGAUGUUAGAAGGAGGAGGAGGAGAAAGCUUGACCAUGCCGCCUAAUCCCUUCAUGCCUACAGGUCCUACAACUAGAAAUGCAAGACGCCUAGAGCGAGAAGCAAUUGCUGAAUUAGAGUAAAACGUAUAUGACAGAUAUGUAGAUUCGUAUUGAAUGUGUAAUGAUUCAAACCUAAAGGGAUAUUUUGAUAACCAUUUCAUUUUGGCACCAAACAAAAGAAAUUUGUUUCCACUCCAUGUUUAAGCAAUAGAUGCCGAUUAUUGUUUAUCAUUUAUUAAAUUUUAUUUUUGGUUACGGUAGAAGCCUAGAAGGCAAUCGAGCACCGGACUUACCAAAUUCUAACUCAUUUCUACACACCAAGAGCUUGAUUUCGGUUCUUAUUUUUACUAUUUAAGCUAUAAGCCGUGAUAAUAAUUAGAGCACUAUCAUUUGUUGUGAGCUUCAACUGGUUAUUUUGUAUGUUUUAAACUUUUAAUUAGAAUUUAUUUUUCACUUAGACUUAUCUUUCCGUAUGGCAUGCCAUCCCAACCCUAGUUUUUCUCCUCGCUUGGAGUUUGGGAUACGAAAACUUGCCAAACAAAGUAGAUUGAUUAGUAACCGAAGCUAAUUAUUCGACUGAAUAUUGUUUAGAAUUUUAAUUAACAGAAACAAUAUGAAUCUUUUUUGUUUGUUUUGAAAACUAGAGAUUAAAUUGUUACUUGUUAGAAGUAGAGUGAUUGGUAGACAUCGAAUCCUUACAUAAGUGCAUAGGCAUUAUUGCGUGAGGAUGACGUGAGGGCAAGGGAAGUAGCAGCAGACCGUGUGGGCUGCUGUGGUUCAUCUGCUCGGGUGACAGGAUAGCCUUUUUGACGAAAUUAUAAAGCGCAUAAACUUUUUGACCAAGAGAGUGGUCAACUAGGGGUGGGCACUUGAAAUCGAAAACCGAAACCGAAACAUGAACCAAAUCGGACCGCACCGAACGAUUUGGUUUUGCGGUUUUGAAACCGAACCGCAUUGUAGGAAACGGUUUGGUUUUGGUUUUGGCUUUUGAAAACCGCACCGAAACCGAAACCGUAUCUCAAAUUAUAUGCCAUGUUUUAAUUAGUUGUUUGUUAGAGUCCAUACAUUUAGUAUGUACAUGUCAUAAUAAUGAUUAUUUUUUCCAAGUUAUAUCCCUCAUCAAGCUUGGCAUCUCAAUGUUUCUUUACAGGAAAAGAAGAAAACUUUGUCACAGUUAUAUCCUUAGAACCCUAAUUUUCAAGUUUAGAAUGAUAGCCUAUAUAAUAUAUUAAUCAGAAAUGCAAAUGAAAACUCAAAAGGAACAAUGAGCAUCAAAUAAGAGUAGUCACAGAAGGAGAGAUACAAGACCGAAUCUCUAAUCAAGUAAUAAGUUGCAGCACUUCAUUUGGGUACUUUUUCCUGCUCACAGAGUUUAUCACUUGUGCAAGAGUUUAUCAUCUGUGCAAUUAGCUAGCUAGAGUAAAGAAAAGAAUUCUCAUGUGGGUGGUUAAUUAAUGUAUGUGUGGAAAAUGAGACUGUGGUAUGUGUAAAUAAGUAUAAAUUUUAAAUUGUAGAUUUUUUUUUCUAAAAAGCCAAACUUAAACCGUUUGAAACCGCACCGAACCGAUCGGUUUUGACUUUAAAACCGCACCGAACCGCACCACAAAAAGUUGUGAUUUCGGUUUUGGUUUCACUCAAAACCACACCGAACCAAACCGUGCCCACCCCUAUGGUCAACAAAUGGGACAUGGAUUCGUCGAAUCCAAAUCCUAAGAAUUCAUUAAUCUAUAUUAUUGAAAUUUGAUCAAAAGAUUAAAAUUAUUAUAAUUUUAAAAUAAGCUCGUAUUUGUAACUGUUGAAUCAACCUUUAAUGAUCCAGAUUGAUAAAUCCUUAAGAUUAGGAUGUAUGAAUCCGAAAAGGAUCAAUGUCCCAAAAAAUAUGCAACGUUUUGCAAGGGUAUUAAAUUUAUGAGUGGGAUAGACACAAAUAGCAGACCGUGUGGGGUGCUGUGGUUGAUCCACUAGGGUGGCAGGAUAGCCUUUUUGACCAAAUUAUAAAGCAGACUUUUUGACCAAGAGGGUGGCCAACAAAUAUGCAACGUUUUACACGGUAUUAAAUUUAUGACUGAGGAUUUGGAUCCUCUCCUGAGCUAAUGGAGAUGAUCUUCCUGACCAACCAUUAUGGGUUGUUGGAUUUUUAUCCAACGGUUAUAAUUAUUAUAACUUUAAAGGAACUCCCUUUUUAUAACCGUUGGAUAAAAAUCUAACAGUCCAUAAUGGUUGGUCAGGAUGAUCCUCUCCAUUGGCUCAGGAGAGGAUCCAAAUCAGAUGGACACAAGUAGCAGACCGUGUGGGGUGCUGUGGUUCCUCCACUAGGGUGGCAGGGUAACCUUUUUGACCAAAUUAUAAAGCAGACCUUUUUGACCAAGAGCGUGGCCAAUAAAUAUGCAACGUCUUGCACGGGUAUUAAAUUUAUGACUGGGAUGCACACUCAUCUUCUUCCUCAUUCGUUGUUUAUGUAAAAAAAUGUAAUAAAUUGUAAUAAUGAUCUUUCAACUUUAAUUAAAUUGAAACAAUAGUUUUUUAAUUAAAAUUCAUUAUUAUUAGUCUAUUAACUCAUUAAAACGUGUAGCUAUAGUCAUUUUCGUCAACUCCUUCAGAAUUCUGUCAAAAUAAGUUAUGUUGAAAGGACCAUUGCUAUAAUUGGGUUAAAGUUAGGGACCAUUGCUAUAAUUGGGUUAAAGUUAGGGACCAUUGCUCUAAUUGAGUUAAAUUUGAGGAAUCAUUUCUCUAGUUGGAUUACAGUUGAUGGAUCAUUGAUACAAUUUUUCUUAUUUGAUUUUUCAUUGUGCCCCUUGAUUUAGCCUCAAGUGCAUGACAUGUGACUAUUUUGACGGAAGUUCUAAUGGAGUUGACGAAAAUAAUCAUAGUUGCACGUUUUGAUGAGUUAAGAGACCAAUGAUAAUGAAUUUUUAGUUGAGGGAUCAUUGCUCCACUUAGAUUAAAAUUAAGAGAUCAUUACUAUAAUUUACUCUGAAAACUAAAGGCCUCCUAUUUUAGUUAUGUUUGUACCAUACUUGACCAAUCCCAAAACUACUGAGCACCGGUCAACGUUAUACCAUCAAGGAUCCAGAAGAGUUUCUCUCAAACCAGGAGGCCAAUCACAACACGACACAUGUCGAUAUCAAAAGCCAAUCAUAGCGCGACACGUGUCAACAUCAGAAGCCAAUCACAACACGACACGUGUCAAUGUCAGAACAAAACUAAAAACUCUCUUCUAUAAAAGGAGAUCAUUCUCCCUCAAUAUUUCCUAAUGUUCUUUGUACUAAAUCAUUCACUAGUACUGACUAAAUGAGAGUUUGAACCUAUGUACUUGUGUAAACCCUUCACAAUUAAUGAGAACUCCUCUACUCCGUGGACGUAGCCAAUCUAGGUAAACCACGUAUAUCUUGUGUUUGCUUCCCUGUCUCUAUCCAUUUACAUACUUAUCCACACUAGUGACCGAAGCAAUCUAACGAAGGUCACAAACUUAACACUUUCUGUUAUACCAAAGUCCUCACUGAUUUUGUGCAUCAACAAGUUGCAUUGGAGAAUCCUUUCAACCAUCCAAAUCCAAAACAUGGAUCUAAGGAGCCAAGAAACAAAGAGGAGUUCGUCCAUAUUCAUGGAUACAAGAAGCUAUGAGCAAGGGAAUGAGGACCUCACUUUGGGUGACUAUCAUUUACUUCUGCAAAGAGGACCUACAAAAAUAUAAAGUCAACUCACUUUGCUUUGAAUUUGAGUUGAGUCUUUGACUAACUACUAGACUCUGAAUUUCAUGAGUUAAGUUUUGUUUUUGAAUGCAUAUAAGCAUGCUAGAGCCUUUAAUUGUUAAUUACAUGUAUAUGUGUUGCUCAAAUGAACUUAGUUUAUCAAAUUUUUCUCUCAAGACCAAGGUAUUAAAUAUCGAUGAUAUCGGAAAUAUCGGUAGUCCAAAAACACGGAAAUAUCGAUGGAAAUAUCGAUGGAAAUAUCGGGAUAUUAUCGAUAUCGAUAAAAAUAAUAUGGAAACCACGGAAAUUGUAAGAAAAACUUGGAAAUUUUUAUUGAAACUUUGCAGAAUGUUUAUUUAGUCAAUUAUCUAUUAGUUUAUCACAAAAAUUUGGAAGGAAAUGCAUUGCAUGAUGGAUUUAACUGAUUUAAGUUGAUUAUAUAGCGAGCUGGCAAACAUUGUGAGUGUAGAAAAUAUGUAGUAAUUAAUGAAAGAAGUUUAAACACACCAUAAUCAUUUAUAUAUAAUGAAUUAGUACAAUAUUUUACACUUUAUACAUUGCAUGGUAAGAUACAUGAGUGACUAAGUACCACAUAGAGUUCCUAUGAGGUUCAAAAUUUUCACUAUCUUCAUCAUCUCUAUGUGUAGAGUAAGUGUAUUGUGAAGAGUAGUCAGCAACCAUGGCAAUGGCUUUCAAGAACCGAAAUCCAAAAGUCAAUAGGAAACCGAAUACUUCGGUAUUUUUCGGGAUUUCGGGAUUACCAAACAAAUGGGAUUUGGAAACCAAUCCCAUAUCGAAAAUUUCGGUAUUUUUCGGGAUGGGAUUCCCGAACUUCGGGAUGGUUUUGGUUUGGGAUUUUUCGGUUUGGGUUUGGGACUUUUUCGGUUUGGUUUGGGAUUUUCGGGAAUUUUUUCCAACCCUACAUGUAAGUGACCAAAUAAAAAAUAGAAAAAUUAAAAACCACAUGCCAUUGACUAAGUAAUUAAUUGACACAAUUUAAAAUAUAAUACCACAAAAAAUUUGGAAUAUGUGCAAAUUUGUUUCUUGCAAAAAGAAUUCAAAACAAAACCAUAUAUAUAAAUAUUUUAGCAUGUUUUCACAAAAACAUAAGUGGUAUAGUGGUCAAGGCGCUGAAGGAGUUAGAUGGGAGGGGUUUGAAUCCCUCUAUGUGCAUGUUUGAGACUUUUCAGAAAUUUUCAAAUAUUUUUAGGUUCAUCUCGCGAUAAUAUCGAUAUUAUCGCGAUAUAUUAGCGAUAAUUAAAGGAAUACUCGUGAAAUAUCGUUAUAUGAAAAAAACGAUAAUAUCGGCGAUGUUUCGCUGAUAUUAUCGAUAUUUUCUUCUAUGUUCAAGACCAACUUCUAUGGCAUGCGUGGUGUGUUUGAGACUUUUCAGAAAUUUUCAAAUAUUUUUAGGUUCAUCUCGCGAUAAUAUCGAUAUUAUCGCGAUAUAUUAGCGAUGAUUAAAGGAAUACUCGUGAAAUAUCGUUAUAUGAAAAAAAACGAUAAUAUCGGCGAUAUUUCGCUGAUAUUAUCGAUAUUUUCUUCUAUGUUCAAGACCAACUUCUAUGGCAUGCGUGGUGUCUCAUGCCAAUCACACAAAUGUUAUGUAAAAAGAAUUUACACGUUGUGUUGCAUGAUUGACAAUUAACGACACAAUAGUGUUAUAACCGUGUCAAUGUUAUGAAAGUUUUUAUGCAAAGUCACUUGAUAUGCCGCAACAAUUAGUAAACAAUAUUAGAAAGACCUAGAGGAACCCACAAUUAAUUCCAAUUCAUUAAGUAGCUCAUGUGCAAGCAAAGUAUGGGCUUCCCAUGGGCAGGAGCUGGAAUUUACCCAUAUUUGGUAGUUAUGUAGCAUUAUACGAGGAGCCUGCUCAGCAUUCAAUAUGUUCACCCACAUGAUGUUGAGUGUAAUCCUUCUUAAGGUUCAACGAUAUUGUUUCUAUUAACAAAUAUAAAUAAAAAAAUAAGCGAAAUACUAGAGAGAUUACACGUUUAUAUUACAUUGUUGUACCAUAUUGUGAUAUGGCUGUGUACAUACCACGUCUUGUAAUGAGUUUAUCUCAUUAGAUGUUAGACUGUUGGUUAUUUGUAUUACUUAUUACAUCAUAUGGUACAUCAAUGUGGUAUAAAUAUGCAAUCUCUCCAACAUUACCCUUAGGAAAAUUUUAUUUGAACCCAUCUAACCUCUUUCUACACCCAACUUAAAUUCUAAAUGUGAAUUGUCUAUUUUAUCCUAAUGCAUAAUUACCAUCAAGUACAAGAUGAAAUUAAGAAUAAAACUAAAAUUUAUCAAUAAACCCAUACUCAAUAAUUAAGUUCUACCAUCACACAAUUUUUAUCCUACAUUCAUUUUGAAUAAAUUCCUAAGGGCUGCAAUAAAACCCUACGAUCACCUAAUAAUCAAAUCCGGUUGCUUUUUGUUUCCUCUCUAGCUUCAUGUUAACUCGAUCAGUAAAAACAAAGUAUUCAAAGUAUUCAUGUAUAAAAUAAGCCAACUUGGACUGGACUUGCUAUAAACCUAAAAACAUAAGCAGAAUCCCAGUUGCUAAUUCCACAAGAACUCGACUUGCGACCAUUCAAAACCCAAUAAAAAUUCAAGAAAACCAGAACUUACCAAGUGAACGUUGACGGCUGAGCCAGAGCAGCAACGACGAAAGGAAGCAUUGCAGAUAAGACCUGAGACGACGAGCCGUCGGAAGCCCCUUUGGAUAUUUCAGCUGAUGGGUUUAUCCCAAACGACAGCAUCAACGCGUUGCCUUCCUUCCUCUGCGACCCGACUCUGCUGAUGUGCAAUGUGCUUACUCUUGUAAUCACUCCAUGUGCCAUGUGCAAACAAUCGAAGCACAUCGAGGUAGACAUAAUUUUCAGUUCCUUCAAGCUGCACAUAUUCCACAGUAAAAAAACAAAUGCAUAUGAAACAAGACCCUAUAACAAUCAACAAUUUUAUUUUGACUUUGGCUGCAACAAAAUUCUGAUUAUACAUCCUUUGCUCAAAUCCAGAAACUACACCACCAAAAUAUACACAGAAAAAUGAAACUUCCACAAUAAAUAAAUAGAAACAUGGGAACCUGAAGAACAUUAGGGACAUCGAUAAUUUCCGAAAAGGCAAAAAGGGCAGGGUGGGAGGUGACUUCUGCGACGAGGGGGCCGAGGGCGGAGCCAUCGAGUGAUGAGGCUUGCUUCACGAAGUGAUCAAAGGCCUCCUCUUGCUUUUGCUUUCUAAAAGGGUGUAAAGAUGAAUUUUUAUAUAUUGAAUUGAGUUUGUGAGGGUAGUUUAGAUAGUAAUUUGGGUUUAGAGAGAAAUUGAUUCUUUAAUUAAAAAUAAUAUGGGUGUAAAGAAUAAGUUAGGUGUAGCAAGAAGUUGUAUGGGUUCAAAUAAAAUUUCCCUUACCCUUAUCAGAAACCCUAAAAGACAAGAAAUGCUCUAUACUAAGACGUGUUUAUCAAACCGGAAUGAAAGUGUAGGAAAUGGAAUUGCACGAACUCCAAGUCAUUUUAGUGUUUACUAAACCAGAGGGAAUCAACAUUCAGGUGGGACCCACCCAAAAUCCGGAAUACAAUUCCUUAAAUACCCGGAAAUGGAUUCUUGACUUGGGAGGUGGGAAUUGAGUUCCUGAAAAUAGAUUCAUCAGGGAUCCAAGUUUUCUACCCAUACUAUCCUCAUGCUUUUUUGGUAAACCCAAAUAUCCCUCACAAUUUCACCUCCCCAGUUCCAUGACCAGUGUAUAGACCCAUCUCUCUUCUCCCCAAUCCCACCAUUUCCUAACAGAGGAGCUUCGACUCCAGUGAAAUCCCGACCCCUUUCUCCUUGCCCCGUCGCCGCAGACUAUCCAAAAUACAUGCAUGAACGCACAAAGAGAGGGGAAAAUGUAUGGCGUGGCCGCAUGGUCAUCUAAAAACAGGGGGUGGGGACGGUUGUGAUAGGUGGUGAGGAGCUGGGUUUGGGGAUGUAGGGGGGAGAAGAUGGCAUCGCAGCUUUUUGUGUUUUGGGUUUUUUUAUGUUAUUUUAUAUUUUUAAUAAAUUUGUUAAUUAUUUAUUUUGCUGAAUAGUUAUGUUUUCAUGUAGCUAAUUGGAUUUUAUGAGCAUAUGUGGUUAUCAAAAUUAACCAUUAACUAGCAUAUAAAAAUAUAAUUUAUAACAAGGGCAAUUUAGUAAUCAAAUAGGUUUCAAUUCCGAUUCAUGUGAGUGAGUAAAUAAUUUUUAUGUAAUCAAUAUCAUUUUUAUUCCGAUUCCAGAUAGUUUAGUAAACAGAUUCAACAUGAAUCCAAUUCUAAUUCCACUUCAUUCCAUCUUCUUCUCAAUUCAAUUCAAUUCCUCAUACUCUGAUUACGGAUUAGUAAACGGGUCAUAAAACGGAAAGAGAAAAACAUUGUUCAUAACCAACAGUGUUUUUACUUUUUUGCCCUCAUUUUUAAUGUUUCUGUGUUCCCACUUUUAUGCCUCUAUACAGUGAAAUCCCCAAUUGCCCUAUGGGCAUAGGUGUGUAAAAAAAUUGUUUUGCACACGUGGCAUGCUAGGGAGAUUUCUCUGCUGCACCGUUUCCUUCCAGCUCCACUCCGAAUCGAUACUGAAUACUGCUCAACCAAAUUUUUUCAUCAUUUCAUUCCGUCCUUGUCAACCUCUUCAUUCUUGCUCCACCAUGAAUCGAAACAAAAAAUUGCUCAUCCAAAUCAAUUUCAGUUAACUCAAAUCCCUAAAACCCAAAUUUCUCCAGAUCUUUGGAUUUAGUUUACUUUUUGUUGUUGCGUAAAGCUUAAAUUUACGUACAAUUUUUUUAUUUUCUUGAUUGGAAUUUGGAAAGAAUCAAUUGUUCUUUGAAGGAAUUACAGAAAAUUGGAAAGGGGAAAUGGGAAAUGGGAAAGCGAGGAAAUGCGGGCAAAUGGGUUUUGGGAAAAUGACUUUUUUUUUUGGCAUUCGCUUUUGGCUUUCAUCCUUUCUGCGUUUGCUUUUCCUCAUUUUUUUUCUCAAGAACCAAACAUAAAAUAAAAAGAACCUAGAAAAAAGAAAAGGAAAAUCACAAGAUUAAGAAUCUGGGAUUGCAACAAUGGAGCUUCUGUGCCGAAAUAUCAAUUGGGUUCCGUUUGAUCUUCGGUGCUUCUUCUGCAUUCAAAAAGUUGGGGUUUUUUUGCGUGAUGGGAACACAUUUCCAAAUUCGACCUCAAUCCCAAAGGAACCAUCCACCAAAUAACCCUUCCUCCCUUUCUAUUUCUCUCUCUGUAAUUUCCCCUGACCGAAUCACACAAUCCAACCAACUCUCUGUGUAAGGCUGCCUCACAAAUUCCAUGGAUUUCAUGGACUUACCCUCUCUAUGAGCCUCCCUCGCCGAAUCCAACUAAUUUCCUUAGGCCCGUUUGGGAUUGAGGUGAUUUUAAAAAAAGCAAUUGUGAAAAAAAGCUGAGGGUCAUUUUUGUGUUUGGUAAACUGAAAAAAAAUGGCUUAUUUUGAAAGCUGCUGUGAGAAUAAGCUGAAAAUCAAAGGAAAAGCUGAAGCUGCUAUUUGCUGCUUUGAAAAAAAGCCAGUUUUUUCAAAGCACACGGAGCUACAAUGCUCCUUUAAUGAAAAGACACACUAUCAUCCUGCUUUUUUUUCCAAAAGCACUUUCACAAAAAAGUUUACCAAACACUCUACUGGCUUUAUUUCACAGCCGCUUAUUCUCACAGCAGCUUUUUUUCAAAGCACAGCAAUACCAAACCAGCCCUAAUUCCAUCGAUAGCCACACCCACCCCUCCCAACUGAAAAUGACAAUAAUGCCCACCCAACUUUUAUUCUCUGCCUUUAGAUCUCAAAUUAAAAUGGGUAAUAAAGUCCUUUUCACACCAAUACCCGCUAUUUAACAGCUCAAAUGUACACAACCCAAACAAACACAUGGCCUAAAGGGCCUACCCCAGACCCCCGGCCCAAAAAUAUAAAGGAAAACUAAUGAAAAUUGCUUGAAAACUUUGAGUUUUAAUGAUAAGGACAAAAUAAAGGGUAAAGUGAAUAGUACCAGGAUUGACUUUUUAGUGUAAAAAUGUGGUUUUUCGUUAAAGUGAACAGUACCGGGUGCUUUUCGUUAAAGUUCCCAAAAAAUAAUUGGAAAAAGAAGUGGCAAUUUGGUAAAUAAAAUGUUACCUUUUCCAUUGCCCAUUCCUUUUGGAAAAAGAAAUGAAAUUAAAACUCUUCAUUUAAAAUGGUCUUAAGCCAAAUUGUAUUGAAUGUGAAGCAGAGGGUAAGAGGUGUAGAUUGUAGAACAAUUACACCUAGAGCGAAAUUGAAUUUGUUGACAGGAGGAAACCAAGUAAGGAUAACGCGUCUAAAUCUUAUUUCGCAUCUAUUCUGCUCAUGAUUUUUCUGCUUUCAUGUAAUUAGCGGCUUAUAUUUGUGGUAACGAUAUUGAUUAAUUUCGAGAAAUGACAGUCUAAUUUUCGCAACUGUCUUUUGCAGGUAAAACAAAGACGGUCUAAUUUUCGCAACUGUCUUUUGCAGGCAAAACAAUGACAGUCUAAUAUUCGCAACUGCCUCCUACAGUUAGAAGCAAUUGUUGAAUUAGAGUAACACUAGAAAAUGCACCCGCGCUUUGCUGCAAGCAUUGAAUAAUUAGUCACAACAUUCAUGAAUAGCAUUCCAAUAAAGCAACUAAAAAGACGUCGUAAUACGUAAGAACCAUCGAAGUCAAAUUUUGCUUGCUAUAUAUGGAUAUGCAUGCUAUAAGAAACAUCUAUUUAUAGAUUGUAUUGUGUCAUCAAUAUCAUAGUUGCAAGUAAUCAGCCUACUACAUGGAAGAAAAACACAGAAAAGGGAAAGUAGAAAAGUAGAAACAUAAUACUUGAGUACCUGGCAAGAAUAGUAAGUUCUUGAAAAAAUUGCUAAACCGUCUAACAAAUUCAAUCGUUAAACGUUAUACUGUAACCCAAGACAAAAAUAAAGUAUAUUGUUUGUUUACAAAUCAAAACGAAGUGCUGCUACAAUCCUCAACAGCUAUGAAUCAUUUUCAAAUAAAGAUACUCAGAUUUGACGGCACAUCAAAUAACCACCAAGCGAAGCAAAUUACGCCAUGUGCUAAUAAGAAACUAAAACAAAAGCAAGAUUAAAUAUCGAAAUUUUUUUAUAAGGCAUCAAUUGACAAAAUGCUUCUUAAUGUGGUCUUCCAAGAAAUGAAUGCAGCUCACAAACAACUUAGAAAUCAUUGUCACCUCAAUCUUACUAAAUAGAAGCAUAAAUGGACAUGAUAGCUCCCUAAUUUUGUAAUAGAAACUCUAACAAAGAAUAUCAGGCUCCAAAGGCCCUAACUUUUCCUAGGCAUAAAUCUAUACAUUGCAAGUUUAAUUCCAACGAAGCAAAUAUGCGUGCAAAGUAAAAGGCAUCAACACUACAUGUACUGCUUACAAUCGUCUCAAGUUGCUGACAACAACAACAACAACAACAACAACAAAGCUUUUUCCCACUAAGUGGGGUCAGCUAUAUGAAUCCUAGAACGCCAUUGCGCUCGGUUUUGUGUCAUGUCCUCCGUUAGAACGCCAUUGCGCUCGUCUCAAGUUGCUGACACAAUGUUUAAAAUAUUCCAAGACUCAAAGAUUUUCACACAAAUAGAGCACCUUACCAAAACAAUAACCGAGGUUGUCGUAUUUGAAUCAAGCAGAUGCUUUGCAAGGCCUUCUUCAAUAUCGUCUCAUAUUCCCUUUUCAUUUUUCGUAUAUGAUACAAUAAACUAUUCAAAUCUAGACAUAAAUAAGAGAAUCUGCUACACCCUACUAUCACAAUUGUCAGUCCUGAACAAUAAUGCAAGUCUAGUGGCAAAAACCACCUCAAUGAACAACUCACACACACUGAUCAUACAUCUCUAACUCUCUUUUUCAAAUAACACACACUCUGAUCCAAAACAGGGUAAAUAAAAUGCACAUCCUUAUACAUUUCUAACUUUCUUUUUCGAAAUCCAAAAUAGGGUAUUCUAACUCUCUUUUUCAUUCAUUUCUUACAAACCAAUCAUACAUUUAAAAUAGGCUUUGAAUAAAAAUAGGGUAUAUAAUUAUAUACCUCAAAAUGCCUAGGAACCAACUUCCCCCUCCAACGAUUCAAAUUCUUGAAAUUGCCAACACAGUAAAUCCAUUAGUACUAUAUAAAUGAAAACACAAUUGAAACCCAUCAAACAAAACAAUCCCACAAUUUAAAUGAUUCAAUCCUACUACAAUUGAAAUUCACAGAAAGAAUGAAAAACCAGAACAAAACUGCAGCACCUAAAAAGUUGUCAUACAAAAAAACAUGGAAUGUAAAAAUAUGUUAAGAAAUCUAGUUCGUUAAUUUCCAGCUGCUAAGUGGCAUUAUGUAACUUUAGUAGUAUAACUAAUUAACUACUUAUCUGGUGGGUUGCACUUCUAUCCAAUUGGUAAGGAAAGGAAAAUAAAAAUCAACCCCUUGGUCUUAGUUGUGGCUGCAAAGUGCAGGCCACCACCAAGUCUCAGUGUUUGUGUUUUAGCAAAACACUUAAAUAAAUUAAAUUCUGAAAUGUAAAUUAUAUUCCUAUAACUUUAAGAUGCACAUAUAGUAUUGUUGAAGUCGAACUGAAAGCACUGACAAUUCCAAGCAACAGAGCAGCAAUUAUUAAGAGCCAAAACUCAUUCCUAGUCUCCUCAUCCUGGUACUCAACUCUAAUCUUCGGUCAGCAUCAUUGACUGAAAUUAGGAGAGAAAAAGAAAAGGAAUUUCAGAAAUUGUCUAUGAAGCAAAGGAUACUGCAGUUACUUCAAGACAUGUAAAUUGCAUAUGUAUAAAGUAAUUUUCUACAUAAAGGAAUGAGGCAUAACUUUCUCUCUCCUCUUCAAACCCUAAACAGUGCAAAGCCACAAACUUUACAGAGAUUAGAAUGAGAACUGGAAUUAAUAGAACAAUGACUGAAAAGUAACAUACUUGAGGAGUGAAUGAUUUAGUGUUUCCAUCAUCGGAACGCCGGAGUAAGUCGCUAAGAGAGGUCGCAAACAGCCCAAAGGGACAAACCCAGACCCCCGGCCCCGAUCCAUACCCUUCCCCCUCAAAUCCCGACGGCCCCCAUACUUUUCUCUGACUGUACACCCUCUCCCACUCAUGAAAUCGAGGAUCUGCAGCAAUGGUACUGAGAUCCCCACUCCUCCCUCUCCCUUUCUCUCUGUCGCUCUGUCUCCCUCUCCCACUGUCUGUCUAUCUUUAUCCCAGAGCGGCAUGGUCUCCCAUCCCUGAAACCCUCACCGAAAGGUGGCAAUUUUGUAAAUAACUUGAAAUCCACCAACAGCAGGAGCAGAGAAUUGAAACAAACAUUUAGGCUCGUUCGAUAACCAUUUAGGCCAAAACUGAGCACACCUAAACCAUUCCUACUCGUGCCAAAUGUUAGUGGGGAAGCAAGAUGAUGACUUUAUUGUUCAAAACCAAAAGAAAAAAAGAGAGAAAACAAAAUAACAAAUCUAAUGGUUGUAGUGUAAAAGCUGAGAACGUAAAUAAACAUGCAGAGAAAAAAAUUGAAGAUACAAAGUAGCUGCAUCAUGAAACACUUACUCCAAUUAGACGCAAAAAGUGAUGGUGAUGAGAAGAGAGAGAAAAUGCAAUCGUUUUGAUUUUUCUGGCUUUUAAAGGGAGCAGCUUUCUUCGACCACCCAAAAAAGGAAGCUGCUUCGUAUGGUUGUGAUUUCCUGAGUGUAUGUGAGCGGGUCUAUGGCACUUGCACUUUUUGUGUCGGUUACGGUAACCGGGCGAGCUGAACACGGCGGCAUGGGACUGAAUUCGGAGAGGUGAGAAAAAUUAAAAACACAAAAAGAAGGUGUUCAUUUUGUCACAUUUUUAUUACUAAAAAUUCAAUAAAGUACAUUCAUUAGUAUGGUAACUUAACUAUUUAAUUCCAUCUCAUUAAACUAAAAAAAACAAUUACAAAAAAAUAAGGGAAACCUUGUCCAAAGAGACCUGAGAGAAAGUGACGACUUCUCCUCUCAUUCCACUCCAUACUUGAUCUCUAAAGUCCAUUUGGCAUGUAAUUGAUGUUCAAUUUCAAAUUUAGUGGUAGCAAUUAGCAAAGCUAAUGAAAGAAUCAAAUAAAAUGAAAGAAAAAGCAUCAUGAAAUAAAUCAAGAUGAAGAAUGAAAUUUUGGCAACUCCCCAUUCUCUUCUUUUAUAUAAAAGAUACAUCCUAUUUGUAGUGAAAACAGGUCCCGACAAGCCCAUUUAUCCUCAAGAAGUAUUUUCUAUGACUUUAAAAACAUAAUCUGUGAAAUUAUCUCUUGGCAGAGAACAACAACAAAUCUUCAUGCAUAGCUUGUAGAGAAAGACAUCAGGCAUACAAAAGAACACGCAAGCAUAAAAUAAACGACGCAGGGAAAACAAAAAAUACAAUUAAAUACGCUGUCAAAAGAACAUGAAUAAAUGAAAAUUACAAAACAAAGAAGUGAUGAGAAACCAAAGUACCCAUUUCAUAAUCUAAUUGUUUUUUAGUUUGCUGCCAGCCAUCCCUGAGUAAUGCAUUCACUUCUGAACCCCAAACACACUGAAACAAAAAUUCACACACAUGAACUACAACUCCGCUAUGUAACAAGAAUUAAAAGCAUCUCAAAACAAAAUGGCAAACUAUAAGAGCACUGUAAAAGUAAAAUUGCAAGAAAUCUAAUACUUGGAGGGCAAGUACUAAUCAGACGAAAAUGAAAGAUUGAACUACUUCGCGUGGAACUGUGCCUUGGUUUUUUCCCAUGCUUACAGGAAGCUUUGCACUGAGCCCUUAUAGCCCAAAUUUUCUCUGAAGGAAAAAAAAACACAAUUUUGAAAUAAGAUUUUCAUAUUAUACCUUAAAGAGAAGAAUUAGACAACAAAAAAGAGAAGAAUUAGACAACAAAAAAGAGAAGAAUGAGUACUAUUCAUCAUAUAUUGUUAGAGUAUGUGGUCCUCUGGUCCAAUGGUCCUGCAGCCAUAUUUACUUUAUAACUCUUUCUUUUAGUCUUAAAAACAUCUUGGAUCUCAAAUUAACAUGUUAGCUAUGCGUUAGAACAUAUUGGGUUCAAUCCAUUGUCUUGAAUAUCACCCCCAGUCACAGCUGUCUCUUCGGGGCAUACAGAAGGCCUGAGAGGCAUUUGCAGACAUUCAAUAUCUGCUCCAAGCAUUUCGACAACUUUGGACAACGAAGGGCAAUCACUUGGUUUCAUUUGAAUACACACAAGGCGGUUAUAACCAUCUUUCUUAUCACUUUCUUUUCAUCCUCUGUAACAUUGUCUAUUUCCAAGUCAUUUCCCACAAUAUAUUGAUCAUAUACCCAUAACGGGAAAUAGAUUUGGCUUGGAUGCUCUACCGUUGCAUUCAAAUUCUUCCUUCUGCUUGCCAUUUCCAUCAACAACAUUCCAAAACUAUAGACAUCGGCCUUGUAUGAGACACCUCUAAUAUUUUUGUAGAACAACUCAGGAGCAAUAUAUCUCAUUGUACCCCGUGCUGCCGUCAAAGAGACAAUGCUAUUAUCUACUGGAUACAAUUUUGCAAGCCCAAAGUCAGAAACCUUUGUGUUUGCACUCAAAAUAUACCCAUUUUUACUUAUUUGGGCAAUUUGGGUAAAAUAUGGUAUUUGAAGGAUUAAUAUGCAAGAAAACUAACUUGGAAAGAUAUUUGGCUGCAAGUGGGGGGGGUUUGGCACUAUAAUAUUGUUUUUCCCAUUUGUUUAGGUGGUGGAGGUUUGUCAAGCCUUUGUUUAAUCAAGAUACAUGCAUGUAUUGCAAGUGGAUGGGAGAGCUUUCGGGCAAGAACGUGUAGUGAAAGAAGCUAGUUUGCUUCUUUUAAUUAUUUUAUUGCAAGUGGGAAAAUACAUGUGGUGGAGAUGCAACUUGCUUCUUUUUUAAUUGUUAGUUUAUUACAAGUGGGGAAACAUGUGCUAAAAACAUGUGGUGGAGAUGCAAGUUUCCCUUUUAAUAUUGUUUCUACAUGCAAGUUGGCAAAUGCAAAUGCAAGCUGCCCAAGCUUCUUUCGGGCAGGUACAAAGAUCUUAGCAAGGGGGCUCUUCCAGACCUCUAUAUAAAGAAGCAGAUGGAGAAGGAUUAUGGACACUCAAAACAACCAAUCAAAACUCUACUCAAAUUAGCUCAUCAGCUUCCUUGUAGACAUUUAUUUUUAGCCAAGCAUCCUUUGCUUUUCUUGUUUAUUAGCUCUGCUACUCACUUGUAGUAUCGAUCUUAUUUGUAGCUUUUAUGUACAACCCUCUUUCAGUCAUUUAAUCUACAAGCAAUCUGCAAUAUUAGUCACUUUCCUCUGUCAUUUAUAUUUCCAAGCAACCUUGUCAUUUACAUAUUGUUCUAUCUCUCCAUAUAAGUAAAGUCCUUAUUUUUAAGGCAAACAAAGAACCUUAAUUUGAGUAACUCUCACUCAAUGGCACAAUCUCUUGGUUCGAAGUCAAUCUCAGGCGCAACCUCAAUCAUUCAGAAUCUGUCUACUAACGGUAUCUAGUAGUGGCAUGCCCGCACCCCACCAAUCUCGUAUGUGAAGUAAAUCCCCGGCUUGCCCGCAAGGCGCCAUGGCGAAUUUAGGGAGCAAACAUAUUUUGGCACACCCGGUGGGAUACCUUAAAUAGAGUUAUAUUAUGAGCAAUCCUUAUGUUCAUGAUUUUUCUCAAUAUGCUUUUUCGGAGUAUGAGGAGGAUGACGGUGUUGAAGAGCGCCCAAGCUAUGGCUAUCACAUAGAGCCAACCUAUGAGUUGUCAACUUAUGGGUACAUGGCUGAAAAGUACUCAAGUCCCAUGGAACAUGAUUGUCGGCCAACUAAUGGCCAUCAAAUAAAUAAUAAUCUUGAAGAUUGGCCAACUUAUGGCUAUGAUGAAGGUUAUUAUUCUUUUGAAGACAAUCAUAUUCAUGAAUACUAUGAUAGGCCAACAAAUGGCUUUGAGUAUCAAAAUGCUUCCAAUGAGUACAUAGAGCCAAUAUAUGAGAUACCAACUCAUGAUCAUCCAGAUGAAAAGCUCUACAAAGAGGAUGUGGGCAAAUUAGAGAAGGUGUCCAAACUCCAUGUGGCAAGCAUCGAUAUGGUGAAGAGGUGACCAAGUGUUUUAGAAAGGUGGAGGAAAGCUAUACCACUUUUGGAGAAACUUUGAGAAAGUUGAUAGAUCAAAUGUGUCAAAUCCCCUCUACAAAGCACACUCACCCUACUACAACCAAGGAAGAACAAAUCAUACACGUUGAUGAAGGCCAAACAAUGGCCCCACCCAAUGAAAAAUCCAUGAAAAUGGAUAUGGUUGUAGAAGGCCAAGCCGACAUAUUGAAACCGAUAACGGCUAAGAUGGAGCUUAUGGCUAUUGUAGGCCAAACACCAACGCUCGGGGGGCUCGAACUCACACCUCAUGUGGAGCCCGAAGAAGAAGAAAAUAUUUCCCACUCUCUUCUCCGCCAACACAAGCAUGUCAUCCAUACCAAGAUCUCAAGAAGGGCAAAGCUUGGGAUCAAACAUAAAUGGCCACCUCCUAUUGUUUCCAAGCUAUAUGGUAUGGCUAAUUUAAAUGGUGGAUCUAAUCUCUCUACACUCAAUUUUAAAAAGAGAAAAAGAUUUGAGUGUUAAGAGAUAUCUGGGCAAUCAAGGGGCUUAACCAAUAUGCCCAAGUGGGGCUUAUUUUGUUGUUUCCUCUUUUGCCUGAAGUUGAACUCCCAGUCUUCCUUUUCUUCUUUCCUUCUCUCUUUCCUUUUCUUUCUCUCCUGUUUCCUUUUGCCCGAAAGUAGGUGCCAAAUCCCUCCUCUAUUCCUUUUUCUUUAUUUCUUUCUCUUUGUCUUAUCUUGUCUUUCACUUUUCCCAAAAGGGCUAUAUAUAUACAGAGAGCUUAAGGGGAGGGAUCCCCAUUUUUUGAAAAAAAUGGGGAUUAGGUGUGGGGCCCACUUCACAUUGAACUUCAACAAUCCGAACCGUCUAUUUUGUUAGUCUCGAUUCAUAGAUCAUCCUUGCAAAAAUUCAAUUCAAUCCGAAACCAUUUGCCUAUUUAAUUAUCAAGAUCAAAUUUCAUUUUUUCUUAUAUAACAAAGUAUUCGUUUAUUUCAUUGAACCCAAUUAGAUGUCUUAAACAUUUCCAAUUUAGCUAAUAUUUUGCAAGGAUGAUCUAUGAAUCGAGACUAACAAAAUAGAUAGUUCGGAUCGUUGAAAUUCGAUGUGAAGUGGGCCCCACACCUAAUCCCUAUUUUUUUCAAAAAAUGGGGAUCCCUCCCCUUAAGCUCUAUAUAUAUAUAUAUAUAUAUAUAUAUAUAUAUUAUAUGUGAAAAGAGGGGAAUGGAAGUACUUUGCCCGAGUGGGCUUGUUAUAUAUAUUAUUUUAUAUAUUAUAUUAUAUUAUAGUUUUGAAAGUCAUUCAAAAAAAAAAAAAAAAAAAAAUCUGAGCAGUUUGCCCGAUUCCCUUUUCUUCAAAAUUUGCCCAAAUUGGUUCUUUCUUUUACUUUGGUCUGUGUUACCCGAGAGGGCUUUGUCCCUUUUUGUUUCUCUUGCUUUGGUUGCCUGACAGUCUUCCCUUUUAUUUGUUCUUUCACUUUUUCCAGCCAACCCAACAGGGCCUUUAAUUUCCUUUUUCUGUUUGCCCGAAAGGGCUCUGUUUUUUUGUGUGUUUCUUGUGCUGUUACAAAGAAAAAGAUAUAAAAAUUAAAAAUUCCAAAAAUCACAAAAACAUUUUGCUUUCUUGCUUUUGUUUUUUCUUGCUUUCUUUCCUUUUUUGUUUUCUUGCUGGGGAACUUUACAGAAAAUAUCAAAAAGUUGGGCAGCUUGUGAGUAGCCAUUUUUACCUUUCUUUCCACUUUUCUCUUAUCCAAUGAGUGUAUUUAGCCCGAACCCAAAAGUUGAAAUUAGAAAACCAUCUAGUGGCUGUACCCAAAUUCAUGGAAUGAGGAGUUUCAUAAAAAGCCGAAUCUAUGGCUUUCUUGCUGAAAAGCAUGUCAUCUGUGUCUCAAUGGCUAUUGCAAGAAAGCAUGGGGCUAUCUUGCCCAACUGGUGGUGCCCGAUGGAACCAUAACCAUGCCUGACGGUAAUGACGUCUUCCCUACUCACCACCAACAGACUCUGCAUGUCUCCCUAACGCUCACCAGUUCCUACAACCAAGGGUCGGGCUACUUUGACGACUACCAUUAGAGGCUACAGUAAGAGCUUUUGAUGUGGCUACUAUUAAUCACUGGAGACUAGUUUUCAUGGGUAAGAAAAUAGAAAAAUGGAGCUGCAUCUAAAUGUGAAAUCCGAAAGCUGGAGGAAGAUGACAGAAAAUUAUGUUGCUGUUGCCCGAGGAUGCUACAAUCUUGCCCGAUGAGCAUGACAUCUUCUCUGUUGCAAUUUGUUUAGAUGUUGUCAAUCAUAUAUGGGGCCCCAUGCUUGAUCUGGCAAACGUAUUUGAAGUGUUCAUGCCACUACAACCAGCAAUAAAUCAAGACCAGAUCUCUGAAGGAUUCUGCAGAUCGGUCGGUUCACUCAGACAUAACCACCUCCCUCCGAGCGGAACAAAAGCAACAGUGCAAAGUAGACAGCAUUACCUUGAUUUGGGAAGCAGAAUUCUGAACCUCAAGCAGGAUCUCUUGAUACGCAGGAGUUGGAGUAAGGAAACAAUGGCAGCCAACAUAAUAGCCGCAGCUUCGAAGCCAGACCUACCCGGCCUUCGGUCGUCAUCUUUAACCCCUUGGAGCUUCACCACUGGUUGAAGGAAGUAUGCAGAAAUUUACCUUUGCAGACGGAGCUUGGUUUACAUUUGCCCAGUUAAAAAGGAGGAGGAAGGGAUUGGAUCUCCAACAAACACUAAUAGCUUUCCGUUCUUUCUGCAACAAUCAAUUUUCAUGAUCCGUGGACUUGGGUUAUUUUCUUCACGCACGCACAAGGCAUACCCUUUCAUAGCUCCAGGAAAAAUCACCACUCUCUUCUCAUUUGACCAGCAGCUCUCUCUCUCUCUCUCAGACUUGGAUUAUGGUUGCCGCACCUUGAUCUUUAAGUGAUACCUCGAACAGAGAAACAACUUCUCUUUUGGAGAAGAGGAAAGGCUAGAGAACGACCCACGUUCAUCUUUUUCUCUCUAUCUCUCUCUCUCUCUAUCUAUCUCUUUCUUUUUCCUUUUCUUUUUCUUUUCUCUUGCUUUCUGUUCCUUUUCUUUUUCUUUUCUCUUGCUUUCUGUUCCUUGUCCCUUUCUCAAGGUAUGUCCUUCACUUGGCCCGAAAGGGCAGCAUACUAUAUAUAUUAUAGUAUGUGGCCUAAGAAAGAAAGUCUAGUCCUUUUUAUUAUUUCUUUUCCUCUUAUCUUUUUGUCUCUCUCUCUUUCUUUUCCUUCCUUUCUCUUUCUUCCUGUCUAUUUUUUCUUUUUGUUUUGAGUUGCCCGAAAGGGCUUUAUAUAUAUAUAUAUAUAUAUAUUAUAUUUGAAAAAGGCAAAAAGAAAAAGAUAAAAAAUAAUAGUUGCCAAAGUUUAUUUAUGUUUUAUCCUUCUUUUCCAGUUGUCCGACUUCGGGCAUUUUCAGUUUAUUAUCUAUGUAACCAGUGAAGAUGCUCUUAUGUUUUUUGGUAUCAACAAGAAGGAUGCACAAGUCAGACAACAUUUUUUUCCAAUGCUAGUUGCACUACCAAUUGCCUUGCUCCUCUUGCCAAAGUUUAUCAACGACGGCAGGACCGAAGAGGUAGACGUGCCUCUUCCUUCGACAUCAUUCUUGGCAGCAUUAGAGUUGUAAGUUUCACAAACUUUGCUCAAAUUUGUAAAACUUGGGGGGCACUGUUUGCACUCAAAAUAUGCCAAUUUUUACUUAUUUGGGCAAUUUGGGUAAAAUAUGGUAUUUGAAGGAUUAAUAUGCAAGAAAACUAACUUGGAAAAAUAUUUGGCUGCAAGUGGGGGGGGGGUUGGCACUAUAAUAUUGUUUUUCCCAUUUGUUUGGGUGGUGGAGGUUUGUCAAGCUUUUGUUUAAUCAAGAUACAUGCAUGUAUUGCAAGUGGAUGGAAGAGCUUUCGGGCAAGAAUGUGUAGUGAAAGAAGCUAGUUUGCUUCUUUUAAUUAUUUUAUUGCAAGUGGGAAAAUACAUGUGGUGGAGAUGCAACUUGCUUCUUUUUUAAUUGUUAGUUUAUUACAAGUGGGGAAACAUGUGCUAAAAACAUGUGGUGGAGAUGCAAAUUUCCCUUUUAAUAUUGUUUCUACAUGCAAGUUGGCAAAUGCAAAUGCAAGCUGCCCAAGCUUCUUUCGGGCAGGUACAAAGAUCUUAGCAAGGGGGCUCUUCCAGACCUCUAUAUAAAGAAGCAGAUGGAGAAGGAUUAUGGACACUCAAAACAACCAAUCAAAACUCUACUCAAAUUAGCUCAUCAGCUUCCUUGUAGACAUUUAUUUUUAGCCAAGCAUCCUUUGCUUUUCUUGUUUAUUAGCUCUGCUACUCACUUGUAGCAUCGAUCUUAUUUGUAGCUUUUAUGUACAACCCUCUUUCAGUCAUUUAAUCUACAAGCAAUCUGCAAUAUUAGUCACUUUCCUCUGUCAUUUAUAUUUCCAAGCAACCUUGUCAUUUACAUAUUGUUCUAUCUCUCCAUAUAAGUAAAGUCCUUAUUUUUAAGGCAAACAAAGAACCUUAAUUUGAGUAACUCCCACUCAAUGACACAAUCUCUUGGUUCGAAGUCAAUCUCAGGCGCAACCUCAAUCAUUUAGAAUCCGUUUACUUGCGGCAUCUAGUAGUGGCACGCCCGCACCCCACCAAUCUCGUAUGUGAAGUAAAUCCCCGGCUUGCCCACAAGGCGCCAUGGCGGAUUUAGGGAGCAAACACUUUGCUUUAAAGUUCUCAUCAAGAAGGAUGUUAUGAGGCUUGAUGUCGAAAUGUAGAAUUUGCAUUUUGCAACCUUGAUGUAGAUAUUGUUGACUUUUGUAUUUUAGGUAGGAUCCCUAAUUGAUAUGUAAUCCCAUGUAAUCACUUGUAAUUAGUUUUUCUUUCCUUUUAUGUUAGGGUUGUACACCUAUAAGUUCCUCUUAUUGAGAAGAAUAUAUCAUCAUUCAAAGCAUUCUCUUCUUGGCACCAGAGCCUAGGUUUUGAAAAGAAAAAAAAAAGAAAAGAAAGAGGAGACGAGAUCGUGCUCUGUACGGAAAACCAUAACUACCAGCCGCACAGCCAGUUGUGCAGCGCCGUCCGACCAGCAAGCGACGCCGUCGUUUCUGACCCGAGAACCCGAACUACCCGCCAUGCACCCAGGUGUGCAGUGUGCCGAUCAACCAGCGAGCGACGCCGUCGUUGCUGAUCCGAGUUCACCGAGCCACUCCCUGCAUCUACCACCACGAACCGAGAUUCAACCCACUGCCUGAAAUUUGUCCCAGAUUUCGGCCUGUGUAUCUGUUUUGCGUGCCCAGAUUCGAUUGAACCGAGUGCACCCACUUCACAAUGGCUCCCUGUGCUUGUCCUUUUUCAAAUGGAUUUGACCGAACCGGACAUGAGAGUAGGACCGAUCGAGACCAGUUCAAGACUUGUGAUCCCCACUGUAACAAGUCGUGUACCUCGAUUGUCGAAUCGAAAAUAGAUUCUAAUAUAGGUAACAAAGGUAAGGCUUUAAAAGUUUCUGCAUCUGUUACGAAUAAUACAUGGAUAAUUGAUUCCGGUGCUACUGAACAUAUGACUUGUGAAUCUAGGCAGGUACAAAUCCUAAAACCACCCACCAAAACUGUUGUGAGUGUUGCCAACGGUAAUGUUGUUCUCAUUAUUGGAGAAGGCACUGUCUCCCUGUCAAAUACCCUUAGUCUUGAUACCGUGCUUGUUGUUCCUUCUCUUGACCAUAAUUUAUUAUCUGUUGCUCAAAUAACUGUCGCCCUGCAUUGUCUUGUGAUUUUUUGGCCUUCCUUUUGUGUUUUUAAGGACAUUCGGACUCACAAGACGAUUGGUUAUGGUAUUAGGAAGGGGAAGCUCUAUUACUUGGAGCUGACAUCAAACAGUUUUCGAAUGUUGACUCACGCUCUUGCAGUGGACGGAAAUUCGGGGGAUAGGAAUAAAGCUUCGGAGGUUUGGUUGUGGCAUCGUCGACUUGGACAUGCUUCUUUCGGCUAUCUACGGAGGUUGUUUCCUAGCCUAUUUGUUAAGCAUGAUGUUUCUAGCUUUAAAUGUGGUGUUUGUGAACUAGCUAAAAGUCAUCGUGCUUCGUUUCCAUCCAGUUUGAAUAAAAGUUCUGUUCCAUUUAUGAUAAUUCAUUCUGAUGUUUGGGGUCCAUCUAAAACUGCUACAUUUGGUGGUGCUCAUUGGUUCGUUACUUUUAUUGAUGAUUGCACACGUAUGACUUGGGUUUGUUUGAUGAAAUCCAAAGGUGAAGUUACUUCUUUGUUUCAACAGUUUUACAAAAUGGUACAAGUACAAUAUAAGUCACAAAUACAGGUUCUCAGGAGUGAUAAUGGUGGCGAAUAUGUUAACUCUGAACUUCGUGCCUUUCUUGAUCAUCAUGGGAUUGUUCAUCAAACUACAUGUCCAUAUACUCCACAACAAAAUGGGGCUGCCGAAUGCAAGAACCGUCAGCUUCUGGAGGUUGUUCGUGCUUCUUUACUCGAGGCUCGUCUCCCGUUAUCCUAUUGGGGAGAAGCUCUCACCUCAGCUGCGUAUCUCAUUAAUCGUGUUCCAUCCCGAUCGGUUGAUUUUCAGACACCCCUUCAGGCAUUUUCUUUACAUGUUGAUGCUCCUGCAUUCCCUAAUCUUCCACCUCAUGUGUUUGGAUGUGUGGCCUUCGUUCAUCUUCAUAAACAACAGCGAAGUAAGCUUGAACCUCGAGCCUUACGAUGUGUGUUUGUGGGGUAUGCAUCAAGGCAGAAAGGAUACCGUUGUUAUCACCCACCGACGAAUAAGUUGUUUGUCACUAUGGAUGUUGCGUUUCAUGAGAAUGAUAUGUACUUUGCCAAUCUCGAGUCUUCACUUCAGGGGGAGAAUCAGAAAGAAGUUCAAACUCUUGAUUAUACUAUUCCAGAUAUAGAUAGAGUGAAUGAUUUGGAUUUAAGUGGUGAUGUCUUGGAAAUAAGUGGUGAUCAUUCACACGAAAAUAAUGAUGUGAAUGAAUUGGAAUUAAGUGGUAAUGUCUUGGAGACAAGUGGUGAUCAUUCACAUGGAAACAAUGUUGAAAACCUUGAAAGGGAUGAGUCGACAUCGCCAGAUAACUCACUGCCUGAUAGCUCACUGCCAGUUUCCUCACCACCGGACAACCCUGUGUCGCCAGCUACCUCACAGUCGAUCUUGAGUCCCAAUAACCAUAAUCAAUCGUCUUCGAUCCCGGAUGCACCACCACCACGUCGUCUCCCUGAUCGCAUCAACCGAGGUAUUCUUAAACUUACUUAUGAAGCCGACCCUAAAUGCAAAACUAGGUAUCCGGUGAGUAAGCCCAACCCUGAGUCUAAUGUGUUAUACCCGUUAAGUAAUUAUGUGUCUACCAGUCACCUGUCAGAAUCAAAUAAGUCAUUUGUGCAUCAAUUAUCUACUGUAUCUAUUCCUAACAGUGUGUAAGAGGCUUUAACUGAUCCACGUUGGCAAGUAGCAAUGAAUGAAGAGUUGAAGUCUUUGAAGAAGAAUGCUACCUGGGAGAUCACAGAUUUGCCAGCUGGCAAGAAACCUGUGGGAUGCAAAUAGGUCUAUACUGUGAAAUACAAAGCAGAUGGGACGGUGGAUCGUUUCAAGGCAAGACUGGUAGCAAAAGGAUAUACUCAAAAAUAUGGAAUCGACUACACAGAUACAUUUGCAGGAGUAGCCAAGAUCAACACAGUUCGUGUUUUGUUGUCCUUGGCUGCAAAUCUUAAUUGGCCUUUACAACAGUUCGAUGUGAAGAACGCCUUCUUGCAUGGAGACUUGACAGAAUAAAUUUAUAUGGAUCUUCCACCGGGAUGUAAUGCUCCAGAUAAAUACAAAAGAAAAGUGUGCAGAUUGAAGAAAUCUUUGUAUGUCUUGAAGCAGUCCCCUCGAGCAUGGUUUGGAAGAUUCACAAAAUCUAUGAAAGCAUUUGGUUACAGACAAAGUAACUCUGAUCAUACUUUGUUCCUGAAAAGACAGAAUGGGAAGCUUACUGCACUUAUUGUGUAUGUAGACGAUAUGGUGGUAACAGGUAAUGAUCCGGAAGAACGUGCGGCCUUGCAAAGAUACCUGUCUACAGAAUUUGAAAUGAAUGACCUUGGAUCCCUGAAAUAUUUUUUAGGGAUUGAGGUGUCGAGAAGCAGUUCUGGAAUUUUCUUGUCUCAGAGGAAGUAUAUUAUUGAUUUGUUGCACGAAACUGACAUGUCAGCUUGUCAGCCAGUAGCUACACCAUUAGAAGAAGGAUUGAAGCUUAGUGUUGAUCCUAAUCAAGUACCAAUUGACAAAGGAAGAUACCAAAGGUUAGUAGGCCGUUUGAUGUAUUUGGCACACACAAGACUGGACCUUGCUUAUGCCUUGAGUGUAGUGAGUAAAUACAUGCAUGAUCCUGGAGAACAACAUAUGAAUGCCGUGACGAGAAUAUUGCGAUAUUUGAAGGGAAGUCCGGGCAAAGGAAUUUUGUUUAAGAGGAAUAAUCACUUUAGUGUUGAAGGUUAUACUGAUGCAGACUGGGCAGGUUCCAUUGAUGAUAGACGCUCAACAUCAGGUUACUUUACGUUUGUUGGGGGUAACUUGGUUACAUGGAGAAGUAAGAAACAGAAUGUGGUUGCCCGUUCCAGUGCAGAAGCAGAAUACAGAGGUAUGGCUUUGGGGAUUUGUGAAAUUUUGUGGCUUAAGCUUCUGUUAAGCGAUUUGGGUAUACAACAUGAUCAGCCCAUGAAAUUAUUUUGUGAUAAUAAAGAUGCUCGUGACAUUGCACAUAAUCCGGUACAACAUGAUAGAACAAAGCAUGUUGAAGUUGAUUGGUUCUUCAUCAAAGAAAAAUUGGAAGGGAAAAUAAUUGAAGUACCAGCGAUAAGAACAGAAGAUCAGUUGGCAGAUAUCCUCACAAAAGCUGUUUCGAGUCACAAGUUUUCAAGUUUCUUACACAAGUUAGGCAUGAUCGACAUAUAUUCACCAACUUGAGGGAGAGUGUUGACUUUUGUAUUUUAGGUAGGAUCCCUAAUUGAUAUGUAAUCCCAUGUAAUCACUUGUAAUUAGUUUUUCUUUCCUUUUAUGUUAGGGUUGUACACCUAUAAGUUCCUCUUAUUGAGAAGAAUAUAUCAUCAUUCAAAGCAUUCUCUUCUUAUAUUCGAUCCCUUGACUCCAAGAGAAAUCUUGUACAUAGUCUUGAUAGUUAAGGGAGACUUCCUUAUUUGGAAUAAAUGUAUUUAUCAAGAGAGUCAUUAGGUAUGAAGUCAUAUAUUAGAGCGCUCUUUGAUCCCUCGACACAAUAUCCAAAAAGUUGCACCACAUUGGCACGGUGAAUCCUUCCGAUUGUAGCUAUUUCGCUAAUGAAAUCUUGGCCAUCAGCUUUGGGCUUGCCCAAAACUUUAACUGCUACAAAUCGGCCACUGCGUAGCUUUCCUUUAAAUACAAAGCCAAAGGCACCUUCGCUCAACUUGUCCUUAAACCUGCAAGUCAUUUUCUUGAUGUUCGAGUAAGAGUACCUUAUAGGCAUGAAGUUAUUGCAUUGCAAAAAAUCUUCUAUUGUGCUAUACAUUGAUAAAUGUCUUUUGCGCCAUGUAGAUUAAAAAUGCAGUCACAACUACAACUCCAAAAACAAAUCUGGCUAGGAAAAAUAACCCUGCAUGCAUUGACAUUAGUAUGUUAGAUCCACUGUACUACUUUUUCUUCCCUUUCUUUCCAAAUUACUUUGUCUUUGAUGUAAUUAAAGAGAGAAUGGGAAAUCUACAUAUGCUGAUAAUACAAUCUCGUAUUAGUUCUUACCGAUGCAUAUGAGUAUAAACCAUCCACGUACUGCAACAUAAUUAAUCGACAAUGAGUUUCAAAAGUGCAUAAAGUGAAGAAAAAAAAAUUUGAAAAAAAUCAAAGGGUGCCUCUAUUGACACCCAAAUUUUAGUUAGUUUCACUCAACUAAAAAAAAAAUUCAUCGAACUUUUUAAUUUGCCUUCGAAAUUGAGUUCACCCAACCCACCAACCAGCAAGCACCACUCAACCAAAAAAUGAACAACACAAAGAGCUGGCAUCGACGCUGUCGAUGAAGGAGGGACAUGAGGAUGGUGUAGUUUCGUCUGGCGCGCGGUAGUGGUUUUGUCUGUUCAUUUUCUCUUUCUUUUGGUAGGUGGAGGCUGGUGUGGAUUUGGGCGAACUUAAAAAUGAGGGGAAACUAUGAAGUUUGACAAAAUGUUUUAGUUAGGUGAACUUAACUAAAAUUUGGGUGCUAAAAAAGGUACCCAAAAUCAAAAGGCUUUUGUUUACCCAAUGCUAUGUACAGGUUUGACUUUUGUUUAUAUUCUUGGAUCUGUUGCUUGGUUGUAUAAUUUGGAUGUGGUUUUGUUUCAAGAUAAUUUGUUCUUCGUUUCUUGAGGCUUUUGUGUGUAGAUUUGAAACCGUUUAGCUUUCAAGCCGUUUAUACUCAAGGUAAAUAAUUUCGUUUUUUUCUUUUUAACCUUUUUUGUAAGAAUUUUUUAUUUAAUUUUGUGAGAGUUGUGUUUUCUAUAGUAUGAAAAUUGAAUCUUUGUGAUCUUAUAUCCUUAGAUAUGUUGCUUGGUUAUAUGAUUUGGCUGUGUGCAUUGUUUCAGGACAAUUUGUUCUUCGUUUUUGGGGCUUCUGUGCGUAGUUUUGAAGCCUUUUGUAGUCAACAUAAAUAAUUUUAUUUUUCUUUGUUUCUAGUCUUCUUUGUAAGAAUUUCUUAGUUAAUAUUUUGAGAAUUAUGUUUACUAUAGUAUGAAAACUGAAUCUUUGUGAUCUUCUAAGUGAUGUAACGUCAUUGCACCAUGUAUGACUGCCAUUAUCGAACAUGAAAAGCUUUUUUAUUUCUGUACUCCGUCCUUUCAUACGAUCUGCCUCAAAAAUGGUUUCAUUACAAGUUCUAACAUGAUUUUUGCGAUGUCUUAUGAAAAAACAAUGUCCACCAAAACAAUAGGAAAACGUCGCCGUCUGCUCUUCUUGGCUGAGCUUCAUGACUGGCCGAAUUCCCCUAUUCCCUUCCUCUUAUACUUUUUUGUAUUCGUUCACCAAAACAAUAGGAAAACGUCGCCGUCCGUUUGAUUGACGGCGAAAGAAAAAGACAGAGAAUAAAAGCCUGACGGAAUAUUGCGAUUUGAGAAAAAAAAGAAAGAACCACGUUGACAUAAUAUACUCACAAUAGGUGUACAAGGUUAAUAAAGCUUUACUGUGGUUCCAUUUUUUUGCAUACUUCAAAGGCUCUGAAUUGCUAAUGGAAUUAGCCUUUAGUUUUAGGAAGAAACUUGGAACCCCCUCCGUCCGUUCUAUCCCCAAUGGAAUUAACACUUGGAUAGUACUAUGACAAUGUGUCAUUAUUUGAUGCAUACCUGUAUAAAUUUAGGCUAAGUGUUUUAUACACAAAUUGGUACAGAUUAAGCUUCUGGGAGCAAAAUCAUAUACGGGAGAGCUAACUAUACAAUGAUACAUUCUUAUCUGUUAAUUAUCUUUGGUUACCAGCUAUCCAUGUUGCUGACAUAUUAAAUUACACAACAUCUAUUGUAAUUUAUGUCUUAUUAGUAACAUAAUGAUCUGGUUUCAAUUUGCUACAGGCAUUAUUUCCUGACAAUAGCUAUGGUUUUGAUUAUAGCUGUGACUGAAAAAUUAUUCCGAAACUAACAUUUGAGGAAUUCAAGGUUUGUUAGUUAAUUUGUACAUCAGAAUACCAUGACAAACUGUGAAGUUGUAAUUGUUGACCUUACAAUGUAUCUUUUUUGGUUUGGAGCAUUAGACUUAUAUGUGCUACUUUCACUUCAUGAAGGCUAACUCUUUAUUUUAGGCCUUAGAAUAUAAUUUCUUGGAGAAUCUACAUUGUUGUUGAUAAUUUUUUGAACAAUAUUAUCCCCAAAAUUUCUCCGCAUGUUACCCUCAACGUAGACAUCAUAUAACCAUCAUUGAACUUCUGAACCAAAAAUUUGAGUUUUGUGAUUAUAACUAAACAUCUAUAAACACAUGAUACAGAUUGAGACGAACGUCAAAUUUAAAAUGGCAUUAAUCAGGACAGCUGCAAACUCUGAUUUGCGGCCUUUGAAAUGGAGAAGUUACUUCUUGCUUCACUUCAGCAGCAUAGUCCAGCUUCUAAAUUCAGUUCUCAGGUAUGAGGUUUCUCAGUUACCUCUUUUUUGUAAUAAAACAUUUGACCAGUACUUGCCAGGAUAUCCAAUUAAUUAGGUCAGUUUUUGUCAGCCGUAAUAAUUUGUUUUUGCAACUUUAUAUGUGUCUCUGUCUCCAAAUGAUGAUCUCUUAAUUUGCUUCUAUAGCUUUUGUAAUAUGAUGAUCUCUUAAUUUGCUUUUGCAUAUCUUCUUUGCUUCCUCUGCUAGCUCUAUAUGAGAUUCCAUCUCCAAAUAAUUAUUAUUAUUUCCUAUUUUUACAGGAAGCAAAUCAUUGAAUACACAUGGAAAAUUAAAAGGGUUUUAGUUUUUGGAUUAGUUUAAAUUUUUUGUUUGUUAUUGCUUGUAUUGCUGUUAAAUAUUUGAUGGGUAGUUUGAAAUGGGGAACUUGGUUGAUCGAGUAUUAACUUUUAUUAAAUUAAUAUUCUUAUUCAAUAUUGAAUUAAGACUCCUCUUAUUAAAUUAAGACUCUUAAGGCUCUAAUCUAAUUUUCAUGCUCAACAUCUCCUCUAUCUUUCUACAAUUGGUAAAACUUUUGUAUUAUUAUUCCAAUUUUGGUUACUGGGUUGUGGAAUUUUCCAUUUUUUUCUGGGUAAUCAAUACUAUAUAUAUGCAUGAAAAGUAUAAACAAUAUUUUGGGUCAAAUUUAGUUGUUUAAUUUUUUAUUUUUUUUGUGACAGUGAGAUUAUGGUAGGAUUUCGUUUAGAUUCCGUGGCCCAAUGGGAGUCUCUGCUUUGAUAAGAUUGGGGUUGAUGCCAAGAAAGCCUUUCUACUGUGGACGCCGCAGCCGCCUAGCGCUGUUUUCCAAAAUCCUCUCUCACUUGGGUAAGCAAUUACGACUUUUUGGUUCAGUUUUUAUUAUGCCCAAUUUUGUAUUUAAACUGAUUUGGGGUUACUGAAAUAGGCAUGCUUGAUGAGUGCUGCAGAGCUGCCAUCCCUGAAUCAGAAGAUGUUCAGAAGGAAGAAGGAAGAACAAGAAGAAAAAGAAGAAGAAAGUCGUGGAAUAUCAAAAGCUUUUAGCUUUGUGAAGGUAUGCUUUUUCCCAACUCAUCUCUUGCUUUUGUUGCACUGAAUUGGUAGAUUGGGUUCAAAAUAUAUAUAUAUGUGAUUUUUUGUGUAACUAUUCUUUACAUAAUUACCAAUUGGAGGUGAUUUGAGAUCAUGUAACAUUUCCUCGCCAGAACCGAAGAUUGCCGUCGCUCAAAGCUGCGUUUCAUGAAACAAGUUCAUCUCCUGCCAAUUUUGUGUACCCACUUUUUAUUCAUGAGGGUUGGUGCUUGCUUGCAACAUAAUUUGGUGCUAUUAAGUUUUGCGGUUUUACAAUCUGUUCAUGCUUAAACCUCUUUCAAAUUUUCAUUUCUGUGUAAAUCUAGCAGGUAGGUCGACACACCUAUCUGGGCAAUGUCGGGAUGUCUAGGCUUGGGUGGAGACAUGGACUUAUGAAAGAGGUGAAGUAGCUUAGUUCGAUCUCAUUAGCUCUUAUCUAAAAAGUUCUAUUGAUUUUAUAAUCAAAGAUACAUAUAUUAUAGAAACAUAGGGUAUAUCAUUAAUUUCUUGAUGUAAACAAUUAUAACUUGAGCAACCAUUUAAAGUAUUUUGGUAAUCAGCAUACUUAAACUUAAAUGUGAUAUAUCCGUUUAGUUUUUUUUUUUAUACAGUGAUAAUACUCAAGUAUAAUUUACAUCAUAUAUCUUUUGAAGUACAUGAAACUAUGAAGAAAAUGAUAAACCAAAUCCCAUUCCAUCUCCGUUUGCUACUGCACAAUCACAAUCCAAUUCCAACAUGGAAUCCUCAGACGACAUGCCUACUGCAGAACAAGUUUCAUCUUGACUUAACUUCUAUUUAGUCCACUUCUUGUUUAGAUUGUAAUCCUAGUUCUACGUGUGUUUGUAUAGUACUCCUAUAAAUAUCAAUGAACAUCGCUCACUCUAAUUAAGAGUUGAGAUUCUGCAAAUCAUAUUUACUAUCUUUCAUGGUAUCACGAGCCAGGGUCUAACGACAACAGUUCAUGUUAUAAUUUUUUUCUCUUCUGCAGAUCCUAAACUAUGGCAUCUUCUUCCUCCUCCGCUGCUCCCUCCGUCUCAAAUUUUCUUACGAUUAAGCUCGACCGCAACAACUACCCUCUUUGGCGUGCUCAAUUUCUUCCCUUGCUGCGCAGCCGCAACUUACUCUCUUAUGUUACUGGCGAAACUCAAUGCCCCUCUGCCUUUCUUCUUGAUGACAAUGGUAAAUUCACAGACAAAGUCAAUCCAUUAUAUAAUGAAUGGAUCCAGACUGACGAGAUGAUCCUAUCUUGGAUUACGAGUUCUCUUACUCCCAAGGUUCUUGCUACGAUCGUCAACAAAAUUGAUAAAGCCUCUGCUUGGUCGUCAAACCCGAAUUAAUCUGAUUAUGGGGGUUUUGUUUUAUAUCAAUAUAUUGCAGCAGAAGUCGCACUUUGAAGAGUUCGUGCUGCACAGAAAGAUGAUGAAAUGCUACCUGUUGAGUCUAUCAUUGCUCCAUUGGAGACAGAGCUGAAGCUUGCUGCAGGAGUUAUACAUUUGUUAUGCAAUAUGACCCCUUUAAUUUUAUUUUAAAACUGAUACAAAAAUACUACAAAAAUUUAUGUAGUAUUUUUGUAUCAGUUUUGAGUGUCUAUUUUGGCUUCCAUAUUUCGUCUGUACAUGUGAGAGGUAUAGUGUUCAAUAUGUAUUUGGUUUCUAUAUUGUUAAUGGAUCUUCUUUUUUUUCUUUUUUUUUCUUUUUUUUUAAAGAUAACCAAGUUGCAGGAUGACAGCAGAACACUUGAUCUGCAGGUAAACCUUCAAUUUCCAUAUGAAGUUUGCAUGUUCGUUGUUUCUGGAAUUUGAGUUUUUAUUAUUUAUCAAUUCUAUCACAUAGAUUACGAUUUCACAUAUGGGAUUAUUAAUGGCAAUUAGAUGAUAGAAGAAUUGGGAUUGGAAGAAGAUAUUGAGUUGUUUAUUUAUGGGGAUUAGAAAAUGAUUAUCAUACGAGUGAUAUUUAUUUUUGUGUGGAUUGUUAAUAUAUAAAACUAUAAGCUUUUGAGAUUGGGAGACAAAACCCACACAUUCAAAUCAGACAAAAUAAAUAAAAAAUUUAACUGACUUAAAGAUCAAACUCCAAAAGGGUAUUAAAAACAAGGCUUAUUUGAUCCAUUGAGUGUGAAAGUUUUGAGCUUUGAAGAAGCAGAGGAGGAGAGUUGUUAACCAAGCUGCAUUAUCCAUGUAUUAGGAUGUUGAAGGUAGGCAGGAAAAUUACUUUUUGACGCCAUAUCCAGAGGAGCAUAACGACAGGCCUGCAUUUUUGCAGCAAUGACCAAAACAAGUAGAAGUGAAGGCUUGACUGUUUGGGUAUUCAUCCUAAACCUAAUUAUUCUUAUUUAGGUUUAGGAUAAAUGAUUGAGUGUGUCUCGAUGAUUGUAUUACUAUGUUUGAUGAAUGAUUUGAGGAGUUGGAAAUGGUUUAUUGCUUAUCUUUUUUUUAGGUGUGUACUUUGGUUAUUUCCGAGCUUUUCAUGACUUUUGAUACCUAAUAGAGAAUAUGGAAACCCCAACUUUAAUUUUAUGAAUUGGUUUUGGUGCCUAAAAUGAAAUCUAGCAUAGUGAAAUCUUGCAUAAUGAAAUUAUGACAAAUUUCCCUUCAUCUUUAGAUUUUCAUUUAAUUCAAUUCGUAUGCAAUUUAGGGUUAUUCAAUUCAUGAGUGAUCAAAUUAUGUUUUUAAUUCCUUCUUUUGAUUUACAGUUCAACAUUGUCGUACAAAAUGAAAAAGGCGCCAGUAACAGAGUUAUGGAUUUGGAUGCCUUUAGUGGAAUAAAACUGAAUUUUUUAACUUUGUAUAGUUGUAAACAUAAAAUACUCCAUGAGAUAGACUCAUAGCUUUUGAAAACAAUCCUUGAGGAUGGCAUAACAACAUCUCCAACUUUUGUCAUGUAAUGUAUGAAUGUCAAUAGCACUUCGUAAACAUAUGGAUGUAAUAUAUGUAUAUAAACACUCUUUAGCAUGUAUAUUUUUCAAAACUUUCUACAUCUUCAACAAUGUUUCAAUGAUUUCUUGAUGUAAACAAUGAUAAUUUGAAGAACCAUUUAAAGUAUUUUGGUAAUCAGCAUACUUAAGCUUAAAUGUGAUAUAUCCGUUUAUUAUUUUUUAUACAGUAAUAAUACUCAAGUAUAAUUUACAUCAUAUAUCUUUUGAAGUACAUGAAACUAUGAAGAAAAAACCCUAAUUAAUCUAAUUAUGGGGGUUUUGUUUUAUAUCAAAAUAUUGCAGCAAAAGUCACACUUUGAAGAGUUCACGCUGCAUAGAAAGACGAUGAAAUGCUAUCUGUUGAGUCCAUCAUUGCUCCAUUGGAGACAGAGCUGAAGCUUGAUGCAGGUGGUAUACUUUUGUUCUGCAAUAUGAUCCCUUUAAUUUUAUUUUAAGAUAGAUAGGGUUGAAAAAAAUUUAUGUAGUAUUUUUUUUUUUCAGUUUUGAGUGUCUAUUUUGGCUUCCAUAUUUGGUCUGUACAUGUGAGGUAUAGAAUGUUCAAUAUGUAUUUGGUUUCUAUAUUGUUAAUGGAUCUAUUUUUUUUUUUAGGUAACCAAGUUGCAGGAUGAAAACAGAACACUUGAUCUGCAGGUAAACCUCCAAUUUCCAUAUGAAGUUUGCAUUUUCGUUAUUUCUGAAAUUUGAGUUUUUACAGGAUGAAAACAGAACACUUGAUUUGCAGGUAAACACUUGAUUGGUUAUUUCCGAGCUUUUCACGACUUUUGAUACCCAAUAGAGAAUAUGGAAACCCCAACUUUAAUUUUAUGAAUUGGUUUUGGUGCCUAAAAUGAAAUCUAGCAUAGUGAAAUCUUGCAUAAUGAAAUUAUGACAAAUUUCCCUUCAUCUUUAGAUUUUCAUUUAAUUCAAUUCGUAUGCAAUUUAGGGUUAUUCAAUUCAUGAGUGAUCAAAUUAUGUUUUUAAUUCCUUCUUCUUUUGAUUUACAGUUCAACAUUGUUGUACAAAAUGAAAAAGGCGCUAGUAACAGAGUUAUGGAUUUGUAUGCCUUUAGUGGAAUAAAACUGAAUUUUUUAACUUUGUAUAGUUGUAAACAUAAAAUACUCCAUGAGAUAGACUCAUAGCUUUUGAAAACAAUCCUUGAGGAUGGCAUAACAACAUCUCCAACUUUUGUCAUGUAAUGUAUGAAUGUAAAUAGCACUUCGUAAACAUAUGGAUGUAAUACAUGUAUAUAAACACUCUUUAGCAUGUAUAUUUUUCAAAACUUUCUACAUCUUCAACAAUGUUUCAAUGAUUUCUUGAUGUAAACAAUGAUAAUUUGAAGAACCAUUUAAAGUAUUUUGGUAAUCAGCAUACUUAAGCUUAAAUGUGAUAUAUCCGUUUAUUAUUUUUUAUACAGUGAUAAUACUCAAGUAUAAUUUACAUCAUAUAUCUUUUGAAGUACAUGAAACUAUGAAGAAAAAACCCUAAUUAAUCUGAUUAUGGGGGUUUUGUUUUAUAUCAAAAUAUUGCAGCAAAAGUCACACUUUGAAGAGUUCACGCUGCAUAGAAAGACGAUGAAAUGCUAUCUGUUGAGUCCAUCAUUGCUCAAUUGGAGACAGAGCUGAAGCUUGAUGCAGGUGGUAUACUUUUGUUCUGCAAUAUGAUCCCUUUAAUUUUAUUUUAAGAUAGAUAGGGUCGAAAAAACUUUAUGUAGUAUUUUUUUUUUUCAGUUUUGAGUGUCUAUUUUGGCUUCCAUAUUUGGUCUGUACAUGUGAGGUAUAGAAUGUUCAAUAUGUAUUUGGUUUCUAUAUUGUUAAUGGAUCUAUUUUUUUUUUUAGGUAACCAAGUUGCAAGAUGAAAACAGAACACUUGAUCUGCAGGUAAACCUCCAAUUUCCAUAUGAAGUUUGCAUUUUCGUUAUUUCUGGAAUUUGAGUUUUUGCAGGAUGAAAACAGAACACUUGAUUUGCAGGUAAACACUUGAUUGGUUAUUUCCGAGCUUUUCACGACUUUUGAUACCCAAUAGAGAAUAUGGAAACCCCAACUUUAAUUUUAUGAAUUGGUUUUGGUGCCUAAAAUGAAAUCUAGCAUAGUGAAAUCUUGCAUAAUGAAAUUAUGACAAAUUUCCCUUCAUCUUUAGAUUUUCAUUUAAUUCAAUUCGUAUGCAAUUUAGGGUUAUUCAAUUCAUGAGUGAUCAAAUUAUGUUUUUAAUUCCUUCUUCUUUUGAUUUACAGUUCAACAUUGUUGUACAAAAUGAAAAAGGCGCUAGUAAUAGAGUUAUGGAUUUGGAUGCCUUUAGUGGAAUAAAACUGAAUUUUUUAACUUUGUAUAGUUGUAAACAUAAAAUACUCCAUGAGAUAGACUCAUAGCUUUUGAAAACAAUCCUUGAGGAUGGCAUAACAACAUCUCCAACUUUUGUCAUGUAAUGUAUGUAAAUAGCACUUCGUAAACAUAUGGAUGUAAUAUAUGUAUAUAAACACUCUUUAGCAUGUAUAAUUUUCAAAACUUUCUACAUCUUCAACAAUGUUUCAAUGAUUUCUUGAUGUAAACAAUGAUAAUUUGAAGAACCAUUUAAAUUAUUUUGGUAAUCAACAUACUUAAGCUUAAAUGUGAUAUAUCCGUUUAGUAUUUUUUAUACAGUGAUAAUACUCGAGUAUAAUUUACACCAUAUAUCUUUUGAAGUACAUGAAACUAUGAAGAAAAAACCCUAAUUAAUCUGGUUAUGGGGGUUUUGUUUUAUAUCAAAAUAUUGUAGUAGAAGUCACACUUUGAAGAGUUCACGUUGCAUAGAAAGACGAUGAAAUGCUAUAUGUUGAGUCCAUCAUUGCUCCAUUGGAGACAGAGCUGAAGCUUGCUGCAGGUGGUAUACUUUUGUUCUGCAAUAUGACCCCUUUAAUUUUAUUUUAAGACAGAUAGGGUUGAAAAAAAUUUAUGUAGUAUUUUUGUAUCAGUUUUGAGUGUCUAUUUUGGCUUCCAUAUUUGGUCUGUACAUGUGAGGUAUAGAGUGUUCAAUAUGUAUUUGGUUUCUAUAUUGUUAAUGGAUCUAUUUUUUUUUUAGGUAACCAAGUUGCAGGAUGAAAACAGAACACUUGAUCUACAUGUAAACCUUCAAUUUCCAUAUGAAGUUUGCAUUUUCGUUGUUUCUGGAAUUUGAGUUUUUGCAGGAUGAAAACAGAACACUUGAUCUGCAGGUAAACACUUGAUUGAUUAUUUCCGAGCUUUUCACGACUUUCGAUACCCAAUAGAGAAUAUGGAAACCCCAACCUUAAUUUUAUGAAUUGGUUUUGGUGCCUAAAAUGAAAUCUAGCAUAGUAAAAUCUUGCAUAAUGAAAUUAUGACAAAUUUCCCUUCAUCUUUACAUUUUCAUUUAGUUCAAUUUGUACGCAGUUUAGGGUUAUUCAAUUCAUGAGUGAUCAAAUUAUGUUUUUAAUUCCUUCUUUUGAUUUUCAGUUCAGCAUUAUCGUAUUUUGGAUGCCUUUAGUGGAAUAAAACUUAAUUUUUUUAACUAUGUAUAGUUGUAAACAUAAAAUACUCCAUGAGAUAGACUCAUAGCUUUUAAAAACAAUCUUUGAGGAUGGCAUAACAACAUCUCCAACUUUUGUCAUGUAAUGUAUGAAUGUAAAUAGCACUUUGCAAACAUAUGGAUGUAAUAUAUGUAUUUAAACACCACUCUUUAGCAUAUAUAUUUUUCAAAACUUUCUACAUCUUCAACAAUGUUUGAAGCCCCGCAACAAUGGGCGGGUACACUUGCUAGUAUACAUCUAAAAUUAUAAGACUAAAUCCUUUAGUUCUUGGAUUCAUCUAAGAACUACUUAUUCCAGCAGAUGUUAUGCUUGCACUACUAGAAUUUAUGGCUUGCCCUGUCAACUAUUGCGCGACAGAAGACUUCGUCGGUUUCACCUUUUUUAACCGACAUAAUAUAAGUUUAGUAGGGCAAAAUCAGUCAACAAACUGGGUUGACUGAAUAGAUUUACAGGAUGUCUAGAGUUCGUAGGUUAAGACAUCAGUCGUUGGGCAAACAUUUGGAGCGAAGAUGUGAGUGUUUUAACUGACGAAUAAGCUGGUCGUCAUGUAGAUCUUCUUUCCCGACUGAUGGUUCAACGAGUAGCUCUUUGGAUAACAAUUCAUCUUCAAGGGGAACAGGUUGCCCCUCAAAUGAAUGGUUAGAGGCAAUUGUGAGACUAUAAUUUUCUAGGGCCGGAAUAUCUAUAACCAUCCACCAAAUACCCCUUCUUCCCUUUCUAUUUCUCUCUCAGUAAUUUCCCCUGACCGAAUCACACAAUCCAACCAACUCUCUUUAAGCCUCACUCAUCGAUUCCAUGGAUUUCAUGGACUUAUCCCACCCUCUCUCCUUCCCCCUAUAUAUAGCAAGUCCCCUUGCCUCAGUGUCCCUGGCAACAAAAUUUAUGGCGUGUAUUCGGUCUUUCAAUUAUUUGAAAGCUUCCCUGCCUUGCAGUCUUGUACAAAGGCGUAUGGUGUUUCAUUAGUUCCAUUUGGUGGUUGGGUGGGAAAUGAAAUUAAAACACUGCAUUUCCAAUGGUCUAAACCAAAUUGAAUCAAAUGUGAAGCAAAGGGCAAGAAGUGUAGAUUGAAGAACAAUGGCACCAAGAGCGAAAUUGAACUUGUUGACAGGAGGAAACCAAGUAAGGAUAACGCGUCUAAAUCUUAUUUCGAAUCCAUUCAGCUCAUGAUGUUUUUAAUGAUGAUGAUCGGUAUACUUUGCUACAUGCUGUGAUUUUUCCGCUUUCAUGUAAUUAACGGCUUAUAUUUGUGGUAACGAUAUUGAUUAAUUUUGAGAAAUGACAGUCUAAUUUUUGCAACUGUCUUUUGCAGGCAAAACAAAGACGUUUGCAAGGGUGAGUUAUGUAGGACCAAUGUUUAGCUUUGUUUCAUGUCCAAAUGACACUUGAGAAUAAAUGUUUACUCAUGGAUAAUAUCUAUCUAUUUGCAGGAGCAACCCUGGGUUUAUUUGUUCUUUUACUACUGGUCAUUGCCGCAUAUCACGCCUAUAGCACUGACAAAAGUAAAAAGAAAAUCGAAUGAAAUUUGGUAAGUUUUCAGCGGACUACAAAGAUCUUAAGCCAAGCAUAUAUUCCCAUUCAGAUAUUAAGAGGUUUACAAAUCAAUUCAAGUACAAGUUGGGCCAAGGAGCAUACAUAAUUGUUUUUAAAGGAUAGUUUUUUUCUGAAUGCUUUGUUGCCAUGAAAGUACUUAACAUUUCCAAGGGUGACGGGGAAGAGCUUGUAAAUGAAGUGGGGAACAAUGGGCCAUAUUCACCAUGUCAAUGUGGUUCACUUGGUUGGUUUUUGUGCUGAUGGAUUUAGAUGAGCUCUGGUUUAUGAGUUCUUUUCCUUUGGUUCACUCCAGGAUUAUAUUUCAUCAGUAGAUAGAUUUCUUUCCUUGGUUGGCAUAAGUUGCAAGAUAUUGCUAUCAGCAUAGCCAAAGGAACCAGGGAUGUGAUCUACAAAUCCUCCAUUUCGAUAUCAAACCCCAUAAUGUUUUGCUCGACCAAAAAAUCACGCCAAAAAUCUCUGAUUUUGGUCUGGCCAAGUUAUGUUCCAAGGAUCAAUCAAUGUGACUAAAGCAAGGGGGACCAUGUGACUAAAGUACCCGAAGUGUUUUCCAGGAAUUUCGGAAAUGUGUCUUACAAGGCAGAUGUCUUGAAUGCUGCUGCUUGAGAUGGUAGGAGAAAAGAAGAAUAUUGGUUCAACUAGAGGACACAACAAAUGAAAUCUACUAUCCAAAAUGGAUUUAUAAUCUUCUAGAGGAAGGAAAUGACCAACAGAUCCCUAUUGAGGAAGAAUGUUAUGGUAAGAUUCCAAAGCAACUUGCAAGUUUAGGGCUCUGGUGCAGCCAGUGACACUCGGUGGAUCGGCAGUCCAUGAAAACGGUGGUUCGGAUGUUAGGAGGAGGAGAAAACUUGAUGAUGCAAGCAAUCCUAAAAGCCUCAUACAGUUAGAAGUAAUUGCUGAAUUAGAGUAACAUAUGUAUAUGUAUACGCACCAACACUAGUCGUUCUUAGAUGAAUCCAAGCCAAACAAUUACAGACAACAGUUAUUCACUAAAUCACUUUAAGGCAAGAAUUUAAUUAAUAAUACAUUACUGCACUUUCUUAACCAUUUGACCAUCACCUAGCAGACAAUGAACACGUUAGCUCCGCGUUAGAACAUCUUGGGUUCAAUUCAUUGUCUUGAAUAUCACCCUCUGUCACAGGCGUCUCUAGGGGGCAUAGAGAAGGCCUGAGAGGCAUUUGCAGACAUUCAACAUCACCUCCAAGCAUUUUGACAACUUUGGACAUCGAAGGGCGAUCACUUGGUUUCAUUUGAAUACACCAUAAGGCGGUUAUAACCAUCCUUCUUAUUACUUUCUUUUCCUCCUCUGUAACAUUGUCCGUUUCCAAGUUAUUUCCCACAAUAUACUGAUCGUAUACCCACAUUGGGAAGUAGAUUUGGCUUGAAUGCUCUACCGUUGGAUUCAAAUUCUUCCUUCUGCUUGCCAUCUCCAUCAACAACAUUCCAAAACUAUAGACAUCUGACUUGUAUGAGACACCUCCAAUAUUUUUGUAGAACAACUCAGGAGCAAUAUAUCCCAGUGUACCUCGUGCUGCCGUCAAAGAGACAAUGCUAUUAUCUACAGGAUACAAUUUUGCAAGCCCAAAGUCAGAAACCUUUGCUUUAAAGUUCUCAUCAAGAAGGAUGUUAUGAGGCUUGAUGUCGAAAUGUAGAAUUUGCAUUUCGCAACCUUGGUGUAGAUAUUCGAUCCCUUGAGCCACUCCAAGAGAAAUCUUGUACAUGUUCUUGAUAGUUAAGGGGACACUUCCUUCUUUGGAAUAAAUGUAUUUAUCAAGAGAACCAUUAGGCAUGAAGUCAUAUACUAGAGCGCGUUUUGAUCCCUCAACACAGUAUCCAACAAGUUGCACCACAUUGGCAUGGUGAAUCCUUCCGAUUGUAGCUAUUUCGCUAAUGAAAUCUUGGCCAUCAGCUUUGGGCUUGCCCAAAACUUUGAUUGCUACAAAUCGACCACUGCGUAGCUUUCCCUUAAAUACAGAGCCAAAGCCACCUUCGCCCAACUUGUCCUUAAAUCUGCGAGUCAUUUUCUUGACGUCCGAGUAGGAGUACCUUAUAGGCAUGAAGUUGUUAUUGCAUUGCAGAAAAUCUUCUAUUGUGCUAUACAUUGAUAAAUGUCUUCUGCGCCAUGUGUAGAUUAGAAAUGCAGUCACAACUGGAACUCCAAAAACAAAUCUGGCUGGGAAAAAUAACCCUGCAUGCAUUGACAUUAAUACGUUAGAUCCACUGUGUACUACUUUUUCUUCCCUUUCUUUCCAAAUUACUUUGUCUUUGAUGUAAUUAAAGAGAAAGAAUGGGAAAUCUACAUAUGUUGAUAAUACAAUCUCGUCUUAGUCCUUACCGAUGCAUAUGAGUAUAAACCAUCUACGUGCUGUAACAAAAUCAAUCGACUAUGAGUUUGAAAAGUGCAUAAAGUGAAAAAUAAAUAAAUAAAUAAAAUCAAAGGGUGCCUUUAUUGACACCCAAAUUUUAGUUAGCUUUACUCAACUAAAAAAAUUUUGUCAAACUUUUUAAUUUGCCGUCGAAAUUGAGUUCACCCAACCCACAAAGCAACAACUACCACUCACCAAAAAAACCAACAACACACAUCCACCAGUACCACUCACCAAUAGAAAGAGAAGGAACACACAGACCCACCAAGGAGCCGGCAUCGACGCAUCUACGAGGGAGGGACCGGAGGGUGGUGUAGUUUUGUUGGGCGCGCGGUAGUUGUUUUGUCUGUUCAUUUUCUCUUUCUUUUGGUAGGUGGAGGCUGCUGUGGAUUUGGGCGAACUUAAAAAUGAGGGGAAACUAUGAAGUUUGACAAAAUGUUUUAGUUAGGGGAACUUAACUAAAAUUUGGGUGCCGAUAAAGAUACCCAAUAUAAAAAAUACUUGAGCGUAUAGACUAAUUAAAUGAAGUUGAUCUUACCGAUCGGGUGGCUGUAUGAUGAAUACAACUUGCCAGCUGCAAUAGAUACCACAGAAAAGUGAGCAAAGACAUACAGUUACUAGGUUUAAGAAGUACAGAUAGAGCACACAAAAAUAAAAGAAGCUUUUGGAGAGAAACUUCUUACGCAAAUAUAUGUAUUCAUGACCUACAGUGAAAAUUGUGAAGAAGAAUACACAACAUUAGCAAUAGCUCACCCAGUCUUCAGAAUUUAAAAAAAUCAAGUUUGUCGAUCGAAAACUUGUAAAUAAAACAAAAAGAGGACCCCUUACUGAUUUGUUGCCAUAGAUAUUGAAAGAAACCUACAAGAACAAAGAAAGAACAAGACCACAUGCAUUAGCAUAACAAGUGUGAGGUGUAUAAGUCGUUAGAAAAUAAAUUUAGAAUUCUAGUGCUGUCAAUACAUUGAUAAUAUAAUAUAUAUGUGUUAUUUUUUCUGAAAAUUUAACUUUCCCCCUCCAAACUCAUUUUUCUAGCCUCUAGCCCAUCAUAUAAUAUUUAUCCGAAUAAAACCCAAUGAUUAGGAUCCAACUAAGAAACUUACCAAAUUAAGUUUGUGUGUCCAUUUUUAUAUUUUUUGGAUCGCUAAUAUACCCCAUCUAAGCCAGUAUGGAAAGUUCUUGUAAUUUUGUUUUAAUUGAUCACGUGCAUUGAAUUUGGCAAGGUCUUGUAGCCAUGAAAAAUGGUUCUAGAUGGAGGAAUUAAUUGGGAUUUUUUUUUUAAUUUUGACAACAAAUUUCAAUUUGAAUAUACCUAAUUUAGUGUUUAUUUUCAACAAUAUCUAUUGUUUAAUUUUAUGAAAAUAAUUUACCUACUAUGAAAAUUAAUUUUAUGAAAACAAUAUCUAUUGUUUAAUUUUAUACCUAUAGGAUAAUUACAUGAAAAUAGUUUACCUACUAUGAAAAUUAAUUUUUUCAAAACAAUAUCUAUUGUUUAAUUUUAUGAAAAUAAUUUACCUACUGUAUAAUUACAUGAAAACUAAUGUGCCUAUUUUUUAAAUUUGUUACAAAAUUAAUUUACCUACUCUUUAUGGUAUUAGUAAUAUAUGUCCGUACGUAUUUGAUCUAAUUAGGUUUUGGAUUGGAGGAGUUGACACAAAAUUAUAAAUAUAUUAAACAAAUUUAUCUAUCCUUAAGUUGGAGGGGAAUUGGCCUGCACAUUGCUACGGUAAACAAAUGCCACUCGAUUUCACGUUAUUUACAACAAAGCUAUCAGAUUUGGGUUGGGUUGGAGGGUAAUUUUGUGCAUAGGGUUUAGGUGCCCUCCUAUAUAUGACCCUUGAUUUUACUUUAUUUACACCACUGCCAUCAAAUAUGUGGCUGAAUUGGAGGGUAUUAUUAAAAGUUAGGAGGAUAGUUUUGUCCAAGGGGUGGGGGCGACAUUCGCAGACAGGGGGCGAUGGGAGCCAUGCCCAUUGCACAGAAACAAAGGGAGUGAUGGGGGAAAUUACAGACAGAAAAGGAAGGGAUGGGGGGAUUUGAUGGGUGGUCACAGAGAGAUUGGGUGAGGGAUGUGAGGGGACAUUACAGAGAGAUAAAUAAAAGGGAGGGAUCGGGUGAUUUGAGGGAUGGUCAGAGAGAGAAAUAGUGAGGGGGAUGUGGGGCUGAUUUUCGGUUCCUCCUUCCAGAUUUGUUCCGUAAAACCUGUUGGGUACAAUUCAAUCCCUCCCCCUUUCCCCUGAACGAAAAAUUCGAAACCUACAACUCAAAACUCACUCAUUUGUCGCCCCUCCUUGGCUUUCCGCUUUAUUCAUCUCCCGGUGUUUCUUUCUCUCCAUACGAUUCGAUUUCGGUGAGUUCUUCGUUGCCCUCAUGAUUUCCCAGUUUGAUUUUUUGAGCGUCCUUAGUCGUUGUUUUUAUCUGGGUUUACUGCGUUGUUGCUUUUAGUUUCUGGAUUUUUAUUUUUUCCGCGGUUGGAUGAAUCGUGGUUAAUAAUUUCACACCAUGGGAUUUUCGCACUUCUGAUGGAAUUGAGCGCGGGGAUUCGGGGUGGGGUUUUACUGAUAAUUUGUCUUCAUUCAAAUGAAUGGUUAAAAUUUCUGAAGUGAGUGUGCAGGUGGGCCCGUUCACUAACUAAGCUUUCAAGGGAACCCAUCAACGGUUUGUUUGCUGGGGGAAUUCGGAGACUACCAGUGUAUGAUUUAGUUAUCAUUUAUUUUUUUACUUAAUUUUAUCCAUAUAUAAUAUGUGGGUAAAUUUAUACUAAACAAUUGUGAUAAGCCAAUAUGCCAUACGACUUUGAAAGCAUUGAUUUUGUGUUUAGUUUGCAUUUUUGCAUUGUGAAUGUUGAAUUUUGUAUUUAAUUUGGAUUUUGUGUUUGAAUUUGUAGCAUGAUCUUCCGCUGCAGCAUCCAAAUUUUGCAUUUGUAAAUUGUCAAAGAAAAACGAAGUAUGAGGAAAUUAUAGGAGAUUGUGUCGGCUUUGGCCAUGAAGGGUAUCAGCAGCUUGUUCCCCCAUACAGGUGAUUAAUCGUUUUUCAGUCUCUGUUCUAUUUGGAUGAGAAAGUGAUUGAAAAAUAUGAUUUUUUAUUUGUUGGUUGAUUUUGUAUGGACGAUGUAUUAAUUUUAUUUUUUUUGGGAUUUUGUGUAUUGGGUAUUGUGUAGAACCAGCAAUGCAAGAGCAGGAUCUGAUCAGUCACGCCCGAAAAGGGGUUUGUUUCUCAAAUCACAUUAAUUAAUUAGAUUAUUAACGUGCGUUGGAAGGCUCUUCAAUAUGAUUUCUAAUUUCUCCUUUCCAGCAUUCUCUUUUUGGUUUUUGGAGUAUGUAUGUGAUUUGUAUUUUUUUAUAGAAUAAAAAUUAAUAAAACACGAGAUGCAGCAAUUAAUUUGCAUCCUUAUGACAACACAUAUGAAAGUGCAUUCAAUUUCAAUGUGCGAAUGUGUGACAGGAUGUGCCUGCCUCCUUGAAAACACUUUAUGUGAACAAGUGUGAGGUUCUACAUAAAAACAGGGCCAGUAAUACCCUGAACGUGGAAUCCUUACGAGGAUCUCUUGAAAAACUGACAAUAAAUGGAUGCCCGGGUCUCUCAUUGUUACUAGAGUCGACGGAGACGCUGCCGUCGCUUCAGAAGCUUGAUAUUGAUAGUGUUGGUGGGAAAGAGUUGUUGGCGCAAAUGGUGCACAACAGCAAUCGUCUUCAAAGUUUGACUUUAUAUAAAUGUUACUCACCCUUGUCGUUCCCUACAAAUGGUCUGCCCACCACGCUGACGUCACUGAGCAUAACAGAUUGCAAGAAAUUAGAAUUCCUAUCACGUGAGAUGAUGGCCAAAUUGACUUCCCUUCGGUCUUUGCGUCUAUCCAACAGCUGUGAACGCAAAGGCUUGAGUAUUUGCAGUUUAGUUUUUUUUUUCUUCAUUUUAGAGAUUUUUCUACUGUUUGGUUUUUGGGUUUUGUCUAAUUUUUGUGGUCUGCUUUAUAGAUUGUUCUCUUUGGAAGCUUCUUUCCAGCCUUGACCUUCUUCUUGCCUGGUGCCUUCUCAUUGAGUAUUGGAGGAGCAUUAAAACACAGGUGUGUGUGUGUUUUGUCGACGUAAGAGAUGAACGACAUAAAAACAUCCAUCUCUGUAUUUUUUUGUGCUUUUUCUAACCCAUCAAUUUCUUUUGAGUCAACCAAAUAGUCCCAAAUUGCAACUUAUGUUGUGAGGUAUUAUUGUCUAAAAUUAAGUAUGCAUGUAUAUUUUAUGUUUAUGCCCGCGCACACCUCCGCAUGGUGUUAAUCUCUGUGGGUCAUCUAUGUAUAUGUAGAUAUAUCUAUAUGUGUAUGUGUGGAAUGCAACAUAUCGGAUUUAGGUUAUACUGUGCAUAGUUUUAUUGCCUGUUAUUAUCUACGAUAUCACUAUGCCAUUUCUAUACUGGCUCUGAAAGUUAUUCAUGAGCUUAUAAGCACUUACCAUAAUUUAAGCAGUCUGUUUUGGGUUCUUUUUCAUUAGGUCAUUAGCUACAGAUUAAUGGAGAAACGAGGACCAUGCCACUGAUUUGGGUUCUUUUUCUAAUUUUCUGAUUUUGGGGUUUUGCAGGGAGUACUGAUGUACUGAUUUUCUGGGAUUUUUUUUUGUCCUUGCAGGAUUUUUGGUCUUUGAAAUGGGUAUGUGUUGUUUUUAAUGUUUCAGUUCUAGCGUGUUCCGUUCUUCGUUGCUUCGUGAUUCUCAUUUUUCAGUGUUGGGUGAUGGAAAUUUGUUAAAGUAGUUGGUAGUUUUUUGAGAAAGUUGGCAUUUUUAGUUAUAUUUUCUGUUUAAUCCUAAAUGUAAGACUGGAAAAUCAUUGAAAUGAUGGUUUUUUAAAAACUCAUAAUUUUUUUGUUCUGGGAUUUAAAAGCAUCUUUUCCAGAUUGGUUACAAGGGUUAUGUUCUCUUCAAUUGGUUCACCUAAUUUUGAUUAGUUUUAAGUUUUGUCCUUUUAAGUUUGUCUUUUAAGUUUUGUUCUUUAAGUUUUGUCUUUUAAGUUUUGUUCUCUAAGUUUUGUCUUUUAAGUUUUGUCUUCUGUGCUGUAAUGAGAGAUUUCUGUUGGCUUUUCGGAUUUUGGCAUGGGAAAGUUCACUUAUUUGUCUAAUUAGAUUGUGUAUGCCUUCGAUUCUUUAUUUAAUUGUUCUGUUUGCGUUCGGGUGUGAUGAUCUAAAUUUCAUAUGUUUGGAAUUAUUUACUUAACACCAAUUUGUUACAUUCAGAUCUCCACCCCACAUUUCACUAGUUGAAAUUCCAUAGAAGUCGGUUACUGCAGAUUGCGUCUACAAUUAGAUCAGAGAUCAACUGCUCUUUUGUUAUCCUGCAGAAGAUUGCUUUUGGGAAGGAUCUGAAGUAGUUUCUCUCUGUAUGUUUAUUCCCAUGUAGCUCUGUCUUUUCUAAUUGUGUUGAUAUUACACUGUAAUUCAUGAUGAUGAUUUAAUUGUUUAUUGAUUUGUAAUUGAUUGUGAAUAAUGUGGCAUAUAUGAAUUGCAAUCUGUGUUUGUAUGAAAGGGAUGGCAUAUUAUGUUGCUGACUUAAUUGUUUAUGUUUUUCAUAUUUGCAAAUGGUGUUAUGAUCAAUUAGGUGAUUGCUGACCUGUGACUUUGUUUGGAGCUCAAAUUUUGUGAGCAUUACAUUGGAUUGUUUUGAUGUUGUUUUGGUUAACAAUGCAGCGAUAGGAGAAACAAAGAGGAUGACACUUAUAACUGCCCUUCCCCAUCGGCCGUCUUCAAAUUUGGAUCACAAGAAGGGAGCAACAUAGGUGUUUUCCUUCUUCAUUUAGAUAUGGUUAGUGUAAAUAAUUGGACAAAAGAGCCAAACAAACCCUGUUCUCUCAAAUGGAGUCGAUGAUGUGGUCGACGGCCACCAGCCCCAACUCAAGAGUUUGGCCUUCAUAUAAUUGGAUUGUAGUAUAAUUUUAUUUUGGUUCAUUUCUUUUUUCCUUUAUAUAAGUGCAGGUGUUGUGAUGUUUUGAAUAAAGGGUGAUGAAAGGUGGUUCACACACUUCCUCCUUACUUAAAGCAAGUGGAGAUGACGGUUUGUAUAAAAAGAAAAACUUGCCACGUACUUCAAUUUUCUAUUUUAUUAAUUAUUGUUUGGUUUUCCAAAUGUUGUAUUCACUAAGAGACCAAUUAUGUCUUUGAGAAACAAGUUUCUUUGUCUACAUUGCGAGAAUUUGCAGUUUGCAACUUUCAUUGGUUAUUAUAUUUGAUUGAGUUAAACUUGGAUUUCUGGAUUUUGACUUUUUCGUUUGUUUCUUUGUUGCAGAGUUGGCUUCAUUUCAUUCCAGGAACUGUCUAAAUAGGGCCAAGAACUCACUAAUAGGUAGUCAAGAAGAAUUCAGUGUUGCCUUCAAUUUUUGCCUUCUGUUUACAUUCUUCCUGGAUGCACUCUCACCGCUUCUCUCGCUUACCACUUUUGUCUCACUCACCGCUUCAUCUCUUCUGUUGCUUACAAGGUCGUGUCAUAUAUUUUUUUAAUUUUGUGUGGUUUAAUUUAUUGAAUAUUUGAAAAAAGAGAUAAAAUUUUCAAUUUACAAUUACUGAUAUGAUGUUUGUUUUGAAAAUCAUUAAGGUGAAUGGAGAGAUUUACAACCAUGAAGAGCUGAGGAGCCGUUUGCCAAAUCAGAUUUAUAGGGCUUCAUCAAUUAUAAAUAAACGACUUUUCAUUCCCAAUGACCUUUAUCGUUUUUCUUAAUGGGUUAGCUGAACAUGAGGUAGAUGCUGACUUUAUCAAAUAUGAGAAUGUUUUAGGAUUUCAUUCUAAUUUUUUGGCUGUUUGAUUACUUUGCUUUUCGUAAUUUGAUUUGCUUAUCGUCAAUUGGAUGGGAUAAAACAUAUUUUUGUAACCAGUUUGUACUUUUUUUUUCUUUUUUUUGUGGAAACUAACCAGUUUGUACUUUUACCAAUUACCAUAUCGGUUUUGAUGGAAUUGGAGCUUUCAGUAAUGGGUUCUGAGGGAAUUGGAGUUCUGAGUAAUGGGUUUUUUUUAACAACUAUAGUAUCAUUUGUGAUUCAUUUAUUUAUAAGAUAUUAUAUAGGAAACUGUUUUUAGCACUCUAAAAAUCUUAUUCUACACUCUCGACAAAUGUAUUUUUCUUUCUAAUUAUGAAAAGUUUGGAGGGCAAAAUGAGAAUUGUGGAGUGCCAAUAACAAUUCCCUAUUAUAUAUAGCUCUACUAGGAAGGCGACUGUAUGUCUUCAUCCUGUUAAAUUGUAUAUGGCUCUUGAUGUCGGCUGAAUUAAAUCAAAAUGAAAACCAAGCUGCUGAUCUUACCAGCCCAUAUCACUUAUCACUUGCUUAUUUAAAUUAUUUGAAGAUGCGUAUGUGGAUUGGUGAUUUUGUUGGAUUCACUUGGCUCAAAUAUAUGUUAUCUGAGUCGCUACAUUUGAGAAUGUGAUUUUGUUCCUACCACCAUUUUGCCCACUUUUUGUGGAAAUUAUUUCUGCUUGUUGUGAAUGAUACAUUCAUCCCCGGCAGCAAAGUGCGAAGUGCGGGCGCAUUUUCUAGUUUAAGUAAAUCACACAAUGGGUCAUCAAUAAUAACAAACUUGUCAUUUAUGAGAGUCAAACAUGAGGCCACCUACCUACUAGUUUAGUGGAAUACCACAAGUGACAUGUUGAUACCUUUAAAUCUCAUAUAAUGGAUUGCAGAAUUAGGAUAUUCCUAGACUAAUUUAGUUAGUGCGUGAACCCGAACAAUUAACAAGGGUUUUAUUCUUGCUUGAAUGUUUGUUAUAUGUUCCUAGUUUGACAAGGCAAUUAUAUUUCCGACUACAAGUUAUUAAUUUAGUCGAGAAUUGACGCACCUGAAAUGGUGUGAGGAAAACAUGUAUCCACAUGAGCCGCAGUCCACUGUCCUUGGCAUCUAUCUUUAAAAGGCUCGAAAUGAAGCUCAAAGCCAUACAUGAGGGCAUUGUGUAUGUCUUUAUAAGAGAAGUUGCGGUAGUCCUCAACGUAGCCGGCAGCCAAACUCAUCCACUCUACACUGCAACCAUCAUCCAAUUCCCAUACCUCCCUGAACCUGUCCCCAACAUAUUCCCCGACCAUGACAUAGCUAUUCGUUUUUGGUUGACUCGAAGAAGAAGAAGAAGAAGAAGUAUUAUUCAAGCAUGGAGCAGUGUCCACGUACAGAGAAGAAUUCGAUGGAUUCGAACACUUCAAGUAAUAUAUAGAUAGAGAAUUAAUGUCAUAGGCGGGCCAAUAUAGAGAAUUGAUGUCCUCGGUGGUGGGCGGAAUAUUUUGAGACAUGGAAGAGCAAUUGUUGUUGUCAAGCCCAGGAUCUCGAAGUCGGAUUGUUUUGUUAUUAUAGUUGAUUGCCUGGACAUGGUACUUUCCGAAAGAAGGUAGGUCUAGUACUGUAAUGUUGCUCUCACAGGACAGAGUAUACGAUAUGUUGCCACAGUACUUUGGAUCAUCGUUAAGUCGAAAAGGAUGGCUUAUGUUGUGGAUAUGGCCGCAGGAUGAAGUGCAGGACUUGGCACUACUGUUGUCAGCGUUACAAGUUUCACUGCAAAAGCAAAGAAGAAGAAAGGCUAAACUUAAGGUGAAGGACCUGGUUCCACUAAUUUCCAUUGCUCUGAGAGAGAGAGAGAGAGAGAGAGAGAGAGAGAGGGUACCAUAGCUUAAACACCAAGGAGUUAUAUAAUAUGGGAGGGGUUAAAGCACCUCGCUUACAGUUGCAGUAAGCCCGUCAAAUAUCCUAGGGAAAAGUCGGUCAAUGGUGUCCUAUAGAGAAAAGUCGGCCUUGGUGUUUGACACGGUCACUCAACUCUCUCUCUCUCUCACAUUGACGAGGGACACUGUAAUUGAAAAAAAAAAAUGUUCUUCAGAGAUAGAUCUUGAAAUUCUUAUUUUAUAUAAAAAAAACACCUAAUAUUAAAUUAUUAAUCAUUCAAAUGAAAUUCUUAAAAUUAAGUAUAAAUAAUACAUAACGAAAACUGAGCACAUACAAUCAACGGUCACGAUCGUGAAAUCCUCCGGAUCCUCAGAAAAAAAUCCGACGAUGAUCUUUUUCUGUGUAAAAUAAUUUGAGGGUAUAAUACUGGAUGUGGAGCCAAAAAUAUUCGCUAGGCGACACGUGGACUUUUGGACAAAAGAGGACAAAAAUACCCUCGAAGCAUACAAGGAUUCCUACGCGCGAGCAGUGGGCAAUCAUCUUUCAAUCAAGUCAAAAGUGCCCAAAAAAGGUAACAAUUAAAAACCUCUCUCAUCAAAUCCUUUCUAUAAGGUAUUUCCCAAAACCUAGUAUUUUCUAUUUCAUUAUUUAGCUAAUCAAUUAGCUAAAUAAUAUAAACCUACCAUAUCUCCUAAAAUCACCCAAUUAAUAGCCCAAAACCGGCCCCCACUAUUCACAUCCUCAUCUUUCCCAUUUUCCUUAUUAAAAUAAUCAUUCAUUUUUAUAAACCACCCAUUUUAUUAUUUUCAUAUUUAAUUAGCCAAUAAAUUGGCAAAUUAAACAUGAAAUUAACCCCCACAAAAACCCUAUGGCUGGCUACUAUUAUUCAAAAUAGGGCAAACCCUAACUCUAUAAAUAAACACAUAUUCUCACCAAAAAUUCAUUCCAACUCUCUCACAAAAAAUCACAAAUACUCUAAACACUAUUUCUCUCUAAAAUUCUAACUUUGGCAUCAGAGGUUCUUCGGCCAAAGCCCCCCCCAUUCAUCGUGGGCGCGUGAGGCUCUUGGCCUUAACCUAAGGUGCUAGUUGUUUUGUAGGUGCAAAAUCGUCCAAGAUCGAAGAGGAGAAAAUUUGCAUCCACAAAUUGGUGCUUUCAUUGAGAGUUGAAAUCCAUACUCGUAGAAGACUCUCGCACAAAAAGGUUUUUUCUUUUAUUUUCUAGUCCAUUUGAAUAUUUUUCAUACGUUCUUAUUAUUAGAAUUUUUUUACUUGCAAAGGUUCUUUGAUAAAACGUAUAAGCAAAAUAUAAUGGCUAGAAAUUUAGAAAAUUCCACAAGUGAAAAUUCUAAUGUUCAAGAAAUGGGAUUGCGGAGAUCCGUGAGGCUAAAUGCGACAAUAAGGGGAGCGGCAUCAUCAUCACGAGCUUCCACCAUGGGAACCACCAUGGUGGCUACCUCGGUAGCCACCCGCGGCGAGGUCCAUGGUGCCUUCACCACGGCCACCAUGGGAACCACCGCGGUGGCUACUUUGGUAGCCACUCGUGGCGAGGUCCAUGGAGCCUUCACCACGGCCCGGAGAUCCGUGAGGCAAAAUGCGACAAUAAGGGGAGCGGCAUCAUCACCACAAGCUUCUACCAUGGGAACCACCGUGGUGGCUACCUCGGUAGCCACCCGCGGCGAGGUCCAUGGUGCUUUCACCACGGACACCAUGGGAACCACCGCGGUGGCUACUUCGGUAGCCACUCGUGGCGAGGUCCAUGGAGCCUUCACCACGGCCCGAGCCGUGCCAUCCAAGGCUCACGGUACCAAGACCACGAUCCAAGCCGUGCCAUCCAAGUUUACGUGGACCCAAGCCCAAGCCUCGCAUUCACAUGCACCGCGCAUUGAGCAGCCUGUUCCCGUGAUCCAGCCUGUUCCCGUCAAGCAACCCACUCUCACGGCCCAACCUGCUCAUGCCGAGCAGCCUGCUCUCGUGACACAGCCUGCUCCCGACGAGCAGCCCACUCCCGUGGCCCAGCCUACUUUCGUCGAGCAGCCCACUCCGGUGGCCCAGCCUGCUCCUGCUAAACAGCCCACUCCUGUGGCCCAGCCUCCUCUUGCUAAGCAGCCUGCUUUCGUCGAGCAGCCCACUCCGGUGGCCCAGCCUGCUCCUGCCAAGCAGCCCACUCCGGUGGCCCAGCCUGCUCCUGCCAAGCAGCCUACUCUCGUGACCCAGCCUGCUUCCGACGAGCAACCCACUCCCGUGGUCCAGCCUGCUUCUUUCGAGCAGCCCACUCUCACGGCCCAGCCUACUCCUGUGGCUUUCCAAGCAGCCCAAGUCGGCCCAAGACUAUCUCCCGGACCUACCAUCGAGCCGAGGGCAUUCUCACCACAUUUUUUCACGGAUUUGACAUUUCCCAACUCAAAUCUCGCGCCCGGAGUCUACCACAUUUCCACUGCCCAAGGAGGCGCAUUCCUUCCAAGCUCUUCCAAUCCAAAUGGCGAACAACACUUGUCUCGACAAGUCAUAGAGUUGACGAGCGCCCUUGCACAACAGAAAACCUUGGUGAAUCAACUUUUGCAACGUAUCGGGAUCCAACGUGCCCCGGACGAGGUAUCCCGAAGUAGGACAAGGGCAAACGAACAUUUCCAGCAGCCACUCGACCAGCCACGAGCCGAACGUUUGGGCAGUGUACAUUCCCGUCUUAGAGCGCGAGGGAGCAUGCACUCUCGACUAGGCCCACGGAUGAGCAUACAUUCACGGUUGGGGUCAUACUCCGAUAGUCAACAUGAGCAACCUUCCGGGCAAAGUGUCUAUUCGCAGCUAAGCCCACAAGGAGCGUCAUCCACCUCACAUCAGAGUAGGCAGCACGACGGACGGAGAGAAGCAGUCACUCAAUCCAGCUCAAGUUCAACCAGCAGCCUGCGAAGAACUCGCUCGCCUACUAGGAACGCACCACAUGCACUGCAUUCGCGGCAUAGACGAGCCAAACACAUGGAAGAGCAGCUUAGACCAGCAAGUCAUGACUGGAGGCAGCCAAGAGCUCCGCUACCCCAACAAAGGCAAAUUCAGGAAGAAGUAGAGAGACUCUUGACCAAGCGAUUGCAUGAUUUCCAACGCAACGAGGUCACCGACGAGGCACUACGACGGAACAUGACCAACAUAAGCAAGCAGGUCACCCUUCACGGACGAGAUCGAGCAGGCAGAGCCUCCACGAGAGUUCAGCAUGCCACAUUUCACAUCUUUCAAAGGGGAUGAAGACCCGGAGAGACACUUAAAGCGCUACCGAAGCGCAAUGAUCCUUUAUCGAAACAACGAUGAGCUUAUGUGCAAGAUAUUCGCCACCACUCUACAAGGCGAGGCGCAAGAUUGGUUCUACACCCUGCCGUCACAAUCCAUCCGGAAUUUCUACGAACUUUCUUUGGUUUUCACCAAAGAAUAUUCAUCCUAUCGCUCGAUCAAAAAGAAAUCUGAUCAUUUGUUCAACGUCAAGAAGAACCCAAAGGAGUCAAUUCGCGACUAUGUGAGGAGGUUCAAAGUAGAGAAGGCAAAAAAUAGUCGGAUGCAACGACUCGAUAGCUAGAGCAGCCUUCCAAAAAGGACUUCCAGCAGACCACCCGCUAUUUGGAAAAUUGAUCAUGAAAGAAGAUCUAACUCUGGCAGACUCUUUUGCUUUGGCAGAGAAGUAUGCACUUUGGGAUGAGGCUCGCCAAUGCACAUUCAAGGACUUGAAGAAGUACCCGACAUCACCUCCCUAGAAGCAGCGGAGGACUUAUUCACAUGUUUGACGAUAUCUAAAGUAGCAAUAAGCUCUACCAUCAUGCGAGAAGAGAUGGGGGCCCGACUACCUGUAUUCCACAGUUACCUGUAUUCUACAGUUCAAAAGCUCUCCUCGAUGUUAUUAAAAAUUCAAAAGCUAACUUUGGUGAUAGUUGUUGCAACCCAGAAGCACAAGUUUUACUUUCAAACGCAUGCAAUCAUCCUAAUGACGUACUAUUCUGCCCAAUCCAGACGCGCGACGAUAAAGGUGUAGACCAUGGCGGAUGUAAAGUUUUCUGACGAACGCAACACUAGAAGGACACACUCGAAAGCAAGUUUUGUCCUCGUCACCCUAAAAGAUUCUACAUAGGAGCAACAUGUACCGGCAGUUGAGUACCAUUUCUUGCUGCGCAUCACACGGCCCUAGCCGACCCUUGCUCAAUGAUUCAACUCUAGAGUGGCCCAAUACCGGCAGUUGAGCAUCUCCUGUUGCGUAUGACAUGGCCCCAUCUCCACAGCUCCCUACUGCGUCUUCACGCCGAGCCUAAGUGACGUAACAGAGCAGCCCAACGAUGCCUCAGAAGUAGCCGAGCACACUCUAGCUGCGCCUACUCCACCCGAUGGAGACUUUUGGCAUUUGCAUGUCGACGACGCAGAAAAGCCUUCAUCACUGCCGGCAGAGAAGGCUCCAAAAAGAUGGAUCCCAUCUGGGAAGGUCCGUACAAGAUCAGCAGAGUAGGGGGCAAGAGUAAUUACACCCUCACCACCAUGAAGCAGCAAAAAUAUUGAAAAGAAAUGGAUGGCCUACAAUCUGAAGAAGUACCAUGUGUGACCUCCCGCUACAUCAAAACCCGAAGACUCAAUAAGCUCGACGGGCACCACCUCACAAGCUGGGGACUAUCCAGUUGUUAUGCAGUUCCUACCUUACAGCUAAAGUUCUCGUUCGUUUCACUCGUUUUUCAAUGAGGAAUUUAGAAGUAAUCACAACUUGGCUUGGUUGCAUGCUUACAACAACUAAUCACUCCUGCACUUCAAAAGAAGAUUGCGCCCUUCUUAGGGACUCAUCGCAGGAAUUGCGCCCCCCGAGGGACCAACCAUGCUCUCCAGUGCGAGAGGGUAAACCAAUUCUCCGACACCCAUAUGGGUCAGCUCUCCAAGACGGGAGGAUAAACUUUACACUCCGAAUAUCCAGACGUGGAUGAGCCUGGCUGCCCUAGUAUAACUAGAUGCACGAUGGCUUGCGCCGGGAUUCCUAGAAGUAGCCGCAAUGGUCUUUUUCAAGGCUUAGCUAACUGAAGGAUUUUGGGUCUCUUGGCCUAAUCCGUGGGGAACCGGGCCCUAGAGACGGAGAGGGCACAUUACGCAGUACAUCCGAUGGACGGCUGCCCUGGAAUCCUAAAGCUGCUACCGAGUGCACUAAGGUAGCCUACGGAUUCCGGAAGACUGCCUACGGCUUGCCCUUCGAGCAGUGAAGCCGCACUAGACUUAUACAACCGCACAUUCUUGUGAAAGGUUAAACAAGCUAGCGCGCAUAUACGAAGUUUUAUCCACUGCCGACAUGCUAUGUAGUUGAUAAGCUUCACCUCUGCCAAGCGCGGAACAACCUACACCAAGUCCUAAAGUGUUGUGAUACUUGCUACGCAACCUACGGAAUUGAAAAAAGUCAAGGUUAACAGCCGAGUGGUUACGCGGACUUGUCUACUUCUGUAAGUAAGGCAUCCGGCUGCCAACCCUAUGGCUAACAACUUUGCAAAGUUCUACACCAACACCUACGGCUGCAUAGGCUACGCGAGUUUGUCUGCUUAUAAAAAAGUAGCAUGCCUGCCACUGGUCUAUCAAGUCUAAAGGUUAGGGCAUGAACAAAAGAAGUGAAGAUGAAGAAAAACGAAGGAAAACAUGUUUAUAAACAACUAGCAAAGGCCGAAUGAGUUCAAGCAAAACAAGAGCUACAAGGAAAAACAAAGAAAAUCCUAAAGGCUACCUAAAAUACUACACUACAGCAGCUUGGACAUCCCACGACUACUCGAUCGCCACACCUUCAACAGCCGUAACGCUCUUAGCAGCGGCAUCAUCCGGCGCUUCACCCCCCGGCUGCCCUAGUCUGGGCACUAACUUCUCCAACUACUUCACCAAUGGAAGCCUUAAAAGUAAAAGCAAACAAGUCUUCCGGAGAAAUAGAGAAGGUCUUAAAACCUCAAGCCCAUCCUUCUCACCCUUCAGCUGCUCAUUCUUCUUAAGCAGACUAACACGGACGCGCUACAGCUCAUCCACUCUCUUCUUAGCAUAAGUAGCGAAACGAAGCUCAGAAAUUGCAAGCUUAAGAUCUUGAAUCUGAGGCGAAUCAAUCUCAGCAGCAAAGGGAGCAGGCUUUGGCGCCACUUUAGCAGCAGAGUCCACCUUACCACUCUUCAUAAUAGCAAGUCUCUAAAAAGGUGAACCGGACUUGGCUCCCAAAGAACGUCCUGGUACAAACUUCGGCACUGGGGGCAUGAUAAAACCUUUACGCUGAGUAAUCUUAUCCACAAUUGUACUAGCCAUUCUCAACAUGGAAGACGCCACAUGCUCAGAUCUAGCAGCCUUACAUUUCUUCCCAUUGGAAGAAGUCAUGUCAAUCACAUACCUCUCGGUAGCAAGUGGACCAUCAUGAGCAGCAGAAGAAGUCUUCAAUUUUUUCUUAACUGGCAUCUCAUGAGCAGGUGGGGAAGAUCUCUUCUUUCCAUCUUCAUUCAUAGUAAGCUCCACGAUAGCGAUCAGAUGAGCCAAUGCAUCCGCCUUGAUCCUCUUUACCUCCUCUUUCCGGAGCAGCCCACAUUUCUUUCAGCAAAUAGGACUAAGCAGCCAACGACAUUCAUGGUACUCAGCAGGGGAGCUCAACCCAGUAUUCCAGCAGGCAGGAGGCCUGCAUGCCCAACAUUCCAGCAGCCCGUGAGACCCGCAAUCUCCUUAUUUCUCUCAAUCGCAAGCCUGGCCUGAGUCAAGUCCAAUAGCCCAAAGGACAUGAGUCAUGCGAUUCGCCUAACACUGCGCCUCAGCGCCACAAUCCUCGACCCCAGCUGCACAAGCUGCCCUUGGUUCUAGCCAAGUCAAGCAGCUUAAAACAGUGGUCCCUACCACAAUACCUCAUCGGCCCAUGUCGAGCCGACUCCUGGCCUAUGCCAGCCGACGUGCCGCACCACCCCGAUGGCUGCCCUGCAAUAGCACUAUCCAAGAAGAAGGCAAGAAAAAUUAAAUUUUUCUUACAUCGGUGCGGCACGAAAAAGACGAAGAAAUCAACGAAAGACGGUCUUUUGCACAGGCAAGACGUAGAAGAUUGCUAGAGGAGAGGGAACAAAUAUCCUCUAACUUUCUCUCUCUUGUUGGGUAGAAUAAAUCGCUCUCCAAAGUUGAUUUAAUAACCCACUUAAGGUGGACUUAAAUAGGCUUUGAGAGAAAUUUAUUUCCCUUUCCUAGAAGGAUCUAAUUUCCAUUUAAAGAGAGAAUCAACAACAAAAUAGGAAUCAAUUUAGAGUUGCCUAAAGCGAGAAAAUCUCUACACCUGUUGCCCUUUUCUGCAAGCAGCCCAACAGGUGUGGGGGCAUUUGUGGAGCCAAAAAUAUUCGCUAGGCGACACGUGGACUUUUGGACAAAAGAGGACAAAAAUACCCUCGAAGCAUACAAGGAUUCCUACGCGCGAGCAGUGGGCAAUCAUCUUUCAAUCAAGUCAAAAGUGCCCAAAAAAGGUAACAAUUAAAAACCUCUCUCAUCAAAUCCUUUCUAUAAGGUAUUUCCCAAAACCUAGUAUUUUCUAUUUCAUUAUUUAGCUAAUCAAUUAGCUAAAUAAUAUAAACCUACCAUAUCUCCUAAAAUCACCCAAUUAAUAGCCCAAAACCGGCCCCCACUAUUCACAUCCUCAUCUUUCCCAUUUUCCUUAUUAAAAUAAUCAUUCAUUUUUAUAACCACCCAUUUAUUAUUUUCAUAUUUAAUUAGCCAAUAAAUUGGCAAAUUAAACAUGAAAUUAACCCCCACAAAAACCCUAUGGCUGGCUACUAUUAUUCAAAAUAGGGCAAACCCUAACUCUAUAACUAAACACAUAUUCUCACCAAAAAUUCAUUCCAACUCUCUCACAAAAAAUCACAAAUACUCUAAACACUAUUUCUCUCUAAAAUUCUAACUUUGGCAUCGGAGGUUCUUCAGCCAAAGCCCCCCAUUCAUCGUGGACGCGUGAGGCUCUUGGCCUUAACCUAGGUGCUAGUUGUUUUGUAGGUGCAAAAUCGUCCAAGAUCGAAGAGGAGAAAAUUUGCAUCCACAAUGGAUGUGCGAUUAAACCGAAGAACCCACCACCUCCAUCUUCUCCGACCAACUUGAACCCAGCCACUACUACAUGUCAUCCCGACAACCCACUCUCAGCUUCCCAAACCGCCAUUUUUCACCCACUCACUUACCUCUCUCUCUCUCUCUCUCUCUCUCUCUCUCUCUCUCUCUCUCUCUUACCCAAGCCACUGCCAUUAUUCAUUCAAUCAACCCAAAACACGAGAGCCACCCCAUCUCACCACUCGAACAGAUGCAGCCACCCACCCAUUUAAUCCCAGUCCAAAAUCAAACCCUCUCCUAAACCCACCCCAGAAUCCAAUAAUUUCAAAAAAUGGCUGAUUAUAUCAUUUCAAGAACCUCACAAUUCCAAAAACUAAAAACCCACUUCAAAGAUGUAAUAUUUUUCUCUCUUCCUCUUUUUGGGUUUUUUUUUUUUAUCAAUUCUCUUCUGGGUUUUUGUUUACAGUGUAAAAUCAACACUAAUUUACUAAUUUUGCUUUGAUUUUUCAAACACUAUUGAGGCGUGAUAACCUGUUGCAAGCUCAGCCAUGGCGGCUACUGCAAAAUCUAACGGAAAAACCAUCACAGACUCUGCCAUUUCAUCCAAGGUUCCGACAAUAGCAAACCCUUUAACGAAUAGCUGUCGCAGAUUUCUUCCAACAUCAAUCACCACGCGAAAUUAAUUGUCAAUGAAGACGAUCCCAUUCCCCUUCGAAAUCUGCUGGGGGAAAGAGGCCUUCUUUCAUAUCUGCUCUGAGACCUGUUUAUGCGAGAGAGUGGUGAGCCUGACGACAGAGAGAAAGAAGGGCAGGAUUGGAAAAUUGGAAAGUUCAUUUAUUGGUUACUGUUUAUCCGUGUUUCUUCGAAAUAAGCUGCUUUUUCCAGCUUUGGGUUUUCAGUAUUUUUUUAACCCAUAAUUUUGAAAGAAAAAAAACUGAUUUGAAAUGUUAUCAAACACUUAAAAUGUUCCAAUCUUUUUUCAUACCUAUUUUUUUUAUUAAAAGUUAAGCUAAACAAAAACCAGGAUUAAGUUUACUACUUUGAAGUUUCUUGCUUUUCAACAUUUCAUACAUUGAAUUUUUCUCAUCCAGUGUCAUACCUAAGGUGAGAAUUGUGGGACACUUUUAUACAUCCGUUAGAUUUUCUGUGAAUUAUGGGACACUUUUAUACAUCCGUUAGAUUUUUUGUGAUAACCUUCGCUGACCCACGAUGCGGCAUGCAUGUGGACAUUAAAAAAAAUUCAAAAAUUCAAAAAUUCAAAAAUUUUAAAAUUUAAAAUUCAAAAAUACUAAAAACCUAAACUUUUCAUAAUAUUGAGUUGAGAGACUGAAUCUUUUCACACUCGGCCAAAUUUUCUUUGAAUUUUAAUUAAAUGAAACAAUGAAUCUUGAACAAAGCAAAACAAAACGUAAUAUUGAGAGAUUCAGUCAUUGAAGUGGACGUGGAUGUUGGGUACUCAAUAGUCCAAGAAUGAAAAUUCUCAUAUCAGUUUCUAUCCAAAAUUUUGGAAUUAUGUGUGUUGCAACGAUUGUCCAAAGGAUUAUUCUUCUUUUAUUAAAUUUCCAUGAAAAAUGAGCAUGGGGGCAUAAAAAUUGAACGAAUGAAAUUUCAACGAUUUGAAAAGGGUUGUGAGUUUGACACGUCAUUUUUCUUCCUUUAAUGCAAUCAUGUUUAUUAAAAGACAAAAAUAAAUAUGACUUUACAUAAGGAGAGAGAAAGAAUAGUUUUCUUUGAAAAAAUCAACCAUUUAUUGAAGAGGGAUGUUGAUAAGGAGAUGAGACAUUCAUUAGAAGCUAGAAAAAAGAAGUUAAAAGUGAUUUAGAAAAAAGCAAGAAAGCCACAUUUUCAAAGUGGUGGUCAUUGCACAAUACUUAAUUAGAAGAAAACUCAUAGUAUUGUAUUUACAAUUUCAAGUCUUUAUGGGGAACGAGAGUGCAAAUUUUCCAAUUGGAAUAUGAUAUGAAAUUUCUAGAUAACUAUAUAUGACAAAGAAAGAAGUCUAAGUUUCUAAGUGGUAGGGCUUCCAAUUGAUGUGAGUUUGUUGAGAAAUGUAGAUGAAGAUGAAUAUUGUUGUUGAUGUUAGUGAACAACAGAACAAGUUGCUUCUCCUUUGGCCUUCUAACAUGAUAUCACGGAAAACAAGUUGUUGCUAAUAAAUGUAUCUGAUUGGUGGACUUAGACGUGCGCGGUACGAUUUUUGAUAACGAGAAAAGAUGGACAGUGUCAUGACAAAAUUUAUCCAAGUAGACCCAAAGGAAAGACUUAGGAACUUCAUAUGCAGUGGGAUAAAAUCUUAAGCUAAUUUCCUUACCUAUUUUAUAGUCAUUAAGUAAAAUGUAUAUGUAUAUUUCUAGAUGCUGACACACCAAUGUACUUACUAUUAACUCCUUUCAAAUACCCAUUCGCAGAAACGCAAAUCUCUCUUGCAUGCUUGUUGUAAUGCUCAUGUAGUGCGUAUCUAAUAUCUUAUGUGUAUAAUUUUUUGUGAUCCAUUUUUUCAUCACUAUGCCAAAAUCCCUUUAGAAUUUGCAAUUUAUCCAUUUGGUUAUGGUAAAAAAAAAAACUCGGAAUUUCAUUUAAACUCAAAAAUCUAGAAUUGGGAAAGCAAUUUUCCCUUGUUCGGCAACUUGUAGCGAUAGCAAAGGCAAAUUGUACAGGAAAAAAGUGGAAAUUGGGGAUGAAGAUCCAAUUUUAAUUUCGUCAAAAUAAGUGUAAUUUCACAAUUCCAACAACGUUGAGAACAAAUGCAUUGCGGGGAAAUCUUGCGACCACCAAACUUUACGAUUAGAGGGCCAAAUUUCAUGAUAAAACGUAAUAAGGGUUUAGGACUGCAUCGUUCACUUUGUUAACUCUCCAAUCUUCGACGGGAUUUUCAACUCGUGCAUCAUCUUUUGCUUUGUUCUAGGUCAAAGCCUACUCUUUUCUUUCUUGAAUUAUUUUAGCUUUGAGGGUAUACUCUUUAGGCCAAUUGUGAAUUUUGCUAGUUAUUUUUAUUUUCUGAUGGUCAUAUGUUUGUUUUGUUUUUUUUUUCUUCCAAUUGAGAUGUGUAUUGGUUGGAUCAGUAACUUUUUUUUUGGAUUUUUAUUUUUAUUUUUAUGGAUUUUGGUGUUAGUUCCUUGUUAUAGAUGUUGUGGAGCAAAAAAUAAUCUCAAAAAUCGUGGAGGUGACACACGGAUUUUUGGACAAGAAUGACAAAAUUAUCCUCGAAGCACAUCAGGAUUCCCACGUGCAUGCAACGGACAAUAACGGCUCAAUCAUGGAAGAGUCAAAGGUGAUCAAUAUGGUAUUUAUUCAAAUCCCUCUCAUCACUCCUCAUCAAUCCCUUUUUUAUUUUAUUCAAAAGGUAACUCCCAAAACUUCCUAUUUAAUUUAGGGAUCAUUGUCAUGUUAAUUGCAAGAUAUUAUUUCACAAAAUAUCUUGUAAUUAUUCUUCAAUUACCACCAUGUAUGGCCGGCCACUCCUCACAUUAUGGGCCGGUCACUCCUCACCCUAUGGGUCGGCCACUCCCUAUAAAUAGCCCUAUUAUUCCACUAAUAAGGAAGCCAUUUGCUACCCACAAACUCCUAAACACAUUCUUUCAGAAUUCUAACUUUGGCAUUGGAGAUUCUUAGGCCAAAUCCCCCCUCCCAUUCAUCAUGGGCGCAUAAGGCUUUUGGCCUUAGUCUUAGGUAUUAUUAUUUUGCAGGUGCAUUUUUGUCAAAGACGAAGAUGGUGAAAAUUUGCAUCCACAAAUUGGUGUUUUCAUUGAGAGUUUGAUUCAUAAGCUCGAAGAAGACUCACAUUCAAAGUUUCACAUUUCUCAUUCAUAAGUAAAUUUUUCAUACGUUCUUAUUCCUAAAAUUUUUUAAAUCUUUGAAUAGACGUAUGAGAGAAAUACAAUGGCUAGAAAUUUAGAAACCACGACGAACGAAACUUCCUACGUUCAAAGAUCCAGAUAAAAUGAUGGAAAUUGCGAUGUAGCCCCACCACGACGAUCCACGAAGCUCAACGUGGUGGCAAAAUGAGUAACUUGGCCACCACGGAGUACCACCACCACCAUAGCCAAGGCAACCCAUGUUGCAGUGGGGAGUGGGACAGCUUCAUGGCAGCAAAGCCACGAAGCAACAAUAAAUGCCAUCUUGCAGUAAUGAGCCCAGGCCCGUGUCACAAGGCAGUCAACCCAGCGCUAGGUAACCUAGAUCUAGUAGGCCCACGACGUUGCCAUAGCAGCUGAGGCCUAAAGCAAGGCCCAAACAGUUGCGGUUGCGGCAAAUGGAGCAGCACAACACUGGCGGGGCCAAUGCACCCUUGGCCUAAUGCUAAGCAGGCUAAAUCGCACCACACCCACUAUUCAAACUAACCCUAAGUUGAGUAAGUAGCAUUGAAGGUUGUCAACCGCAAGGCGUUGAAGUACGAAUAAAGUUACACACCCCGCACAUGACUUGGCCCACUUCCGCGGCCCAACUUGCUCGCAAGGUCCACCUAGUGAUCCCGACUAGUCGAAGGCCAGUUUAAUCAUCCCAUCUUCAGAUUUCUGGACUGACGAUUGAAUCGGGGGUAUUUUCACCCCGAUUUUCUACAGAUUUGACAUAUCUCAACUCAAAUCUCGCACUUGGAGUCCAUUGCACUUCCAUUACUCAAGGAGACGCAUACCAUUUAAGAUCUUCCAUCCCAAAUGGCGAACAACACUUGUCUCGACAAGUCAUAGAGUUGACAUGCGCUUUUGCGCAGUAGACGACCUUAGUGAAUCAGCUCUUGCAACGCACAUAGAUGCAGUGUGCCCCAGACGAUGUGUCCCGAAGUAAGACAAGUACAGAUGACGAUUCUCUCCAGCAGCGUCCCAACAAGCAGCCGCUCGACUAGCCACGAACCGAGCGUUCUGGCAGUGUACACUCCCGUCUAGGUCCUCAAGAAAGCGUAUACUCUCGUCUUAGCGCGCGAAUGAGCGUGCACUCAUGGUUAGGCCUAUGGACGAGCAUACAUUCACGGUUGGGACCAUACUCUUAUAAUUAACAUGGACAACCUGCUAGACGAAGUGUUCAUUCGCGGCUAGGCCCGCAAAAAGCAUUUUCCACCUCAUAUUGGAGUAAGCAGCACAGAAGACGAAGAUAAGCAGUCAAUUAAUCUGGCUCAAAUUCAAUCGGCCACCUGUAAGUAACCAGUUCGCCUGCCAAGAACGUAUCAUAUGCAAUGUAGCCACGACAUAGACUAGAUGAGCACAACGAUAAGCAACCUAGACUAACAGGUUACGACUGGGGGCAGCCAGAAGCUCUGCUGCCCCAAUAGAGGUAAAUUUAGAAAGAAGUUGAGAGGCUCAUGACCGAACAAUUGUGCGAUUUCCAACGCAACGAAGCUACUGACAAGGCGCUUAAACGAUACACGACCAACAUAAAUGGGUCACCUUUUAUUGACAAGAUUGAGCAGACAGAACCAUCCUACAUACACUGGCGGAUACAAAGAUUACAUCUAUUUUAACAUAUGCAUCAACUCAGCCUAAUGGCGUGUCGAGGGCAAAUGGGUACCAGAAUGGCACACCAGCCCAACCACCAAGAACCAGGGCCAAAUCUUAUUUUCAUCACUCCACACGAUUCAAUACUUGAGCAGCACAUCACCAGUAAUCGAGCACCGCAGACCUAAUGGUCCAAUUCCUCCUGAUGCACACAAGCUCACCCCAGCUCCACGCUCAAAGCCUUGCCUACCUGCUCCACAACACUCAGCCACCCUUGAUUUGUCACCAUGGCUCACAAUUAUGCCAAUUUUGCACCACAGCUCAUAGCCGUGCUAAUCUUGCCAUGCGGCUCUUAACUACGUUAACCAAGCCCACGAUACUUUAUACUUCAAAGCAUCCAACGACGGAGUAGAACACGAGGCUCUACUAGCAGCCCCUGCUAGUGAAAGACUUUGCGGUGAAGAGGCUUCCAAUCCAUUCAAAUUCUCAGUUGACCACCUGUUGGGUUUUACGACUCAAAAUUAGGAUGAUGCAAAAAAAAUUGUGUUACCUAUUUGGUUUUGGUGUCGUAUUUGGGUUUGGAUUUUGACCUCUUAGUUGGUUUCCGUGGUGGAGAGAUUUUGUUAAUUACCUAUUUGAUUAGGAUUUGGAUUUACUUCCUAUUAAGAUUCUUAUUGUAACCUAAGUCUUAUGCACUAUAAAUAGGACCUCAGGGUUAGUGUAUUUUGUGUGGCUCAUUCGUGUGGCAAUUUGGUGAGAGUCAAUUUGUGAGUUUGUGAGUUAGAGAGCAAUUUGGGAGAAUCUUCUCCGUUAGUUUUGGGUUCUCUACUCGUUUGGUUUAGGGUUUGUAAUUUGUGGGAUUUGGAUUGUGAGAGUCUGAACACUAUUUUGUAAUCUCCGUUUGUUUAGUGAAAUUUCUUGUCAUGCUUCGCUCGUGGACUUAGAUUUUACACCGAACCACAUAAAUCUCUUGUGUUAGUUUGAGAUUGUUUGUUUUAGUUUUCACCUACGACGUUGAUAUCGGUACUUUGUUAGAAUUCGCUUUCCUUUGCUCAUAAAAGUACAACAAGUGGUAUCAGAGCCCGGCUUUCGGCUUGGGCUUUGCUUGGCAAUCACUAUGAAGCCUUCUGUGUCGUCGGUGAAAGUUGAUAUUGAAAAGUUCGAUGGCAAUGACUUUGGUAUUUGGCAAUUGAAGAUGCGUACUUUGUUAAUUCAACAAGAGCUUUUAAAAACGCUAAAGGGUGUGAAGGCUUUCCUGAAUUCGUGGACUGAUGAAGAAAAAAAAAGAUGUUAUGGAGCGGGCACUUGGAACAAUCCUGCUAACUUUAUCGAAUGAAGUCUUGCGUCAAGUUGGUAGCAUCAAAUCUGCACCGAAGUUGUGGCUAAAAUUGGAGAGUUUGUAUAUGACCAAAUCCCUUGCUAAAUGGUUGUAUUUGAAGAAAAGUUUGCGUACUCUUCGUAUGGAUGAAGGUACGUCAAUUCAUAAGACCAAAUCCUUAUUGCUGCCAAAAGUCCUCAACAGUUCCAAGGGAGAUGGGUAAGAGUUCGUAAUAGUGAGAGAUUGAAUCUUUUCACACUCGGCCAAAUUUUAAUUUUAAUUAGAUGAAACAAUGAAUCUUGAACAAAGCAAAACAAAAUUUAAUACUGAGAGAUUGAAUCAUUGAAGUGGACGUGGAUGUUGGGUACUCAACAGUCCAAGAAUGAAAACUCUCAUAUAAGUUUUUAUCCAAAAUUUUGGAAUUAUGUGAGUAUUGCAACGAUUGUCCGAAUGAUUAUUCUUCUUUUAUUAAAUUUCCAUGGAAAAUGAGCAUGGGGCACAAAAGUUGAACGAAUGAAAUUUCAAUGAUCUGCAAAGGGAUUGUGAGUUUGACAUGCCAUUUUUCUUCCUUUUAUGCAGUCAUGUUUAUUAAAAGACAAAAAUAAAUAUGACUUUACAUAAGGAGAGAGAAAGAGUAUUUUUCCUUGAAAAAAUCAACUAUUUAUUGAAGAGGAUGUGGAUGUUGAUUGAUGCGCAUUGUGAAUAGGAAAAAAAUAACCUUGAAGGGAGACGAGACAUUCAUUAGAAGCUAAAAAAAAGUUAUAGUGAUUUAGAAAAAAAAAGUUUUAACGAAACAUUUCCGGUACUGUUUACUCUUUACGAAAAACCACAUUUUUACCUUUCCUAACUACUAUUCACUACAUCUUUAUUUAUCAUUUUUCAUUAAAACUAAAGUUUUUGUUUUAACUUUUCGUUAGUUUCCUUUAGAAAAAAGCAAGAAAGCCUCAUUUUCAAAGUGGUAGUCCUUGAAACAAUACUUGAUUAGAAGAAAAGUCAUAGUAUUGUAUUUACAAUCUCAAGUCUUGAGGGGUAACGAGAAUGCAAGUUUCUAAUUGGAAUAUGAUAUGAAAUUUCUACAUAACUAUAUAUGACAAAGAAAGAAGUCUAAGUUUCUAAGUGGAAGGGCUUCCAAUUGAUGUGAGUUUGUUGAGAAAUGAAGAUGAAGAUGAAUAUUGUUGUUGAUGUGAGUUAGUGAACAACAGAACAAGUUGCUUCUCCUUUGGCCUUCUAACAUGAUAUUACCGGAAAACAAGUUGUUACUAGUAAAUGUAACUGACUGGUGAACUAAGACAUGCGGUACGAUUUUUGAUAACUAGAGAAGAUGAACAGUGUCGUGACAAAAUUUAUCCAAGUAGACCCAAGGGAAAGACUUAGGAACUUCAUAUGCAGUGGGAUAAAAUCUUAAGCUAAUUUCCUUUUUAAUCUUAUAGUCAUUAUGUAAAAUGUAUAUGCAUAUUUCUAGAUACAUACACACCAAUGUACAUAAUAUUAACUCCUUUUAAGUAGUCAUUUGCAAAUCCCUCUCGAGUGCUCUUUGGAAUGCUCAUGUGGUGCCGUUCUAAUCUCUUAUAUAUAACUUUUUGUGAUCCAUUUUUUCAUCAAUAUGCCAAAAUCCCUUUAGAAUUUGCAACUUAUCUUUUUGGUUACGGUAAAAAAAAAACUCGGAAUUUCAUUUAAACUCGAAAAUCUAGGGAUGUGAAAGCAAUUUUCUCUUGUUCGGCAACAUGUAGCGAGAGCAAAGGCAAAUUGUACAGGAAAAAGUUAGAAAUUUGGGAUGAAGAUUCCCAAUUUUAAUUUCGUCUAAAUAAGUGUAAUUUCACAAUUCUAACUACGAUGAGAAUCACAAAUAUAUUGCAGGGAAAUCUUGCGACAACCAAACUUUACGAUUAGGGUGCCAAAUUUCGUGAUAAAACCUAAUAAGGGUUUAGGGCUACAUUGUUCACUCUGUUAACUCUCCAAAUCUUCGACGGGAUUUUCGGCUCGUGCAUCAUCUUCUUGCUUUGUUCUAGGUCAACGCCUCUACUCUCUUCUUUCUUGUAUUAUUUUAGCUUUUCAGGUAGACUCUUUAUGGCUGUUGUGAAUUUUGCUAGUUAUUUUUAUUUUCUGAUAGUCAUUUGUUUGUUGUGCGUUUUUCCUUCCAAUUGAAUUGUGUAUUGGUUGGAUUUGUAACAUUUAUUUUUUUUAUUUUAUUUUAUGGAUUUUGGUGUUAGUUCUUUGUCAUGGAUGUUGUCCUUUUGAAGGUUAACAAUAGCCAAGACUAAACAUGAUGAUUUUGGUGUUAAUUACUUUCUCAUGAUACUAAUGCCAUAUUGUUCUCUAUUUUGCACUCACAAGUAAAGAGAAAUAUCCUAGACCCUAACUGGAUAUGUUAUUGUCAUGGUCAUGCAUUGGUAUGGUAACAAUAUGUUUGGAUAAGGAAAAUAAACUUAGAAUUUGACAAAAGAUAAAAUUUAUAAAUUGAUACAAUCAAUUCCUUUGUUUAGAUUCAUAAACAUAGAAAUUUAAACUUUCCGCGUGAGAAAAAACUUGGAAUUUGGGACCUUCAAUUCUCAUGUUUAAAUUUUAUGUAAAUAGGUGUCAUUUCUAAAUUUCAGUAAGUGAGAAUUUAAAAAUAACAAACAUGUAUUCAAAUUUCAUUCAUCUUUUAGGUUAACCAAACAAGAAAUUUUAUAAAUUCUAGAAAAUAAAAUUUCGUUAUUUCAAUUUCUGUUAUUUUAAAAUUAGUAAUCUUAAAUUUUCUCAUCCAAACAAAAAGUUUCCUUGUCAUAGAACUUUCAAUUGGGAUCAAGGAAGACAAUCUUUUCACAACUGAUUAUUCUCACCAAAUUUUAUUAUUAUUUUAAAGCAGAUCAAUACCAAACUUCAAAAGCAAAGUAGGAAGGCUAAAAUUAAGGUGAAGAACCUACUUCCACUAAUUACCAUGGGAGGGAGAGAGAGAGAACCAAGCGAGAGAGAAGAGAGAGAAAACACCAAGUAGUAUUAUAAUAUAGGUGGGGUUAAAUCACCUUUCGUGAAGUUGUAGUAAGAGCAGCUCCAGCGGGAGCUCCAACUUGAUGUACCGGUGAGAUUUCCUACCCAAUAGCCCCAGCUCCUUGCUCCAGUCCAUGCGGGUGAUUGGGCUGAGGGGGGCCGAGUGAGAGGCCUGACUCGAAUCGGUGGCCUGAGAGCCUGAGACCAAAAAUUAUCUUUUUGGAUAAUGACACGUGGUGCAACGAGAACGAUUAAAAAUCUUAUCCGAAAUUACAAAUAGAAUUAUUUUGUAUUAUUUUAUAAAAUAAAAAAUACUAAUAUUUUAUUGCUUAUUGACAUGACUAUUCAAUUACGGGUGGAGAUGCAGAAGACAAUUAUUAUUCAUUAAAGGUAAUUAUUGUUCAUUGGAGGGGAUUGAAUAUGAAGUUGCACUAGAAGGCCUUUGUCACGGCAAUAGGCAAUUACUGUUCUAAGGACUUCUAUCCUAGAAGAGAGACAAAAACACCAAGUAGUAUUAUAAUAUAGGUGGGGUUAAAUCACCUUCCGUGAAGUUGCAGAUAGAGUAAGGACUUCUAUCCUAGAAGAGAGACAAAAACACCAAGUAGUAUUAUAAUAUAGGUGGGGUUAAAUCACCUUCCGUGAAGUUGCAGAUAGAGUAAGGACUUCUAUCCUAGAAGAGAGACAAAAACACCAAGUAGUAUUAUAAUAUAGGUGGGGUUAAAUCACCUUCCGCGAAGCUGCAUUAAGGACUUCUAUCCUAGAAGAGAGACAAGAACACCAAGUAGUAUUAUAAUAUAGGUGGGGUUAAAUCACCUUACGUGAAGUUGCAGUAAGGACUUCUAUCCUAGAAGAGAGACAAAAACACCAAGUAGGAUUAUAAUAUAGGUGGGGUUAAAUCACCUUACGUGAAGUUGCAGAUAGAGUAAGGACUUCUAUCCUAGAAGAGAGACAAAAACACCAAGUAGUAUUAUAAUAUAGGUGGGGUUAAAUCACCUUCCGUGAAGUUGCAGUAAGGACUUCUAUCCUAGAGAAAAGUCGGUCAAUGGUGUUUGACACAGUCAGUCAACGAUAAAGACAGAAUUGUGUAACCAUAAUUCUCUCUCUAUCUCUUUUUCAUUAACGGAGGACAGUGUAUAAUUACUACGUAUACAUCUCUGCUCAAUUAUUGAAAAGAAAAAUCCAUGUGCAUUAUUUUUAUUAUUAUUAUCUCAGAAAUGCAGAAAUUGAUCAUCUCUUCCUUCUGCAUAUUGAUACUGGUUUUCUUCAAACUAGUUGAAGCAAGCCAAUAUGUGUGCGCGAAAUCCAACUGUAGCAAUGAUCAACGCCCGGCUAUCCAUUUCCCAUUGAACAUCAGGCGCACACAUCAUUGUGGAAAUUCUGGGCUUGAAUGCAAUGGGAGAUAUGGGCAGCAAAUACUAAUAAAAUUAUUUGUCAAACACAUUGAUUACAAGCGUCAGGAAAUCCAAGUCUAUUCCCCAAGUAACUGCCUGCUGCUAAAGCAUGUUGAAAUCCCAAACAUGCCACCCUCUCCCUUCAACGUGUCAGUCGAUGACUACAUGAGUACCCUUACCUUAUUCAGUUGUCCUACUUCUGUUGCAAGACGAGAUACGUAUCAAGUCCCCUGCCUCGGCGACCCUGGCAAGAAAACUUAUGCCAUUCGUUCUUACUAUGAUUUUGGAACUCUCUUCCAGAAUCUACAAUCCUGUACAAAAAUGUAUGAUGUUUUAUCAGUUCCAAUAGCCUAUGAAUAUUAUGUUUUUCGUUUCAAAUGGUCUAUACCAAAUUGCAGAAAAUGUGGAGAGGGAAAGAAGUGUGGAUGGCAGAACAAUGAAAUUAAAUGUCUUCCCUGGAGGAAACCAAGUAAGGAUAACAUAUGUAUUCAUUGCUAGUUUUAAACAUCUUUACAUUUAUGUCUUAGUAAUUAUUAUUUGAAGGAUGUUGUCCAAUCCAUUUUUACUAGGAAUAUUACCUGACAGUCUCGUUUAAAUUCGCAAUGAUCUUCUACAGGCAACACAUGGAAAAAAGUGGUUACAGGUGGAAUCCUGUGUGCUUUGCUUCUUGUUCUACUGACGAUUGCAGCAUAUCGGGUAUAUAGCGCUGAUAGAAAGGAGAAAGAGAGUCGAUUAAGAAUUGAAAGAUUCUUGGAGGACUACAAAGCACUCAAACCAAGCAGGUAUUCGUACGCAGAUAUUAAGAGGAUUACAAAUCAAUUCAAGGACAAGUUGGGCCAAGGAGCCUAUGGAACUGUCUUCAAAGGAAUGCUCUCUUCUGAAUUUUUUAUUGCUGUCAAAGUCCUCAACAGUUCCAAGGGAGAUGGGGAAGAGUUCGUAAAUGAAGUGCGAACGAUGGGUCAUAUCCACCAUUUAAACGUGGCUCGCUUGGUUGGAUUUUGUGCUGAUGGAUUUGUACGAGCUCUUGUUUACGAGUUCUUCCCCAAUGGUUCCCUGCAGGAUUUCAUUUCAUCUGCAGAUAGUAAGAAUUCAUUUCUUGGUUGGGAUAAACUGCAAGAUAUUGCCCUAGGCAUAGCCAAAGGAAUUGAAUAUCUUCACCAGGGAUGCGAUCUACGAAUCCUGCAUUUCGACAUCAAACCCCAUAAUGUUUUGCUAGACCAAAACUUCACUCCAAAAAUUUCUGAUUUUGGUAUGGCCAAGUUAUGUUCCAAGGAUCAAAGCUUGGUGUCCAUGACUACAGCUAGGGGGACCAUGGGCUACAUUGCACCUGAAGUGUUCUCCAGGAAUUUCGGAAAUGUGUCUUACAAGGCAGAUGUCUAUAGCUUUGGAAUGCUGCUGCUUGAGAUGGUAGGAGGAAGGAAGAAUAUUGGUUCAAUCACGGAUAACACUACAAAUGAAAUUUACUAUCCACAGUGGAUUUAUAAUCUUCUAGAGGAAGGGGAUGACCUACGAAUCCACAUUGGGGAAGAAGGAGAUGGUAAAAUUCCAAAGAAACUUGCAAUUAUAGGGCUAUGGUGUAUCCAAUGGCACCCGUCGGAUCGUCCUUCCAUGAAAAUAGCGGUUCAGAUGUUAGAAGGAGGAGGAGAAAGCUUGAGUAUGCCGCCUAAUCCCUUUGUGCCUACUGGUUCUACAACUAGGAAUGCAAGACGCCUAGAGCUAGAAGCUAUUGCUGAAUUAGAGUAAAAUGUAUAUGCAGAUAUGUAGACGUAUAGAUAUAGUAAUAUUUAUAUUGAAUAAGAGGCCGUUUGAUAACCAUUUCGUUUUCAGCUUUUAAUUUUUAUUUUUCACUUUUUUGAAAACUAAAAACUAAAAUCUUGUUUGGUAAAUACUUUUAGUUUAAAAAAAUUAUGAAGACUGAGAACUAAAAUGUGAAAGCUCAAAGGAAGUAGAUUAAAAGUAGUUACCAAACAAACUGGAAUCUCAAUAAUAAAAAAAGAUUGAAUUGCACAAUGCAAUCCAAACCAAUCAAAACAUUAAAAUAGCAAAAAAAAAUUAAAAUUCUAGUUGAUUAGAUUCUAAACGUAGUAAAAAUGAACAGAUCCAAUGAAAAAACAAAAAAUUCUCAAAUAAAAAUAGGGAUAAAGUAAAAUAUUUAUAAAUAGCUCUUUGUCUCUUAUGUCAUCAAUUAUUUCUAUAGUAUAUACAGGUUUUUGGAAAAAUUAGGUUCUCAUCCCUUAUUUUCAUAUUACAUUGAUUGAAAUCUUAUUAUUUUUCUAUUUUAGAUCAAGGUCCCUUGACUUAUUCCAUGUCAUCAUUUUAGUAUUUAAAAUAUUACACGUCAUCAUAAACGAAAUCUCAUCCCUUUCUGCAUUUAAGGCAAAAUAAACUAUAUGAGUAAGUUUAAAACAAGGAAAAUCCAUUUGAACUCCUCCAUUCUUCUUCUUCCCUUAUGCACAUCUGGAAUCUACAACACCCCAAACCCAAUUUUCUCCAUUUUUUCUCCAUUCCUGAAUUGAUCCAAUGCAUAUAUGUUGAAUAAACCUAUUGUGAUUAAAAUACAAAUUAGCAUCAAUGGUUUUAUCGGCUUGUGAGAUUUGUGUGGCAUAGGCAAGGCAAUGCAGGCAUUGCUUUCUCAAGGAAUCUGGUUGAUUCAAACAUGCAGAGACUGUAGAGUGAGCGGGCUAUGUGAAAAUUGUACCAUUCUGAAGUCAUUUUCUUUUGUUCUUUAUAUUUUUUUUCUUUUUCUUUUAUUAUUAUAUAUUAGUCUUGGUUAUUCAAUGUCUGGUUGGCUACACUUAUAUCCAUGGGUACAUUUUUAAUCUACAUGUUUCGUUCUAAUAUAUCUAUUGCUAUAAUAUGUUUUGGUUGGUUCAAAUUUGUUUUACAUAAAUAUAUGGGUACAAAGUUUUUGGAGAAUAUUAUGUAAAAUGGUUUUUAAGGUUGCUGCAUUUUACGUUCCCACAUAUGCAUGUCUAUAAAACAAUGUGGUAUGAUGUACAUUCUUUUCUUUGAGUUUUUAAAUGUACCCAUGAGUUUUCUUGUAAAUUCGUAUGUACCCAUAUGCUAUUUAUGUUAUGGGUACAUACAUUAUUUUUGGUCUAAGUUCAGGAUACAUUGCUUUUGUAUGUAUGAAUUCAUGGGGUACAUUAUUUCCCUUAAUACUACUCAAUAAAAUUCACAAAAAUAUGUGUAGUGUGCAUGAUUUUUUAUUGUAGAAAUUGUUUGUUUUUUUUAAGUCUCAUAAUUCAUGAAAUUUGUACAUAUAUGAUCCCAUAAAUUUUUUAAUUUUAUUAAAUUUCUGUUAGACUUGAUCGAUUGAUUGAAUCUCAUAAUACUAGGAUUUUGAAUUACAUAAAUUCUUGGAUUUGAAUCCCUUAAAUGUUGGACUGCAAUCAAUAUUUUAAAUUACAGUUUUUUGUUUAAGAUAUCAAAAAGAUGACAUGGGAAUAUAGUAAUACUAAAAUGCUGAGGUGUACAAAGUCAAGGGACUUUGAUCAAAACAUAAAAAACAAUAAGAUUUCAAUCUAACAAUUGAAUUGACUAGGGACCGGAACCAAAAUGACCCUAGAUUUUUAUUGAGUUUAAUCUUAAUCAAAAAAAGACUUCUUGUAUCACAGAAAAUACAAGAACCAUUAUUUGAAUGAAAUAAAAGCUAUGGGAUGGAGAUAUAAAUGGAUCCUUUUAUUCACAAUCGGAUUAUAUUUAUUUGAUACACUGUUGUCAAUAUGAAUGUUGAGAAAAGACUACAAAAGAAAAAACAAUUUAUAAAUAUAACUAAAAAUUCCAAUUUCAAUCAAUUAGAUAAUUAGAAUUAUAAGAAGAAAAAAAACAGAAAUCUCAGUUUUCAGUUUAAAAAAAAAUGAAAACAAAAACUGAAAACUGAAAACAAAAUGGUUAUCAAAGCCGUCCAAAUAAUAGAAGUUUGUUUCCACUCUUUGUUUAAGCAUAGAUGCCAAUUUUUGUUUAUCAUUUUUUUAACCUCUAUUUUUUGUUACAGUAGAAGCCCUAGAAGGAAAUCGAGCACUGGACUUACCAAACUCUUAACUUAUUUCUACACACCAAGAGCUUGAUUUCGGUUCUUAUUUAUACUAUUUAAGCUAUAAGCCGUGAUAAGAAUUAGAGAACUAUCAUUUGUUGUGAGCUUCAAUUGGUUAGCACUUUGUAUGUUUUCAUUAGAAUUUAUAUUUCACUUAGACUUUCUUAUUAAAAAAGGGAUCAUUUGGUGACUUCACCAUGACAGUCCAAUUUUAUGGGGGCCAUGAGUACUCACAAAGGUAUUUCAGCCUCCCCCUAUAUCUACCGUCGCGUGAUUCACCAUUGCCGGGAAUCGAACUCAAGACGUGUUGUAUAGAAUACAAGCCUAAAAUUCGUUUCUAACCACUGAGUCACCCCGCGUUUGAUUAUAUUUCACUUAGACUUAUCUUGCGGUAUAGCAUGUCAUCCCCGCCCAAGUUUUUCUGUUCGCAUUGAGUUUGGGAUACCAAAACUUGCCAAACAAAGUAGAUUGAUUAGUAAGCGAAGCUAAUUAUUCGACUAAACAUUGUUUAGAAUUUUAAUUAAAAGAAACAAUAUGAAUCUGUUUUUUUUUUUUUUUUUUGACAAACUAUAACGUUAAGGAGUUAAAUUGUUAGUUGUUAAGAGUACAGGGAUAGGUGAGGAUCGAACCUCCACCAGAGUGCAUAGACAUUAUUGGUUCUACAACUGCGGUAAAUCACAUAAAACAAAACGUAAUACUUUGAGGAUGGAAGACACUUCGUGGAUAGCGGGCAAUCAACACUAUCAGUCGCUAUCCAAAACUUGGAAUUAUGUUUAUUGUCCGAAGGAUUUUUCUUCCAUUAAAUUGCUAAGGAAGAUGAGGAUGGGUGGAGUGUCUAAAUGUCAAGGUUGAUAAGAAAGUGUAUGGUGUUCAGCAUGCGAUUGAGAUUUGUUGAGUGGCACAACAAACCACAUAAAAUUUUCUAAAUGAUAAGCAAUGAUAAGCUUGAGUAUAAUUUUUUACCACGUAUUUAUCUUUAAAAUCAUUAUAAUUAGAUUUUCUCUUAAUUAAUAUAGACCGUUAGAUUGACCCAAGUUUUUUUCCUCUUUUCUUUCCCCUCGUUUUUUUCUUCUCUGAUUUUCCAUUCACCGUGUAGCAGUCGUUCUUCCCCAACUAAGUUUCUUAUUUUUCUUCACAAAAAAAUUGUAGAAAAUAUUAAGAAAAGAAAAGUCAUCAAUAUCAGACUCGAUCAGGUAAUCGUUCCAACCUUCCCAGCAACUCUCAGUCUUAACAAGGCACCAAAUUUUCUCCGCCACCUAACUCGUCAUUCAUUCAUGGGUGUUUCAAGCUUGGUGAAAAUUGAUAGAGUUCCAUGUGUGUACAGGGAUGUGAACAUAUUGGCCACUCUCUAAGAAUGAGUCAUUGGAAAAGUUGAAGGAAAGAUGUAACCGAUGAAAUUAAUGGAUUGGAAUUACAAUGAAGUCUGUGUUGGUUUAUCACAAAGAACCCAGAAACAAAAUUUUAAAAGCAAACAAUUACAACUUCUCAAAUAUUAUGUAACAAACUUUCAAUGAAAUGUUGCUCAUAAUUGAAAAAAGGUUGACGAAGGACGGAGUUGGGAUUAUUUUAGAUGGGGAAGAGUUAAAAGAAGGAAGCACCAUUUAAUUACUAAAAGUAAUUGGAGAAAUGGUAAUUCAAUGGUGGGCGUUUUUAAGGUGUGGACCUUGUGUCACACCCCGAUCCCAACAUACAUUGAGGAUCGACACCUGACAUGGGGACCUAGGGGACAUAAAUCUUACGUAAGAUACAGAAUGAAAUACUAUAAAUAAUAUCCCAAAAUGAAUAUGAUAGUGGGUUCACCCCCUAUAAAAUAUAUACAAGUUUGUACAUUCACAAAAAAAAAAAAAAAAAAAACACACACACACACACACAAAACUCUUGCUAGGCCAAGACUUGCCCAUGGUUCUCAAAGGAAAGUCCUAAAAGAAAUAGUACAAUGAAGGAUAAAGGGGUAACCUAAACACUCCAAGUCUCUGAUCUCUGCACUGCUACCCCCACCGGCUCCUCGUAAUCUACCUCAGACCUGUCACUUGUACAAACAGUGCCUACAUUGUGGGAAUGGUGCACCGGGCAAACAAAAACCCAGAUAAGCUGCAAAACUCGUGUGGUAGCCGGCCUGGGACAUGGGAGGGGGCCGAGUCUUUCAGAAACCCUUGGGUCAUUGAUCUUCAAGCUUACAUGGAUGGGAUUGUCUCGACGUUGCUUUAGGAAGUCUCGACAGUCGUGAAAGACGGCUUUCGAUCCUUCCACUCCUUCUGUAAGAAGGUGUCUUCCUCCACUCCUUCUGCUUCGGGUUGAAGCAGCUGGGUUGAGAGAAGUCUCAUGUUGGUCGCGAUUUCGAUGAGUAGCUCGCUCCUCAACAGGAAUACCCAUGUCGAGGGAAAAUGAGCCUCUGUGUUGGAGGCACCCAGUUGAUGGUUGACUUCCACAGGGGUGAUGAGCUCGUGUGUUUUAGUAUAUCUAGCCUCGUGGAGCAUCUCGAAGACCUUUUCAUACUGCUCUUGGAGGAUCUCAUUCUUCAUCGCUAUCUUGUUGUUCUGAGCCUCCAGCUCAUCGACUUUAGCCUGAAGAGCAAACUUCUUUUGUUCCUUCUUUCGUUGUUUCGCACCAGGUGUAAGAGGGGUGUCAUUCUGUGUGCCGUGGCUUCCUUCGCUCCCCAUGUUAGAGAGGGAUGCCUGGUCAAAAGAGAGAGUACGAAUGGUGGAAACCAGCUUGGCAAAGCUAAAGAGAGUGGGAAUAAGUGUCGUUCCCACAGACGGCGCCAAAUGUUGAUGCACAAAAUCAGUGAGGACUUUGGUACAACAGAAAGUGUUAAGUUUGUGUCCUUCGCUAGAUUGGUCCGGUCAUUAGUGUGGAUAAGUAUGUAAAUGGAUAGGGACAGGGAAGCAAACACAAGAUGUAUGUGGUUCACCCAGAUUGGCUAUGUCCAUGGAGUGGAAGAGUUCUCAUUAAUUGUGAAGGGUUUACACAAGUACAUAGGUUCAAGCUCUCCUUUAGUGAGUACAAGUGAAUGAUUUAGUACAAAUGACAUUAGGAAAUAUUGUGGGAGAAUGAUCUCCUUUUAUAGAAUAGUUUCUAGCUUUGUUCUGACAUUGACACGUGUCAUGCUGUGAUUGGCUUUUGAUGUUGACAUGUGUCGCAUUGUGAUUGGCCUCCUGGUUUGAGGGAAACUCUUCUGGGUCCUUGACAGUAUAACGUUGACAGGUGCUCAGUAGUUUCGGGAUUGGUCAAGUAUGGUACAAACAAAGUCACUGAAAACUUCGAAGGAGUCACCCAGACAUCCAACGACUUUUCUAAAUCAAAUCUCAGAGAUUCCCAAAACUAUCGUUCACAAAUACACUAAAAACUAAGGCUAGAGUGACACAGUUUGGCCAAAGCCUACAUAAGUAACCAAAUAAGAAGUGGCCCCCCCAUAGCGGAUUAAUCAAGUAGAGCCACUCCUGAGAAAGUAACCAAGUAGGUAGUGACCCCAUCACGAAUUAACCAAGCAGAGUCACUCCUACGAAACUGUUAGGUAGUGAUCACCCAUCGCGGAUUAACUAAGCAUGAUCACCCCUAAGUACGUAUGGCCAUACCUAAGAAAUAAGGAUCGCCCAUCGCGGAUUAACUAAGCAUGAUCACCCCUAAGUACGUAUGGCCAUACCUAAGAAAUAAGGAUCGCCCAUCGCGGAUUAACCAAGCACAAUCCAAAAAUAUUAUGGGUCCCCUAUCGCGGAUUAACCAAGCAGGACCAUCCAUGUACCACUGCUACAUGGUGCAGAUUCGGUGUCACCUAACCCCGUGACACUAGGGUAACGGUCCUCUACUAGCCCUCACGUUUUUCAAACAUUUCAAAUAUAUAAUUUAAAACACAAUUCAUAAACAUUUCGAAUAGGGAAGUCACAUAGUGUUUAAUAAUGUAGGUCAAUGGAAAACUUUAAAAACAAUUAUUUAGCAUAAAACAUAUUUUAGAAAUCCAUGCUGUAUCCACAAAGUAUACUAGCACGGGAGAUUUUCAGGGUAAUAACUCUAUCACAUAUAUUAAAGUCACUCACCUGGAGUCCGCACUAACGCACCCUAGCACGAAUAUCAAGAUGUCACGUACUAUCAUUUGUAACAUCCCACAUCAACCAACAGAGAGGGGGUGAUGUGUCUUAUAUGUACAUGCCCACCUCUAUAGCACGAGGCUUUUUGGGAGCUCAUUGGCUUCAUAUUCCAUCGGAACUCCAAAGUUAAGCGAGUUUGGGCGAUAGUAGUCCAAGGAUGGGUGACCCACUGGAAAGUUCUCGUGUGAGUUCCUAGAAACAAAACCGUGAAGGCGUGGCCAGGGGGGCCAAAGUGGACAAUAUUGUGUUACGACGGAAUUAAGACUGAGAUGUGACAGAAUGGUAUCAGAGCCGCUCUGCCGCGUGGUGCAAGUGUGCCGAAGAGGACAUCGAGCCCCUAAGGGGGGUGGAUUGUAACAUCCCACAUCGACCAACGAAGAGGGGGUGAUGUGCCUUAUAUGUACAUGCCCACCUUCAUUUAGCACGAGGUCUUUUGGGAGCUCACUGGUUCCGGGUUCCAUCGGAACUCCGAAGUUAAGCGAGUUCGAGCGAGAGCAUUCCCAUGAUGGGUGACCCACUGGGAAGUUCUUGUGUGAGUUCCCAGAAACAAAACUGUGAGAGCAUGGCCGGGGCCCAAAGCGGACAAUAUCGUGUUAUGGCGGAGCCGAGAUUGGGAUGUGACAUCGUCACCUAAGACAAAGUACAAGUCCACAUUUAGAGUUCUUCGAGUAUUCACAUAAUCAAAAAUUUACAUACGCACCCUACAACUAAUGAAGAGAAAUCGAGACACGUUGACAAAAAGUCAACCGUCGAUCAACGGUAGGGUCCACAACCCUACGUAACUUAAUCCGUAAGAUCCAGCCACUGUAUUUGUGAUUCAUAAGUUCCUAAGGUCCUCAAAUCUUACGUACAAUAACAUACUAAACUUUAGUGACGAUCUAAUGGUCGAAUCAUCAUUUACUAUAAUGUUCAAAUGACGCAAAUUCGUCAAUCGGAUGUCAAAUAUGGAAUCGGUCAUCGAAUUUAGCCUAGGAAGAUCAAGUGGUGUCUCAAGCCACGCACCACCAUGCGCAGCAGUUGGCAACCCAGAUUCGUCGAAAAAAUCACCUGAUUCCAAAAUGAAUGUCGUGAGACGUGGAGUAAAUUGUAUACCUGUGAGAAGCCCAAUUUGGCCAGGAAGUGGCCUGAAAUCACUUUAGACCGUCGGAAACCCUAAAAUAGGUGAAUCUCGAUUAGUCAUCUCUGGUAUUCCACCGUCCUCAAACUUGUUUAGGGUUCUCAAAAAAAUGCUAAUGAUGAUGGUGAUUGAAGGAGAACGUUUCAGAAAUAGUGAAUCGCCGGCGAGGGUUUCACGGAAUCGACAUGGGUGUUCCUCGUGGAACCAAGACCAAAUCUCAACGGUUUUGGCUAGAAAUGGAUGCUGGGAUGUCGUGGUGAGGUUUGGUAUUGAUGGGAGGUCGAAGAAAGUCAAAAAAAUCGACGAAAAAACUGUCGUCGGAGUCACAGGAAACGUGUUAGAAAAAUGAGUCGCCGAGUUUGAAACGGGUCGAAGGCUUUUGGGACAGCUACUUAAUCUCUCUUCUCUGAUUAGUCACUCCACUCACUCUCUCAUUUGAUUGGUCCAGCCUUCCCACAUGGUGGGAGUUCCCUCAUAUAGUAACCCAAAAUUUACUAUUUAAAUUUGGUAUCAAACGUCCGUAACUUUUUUGUUAUAGUUCCGAUUCACAAACGGCUUUCGCCUACGCGCUCGUAUGAUCGAAUUAUACUUGAAAACAUUAAUUGUGACCUUAAAAAGGUCUACAAGUUUUAAAAGAUUAAUUACAAAAAUUCACACCUUGUAACUAUACGAUUCAAAUUCUAAAAUUAACGGAAUUAAAAUAAACUAAAAAUAAUGUAAACACGAAAUACAGACUUUAAUAAUGAAAUACGUAAUUAAUAGUGGAAUUCUGGGGAUGGGAUUUCACACCUUGCGUCCGGACCUUGAGUGCGGAUCAGAAUCCAAAGGUCGUGAUCUGACGAGCUCAUGUAUAGAACAGAGUUGUUGUGACCCAAUGCAAUUCAAAACUUUUAUGUUUUUUUAUUUACUGGGUACGUUUUUGUAGGAGGAAAAGGGGAAGUCGAGGGAUUCUUUGCGCAAUAAAGAGGGAAAGAGAGAAAAGGGGAGCUAAGAGGUUCUUCGCGCGUUAAAUUUUUGCUUCUGAUUUUGCAACCUAGAAAUAAAGUAUUUUCUUUAUGGUUUAUGGUUCAAGAAUAUAAUGGAUGCAACCUAAAAAUGUUUAUUUUUUUAUUUUUUACUUUUUUUCUUCUUAUGUUGGCUUUUGGUUUAUUCUUAUAAUGCACUAUAUAUUAACUAAAUUUAUAAACAUUUUGUAUCUUUGUUGCAGUCAAAUUAAUCAUAUGGGUUGGCAUGACGAAGUUCGACUGAGACAUACAGAUGUUUUGCAAUCUUAAGUCUAACCUGACACACCCCGACCUCAAUAUCCAGUGGACACCAAAAUUGAGGUGUGAUGGCCAUCAUCCGGAUGGGUGACGAAACCAUUAUAUGCAUGAAAACAUAAUUACCCAAACACGUCUUAUUAAAAUAUUGAGUAAAUACCAUACAAGAUAGAAUACGUCAGAGCUGUUGCAAAAUACCUCAACGUCCGAUGUAAUCACUGAUAGAAUUACUGAAUCAUGUAUAAAUGGAAAGCUGAUAAAUACAUGUAAUUUGAGUGGAUACUUACCAGCAGCAUGGAUACAAUAUCAUCCACCAGUCGUAACUAGUGAAAGUUGGAUAAUAUAAUCAUGUCAUUGCCGAGUAAUCUCAAGGCAAUGACAAGAUGAGAAUGUAACUGAGUAAUCAUAUCAUUACUAAAUAAUCUCAAAGUAAUGACAAGCUAAGAGUAUAACCGUAUAAUCAUGUCAUUACCUCGUAAUCUCAAAAUAAUGAUAAGCUGAGAGUAUAACUGUAGUACCUCUUAUUAGUGCAAUGCAUGAUAUGAAUUCCAUCUCACAUAUAUAUGCAAGCCAUAAUCAAACCAAUAAACAUCCAACAAAAGCCACAAUCCUUUUAACAUUCGACCACAAGAUCAAUUUUCAUAUUUCCCAAACCUAGGUUCCAAAGCAUUGUUUCGAAUUAUUAAUACAAGAAACCACCACCACCUCAAUCAACUCCUAUUCACAAGUGUAAGCAAUUACUAAAUGCAUCACUUUCGACUCUAGUCUUAAUUAGAUUACUUGGGAUACUCACACCAUCAGAUCCAAGUACUAUUUUGAUAAACUUUAAAUAGCAUGGUUAAAAUAAAUGAAACACUUUUAGAAAAUAAGUGAAGAUGUUGUUUACAAAUAUAGAUGCAUCUGUAUAUAAAAGCUUUGGCGGUUGAUCCGUAUACACACUUCCAGAGAUAUAAGCAAGUUCAUUGGAAUAUACAUACAUAGUUAAUGUAUUACAAUAUAAUUAAUAAGAAAACAAUUGCAUCCCUUUCAGAUUAUAUAUAUAUAUAUAUAUAUAUAUAUAUAUAUAGACACACACAUACAUACACACAGGCCCUUUAUGCAAAGGAAUUUCCAUUUUUUUUCAAAAAUGGGGAUUAGUUGUGGGGCCCACGCUGCAUUGAACUUUAACGAUCCGAACAGUCUAUUUUGUAAGUCUCGAUUCAUAGAUCAUCCUUGUAAAAAUUCAAUUCAAUCCGAACCCAUUUGCCUAUUUAAUUAUCAAGAUAAAAUUUUAUUGUUUCUUAUAUAACAAAGUAUUCGUUAAUUUCUUUGAACUCAAUUAGAUAUCUUAAACAUUUCCGAUUUGGUUAAUAUUGUGUAAGGAUGAUCUAUGUGGUGCAACUUGAAAAAUAGACGAUUACGAUCGUUAAAGUUCGAUGUGGUGAGAACCCUACAAUUAAUCUUCAUUUUUAUAAAAGAAUGGGAACCCCUUCCCUUAAAGGUUUCCUAUGUAUAUAUUUGUUCUCCAGACAUAUGCAAAAGGUAAUGUAAAACCAAUGAGAACUUAAAUAGAUAUUCCAUACAUAGGACAAUUCCAUAUAUGCUUUUUCAACAUUUAUAUCGAAAAGCCAAAUUGUUUUGAGGAAAUUAAUUGUAGCAAUGAUCCCUUAACUUUUAUCUUAUUGGAGCAAUGGUCUCUCAACUAAAAAUUCAUAACCAUUGGUUCCUUAACUCCACACAACGUGUAGUUAUGGUCAUUUUCAUUAACUCCGUCAGAACUUUUGUUAAAACAAGUAAUGUUAGAAGAAUCAUUGCUACAAUUAAGUUAAAGUUGGGGACCAUUGCUCUAAUUAAAUUAAAAUUGAGGGAUCAUUUCUCCAAAUUGCUUAAAGUUCAAGGACCAUUUCUACAAUUUUCUCAUCUAGUUUCCCAUAUUUACCCCAUGAUUCAGCUUCACAUGCAUUGCACAUGACUCAUUUUGAAAUUUUUUUUAACGAAAUUGAUGAAAAUGACCAUAAAUGCACGUUUUGAAGAGUUAAGAGACCAAUGGUCGUGGAUUUUAGUUGAGGGAUCAUUGCUCCAAUUUAGUUAAAGUUAAGGGACCCUUGCUACAAUUUUCUCAAAUGUUUUGUAUGCGAAAAUAGGCAUUUGUAAAGUUUGGCUUGUUCAUGGCAUUAUUACUUUAGUCUAAAGUAAGGCUGGAAAUGGCACUGUAGAAAUGAAUAGUGUUCCAAUCCGAAUUUCAGUUUAAUUACAACAAUGCCAUUGCUCUUUGUGUUGCCUUUAGGUGAGCAGCCCGGCUUGCAGCCAGGCCCAAAUGUAUUGGUUUUAGCUGAGAAGCCCGGCCCUUAGUCAAGCCCAAAAUUUUAAAUUACAGUUUUGCCCAUACAAAAUAACAAUCCGAUUGUAUCGAGAAGGACAAUUUUGUCCUUUCAGUUUUGGGUGAGAUAGGGGGUAACAGGGUAAGUUUCAUUUGCUGUCGUUGAAUGAGGGUUUCGAGGAUGAGGGCUCUGUGUGUGUGGGUGUGUGAGAGAGAGAGAGAGAUAGAGAGAGAUAGAGAGGGAUAUGGCGAUGGAAGGAGAGCGAGGGGGAAGGGAAGGGUUCUCGGCACUGUUGCUGCAUGUGAAUUUCACAAGUGGGAGAGUGGGUAUGGUCAGAGAAGACCAUAUAGGUCGUUGGGAUUUCAGGGAAACGGGGUAGGGGUCAUGAAUGAACCCUGCUGAGAGUGGGUACUGGAUCUUGCGCUGCAUGCCUCAAAUCAAAGAUAAGUUCGUUUUUUUUAUUGUAUUUUUUAUGGUAGCUUAGCUUUUGGAAUUGUUUAGUAUGUUAGGUCCGAUUUUGGGGGAUUUAUCUUUUUAGAGAGAGAGAUGGACAGGGAGAUAGAGAUAGAGAGAGAGAGAGAGAGAGAGAGAGAGAGAGAGAUGAGGAAGCAUGACUGUGUGCAAUUUUUUAUGUUAAUUAAUGGGUUGGUGCGCAGGGUGAGUGACAGAGUGACAGAGUGAAGGAGGGACGUGUGGGAGGGUAUGAGUUUUCAGUUCUUUCUUUUGAUUCAACAGGUUAUACACUGUUUGAAAAACCUUUUUUUUAUUAUUUUGUUCUCGUUUGCUUUGUUAAAACCAUCAUUUGAAUUUUUGGGUUUCAUUGUGCUUAUUUCUCUGCUUCUUCAUAAUUUGCUGGUGUUUGCUUCUCAUCCCUCUGUUGGUAGAUCUUUUUCUCAUUUCUUGGUUCCUUAUGUAUUCUUUGGUACAAAUCUGUUUACUUUUUGGCUGUGUGAUAAUCUUAGCAGGUGAACUAUAUGAACGUUUUUUUGAAACGAGUUAAGAAGAUCCAGCUGAAAAGAGCAUACAAGAUAGAGAACUGGUAUGCUGCUCGCCAGGGAAAGGCUGCUGGAAAGGUUGAGACGGAUGCCUCUUUCAGAAACCAGGUCAGUUUCCUGCUGCUCGGCGUCUUAAUGUAUCCAAAUUGUUUAUCUUUUGAUGAAAUUAGCUGGCUAUAUUUUCUAUUUUAUUUAUCUGCAUAUUAUUUUGGUUUGUUGAAAUUUUGACUAUAGUCAUUGUCACAUGGGCGCCUAGCCCAACCCAAAUUAGUUGAGGAUAUUUAAAUCUUCACCAUGGUAUUAUAGUACUCACUCACAGUUGUGAAUACUAAGGUGCAUGCAUGGCAUGAAGAAGUGGACCGUGCACGCCAAGGUCAGAGGGAUGCAGAAGGCAAGCUUUUUUCUUUGGAGGUAAGUAUCCUUUGUUUAUUGCCCAACAGUGUUGUUAUUAUCAAUUUGUAGCUUUGCGUUCUGAAUUUUUUGCUUUGUCAAACAACCUUCUUGAAAUGCUCGAUUUCAAGCCGAAGUCCAAAAAAUGAAAGUUGAGAUGGCUUCCAUGAAGAGGGAUGUAGAGCAUUACUCGCGCUAGGUGAAAUCUGCUUCCUCUCUUUUCGUAUAUCUUCAUAUGAAGAGUUUUACUAAGUUAUAUUGAGAACUAUGUUAUUUAUAGGUUAUAUUUUCCAUUUUGCAGGAACACAUGGAGCUAAGGAAGAGCUAUCGUGAACUCACUGAUCUACUGGUAAUGUCACUCAAACUGCUUUAUUUGUGCAUGCUGCUACUAUGCGCUUGAAUGCAUUUUAUUACUGGCGGGAUGCGAAGAAAGCUAGAUAUAUGUGCUGGAUCGCUUGAUUAAUGUUAGGGUUUUAACAACUAAUUGUUAGCAGCUAGAAGCCCUGGUUAGAUUAAUGCUAAUUUGAUUUUCCUUACAGUACUUGAGUGCCAGUUUCAUAUUGUUUGUUCCCUGUUGGAUACCUGCUGUACAGUUUCAUUUCUGUUUCUUCAUAACUUUCUUGGCCCUGGGAUAUAUGCAUAUUGAGUACAAUGAAUAUCCAUUGUUCUCUAACUGUUGGGCUUUACUAUCUUUGUAGCAGCCUGCCUAACAUUUUUUAGGCUCUACACUCUACCAUCCAAUUUAUGAAAAAUUCAAAGAUUGGACGAUAUUGAUUGCAGAAAUGAAAAAAAUACUAUGAUAUUAGAAAGGUGAAUGUAAUUGUGUUAGAAUAAGCGUCUAGCAUGAUGGGUAAUAUUUUAAGUUUGUAUUUCUAAAAUUUUUUCGUUCUGGAGUAUGAUUUACCUCAAUUGUUUUGUACUUUAAUCUUUACUAAUUUUCAUUGUGGAGUAUGAUUUGCCUCAACUAACAACUUUUCAUUGUUUAACUUUUUCCUCCCUUAGAUAGUUGCAUAUGUUUGAUUUGUUAAUCUGCUUCUUACACAUGUUGUUUCCUAAUGGUGUAGGUGGGUUGUCGGAUGCAUGUGCAGAUUACUUGAAUAGACGAAGCUAAGAAUGACUUAGUAUUAAGUGAGACAGAAGCUUGGGUCAGUUGGAUUUUGACAUUUGAUUUAUUCAUGUUUUUUGUUGCUUGCAAUGUUCUCGCAUUGUUUGUUCUGAGAUUCUGUGAUCUUAUUUUUCAUAGGAACUGACAUUGGUUUGCCAUAUAAUGUUUCAGGAACUAAUACAACAACUAAUCACCUUGCUUAGCUCUCAAGACACAUACUUAACAGGUUAACAAACACUAACCUAUAAACUGAUCUGCUAAGCUGGACCAUUAACCUCUGUUUAUAUCCCUGCCACUCAUCUUUUGGCACUUAUCAAUAGCAAAAUCUAGAGUUGUUGAAACCCCAAUUUUAAUGAAUAUUAUUUUUAGUUGAUAAUUAAAAUUAAUUGAUGAUUAAUCUAUUCCAUUGUGCAUUAUUUUAUCGCCAAAUACUUUGAAUAUUCAUUAGCAAAAGAUAUAGGGUUCACUAUUUAAUGAAUAGAAUUUUGAUGGUGGAUUGCAUUUCCUGAGUUAUAAAUGUGGUGAAUCCAUUAUUUACUAGCUGAAUAAUCAUAAUGUUUUGGCCACUUACCUUGAAUUUUGUUCAAAUUGAAGAAGUCACAUGUUUCUUUCUGUUGUUGAGGUAAUCUCUCUGUUGAAAGCUUCUAUUUCUUUUUUUUUUUUCUUUUUUUCAUUUGGGUAGAUUUUUUUUUUUAUGGAUUUAUGUAUUUUUUUUCCAGAGAAUUCGAAAUGAAAUAAGAAUAGCGGAUUGAGCAUAAACAAAUUGAUGAAAUUUUUAUUUGAGUGUUUGUGUUAGUCCUUUUUUGAUUUGUUGAGGUUUGGAAUUAUUUGAGUUUUUUUGCUGUUAGUACUAUGAAGGAUGCUUGGCAAUCGCGAAAUGGGGGCUACCUCUUUGGAAAGAGAAGUCUCGCUAUCCAACCUCUCAUGAAUUACAAACAGGGUGAUUUCUUGCUGAAAAACCACUGAACCAGUAGAACUUUCCUCGGUUCUUCAAUUCGAUUCGAAUAAUUUUUUUACCCAGAAAAGCCAGCGUUUCCUGGUGGGUUUUACAGCUUUCUCAAUGUUUUUGUGAUUUUGGAUUUGCAAAUUUGUUUUCUGUUCAAAUUUCCUUUUGUGAUUUUGGAGGUUUUGUUUAUCGAUUCUCUCACUCAUCUCUCAGCUCUCUCUCACUUUUGAGGUACAUGCCGUUGGAUUCCGUUUGCUGCUGCUGAUCUGUAGGUAAAGCUUCAAUUACCAUAUAAAGUUUACAUUUUUCAUGAUUUCUUGAAUUUGGGUUUUAAACAAAGGAAAUAUUGCUAGAUUCUUAUCUUAUGUGCAAAUUACUGGCUAUUUGGAUUGGUGCCUGAGAUUUAGAGAAUGCCUCGCAGCUUUAAUUUCUUUUUCCUUCAUUAUUACUGUUUUCAAAAUUUUUAUUGCUGGGUAUUGAUAAUUUGUAGUAUGUGAGGGCUUCAAUAUGUUGGAAUUUUGAAUGGUUAUUGCUUCAUCGGAAUUUGGGUGGUCCAAAUUUUGAAUUAGAAGAAACCCAUUUGAUUAAUAUUUUUGGUGGAUUGGUUCUCUGUGUUUUCCUUGCUAUUUCUCCCCCAGUUGGAAAUUGGAAGCCCCAACUUUGAGCUCAGAGCUUGAAUUUCUCAAUCGUUCGUUUCUCUGCACUCUCAUCAAUCACUCUUGAUCCUCUAUCUAAAGAACUGGGUAAUUUUCCAGCUCUAUCAAGUAAUACUCCAUUUAAUUGCUUAAUUGAGGUUUUUUGUUUCUCUUUUUCGCUCUUUCAUCAGUUCAUUGACUUUGAUGUUGAGCUUAAGUAAAUGGGAGAUCAUUAAUUGGCAUUGUUCAAGAUAUAAUUCUGUGUUUUUGGAUUUGUGAAACGAUUUGCCUAAUGAUGAUAGUGGUUAAAAUAAAUUUUUCGUUAUGAAGAGAACAUUGUUCUUCAUUUGCCUACGGUUUUAACUACAAAGUUAAACUACUAUGCUUUUGUUCAAUUGACUGCAACUCAUGCCGCAGUUUGCUUCACAAACCUCUACGGUUAGCUUCCAUACAGUAUGUUGCAAGUUUGAGGAUAUCUUUACAUCUUAAUUUUUGCUCUCUCUGGUUGCUUCAAGUUUGUAAUUUUACGUGUUACAUUGCUACUUGAUUUGAUUAUAAAAAUGCAAAACAAAAUCCGUUUUGCUUUUAUUCAACUUAAAUGUAUCCUUUUGUUUGUUCAUAAUUGUGUUGAAUUUAUUCAACUUAAAUGUGUUUUAUUCAUCUAUUUACGCUUAAAACAACUGGUUCCCCUAGCAAUGCGCGGGCCUAAUUUCUAGUACAUAUACUAAAAGCCAGCAGAAAAUUACUGUUCAUCAUGGGAGAUAGAGCACUGUUCAUUAACAGUGAAAGGGCGAAAAUGCCCUCGGUUUCUUCUUUACUUCACGUACUGUUUACGAAUUGCUACAGUAUAAAGUCCGUUUUGUCCUUCCUGUCCACACAUCUUUCAUCGUCCGUUUCUCUUGCUUCGACCGUAUCUUUUUUGCUUUACCUUUCCUCUUCAUUUUUCGCAUUCGUUAGGCUGCGAUUUUCGGAGGUGGAUUGUUUGCCCUCCCAUUUCCAUGCUCUCCCCAUGCCUAUGUGGUCACAGUUAAACCACGUCAAUAUUUUAUAUUAAUUUUUUAUAAAAAUAAUAAAACAAAAAGUAAUAAGAAUAUAAAAUAUUGACGUGGCUUAACGUGGUCCGUGAUCACAGUAGGCAUGGAAAUGGUCCGCGACUUUCUCCCUUUUCGCCAGCCCCUCUUUUGCUCUCAAAUCCUUGCUCUUUCUUUUGCAAAAUAGUCUCAGAAGAGAUCCUGGGUUUAUCGAAUCCUUUGUUGUUCGGCGUUUUGUUCUCAUCUUGUGAUCGUCGGGUCAGCAGCUUUAAGGUAAGUUUGUUUUUAAUGAUUUAUCCUCAUUUUACGAUGUCUGGGCUAACAAAUUUAAGAUCUUUAUUUUUCUUUUUGCUGCGGAUCUGCAGGUUUUGACAAGUUUUUUGUGAAAUUGGUGCUGUCAGUGGGUGUUAACAUCAGGUACCCAUGUUCAGUUUUUCGUUUUGAUUUGAAGGAAUUUCUUGCGCAGAAGUGCUAGGGUUUCUUGGUGAGUUCUUCGGGUUGUGCAUAUGGGUAAUUUUCUUUUCGGUUUAACCCGCUGCUUCUGCUGCUCUCUCUCUUUCUCUCAUCCCUGCCUGCUCCUCUCCAAUUGUUUGCUGUUCUUAAAUAUUGUGUUCAUUGCCUGAUACAAGGAGCUGCAGCAAUCUGUUUUAUCCUACACGGGACAACGAGGCAAUGGCGUGACAACAGGUGAGCUUGGAUAUCCAAAGAAAGAGAACAGUUGGUUCAUCUGCUGGAGUCUGAAGCUCAGAGAAGUGGAGGAAAAUUGCAGGUGUGCGAGAAAUUUUAUUUUGCUGAUAGGACUCCUUAUUUACGGAUGCAUUUUGAAAUAAUUGAAAAGUUGGAUUUGAGUUAACAGCUAUAAAAAUGUAGACAUGAUUGCUGAGAUUAUGCUAUGAAAGUGGAAUAAAAAAAUGGUAGUUUAUAAUAUUGCGUACCAAUUUUUUUCUCUCUUUUUUACCAAAUGAUAAGGGUGGUGGCUCAGGCCGCCCCCCCUACGCGUCCCCACUCUUCGACAAGUUGAAAUCAUGGUGAUAGUUUAUGGGCUGUGGUCUUGGGAUUCUGCAAAUAGAUUAAAAAACAGACACUUAACUAUCUUGUUAUUAAACAUUUCUGCAUCAUUCAGUUGCUCUUGAUUUUCGUCUUUUAAGCGAUCUUAUUUCUGCGAUCUGACUUGAGGAGGGUUUUUAGACCUAUGGUUGUGGGUGUUUUGUCUGACCCCAUUAAAUUGGUUUCCGAGAUUUGUAGACUUGCGAUCGGCAGUCAAACAUUUUGUGAUUCUUGCUUUUUUUCCGACUGGGAUUGACGAAUUUUGGCCGAAUCUGUUUCCUGUUUUCUUCUCUGUUUGAGCGGCCGCUGCCUUUCGGUCGUUGAGCGCCGGCAGUCUUUAGAUCUUUGGCAAAUCAAUUUAAUACAACCGAGGUAUGUUUUAUAACUGCUGUCUUUCAAUUUUUGUUCUGUAUUUUUGUUAAUUUGGAUGAAGCUCUAAUAAUUUUGUUUUGGAUCAGUUGUGGUCCUCUGUUAGGAUUUUCCUGGCUAAGAGGGUAUUUGCGUUUUUGUUGCUUGGUUGGUCGAUCACAGAUUUACGAACAGCUGUGGUGGUCCUGUUAUUUUUUUGGUAUGUUUUUUCUCCUUUUUGGUUUUUUCCCGGUUUGAGCACCCAUUCAUGAAGAAUUAAAAUGUGUUUAUAGUUUUUCAGGAGAGAUUAGAAAAGUGAUUUCAAUUUGGGAAAAUUUAAUGUUGGUUAAAAUUUGUCUAUAAUUUUUGGGAAGGAAUGAGAGGACCCAUUGAAGUAUGUGUUGUGAUUAUUUUUUAUUCAUAUUUUUAACAAAUUGGGCAUGAAUUGGUAGGUUAACUGUGUGUGUUUAUUAUUUGAAUCGGCCAUGUUUGUCUUUCUAUGGUUCUAAAAAAUUUGUAAAGGCUGUUAACUUGGAAGAAAAUGGGAUCGAGGGUGAGGGGAAAACGGCAGAGAAAGCAUGGAAGAGAGAUUUGGGAUUAGGGGUAGGAAAACAGAUGAAAAGAAUAUGAUAGAGGAAUGAGUUCAGUUCAUUUUCACUAUUUUUUUUAACUGAUUUGGAUUUUGUUUGGGUUUGAGGCCAUCAUUGGCGUUAAGACGUUUAUUAUCAGAUCGUGUGUGUUUUUUGCUAACUUUUAUUGGUCAUUUUUAUGUUGUUCUUAUGAUUUUGUGUGGUAGGGUUUCUGAAUUUUAUCGUUAUUCAUUUGGUUUUUUGUGUGUGUUGGUUUGUUUAUUUUGCAGGUUGUGUUUGUGCUGGGACAACAUUUUCCACCUUCUGUUUGCACUGGGAUGAUUGCGUUUUAAAACUGUUGGGGUGAGAUUUACAUAUGGAAUCAUUCCAUUUUUUUUCUUCCAAAUAUGUGCAUUUAGUUCUUUUUAUUUUAAAUUUUAAAAAUUAAAUCGUUAUUUGAGUAAAAUGUUUUAUUAAUUUAUGUUAUGUGUUGUGAUCAGGAAUUCUGUUGGAUUUGCAAAUUUUGGUUUGAUGAGAGAGAUGAGGAGUUUUUUUUGUUUGAAUUUUUUAUUGGACCGAUUUUCAAUUGGAUUGCAUUCUGCCUUUUUGCACCAUUCUUAUGCAAGCAAUUCAUUGUUUUAAAUACAAUUUGAAGAGAGCUGGGUUGCGGGUUGGAUAUAAAAUGUUAAGGUGAGAUAAAAUCGAGAUACCAAGGGUGGAAGAAUGAUUCAGAAUUGGGGGAGGAAAACAGAGGGAAGAUGGAAGAGUAUAAGAGAAGGAUAGGGUUGACCUCAUUUAGAGUUUUUAUUUACUUUUUUUUUUAUUAUUUAUAAAUUGAUUCAGGACUAGCAUAUCAUUUCUAAAUUUCUAACAUUUUUGUUUAAUUUGACUCCAGUUGAUGGAAAACAGAGCUCUUACUCCUAUCAAUCAGUUGGUCCCGUACAUAAAUGCAGAAAAAUCAAGGUUCGAGUUUGCAGAGUAUGCAGACCAAGGUUUCCUGAAACUACUGGUGCUGUCACGCCCCAAUCCCGACCUAUGUCCAGGAUCGACACGUGACGUUAACAAAUACCCAUAUCUCUAACAUACCCCGCCUCCGGAAUAUGGGCAAAGCACAACUGCGUAAUAAUUUUUCGUAUACUUUAUGGCUGCAUCUAACAUCCUCGUUAGAUUAUCAUACCUUAUGGCUACAUCUAACAUCCUUGUUAGACUGCCUACGUACUCUCAAAAGGGAUCAAACCAUUCGUAGUUCACCACACUCCAAUCCACAAAAAUUUGCACAUGCACUGAUUAUAAAAUGGAACUGCACCUAUAGAAACCUAAUCAUAACCCGUGGGCGAUUUGCUCCCACAUAAGAAAGACGUCCACAGUACCAUGAAAUACUUCCACAUCUUUCCUUCCCAUUUACACAAUAUUUUAUUUCACCUCCCUGAUAAAUAUAGCAUUUACAUUACAUGUGGCAGACAAAUUUGCAUAUUCAACUAUAAUAAAAUACAAUCUUAGUAGGAAAAACCUACAAGACCACCACUCGUUUGAGCCAAACUUUAGCUUAGCACUCAACUGGUGCUCACACCAUGUGAGUGCACGAUCCUUUAAGAUGGAUGCGAUGGUUCUCUUUUGAGAUUAAUUUUGUUACAGGUAUAACAUAGUUGGCAACCGUUUAGAAAUAGAUGCCUCAUGUUCAAAACUCUCAUUACCAAAUGUUCUAACAAGUUAGUAGAGAAGGUAAAAGAACCCAAAUGGCGAGAAAUAGUGUCCUGAUGAAACAAAAGAUGUAACCCUCAUUCAAGCACGAACAUCAUUUCCUUGAGAAUCUGCGAUUUCUUCCCUCAUUUGGUCAAUAUAGCUUGUAUUCCAACUGCAACUUACUAAUAGCAUUUGUUCUCUCCUCGAAUGAAACCAUAACCAGCCAUUUUAAAUAAAGCUGAACAGUUUCACGUUGGGAAAAUAAAGAUUAUAACAUACAGGUUUUGGAUUAGAUUCCCAAACCAACAGAAAAUUAAGAUAGGAAUCUAUUUUGGGUUAACUGAGGUAUGAGUGGUAUACAAAUGAGAAAUUCCCUACAAAAGUCAAUAAAACCAGUUACAUAACAUGUUGAAUAUAAUACAACAUGAAAUAAGAAGCACCACUUGUUUAUCUGACUUUUUAUACAUGUAUUUUCCUAAGGGAUAAAAACGUGCGGGUUUUGGGAUCAAUCUGAAGAGGGCUUCACCACGAAUACAUAGCCUUUGACCGUGCAUGAUUUCGUUGCCGUAUGAGAAAGUUAUCAUUUUUUUUUUUUGUGAAGAAGAAUUAAGGGGGAGAAGAACAGCUGCCCCCUCUGUUUCUGCAUCUGCCCAGCGGGGAAAGAAAAAGAAGAGAAGCCCUUGGCUUCUAGAAUACUCCCUCCCCAAAAUUACAAUUUUGCUCUCUAACUUUGAUUGUUUAUAUCUUAUUCGUUAUAACUCUGUUUCACGAACAGCUUUUGCUUACAUGCUCACAUAGUCGUCAUCUAUUUAAAUAUAUCAAGAAAUACAAUAAAAUACAUCCUCGUAUAAGUAUGUUAACCAAUUAGGGCACUUUCGUCAUUUCCACUUAUCGAUAGAUUUUAACACGUUAAUUAUAAUAAUGUCCGGAAACAGCUUUAAAAUUUCCAAAUUCUAUUUCCAUAACCAUAAAUCGAUUUAUUAAUUUUUCAGGGUAUCACAGGUGCAUAUUCAGGCUUGCAUUGUAUAUUACUUUCCUAUUAAAAAUUUGUUUGGAAUUUGCUUUUCCCACAAAGGAGAAGAGCUGACAGUUACGCUGUGGGCAGAUGUUGCUCGAAGUAUUGCUUCUUUAUCCAUUGAAUCAUUGUCUCUGCCGAUCUUUGCGGUUUUCACAAGUUUAAAGGUCAAGCUGUACCUAGGUGUUUGACUUAAUUAAAAACUAAUCUAUUUAUUUCGGAGGCGGAGCAAAAUGCUAUCUGUCUUACCCCUCUUGGUGAUCUUAGUCGGAAAGAUCGGCUAGUUUGGGAUGUGAGUAAGAAUGGGCAGUACUCGGUUCGAUCGGGCUAUCAUUGGCUGCAAUCUAGGUCUGUUGGGUUCAGGGAUCAACGCCAGCUUGGUGCUUGCUUAGUUCCGAGGCAUUUGUGGCGCAUGGUUUGGUAGUUGAGUGGGCCUCAUAAGCUCCGUCAUUUCUUUUGGUUAUCUUUGCAUAAUGCAUUACCGUCAUUUCUUUUGGUCCGUGACCAGGCAUGAGGAGAGCAUGGAAAUGAGAGGGCAGACAAUCCACCUCCGCGACUUUCUCCCUUUUCGCCAGCCCCUCUUUUGCUCUCAAAUCCUUGCUCUUUCUUUUGCAAAAUAGUCUCAGAAGAGAUCCUGGGUUUAUCGAAUCCUUUGUUGUUCGGCGUUUUGUUCUCAUCUUGCGAUCGUCGGGGUAGCAGCUUUAAGGUAAGUUUGUUUUUAAUGAUUUAUCCUCAUUUUACUAAACUAUUUAUGGUAACUUAGUAUGGUAACUUAACUAAGUAAGUUUGCUUUUAGCCCAAGGGUUGGAGAUGGUCUUAGUAUGGUAACUUAACUAUUUAAUUCCAUCUCAUUAAACUAAAAAAAACAAUUACAUAAAAAUAAGGGAAACCUUGUCCAGAGAGACCUGAGAAAGUCCACCCCUAAGGACUUUGCGCCAGCACCCAGCGUAUUUAUCUACUCAAGUGAACAGUAAUAGACUGGAGUGAACAGUAAUAGGCCAAGGCAUCUCCACCCCUAAAAAAAUGCGCUGGCACCCAGUGCAUUUAUUUGGUGUGUUUUUUUUUUAAAGUUUAUUUCAGAUAAGAUUUUUAACCAAUUUCGGAUAAAAUUUCAAAUAAACUUAAAAAAAAACACUCUAAAAUAAAAUUACAUACUCAUCAAAUAAACUUAAAAAAACACACUAAAAUAAAAUUACAUAAACUCAUCAAAUAAAUUAAGGAUGAGCUUUUUGGUAUUUUUUUUUCACACAAAAAGUAUAUGAAAGCUUUGGUAGAAGGUCUAGAAAAUAUUGAAAUGUGGUGUAAGGUGGAAGAUGAGGGUUAGGUAUUUAUAGAAAAAAAAUAAUAACUUUUUUAAAAUUUUACUGUAUUUUAAAAAAAAAUCUGUAUUUUUUUAUAUUUUUAAUUAAUUUUAAUGUAGUUAAUUAAUUUGGACCGUUGGAUUUGAAAAAUAUUCAAAUCCAAUAGCCCAGGAUCGGCCACGUGGCCAACGCCAGCAAAUGGCCCAGCUUCUUGGUCAGCCUGUUUUGUGCUGGCCCAGAGACCAGUUUGGGCUGGGUGCCAGUCUGUUUUGUGGGCUGGAGUGAAUGGACAGGGUCCCAGCCUGUUUUUUGUGCUGAGUGCUGGCCUAAUCCACCACCGGUGGACUUGCUCUGAGAGAAAGUGACGACUUCUCCUCUCAUUCCACUCCAUACUUGAUCUCUAAAGUCCAUUUGGCAUGUAAUUGAUGUUCAAUUUCAAAUUUAGUGGUAGCAAUUAGCAAAGCUAAUGAAAGAAUCAAAUAAAAUGAAAGAAAAAGCAUCAUGAAAUAAAUCAAGAUGAAGAAUGAAAUUUUGGCAACUCGCCAUUCUCUUCUUUUAUAUAAAAGAUACAUCCUAUUUGUAGUGAAAACAGGUCCCGACAAACCCAGUUAUCCUCAAGAAGUAUUUUGUAUGACUUUAAAAACAUAAUCCGUGAAAUUAUCUCUUGGCUGAGAACAACAACAAAUCUUCAUGCAUAGCUUGUACAGAAAGACAUCAGGCAUACAAAAGAACACGCAAGCAUAAAAUAAACGACGCAGGGAAAACCAAAAAUACUAUAGAACACGUCGCUGUCAAAAGAACAUGAAUAAAUGAAAAUUACAAAACAAAGAAGUGAUGAGAAACCAAAGUACCCAUUUCAUAAUCUAGUUGCUUUUUAGUUUGCUUGCCAUUUUUAGUUCUUCAAUUUAGAGAGAAACGAUAAUUCAGCACAUGAAUAAAGUGAAAACGUAAAAGAUAUGUGGGAUAAGCUGACAGCCAUCCCUGAGUAAUGCAUUCACUUAUGAACCCCAAACACAACGAAACAAAAAUUCACACAUGAACUACAGCUCCGCUAUGUAACAAGAAUUAAAAGCAUCUCAAGACAAAAUGGCAAACUAUAAGAGCACUGUAAAAGUAAAAUUGCAAGAAAUCUAAUACUUGGAGGGCAAGUACUACUCAGACGAAAAUGAAAGAUUGAACUACCUCGCGUGGAACUGUGCCUUGGUUUUUUCCCAUGCUUACAGGAAGCUUUGCACUGAGCUCUUAUAGCCCAAAUUUUCUCUGAAAGAAAAAAACACAAUUUUGAAAUAAGAUUUUCAUAUUAUACCUUAAAGAGAAGAAUUAGAAAACAAAAAAGAGAACAAUGAGUACUAUUCAUCAUAUAUUGUUAGAGUGUGUGGUCCUUUGGUCCAAUGGUCCUGCAGCCAUAUUUACUUUAUAACUCUUUCUUUUAGUCUAAAAAACAUCUUGGAUCUCAAAUUAAUAUGAAUACGGAUUCAUACGCAUGCAUUGCAUUACAACCACAAUGCAAUAUCUCAUUAGAAAUCCCCACACAAAAUUUUUUUAUUUCUACUUUGAUUUUAGUUUAUAUUUUUUCUAAAGCACGAGGGAGCUAAUUUUUUUUUAAAUUUUUUUUAUUCCAAUAAUGUUAUAGGGUUGAAAGGAUAUUAUCAAUUUAAUUGAUUGUAUUUGAUUGGUGGAACUUCUAUAUCUAUAUUUCAGUUUUUCAAAUUCAGCACUGGGAGAGUCAUUCAUAAAAUGUUUGACAGUGAGAUUACCUCCAUGGAUUAUGCUCACAAUGGACAGCUCAUUUUCCGCAGUGAUGGGACAAUAUAUUUCAGUCAUUCGCCAUUCAAUCAAUUCAAACCGAGGAACAAGCAACAUCAAGAAGAGGAUCUGCCAUGUCAGGAUCACUGUCGUCCAAUUAAUACAAAAAAUCUAGAUAAAAACGAUCAAUUUACAUAAAAGCCUUUCAUUUUCUCAGCAACCAAGCAAAAGAAAAUACCUAUCCGUUAACACUCGAUUUGGGAGUAAAUGUUGCUGAAACUGGACUUCAAUCCCCUCAACCGCAACAACCGAAUCGAGGUGUGCAAGUCAUUGAAAAACUCACCCAAGAUUUCAAAAUCUGCAUAAAUAAAUAAAUAAGCACAUAAAUUAGCCAACCCUGUUAUGAUCCCACAUCGGGUACACAAGAAAUUGUGUAGUGGUACUUAAGUGCAAGGGGUCCUCCCACCUAUUGGACUAGUUUUUUGGAUUGGGCUCUUCCCUUGGGCUUGAGUACCUAACAUUGGUAUCAGAGCCUAGGUUCCCGACGCUGCGGGACUUGGCGAGUGGUGCAGCCUCGUGGUGCCGCCUUGAGAGUAUGGGCUCCUAAGGGUCUUGGCGACGGGCAAGGUAUGAAAUGCCGAUAUUAUCGCGAUAUUUCGCCGAUAAUAUCGGUUUUUUGAGUUACCGAUAUUUUAAUACUUAUCCACUGAGUUUUCGUCAAAAUAUCGCGAUAAUAUCAACAAUAUCGCGAUAUUACCGAUAAUAUCGCGAUAUUUUGGAGAUGUGCGAAUCGGAGAAGAACGCCGGAGCUUUUACAGCUCCGGCCGACUGUAAAAGAGCACCCUAGACUCCGAUCUAGGUAUCAAAAUGAAAUACAAGAUGAGAGGAAUGUUUUUAUAACUUCCGUUUGCCGUGAAACGGUCGAAGGUGUUCGGAAAGUUCGUCGACACCCACGGCCUCGCCAGAGAUGGGUGUGCCUAUUCCCGAGCCGAUUUCGUCCCAAAAACCUUGCAAAAACACGAGAUAGAACUUAAAUUUCACGUCUAAGCUUCAAUCUAGAAUAGAAUGAGGUAAACCCGAAGCUUACCUAACCGGAGAAAUUCAAGAAACUCGUCGGAGGGUUCCUGCGUCGCCGAGUUGCAGAGACGAGAAGGAGAGGGAGAAAGACGAGGUUGCUGAUGACGAUGGGUGUCUUCCUCAAGCAAGUGCGAUGGUGUGCGUGUGUGUAUGUGGGUCUCGGUGCAGAGAGAAAGGAGAGAGAUGAGAGUUUCGAGAGAGAGACGGCACCGACGAGAGCUAUUUGUUUUUUUUUAUCUUAAAAAGAGAGAGGUCUAAGAGAAAUGGGAAGAGAGGGCCGAGUGAAAUGAAAGGAGGUCCUUGAAUUAUUGAGAGAUAUCUCUGAGAGAGGCCUAGGAUUUCUAAAAGGUAAUCAUAAAUGGGAAAAAUGGGGCACAUCUUAGCCUUUAUUUUGGAAUCCUAAGAAGUUCACCACAUGGAUGCAUGACAUGUGUGCAUGCCAUGUUUGUUGAAUGGGAAAAGUCUGACACGGAAAGACAAAGAGUCGUUUGGGGCUCUGGGCUCGAGGCAAGACAGAAAGUGCUAGGGUUUUUUUCUGAAAUGAACAUAAGCUGCUAAAUUCGCAUAUAUUAUAGUUGUUGCUAAAGAUUGUCACUAGUGUGGACUUGGACGUGUUGGUCAACAUGUCCUCACAAUCCCCAAGUUCUCUGGUUCGAACCCUUGCGCCCAUCAAAUUUUCUUUCUUUUUGAUGCGCUUUUCCCAUGGCUCUAGGUCUUGAUUUCGAAUCCAAGUGAGCCCUUUCCUUUUUCUUUUUUGUUCUUUUUGUUUUAUUAUUUGUUUAUUUUAAUUUAUUUGUUUCUUUUAUGUUUUUCUUUUCUUUUAGUUUCUUUGUCUUAGGCGUUCGUUUUUAUUAAAGUAGGAUGUAAAAUCAAUUAUCUUAAAAUUAUGUGUUUUUAAAUUUUGGACUUGUUUGUUGGAUACUUUUUUUUCAUUUUAUCAUUCUUUUAUUAUGAAAAUAUGCUAAAAUAUGCUAAAAUAUCACUUAUGUUUUUGUGAAAAUAUGCUAAAAUAUUUAUAUAUAUGAUUUUGUUUUGAAUUCUUUUUGUACUAAUUCAUUAUAUAUAAAUGAUUAUGGUGUGUUUAAACUUCUUUAAUUAAUUACUACAUAUUUUCUAUACUCACAAUGUUUGCCAGCUCGCUAUAUAAUCAACUUAAAUCAGUUAAAUCCAUCAUGCAAUGCAUUUCCUUCCAAUUUUUUGUGAUAAACUUGUGAACACGGAAAAUUCCUGAAACGAAAGAGACAAGAACGAACGUGCACAAACAAAUAUUAUGUAUUUGAUGAUUUUGGGUUACAAUCUCUCUCUAUUUGAUCCUCUGAUUCAAUCUCCGUAAGGUGUGUAUUUGUGGAUGUGUGAUUGAUCCAAAGGGCCGUUGGGCUUGAUCUAAUGAUGAACGUUCUUCAAGGGCCGUGGACUUGAUCUUGAAGGUGGAUUUGAGCGGAUCUUCAAAGGGGCUUUUGGGCUUGAUCUUGAAGAACGGUUGGAUGUGUGGAUUUGUCGAAGUUGUUGAUCCAAAGGGCCGUUGGGGCUUGAUCUUGGAUGAACGGAUGAUGAACGAUGGUGCUUUCUUCAAGGGUCGUCGGGGCUUGAUCUUGAAUUGGUGGAUGGUUGAUCCAAGGGCCGUCGGGGCUUGAUCUUGGAAGAACGAUGAACGAAGAACGAAGAACACUUUCUUCAAGGGCCGUCGGGGCUUGAUCUUGAAUUGGUGGAUGAUUGUUGAUCCAAAGGGCCGUUGGGGCUUGAUCUUGGAAGAACGAUGAACGAAGAACAAAGAACGCUUUCUUCAAGGGCCGUCGGGGCUUGAUCUUGAAGGUGGAUGAUUGUUGAUCCAAAGGCUGUCGAGGCUUGAUCUUGGAAGAACGAUGAACGAAGAACACUUUCUUGAUUCUUCGGGAACCUGGACGCUUGAGAGCUUCGGAGUUUCAGAGCUUCAGAGCUUCAAGGUGUAAUAUGAAUUGGUCCCCCCUAAAUGAAUGAAAUGGGCUUGUAUUUAUAGAAUUUUCCAAGGCCUAAUUUUGAAUAUAAUAUCUCAGAUGAAAUAAGUCGUUUCUGCCAGGUGUUAACACGUGUCCUAUUUGAUGACUUUUCCAACUCAUUUCAAUUUUCGUUUAGUCACACGCUACGUGUAAAAUUUAUGUAAUACAUGAGCGUUGACACUUUGAUUUAUCGGUCAACAUUUAUUUACCGAAAUUUCGAUGUCUACAAAUGCCCCCACUUCAAGGCACGUCGUAUACCUGUGCUUGUCACGUGUAGGAGAUGCGUUUUGAAGUCCCUUACCGUAGAUGCCGAUUCAAGGGCCGUUGAAGCUUGAUCUUGAAUUGGGCUUGAGAUUUCUUCAAGGGCCGUUGAGGCUUGAUCUUGAAUUUUUGUUUGAAAUUUCUUCAGGGGCCGUCGAGGCUUGAUCUUGAAGGUUGAAAUUGGGCCACAAGGAGCUUCAUGUGGUAGAUGAUCUUUGGCUUUGGUAGUGGAUGAAUCGGCACGUAUUUUAUUGCGCUUGUUGACUUUCCACAGCUUUGAUCUUGAACUGGGUUGGAGGAUUUUCUGGAUUCCUCCAAUUGUUGAUUUUCCACAGCUUAUUCUUGAACUAGGUUUUGAUUCAAGGGUGGUAGACACUUGAUCUUGAAUCGGACUUGUGAUUUCCUCGAUGGCCGUCGAGGCUUGAUCUUGAAUUUGGUUGGAAACUUCUUCAAGGGCCGUCGAGGCUUGAUUCUUGAAGGUUGACUCGAACAUAUGGCAAGCAGGCACGAGGUGAAGGUGACGACUUGUUGCUUUGUUCAAUCUUUCUAAUUCACACCUGAGCAGUUUGGUCAACGGUAUGAUCCUCAAGAUUGAUGGGCUCUUCUUCCAGUUGGUGACUUGAUCUUUAAGGAUUUGAUUCAAGGGUGGUGAAUCGGCACGUGCAGCCCACAACGCCUAGUAAGCCGACCCAAGAAUUUGAGGGUCAAAACGGAUUCACCGUCAGAGUGAUUGCAACUUUGAUGAUAUGAGAUACUCUUGCUUUUGAAGAAGUAGUGGAUGAAUCAGCACGUGCUUUGUUGCGCUUGUCUCCACAUGCUUCAAGGUAUCAUCUUUAUUUCCUUUAUCUAUUCCUCAGGCAGAUGUGGCAUCUUCUCGAGUUCUUCAUCUCAGACUCUUUCUGCUGAGUUGACUGUUCAUGCUGCAUUCUUCUCUGCUUGUUCAUUCUGCACGUUGUCUCCACAUGCUGCAAGGUAUCAUUUUCACUUGCCUUAUCUGUUCUCCGGGCAAAUGUGGCAGCUUCUUUGAAAGUACAGUAGCAGCGGGAGGCGAGUACUCGAGAGCAGUGCUAGGUAGGCAAUCAGGGAAGGGUUCCAAGCAGUCGGUUCCUUACCCGAGUUUGAGUGGAAGUUCCGGCAUAUUGUUUUUUUUAUCCUUGUCUUUGUAGGUAAGAACAAGGACAAAGGAAAGGACAGGGAGAACGCAUGAUAUGAGAUACUCUUGCUUUCUACCCUGGUGAUAUGAGAUACUUUUGCUUUGGAGUCAUUGGCUUGCAGAGGUACCCCAAGGAAUAAGGAACACUGAAUGACUCGAGAGGCUUCGUUGGGAAAACAUCUUUGGAGAUGAAGAAAGACUUUGUGUGUCUGCCUUGCUAUGGAAGGCGAAGGUAGACAAUUAUAGGAAGUUCUUUGAUACCUGUAGAUGUACUAUUCUUUCACUCGUGUCGGCAACCAAUGCGUGAUUGAUCUAUAUGGCUUCACGUGCUUCCUUCUUUAUCAGAAAUCUUCGACAAACUGUCCGUAAUUUCCGCCAAGCUGAGUGUGCAUGUGAUAGGUGUUGACGCGGCUGAAAAAGACUGGCGCUUAUUCGAUAACUGGGAUCUGCGCUUCGACAAAUUACCCGUGAUUUCCGCAAAGCUGAGUUUGCGUGUGAUGGGUGCUGACGUGUCUGGAAAAGACUGGCGUCUCUUCGAUGUCUGGGAUCGGCACUUCGACAAAUUGCCCGUGAUUUUCGCAAAGCUGAGCUUGCGUGUGACGGGUGCUGACGCGUCUGGAAAAGCAAGAUGCUUCUUCGAUUUCUGAGCUUGCCUCUUCGAUUUUUGAAUGGCCUCUUCGAAUUCUGAGCUCGCCUCUUCGAUCUCUGAAAUCCCGUCGAGUGUUGAUUUUUUAUAGAGGCAUGCUGUUCGUUUCAAAGCACACUUGAAUUUUACUUGUGAAAACUCCCUUCUUGCACUUCUAAGAUCUUGAUUCGUCUGACCUCUUCUUCCUUCAACACUUUGAAAAUGUCUGGACCCUCCGACCGUCGUUUUGAUUUGAACUUUGGUGAAGAUGUAGUCCCGUCUUCUCCAGAUAACAUAUGGCGCCCAUCCUUCAUAUCCCCUACUGGUCCUCUUACUGUUGGGGAUUCGGUGGUGAAGAAUGAUAUGACCGCUGCGGUGGUGGCCCGAAACCUUGUCACUCCCAGAGAUAACAGACUACUUUCCAAACGGUCUGAUGAGUUGGCUGUUAAGGAUUCUCUGGCUCUCAGUGUGCAGUGUGCGGGUUCUGUGUCCAACAUGGCCCAACGCCUAUUUGCUCGAACCCGUCAAGUUGAAUCGUUGGCGGCUGAAGUGAUGAGUCUUAAACAGGAGAUUAGAGGGCUCAAGCAUGAGAAUAAACAGUUGCACAAGCUUGCACACAACUAUGCCACAAACAUGAAGAUGAAGAUUGACCAGAUGCAGGAAUCUGAUGGUCAGAUUUUACUUGAUCAUCAGCGGUUUGUGGGUUCGUUCCAACAGCAUUUGCCUUUGUCUUCUGGGGCUGUACCGCGUAGUGAAGCUCCUCAUGAUCAACCUCCAGCCCCUCUUCUUUCUGGAGUUCCACCGAGUGGUGUGACUUCAAACAGUCAACCUCCGACGUCUCUUUUCCCUAGAGCUCCACCGAGCACUGAGACACCACCUGAGCAAUAAAGACUCCCUCCCGUUUGUUUGCACAUUUGUAAAUUUUUUUUUUUUUUUUUUUUUUUUUUUUUUUUGGUAUGUAGAAUGCAAUUUUAUGUAAAAUUUCCAGAAAAAAUAAAUAAAAUGGAUUUUUAUUUCUCUUAAUGCUUUUUUUUUUUUUUUUUUUUUUGCUGUAUAUAUUAUACACACACAUUUAUACAUACAUAUAUACAUACAUAUAUAUAUAUUUUCACGUGGAGUGAUCCACCAUCCCAAAACCCAUUUUCCCUUUGUUUUUUUUUGCAUGGUGCUAGCCACCAAGAAUUCACCUUUUUUUUUUUUUUAAUUAAUUAAUUAAUUUAUUUAUUUAUUAAUUUAUUAUUAUUAUUUCUUUUUCGUCUGCUUUCACAUGGUGCUUGAUCCACCACUCUCUUUUCUUUUUUCACGUGGUGCCAGAUGCACGCCCCUUUUUUUUUCACGUGGUGACAGCACCACUCUGCUUUGCUCUACCACAUUUUUUUUUUUUUUGUAUAAAUUAGGAUGCUUGGCUGAGGGAUUUUGUAGGGAAGGACGAAGACGGACGGAGAGCCGGAGUUUGAGGAAGAGCUUCUCGGCCGGCUAGUCGUUUGACAGCGGUCUUUGAAGUUGGUGGCAGCUGCGAGGCAAGAGACGGAGGAGGACAGGGCAGCUGUGACGGACAGAGACGCCAUGGCAGGACCUCGAGGAGUUUUAAGAUACUGGUGCAGGUACUGGCGAGGUGAUUUUGACGAGAAAAGCAUGAAGAGGGCGUCGAGCACCAUGGGCCUGCAAUCCUUAAGGUUGAUCUCGUAGUCCUUGAGCUCUUGUUCAGGCAUGACGGGAUCCGCUGCGGUCUUUUUUAUCGGCAAUAAAGUUCUUUGCCUCAUAAAACAGCCCAGAACGCGAUAGAAGAGUUACGAACAAAGCACAAUGUGCAACUGUAGGUGUCUUGAUGCAGUUGAAGUAAAACUUCCCUUCCUCGACCAUGCGUGCUGCAACGCAAGCAUGAAGGACAGCAGCAUAGGUGAUUUCAUCGAUCUGUGUACUCGUUUCCUUCUCCAUUUGGCAGAAUAAAUCUACUCCGAUCUUUCCUUGUCCGUGUAAGCUGUACCCAGUUAUCAUCACUGUCCACGAAACAAGAUCUCUUGUACUUCGACCCUGGCAAAAACUUUUGCAGCUGAUUUGAUAAAUCCCGACUUGACAUACAUGUCCAUAAGAGCAUUCAGAACGGUGAGAUUCAUUCGAAUACCAUGUCGCAGCAAGAAUCCAUGAGUCUCUUUUGCCAUGUUUACCUGCAGACAUUCUUGCGCAUGCUGGGAGAACACUAGAGACCGAGAGCGGAUCAGGUUUCACCCCGUCUCCAACCAUCUGCCUAAACAGCUUAAGACCCUCAUUGAAGCAUCCCCUCUUCACAUUGGCAUGAAUCAUUUCUGUCCAAGAAAUGACAUCUUUCUCCGGUAUUUGGUUGAAAACUGCCCAAGCUUCGUCGACACAGCCACAGUCCAUGUAUAUUUUCAAGAUGGUAUUGCUCACCAACACAUCAUACUCCAAUCCACGUUCCUUGGCAACCCUGUGGACUUUUGUUCCAUCAAUCAACGAUCUCAACAUGCCACAGGCACCAGCCGCCGUCGCCACAGCCACAGAAUCUAUCUGUGCUCCGGACUCCACCAUUCUCUCAAACACAUGAACCGCCUUGCCGGGUUUACCUUCCGCAAUGUACAGCCUGGCCAGCAUUGUCCAUGAAACAGAGUCCGUAACCAGGGACUUGUCAAACAGCCCUUUCGCGGAGUCCGCGCUGUCGAGGCGACCGUACAACUCAAUGAGAGCAGCAACCACGUACCGGUCACCAGAGCAGCCGAGCUUGUGAGCGUGGGCAUGGAGUUGCUUGCCGAGGGAGAGAUCAACCGAAAGGCGAGAGGCAGACAAGACGCGAGGAAGAGUGUGUCUGUCGGGCGACGAACGCGCGGAUGAGCAUUUGGUGGUAAGUGGCGAGGGCGUGGUGGAAGUCGGCAUUGGCGAUAUGGGUCUGGAUAAGUCUGUUCCAUGCAAAGGUAUCUGAGUGGGGCAUUUUGUCGAACACCUUGUGGGUGACGGCCACCUUCGUGGUGGGUUUAGCAUUUCGGGAGUGCUUGUAGUGGGCUGUGUUGAUUGGGUUCUCGGUGACGAUCAAGCGCUGGAUUUGGGCGGAUGGAAGGGCUUCCAUUUCAGUUCAGUCGCACCCAAUUCAGCAUUGCCCGUACGGAUUCGAGCGCAGUUAUCGAGGAGGAGUUUCCUUAAGAAUAGAACCAAUCACCGACUCCUCAAACCCAUCCGGAUAUGCGAUUUUCAUGAGGUGCAAACAAGAACCCUCUGCCAUAAGUGGCAUGAUCACCCAAAGGUUUCUUUCAACGACAAAUGAACAAAACGCCCUCACGACAUUGGGAUGAUCUAUUAAUCUCAUCGUCUGCGCCUCCCUCCGGAUAUCCUCGAAAUUGCUAUUGCACCGAUCGAGAUCCAAGCACUUGACGGCGACGACUUCAUUGAAAGGGAGAUAGAUCGCUCUGUAAACCGUUGCGCUGGCGCCAUAUCCGACCUCUUCCAGAAGCUUGUAGUCGUUCGGAUUCGCCGAGUGAAGCCUCGAAUUGCUACCCAUCCUCCCCAUCUGUUCGAGGACUUGUGCUUCAGAUAUGUCGUUUUGAGGCUACGGGCUCUGCGUUUGGGCUGUGUGCCAGUUUGGGCUUAGUGUUGCUUUGGAGAGAUCUAGGUUUGGUUGAAGAGGUACGGUGAAGCCAUGGGCAAGGGAGAUGACGAAUUGGGCUUGGAGGCUGACACUUGGGCCUGGAUGGCCUCCUUUUGAGAGGCUUGCUGCUGAUGGAUAUACAUAUAUAUAUUUGUAUGUAUAUGUAUGUAAAAGAAAUCUUUUUUUUUUUUUUUAAUUUUUUAAUUUUUUUUUUUAUGUGACUGAACUCGAAAAAAUUGAACAUUCGAGCUGCCUACGUACCCCUCCAAAGAAGAGAUCAAGUCGCAACGUAGUUCAAAUACAUUUUUGGUAUUUUCUUUUUGUGUCGUUUGCAGUUUUAACUCAUGCAGGCAAGGAGUGUUGGUGUCGUUUGCAGUUCCAACUCUUGCAUACAAGGAGCGUUGGUGUUGCCUUUUAUGCUCGUGUAGGCCAGGAGCGUUGGUUCGUGCAGUUUAGGCUCGUGCAGGCGAGGAGCCUUUGGUGUCGUUCGCAGUUUCAACUCGUGCAAACAAGGAGCAUUUGGUGUCGUUCGCAGUUUCAACUCGUGCAGACAAGGAGCAUUUGAUGCCGUGUUGCAGUUUAGGCUCAUGCAGGCGAGGAGCGUUGGUGUCUUGUAGUUUAGGCUCUUACAGACAAGGAGCUUUGGUUCGUGCAGUUUAGGCUCGUGCGAACAAGGAGCAUUGUUGGUUCGUCAAGCGAUCCGAGAGAGUUGUUCCUCACAAUCUUCAUAGCAAGGAGCCUUGACCGCGUGAUUGAAGAAGUCUUCGGGUAAAAAGUCGCGCAUCGUGAUGGCAACAGACAAUCUUUGUGUCGUAGUUUCAUCAUCUUCAACACGUUCACGUUGCUUUGAAGGUUGACAAUAGCUGCUUUGCCCCCUUUUCAAUUGGCGGACUUGUGGAGGAGACGUAUGCUUCUUGUGCAAUUUCUUAGGAGUGACUUGAGUCCAUCCUUCAAUUUUGCUUGUCUUGGACGAUGCCCCCAGCGGUUGAGGUGAAAACUUUGAGUCGGAAGAGCCAGAAGUGAAGGUGGUAUAGUUUGACUUUGCCACUUCGUCAAGAUCUAGCUCGAUGAUUCCUUUCUGAGCCAGCUUCAUGAUGAGAUCUUUCAGCACGAAACAUUUUUCUGUCGGAUGACUGAUGAAGCGGUGGAAUUUACAGUACUUUGGACUGUCGGUGCGAUUCAUCUCUUCUGGCCGUUUGCACUCAGGCAAACCAAUCACCUUCUUUUCCAACAGGUCAUCCAGUAUGGCAACCACAUCAGAGUCGGGGAAUGGAUAAGUCUUCUCCUCAAGCUCCUUUAAAGUGCGUCUACGCAUUUCUUGAUCACGAAAAGCUUCGGUUUGAAUCGCCUUGCCUCGUGUGGAUAUUUUGACGGGAGAUGUGUUGACCGUCAUCGCUUCCUUGGUGGGUUUCCAUGCAGCCUUUUCCACCUUUGUCCCAAGAACUUUGUCGUUCUUGUAGUCGGCGAUUGGUUCUUUCUUCCCAUGAUGGGCGAUGCUCAACUCCAUGUCAUGGGCGCGAGUGGCCAAUUCCUCGAAGGUCCGCGGUUUAAUGCCUUGAAGGAUGUAUUGCAAACCCCAUUGCAUGCCUUGGAUGCACAUCUCGAUUGAAGAGGUUUCCGAGAGCCUGUCUUUACAGUCGAGGCUUAGAGUGCGCCAUCUGUUGAUGUAGUCAAUGACUGGCUCGUCCUUCCACUGCUUUGUGCUUGUUAGCUCUAGCAUGCUCACAGUGCGGCGAGUGCUGUAGAAGCGGUUGAGGAAUUCCCGCUCCAAUUGCUCCCAGUUGUUGAUGGACUCAGGCUCUAGGUCAGUGUACCACUCAAAGGCGUUUCCUUUUAGUGAGCGCACAAACUGCUUGGCGAGGUAGUCCCCUUCGGUCCCUGCGUUGUUGCAAGUUUCAACAAAGUGGGCAAUGUGUUGUUUCGGGUUUCCCUUUCCAUCAAAUUGCAUGAACUUUGGCGGUUGAUAACCCUUCGGCAUCCUUAAGGCGUCGAUUUUCUUUGAAUACGGCUUCGAGUACAACCCGGAGGUAUUUGAGCUCCCUUCGUACUGUGCCUUGAUGGUGUUGGUGAUCAUCUAUUGCAGCUGCUGGAUAGAAAGAGAUCCCAUGAGUGCCGCUGCUUGGUCUGGCUCCGGCUUUGCAUCGUUUUUCUCCACCUGAGGCUCAUCUUCUUCGUCAUCUCUUCUCUUUAGUGGAUCAUUCUCUGGGUCGGGUUUAUCGCCGUCCUGCGCCUUUAGUCGAUUGACGAGUGCUGCAAUUUGCAAGUCUUUUUUCUUCCACCGUUCGGGUCAGCCUUGCGAUUGCUUCAUUCAUCUGAGCCAGUUGUUCUUCAACGGAGGUAACGCCGAUAGUCAUGACUUGUGCGACCAAUAUACGUGACUUUCCUUUAGACAUCCAGGAUGCUGAUGAAGAACGUCGUUGGCUGCUUUGGGAUGUCAUCUUAUGUGCCUCAGCAUCAUGCUUCGGUGCCCCCAGCGAGGUCAGGUUGAUGACAGACUCGCACCUUGGAUGCUCCCCUUGCUCUUUUAGCGGCACCAAUUUUGAAGUAGCAUGUUGGGGAGCGGUUGUGGCGCCAAUGGAUUGUCUGUUUGCGGCAGAAGUGCUUAGGAUCCUUCCCUCAGUGGUUGCGAGAAUGGCUUGUCCUUUGCUUGAUGCCAUUGACUUUGAGGUGUGCUUGGAUUCCUUGAACGAAGAAAGAGAUGAGAGGUAGAGAUUGUCCCACCGGGCGUGCCAAUUUGUGAACACGGAAAAUUCCUGAAACGAAAGAGACAAGAACGAACGUGCACAAACAAAUAUUAUGUAUUUGAUGAUUUUGGGUUACAAUCUCUCUCUAUUUGAUCCUCUGAUUCAAUCUCCGUAAGGUGUGUAUUUGUGGAUGUGUGAUUGAUCCAAAGGGCCGUUGGGCUUGAUCUAAGGAUGAACGUUCUUCAAGGGCCGUGGACUUGAUCUUGAAGGUGGAUUUGAGCGGAUCUUUAAAGGGGCUUUUGGGCUUGAUCUUGAAGAACGGUUGGAUGUGUGGAUUUGUCGAAGUUGUUGAUCCAAAGGGCCGUUGGGGCUUGAUCUUGGAUGAACGGAUGAUGAACGAUGGUGCUUUCUUCAAGGGCCGUCGGGGCUUGAUCUUGAAUUGGUGGAUGGUUGAUCCAAGGGCCGUCGGGGCUUGAUCUUGGAAGAACGAUGAACGAAGAACGAAGAACACUUUCUUCAAGGGCCGUCGGGGCUUGAUCUUGAAUUGGUGGAUGAUUGUUGAUCCAAAGGGCCGUUGGGGCUUGAUCUUGGAAGAACGAUGAACGAAGAACAAAGAACGCUUUCUUCAAGGGCCGUCGGGGCUUGAUCUUGAAGGUGGAUGAUUGUUGAUCCAAGGGCUGUCGAGGCUUGAUCUUGGAAGAACGAUGAACGAAGAACACUUUCUUGAUUCUUCGGGAACCUGGACGCUUGAGAGCUUCGGAGUUUCAGAGCUUCAGAGCUUCAAGGUGUAAUAUGAAUUGGUCCCCCCUAAAUGAAUGAAAUGGGCUUGUAUUUAUAGAAUUUUCCAAGGCCUAAUUUUGAAUAUAAUAUCCCAGAUGAAAUAAGUCGUUUCUGCCAGGUGUUGACACGUGUCCUAUUUGAUGACUUUUCCAACUCAUUUCAAUUUUCGUUUAGUCACACGCUACGUGUAAAAUUUAUGUAAUACAUGAGCGUUGACACUUUGAUUUAUCGGUCAACAUUUAUUUACCGAAAUUUCGAUGUCUACAAAACUAAUAGAUAAUUGACUAAAUAAACAUCCUGCAAAGUUUCAAUAAAAAUUUCCAAGUUUUUCUUACAAUUUCUGUGGUUUCCAUAUUAUUUUUAUCGAUAUCGAUAAUAUCCCGAUAUUUCAAUCGAUAUUUCCGUGUUUUUGGACUACCGAUAUUUCCGAUAUCAUCGAUAUUUUAUACCUUGGCGACGGGGGACUUGCCGACUGGUGCCACCGUGGACGUUGGGUCUUUCGAAAUGUGGUGUAAUGUUAUGAUCCCACAUCGGCUACACAAGAAAUUGUGUAGUGGUACUUAAGUGCAAGGGGUCCUCCCACCUAUUGGACUAGUCUUUUGAGUUGGGCUCUUCCCUUAGGCUUGAGUACCUAACAAACCCAUAAAUCAAAGAAAUCAAAAUCCACCCAGAAUCAAAGAAAUCAAAAUCCAUCCAGAACCAAAGAAAUCAAAAUCACACACAGAUAUACAAGGUGUACAGUACUGACAUGCCUUAAAUGAUAUUAUUCACAAGAUUUAUAAAGCUCAUGUCGUAAUACUUGUGCAGAAUCUAUCAUUCACGGCGUCACUUUUGUGCAAGUUGUAAAUAAAAUUAUUCACAAUUUAAACAUUGUGUGUCGUAUUUGACAAUUUAUACUACGCACUUUCUUUUUCUUUUAAAGCUUUGCGUUAUGUCGUGAAGUUGACUUUCUAUAUAUUUGGGUUGUACCUUUUAUGGCGCAAAUAACACGUCGUAAAUAAUGGCUUUUAGCACAGAAGUUUUGUGGUAAAGAAGCCCGCGCACUAAUUCAUUCUCGCGCCUUCUCUUUUUUAUUUAGCCGCUUCUUUUUUUAUUUUUUAUUUUUUUUGUUAAAUUCCCCUCAAAUGUUAAAAGAAAAAUUAAUGAAAUAUUUGAAAACUUUGAGUUUUAACGAUAAGGAUAAAAUAAAAGGUAAAAUGAAUAGUACCAAAAUUGACUUUUUAGUGUUAAAAUAUGAUUUUUCGUUAAAGUGAACAGUGCCGAAAGUUUUUCGUUAAAGUUCAAUGUUAAAAGGUUUGUAUUUUCUUGGUAAACUUGAAAGACAAACAUUGCAAUUGCAUUUUCAUUUACCCAAUAUUAAUUGUCGAGAGCCCACCCCCUUCCCUUCUCACUGACAUCGUAACUCUCUCCUCUCCAUCGAUCUCGCUCCAUCUGCUCGCCGUCGCUCUAUAUGCUCGUCAUCACCGUCGAUUCGUCUGCUCGUCGUCACCGUCGCCCAUCUGCUUUCCGUCACCGUCGAAGUGCCCCGCCAUUCAAGAUCUGAAAUCCCCAAUACAGGGUGCUUUGCGGCAUUUCGUUCUCCAAAACUUUAGGUAUGCUCUCAAUCUGUAUCAACCCUAUCCUGUCCCCUCUAGAUUUUUGUUUAGUCUCAACUUUAUGGUGCUUUUCUUAGAUUUGUUCUAUCACUGUAAUUUUAAGGGAUUUUAGGUAAUAAAUUUGGUUGAGAAUCUCAGUUAGGUUUGUAAUUGUUUUCUUGGUUGCCUGGGUUUGAGGAUGAUUAAUCCACUUUCUGAAGUUUAAUUACUUUGAACUUUGAUUUGUGGGAAACUGCAAUCAAAAUGUUGCUAUGGCUUUAUAGUUAGAAUCGAUUGUGAGUCUUUGCACCACAUCAAGCAAUACCCCGGUGUUGUAAUUCCGAGGUUUGUAAUUGCCGCUGUUAAUGAUGGUUUGGUCCAUCCUUUUUAGGGAGAUGACUUCAAUGAUUGAAACUAGUUUAUCAUUAUUUCAGAACUCUGUAAUACGAGACAUGAUAUUCCAAAAAAUAUUUGCAUGAAUAUAUGUGCAUUGACUGACUAUUUUUCAGUCUUUGAUAGUGGAGAUAACUCUUUCAGGUCAUAUGUAGUUCUUACAGAAAUUGUAUGGUAUUUUGGUUGGUUUUGUGUUCUGGUUGUAGCAAACUGGUGGAUGCCCUGAGAUGAGUAGUUAUCUACAAAGUGGAUGGAUCCUGAAGAGUACAAAGUCUAAGGCAUUUUAUGUAAAGGUAAAUCCUGUUACUUUUAAUUACUUAUAUGUGAAUGCCUGCCAUUUGAAGUAAAAAUUCUUUUAGCCAUUACAUUCUUCAUAAAGAUCUUUAUAUGCUCAAAAGAAGGAUUUUUUUUAGAUGCCAUGUAACUGGUGGUGGCUAGCCUCUUCUUUUUAAGACUCUAGUGUGUUUCAAUUACACUAGUCAAUCGUUCUUAUGUGUAUUAUGUUUUGUUGAUAAGAUGGCCAAGACAAAGUUGUAGAGCCCUAGUAGCAGGGUGCUGUUGGCAUUUAUAUUUUUCUUUUGAAGGGGUGUUUAUUGCUUUUAUACUUUCAUUGUUUACUCUCAUACAUACAAUACUGAAAAAUAAGCAUGUAUUGACGCGUAAUUUUAGAUCCAUAUUUAUACAUAAUUUUGAUUACAUGUCCAAAUUACCCAAGAUUCUUUUUCCUUUACAAAUUUGUGGAGUGCAUUACAUGGAUAUGAUUCAUGUAUGAAAUACACAUGACUCUCACUAAUUUAAGGGCAGCAUCAUUGACUGUACAGUUUUCAAUUCUUUAUAAUCAUGAGUAUAGACAUUUUUUAAUUCUUUAUAAUCAUGAGUACAACAAUAGUUUCUAUAACAAAAUUCUGUUAAAUAUGUAAUAUCAGUAUUUGUUUUCCAGGUUCAUUAGUUGAGGAUGAUUUUUCCAAGAAAGAAAAGAUCGCGGCUUUCAGGCCGAUCUAAAGAACAUUAUGUUGAUAUUGCACCUGAGAUCUUACAAGAAGAGGACGAAGAAGUACCAGAUGACCUAUUUACAGAGGAGUCGAAUCAAACUAAAAGAAAGAGGGGUCCUACUAGAAUGAAGACAAUUUCCACAAAUGAUGGUCAACGAAUUGAGAUUGAAUGGAAUGAAAACGGCCAGUUUAUUGGUGACGGAUCUAUUGACUUAUCUUCUUACAUGGGUUCUUUGGUCCGAGAGGUUGUCCCUAUAACAUUUGAUACUUGGAAGGAUGUUCCUAAGAAAACAAAGGACAUCCUAAUCAAGGUAAUAUGCAGAUAAGUCAAUUCUGAUCCCUCUACUUCAAGGUGAACAAUUUAUAGUUUAUAAAUUUUACUUGUGUUAAUAUAUAUUUUUUGGUAAAUGUUAUGGAUAUUUUAUCAAAUCAGAGAGUAAAUUCGUAUUAAGUGAAGAUUGGCAAAGAACAUAUUGUUUUGAAAGGAUGAAUAAUGUUUGCAGAUCACAUAUAUCAGUAGUUGUGAAGUCCAUAAGAGAAGCAAGAAAUUGGAAAGCAAGGCUUCGUCUAAAACCAAAUAAUGUCAAAUUAAUUCAAGAUUGGAAGACUUCCCUUGCAAAGUGUAAGCUCAUUUUCCUUUUCUUUUAUUUCUAAGAUUAGUUAUCUUCUUUUGAGUUCAAAAUUGGGUCAGAGAAAUCAAACUGAUAGUAGUUAAAAGUCUAUUUCAACACCAAGCCUUGUCUACACAAGAAUUUGGUGUUAGUUAAACAUGUGUAUGAUUCUAUCUUGAUUGCAUGUUAAUUUAGUUUGAAGAUAGAUUUGGUACAUGCUAGCUAAUUGAUACGUGAUAUGAAUCUUUGGUUUCCUUUUGAUAGGACAAAAGCGAAACAUUCAGAGAGAUGAAGUCUAAGCAACUCCGCACACAUGUAGUCGCAAGGGAUAUGGUAGGUUGGCGGAGGAUUUGGUAAUUACAUUUCAUUCUAGUGCCUUCUUUUCUACAGGACAAGAACAAUUUACUAAUUUUAUUCUGUGUUCUACUGUGUGUUUACUACAUUUAUGUUUCUAUUUUGUAGAAAAGAAAAAGUGUAGACCCUUCUCUAGUUUCUAGAGGUGAUGUUUGGAUUGCAGCACAUACUAAAAAGGGUGGUGGACCAUCCAAUUUGCUUGCUGCAGAGACUAUUGUAAGUAAUUUUUAACCAUUUAUUUCUUCUUGUUUGUUGAUAUGCAAUGAUGAAUGAGGUCUUAACUUUGAUGUGCAACGUUAGGAAAAAAAUUAAGCAAUAUGGAAAUGGAUCAUCAUCUGGUUUUCGAGGUGACGUUCUUUCCAAAGUUUUUGGUGCUGAGCGACAUGGUCGUGCAAGAGGAGUUGGAGGUGGUGUUCCUCCUACAAAGCUUGGAAUAUUUUCACAACAAAAAUUGCGUAAUCACCAAAUGGAUGAAAAGGUGCACAAUUUAACUAAUCAGGUCAGAGCACUGACAGAAUUGGUGUAUCUUUUUAUGAAAAAUCAGGUUAGUGAUUUAAUAACAUUGGUAUCAUAUUGAAUAUUUGUGAAAUCAGUUUUAGUGACACAUCAAAUCACAGGGUAAUGAUCUACCAAGUGAGGCAUCUCCUGACACACAGGUUGCAGCUCCUGAGGCACAUGUUGAUACUGUCGCAAGAACUGAAACUUGUCUUUCCCAUUGCGCAACAAAUGAAUCGUGGUGGCGAGGUUGAUACACUUUUUCAAUGAGCCUUCUAACUAUUAAUGCUCAUUGACUCUGUUAAAAGCUCUGCCAUUUUCAAUCUAACUAGACACUAGAAAUGAUCAUUGACUCUGUUAAAAGUUAUGAUGUUUUGGUCCUUCUCCAUAGUUGCGCAUCUACUGAUGUCUAUUUUUUUUCAAAUACUGCAGGUUAUUUCUGAAAACAUUGAAACAUCGUGGUGUACCAGAUGGUUUGAUUAUAAGACACCUUCCUUUUGGUCCACCAACUUAUUUAUAACUGCUAAAUGGUACGUAGUGUGAUAAUUUUCAAAUAUUUUGAUAUUAAGACAGGUGUAGGACAACAUAGAAAUUCUUAGGGCCUUCAGCAACAAAAUUAUGAAAAAGUGAGUGAGAUACAAUUAAAAAAAUGAAAGAGAAGGAUCAUGAUUCAUGAUCUAAAGGUUUGAAUAGGGUAGAAAGGAUUUAGUUUCGUUGUUAAAAUCGAUUGUGAGUCUAUUGUUAUUGUAUUGUCAAUUUGUUUAUUUACUUGAACUUCCUAGUAUCAAUUUGGUUCGAUAUAUCUAGCACCACCAUAGAUAUAUCUAGUAUCAAUUUGGUUAGAUAUUGUCAAUUUGUUAUUGUAUUGUCAACUAUAGAAUGUGCAUCAGUUGUAAAAGGAACAAAACAAUUCAGAUUUUUUGUUUAUGUCCAAACUUAGAAUUGUAUUGUAAUUGACAAUUUCUACUAAUUAAUUUAAAGUAUUUGGAGUUUAAUAUGUUUAUGAUCAAUAUUGUUAUCCUUCUAUUGUAUCAGUUUAGAUGUUAUGAAGUGAGGUCUGUCUAAAAAUGAUAUGCUAAAUAUAGAUGUAAAUUACGGCAUCUAAAAUCAGCAAUAAUUGUUGAUGGUAGUCUUUUUUUACGAUGCACGAUGUAUGCCGUAAUCACCUUCACAAUAUUACGACACUCAACAAAUGCUGUAUCAAAUAUAAAUUACUGCACACAAGUAUGUCGUAAUUGUUUUUCAGUAUUACGACACCCUAUUAACGCUGUAACUAAUACCAAUUAAGGCGCGUAGGACAUGCCUUAAGAACAUUUAUGGCGUGUUUUACUUAAAUUAUUCACUACUAUUAGAGUACGUCGUAUUUGUCAAAACAUCUUUUACAACAGGGGCUUUUACUGCUUGGAGGCUCACGUCGUGAAUUUCCAUUUACGGCACCCUUUGUGCGCCGUAAAAGGCCAAUUCUAUUGUAGUGAUCCAUGGGUACAUUUUUAAUCUACAUGUUUCGUUUUAAUAUAUCUAUUGCUAUAAUAUGUUUUGGUUGGUUCAAAUUCGUUUUACAUAAAUAUAUGGGUACAAAGUUUUUGGAGAAUAUUAUGUAAAAUGGUUUUUAAGGUUGUUGCAUUUUAUGUACCCACAUAUGCAUGUCUAUAAAACAAUGUGGUAUGAUGUACAUUCUUUUCCUUGAGUUUUUAAAUGUACCCAUGAGUUUUCUUGUAAAUUCAGUAUGUAUCCAUAUGCUAUUUAUGUUAUGGGUACAUAAAUUAUUUUUGGUCUAAGUUGGUGGGUACAUUGCUUUUGUAUGUAUGAAUUCAUUGGGUACAUUAUUUCCCUUAAUACUACUCAAUAAAAUUCACAAAAAUAUGUGCAGUGUGCAUGAAUUUUUAUUGUAGAAAUUGUUUUUUUUUAAUUUUUAAUUUUUAAGUCUCAUAAUUCGUGAAUUUUGUACAUAUUGAUCCCAUAAAUUUUUGAAUUUUAUUAAAUUUCUUUUAGACUUGAUCGAUUGAUUGAAUCUCAUAAUAAUCCCUUAAAUGUUCCAAUCAAUAUUUUAAAUUACAGCUUUUUAUUUAAGAUUUCAAAAAGAUGACAUGAAAAUAUAGUAAUACUAAAAUUUUAUUUUAAAUUACAUUUGUGUAACAAUCAAUGGUAUGUUAAAACUGGGCAAAAAAAAAAGGUAUAUUAAAAAAUUAUAAUUUAUUCUUUUUUUCAUAACUGUCUUCUGCUUAGAUUAAAUUUUUACCAAUUUGGGGGAAUUAGUUCUUACCAAUAUAUAUGCACAGUAUUUGCUUUUUACCUGGGCUUAACACAUGAUUAAUUACUUUCCUACCUGCUAACGCGUUGAUUUGCGCAUCCAAAGUAUUAUCAAAGUCACUGCCACCAAAAAGGUGCCCACUCCACAACCUUUGGUUGAACCAAAGAACAUCACAACAAUAAGGAAAUCGUUAAAUCUAUCUCCGCAACAUUUUUAUUAAUCAUUAGAUAGAUUAAACGAUUCCCCUGUUCAUAUUGUGUUCUUUUGUUGAACCAAACCAUGUCAACAAAAUAUAUCUAUGGUUAAGCAUCUAGAUUCAUGCUUUUGGAUGUGCAUCUUAAACCCCUCAAUGAAUAGCCAAGCAAUUUAUCAUGUGUUUACAGUAGGUCAAAAGAAGAAAGUGUUUGUCUAUAUAUUGGUAGGAACCAAUUCCUCUGAAGAGGAGAGAUGGAAGUGAUGAUAAUACUUUAAAUAAUCAAAGCCCAAACAUUUUAUCAAAUUUCAUCUCUGUACUCCACGGAGACACUAAAUGAGACAUAUCUGGUCCAUCUCUGAACAUCUUUUCUUACCGUUCUUACAAUAGAAAGGGCACAAAAUUGACUUACACAGUCUUGCACAAUACUCACUUUGCUUCAACCCAUAUUUCACUUUGUCAAAUCAUACACGUUCCUGCAAUAGGUGAACUCAUAUGUAUCUACCACUUCUUGCUAAUUUUAAUUUUUCCAUUCCCAUUUUUGCUACAAGUUUCACAUAAAUUUUUUAUUGCACUUGUCAAUUCUUUAUACUUUUUUAUUGUAUUUUUUUUUUGUCUUUUUUUUGUAUUAAACAAUUACAUGUCCUCCAAAAGUUUUGCUUAUUGCCCUAUUUCAUCAAGCUCGGUAUAAAUAGAUCUUAAUUUUUUACUACAGUUAAAUACAUGGACAUGCCUCCACAAAUACAAAUUAGUUCUUGCUUAAAUACUUUGUGUGUUUACAUAGAAAAUGUUCCCAUCGUCUACCAAAAUCCUCCACACAUGAAAACAAAAAUUCUUACUCAAAAAUACAUAUUACAAUACCACCAUAUCUGUUGUUUUUUAUUAAAUUAACACACUGUUUUCAAUUUUAUCUUUAACACAAAAGAAAAUGCUCUUACACAAUAUGCUUGUUUACAUUUUAUAACUUAUCUACCACAUGUUAAUCGCAAUUAUAUAAAUAGGAAAACACGUGUCAAUAGAAGUGUGAUGCAUGCUACUUCGUUAACAAUAGUGGCAACUAAACAAUUAAAUAAUUUGUUUCAAUUAGUUAGUACAUUUUAUAAAUUUCUUAAUUAGAACUGUUUCAGUAUAUUCAAUACAUUUUUAAACAACUUUCCAGUUAGUUGCCCAAACUAAUUAUUCCAGCUUAUUCAUAGUAUAAUACCAACAAUUUAACAACCAAUGAUACUUCGUUUAACAUAAACUUCAUUUGGAAAAAACAAAAAAAUAUCUUUUUCUCUGCUGAAAAAUCCAACAGAGUUAUUGAUGCAGAUCAGUUAUACCAACAAAUUACCAUAGUUUACCCAAUGCUAUACAGGUUUGACUUUUGUUUAUAUUCUUGGAUCUGUUGCUUGGUUGUAUAAUUUGGUUGUGUGUUUUGUUUCAGGACAAUUUGUUCUUCGUUUCUUGAGGCUUUUGUGUGUAGAUUUGAAACCGUUUAGCUUUCAAGCCGUGUAUACUCAAGGUAAAUAAUUUCGUUUUUUUCUUUGUAACCUUUUUUGUAAGAAAUUUUUAUUUAAUGUUGUGAGAGUUGUGUUUUCUAGAGUAUGAAAAUUGAAUCUUUGUGAUCUUAUAUCCUUAGAUAUGUUUCUUGGUUAUAUGAUUUGGCUGUGUGCAUUGUUUCAGGACAAUUUGUUCUUCGUUUUUUGGGGCUUCGGUGUGUAGCUUUGAAGCCUUUUGUAGUCAACAUAAAUAAUUUUAUUUUUCUUUGUUUCUAGUCUUCUUUGAAAGAAUUUCUUAGUUAAUAUUCUGAGAAUUAUGUUUACUAUAGUAUGAAAAUUGAAUCUUUGUGAUCUUGUAAGUGAUGUAACGUCAUUGCAACAUGUAUGACUGCCAUUAUCGAACAUGAAGAGCUUUUUGAUUUUUGUACUCCGUCCUUUCAUACGAUCUGACUCAAAAAUUGUUUCAUCACAGGUUCUAACAUGAUUUUUGCGACGUCUUAUGAAAAUACAAUGUCACUUCUGGUAUUCCAACUUAAACAAAUUACAAGGGAUGUCUAGUUUUAAACCUGCAGUUAGUAUAUACUAAAACGACGGUUUUGGCCCUGCUCUCGACUUCUUCAGAAACCUCGAGAAACUUCAAACUGAGAAAGCUUCUCCCUUCCAUCUCUGCUACGCGAUCUCUGCUUUGCGAUCUCUGCUUCCUCCGUGAUUUCUUCCCUCCUGAUCGACAUCUAUUCGAAUUGAAAACCUUCUGGAGCUCUCUUCCCCAAAUUUCAGCAGCAACUUUGCUCCAGAUCUUUCCAAUUGAAAUUCCUCUCCUUCACAUUUUGCAUAUUGAAUUUCGCAUCAUUAUCAUCUCCCUAGAACCUAGGAGUUUGGUUCGGUUUCGAGUUUUCCGACGGAAAUCCGGCGACAGCGGCCAUCGAGGUUGGUCUGAAACUAUUCCUCAUCACCACAAGUACUUUCUACACCUAUUACACUUUAGAAAAAAUUUCAUGAUUUGGUGGAAUCCAAUUUAAUGAUUAGAAAAAUUUUCAUUAAUUUUCUGGGUUCGUGGGUUGGAGGUGGAUUAGAAAUUUUUUCAUUAUUUUUCUGGGUUUGUGGUUUUUUUCCAAAACGUUUUUCCUUUCUACUAAUCCAAGUUCCUUCACAUCAAUCUCUCUGUUUCGUUCUUGAUCUUCCGCGAGUAGAAUACCUCUCCUUGCUCUCGAGCGCGUGGGCAGUCGCUCCAAGGCAGCCCAUGACGUCAUUUUCCGAUUCGACUCGGAGGAGGUUGGCUGCUCUUCUUGGCUGAGCUUCAUGGCUGGCCGAAUUCCCCUAUUCCCUUCCUCUUAUACUCUUUUGUAUUCGUUCACCAAAACAAUAGGAAAACGUCUCCGUCUGUUUGAUUGACGGCGAAGAAAAAAAGACGGAGAUAAAAGCCUGACGGAAGCUGAAAGCUUGGACUCUGUUUGUAUUUUUAAUGGAUUUUCAGAACACAGGUCAAGAAUACUGCGAUUUGAGAAAGAAAGAAAGAACCACGUUGACAUAAUAUAUUCACAAUAGGCGUACAUAAAGCUUUACUGUGGUUCCAUUUUUUUGCAUAUUUCAAAGGCUCUGAAUUGUUAAGGGAAUUAGCCUUUUGUUUUAGGAAGAACUUGGAACCCCCUCCGUCCAUUCUAUUCCCGAUGGAAUUAACACUUAGAUAGUACUAUGACAAUGUGUCAUUAAUUGAUGCAUACCUGUAUAAAUUUAGGCCAAGUGUUUUAUACACAAAUUGAUACAGAUUAAGCUUCUGGGUCGAAAUCAUAUACCGGUGAGCUAACUACACAAUGAUACAUUCUUAUCUGUUAAUUAUCUUUGGUUACCAGCUAUCCAUGUUGCUGACAUAUUAAACUACACAACAUCUAUUGUAAUUUAUGUCUUAUUAGUAUCAUCACUUUUGUUCUUUAUUUCAAUGUCUAACAUAAUGAUCUGGUUUCAAUUUGCUACAGGCAUUAUUUCCAGACAAUAGCUAUGGUUUUGAUUGUAGCGGUGACUGAAAAAUUAUUCCGAAACUAACAUUUGAGGAAUUCAAGGUUUGUUAGUUAAUUUGUACAUCAGAAUACCAUGACAAACUAUGAAGUUGUAAUUGUUGACCUUACAAUGUAUCUUUUUUGGUUUGGAGCAUUAGACUUAUAUGUGUUGCUUUCACUUCAUGAAGGCUAACUCUUUAUUUUAGGCCUUAGAAUAUAAUUUUUUGGAGAAUCUACAUUGUUGAUAAUUUUUUGAACAAUAUUAUCCCCAAAAUUUCUCCGCAUGUUACCCUCAACGUAGACAUCAUAUAACCAUCAUUGAACUUCUGAACCAAAAAUUUGAGUUUUAUGAUUAUAACUAAACGUCUAUAAACACAUGAUACAGAUUGAGACGAAUGUCAAAUUUAAAAUGGCAUUAAUCAGGACAGCUGCAAACUCUGAUUUGCGGCCUUUGAAAUGGAGCAGUUACUUCUUGCUUCACUUCAACAGCAUAGUCCAGCUUCUAAAUUCAGUUCUCAGGUAUGAGGUUUCUCAGUUACCUCUUUUUUGUAAUAAAACAUUUGAUCAGUACUUGCCAGGAUAUCCAAUUAAUUAGGUCAGUUUUUGUUAGCGGUAAUAAUUUGUUUUUGUAGCUUUAUAUGUGUCUCUGUCUCCAAAUAUGAUGAUCUCUUAAUUUGCUUCUAUAGCUUUUGUAAUAUAAUGAUCUCUUAAUUUGCUUUUGCAUAUCUUCUUUGCUUCCUCUGCUAGCUCUAUAUGAGAUUCCAUCUCCAAAUAAUUAUUCCUUAUUUCCUAUUUUUACAGGAAGCAAAUCAUUGAAUACACAUGGAAAAUUAAAAGGGUUUUAGUUUUUGGAGUAGUUUAAAUUUUUUGUUUGUUAUUGCUUGUAUUGCUGUUAAAUAUUUGAUGGGUAGUUUGAAAUGGGGAACUUGGUUGAUUGAGUAUUAACUUUUAUUAAAUUAAUAUUCUUAUUCAAUAUUGAAUUAAGACUCCUCUUAUUAAAUUAAGACUCUUAGAGUGCGUUUGUUGCGCCAGACUGUCUCGGACUGGACUAGCUGCCGGGACUAAGCUGGACUGGCUUAGACUGGACUAAGCUAGACUAACUUAGUGAAGCGUUUGGUGUAAUGUCGGACUAAGAAGCAGGAUAAGAAAAACAGUACUGUUCACCAGAUUUGUGUUUGCUUAGACUAGGAUUACAAAUUUUUGCCAUUGUGUAAUAGAGUAAUGCUACAAAUCUCAUGAUAUGGGUUAAUUGGAGCAUAUUUUUGCCAUGUAUAUUAUGAAUCUUAAAAAAAAUUGACAAUUGUUUUGUUUCUAUUACCUGCUAAUAGAAUUGGGUUUAAUUUGCAAAUGUAGCUUAGUUUAAACUCUAUCACCCAACAGAAGAAAAAUAAUAGUGCCCAAUACAUGCAACUUCAACAAAUACAAGUACAUAAGAAGAUCUCCAUAAUUUAGAAAAUCCUAGUUAACAUUAGUUAACAUUAGCCAAAAUAGAUCUCCAUAAUUUACAAAAUGGCUAGUUAACAUAAGCCAAAAUACUAGUGCAAAGCUAAGUUAUAAGCCAUAACAUAAGAUUGUAUGAUUAAUAAAAUACAUCCAUGUUAACAUUAAUAAAAUACAUCCAUGUUAACAUUAGCCAAAAUCCUCAUCCGCUUGCGUUGUCGCUUAAAAGCCUUUGGACGAACACUUUCUUGAGUUCCGGUUUGAUUGCCCUGAACACUCCCACAUUUUUUGGUUUAUCCAAAAUAAGAGACAAUGCAUCAAUUUGAUCCAUAGGAGAGAGACCCAUUACUUCAAGUUCAUUAGCUAUGUCAGUAUGAUCUGCAAUACCUUGAACUAAAGCUUCAGUUACCAUUUGCAUCCUCUUCCCACUUUCAACAUAAAAAUCUUUCAGUCCACUGAUAAUUGCCUCGGUUCCAUCACUUGAAUUUCCCACAGCUCUUUUCCUCUUUCUUUGGCUAUUUUCAGAUGGGGUGCUUUGUUGGCUUUGUUGGUUCAUUGAAGAAACAAAAUUUUCACCUCCAAUAUCACUUUCACCAACAUGAUCAUGACUUUGUUCCUCCACCAUUUGAGCAGGGGUUUCGGCUACAUUACCCGUAGCCCGAUCUUUUCCAAAUAUAUAUGCAAAUCUAUCAAACAGUGGAAAAGGUUUGCUUCUCCAUCCAUCGGCUUCUUUAUUUCUCUAAGAUUAUAUCAACAUAGCAAAACUAAAAUUUAGCAUGCGUAACAAAUAUAGCAGCAAGAAUAUAACUAAUGUAUAAAUAAAAUAGGAUAUGAACCUGCACAUAAGUUUGCCAUGAGUCAUCACUGUCAACUUCAACGCACUUUUUGACAUCAUUUCAUGCAAAUCCACUUGUGUUUAUCAUGUCAACGACCAUACUAUAUGUUUUUUUCCAUUUCUUCAACUUGGACUCAAUAUGUGGAUUUGCCUUUAUAUUUGAAUGAGGACAUAAAACAUUGACAACUUUUGCUAUUUCAACCAAAGUACCUUGUUUGAAAGCACCGGUGUCACACCGUUGCUUCCGAGCAACAAAAUCCUCAAGAACUCCUAGUAAUACUUCUUCCUCAAAUGCUUCCCAUUUACGCCUUCUUCCUUUUGGCUCUUGAGUAGCAUUCAAAAUAUUUUCGUUAUCCAUACCUAAACAAAAAAUAUUUUAAUGAAGGAAAAUACCAUACAAAUAAUCAAUUUGCAUAAUAUCCAAUCAACUUGCAUAAUAUCCAAUUAAUUUGCAUACCAUCCAAUCUUUGUGCUAAUAUCUAACAAAUGCAUGAUAAAAAGGAAUACUAAAAUAAAAUGUUAUCAUUAACACAUAUAGCUAGUUCGGUUGCUGGUUCCUAAUUGCUCUCCAUUCAUUAUACAUUUCCUGAGCCAUGUCAUUCCUCUUUGCAGUCCACUGGUCAGAUGUUUGAACACUACCAACAUAUUCACCUUCUUCUGUAUUUUGUCCAUCUUCUAUUAUUGGAAAAUUCUCCAUUGGAUCUACAGACAUCUCUUGCCUAAUAAGAUUGUGUAGUAGGCAACAAGCGGUAAUUAUUCGACCUUGUGUCCUUAUCGGAUAGAAAGAUGGACUCCUUAGUAUCGACCACCUUCCUUUUAGCAAGCCAAAACAGCGUUCAAUUACAUUCCUUGCCUUAGAAUGCUUCAUGUUAAAAUAUUCUUCCUUAUUAGAAGGUGUUCGUCCCUCCCAUUCAGAUAAAUGAUAAGGUAUUCCUCUAUAGGGUGCAAGGAAUCCUUCACCAUUUGUAUAACCACCAUCUACAAGGUAAUAAUAACCUAAUGAAAAAAAAAACAGACCUUAUUAGUGUUUUGUAGUUGACAAACAGAACUAGACCUAACUUACAAAGUUGAGACUAAGUAAUAGUCUUACCCGCUGGUACCUUAAAACCAUUAGGCCUAGUAAUUGCAUCAUGUAGCACUCUAGAGUCUGAUGCAGAACCCUCCCACCCCGUAAACACAUAUAUGAACUGCAUAUCUCCUGAACACACACCUAACACAUUAGUUGCGACUCGACCCUUUCUUGUUCGGUAUCUUGGUUUGUCAAUUUCAGGUACAUGCACAUCAAUGUGUGUUCCAUCCAAUGCUCCCAAGCAAUUCUUAAAAAAAAAAAAAAAAGUUUUUGUUAAUUUAUACAAAGGGAAUGAAGAGUUAAAGCUUAGGGAAAAUGAAAAAAAAUUCUCAUCAUACCUUAAAACAUCGCCACCUAGGAUCUGUAGAAUCAAUAGGCACAGGCUGAGGGACUUUUAGUAGGAUACCUUGUAAUCGCAAAAUUCCUUGCAAUACGAUAUUGAAAUACCUACUUAUAGUCUCUCCCGACCUAUAAAAUCUACCGCCAACACUACGAUUCUUAGUAUGAUGUGCUAAUAUUUGUAAAGUCAUACACACAUGCUCCUCUACAGACACCAAACCAUCAGUUUUUACCCUCCCAUCUUGACGAAGUAAGUCACAUAAUAUGCCAAAAGUCCUUCUAUCCAUUCUCAAUUCGUUGACACAUUCAGUAUCAGUAUUCCCUAUUAUACCAUUCAGAUAACACAAACUAAUCUCUCGUCUAAUAAGUGAACGGUUAGUCAAUGUGGGUCGUUCAACAUGUCUCUGUUUGCCACGUAGCAUCAUCAACACAAGAAUCGUACAAAUGCAAAUUGUCUCCAAAUAAGACAUCUCUAACAAUAAGAUCAAUAAAAGCUUCCUUCGAUCCAUAUCUAUCCAAACAAAAAAAAACAAAAAACAAAUUAAGGACAUUAUAUAUGUAAUAUUUACUGUUAUUAAGGGUUAUGGAAAUGAAGUGAUUAUGAUACGAAAUGAACUAGAUCAAAGUAACUAGCGAAGUCACAAUCCGAGGCAUCAAAUAUACGGGUGGUGUUGGAAAAAAAAAAGUUAUCAUUAACCCGAGGCAACAAAUAUACAGGUCAGAUGCACACACUGCAUACACACUCACACACAUACUCACACGGACAUACACACUAUCACACACGGACAUACACUCACACACACCCUACAUACAUACAUACAUACACACACACACUGCAUACAUACACACACACACACACUGCAUAUAUACACACACACACACACUGCAUACAUACACACACACACACACACUGCAUACAUACACACACACACACACACACACACACUGCAUACAUACACACACACACACGACAUACAUACACACACACACACACACACUGGUCAGAUGCACUGCACUCACACGGACAUACACACUCUCACACACUGACAUACAUACACACACACCCUGCAUACAUACACACACACACACUACAUACACACACACACACACACACACACACACUGCAUACAUACAUACACACGCACACACACUGCAUACACACACACACACACAUUGCUUUAUGAAAACCCCAAAUUCCAAAUUUGAAACCCCAAAUUCCAAAUUUCUAAUCUCAAUUUCAAACCCCAAAUUCCAAAUUUCUACUACAUACUUACAUACACACACACUGCUUUAUGAAAACCCCAAAUUCCAAAUUUCAAACCCCAAAUUCCAAAUUUCUAAUCUCAAUUUCAAACCCCAAAUUCCAAGCUUUAUGAAAACCCCAAUUUCUAAUCUCAAUUUCACCCAAAUAUCAAAACCCUAAAAUUUGUUCAACUGCAGAAUCAAAUAAAGCUCAAACCCAAAACAAAUCCGCCCAAAUCGACGAAAAAAAUCCACCCAAAUCGACGAAAAAAAUCGAACAAUCGAAGCUUACCAGACAACUGGAGGCAGAUGAGGGCGAGCAGAUCUGUUACGUGAAGACGAGGGAGUGGACGACGAGAGGAACAGAUGAGGAGCAUGAUGCAGAUGAGGGCGACCAGGAUGCAGCUGACGGCAAGCAGGAUGCAAAGAUAAGGAUGAGGAGGACGACGUGAGGGAGGAGGACGUCGACGACACUCUCUCCUAGGAUGAUCGAGGUUCUUUCUCGCAAGAGCGCAAUCGGAUGAGGAGGACGACGUGAGGGAGGAGGUUUUAUGAAUCUGGACGUUUUUGGGGUGGUUCGCUAAGAACUCCUAGCGAGGGUUUAAUCCGUGCGAGUCAGAUCUAAUCCCAUUAAACCUAAUCCUUGCCCCUACCAAACAUCAGACUACAAUACCAAUUAGUGGAGUCCAGAACAGUCCCCCCUAAGAAGGUCAAACAAACACGCCCUUAAGGCUCUAAUCUAAUGUUCAUGCUCAACAUCUCCUCUAUCUUUCUACGAUUGGUAAAACUUUUGUAUUAUUAUUCCAAUUUUGGUUACUGGGUUGUGGAAUUUUCCAUUUUUUUUCUCGGUAAUCAAUACUAUAUAUAUGCAUGACAAGUAUAAACAAUAUUUUGGGGCAAAUUUAGUUGUUUAAUUUUUAAUUUUUAUGUGACAGUGAGAUUAUGGUAGGAUUUCGUUUAGAUUCUGCGGCCCAAUGGGAGUCUCUGCUUUGAUAAGAUUGGGGUUGAUGCCAAGAAAGCCAAUAAGCCUACUGUGGACGCCGUAGCCGCCUGGCGCUGUUUUCCAAAAUCCUCUCUCACUUGGUUAAGCAAUUAAGACUUUUUGGUUCAGUUUUUAUUAUGCCCAAUUUUGUAUUUAAACCUUAAAAAAAUUUAAACUGAUUUGGGGAUACUGAAAUAGGCUGCAGAGCUGCCAUCCCUGAAUCAGAAGAUGUUCAGAAGGAAGAAGAAGAAGAAGAAGAAGAAAGUCGUGGAAUAUCAAAAGCUUUUAGCUUUGUGAAAGUAUGCUUUUUCCCAACUCACCUCUUGCUUUUGUUGCACUGAAUUGGUAGAUUGGGUUCAAAAAUAUAUAUAUGUGAUUUUUCGUGUAACUAUUUCUUUACAUAAUUACCAAUUGGAGGUGAUUUUAGAUCAUGUAACAUUUCCUCGCUAGAACCAAAGAUUGUCGUCGCUCAGAGCUGCGUUUCAUGAAACAAGUUCAUCUCCUGCCAAAUUUGUGUACCCACCUUUUAUUCAUGAGGGUUGGUGCUUGCUUGCAACACAAUUUGGUGUUAUUAAGUUUUGCGGUUUUACAAUUUGUUCAUGCUUAAACCUCUUUCAAAUUUUCAUUUCUGUGUAAAUCUUGCAGGUAGGACGACACACCUAUCUUGGCAAUGUCGGGAUGUCUAGGCUUGGUGGAGACGUGGUCUUAUGGAAGAGGUGAAGUAGCUUAGCUCGAUCUCAUUAGCUCUUAUCUGUUCUAUUAUGUUAAGAUCAAUAGUAAAAAGUUCUAUUGAUUUUAUAAUCAAAGAUACAUAUAUUAUAGAAAUAGAGGGUAUAUCAUUAAUUUCUUGAUGUAAACAAUCAUAACUUGAGGAACCAUUUAAAGUAUUUUGGUAAUCAACAUACUUAAACUUAAAUGUGAUAUAUCCAUUUAGUAUUUUUUUUAUACAAUGAUAAUACUUAAGUAUAAUUUACAUCAUAUAUCUUUUGAAGUACAUGAAACUAUGAAGAAAAUGAUAAACCAAAUCCCAUUCCAUCUCUGUUUGCUACUGCACAAUCACAAUCCAAUUCCAACAUGGAAUCCUCAGACGACAUGCCUACUGCAGAACAAGUUUCAUACUGACUUAACUUAUAUUUAGUCCACGUCCUGUUUAGAUUGUAAUCCUAGUUCUACGUGUGUUUGUAUAGUACUCCUAUAAAUAUCAAUGAACAUCGCUCACUCUAAUUAAGAGUUGAGAUUUUGCAAAUCAUAUUUACUAUCUUUCAUGGUAUCACGAGCCAGCGUCUAACGACAACGGUUCCUAUUAUAAUUUUUUUCUCUUUUGCAGAUCCUAAACUAUGGCAUCUUCUUCCUCCUCCGCUGCUCCCUCCAUCACAAAUUUUCUUACGAUCAAGCUCGACCGCAACAACUACCCUCUCUGGCAUGCUCAGUUUCUUCCCUUGCUGCGCAGCCGCAACUUACUCUCUUAUGUUACUGGCGAAACUCAAUGCCCCUCUGCCUUUCUUCUUGAUGACAAUGGUAAAUUCACCGACAAAGUCAUUCCAUUAUAUAAUGAAUGGAUCCAGACUGACCAGAUGAUCCUAUCUUGGAUUACGAGUUCUCUUACUCCCAAGGUUCUUGCUACGAUCGUCAACAAAAUUGAUUCGGCCUCUGCUUGGUCGUCAAACCCGAAUUAAUCUAAUUGUGGGGGUUUUGUUUUAUAUCAAUAUAUUGCAACAGAAGUCACACUUUGAAGAGUUCAUGCUGCACAGAAAGAUGAUGAAAUGUUACCCGUUGAGUCUAUCAUUGCUCCAUUGGAGACAGAGCUGAAGCUUACUGCAGGAGUUAUACAGUUGUUAUGCAAUAUGACCCCUUUAAUUUUAUUUUAAAACUGAUACAAAAUACUACAAAAAUUUAUGUAGUAUUUUUGUAUUAGUUUUGAGUGUCUAUUUUGGCUUCCAUAUAUCGUCUGUACAUGUGAGAGGUAUAGUGUUCAAUAUGUAUUUGGUUUCUAUAUUGUUAAUGGAUCCUUUUUUUUUUAAUUUAAUUUAAUUUUAUUAAGGUAACCAAGUUGCAGGAUGACAUCAGAACACUUGAUCUGCAGGUAAACCUUCAAUUUCCAUAUGAAGUUUGCAUGUUCGUUGUUUCUGGAAUUUGAGUUUUUAUUAUUUCUCAAUUCUAUCACAUAGAUUAUGAUUUCACAUAUGGGAUUAUUAAUGGCAAUUAUAUGAUAGAAGAAUUGGGAUUAGAAGAAGAUAUUGAGUUGUUUUAUUUAUGGGGAUUAGAAAAUGAUUAUCAUACGAGUGAUAUUUAUUUUUGUGUGGAUUGUUAAUAUAUAAAACUAUAAGCUUUUGAGAUUGGGAGAUAAAACCCACAAAUUCAAAUCAGACAAAAUAAAUAAAAAAUUUAACUGACUUAAAGAUCAAACUCCAAAAGGGUAUUAAAAACAAGGCUUAUUUGAUCCAUUGAGUGUGAAAGUUUUGAGCUUUGAAGAAGCAUAGGAGGAGAGUUGUUAACCAAGCUGCAUUAUCCAUGUAUUAGGAUGUUGAGGGUAGGCAGGAAAAAUACUUUUUGACGCCAUAUCCAGAGGAGCAUAACGACAGGCCUGCAUUUUUGCAGCAAGGACCAAAACAAGUAGAAGUGAAGGCUUGACUAUUUGGGUAUUAAUCCUAAACCUAAUUAUUCUUAUUUAGGUUUAGGAUAAAUGAUUGAGUGUGUCUCGAUGAUUGUAUUACCAUGUUUGAUGAAUGACUUGAGGAGUUGGAAAUGCUUUAUUGCUUAUGUUUUUCUUAGGUGUGUACUUUGGUUAUUUCCGAGCUUUUCACGACUCUUGAUACCUAAUAGAGAAUAUGGAAACCCCAACUUUAAUUUUAUGAAUUGGUUUUGGUGCCUAAAAUGAAAUCUAGCAUAGUGAAAUCUUGCAUAAUGAAAUUAUGACAAAUUUCCCUUCAUCUUUAGAUUUUCAUUUAGUUCAAUUUGUAUGCAAUUUAGGGUUAUUCAAUUCAUGAGUGAUCAAAUUAUGUUUUUAAUUCCUUCUUCUUUUGAUUUACAGUUCAGCAUUGUCGUACAAAAUGAAAAAGGUGCCAGUAACAGAGUUAUGGAUUUGGAUGCCUUUAGUGGAAUAAAACUGAAUUUUUUAACUUUGUAUAGUUGUAAACAUAAAAUACUCCAUCAGAUAGACUCAUAGCAUUUGAAAACAAUCCUUGAGGAUGGCAUAACAACAUCUCCAACUUUUGUCAUGUAAUGUAUGAAUGUAAAUAGCACUUUGUAAACAUAUGGAUGUAAUAUAUGUAUAUAAACAGUCUUUAGCAUGUAUAUUUUUCAAAACUUUCUACAUCUUCAACAAUGUUUCAAUGAUUUCUUGAUGUAAACAAUGAUAAUUUGAAGAACCAUUUAAAGUAUUUCGGUAAUCAGCAUACUUAAGCUUAAAUGUGAUAUAUCCGUUUAGUAUUUUUUAUACAGUGAUAAUACUCAAGUAUAAUUUACAUCAUAUAUCUUGUGAAGUACAUGAAACUAUGAAGAAAAAACCCUAAUUAAUCUGAUUAUGGGGGUUUUGUUUUAUAUCAAAAUAUUGCAGCAGAAGUCACACUUUGAAGAGUUCACGCUGCACAGAAAGACGAUGAAAUGCUAUCUGUUGAGUCCAUCAUUGCUCCAUUGGAGACAAAGCUGAAGCACACUCCAGGUGGUAUACUUUUGUUCUGCAAUAUGACCACUUUAAUUUUAUUUUAAGACAGAUAGGGUUGAAAAGAAUUUAUGUAGUAUUUUUGUAUCAGUUUUGAGUGUCUAUUUGGACUUCCAUAUUUGGUCCGUACAUGUGAGGUAUAGAGUGUUCAAUAUGUAUUUGGUUUCUAUAUUGUUAAUGGAUCUUUUUUUUUGUUUUAUAGGUAACCAAGUUGCAAGAUGAAAACAGAACACUUGAUCAGCAGGUAAACCUUCAAUUUCCGUAUGAAGUUUGCAUUUUUGUUGUUUCUGGAAUUUGAGUUUUUUGCAGGAUGAAAACAGAACACUUAAUCUGCAGGUAAACACUUGAUUGGUUAUUUCCAAGCUUUUCACGACUUUCGAUACCCAAUAGAGAAUAUGGAAACCCCAACUUUAAUUUUAUGAAUUUGUUUUGGUGCCUAAAAUGAAAUCUAGCAUAGUGAAAUCUUGCAUAAUGAAAUUAUGACAAAUUUCCCUUCAUCUUUACAUUUUCAUUUAGUUCAAAUCGUAUGGUUUAGGGUUAUUCAAUUCAUGAGUGAUCAAAUUAGGUUUUUAAUUCCUUCUUCUUUUGAUUUUCAGUUCAGCAUUGUCGUAUUUUGGAUGCCUUUAGUGGAAUAAAACUGAUUUUUUUUUAACUUUGUAUAGUUGUAAACAUAAAAUACUCCAUGAGAUAGACUCAUAACUUUUGAAAACAAUCUUUGAGGAUGGCAUAACAACAUCUCCAACUUUUGUCAUGUAAUGUAUGAAUGUAAAUAGCACUUUGUAAACAUAUGUAUGUAAUAUAUGUAUAUAAACACCACUCUUUAGCAUAUAUAUUUUUCAAAACUUUCUACAUCUUCAACAAUGUUUCAAGCCCCGCAGCAACGGGCGGGUACACUUGAUAGUAUACAUCUAAAAUUAUAAGACUAAAUCCUUUAGUUCUUGGAUUCAUCUAAGAACUACUUAUUCCAGCAGAUGCUAUGCUUGCACUACUAGAAUUUAUGGCUUGCCCUGUCAACUAUUGCGCGACAGAAGAUUUCGUCGGUUUCACUUUUUUUAACCGACAUAAUAUAAGUUUAGUAGGGCAAAAUCAGUCAACAAACUGGGUUGACUGAAUAAAUUUACAGGAUGGCUAGAGUUCGUAGGUUAAGACAUCAGUCGUUGGGCAAACAUUUGGAGCGAAGAUGUGAGUGUUUUAACUGACGAAUAAGCUGGUCGUCAUGUAGAUCUUCUUUCCCGACUGACGGUUCAACAUGUAGCUCUUUGGAUAAUAAUUCAUCUUCAAGGGGAACAGGUUGCCCCUCAGAUGAAUGGUUAGAGGCAAUUGUGAGACUAUAAUUUUCUAGGGCCGAAAUAAAAAAUACAUAAACCCUCACUCAUUCUGUCUCUGUAACCAUCCACCAAAUACCCUUUCUUCCCUUUCUAUUUCUCUCCUAGUAAUAUCCCCUGACCGAAUCACACAAUCCAACCAACUCUCUUUAAGCCUCCCUCACUGAUUCCAUGGAUUUCAUGGACUUAUCCCACCCUCUCUCCUUCCCUCUAUAUAUAGCAAGUCCCCUUGCCUCAGUGUCCCUGGCAACAGAAUUUAUGGCAUUUCUUCGUUCUUUCAAUUAUUUGAAAGCUUCCUAGCCCUGCAAUCUUGUACAAAGGCGUAUGGUGUUUCAUCAGUUCCAUUUGGUGGUUGGGUGGGAAAUGAAAUUAAAACACUGCAUUUCAAAUGCAUUUCAAAUGGUCUAAACCAAAUUGAAUCAAAUGUGAAGCAAAGGGCAAGAGGUGUAGAUUGAAGAACAAUGGCACCAAGAGCGAAAUUGAACUUGUUGACAGGAGGAAACCAAGUAAGGAUAACACGUCUAAAUCUUAUUUUGAAUCCAUUCAGCUCAUGAUGUUUUGAAUGAUGAUGAUCGGUAUACUCUGCUACAUGCUGUGAUUUUUCCGCUUUCAUGUAAUUAACGGCUUAUAUGUGGUAACGAUAUUGAUUAAAAAAGGUCGUACCCAGUGCAUAAGGCUCCCGCUUUACGCAGGGUCUGGGAGAGGUGAAUGUCGGCUAGCCUUACCCCCAUUUUAUGGAGAGGAUGCUCCAAAGUCUCAAACCCGAGACCUACCGCUCAUGGGCGAAGGCAUUUGCCAUCGCACCAAAUGCGAUAUUAAUUAAUUUCGAGAAAUGACAGUCUGAUUUUUGCAACUGUCUUUUGCAGGCAAAACAAAGACGUUUGCAAGGGUGAGUUGUGUAGGAGCUUUGUUUCAUGUCCAAAUGACACUUGAGAAUAAAUGUUUACACUCAUGGAUAAUAUCUAUCUAUUUGCAGGAGCAACCCUGGGUUCAUUUGUUCUGUAACUGCUGGUCAUUGCGGCAUAUCACGCCUAUAGCACUGACAAAAGUAAAAAGAGAAUCGAAUGAAAUUUGAUAAGUUUUCAGCGGACUACAAAGAUCUUAAGCCAAGCAUAUAUUCCCAUGCAGAUAUUAAGAGGUUUACAAAUCAAUUCAAGUACAAGUUGGGCCAAGGAGCAUACGGAACUGUUUUUAAACGAAAGUUUUUUUCUGAAUGCUUUGUUGCCAUGAAAGUACUUAACAUUUCCAAGGGUGACGGGGAAGAGCUUGUAAAUGAAGUGGGAACAAUGGGCCAUAUUCACCAUGUCAAUGUGGUUCACUUGGUUGGUUUUUGUGCUGAUGGAUUUAGAUGAGCUCUGGUUUAUGAGUUCUUUCCCUUUGGUUCACUCCAGGAUUAUAUUUCAUCAGCAGAUAGAUUUCUUUCCUUGGUUGGCAUAAGUUGCAAGAUCUUGCUAUCAGCAUAGCCAAAGGAACUAGGAAUGUGAUCUACAAAUCCUCCAUUUCGAUAUCAAACCCCAUAAUGUUUUGCUCGACCAAAAAAUCACGCCAAAAAUCUCUGAUUUUGGUCUGGCCAAGUUAUGCCAAACAAUUACAGACAACAGUUAUUCACUAAAUCACUUUAAGGCAAGAAUUUAAUUAAUAAUACAUUACUGCACUUUCUUAACCAUUUGACUAUCACCUAGCUGACAAUGAACACGUUAGCUCCGCGUUAGAACAUCUUGGGUUCAAUUCAUUGUCUUGAAUAUCACCCAUUGUCACAGGCGUCUGUUGGGGGCAUAGAGAAGGCCUGAGAGGCAUUUGCAGACAUUCAACAUCUCCUCCAAGCAUUUUGACAACUUUGGACAUCGAAGGGCGAUCAUUUGGUUUCAUUUGAAUACACCACAAGGCGGUUAUAACCAUCUUUCUUAUUACUUUCUUUUCCUCCUCUGUAACAUUGUCCAUUUCCAGGUCAUUUCCCACAAUAUAUUGAUCGUAUACCCACAUUGGGAAGUAGAUUUGGCUUGAAUGCUCUACCGUUGGAUUCAAAUUCUUCCUUCUGCUUGCCAUUUCCAUCAACAACAUUCCAAAACUAUAGACAUCUGACUUGUAUGAGACGCAUCCAAUAUUUUUGUAGAACAACUCAGGAGCAAUAUAUCCCAGUGUACCCCGUGCUGCCGUCAAAGAGACAAUGCUAUUAUCUACAGGAUACAAUUUUGCAAGCCCAAAGUCAGAAACCUUUGCUUUAAAGUUCUCAUCAAGAAGGAUGUUAUGAGGCUUGAUGUCGAAAUGUAGAAUUUGCAUUUCACAACCUUGGUGUAGAUAUUCGAUCCCUUGAGCCACUCCAAGAGAAAUCUCGUACAUGUUCUUGAUAGUUAAGGGGACACUUCCUUCUUUGGAAUAAAUGUAUUUAUCAAGAGAACCAUUAGGCAUGAAGUCAUAUACUAGAGCGCGUUUUGAUCCCUCAACACAGUAUCCAACAAGUUGUACCACAUUGGCAUGGUGAAUCCUUCCGAUUGUAGCUAUUUCGCUAAUGAAAUCUUGGCCAUCAGCUUUGGGCUUGCCCAAAACUUUAACUGCUACAAAUCGACCACUGCGUAGCUUUCCCUUAAAUACAGAGCCAAAGCCACCUUCGCCCAACUUGUCCUUAAACCUGCGAGUCAUUUUCUUGACGUCCGAGUAAGAGUACCUUAUAAGCAUGAUGUUGUUAUUGCAUUGCAGAAAAUCUUCUAUUGUGCUAUACAUUGAUAAAUGUCUUCUGCGCCAUGUGUAGAUUAGAAAUGCAGUCACAACUGGAACUCCAAAAACAAAUCUGGCUAGGAAAAAUAACCCUGCAUGCAUGGACAAUAAUAUGUUAGAUCCACUGUGUACUACUUUUUCUUCCCUUUCUUUCCAAAUUACUUUAUCUUUGAUGUAAUUAAAGAGAGAGAAUGGGAAAUCUACAUAUGUUGAUAAUAUAAUCUCGUCUUAGUCCUUACCGAUCCAUAUGAGUAUAAACCAUCCAAGUGCUGCAAAAAAAUCAAUCGACUAUGAGUUUGAAAAGUGCAUAAAGUGAAAAAAAAAAAAAAAAAAAAAAAAAUCAAAGGGUGCCUUUAUUGACACCCAAAUUUUAGUUAGUUUUACUCAACUAAAAAAUUUUUGUCAUCAAACUUUUUAAUUUGCCGUCGAAAUUGAGUUCACCCAACCACAAAGCAGCAACUACCACUCACAAAAAAACCAACAACACACAGCCACCAGUACCAUUCACCAAUAGAAAGAGAAGGAACACACAGACCCACCAAGGAGCCGGCAUCGACGCAUCUACGAGGGAGGGACCGGAGGGUGGUGUAGUUUUGUUGGGCGCGCGGUGGUUGUUUUGUUUGUUCAUUUUCUCUUUCUUUUGGUAGGUGGAGGCUGGUGUGGAUUUGGGCGAACUUAAAAAUGAGGGGAAACUAUGAAGUUUGACAAAAUGUUUUAGUUAGGGGAACUUAACUAAAAUUUGGGUGCCGAUAAAGAUACCCAAUUUCAAAAAUACUUGAGCUUAUAGACUAAUUAAAUGAAGUUGAUCUUACAGAUCUCGUGGCUGUAUGAUGAAUGCCACUUGCCAGCUGCAAUAGAUACCACGGAAAAGUGAAUAAAGACAUACAGUUACUAGGUUUAAGAAGUACAGAUAGAGCACACAAAAAAUAAAAGAAGCUUUUGGGAAGAAACUUCUUACGCCAAUAGUUGUGUUCUUGACCUACAGUAAAAAAUGUGAAGAAGAAUACACAACAUUAGCAAUAGCUCACCCAGUCUUCGGAAUUUAAAAAAUCAAGUUUGUCUCGAUCGAAAACUUGUAAAUAAAACAAAAAGAGGACCCCUUACGGAUUUGGUGCCAUAGAUAUUGAAAGAAACCUACAAAAACAAAGAAAGAACAAGACCACAUGCAUUAGCAUAACAAGUGUGAGGUGUAUAAGCCGUUAGAAAAUAAAUUUAAAAUUCUAGUGCUGUCAAUACAUUGAUAAUAUAUAUAUAUAUAUAUAUAUAUAUAUAUAUAUAUAUAUGUAUUAUUUUUCUGAAAAUUUAACUUUCUCCCUCCAAACUCAUUUUUCUAGUCUCUAGCCCAUCAUAUAAUAUUUAUCAGAAUAAAACCAAAUGAUUAGGAUCCAACUAAGAAACUUACCAAAUUAAGUUUGUGUGUCCAUUUUUAUAUUUUUUGGAUCCCUAAUAUACCCCAUCUAAGCCAGUAUGGAAAGUUCUUGUAAUUUUGCUUUAAGUGAUCACGUGCAUUGAAUUUGGCAAGGUCUUGUAGCCAUGAAAUAUGGUUCCAGAUGGAGGAAUGAAUUUGGAUUUUUUUUUAAUUUCGGCAACAAAUUUCAAUUUGAAUAUACCUAAUUUAGUGUUUAUUUUCAACAAUAUCUAUUGUUUAAUUUUAUGAAAAUAAUUAACCUAAUAUGAAAAUUAAUUUUAUGAAAACAAUAUCUAUUGUUUAAUUUUAUACCUACAGGAUAAUUACAUGAAAAUAGUUUACCUACUAUGAAAAUUAAUUUUUUGAAAGCAAUAUCUAUUGUUUAAUUUUAUGAAGAUAAUUUACCUACUAUAAUUACAUGAAAAAAUUUACCUACUAUGAAAAUUAAUUUUUUGAAAACAAUAUUAUUGUUUAAUUUUAUGAAAAUAAUUUACCUACUGUAUAAUUACAUAAAAAUUAGGGAAAAUUAGAAUCCCCUACAGUUUUUAUAUAUCAUUUAGAUUAAACAUUUGUACUUUUUUAAAAUUUGAUUAAAGUGCUUUGACCAAUAGUUACCUCUAUUUUUUUAAAUUAAAAUAAUUUUUGAAUUUAUCCUUUUAUCUGCACAAUGCACUUUUCCUUAUUUAGUGGAGAUAUUAGUAAUGAAACUAUAUUUUCCCUUCUUCCAAAUAUGUUUUUUCGAUCACAGUUUUUUUUUUUUUGGGUAUGCAAACAUUUGAUAUUAUUUUUUUUCCAAAUGGUUUUUUCUUUUUCAAAUAGUUGGUGAUCAACAUAUAAGCUCUGUGUAUUUUUUUCAAUGUUUUUGUGAAAUUAUAUUUUUUUUGCUGUUUUUUAAGUAUAGUUGUUGACGAAUUAUUAUUAGGUACAAUACAUUACGUAUAUAUUAUCUGCGGGUACGUUUGAAUUUACUAAAAUCAUUAAUUGGUACGUUUGAUUUGAUACAUAUUGUUAAUAUUGGUACAUUAUUUUUAUUUUGGUACGUUUUAUUUUGAACACAUUUUGUAUUGGUACGUUUAUAGUAUUCUCAAUCCUAUUUUCUCUUAACGUACUAAAAGAAAAACUCAUUUUGGUACGUUUGAUUUUGGGGGAUUUAAAAAUAUUUUAAACUAUUUUGGAAAAAAAAAAAUCUUAAAUCGUAGAUAAUUAUUGCUAAAUUGUAGCAUUAUUGUGAAAAUAAAUUGAAUCUAACCAACUUUUUUUUUUACAAUUAUCUCUAAUGGAGGAGAGUGUAAUCAAAAGGCUAGAUUAUAGGAAAUUUGUUACAAUAUAAUGGGCAUAUAGCACCAAAAUUAUGAUAAAAAAAAGUUUAAUCAAAUCAUUAAAAGGCAUGGAUGUUUGAUCUAGAAAAUUCAAAACUGAGGCGUCUAUAUCAAAAGAUCCCUAAAAAUUAAUGUGCCUACUUUUUAAAUUUGUAACAAAAUUAAUUUACCUACUUUUUAUGGUAUUAGUAUACAUAAAUGUAGAAUAUAUGUCCGUAUAUAUUUGAUCUAAUUAGGUUUUGGAUUGGAGGAGUUGACACAAAAUUAUAAAUAUAUUAAACAAAUUUAUCUAUUCUAAAGUUGGAGGGGAAUUGGUCUGUACAUUGCUACAGUAAACAAAUGCUACUCAAUUUCACGUUAUUUACAACAAAGCUAUCAGAUUUGGGUUGGGUUGGAGGGUAAUUUGUUAAAAGUUAGGAGGGUAAUUUUGUGCAUAGGGUUUAGGUGCCCUCCUAUACAUGACCCUUGAGUUUACUUUAUUUACACCACUGCCAUCAAAUAUGUGGCUGAAUUGGAGGGUAUUAUUAAAAGUUAAGAGGGUAGUUUUGUUCAAGGGGUGGGGGCGACAUUCGCAGACGGAGGCCGAUGGGAGCCAUGCCCAUUGCACAGAGAGAAAGGGAGUGAUGGGGGAAAUUACAGACAGAAAAGGAAGGGAUGGGAGGAUUUGAUGGAUGGUCACAGAGAGAGAUUCGGUGAGGGAUGUGAGGGGAGAUUACAGAGAGAUAAAUAAAAGGGAGGGAUCGGGGGAUUUGAGGGAUGGUCAGAGAGAGAAAUAGUGAGGGAGGGAGGGAUGGGGGGGCUGAUUUUCGGUUCCUCCUUCAGAUUUGUUCCGUAAAACCUGUUGGGUACAAUUCAAUUUCCUCCCCCUUUCCCCUGAACGAAAAAUUCGAAACCUACAAUUCAAUUUCCUCCCUCCUUGGCUUUCCGCUUUACUCAUCUCCCGGUGGUUCUUUCUCUCCAUACGAUUCGAUUUCGGUGAGUUCUUCGUUGCCCUCAUGAUUUCCCAGUUUGAUUUUUUGAGCGUCCUUAGUCGUUGUUUUUAUCUGGGUUUACUGCAUUGUUGCUUUUAGUUUCUGGAUUUUUAUUUGUUCCGCGGUUCGAUGAAUCGGUUAAUAAUUUCACACCAUGGGAUUUUCGCAUGGAAUUGAGCGCGGGGAUUCGGGGUGGGGUUUUACUGAUAAUUUGUCUUCAUUCAAAUGAAUGGUUAAAAUUUCUGAAGUGAGUGUGCAGGUGGGCCCGUUCACUAACUAAGCUUUCAAGGGAACCCAUCAGCGGUUUGCUUGCUGGGGGAAUUCGGAGACUACCAGUGUAUGAUUUAGUUAUCAUUUAUUUUUUUACUUAAAUUUAUCCAUAUAUAAUAUGUGGGUAAAUUUACACUAAACAAUUGUGAUAAGCCAAUAUGCCAUACGACUUUGAAAGCAUUGAUUUUGUGUUUAGUUUGCAUUUUUGCAUUGUGAAUGUUGAAUUUUGUGUUUGAAUUUGUAGCAUGAUCUUCCGCUGCAGCAUCCAAAUUUUGCAUUUGUAAAUUGUCAAAGAAAAACGAAGUAUGAGGAAAUUAUAGGAGAUUGUGUCGGCUUUGGCCAUGAAGGGUAUCAGCAGCUUGUUCCCCCAUACAGGUGAUUAAUCGUUUUUCAGUCUGUGUUCUAUUUGGAUGAGAAAGUGAUUGAAAAUAUGAUUUUUUUAUUUGUUGGUUGAUUUUGUAUGGACGAUGUAUUAAUUUUAUUUUUUUUGGGAUUUUGUGUAUUGGGCAUUGUGUAGAACCAGCAAUGCAAGAGCAGGAUCUGAUCAGUCAUGCCUGAAAAGGGGUUUGUUUCUCAAAUCACAUUAAUUAAUUAGAUUAUUAACGUGCGUUGGAAGGCUCUUCAAUAUGAUUUCUAAUUUCUCCUUUCCAGCAUUCUCUUUUUGGUUUUUGGAGUAUGUAUGUGAUUUGUAUUUUUUUAUAGAAUAAAAAUUAAUAAAACACGAGAUGCAGCAAUUAAUUUGCAUCCUUAUGACAACACAUAUGAAAGUGCAUUCAAUUUCAAUGUGCGAAUGUGUGACAGGAUGUGCCUGCCCGCUGCUGCUGGUAUGCUUGCUGUUGUUUCUCGCGUUGUUAAUUUUUUGUGUGUGUUGAUUUGAUUAACAACUCAAGCGUAUCUUUUUUUUUUGUGUUGGUUAGCAGCCAGUUUUAUGGCCCCGAUCUAGUGAUGCUUCUCAGUGACUGUGGUAAUUGCAGUUCAUUGCCACCAGUUGGUCAGCUACCUGCUCUGAAAGAGCUAUACGUAGAAGGGAUGAAAGUUGUUAAGAGUGUUGGUGUUGAGUUGUACGGGGGAAAUCAACCAUUUCAAUGUUUAGAGAAGCUAAAGUUUCGGGAGCUAUAGCAGCCUAGUCCAAGUGGAUGUGAAAGUCCAGACUUUCCUCAUCUUAAGGAGCUGGGGUUAUACGAAUGUCCGAAGCUGAGAGGAAACUUGCCCACUCAUCUUCCCUCCUUGAAAACACUUCAUGUGAACAAGUGUGAGGUUCUACAUAAAAACAGGGCCAGUAAUACCCUGAACGUGGAAUCCUUACGAGGAUCUCUUGAAAAACUGACAAUAAAUGGAUGCCCGGGUCUCUCAUUGUUACUAGAGUCGACGGAGACGCUGCCGUCGCUUCAGAAGCUUGAUAUUGAUAAUGUGGUGGGAAAGAGUUGUUGGCGCAAAUGGUGCACAACAGCAAUCGUCUUCAAAGUUUGACUUUAUAUAAAUGUUCCUCACCCUUGUCGUUCCUUACAAAUGGUCUGCCCACCACGCUGACAUCACUGAGCAUAACAGAUUGCAAGAAAUUAGAAUUCCCAUCACGUGAGAUGAUGGCCAAAUUGACUUCCCUUCAGUCUUUGCGUCUAUCCAACAGCUGUGAACGCAAAGGCUUGAGUAUUUGCAGUUUAGUUUUUUUUUUCUUCAUUUUAGAGAUUUUUCUACUGUUUGGUUUUUGGGUUUUGUCUAAUUUUUGUGGUCUGCUUUAUAGAUUGUUCUCUUUGGAAGCUUCUUUCCAGCCUUGACCUUCUUCUUGCCUGGUGCCUUCUCAUUGAGUAUUGGAGGAGCAUUAAAACACAGGUGUGUGUGUUUUGUCGACAUAAGAGAUGAAUGACAUAAAAACAUCCGUCUCUGUAUUUUUUUGUGCUUUUUCUAACCCAUCAAUUUCUUUUGAGUCAACCAAAUAGUCCCAAAUUGCAACUUAUGUUGUGAGGUAUUAUUGUCUAAAAUUAAGUAUGCAUGUAUAUUUUAUGUUUGUGCCCGCGCACACAUCCGCAUGGUGUUAAUCUCUGUGGGUCAUCUAUGUAUAUGUAGAUAUAUCUAUAUGUGUGUGUGGAAUGCAACAUAUCGGAUUUAGGUUAUACUGUGCAUAGUUUUAUUGCCUGUUAUUAUCUACGAUAUCACUAUGCCAUUUCUAUGCAGGCUCUGAAAGUUAUUCAUGAGCUUUAUAAGCACUUACCAUAAUUUAAGCAGUCUGUUUUGGGUUCUUUUUCAUUAGGUCAUUAGCUACAGAUUAAUGGAGAAACGAGGACCAUGCCACUGAUUUGGGUUCUUUUUCUAAUUUUCUGAUUUUGGGGUUUUGCAGGGAGAACUCCGCCUAUGUACUUACAUUGCCGAUCCCAAGCUCGGAUAAAGGAGGAGGGGGAGGGCGUCAGGUAGUCGACAGUCGGCACUCCAUGAUCACGUCGAAUCCUUAUGAAAAUGAAUUCAGAAUAAAAUUGCGCUAAAGCUAGGGCGUCACCCGUAAGUGGCGCGCUGUGUGGCCCGAGCACAGUGAUAAGUGAGCAAGGGUCGCUGUAUCUCCAUCGGCACCCGGAUGCAGUGUUAAAUGAGCAAGGGGGGCAUAGGAACUUCUUUUCGAACGACUCCACUCAAAGUUGUUUGGGAGCAUAUGCUCCUAUCAACUUUACACGGGACACACAAAAGAAGUACUUUGAUCCUAUUAGACGGGGGAGGGUGAAGAAGCUAGGACAGAAGGGUAGAGUUCAAGAAAGCAAAAUGCGUUUAGGAACGUGGAAUAUAGGAACCUUAACGGGAAAAUCUAUGGAAGUAGUGGAAGUUAUGGUGAGGAGAAGGAUAAAUAUUAUGUGCCUACAAGAAACUAAGUGGGUUGGUAGUAAGGCAAUUGAUCUAGAAAACUCAGGGUUUAAACUUUGGUAUUCGGGCACAAAUAGAACGAGAAACGGUGUUGGCAUCAUCGUGGACAAGACCUUGACACAAGAUGUUGUAGAUGUCAAGAGGGUAGGAGAUAGAAUCAUGGCAAUCAAGAUUGUAAUAGGACAAGAACUUAUCAAUGUGGUUAGUGCGUACGCACCUCAAGUAGGGUUGGAUACGAGUUCGAAGGAGAAAUUUUGGGAAGACCUUGGAGACUUGGUGUAAGGAAUUGCUCAGACGGAGAAGUUAUUUAUAGGAGGAGAUUUAAAUGGACACGUGGGCAGAGAGACAGGCAACUAUGGAGGUUUUCAUGGUGGCCAUGGUUUUGGGGAGAGAAAUGAGGAUGGGGAAGCUAUCUUGGAUUUUGCAAUGGCAUAUGAUCUCUUUUUAGCCAACACCUUCUUUAAGAAGAAAGAAGAACAUGUGAUCACCUACAAGAGUGGGUUGUCAAAAACACAAAUAGAUUUUCUUCUAAUGAGAAACGAGGAUGGGGAAGCUAUCUUGGAUUUUGCAAUGGCAUAUGAUCUCUUCUUAGCCAACACAUUCUUUAAGAAGAGAGAAGAACAUGUGAUCACCUACAAGAGUGGGUCGUCAAAAACACAAAUAGAUUUUCUUCUAAUGAGGAAAGGGGAUCGUAUAACUUGUAAGGAUUGCAAAGUUAUACCAGGAGAGAGCGUGGCUAAUCAACAUCGCUUGUUGGUGAUUGAUGUACAUAUCAAAAGAGUGAGACAAAAGAACAAGACUUGGAAGUGCCCAAGGACUAGAUGGUGGAAUCUAAAAGAAGAAAAACAAGCCAUUUUCAAAGAGAAAGUAAUCAUCCAGUGUGUGGGAUAGAGAUGGGGAAGCUAGCCAAAUGUGGGAUUCAAUGGCUAGUUGUAUCCGAAAAGUAGCAAAAGAGGUAUUAGGAGAGUCAAAAGGCUUUGCCCCACACCAAAAAGAAUCUUAGUGGUGGAAUGAGGAGGUACAAACAAAGGUGAAGGCUAAGAAGGAAUGUUGUAAAGCCUUAUACAAGGAUAGAACUGAUGAAAAUGGUGAAAGGUAUAGAAAAGCGAAGCAAGCUGUGAGAGAAGCUAAGUUAGCGGCUUACGACGAUAUGUAUAAACGACUAGAUACCAAAGAAGGAGAGUUGGAUAUCUAUAAACUAGCUAGAGCAAGGGAAAAGAAGACAAGGGACCUAAACCAAGUGAGGUGCAUCAAGGAUGAGGAUGGAAAUGUUCUUGCUACAGAGAACGCGGUUAAAGACAGAUGGAGAGGUUAUUUUCAUAAUCUUUUCAAUGAAGGACAUGGAAGGAGUGCUUCUUUAGGGGAGUUGAGUAACUCAGAAGAGUGUAGAAACUACUCUUUUUAUCGUCGAAUCCGGAAGGAAGAAGUGAUUGUAGCUUUGAAGAAGAUGAAACAUAGAAAAGCAAUAGGCCCAGACGAUGUACCAAUCGAAGUGUGGAAAGUUUUGGGAGAGACAUGUAUAACAUGGCUCACUGACCUUUUCAAUAGGAUUUUGAAAACGAAGAAGAUGCCAAAUGAGUGGCGAACGAGCACUUUGGUGCCUAUCUACAAGAAUAAGGGCGACGUACAAAAUUGCAUGAACUAUAGGGGUAUUAAGCUAAUGAGUCAUACAAUGAAGCUCUGGGAGAGAGUCAUUGAGCAUAGAUUGAGGCAAGAGACACGGGUUUCGGACAACCAAUUUGGGUUCAUGCCAAGGCGCUUAACCAUGGAGGCAAUCUAUCUCUUACGAAGAUUGGUGGAAAGAUAUAGAGAUGGGAAAAAGGAUUUACACAUGGUUUUUAUAGAUUUGGAGAAAUUCGUAUGAUAGGGUCCCAAUAGACAUUCUUUGGAGGAUUUUAGAGAAGAAAGGAGUACGAGUAGCAUAUAUCCAAGCUAUAAAUGAUAUGUAUGAAUGAGCAAAGACUGCUGUAAGAACUCAUGAAGGACAAACUGAAAGUUUUCCCAUAACUGUAGGAUUACACCAAGGCUCAUCCUUAAGUCCCUACCUUUUUGCGUUGGUAAUGGAUGAGUUAACAAGACAUAUUCAAGAUGAUAUUCCUUGGUGUAUGCUUUUCGCAGACGAUAUAGUGUUGAUAGAUGAAACACAGGAAUGGGUAAAUGCAAAGCUUAACCUUUGGAGAGAAGUGUUGGAAUCUAAAGGUCUUCGCCUAAGCCGAUCAAAGACAAAAUAUAUGGAGUGCAAGUUCAGUGCAAAUGGAGGCCAAAACGAGUUAGGGGUGAGGAUCGGAGAUCAAGAAAUACCAAAGAGCGACCGUUUUCGUUACCUAGGAUCUAUCUUGCAAAAGAACGGAGAAUUAGAUGGAGAUCUCAACCAUAGAAUACAAGCUGGAUGGAUGAAGUGGAAGAGUGCAUCCGGCGUGUUGUGUGACCGCCGUAUGCCACUGAAGCUCAAGGGAAAAUUUUAUAGGACGGCAAUAAGGCCGGCGAUGCUGUAUGGCACAUAAUGUUGGGCGGUGAAGCAUCAACACGUACACAAAAUGGGUGUAGCGGAGAUGAAGAUGCUUCGUUGGAUGUGUGGGCACACGAGAAAGGAUAAGAUUAGGAAUGAGGAUAUCCGGGGUAAAGUAGGAGUAGCCGAAAUUGUAGGAAAGAUGAGAGAAAAUCGGUGACGGUGGUUUGGACAUGUGCCAAGAAGGCCUACUGACGCUCCGAUUAGAAGAUGUGACUACUGGACAGAGGUUCAGGGCCGAAGGGGUAGAGGAAGACCUAGAAAAACUUUGGAAGAGACUCUAAGAAAGACUUAGAGUACCUGGAUCUAACGAAGGACAUGACACAGGACCGAGCAUAAUGGCGUUCUAAGAUUCAUAUAGCCGAUCCCACUCAGUGACUUGGAUUUUCCAAGUCUCCAGCCGAGAAGUUUUCCUCACUCAGGAAAUUAAGGGAACACUACCCCAACCUACAUGCUCCACUCACAAAGCUUCAACAAAAGAAAAUUCAAAGAACUUAGCGAAGAAGGCUUUGAUGUAUUUAACACAAUACGUUGAAAUGAAGGAAAGCUUAUUUAUUGAUAUCAUCGAUAAGCUACAAAUAUGUACAUAUACAUAAGUCAAAAUAAACAAACAAGAGGGAGCCUUCACAAAGGUUGCUUAGGAGAAGUCUCAGCAGUCGGUAGAGCCCCAGAAAGAGAAGGCACCGGAGGGGGAUCAUUCGGAGCCUCAGUACUGGACAGAACCCUAGAAGGAGGAGGCAUAAGAGGUUGAUCAUUUGGUGCUUCAUUACGCGGUACAGCCCCAGAAGACGAAGGCAAUAAAUGCCUUUGGAACAAACCCACAAAUCUCUGAUGAUCAAGUAAAACCUGACCAUCAGAUUCCUUCAUCUGGUCAAGCUUCCUCUUCAUGUUUGUAGCAUAGUCAUGUGCGAGCCGGUGCAACUGUUUAUUCUCAUGCUUGAGCCCUCUAAUCUCCUGUUUGAGACUCAUCACUUCAGCCGCCAAUGAUUCAACUUGGCGGGUUCGAGCAAAUAGGUGUUGGGCCAUAUUAGACACAGAACCUGCACACUGAACACUGAGAGCCAGAGAAUCCUUAACAGCUAACUCAUCAGACCGUUUGGAAAGUAGUCUGUUAUCUUUGGGAGUGAGAAGGUUCCUGGCCACCACCGCAGCGGUCAUAUCAUUCUUCAUCACGGAAUCCCCAACGGUAAGAGGACCAGUAGGGGAGACGAAGGAUGGGCGCCAUAUGUUGUCUGGAGAAGGCGGGGCUUCCUCUUCAACAAGGUUCAAGUCAAAACGACGGUCGGAGGGGCCAGACAUUUUCAAAUGUGUUGAAGAGAGAAGAGGUCGGACAAAUCAAGAUCUUAGAAGUGUAAGAAUGGAGCUUCUACUGGUGGAGAUUCAAGUGUGCUUUGGAACUUAAUGUCAGCCCCUAUAAAAAUCUGCACUCAACGGAGCUUCAGAAAUCGAAGAGGCGCCUGCUCAGAAAUCGAAGAGGCGUUUGCUUUCUCAAAAGCAAGGCUGCUCAGAUACCACGAGGGUCGAUCUCAGAAAUCGAAGAGGCGUUUGCUUUCUCAAAAGCUGGGCAGCGCAAAGACCACGAAGGCCGAUCUCAGAAAUCGAAGAGGCGCUCAAAAGUUGGGCUGCUCAGAGACCACGAGGGCCGAUCUCAGAAAUCGAAGAGGCACCUACUUUUCCAGCCUUGUCAGUACCUGUCACACACACACUCAGCUUUGCGAAAAUUAUGGGGAUUCGGUCGAAGACUUCUGGUGAAGUAGAAAGCACAUGAGUCUUACUGUUCAAUCACCCACUUCCCACACGCAACAGUAGCUCAUGGGUACCACAUAUAACUUUUCCAAAGUUCUCUGCCAAAGUUGAACACGUGAAGUUUGCAGCUCCCACUACAUCGCUCUGAUCAAGAAGGGUAAAAGAAUAGCAAAGAAACAACACUAACAAAGUUUAGACACAUAAAUUUUGAUGGUCGAGCUACCAUAUUAUUACCCACAAGGGUAAAGGAACAGUACCACUGCUGGAUAAUUGGAAAGUCCCUGUGUGUCAACCUCUGUGCUUCGUGGCAAGGUAGACUAUCAAACAUGCCCAACCUUUACUCACAUUCGAGAAAACACUCCCAACAAGAUUGCUUGCUCCAAAAUCGAAGAGGCACCGUCCUUCGAAUCUCGAGAGCCAGACUCCCAACAUGACUACUUUCUCAAAAAUCGAAGAGGGUAAAGGAACAGUACCAUUGCUGGAUAAUUUGAAAGUCCCUGUGUGUCAACCUCUGUGCUUCGUGGCAAGGUAGACUAGCAAACAUGCCCAACCUUUACUCACAUUCGAGAAAACACUCCCAACAAGAUUGCUUGCUCCAAAAUCGAAGAAGCAUCGCCCUCCGAAUCUCGAGAGCCACUCCCAACAUGACUACUUUCUCAAAAAUCGAAGAGACAUCGCUCUCCGAAUCUCGAGAGCCAGACCCCCAGCAUGAUUGCUUUCUCAAAAAUCGAAGAGGCACCGUUCUCCGAAUCUCGAGAGCCAGAUCCCCGAUAGGAUUGCUUGUUCGAAAACCGAAGAGGCAACACUUUCCCAAUUUCAAGAGCCGGAUCUCCUUGGAUAAAGCUAUCUGUAAUCUUCACUCGCAACAUUAGCUUUCCAGCUACCACAGACCACUUUUUCAAAGUGAUCUGACAACGUUAAAACAUGUGAAGCUGGCAGCUUCCACUACCGUGCUAUGACCAAGUAGGGUAAAGGAAUAGCAUUACUACUUGUUGUUAAGGAGACUCCUAUAUAUGUCGACCUCCAUCCCCAACGGAUAGGCAGACCUGCAAAAAUGCUCAACUCUUCCUCAUAUCUGAGAGGGCACUCCCAACGAAGCCUUUCGAAAUAUUCAGCUUUCUUUCCCCCCGAUAAUACCUCUGCAAACAAGCUAUACUAGAGCAAGAAUAUCUCAUAUCAUCAGGGUUAAAAGCAAGAGUAUCCCAUAUCAUGCUUUUUCCUUGUCUUUUUCUUUGGCCUUGUUCUUACCUGCAAGACAAGAAGAAAGAGAGCAAUCAGUCAGUACUUGGAAUCAAGCUUCCAGCCAGGAACUGACUGCCUGGAACCCCUUACCUGAUUACUUACCUGACAUUGUUCUCGAGUACUCAUCUUCAACAUCUUAUGCUUCCAGGGAAGAUACCGCAUCUGCCUGAGGAACAGAUAGGGCAAGGGAGAAGGAUAUAAGGAAGCAUGUGGAGACAAGCGUAACAGCACACGUGCCGAUACAUCCAUUACUCUGUCAAAGCAAAAGUAUCCCAUAUCAGUAGGGUCGAACGUACUCUAGAUUUGAUGGACUUGUUUUGACCCUCAAAUUCUUCAGUCGGCCUUAUACUCUGGAGGAAACCAGAAAUUUCUCCAGCUCAGUGCAAGAAUAAGCUUGUGGAAAGUUACUUCUUCAAAAGCAAAAGUAUCACAUAUCAUCUCUUCUCAUUUUCUUCUCUUUAUCCUUCAUGCUGCCUGCAAGAUAGGGAGAUUGUGAACAAUCAGCUGGAGCUAUGAUUGCUUACCUUGUCUGUCACCUCUUUCAGCAGAUCCCCUAGCUCGGCGAUUUGGGGGACUCCUACUACAUGGUUUGUAUCGCGCUUGACCAAGCCUGAAACUACAAGUAAGCUUCAAGUGAAAUUGAUACAUUACCUUGUGCAUCUCCACCAGUUAAAGAUACUACCCCUGGAUGGAGGAAGAGUACUUCCAGAGAAGAUGCCCCAUCUACCUAUGAGACAGAUAAGGCACGUCAAGACGAUACCACACUCUGAUACUUAGAAGUUUCGUGAUUACGAGAUCAUUCUCCCACAAUAUUUCCUAAUGUCAUUUGUACUAAAUCAUUCACUUGUACUCACUAAAGGAGAGCUUGAACCUAUGUACUUGUGUAAACCCUUCACAAUUAAUGAGAACUCCUCUAUUCCGUGGACGUAGCCAAUCUGGGUGAACCACGUACAUCUUGUGUUUGCUUUCCUAUCUCUAUCCAUUUAUAUACUUAUCCAUACUAAUGACCGGAGCAAUCUAGCGAAGAUCACAAAAAGCGACCGUUUUCGCUACCUAAGAUCUAUCGUGCAAGAGAACGGAGAAUUAGAUGGAGAUCUCAACCAUAGAAUACAAGCUGGAUAGAUGAAGUGUAAGAGUGCAUCCGACGUGUUGUGUGACCGUCAUAGGUCACUGAAGCUCAAGGGAAAAUUUUAUAGGACGACAAUAAGGCCAGCGAUGUUGUAUGGCACAGAAUGUUGGGCGGUGAAGCAUCAAUACGUACACAAAAAUGGGUGUGGCGGAGAUGAGGAUGCUUCGUGGGAUGUGUGGGCACACGAGAAAGGAUAAGAUUGGGAAUGAGUAUAUCCGAGGUAAAGUAGGAGUAGCCGAAAUUGAAGGAAAGAUGAGAGAAAAUCGGUUCCGGUGAUUUGGACAUGUGCAAAGAAGGCCUACUGACGCUCCGGUUCGAAGAUGUGACUACUGGACAGAGGUUCAGGGCCGAAGGGGUAGAGGAAGACUUAGAAAACCUUUGGAAGAGACUCUAAGAAAAGACUUAGAGUACUUGGAUCUAAUGGAGGACAUGACACAAAACCGAGCGCAAUGACGUUCUAGGAUUCAUAUAGCCGACCCCACUUAGUGGGAAAAGGCUUUGUUGUUGUUGUUGUUGUUGUUGGGGUUUUGCAGGGAGUACUAAUGUACUGAUUUUCUGGGAUUUUUUUUGUCCUUGCAGGAUUUUUGGUCUUUGAAAUGGGUAUGUGUUGUUUUUAAUGUUUCAGUUCUAGCGUUUUCCGUUCUUCGUUGCUUCGUGAUUCUCAUUUUUCAGUGUUGGGUGAUGGAAAUUUGUUAAAGUAGUUGGUAGUUUUUUGAGAAAGUUGGCAUUUUUAGUUAUAUUUUCUGUUUAAUCCUAAAUGUUUUGAAAACUCAUAAUUUUUUUGUUCUGGGAUUUAAAAGCAUCUUUUCCAGAUUGGUUACAAGGGUUAUGUUCUCUUCAAUUGGUUCACCUAAUUUUGAUUAGUUUUAAGUUUUGUCCUUUAAGUUUGUCUUUUAAGUUUUGUUCUUUAAGUUUUGUCUUUUAAGUUUUGUUCUCUAAGUUUUGUCUUUUAAGUUUUGUCUUCUGUGCUGUAAUGAGAGAUUUCCGUUGGCCUUUCGGAUUUUGGCAUGGGAAAGUUCACUUAUUUGCAAGGUUCUAAAAAACGCUAGGCGUUAGUUGGGCGGUGGGCUAGCGCCUAGCGGCUAGGCGGCUAGGCGGGAUCUAGGCGGGAUCUAGGCGGGCGCCUAGGCGGCCUAGGCGGAUUUAGGUAAAUUUCUUAUAUAUUUUAUGAAUUAAUUAAAUUUACUAUAUCAAAUGUAAAUAAUUAUUAACUAAUAUGUUAUUUCUUAUAGAAGAACAUACAUAGUGAAUGUUUUAUGUACAUAUAUAAUAUAUUUGUCUAGGAAAAAAAAAUAUUAUCUAAAUAAUUUUUAUAACAUAUAUAUAUAUAUAUAUAUAUAUAUAUAUAUAUCCCAAACUUUUAAAAAUAUAAAUAGCAUUGGGAGAGGGGCGUAGGGUUUCUAAAAGCACACUCAGAAAUAGAGCAUAUUUUAGUCUUUAUUUUAGAAUCCUAAGGAGCACCCUACUCGGAUGCACGACAUGUGUGCAAAUCUGGAGAUUCUUGCUGUAUCGGAUACACCAAUGCUUAGUCAAAAUUUCCUGCUAGGGUUUAUGGUGGACAUGUGUGUGUGGUCUUCAUUAUUAAACCCAUUAGCACCUCACCUUUUCACAUCACCCGUCCAUCACCUUGGGUGGUUUUGAUAAUUAAAACCAUCAACAUCCAUGGUUUUGAUAAUUAGAACUACCAACUUUUCCUUGGAUUUGAGAAUCUGAGAUCCCAUUCAUCGCCAUCAAAUAUUGAAAUGUUUCAUUGUUCAUCUCUUUCUCCCUCUUCUCACUCUCUAUUCCCUCAUCUUCACAGAGAUGAGUUACAGAAAUUCUCCGGUAAUCUCUCUCUCUCUCUCUUCGUAAUCGACGAGCUCCUCGACUUGAAGUCGCAGCCAAGUUAUGAAGAAUCGAGAUGCGAGAGCAAGUGGAGAGUGGAGACUCUGGAAAUUGGGAGUGACGAUCGACGACGAUGAGUCGAUGACCCAGGAAACCUCUUGAAGUUGCAGCAGGUGAGUGCACUGCAGUUGAGGAAGAAGAGACGAAGAGACUUAGUUUCUGAAAUUAGGGUAGCUGCAAGGCACGGGAACUUAAAAACAAAAAAACAAAAAGAAAACCGCCUAGCUCCGCCAGCCGCCUAGCCUGCCUAGGCGCCUCCUAGCCCGCCUAGGUGCCGCUUAGCCACCGCCUAGAGCCCAGCCGUUUUUUCCCACCGUUUUGCACAAAAACGCCUUGGCCACCCUCCGCCUAGCGCCUAGGCGGCCGCCUAGGCCGUUUUUUAGAACACUGCUUAUUUGUCUAAUUAGAUUGUGGAUGCCUUCGAUUCUUUAUUUAAUUGUUCUGUUUGCGUUCGGGUGUGAUGAUCUAAAUUUCAUAUGUUUGGAAUUAUUUACUUAACACCAAUUUGUUACAUUCAGAUCUCCACCCCACAUUUCACUAGUUCAAAUUCCAUAGAAGUUGGUUAUUGCAGAUUGCGUCUACAAUUAGAUCAGAGAUCAACUACUCUUUUGUUAUCCUGCAGAAGAUUGCUUUUGGGAAGGAUCUGAAGUAGUUUCUCUCUGUAUGUUUAUUCCCAUGUAGCUCUGUCUUUUCUAAUUGAUGGUGUUGAUAUUACACUGUAAUUCAUGAUGAUGAUUUAAUUGUUUAUUGAUUUGUAAUUGUUUGUGAAUAAUGUGGCAUAUAUGAAUUGCAAUCUGUGUUUGUAUGAAAGGGAUGGCAUAUUAUGUUGCUGACUUAAUUGUUUAUGUUUUUCAUAUUUGCGAAUGGUGUUAUGAUCAAUUAGGUGAUUGCUGACCUGUGACUUUGUUUGGAGCUCAAAUUUUGUGAGCAUUACAUUGGAUUGUUUUGAUGUUGUUUUGGUUGACAAUGCAGGGAUAGGAGAAACAAAGAGGAUGACACUUAUAACUGCCAUUCCCCAUCGGCCGUCUUCAAAUUUGGAUCACAAGAAGGGAGCAACAUAGGUGUUUUCCUUCUUUAUUUAGAUAUGGUUAGUGUAAAUAAUUGGACAAAAGAGCCAAACAAACCCUGUUCUCUCAAAUGGAGUUGAUGAUGUGGUCGACGGCCACCAGCCCCAACUCAAGAGUUUGGCCUUCAUAUAAUUGGAUUGUAGUAUAAUUUUAUUUUUGUUCAUUUCUUUUUUCCUUUAUAUAAGUGCAGGUGUUGUGAUGUUUUGAAUAAAGGGUGAUGAAAGGUGGUUCACACUUCCUCCUUACUUAAAGCAAGUGGAGAUGACGGUUUGUAUAAAAAGAAAAACUUGCCACGUACUUCAAUUUUCUAUUUUAUUAAUUAUUGUUUGGUUUUCCAAAUGUUGUAUUCACAAAGAGAGACCAAUUAUGUCUUUGAGAAACAAGUUUCUUUGUCUACAUUGCGAGAAUUUGCAGUUUGCAACUUUCAUUGGUUAUUAUAUUUGAUUGAGUUAAACUUGGAUUUCUGGAUUCUGACUUUUUCGUUUGUUUCUUUGUUGCAGAGUUGGCUUCAUUUCAUUCCAGGAACUCUCUAAAUAGGGCCAAGAACUCACUAAAUAGGUAGUCAAGAGGAAUUCAGUUUUGCCUUCAAUUUUUGCCUUCUGUUUACAUUCUUCCUGGAUGCACUCUCACCGCUUCUCUCGCUUACCACUUUUUUCUCACUCACCGCUUCAUCUCUUCUGUUGCUUACAAGGUCGUGUCAUAUAUUUUUUAAUUUUGUGGUUUAAUUUAUUGAAUAUUUGAAAAAAGAGAUAAAAUUAUAAGAUACUAUAUAAGAUACUAUAUAGUAUCUUAUAAAUAAAUGAAUCACAAAUGAUACUAUAGUUGUUAAAAAAUCCCAUUACUCAAAACUCCAAUUCCCUCCCAUUACUGAAAGCUCCAAUUCCAUCAAAACCGAGAUGGUAAAAGUACAAACUGGCUAGUUUCCACCAAAAAAAAAAGUACAAACUGGUUACAAAAAUAUGUUUUGUCCCAUCCAAUUGACGAAAAGAGAUAAAAUUUUCAAUUUACAAUUACUGAUAUGAUGUUUGUUUUGAAAAUCAUUAAGGUGAAUGGAGAGAUUUACAACCAUGAAGAGCUGAGGAGCCGUUUGCCAAAUCAGAUUUAUAAGGUCUCAUCAAUUAUGAAUAAACGACUUUUCAUUCCCAAUGACCUUUAUCGUUUUUCUUAAUGGGUUAGCUGAACAUGAGGUAGAUGCUGACUUUAUCAAAUAUGAGAAUGUUUUAGGAUUUCAUUCUAAUUUUUUGGCUGUUUGAUUACUUUGCUUUUCGUAAUUUGUUUUGCUUAUCGUCAAUUGGAUGGGACAAAACAUAUUUUUGUAACCAGUUUGUACUUUUUUUUUUGGUGGAAACUAGCCAGUUUGUACUUUUACCAUCUCGGUUUUGAUGGAAUUGGAGCUUUCAGUAAUGGGAGGGAAUUGGAGUUUUGAGUAAUGGGAUUUUUUAACAACUAUAGUAUCAUUUGUGAUUCAUUUAUUUAUAAGAUACUAUAUAAGAAACUGUUAUUAGCACUCUAAAAAACUCAUUCUACACUCGCGACAAGUGUAUUUUUCUUUUUAAUUAUGGAAAGUUUGAAGGGCAAAAUGAGAAUUUUGGAGUGCCAAUAACAAUUCCCUAUUAUAUAUAGCUCUACUGGGAAGGCUACUGUAUAUGUCUUCAUCCUGUUAAAUUGUAUAUGGCUCUUGAUGUCGGCUGAAUUAAAUCAAAAUGAAAACCAAGCUGAUCUUACCAGCCGAUAUCACUUAUCACUUGCUUAUUUAAAUUAUUUGAAGAUGCGUAUGUGGAUUGGUGAUUUUGUUGGAUUCACUUAGCUCAAAUAUAUGUUAUCUGAGUCGCUACAUUUGAGAAUGUGAUUCUGUUCCUACCACCAUUUUGCCCACUUUUUGUGGAAAUUAUUCAUUCCUGUUGUGAAUAAUACAUUCAUCCCCGGCAACGAAGUGCGGGCACAUUUUAUAGUUUAAAUUAAAUCACACAAUGGGUCAUCAAUAAUGACAAACUCGUCAUUUAUGCGAGUCAAACAUGAGGCCACCUACCUACUAGUUUAGUGGAAUACCACAAAGUGACAUGUUGAUACCUUUAAGUCUCAUAUAAUGGAUUGCAGAAUUAGGAUAUACCUAGACUAAUUUAGUCAGUGCGUGAACCCGAACAAUUAACAAGGGUUUUAUUCUUGCUUGAAUGUUUGUUAUAUGUUCCUAGUUUGACAAGGCAAUUAUAUUUCCGAUUACAAAAGUUAUUAAUUUAGUCGAGAAUUGACGCACCUGAAAUGGUGUGAGGAAAACAUGUAGACACAUCAACCGCAGUCCACUGUCCUGGGCAUCUAUCUUCCCCGAAACGAAGCUCAAAGCCAUACAUGAGGGCAUUGUGUAUGUCUUUAUAAGAGAAGUUGCUGUAGUCUUCAACGUAGCCGGCAGCCAAACUCAUCCACUCUACACUGCAACCCUCAUCCAAAUCCCAUGCUUCCAACCUGCCCCCGACAUAGUCAGCGACCAUGACAUAGCUAUACGUUUUUGGUUGACUCGAAGAAGAAGAAGAAGUAUUAUUCAAGCAUGGAGCAGUGUCCACGUACAGAGAAGAAUUCGAUGGAUUCGAACACUUCAAGUAAUAUAUAGAUAGAGAAUUGAUGUCAUAGGUGGGCCAAUAUGGAGAAUUGAUGUCCUCGGUGGUGGGCGGAAUAUUUUGAGACAUGGAAGAGCAAUUGUUGUUGUCAAGCCCAGGAUCUAGAACUCGGAUUGUAUUGUUAAUGUAGUUGAUUGCCUGGACAUAGUAUUUUCCGGAAGAAGGUACGUCUAGUACAGUAAUGUUGCUCUCACAGUACAGAGUAUACAUUAUGUUGCCACAGUACUUUGGAUCAUCGUUCAGUCGAAAAGGAUGGCUUAUGUAGUGGAUAUGGCCGCAGGAUGAAGUGCAGGACUUGGCACUACUGUUGUCAGCGUUACAAGUUUCACUGCAAAAGCAAAGAAGAAGAAAGGCUAAACUUAAGGUGAAGGACCUGCUUCCACUAAUUUCCAUUGAUCUGAGAGAGAGAGAGAGAGAGAGAGAGAGAGAGAGAGAGGGUACUAUAGCUUGAACACCAAGGAGUUAUAUAAUAUGGGAGGGGUUAAAGCGCUUCGCUUAAAGUUGCAGUAAGCCCGGCAAAUAUCCUAGGGAAAAGUCGGUCAAUGGUGUCCUAUAGAGAAAAGUCGGCCUUGGUGUUUGACACGGUCACUCACUCUCUCUCUCUCUCUCUCUCUCUCUCUCACAUUGACGAGGGACACUGUAAUUAACAAAAAAAUUGUUCUUCAGAGAUAGAUUUUGAAAUUCUUAUUUUAUAUAAAAAAACACCUAAUAUUAAUCAUUCAAAUGAAAUUCCUAAAAUUAAGUAUAAAUAAUACAUAAUAAAAACUGAACACAUACAAUCAACGGUCACGAUCAUGAAAUCCUUCGGAUCCUCAGAAAAAAAUCCGACGAUGAUCUUUUUCUGUGUAAAAUAAUUUGAGGGUAUAAUACUGGAUGUGCGAUUAAACCGAAGAACCCACCCACCUCCAUCUUCUCCGACCAACUUGAACCCAGCCACUACUACAUGUCAUCCCGACAACCCACUCUCAGCUUCCCAAACCGCCAUUUUUCACCCAUUCACCUACCACUGCCAUUAUUCAUUCAAUCAACCCAAAACACGAGAGCCACCCCCAUCUCACCAGUCGAACAGAUGCAGCCACCCACCCAUUUAAUCCCAGUCCAAAAUCAAACCCUCUCCUAAACCCACCCCAGAAUCCAAUAAUUUCAAAAAAUGGCUGAUUAUAUCAUUUCAAGAACCUCACAAUUCCAAAAACUAAAAACCCACUUCAAAGAUGUAAUAUUUUUCUCUCUUCCUCUUUUUGGGUUUUUUUUUCUUUUUUUUUAUCAAUUCUCUUCUGGGUUUUUGUUUACAGUGUAAAAUCAACACUAAUUUACUAAUUUUGCUUUGAUUUCAAACACUAUUGAGGCGUGAUAACCUGUUGCAAGCUCAGCCAUGGCGGCUACUGCGAAAUCUAACGGAAAAACCAUCACAGACUCUGCCAUUUCAUCCAAGGUUCCGACAAUAGCAAAACGAAUAGCUGUCGCAGAUUUCUUCCAACAUCAAUCACUACGCGAAAUUAAUUGUCAAUGAAGACGAUCCCAUUCCCCUUCGAAAUCUGCUGGGGAAAGAGACCUUCUUUCAGAUCUGCUCUGAGACCGGUUUAUGCGAGAGAGUGGUGAGCCUGACGACAGAGAGAAAUAAGGGCAGGAUUGGAAAAUUGGAAAGUUCAUUUAUUGGUUACUGUUUAUCCGUGUUUCUUCGAAAUAAGCUGCUUUUUCCAGCUUUGGGUUUCAGUGUUUUUUAACCCAUAAUUUUGAAAGAAAAAAAACUGAUUUUAAAUGUUUAUCAAACACUUAAAAUGUUCCAAUCUUUUUUCAUACCUACUUUUUAUUAAAAGUUAAGCUAAACAAAAAUCAAGAUUAAGUUUACUACUCUGAAGUUUCUUGCUUUUCAACAUUUCAUACAUUGAAUUUUUCUCAUCCAGUGUCAUAUCUAAGGUGGGAAUUGUGGGACACUUUUAUACAUCCGUUAGAUUUUAUGUGAAUUGCGUGGCACUUUUAUACAUCCGUUAAAUUUUUUGUGAGAACCUUCGCUGACCCACGAUGCGGCAUGCAUGUGGACAUUAAAAAAAUUCAAAAAAUUCAAAAAAUUUUAAAAUUUUAAAAUUUAAAAUUCAAAAAUACUAAAAACCUAAACUUUUCAUAAUAUUGAAAGACUGAAUCUUUUCACAGUCAGCCAAAUUUUCUUCAAAUUUUAAUUAGAUGAAAUAAUGAAUCUUGAACAAAGCAAAACAAAACGUAAUAUUGAGAGAUUCAGUCAUUGAAGUGGACGUGGAUGUUGGGUACUCAAUAGUCCAAGAAUGAAAACUCUCAUAUCAGUUUCUAUCCAAAAUUUUGGAAUUAUGUGUGUUGCAACGAUUGUCCAAAGGAUUAUUCUUCUUUUAUUAAAUUUCCAUGAAAAAUGAGCAUGGAGCACAAAAGUUGAACGAAUGAUUAUUCUUCUUUUAUUAAAUUUCCAUGGAAAAUGAGCAUGGGGCACAAAAGUUGAACGAAUGAAAUUUCAACGAUUUGAAAAGGGAUUGUGAGUUUGACAUGUCAUUUUUCUUCCUCUAAUGCAAUCAUGUUUAUUAAAAGACAAAAAUAAAUAUGACUUUACAUAAGGAGAGAGAAGGAGUAGUUUUCUUUGAAAAAAUCAACCAUUUAUUGAAGAGGAUGUGGAUGUUGAUUGAUGCGUCGUGAAUACGAAAAAAAGGACCUUGAAAGGAGUUGAGACAUUCAUUAAAAGCUAGAAGAAAAAAAAGUUAAAAGUGUUUUAGAAAAAAAGCAAGAAAGCCUCAUUUUCAAAGUUGUGGUCAUUGCACAAUACUUGAUUAGAAGAAAACUCAUAGUAUUGUAUUUACAAUUUCAAGUCUUUAUGGGGAACGAGAGAGCAAGUUUUCCAAUUGGAAUAUGAUAUGAAAUUUCUACAUAACUAUAUAUGACAAUGAAAGAAGUCUAAGUUUCUAAAUGGAAGGGCUUCCAAUUGAUGUGAGUUUGUUGAGAAAUUAGUGAACAACAGAACAAGUUGCUUCUCCUUUGGCCUUCUAACAUGAUAUCACAGAAAACAAGUUGUUACUAAUAAAUGUAUCUGAUUGGUGGACUUAGACGUGCGCGGUACGAUUUUUGAUAACUAGAGAAGAUGGGCAGUGUCAUGACAAAAUUUAUCCAAGUAGACCCAAAGGAAUGACUUAGGAACUUCAUAUGCAGUGGGAUAAAAUCUUAAGCUAAUUUCCUUACCUAUCUUAUAGGCAUUAAGUAAAAUGUAUAUGCAUAUUUCUAGACACACCAAUUUACUUAAUAUUAACUUCUUUCAAAUACCCAUUUGCAGAAACGCAAAGCUCUCUUGCAUGCUUGUUGUAAUGCUUAUGUAGUGCGUAUCCUAUAUCUUAUAUAUAUAUCUUACUUUUUGUGAUCCAUUUUUUCAUCACUAUGCCAAACGAAUAGCAAAACGAAUAGCUGUCGCAGAUUUCUUCCAACAUCAAUCACCACGCGAAAUUAAUUGUCAAUGAAGACGAUCCCAUUCCCCUUCGAAAUCUGCUGGGGGAAAGAGGCCUUCUUUCCGAUCUGCUCUGAGACCGGUUUAUGCGAGAGUGGUGAGCCUGACGACAAAGAGAAAGAAGGGCAGGAUUGGAAAAUUGGAAAGUUUAUUGGUUACUGUUUAUCCGUGUUUCUUCGAAAUAAGCUGCUUUUUCCAGCUUUGGGUUUUCAGUUUUUUUUACCCAUAAUUUUGAAAGAAAAAAAACUGAUUUGAAAUGUUUAUCAAACACUUAAAAUGUUCCAAUCUUUUUUCAUACCUACUUUUUAUUAAAAGUUAAGCUAAACAAAAACCAGGAUUAAGUUUACUACUCUGAAGUUUUUUGCUUUUCAACAUUUCAUACAUUGAAUUUUUCUCAUCCAGUGUCAUAUCUAAGGUGGGAAUUGUGAGACACUUUUAUACAUCUGUUAGAUUUUAUGUGAAUUGUGGGGCACUUUUAUACAUCCGUUAGAUUUUUUGUGAGAACCUUCGCUGACCCACGAUGCGGCAUGCAUGUGGACAUUGAAAAAAUUCAAAAAAAAUCGAAAAUUUUAAAAUUUUAAAAUUUAAAAUUCAAAAAUACUAAAAACCUAAACUUUUCAUAAUAUUGAGAGACUGAAUCUUUUCACAGUCGGCCAAAUUUUCUUCGAAUUUUAAUUAGAUGAAAAUAAUGAAUCUUGAACAAAGCAAAACAAAACGUAAUAUUGAGAGAUUCAGUCAUUGAAGUGGACGUGGAUGUUGGGUACUCAAUAGUCCAAGAAUGAAAACUCUCAUAUCAGUUUCUAUCCAAAAUUUUGGAAUUAUGUGUGUUGUAACGAUUGUCCAAAGGAUUAUUCUUCUUUUAUUAAAUUUCCAUGAAAAAUGAGCAUGGAACACAAAAGUUGAACGAAUGAUUAUUCUUCUUUUAUUAAAUUUCCAUGGAAAAUGAGCAUGGGGCACAAAAGUUGAACGAAUGAAAUUUCAACGAUUUGAAAAGGGAUUGUGAGUUUGACACGUCAUUUUUCUUCCUCUAAUGCAAUCAUGUUUAUUAAAAGACAAAAAUAAAUAUGACUUUACAUAAGGAGAGAGAAAUAGUAGUUUUCUUUGAAAAAAUCAACCAUUUAUUGAAGAGGAUGUGGAUGUUGAUUGAUGCGUCGUGAAUACGAAAAAAAAAGACCUUGAAAAGAGAUGAGACAUUCAUUAAAAGCUAGAAAAAAAAAAGUUAAAAGUGUUUUAGAAAAAAGCAAGAAAGCCUCAUUUUCAAAGUAGUGGUCAUUGCACAAUACUUGAUUAGAAGAAAACUCAUAGUAUUGUAUUUACAAUUUCAAGUCUUUAUGGGGAACGAGAGUGCAAGUUUUCCAAUUGGAAUAUGAUAUGAAAUUUCUACAUAACUAUAUAUGACAAUGAAAGAAGUCUAAGUUUCUAAGUGGUAGGGCUUCCAAUUGAUGUGAGUUUGUUGAGAAAUGAAGAUGAAGAUGAAUAUUGAUGUUGAUGUUAGUGAACAACAGAACAAGUUGCUUCUCCUUUGGCCUUCUAACAUGAUAUCACGGAAAACAAGUUGUUGCUAAUAAAUGUAUCUGAUUGGUGGACUUAGACGUGCACGGUACGAUUUUUGAUAACUAGAAAAGAUGGACAGUGUCAUGACAAAAUUUAUCCAAGUAGACCCAAAGGAAAGACUUAGGAACUUCAUAUGCAGUGGGAUAAAAUCUUAAGCUAAUUUCCUUACCUAUUUUAUAGUAUUAAGUAAAAUGUAUAUGUAUAUUUCUAGAUGCUGACACACCAAUGUACUUACUAUUAACUCCUUUCAAAUACCCAUUCGCAGAAACGCAAAUCUCUCUUGCAUGCUUGUUGUAAUGCUCAUGUAGUGCGUAUCUAAUAUCUUAUGUGUAUAAUUUUUUGUGAUCCAUUUUUUCAUCACUAUGCCAAAAUCCCUUUAGAAUUUGCAAUUUAUCCAUUUGGUUAUGGUAAAAAAAAAAACUCGGAAUUUCAUUUAAACUCGAAAAUCUAGAAUUGGGAAAGCAAUUUUCCCUUGUUCGGCAACUUGUAGCGAUAGCAAAGGCAAAUUGUACCGGAAAAAAGUGGAAAUUGGGGAUGAAGAUCCAAUUUUAAUUUCGUCAAAAUAAGUGUAAUUUCACAAUUCCAACAACGUUGAGAAUCACAAAUGCAUUGUGGGGAAAUCUUGCGACCACCAAACUUUACGAUUAGAGCGCCAAAUUUCAUGAUAAAACGUAAUAAGGGUUUAGGACUGCAUCGUUCGCUCUGUUAACUCUCCAAUCUUCGACGGGAUUUUCAACUCGUGCAUCAUUUUUUGCUUUGUUCUAGGUCAAAGCCUACUCUUUUCUUUCUUGAAUUAUUUUAGCUUUGCGGGUAUACUCUUUAGGCCAAUUGUGAAUUUUGCUAGUUAUUUUUAUUUUCUGAUGGUCAUAUGUUUGUUUUUUUUUUCUUCCAAUUGAGCUGUGUAUUGGUUGGAUCAGUAACUUUUUUUUUGGAUUUUUAUUUUUAUUUUUAUGGAUUUUGGUGUUAGUUCCUUGUUAUAGAUGUAUAGAUGUUGUGGAGCAAAAAAUAAUCUCAAAAAUCGUGGAGGUGACACACGGAUUUUUGGACAAGAAUGACAAAAUUAUCCUCGAAGCACAUCAUGAUUCCCACGUGCAUGCAACGGACAAUAACGGCUCAAUCAUGGAAGAGUCAAAGGUGAUCAAUAUGGUAUUUAUUCAAAUCCCUCUCAUCACUCCUCAUCAAUCCCUUUUUGAUUUUAUUCAAAAGGUAACUCCCAAAACUUCCUAUUUAAUUUAGGGAUCAUUGUCAUGUUAAUUGCAAGAUAUUAUUUCACAAAAUAUCUUGUAAUUAUUCUUCAAUUACCACCAUGUAUGGCCGGCCACUCCUCACCCUAUGGGCCGGUCACUCCUCACCCUAUGGGUCGGCCACUCCCUAUAAAUAGCCCUAUUAUUCCACUAAUAAGGAAGCCAUUUGCUACCCACAAACUCCUAAACACAUUCUUUCAGAAUUCUAACUUUGGCAUUGGAGAUUCUUAGGCCAAAUCCCCCCUCCCAUUCAUCGUGGGCGCAUAAGGCUUUUGGCCUUAGUCUUAGGUAUUAUUAUUUUGCAGGUGCAUUUUCGUCAAAGACGAAGAUGGUGGAAAUUUGGAUCCACAAAUUGGUGUUUUCAUUGAGAGUUUGAUUCACAAGCUCGAAGAAGACUCUCGCAUUCAAAGUUUCACAUUUCUCAUUCAUAAGUAAAUUUUUCAUACGUUCUUAUUCCUAGAAUUUUUUUAAAUCUUUGAAUAGACGUAGGAGAGAAAUACAAUGGCUAGAAAUUUAGAAACCACGACGAACGAAACUUCCUACGUUCAAAGAUCCAGAUCAAAUGAUGGAAAUUGCGAUGUAGCCCCACCACGACGAUCCACGAAGCUCAACGUAGUGGCAAAAUGAGUAACUUGGCCACCACGGAGUACCACCACCACCAUAGCCAAGGCAACCCAUGUUGCAGUGGGGAGUGGGACAACUCCAUGGCAGCAAGGCCACGAAGCAACAACAGAUGCCAUCUUGCAGUAAUGAGCCCAAGCCUGUGUCACAAGGUAGUCAACCCAGCGCUAGGUAACCUAGAUCUAGUAGGCCCACGACGUUGCCAUAGUAGCUGAGGCCUAAAGCAAGGCCCAAGCAGCUGCGACUGCGGCAAAUGGAGCAACACAACACUGGCGGGGCCAAUGCACCCUUGGCCUAAUGCCAAGCAGGCUAAAUCGCACCACACCCACUAUUCAAACUAACCCUAAGUUGAGUAAGUAGCAUUGAAGGUUGUCAACCGCAAGGCGUUGAAGUACGAAUAAAGUUACACACCCCGCACAUGACUUGGCCCACUUCCGCGGCCCAACUUGCUCGCAAGGUCCACCUAGUGAUCCCGACCAGUCGAAGGCCAGUUCAAUCAUCCCAUCUUCAGAUUUCUGGACUGACGAUUGAAUCGGGGGUAUUUUCACCCCGAUUUUCUACAGAUUUGACAUAUCUCAACACAAAUCUCGCACUUGGAGUCCAUUGCACUUCCAUUACUCAAGGAGACGCAUACCAUUUAAGAUCUUCCAUCCCAAAUGGCGAACAACACUUGUCUUGACAAGUCAUAGAGUUGACAUGCACUUUUGCGCAGUAGACGACCUUAGUGAAUCAGCUUUUGCAACGCACAAAGAUGCAGUAUGCCCCAGACGAUGUGUCCCGAAGCAGGACAAGUAUAGACGACGAUUCUCUCCAGCAGCGUCCCAACAAGCAGCCGCUCGACUAGCCACGAACCGAGCAUUCUGGCAGUGUACACUCCCGUCUAGGUCCUCAAGAAAGCAUAUACUCUCAUCUUAGCGCGCGGAUGAGCGUGCACUCCUGGUUAGGCCUACGGACGAGCAUACAUUCACGGUUGGGACCAUACUCUUAUAAUUAACAUGGACAACCUGCUAGACGAAGUGUUCAUUCGCGGCUAGGCUCGCAAAGAGCAUUUUCCACCUCAUAUUGGAGUAAGCAGCACAGAAGACGAAGAUAAGCAGUCAAUUAAUCUGGCUCAAAUUCAAUCGGCCACCUGUAAGUAACUAGCUCGCCUGCCAAGAACGUACCAUAUGCAAUGUAGCCACGACAUAGACUAGCUGAGCACAACGAUGAGCAACCUAGACUAACAGGUUACGACUGGGGGUAGCCAGAAGCUUCACUGCCCCAAUAUAGGUAAAUUUAGAAAGAAGUUGAGAGGCUUCUGACAGAACGAUUGUGCGAUUUCCAACGCAAUGAAGCUACUGACAAGGCGCUUAAACGAUACACGACCAACAUAAACGGGUCACCUUUUAUUGACAAGAUUGAGCAGACAGAACCAUCCUACAUACACUGGCGGAUACAAAUAUUACUUCUAUUUUAACAUACGCAUCAACUCAGCCUAAUGGCGUGUCGAGGGCAAAUGGGUUCCAGAAUGGCACACUAACCCAACCACCAAGAACCAGGGCCAAAUCUUAUUUUCAUCACUCCACACGAUUCAAUGCUUGAGCAUCACAUCACCAGUAAUAGAGCACCGCAGACCUAAUGGUCCAAUUCCUCCUGAUGCACACAAGCUCACCCCAGCUCCACGCUCAAAGCCGUGCCUACCUGCUCCACAACACUCAGCCACCCUUGAUUUGUCACCAUGGCUCACAGUUAUGCCAAUUUUGCACCACAGCUCCCAGCCGUGCUAAUCUUGCCAUGCGGCUUUUAACUACGUUAACCAAGCCCACGAUACUUCAUACUUCAAAACAUCCAAUGACGAAGUAGAACAUGAGGCUCUACUAGCAGCCCCUGCUAGUGAAAGGCUUUGCGGUGAAGAGGCUUCCAAUCCAUUCAAAUUCUCAGUUGACCACCUGUUGGGUUUUACGGCUCAAAAUUAGGAUGAUGCAAAAAAAAUUGUGUUACCUAUUUGGUUUUGGUGUCGUAUUUGGGUUUGGAUUUUGACCUCUUAGUUGGUUUCCUUGGUGGAGAGAUUUUGUUAAUUACCUAUUUGAUUAGGAUUUGGAUUUACUUCCUAUUAAGAUUCUUAUUGUAACCUAAGUCUUAUGCACUAUAAAUAGGACCUCAGGGUUAGUGUAUUUUGUGUGGCUCAUUCGUGUGGCAAUUUGGUGAGAGUCAAUUUGUGAGUUUGUGAGUUAGAGAGCAAUUUGGGAGAAUCUUCUCCGUUAGUUUUGGGUUCUCUACUCGUUUGGUUUAGGGUUUGUAAUUUGUGGGAUUUGGAUUGUGAGAGUUUAAACACUAUUUUGUAAUCUCCGUUUGUUUAGUGAAAUUUCUUGUCAUGCUUCGCUCGUGGACUUAGAUUUUACACCGAACCACAUAAAUCUCUUGUGUUAGUUUGAGAUUGUUUGUUUUAGUUUUCACCUACAACGUUGAUAUCGGUACUUUGCUAUAAUUUGCUUUCCUUUGCUCAUAAAAGUACGACAAGUGGUAUCAGAGCCCAGCUUUCGGCUUGGGCUUUUCUUGGCAAUCAAUAUGAAGCCUUCUGUGUCGUCGGUGAAAGUUGAUAUUGAAAAGUUCGAUGGCAAUGACUUUGGUAUUUGGCAAUUGAAGAUGCGUGCUUUGUUAAUUCAACAAGAGCUUUUAAAAACGCUAAAGGGUGUGAAGGCUUUCCUGAAUUCGUGGACUGAUGAAGAAAAACAAAGAAGUUAUGGAGCGGGCACUUGGAACAAUCCUGCUGACUUUAUCGAAUGAAGUCUUGCGUCAAGUUGGUAGCAUCAAAUCUGCACCGAAGUUGUGGCUAAAAUUGGAGAGUUUGUAUAUGACCAAAUCCCUUGCUAAAUGGUUGUAUUUGAAGAAAAGUUUGCGUACUCUUCGUAUGGAUGAAGGUACGUCAAUUCAUAAGACCAAAUCCUUAUUGCUGCCAAAAGUCCUCAACAGUUCCAAGGGAGAUGGGUAAGAGUUCGUAAUAGUGAGAGAUUGAAUCUUUUCACACUUGGCCAAAUUUUAAUUUUAAUUAGAUGAAACAAUGAAUCUUGAACAAAGCAAAACAAAAUUUAAUACUGAAAGAUUGAGUCAUUGAAGUGGACGUGGAUGUUGGGUACUUAACAGUCCAAGAAUGAAAACUCUCAUAUCAGUUUUUAUCCAAAAUUUUGGAAUUAUGUGAGUAUUGCAACGAUUGUCCGAAUGAUUAUUCUUCUUUUAUUAAAUUUCCAUGGAAAAUGAGCAUGGGGCACAAAAGUUGAACGAAUGAAAUUUCAAUGAUCUGCAAAGGGAUUGUGAGUUUGACAUGCCAUUUUUCUUCCUUUUAUGCAAUCAUGUUUAUUAAAAGACAAAAAUAAAUAUGACUUUACAUAAGCAGAGAGAAAGAGUAUUUUUCUUUGAAAAAAUCAACUAUUUAUUGAAGAGGAUGUGGAUGUUGAUUGAUGCGCCGUGUGAAUAGGAAAAAAAUGACCUUGAAGGGAGACAAGACAUUCAUUAGAAGCUAAAAAAAAGUUAUAGUGAUUUAGAAAAAAGAAAUUUUAACGAAAUAUUUCCGGUAUUGUUCACUCUUUACGAAAAACCACAUUUUUACAUUUCCUGGCUACUAUUCACUACACCUUUAUUUAUCAUUUUUCAUUAAAACUAAAUUUGUUUUUGAACUUUUCGUUAGUUUCCUUUAGAAAAAAGCAAGAAAGCCUCAUUUUCAAAGUGGUAGUCAUUGAAACAAUACUUGAUUAGAAGAAAAGUCAUAGUAUUGUAUUUACAAUCUCAAGUCUUGAGGGGUAACGAGAGUGCAAGUUUCUAAUUGGAAUAUAAUAUGAAAUUUCUACAUAACAAUAUAUGACAAAGAAAGAAGUCUAAGUUUCUAAGUGGAAGGGCUUCCAAUUGAUGUGAGUUUGUUGAGAAAUGAAGAUGAAGAUGAAUAUUGUUGUUGAUGUGAGUUAGUGAACAACAGAACAAGUUGCUUCUCCUUUGGCCUCUAACAUGAUAUUACCGGAAAACAAGUUGUUACUAGUAAAUGUAACUGACUGGUGAACUAAGACAUGCGGUACGAUUUUUGAUAACUAGAGAAGAUGAAUAGUGUCGUGACAAAAUUUAUCCAAGUAGACCCAAGGGAAAGACUUAGGAACUUCAUAUGCAGUGGGAUAAAAUCUUAAGCUAAUUUCCUUUUUAAUCUUAUAGUCAUUAUGUAAAAUGUAUAUGCAUAUUUCUAGAUACAUACACACCAAUGUACAUAAUAUUAACUCCUUUUAAGUAGUCAUUUGCAAAUCCCUCUUGAGUGCUCUUUGGAAUGCUCAUGCGGUGCCGUUCUAAUCUCUUAUAUAUAACUUUUUGUGAUCUGUUUUUUCAUCAAUAUGCCAAAAUCCCUUUAGAAUUUGCAACUUAUCUUUUUGGUUACGGUAAAAAAAAACUCGGAAUUUCAUUUAAACUCGAAAAUCUAGGGAUGUGAAAGCAAUUUUCUCUUGUUCGACAACAUUUAGCGAGAGCAAAGGCAAAUUGUACAGGAAAAAGUUAGAAAUUGGGGAUGAAGAUUCCCAAUUUUAAUUUCGUCUAAAUAAGUGUAAUUUCACAAUUCUAACUACGAUGAGAAUCACAAAUAUAUUGCAGGGAAAUCUUGCAACAGCCAAACUUUACGAUUAGGGUGCCAAAUUUCGUGAUAAAACCUAAUAAGGGUUUAGGGCUGCAUUGUUCACUCUGUUAACUCUCCAAAUCUUCGACGGAUUUUCGGCUCGUGCAUCAUCUUCUUGCUUUGUUCUAGGUCAACGCCUCUACUCUCUUCUUUCUUGAAUUAUUUUAGCUUUUUAGGUAGGCUCUUUAUGGCUGUUGUGAAUUUUGCUAGUUAUUUUUAUUUUCUGAUAGUCAUUUGUUUGUUGUGCGUUUUUCCUUCCAAUUGAAUUGUGUAUUGGUUGGAUCUGUAACAUUUAUUUUUUAUUUUAUUUUAUGGAUUUUGGUGUUAGUUCUUUGUCAUGGAUGUUGUCCCUUUGAAGGUUAACAAUAGCCAAGACUAAACAUGAUGAUAUUGUUAAUUACUUUCUCAUGAUACUAAUGCCAUAUUGUUCUCUCUUUUGCACUUACAAGUGAAGAGAAAUAUCCUAGACCCUAACUGGAUAUGUUAUUGUCAUGGUCAUGCAUUGGUAUGGUAACAAUAUGUUUGGAUAAGGAAAAUAAACUUAGAAUUUGACAAAAGAUAGAAUUUAUAAAUUGAUACAAUCAAUUCCUUUGUUUAGAUUCAUAAACAUAGAAAUUUAAACUUUCCGUGUGAGAAAAAACUUGGAAUUUGGGACCUUCAAUUCUCAUGUUUAAAUUUUAUGUAAAUAGGUGUCAUUUCUAAAUUUCAGCAAGUGAGAAUUUAAAAAUAACAAACAUGUAUUCAAAUUUCAUUCCUCUUUUAGGUUAACCAAACAAGAAAUUUUAUAAAUUCUAGAAAAUAAAAUUUCGUUAUUUCAAUUUCUGUUAUUUUAAAAUUAGUAAUCUUAAAUUUUCCCAUCCAAACAAAGAGUUUCCUUGUCAUAGAACUUUCAAUUGGGAUCAAGGAAGACAAUCUUUUCACAACUGAUUAUUCUCACCAAAUUUUAUUAUUAUUUUAAAGCAGAUCAAUACCAAACUUCAAAAGCAAAGUAGGAAGGCUAAAAUUAAGGUGAAGAACCUACUUCCACUAAUUACCAUGGGAGGGGGAGAGAGAGAGAGAGAGAGAGAGAGAGAGAGAGAGAGAGAGAACCAAGCGAGAGAGAAGAGAGAGAAAACACCAAGUAGUAUUAUAAUAUAGGUGGGGUUAAAUCACCUUUCGUGAAGUUGCGGUAAGAGCAGCUCCAGCGGGAGGUCCAGCUUGAUGGACCGGUGAGAUUUCCUACCCAAUAGCCCCAGCUCCUUGCUCCAGCCCAUGCGGGCGAUUGGGCUGAGGGGGUGCCCGAGUGAGAGGCCUGACUCGAAUCGGUAGCCUGAGAGCUUGAGGCCAAAUGAUGCAUGGACGUCAGCCACGUUAUAAGAAGGAAGCAUAAACUAUGAAUAAUGAUAGAGAUUUAGAUUUUGGUGUGUGAUUUCAUCGGAUGGAUGGUGGGUUAUAUGGAGGAAAAAAAAAAGAUUAGGUUGUAGAUAAUGCCACGUGGCAUGCCGUCAUUCGUUAAAAAUCUGAUCGAAAUCUAUCAUCAAAGAUUUUAAACAGAUUAUGACACGUGACGCAACGUGAUUGGUUAAAAAUCUUAUCAGAAAUCUAUCCUUAACGAUUCUGAAAAGGUAACGAGAUGGGGCACGACGGCAUUGGAUAAAAAUCUUAUCGAAAUCUAUCACCAAAAAUUAUCUUUUUGGAUAAUGACACGUGGUGCAACGAGAACGAUUAAAAAUCUUAUCCGAAAUUACAAAUAGAAUUAUUUUGUAUUAUUUUAUAAAAUAAAAAUACUAAUAUUUUAUUGCCUAUUGACAUGACUAUUCAAUUAUGGGUGUGGAGAUGCAGAAGAUAAUUAUUAUUAAUUAAAGGUAAUUAUUGUUCAUUGGAGGGGAUUGAAUAUGAAGUUGCAGUAGAAGGCCUUUGUCACAGCAAUAGGCAGUUACUGUUCUAAGGACUUCUAUCCUAGAACAGAGACAAAAACACCAAGUAGUAUUAUAAUAUAGGUGGGGUUAAAUCACCUUCCGUGAAGUUGCUGUAUGGACUUCUAUCCUAGAGAAAAGUCGGUCAAUGGUGUUUGACACAGUCAGUCAACGACAAAGACAGAAUUGUGUAACCAUAAUUCUCUCUCUAUCUCUUUUUCAUUAACGGAGGACAGUGUAUAAUUACUACGUAUAUAUCUCUGCUCAAUUAUUGAAAAGAAAAAUCCAUGUGCAUUAUUUUUAUUAUUAUUAUCUCAGAAAUGCAGAAAUUGAUUAUCUCUUCCUUCUGCAUAUUGAUACUGGUUUUCUUCAAACUAGUUGAAGCAAGCCAAUAUGUGUGCGCGAAAUCCAACUGUAGCAAUGAUCAAGGCCCGGCUAAUUUCCUUAGGAGGGAGAGAGAGAGAGGGGAGAGAGAACCAAGUGAGCGAGCAGAGAGAGAAAACACCAAGUAGUAUUCUAAUGUUGGUGGGGUUAAGUCACCUUCCAUGAAGUUGCAGUAAGGACUUCUAUCCCAGAGAAAAGUCAGUAAAUGAUGUUGACACAGUCCGUCAACGACAAAGACAGAAUUGUGUAACCAUAAUUCUCUCUCUAUCUCUUUUUCAUUAACGGAGGACAGUGUAUAAUUACUACGUAUAUAUCUCUGCUCAAUUAUUGAAAAGAAAAAUCCAUGUGCAUUAUUUUUAUUAUUAUUAUCUCAGAAAUGCAGAAAUUGAUCAUCUCUUCCUUCUGCAUAUUGAUACUGGUUUUCUUCAAACUAGUUGAAGCAAGCCAAUAUGUGUGCGCGAAAUCCAACUGUAGCAAUGAUCAAGGCCCGGCUAUCCAUUUCCCAUUGAACAUCAGGCGCACACAUCAUUGUGGAAAUUCUGGGCUUGAAUGCAAUGGGAGAUAUGAGCAGCAAAUACUAAUAAAAUUAUUUGUCAAAGACACAGAUUACAAGCGUCAGGAAAUCCAAGUCUAUUCCCCAAGUAACUGCCUGCUGCUAAAGCUUGUUGAAAUCCCAAACAUGCCACCCUCUCCCUUCGUGCCAGUAGUCGAUUACAUGAUUAAUUUCAUAAACGUUACCUUAUUCAGUUGUCCUACUUCUGUUGCAAUACGAGAUACGUAUGGUUGUCAAGUCCCCUGCCUUGGCGACCGUGGCAAGAGAACUUAUGCCAUUGAUUCUGGGGUUUAUUUUGAAACUCUCUUCCAGAAUCUAGAAUCCUGUACAAAAAUGUAUGAUGUUUUAUCAGUUCCAAUAGCCGAUGAAUAUUAUGUUUUUCGUUUCAAAUGGUCUAUACCAAAUUGCAGAAAAUGUGGAGAGGGAAAGAAGUGUGAAUGGCAGAACAAUGAAAUUAAAUGUCUUCCCUGGAGGAAACCAAGUAAGGAUAACAUAUGUAUUCAUUGCUAGUUUUAAACAUCUUUACAUUUAUGUCUUAGUAAUUAUUAUUUGAAGGAUGUUGUCCAAUCCAUUUUUACUAGGAAUAUUACCUGACAGUCUCGUUUAAAUUCGCAAUGAUCUUCUACAGGCAACACAUGGAAAAAAGUGGUUACAGGUGGAAUCCUGUGUGCUUUGCUUCUUGUUCUACUGACGAUUGCAGCAUAUCGGGUAUAUAGCGCUGAUAGAAAGGAGAAAGAGAGUCGAUUAAGAAUUGAAAGAUUCUUGGAGGACUACAAAGCACUCAAACCAAGCAGGUAUUCGUACGCAGAUAUUAAGAGGAUUACAAAUCAAUUCAAGGACAAGUUGGGCGAAGGAGCCUAUGGAACUGUCUUCAAAGGAAUGCUCUCUUCUGAAUUCUUCAUUGCUGUCAAAGUCCUCAACAGUUCCAAGGGAGAUGGGGAAGAGUUCGUAAAUGAAGUGCGAACGAUGGGUCAUAUCCACCACGUAAACGUGGCUCGCUUGGUUGGAUUUUGUGCUGAUGGAUUUGUACGAGCUCUUGUUUACGAGUUCUUCCCCAAUGGUUCCCUGCAGGAUUUCAUUUCAUCUGCAGAUAGUAAGAAUUCAUUUCUUGGUUGGGAUAAGCUACAAGAUAUUGCCCUAGGCAUAGCCAAAGGAAUUGAAUAUCUUCACCAGGGAUGCGAUCUACGAAUCCUGCAUUUCGACAUCAAACCCCAUAAUGUUUUGCUAGACCAAAACUUCACUCCAAAAAUUUCUGAUUUUGGUUUGGCCAAGUUAUGUUCCAAGGAUCAAAGCUUGGUGUCCAUGACUACAGCAAGGGGGACCAUGGGCUACAUUGCACCUGAAGUGUUCUCCAGGAAUUUCGGAAAUGUGUCGUACAAGGCAGAUGUUUAUAGCUUUGGAAUGCUACUGCUUGAGAUGGUAGGAGGAAGGAAGAAUAUUGGUUCAAUUACGGAUAACACUACAAAUGAAAUUUACUAUCCACAGUGGAUUUAUAAUCUUCUAGAGGAAGGGGAUGACCUACGAAUCCACAUUGGGGAAGAAGGAGAUGGUAAAAUUCCAAAGAAACUUGCAAUUAUAGGGCUAUGGUGUAUCCAGUGGCACCCGUCGGAUCGUCCUUCCAUGAAAAUAGUGGUUCAGAUGUUAGAAGGAGGAGGAGAAAGCUUGAGUAUGCCGCCUAAUCCCUUUGUGCCUACUGGUUCUACAACUAGGAAUGCAAGACACCUAGAGCUAGAAGCUAUUGCUGAAUUAGAGUAAAAUGUAUAUGCAGAUAUGUAGACGUAUAGAUAUAGUAAUAUUUAUAUUGAAUAAGAGGCCGUUUGAUAACCAUUUCGUUUUCAGCUUUUAAUUUUUAUUUUUCACUUUUUUGAAAACUAAAAACUAAAAUCUUGUUUGGUAAAUACUUUUAGUUAAAAAAAAAUGAAGACUGAGAACUAAAAUGUGAAAGCUCAAAGGAAGUAGAUUAAAAGUAGUUACCAAACAAACCGGAAUCUCAAUAAAUAAAAAAGAUUGAAUUGCACAAUGCAAUCCAAACCAAUCAAAACAUUUAAAAUAGCAAAAAAAAAUUAAAAUUCUAGUUGAUUAGAUUCUAAACAUAGUAAAAAUGAACAGAUCCGAUGAAAAAAACAAAAAAUUCUCAGAUAAAAAUAGGGAUAAAGUAAAAUAUUUAUAAAUAGCUCUUUGUCUCUUAUGCCAUCAAUUAUUUCUAUAGUAUAUACACGUUUUUGGAAAAAUUAGGUUCCCAUCCCUUAUUUUCAUAUUACAUUGAUUGAAAUCUUAUUAUUUUUCUAUUUUAGAUCAAGGUCCCUUGACUUAUUCUAUGUCAUCAUUUUAGUAUUUAAAAUAUUACACGUUAUCAUAAACGAAAUCUCAUCCCUUUCUGCAUUUAAGGCAAAAUAAACUAUAUGAGUAAGUUUAAAACAAGGAAAAUCCAUUUGAACUCCUCCAUUCUUCUUCUUCUCUUAUAAACAUCUGGAAUCUACAACACCCCAAACCCAAUUUUCUCCAUUUUUUCUCCUUUCCUGAAUUGAUCCAAUGCAUAUAUGUUGAAUAAACCUAUUGUGAUUAAAAUACAAAUUAGCAUCAAUGGUUUUAUUGGCUUGUGAGAUUUGUGUGGCAUAGGCAAGGCAAUGCAGGCAUCGUUUUCUCAAGGAAUCUGGUUGAUUCAAACAUGCAGAGACUGUAGAGUGAGUGGGCUAUGUGAAAACUGUACCAUUCUGAAGUCAUUUUCUUUUGUUCUUUAUAUUUUUUUUUCUUUUUCUUUUAUUAUUAUAUAUUAGUCUUGGUUAUUCAAUGCCUGGUUGGCUACACUUAUAUCCAUGGGUACAUUUUUAAUCUACAUGUUUCGUUCUAAUAUAUCUAUUGCUAUAAUAUGUUUUGGUUGGUUCAAAUUUGUUUUACAUAAAUAUAUGGGUACAAAGUUUUUGGAGAAUAUUAUGUAAAUGGUUUUUAAGGUUGCUGCAUUUUACGUACCCACAUAUGCAUGUCUAUAAAACAAUGUGGUAUGAUGUACAUUCUUUUCUUUGAGUUUUUAAAUGUACCCAUGAGUUUUUUUGUAAAUUCGGUAUGUACCCAUAUGCUAUUUAUGUUAUGGGUACAUACAUUAUUUUUGGUCUAAGUUCAGGGUACAUUGCUUUUGUAUGUAUGAAUUCAAGGGGUACAUUAUUUCCCUUAAUACUACUCAAUAAAAUUCACAAAAUAUGUGUAGUGUGCAUGAUUUUUUAUUGUAGAAAUUGUUUUUUUUUAAGUCUCAUAAUUCAUGAAAUUUGUACAUAUAUGAUCCCAUAAAUUUUUUAAUUUUAUUAAAUUUCUUUUAGACUUGAUCGAUUGAUUGAAUCUCAUCAUACUAGGAUUUUGAAUUACAUAAAUUCUUGGAUUUAAAUCCCUUAAAUGUUGGACUGCAAUCAAUAUUUUAAAUUAUAGUUUUUUAUUUAAGAUAUCAAAAAGAUGACAUGGAAAUAUAGUAAUACUAAAAUGCUGAGGUGUACAAAGUCAAAGGACUUUGAUCAAAAAAUAAAAAACAAUAAGAUUUCAAUCUAACAAUUAAAUUGACUAGGGACCGGAACCAAAAUGACCCUAGAUUUUUAUUGAGUUUAAUCUUAAUCAAAAAAAGACUUCUUGUAUCACAGAAAAUACAAGAACCAUUAUUUGAAUGAAAUAAAAGCUAUGGGAUGGAGAUAUAAAUGGAUCAUUUUAUUCACAAUCGGAUUAUAUUUAUUUGAUACACUAUUGUCAAUAUGAAUGUUGAGAAAAAGACUACAAAAGAAAAAACAAUUUAUAAAUAUAACUAACAAUUCCAAUUUCAAUCAAUUAGACAAUUAGAUAAUACAUCAGUAAACGCGGGGUGACUCAGUGGUUAGAAACGAAUUUUAGGCUCGUAUUCUAUACAAUACGUCUUGGGUUCGAUUCCUGACAAUGGUGAAUCACGCGACGGUAGAUAUAGGGGUGUUGUUGGAAGUUUUGAGACUCAAGUCCUUUAUAUAGAUUUAGUGCUUUAGUUUAGUAAUUAGAAUAUGGGUCAUUUGGAAAUGGAUUGAAGGUUUGGGCCUUAUGGUUGUGUGGAUUAGGCUUGUAUAAUAUAGCCUAAAUACAAUUAAUAUUAAUUAAUCAAGACAAGGGCCUUGGGCCUUACUUGGGGCCUUGGAAUUUAAAAUUAAUCUGAUUCAUUAAUUUUAAUUUUCGGAUUAAGUUUUUAAUUAAUUUAUUAUUAAUUAAAAACGUUUUGAUUAAAAGACACAGCUCUUAGAAAAGAGUUAUGAACCUUCAAAUACACUGAACUGGUAUUUGAAAGGGUGUGAAACAACCUAUAUAUCUGCAAUCCAUGGUAUCCAAAUAAAUCAUCUUUUCUUCUUCCUUUUCUUCCGUACAAACUUUCCAGAGAGAGUAAACACACAAAGCAAUUCGCUAGAAUUCUAUAAUUUAGUGCGGGUUAUAGGAUUAGGUAGUUGUAUCCUGGUCGAGCAGACGUUAUAGAACCACAAGCACAAGAGUGGGACGGAAUUACUGUUCGAAUGACAUAGCUUUUACGUUAGCCUCUACCUUCUGUAAUCAAGUUAGUACCGUUGACAUUCUUAUAUUAAUUUCUGUAUUUAUUGUAUACUUUUCAUUUUGUAUAGCAAGUACCUUUUGUUAAAUAAAAAUUGUGAAUUUCAAGUUCUGUUUAUUUCUGUUAUUCUGUUUAUUUCUGAAUUGUUCUCCAACACCCCUAUAUCUACCGUCGCGUGAUUCACCAUUGUCAGGAAUCGAACCCAAGACGUGUUGUAUAGAAUACGAGCCUAAAAUUUAUUUCUAACCACUGAGUCACCCCGCGUUUGAUUAUAUUUCACUUAGACUUAUCUUGCGGUAUAGCAUGUCAUCCCCGCCCAAGUUUUUCUGUUGGCAUUGAGUUUGGGAUACCAAAACUUGCCAAACAAAGUAGAUUGAUUAGUAAGCGAAGCUAAUUAUUCGACUAAACAUUGUUUAGAAUUUUAAUUAAAAGAAACAAUAUGAAUCUGUUUAUUUUUUUUUUUGACAAACUAUAACGUUAAGGAGUUAAAUUGUUAGUUAUUAAGAGUACAAUGAUAGGUGAGGAUCGAACCUCCACCAGAGUGCAUAGACAUUAUUGGUUCUACAACUGCGGUAAAUCACAUAAAACAAAACGUAAUACUUUGAGGAUGGAAGACACUUCGUGGAUAGCGGGCAAUCAACACUAUCAGUUGCUAUCCAAAACUUGGAAUUAUGUUUAUUGUCCGAAGGAUUUUUCUUCCAUUAAAUUGCUAAGGAAGAUGAGGAUGGGUGGAGUGUCUAAAUGUCAAGGUUGACAAGAACGUGUAUGGUGUUCAGCUUGCGAUUGAGAUUUGUUAGAGUGGCACAACAAACCACAUAAAAUUUUCUAAAUGAUAAGCUUGAGUAUAAUUUUUUAUCACGUAUUUAUCUUUAAAAUCAUUAUAAUUAGAUUUUCUCUUAAUUAAUAUAGACCGUUAGAUUCAUCUAAUGACCCAAGUUUUUUUCCUCUUUUCUUUCCACUCUUUUCCAUUCACCGUGUAGCAGUCGUUCUUCCCCAACUACGUUUCUUAUUUUUCUUCACAAAAAAUUUGUAGAAAAUAUUAAGAAAAGAAAAGUCAUCAAUAUCAGACUCGACCAGGUAAUCGUUCCAACCUUCCCAGCAACUCUCAGUCUUAACUAGGCACCAAAUUUUCUCCGCCACCUAACUCGUCAUUCAUUCAUGGGUGUUUCAAGCUUGGUGAAAAUUGAUAGAGUUCCAUGUGUGUACACGGAUGUGAACAUAUUGGCCACUCUCUAAGAAUGAGUCAUUGGAAAAGUUGAAGGAAAGAUGUAACCGAUGAAAUUAAUGGAUUGGAAUUACAAUGAAGUCUGUGUUGGUUUAUCACAAAGAACCCAGAUACAAAAUUUUAAAAGCAAACAAUUUCAACUUCUCAAAUAUUAUCUAACAAACUUUCAAUGAAAUGUUGCUCAUAAUUGAAAAAAGGUUGACGAAGGACGGAGUUGGGGUUAUUUUAGAUGAGGAAGAGUUAAAAGAAGGAAGCACCAUUUAAUUAAUAAAAGUGAUUGGAGAAAUGGUAAUUCAAUGGUGGGCGUUUUUAAGGUGUGGACCUUGUAUCACACCCUGAUCCCAACAUACAUUGAGGAUCGACACGUGACAUGGGGACAUAGGGGACAAAAAUCUUACAUAAGAUACAGAAUGAAAUACUAUAUAAUAUCCCAAAAUGAAUAUGAUAGUGGGUUCACCCCUAUAAAAUACAUACGAGUUUGUACAUUCACAAAAAAAUAAAAAAAAUAAAAAUAAAUAAAAAUAAAAAACACACACACAACUCUCGCUAGGCCAAGACUUGCCCAUGGUGCUCAAAGGAAAGUCCCAAAAGAAAUAGUACAAUGAAGGAUAAAGGGGUAACCUAAACACUCCAAGUCUCUGAUCUCUGCACUGCUACCCCCACCGGCUCCUCGUAAUCUACUCAGACCUGUCACAUGUACAAACAGUGCCUACAUUGUGGGAAUGGUGCACCAGGCAAACAAAAACCCGGAUAAGCUGCAAAACUCGUGUGAGUGACAAUAAUGCAACGUAUGUGAUAAUCAAGAAAAACAGACCAUCGAUCACAGUUUAUAAAUCUCAAAUAUAACUUCAUACUUAUGAAAUCAUAAUCAAGUCACUGAAAACUUCGAAUGAGUCACCCAGACAUCUAACGACUUUUCUAAAUCAAAUCUCAGAGAUUCCCAAAACUAUCGUUCACAAAUACACUAAAAACUAGGGCUAGAGUGACACAGUUCAGCCAAAGCCUACAUAAGUAACCAAAUAAGAAGUGGCCCCCCAUAGCGGAUUAACCAAGCAGAGCCACUCCUGAGAAAGUAACCAAGUAGGUAGUGACCCCCAUCACGGAUUAACCAAGCAGAGUCACUCCUACGAAACUGUUAGGUAGUGAUCACCCAUUACGGAUUAACCAAGCAUGAUCACCCCUAAGCACGUAUGGCCAUACCUAAGAAAUAAGGAUCGCCCAUCGCGGAUUAACCAAGCACGAUCCAAAAAUAUUAUGGGUCCCCUAUCGCCGAUUAACCAAGCAUGACCAUCCAUGUACCACUGCUACAUGGUGUAAAUUCGGUGUCACCUAACCUCGUGACACUAGGGUAACGGUCCUCUAGUAGCCCUCACGUUUUUCAAACAUUUCAAAUAUAUAAUUUAAAACACAAUUCAUAAACAUUUCGAAUAGGGAAGUCACAUAGUGUUUAAUAAUGUAGGUCAAUGGCAAACUUUAAAAACAAUUAUUUAGCAUAAAACAUAUUUUAGAAAUCCAUGCUGUAUCCACAAAGUAUACUAGCACGGGAGAUUUUCAGGGUAAUAACUCUAUCACAUAUAUUAAAGUCACUCACCUGGAGUCCGCACUAACGCACCCUGGCACGAAUAUCAAGACGUCGCGUACUAUCAUCUGCAACAUCCCACAUCGACCAACGAAGAGGGGGUGAUGUGCCUUCUAUGUACAUGCCCACCUCCAUAGCAUGAGGCAUUUUGGGAGCUCACUGGCUUCAUAUUCCAUCGGAACUCCAAAGUUAAGCAAGUUUGGGCGAGAGUAGUCCCAGGAUAGGUGACCCAUUGGAAAGUUAUUGUGUGAGUCCUAGAAACAAAACCGUGAAGGCGUGGCCCGAGGGGGCCCAAAACGGACAAUAUUGUGCUACGACGGAAUCGAGACUGAGAUGUGACAGAAUGGUAUCAGAGCCACUCUGCCGUGUGGUGCGAGUGUGCCGACGAGGACGUCGGGCCCCUAAGGGGGGUGGAUUGUAACAUCCCACAUCGACCAACGAAGAAGAGGUGAUGUGCCUUAUAUGUACAUGCCCACCUCCAUUUAGCACGAGGUCUUUUGGGAGCUUAUUGGCUUCGGGUUCCAUCGGAAAUCUGAAGUUAAGCGAGUUCAAGCAAGAGCAUUCCCAGGAUGGGUAACCUACUGGGAAGUUCUCGUGUGAGUUCCCAGAAACAAAACUGUGAGAGCGUGGCCAGGGCCCAAAGUGGACAAUAUCGUGUUAUGGCGGAGCCGAGAUUGGGAUGUGACAUUGUCACCUAAGACAAAGUACAGAUCCACAUUUAGAGUUCUUCAAGUAUUCACAUAAUAAAAAAUUUCCAUACGCCCCCUACAACUAAUGAACAGAAAUCGAGACACGUUGACAAAAAGUCAACCGUCGAUCAACGGUAGGGUCCACAACCCUACAUAACUCGAUCCGCAAUAUCCAACCACUGUAUUUGUGAUUCAUAAGUUCAUAAGGUCUUCAAAUCCUACCUACAAUAACAUACUAAACUUUGGUGAUGAUCUAAUGGUCGAAUCAUCAUUUGCUAUAAUGUUCAAAUGACGCAAAUUCAUCAAUCAGAUGUCAAAUAUGGAAUCAGACAUCGAAUUUAGCUUAGGAAUGUCAAGUGGUGUCUCGAGCACGCACCGCCGUGCGCAACAGCUGGCAACCUAGAUUCGUCGGAAAAAUCACCUAAUUCCAAAAUGAAUGUUGUGAGACGUGGAGUAAAUUGUAUACCUGUGAAGAAGCCCAAUUUGGCCGGGAAGUGGCCUGAAAUCACUUUAGACCGUCGGAAACCCUAAAAUAGGUGAAUCUCGAUUCGUCAUCCCCGGUAUUCCACCGUUCUCAAACUUGUUUAGGGUUUGCUCAUGGUCUCAAAAGAAUGCUAAUGAUGGUGGUGAUUGAAAGAGAACGUUUCAGAAAUAGUGAAUCACCAAUGAGGGUUUCACGAAACCGACAUGGGUGUUCCUCGUGGAACCAAGACCAAAUCUCAACGGUUUUGGCUAGAAAUGGAUGCUGGGAUGUCAUGGUGAAGUUUGGUAGUGAUGGGAGGUUGAAGAAAGACAAAAAAAAUCGACAAAAAAAUCGUCGUCGGAGUCGCAAGAAACGAGUUAGAAAAAUGAGUCGUCGGGUCUGAAACGUCGAAGGCUUUUGAGACAACUACUUACUCUCUCUUCUCUGAUUAGUCACUCCACUCACUCUCUCAUUUGAUUGGUCCAGCCUUCCCACAUGGUGGGAGUUCCCUCAUAUAGUAACCCAAAAUUUACUAUUUAAAUCUGGUAUUGAACGUCCGUAACUUUUUCGUUAUGGUUUCGAUUCGCAAACGGUUUUCACCUAUGCGCUCGUAUGAUCGAAUUAUACUCAAAAACAUUAAUUAUGACCUCGAAAAGGUCUACGAGUUUUAAAAGAUUAAUUACAAAAAUUCACACCUUGUAACUAUACGAUUCAAAUCCUAAAAUUAACGGAAUUAAAAUAAACUAAAAAUAAUGUAAACACGAAAUACAGACUUUAAUAAUGAAAUACGUAAUUAAUAGUGGAAUUCCGGGGAUGGGAUUUCACAACUUGCGUCCGGACCUUCAAUGCGGAUCAAAAUCCAAAGGUCGUGAUCUGACGAGCUCAUGCAUAGAACAGAGUUGUUGUGACCCAAUGCAAUUCAAAACUUUUAUGUUUUUUUAUUUACUGGGUACGUUUUUUAUUUACUGGGUACAUUUUUGCAAGACGUUAAAGAAAGCGCUUCUUGGGAGGCAACCCAUGUAUUCAAAAAAGGAAGAUCUAUGAAUCGCUCUACAAUUAGUUUUGCGUUUCUAAAAACCUUCCCUUUUCUGCAUUUCUAUUUUGCCAUGAUUGUCAUUUUUUAUUUUUGUUGUUUAUUUAAUUAUUUUUGGGUGUGGGUUUAUUUUUGAAACAUUGACAGAUAUGCAAGAUAUUCUUACAUUCAUUUUCAUGAAAAAAAGAAAAGGGAACAUUAAGCAGGAAAUUACAAGAGGGAGCCUUCACAAAGGCUGCUUAGGAGAAGUCUCAGUAGUCGGCGGAGCCCCAGAAGAAGGAGGCAGCGGAGGUUGAUCAUUUGGAGCUUCAGUACGCGGUGCAGCCCCAGAAGACGAAUGCAAAUGUUGUUGGAACAAACCCACAAACCGCUGAUGAUCAAGUAAAAUCUGACAAUCAGAUUCCUGCAUCUGGUCAAUCUUCCUCUUCAUGUUUGUAGCAUAAUUAUGUGCGAGCCUGUGCAACUGUUUAUUCUCAUGCUUAAGCCCUCUAAUCUCCUGCUUAAGACUCAUCACUUCAGCCGCCAAUGAUUCAACUUGACGGGUUCGGGCAAAUAGGCGUUGGGCCAUAUUAGACACGGAACGUGCGCACUGCACACUGAGAGCUAGAGAAUCCUUUACAUCCAACUCAUCAGACCGUUUGGCAAGUAGUCUAUUAUCUUUGGGAGUGACAGGGUUCCUGACCACCACCGCAGCUGUCAUAUCAUUCUUCAUCACCGAAUCCCCAACGAUAAGGGGACCAGUAGGGGAUAUGAAGGAUGGGCGCCAUAUGUUGUCUGGAGAAGGCGGGACUGCCUCUUCACCAAGGUUCAAGUCAAAACGACGAUCGGAUGGGCCAAACAUUUUCACAGGUGUUAAAGAAAGAAGAGGUCGGACAAGUCAAGAUCGUAGAAGUGCAAGAUGAGAGUUUUUACAGGCAGAAAUUCAAGUGUGCUUUGAACGUCCUACGUACUUCUAUAAAAAUCAGCACUCGAUGGGAUUUCAGAGAUCGAAGAGGCAAGCUCAGAAAUCGAAGAGGCCAACUAAAAAAAUUAAAGAGGCGCUAGCUUUCUCAAAAGCUGAGCUUGCUCAGAAACCACGGCCAAUCUUCUUUUCCAGAUUUGUCCGCACUUGUCACAUGCAACUCGACGGGAUUUCAGAGAUCGAAGAGGCAAUUCCAGAUAUCGGAUAGGCAUCUGCUUUUGCAGACGUGUCAACAUCUGUCACAUGCAGAGUAAGCUUUGCGAAAAUCACGGGCAGUUUGUGAAGCGCCGAUUCCAACCAUCUGCUUUUGCAGACGUGUCAACAUCUGUCACAUGCAUAGUAAGCUUUGCGGAAAUCACGGGCAGUUUGUCGAAGCACCGAUUCCAACCAUCUGCUUUUCCCGACGUGUCAACAUCUGUCACUUGCAGAGUCAGCUUUACGAAAAUUACGGGCAAUCUGUCGAAGAUCUCUUGUGAAGUUUACUAUUAAAUCAUCCAACGGUUGCUGACAAGAGUGAAAGAAUAGUACCGACUAUUAAUUCCUAUAAAUGUCAUCCUUCACCCUCAAUUGCAAGGCAGACAUACAUAACCCCCUUCUUCUCAGAAAAUGCCUUUCCAACACACCCUCUCGAGUCACUCAGUGUUCCUAAUUCCUUGGGGUACCUCUGCAAACAACUCAUCCAAAGCAAAAGUAUUUCAUAUCAUGAAGGUUGAAAGCAAGAGUAUCUCAUAUCAUGCUUUCUCCCUGUCCUUCUCCUUGUCUUUGUUUUAGGACAAGGAGAAAGAGAGCAAUCAGCCAGCACUUGGUAUCAAUCUUCCGAUCUGGAACCGACUGCCUGGAACCCCUUCCUGAUUGCUUACCUAGCCUUGCUCUCGAGAACUCAUCUUCAUCAUCUUAUGCUUCCUCUUCGUCUACCACAUCUGCCUGGGGAACAGAUAAGGGAAGUGAAAAUGAUACCUCGAAGCAUGUGGAAACAAUUUACCAAUUCAUCCUUAGCUAGGGACAAGGAGAAAAAAAGCAAGAGGUGGGCACUUGGAAAGAUUGAAGAAAGAAACAGACCAACACCUCUACCUCAUGCCUGCCCGCCGUGCAGAAGAAUCAAGCAGAGAAGAAUACAGACUGCACAAUCAAAUCAGGGAACUCUCAUAUUUCUCGCUCAGAAUUCCAAACCAGUUCAAGAUCAACGCUGUGGAAAGUCAACAAGAUCAUCUAUCUCCAAAACCAGAUUUGCGUUCUUAAACUCUACUCUGUCUGGUUUUUACUUUGCUAUACUUGUCAUGUUUAUUCGUUGUUUGUUUGUUUGCUUGUUGUUGUGUGAGUUUAUGUUUAAAACAUUGAGGACAAUGUUUGAUUUAAGUGUGGAGGGAUAACCAUUGUUUUGCAUGAAAUUCGUAGGAGUUUAUCACCCAUUACUUCUAGUGUUGUUCCUUGCUGUUUUAAGUGUUUUAAGCUGUUUUGGAGUGUUUCAGUGUGUUUUGACAUAAAAAUCCGAAAAUCUCAUAAAAAUUUGAAAAAUUGUUUUGAAAAACCAAAAAAGAGUUGUUUUUGUAUGUUUAUUUGUGUUUUAGGGUACCUUCCAACACAAUGAUGAGGAUUUGGUUUUUAAUUACAUGACUGUUAAAGAGAAUUAUAAACAUGGAUGAAAAUUUGAUUUACUCUUUGGUGUAUGCUUGGUUGUGGUUAUAAUUUAUGAAUUCACAUGCAAUCAUAAAGGAAAAAUCAAUUUUGUAACAUGCUUGAAAGAAGGAACUCAAAUGUACGCUACAACCUUGUGAGACUUGAGCCUAGACGUUUAUUUGGAGAGUUAAUAAUGUGCAUUUUUGUUUUCUAAAGUCGUUGUAUGAUCUCAUUAUUCUUUGCUUGGUUGCUACCUAGAAUGCGUUCAUCAUUAUAGAUCCACAUACUAGAACUCAUGCCCGUUCCAUUCAAAGCAUGACAUUAAUUUGCAUAACACAUAUCCAAGAUGAAGUUGUUUAGUGAACCAAAGCCAAAAUAGCCGAACCCACCUUUGUCAUUUGUUUUGUAGGUUUAAACCCCGUUGAGCCUUGUUUAGCCUAUUUUCUUUGUUAAACCACAUCAUCUCUACCUAACCUAGAAUAGGACUAUCCAUACCCUUGUUCUUGAAGUAUAGUGGAGCAUAACUUAGAAAGAAUUCAUUUUGAAACUUAUUGGGGGAAUUUAGAUUUCAAAUUUUUUGUGUGCCAAAGAAAACGGCAAGAGAAAAAAUUCGUGAAAAAAAAGAAAAAAGAAAAGAAAAAUUUGCAAAUUUUCCUGUGUUUAAAAGUAGAUGCCUAAAUUAACCCUUACAUUAAUUUUCCUUGAAUAAUUUCUCAUUCCAUCUAAUUUAGAUCCAUCUUGCUCACUAUUCUUUUUAAAUUUGUGGAUUUUGAAAUUUCAAAUGAGAAUGAAAUUGGAUGAGUUCAAUUUUCGUUUAAUUCUUACAAUUAAUAAGAAAUUCCGUCGAAAACAUUUUGAGUAUUGUUUAAUUUUUCAAUAUUACCGUAUUGUGUCAUUGAAAUAAUUAUCAGAGGAAUUAGGGAAUUCUCUUAAGGAACAACUCAAAAUGUAGUACAUGAUUAAAUAAUUCCUUUGAAUGGUCAACUAUGAUCAACAUAUCUUGUAUCAGAUCUUAGUCAAAUACCUGUUAAGAGUGUAAAUUUCUUGUGUGAAAAUGAGUGUAUCUAGUAAUUUUGGCAUUAGGAUGUUACUACAUUCUCAAAAUGCUGUUUUUUGAUUAAAUGAGCUGUGAGGUACUAAUCAAAUAUGCUCGAGGGUAAGAAUGGCUUAAAUUAUGUGAGUGGUGAUCUGGUUCAUGUUUCAUUAAAAAUCCCUGAGGCAAAUGUUGGAAGAUUUAGGUUAUGUUUUGUUUGUUUCGUUUGUUUUGUUUUGCUCGAGGACUAGCAAAAGCUAAGUGUGGGGAAUUUGAAUUUGAUAGGAGCAUUAUUAUGCGACUGAGUUAGCUUGUUCUCAUGCAUUUAUGUUGUUAUUUCUUAGUUAAUUAUGUAUUUUAAGCUAUUUUCGUGUGUUUGUAGGUCCAUAGGCCUUAUAAAGCAAUAAGGUGCAUUUUGGAGCAGUUUUGGGCUUGGAAUGGAUAGCACAUGCAUGGAGUAAGGUGAUGGACGAAAUUGAAGACUAAAGAGGCUUGGAAUGUGUUAAAAAGAAAGAAUAAUUAAUGACAAAGAGCUCAGCAACCAAACAGGGAACAUGAGUCAAGAUUACCUUAUUUUGAUUUAAUCUUUCCUAAUCUUCAAUGUCCCUAAGUUCCAACAACAUUCCUUGUCUAUUUCAUUCACUCAUUGCCUAGCACCACCCUUGUUCCCUCCAUCAUUCCAAAUUUCUUGCAUCAAUCAUCACUCCACCUUAACCCUUGACUCAUUUCUACACCAUUCCACCUCCCUUUCCUUUCUCUACCAUGUGCACAAUCAUUCAUGUUCCCUACUUGCAUUCAUUGUUGCAACACCACUCCAUUUUACCCCUCAUGCUUUGCAUCAUUACUUCACUUUCACCUUUGAAUCAUUUCAACACCACUUCAUUUUACCCAUGGUUUGCAUCAUUACUUCACUUUCACUUUCACCUUUGCAUCAUUACUUCACUUUCACCUUUGAAUCAUUUCAACACCACUCCAUGUCCCCCUCCAUUGCCUUGCCCUUCCUCUAUAAAAGGAAGUGUGUGUAACAUAAAUUUAGUUCAUAUAUUUUUUUAGAUCAUUCACUCCCAUUUCAAUACAACCUUCAUCCAAACACAUUCAUUCAUCUUCACAUCCAUUCCUCCAUACAAACAAACCUUCAAACACUCACCAACACCUUGUGCCAUAGCAAAGGAAGGAAAGGAAAAUGCUUGGACGUGCGUGCUGUCAACUUGGAUCGUUGGAGCGUUUAGGUGUUUUCUUUCUUUUGUUUCCAAUGUUAAAUUCAUUUUCUGAUUUUGUUGCAAUUAUGAGUGGCUAAAACCCUAUUUAGUUAGGGGGAAGUUUGAAGCCAUGAACAUGCUUGAGAUAUGAAUUGAUUUCUUCCAAUUGUGAUUUGAUAAGUUGUGAUUGCAAUUCAAUUAUCUAUUUUAUUCAUAACUGAUUCUUGUAUGUUUAUUAAGGAUGCAUACUUAAUUUUCAUGCAUGAAUUAGAUGCUAGAAUAUAAAUGAGUUUCACCUAAUCGUUACAAGUUUAUAUUCAUGAGUAGUGAAGGUUGUUUAUCACAAUCUGACACACCCCGUCCCGAAGGAGGGCGUGCUGGCCGUCACGUGAGAGUGACGUAACCAUUUACACAGUUCGGAAGCUUUAAAAAAAAAUUCCAAUUACUAAUAUAACACACCCGAGGGUGAGUCCUACUUUUGUGAAUUCUGUCAGAACACCGUUGGAUUCCUCGUGGCCACCAAAGCUCUGCUAACUUGAACCUGGGGCGCAAAACAAAAGCUUGAACUUGAACCUUUCAGGCGCAAAACAAAAGUUUUUUCGAAAACUUUUCAUUUAAAACAUUUCUAACCCCUCACUGUAAAACCUGUAUACUUUCCCAGAAAAUAGUGUAUAUAUAAACAUAUAUAUAAGCAAAAAUCUCGAAUCUCAAACCUUUAACACUUUUCAGAAAUAUAUAUAUAUAUAUAUAUAUAUAUAUAUAACCAUUUGAAAUCUCAAGACUUGAAUCCCAAAUCUUUAACAUUUUUCAAGAAAAGCAUGCCAUGCCAUAAAUCAAAAAUAUAAAUCAGGUGAAAUAAGGAAUCAAUCGGAGACCCUGCAGUUGGUCCUAUACGAUUAAUUCAAUAGCUCAUUAUCUCACUAAGCCGGAGUCACCACAGUAACCUAUACGGCCCUACUCUGCACAUCACUCAGAACUACGUAAGGUAGUCUAUACGAUGAAAGGUGUAAAAAUACGCUCUAGUGCUUCUCUCAUCAUAUCAUCAGCGCGCAUAACUAAGAUCACCCACUAGUCGGAAUCACGCCUAGUGAUCUAUACGACUAGCAUGUCGGAACCCUCACAUGGUCUGUACGACAUCCACCUACUUGGAUCCAAGGCGAGCGUGCGGUGUGGUGAAUAAAAUAAGCACUAACACCUAGGGUGCAGGUUAUGAGCUUAAAACAUCUUAUCAACAAUCAAUUAAAUGAAUAAAUGAACUCACCUGACUUACCUGUGCCUCCACCGCACCAUGCAACAUGUAUGCAUCAAAUAUCAAUUCGUAUAACUCAUACGCAAUUCACAUUUUUCAAUUAAUUCUAUGCAUGGCAUUUUUAAAACAUAUUUUCAUAUAAAUUCAUUUUAUGGGAAAAAUCAAUAGUAUAAAGGUAAUACAAAAACAAAACUGCCCACUCACCUGGAGUUCGCCCAACAACUCCCUAGCACCACACAUCAAGGCGUCAUGAAGAUUAGUGCCUAGAACAAUAAUCAAACCCAACCUCAGAAAUCAUGCCGAUAGAAUACAUAACUUAUAUAAGACGCGUCCCUACGUAGUUCGAUCCGGAUGAUCUGCAACUCGGAUUUCAAAUCCGUAACUUCCAGAGGUCCACAAUAUACCUCUAGGACAACAUCCUAAAAUUUCAUUACCAUCCAACGGUCGGAUCUCCGUCAAUUUCCAAAACUAAGUGCCGGUUAACAUUCUAUUUUAUGAACUUACAACUCCAAUUCCGGAAGAUCCGUAAAUCGGAUUCCCAAUCCGUAAGUUCCUAUAAUCCUCAAAUAUUACGUAUUACAACGUAUCAACGUUUGGUGACGAUCCAACGGUCGGAUCGUCAAUUCACAUUUUCACCUAACUACGAAUCGUAACCAACUUAGGUUCAAUUACUCAAUUUACGUCCAUCAAUUAUCAAAACUGAACCUAGAGCCUUAAUCACAUGCUAAUAAUGACAUUGGCGGGCCAUUGGCCAUGCGCCGCCGCGCGGGCCGCCGCGGGUGGCGGUUGGCCGCCCCCGGCUCGCCGGAAAAUUCAACUAUUUCCAAAAAUUACCAAAAUUUGCAGAUUUGAAGAUAUCAAUGAGUAGAACAACUUUCAUACCUGUGGCCAAGGCCAAUUUGGCCUGGAAGUGCUUCAAUUUCACCAAAACCGUGAAGAACCCUAGAAUUAGGUGUUUCCAAUUCGACCUUCAAACUUGUUCCAACGCCUCAAUUACCUCUUAGUAUUUGUUCUAGGUCCUAAAGGAAUGCUAAUGGUGUUAGUAAUUGAAAGAAAACAUUUCAAAAUUUCAAGAAUUUAAACAAAAGGGUCGCGGCACCCGUGUGGGUGUUCUUCGCGAAAUCACCAUGAAAUUUAAUGAUUCUUGGGGUGAAACGUGAAGAGGGAAGGCCUAGAUGUUGAUUAGGAGUGGUACCUUGACUCAAUUCGUCGGAAAUUUGGACGAAAAUGGUGAGAACCCGCCGAUUGGAAGUCGCGGGUCGCACGGGUAUACGGGUUGGGAAAACCCAUUUCUUCCUUCUCUCCUCCGCUUCUCGCCCUCUCUCCUUUCCUCCUUUCCUUCCUCUGGUUGGUCAGCUUCUCCCUCUCUCUUCUUCUGAUUCGCCUCUCCUCCUUCUUCUCCGAUUGGGCAGUUUUUGCCCAAUCUCUCUUCUUCUUUCUGUUUUCUGGUUCUUCUCACGCGCACACACACACACAACUUCCUUUUUCUCAUCCCAGCCAUCUAUUUCAUUCAUCAUUAAAUCUGGGUCGUCCAUUUUCAUAAAAGAAUUUCUAUUUUACUAAAAUUAUAAUUCCUUAAAAUCCCAAAUUUCAAACGUUAAUAACUUCUUCGAUAUAACUCCAAAUCACGAACCGUCUACGCCCACGCGUCCGUAACGACGAGUACUACGAGGAUAUGUCAAGAAAACAAAUCUUAGAUGGCACGACACAACGAUUAACCUCGAAUGAUGUGCGUGCCUCAAAGGGCAUUUUUGUAAAAUCCUUUAUGAAAACUUUAAAAAUUCUUAAAAUUAGGGACGGGCUGUCACACAAUCGCGUUAAUUGAAUUCUUGGCAAUUGUAUCAUGCAUUCAUAGUUAUAAUUGUCUCGUCAACACUUAUGAUUUUCAUUGAACGUAAUGAUCUCUGAUUGUAUCUCUAUUAUGCAUUAAUAUAGGGGACUUUUAGAGGAUGAUUUGGGUUGUCGCAUGCAUUCAUCCAAUUCAAUGAGUAAAGGAAAAUCUGAGGGUUAAUUUGUGCAUCACGGUUAAUCUGGGUGUUGAGCAUAAUAGUUUAUUGAAAAGCAAUUGGAAAUCGAUUCAUGUACAAGUGUGUCAUGUGUGAAGAACGGACCUCUAACUAAUCCAUCCAUCAUUUUAUUUCUCAAAUUCAUUUUAUAAUCUGCCUAGUUUUAUAACUUGCUUGUUUAUUUCAAAUUCAUCCAAACCAAAAUCCCCUUUUUACUUUCUUGUUUCAAAGUGUUAAAUUUCUGUUUUGUUUGUGUUUUUGAGUGUUUUGAUUCAAGCCAAAACACUAAAUUCAUCCAAAGUUGAUUUAAAGUCCAAAUCUGACUAGUUUGUGUUUUUAGGCAGUUUUGAGUGUUUUUAAGUUGUUUUGAAUCUUUAGAAUCUGUUUUGAGUCCCUUGAGUCUAUUCAAACAUUUUUAAUUUUGUUUUUAUGUUUUUGAGUCAGUUUAAAGGUUUUAGCAAGCCCUCCUAAUCCCCGGUUUAGAACGAUCCCUACUUGCAUUUAUACUACAAUUUGACAACAAGAGGGUUUAAUUUGAGUGCUUAACUUUCAUCGCAUCAUGUGAGUUCCCAGAAACAAAACUGUGAGGGCGUGGCCAGGGCCCAAAGCGGACAAUAUCGUGUUAUGGCGGAGCCGAGAUUGGGAUGUGACAUUGUCACCUAAGACAAAGUACAUGUCCACAUUUAGAGUUCUUCAAGUAUUCACAUAAUAAAAAAUUUCCAUACGCCCCCUACAACGAAUGAAGAGAAAUCGAGACACGUUGACAAAAAAUCAACCGUCGAUCAACGGUAGGGUCCACAACCCUACAUAACUCGAUCCGCAAGAUCCAACCACUGUAUUUGUGAUUCAUAAGUUCCUAAGGUCCUCAAAUCUUACAUACAAUAACAUACUAAACUUUGGUGACGAUCUAAUGGUCGAAUCAUCAUUUGCUAUAAUGUUCAAAUUACGCAAAUUCGUCAAUCAGAUGUCAAAUAUGGAAUCAGACAUCAAAUUUAGCUUAGAAAGGUCAAGUGGUGUCUCGAGCACGCGCCGCCGUGCGCAACAGCUGGCAACCUAGAUUCGUCGGAAAAAUCACCUAAUUCCAAAUGAAUGUCGUGAGACGUGGAGUAAAUUGUAUACCUGUGAAGAAGCCCAAUUUGGCCGGGAAGUGGCCUGAAAUCACUUUAGACCGUCGGAAACCCUAAAAUAGGUGAAUCUCGAUUCGUCAUCUCCGGUAUUCCACCGUCCUCAAACUUGUUUAGGGUUUGCUCAUGGUCUCAAAAGAAUGCUAAUGAUGGUGGUGAUUGAAAGAGAACGUUUCAGAAAUAGUGAAUCGCCAAUGAGGGUUUCACGAAACCGACAUGGGUGUUCCUCGUGGAACCAAGACCAAAUCUCAAUGGUUUUGGCUAGAAAUGGAUGCUGGGAUGUCGUGGUGAAGUUUGGUAGUGAUGGGAGGUUGAAGAAAGACAAAAAAAUCGACAAAACAACCGUCGUCGGAGUCGCAGGAAACGGGUUAGAAAAAUGAGUCGCCAGGUCUGAAACGUCGAAGGCUUUUGGGACAGCUACUUACUCUCUCUUCUCUGAUUAGUCACUCCACUCACUCUCUCAUUUGAUUGGUCCAGCCUUCCCACAUGGUGGGAGUUCCCUCAUAUAGUAACCCAAAAUUUACUAUUUAAAUCUGGUAUUGAACGUCCGUAACUUUUUCGUUAUGGUUUCGAUUCGCAAACGGUUUUCACCUACGCGCUCAUAUGAUCGAAUUAUACUCGAAAACAUUAAUUAUGACCUCGAAAAGGUCUACGAGUUUUAAAAGAUUAAUUACAAAAAUUCACACCUUGUAACUAUACGAUUCAAAUUCUAAAAUUAACGGAAUUAAAAUAAACUAAAAAUAAUGUAAACACGAAAUACAGACUUUAAUAAUGAAAUACGUAAUUAAUAGUGGAAUUCCGGGGACGGGAUUUCACACCUUGCAUCCGGACCUUCAAUGCGGAUCAAAAUCCAAAGGUCGCGAUCUGACGAGCUCAUGCAUAGAACAGAGUUGUUGUGACCCAAUGCAAUUCAAAACUUUUAUGUUUUUUUAUUUACUGGGUACGUUUUUGUAGGAGGAAAAGGGGAAGUCGAGAGAUUCUUUGCGCAUUAAAGAGGGAAAGAGAGAAAGGGGGAGCUAAGAGGUUCUUCGCGCGUUAAAUUUUUGCUUCUGAUUUUGCAACCUAGAAAUAAAGUAUUUUCUUUAUGGUUUAUGGUUCAAGAAUAUAAUGGAUACAGCCUAAAAAUGUUUCUUUUUUUAUUUUUUACUUUUUUUUUCUUAUGUUGGCUUUUGGUUUAUUUUUAUAAUGCACUAUAUAUUAACUAAAUUUAUAAACAUUUUGUAUCUUUGUUGCAGUCAAAUUAAUCAUAUGGGUCGGCAUGACGAAGUUCGACUGAGACAUACAGAUGUUUUGCAAUCUUAAGUCUAACCUGACACACCCCGACCUCAAUAUCUAGUGGACACCAAAAUUGAGGUGUGAUGGCCAUCAUCCGGAUGGGUGAUGAAACCAUAAUAUGCAUGAAACAUAACUAAAUUAUCAACCAAUAAAAUCUAUUGAAAAAUUUGGCAGAACAUCCCUUAAAAUAGGGAUAUGCCCAAAUUAAAAACACUUGCACAUGAUCAAAAUUAUUCAACACUUCCCCGAAGGGCCACACUUAAUGGGACUUCGACCAUCUAUUACAUGCAUGAGAAUAUGUUCAGAGCAUAAUUACCCAAACACGUCUUAUUAAAAUAUUGAGUAAAUACCAUACAAGAUAGAAUACGUCAGAGCUGUUGCAAAAUACCUCAAUGUCCGAUGUAAUCACUGAUAGAAUUACUGAAUCAUGUAUAGAUGGAAAGCUGAUAAAUACAUGUAAUUUGAGUGGAUACUUACCAGCAGCAUGGAUACAAUAUCAUCCACCGGUCGUAACUAAUGACAAGCUGAGAGUAUAACUGUAGUACCUCUUAUUAGUGCAAUGCAUGAUAUGAAUUCCAUCUCACAUAUAUAUGCAAGCCAUAAUCAAACCAAUAAACAUCCAACAAAAGCCACAAUCCUUUUAACAUUCGACCACAAGAUCAAUUUUCAUAUUUCCCAAACCUAGGUUCCAAAGCAUUGUUUCGAAUUAUUAAUACAAGAAACCACCACCACCUCAAUCAACUCCUAUUCCCAAGUGUAAGCAAUUACUAAAUGCAUCACUUUCGACUCUAGUCUUAAUUAGAUUACUUGGGAUACUCAUUCACACCAUCAGAUCCAAGUACUAUUUUGAUAAACUUUAAAUAGCAUGGUUAAAAUAAAUGAAACACUUUUAGAAAAUAAGUGAAGAUGUUGUUUACAAAUAUAGAUGCAUCUGUAUAUAAAAGCUUUGGCGGUUGAUCCGUAUACACUUCCAAAGAUAUAAGCAAGUUCAUUGGAAUAUACAUGCAUAGUUAAUGUAUUACAGUAUAAUUAAUAAGAAAACAAUUGCAUCCCUUUAAGAAUAUAUAUAUAUAUAUAUAGACACACACACAUACAUACACACAGGCCCUUUAUGCAAAGGAAUUUCCAUUUUUUUUCAAAAAAUGGGGAUUAGUUGUGGGGCCCACGUUGCAUUGAACUUUAACGAUCCGAACAGUCUAUUUUGUAAGUCUCGAUUCAUAUAUCAUCCUUGUAAAAAUUCAAUUCAAUCCGAACCCAUUUGCCUAUUUAAUUAUCAAGAUAAAAUUUUAUUGUUUCUUAUAUAACAAAGUAUUCGUUAAUUUCUUUGAACUCAAUUAGAUAUCUUAAACAUUUCCGAUUUGGUUAAUAUUUUGUAAGGAUGAUCUAUGUGGUGCAACUUGAAAAAUAGACGAUUACGAUCGUUAAAGUUCGAUGUGGUGUAAACCCUACAAUUAAUCUUCAUUUUUAUAAAAGAAUGGGAACCCCUUCCCUUAAAGGUUUCCUAUGUAUAUAUUUGUUCUCCAGACAUAUGCAGAAGGUAAUGUAAAACUAAUGAGAACUUAAAUGGAUAUUCCAUACAUAGGACAAUUCCAUAUAUGCUUUUUCAACAUUUAUAUCGAAAAGCCAAAUUGUUUUGAGGAAAUUAAUUGUAGCAAUGAUCCCUUAACUUUUAUCUUAUUGGAACAAUGGUCUCUCAACUAAAAAUUCAUGACCAUUGGUUCCUUAACACCACACAACGUGUAGUUAUGGUCAUUUUCAUUAACUCCGUCAGAACUUUUGUUAAAACAAGUAAUGUUAGAAGAAUCAUUGCUACAAUUAGGUUAAAGUUGGGGACCAUUGCUCUAAUUAAAUUAAAAUUGAGGGAUCAUUUCUCCAAAUUGCUUAAAGUUCAAGGACCAUUUCUACAAUUUUCUCAUCUAGUUUCCCAUAUUUACCCCAUGAUUCAGCUUCACAUGCAUUGCACAUGACUCAUUUUGACAAAAAAUUUAACAAAAUUGACGAAAAUGACCAUAAAUGCACGUUUUGAAGAGUUAAGAGACCAAUGGUCGUGGAUUUUAGUUGAGGGAUCAUUGCUCCAAUUUGGUUAAAGUUGAGGGAUCAUUGCUACAGUUUUCUCAAAUGUUUCGUAUGCGAAAAUAGGCAUUUGUAAAGUUUGGCUUGUUUAUGGCAUUAUUACUUUAGUCUAAAGUAAGGCUGGGAAUGGCACUGUAGAAAUGAAUAGUGUUCCAAUCCGAAUUUCAGUUUAAUUACAACAAUGCCAUUGCUCUUUGUGUUGCCUUUAGGUGAGCAGCCCGGCUUGCAGUCAGGCCCAAAUGUAUUGGUUUUAGCUGAGAAGCCCGGCCCUUGGUCAGGCCCAAAAUUUUAAAUUACAGUUUUGCCCAUACAAAAUAACAAUCCGAUUGUAUCGGGAAGGACAAUUUUGUCCUUUCAGUUUUGGGUGAGAUAAGGGGUAACAGGGUAAGUUUCAUUUGCUGUCGUUUAAUGAGGGUUUCGGGGAUGAGGGCUCUGUGUGUGUGUGGAUGAGAGAGAGAGAGAGAGAGAGAGAGAGGGAGAUGGCGAUGGAAGGAGAGCGAGGGGGAAGGGAAGGGUUCUCGGCACUGUUGCUGCAUGUGGAUUUCACAUGUGGGAGAGUGGGUAUGGUCAGAGAAAACCAUAUAGGUCAUUGGGAUUUCAGGGAAACGGGGUAGGGGUCAUGAAUGAACUCUGCUGAGAGUGUGGGUACCGGAUCUUGCGCUGCAUGCCUCAAAUCAAAGAUAAGUUCGUUUUUUUAUUGUAUUUUUUGUGGUAGCUUAGCUUUUGGAAUUGUUUAGUAUGUUAGGUCCGAUUUUGGGGGAUUUAUCUUUUUAGAGAGAGAGAUGGACAGGGAGAUAGAGAGAGAGAGAGAGAGAGAGAGGAGGAGGAAGCAUGACUGUGUGCAAUUUUUGGUGUUAAUUAAUGGGUUGGUGCGUAGGGUGAGUGACAGAGUGACAGAGUGAAGGAGGGACGUGUGGGAGGGUAUGAGUUUUCAGUUCUUUCUUUUGAUUCAACAGGUUAUACAUUGUUUGAAAAACCUUUUUUUAUUAUUUUUUUCUCGUUUGCUUUGUUAAAACCAUCAUUUGAAUUUUUGGGUUUCACUGUGUUCAUUUCUCUGCUUCUUCAUAAUUUGCUGGUGUUUGCUUUUCAUCCCUCUAUUGGUAGAUCUUUUUCUCAUUUCUUGGUUCCUUAUGUAUUCUUUGGUACAAAUCUAUUUACUUUUUGGCUGUGUGAUAAUCUUAGCAGGUGAACUAUAUGAACGUUUUUUUUGAAACGAGUUAAGAAGAUCCAGCUGAAAAGAGCAUGCAAGAUAGAGAACUGGUAUGCUGCUCGCCAGGGAAAGGCUGCUGGAGAGGCUGAGACGGAUGCCUCCUUCAAAAACCAGGUCAGUUUCCUGCUACUCGGCGUCUUAAUGUAUCCAAAUUGUUUAUCUUUUGAUGAAAUUAGCUGGCUUUAUUUUCUAUUUUAUUUAUCUGCAUAUUAUUUUGGUUUGUUGAAAUUUUGACUAUAGUCAUUGUGUCACAUGGGCGCCCAGCCCAACCCAAAUUAGUUGAGGAUAUUUAAAUCUUCACCAUGGUAUUAUAGUACUCACUCACAGUUGUGAAUACUAAGGUGCAGGCAUGGCAUGAAGAAGUGGACCGUGCACGCCAAGGUCAGAGGGAUGCAGAGGGCAAACUUUUUUCUUUGGAGGUAAGUAUCCUUUGUUUAUUGCCCAACAGUGUUGUUAUUAUCAAUUUGUAGCUUUGCGUUCUGAAUUUUUUGCUUUGUCAAACAACCUUUUUGAAAUGCUCGAUUUCAAGCCGAAGUCCAAAAAAUGAGAGUUGAGAUGGCUUCCAUGAAGAGGGAUGUAGAGCAUUACUCGCGCCAGGUGAAAUCUGCUUCCUCUCUUUUCGUAUAUCUUCAUAUGAAGAGUUUUACUAAGUUAUAUUGAGAACUAUGUUAUUUAUAGGUUAUAUUUUCCAUUUUGCAAGAACACAUGGAGCUAAGGAAGAGCUAUCGUGAACUCACUGAUCUACUGGUAAUGUCACUCAAACUGCUUUAUUUGUGCAUGCUGCUACUAUGCGCUUGAAUGCAUUUUAUUACUGGCGGGAUGCGAAGAAUGCUAGAUAUAUGUGCUGGAUCGCUUGAUUAGUGUUAGGGUUUUAACAACUAAUUGUUAGCAGCUAGAAGCUCUGGUUAGAUGAAUGCUAAUUUGAUUUUCCUUACAGUACUUGAGUGCCAGUUUCAUAUUGUUUGUUCCCUGCUGGAUACAUGCUGUACAGUUUCAUUUCUGUUUCUUCAUAACUUUCUUGGCCCUGCGAUAUAUGCAUAUUGAGUACAAUGAAUAUCCAUUGUUCUCUAACUGUUGGGCUUUACUAUCUUUGUAGCAGCCUGCCUAACAUUUUUUAGGCUCUACACUCUACCAUCCAAUUUAUGAAAAAUUCAAAGAUUGGACGGUAUUGAUUGCAUAAAUGAAAAAAAUACUAUGAUAUUAGAAAGGUGAAUGUAAUUGUGUUAGAAGAAGCGUCUAGCAUGAUGGGUAAUAUUUUAAGUUUGUAUUUCUAAAAUUUUUUCGUUCUGGAGUAUGAUUUACCUCAAUUGUUUUGUACUUUAAUCUUUACUAAUUUUCAUUGUGGAGUAUGAUUUGCCUCAACUAACAACUUUUCAUUGUUUAACUUUUUCCUCCCUUAGAUAGUUGCAUAUGUUUGAUUUGUUAAUCUGCUUCUUACACAUGUUGUUUCCUAAUGGUGUAGGUGGAUUGCCGGAUGCAUGUGCAGAUUACUUGAAUAGACGAAGCUAAGAAUGACUUAGUAUUAAGUGAGAAAGAAGCUUGGGUCAGUUGGAUUUUGACAUUUGAUUUAUUCAUGUUUUUUUGUUGCUUGCAAUGUUCUCUCAUUGUUUGUUCUGAGAUUCUGUGAUCUUAUUUUUCAUAGGAACUGACAUUGGUUUGCCAUAUAAUGUUUCAGGAACUAAUACAACAACUAAUCACCUUGCUUAGGUCUCAAGACACAUACUUAACAGGUUAACAAACGCUAACCUAUAAACUUAUCUACUAAGCUGGACCAUUAACCUCUGUUUAUAUCCCUGCCACUCAUCUUUUGGCACUUAUCAAUAGCAAAAUCUAGAGUUGUUGAAACCCCAAUUUUAAUGAAUAUUAUUUUUAGUUGAUAAUUAAAAUUAAUUGAUGAUUAAUCUAUUCCAUUGUGCAUUAUUUUAUCGCCAAAUACUUUGAAUAUUCAUUAGCAAAAGAUAUAGGGUUCACUAUUUAAUGAAUAGAAUUUUGAUGGUGGAUUGCAUUUCCUGAGUUAUAAAUGUGGUGAAUCCAUUAUUUACUAGCUGAAUAAUCAUAAUGUUUUGGCCACUUACCUUGAAUUUUGUUCAAAUUGAAGAAGUCACAUGUUUCUUUCUGUUGUUGAGGUAAUCUCUCUGUUGAAAGCUUCUAUUUCUUUUUUCUUUUUCUUUUUUUCAUUUGGGUAGAUUUUUUUUUUAUGGAUUUAUGUAUUUUUUUUCUUCAGAGAAUUCGAAAUGAAAUAAGAAUAGCGGAUUGAGCAUAAACAAAUUGAUGAAAUUUUUAUUUGAGUGUUUGUGUUGGUCCUUUUUUGAUUUGUUGAGGUUUGGAAUUAUUUGAGUUUUUUUGCUGUUAGUACUGUGAAGGAUGCUUGGCAAUCGCGAAAUGGGGGCUACCUCUUUGGAAAGAGAAGUCUCGCUAUCCAACCUCUCAUGAAUUACAAACAGGGUGCUUUCUUGCUGAAAAACCACUGAAUCAGUAGAACUUUCCUCGGUUCUUCAAUUCGAUUCGAAUAAUUUUUUUACCCAGAAAAGCCAGCGUUUCCUGGUGAGUUUUACAGCUUUCUCAAUGUUUUUUUUAUUUUGGAUUUGCAAAUUUGUUUUCUGUUCAAAUUUCCUUUUGUGAUUUUGGAGGUUUUGUUUAUCGAUUCUCUCACUCAUCUCUCAGCUCUCUCCCACUUUUGAGGUACAUGUCGUUGGAUUCCGUUUGCUGCUGUUGAUCUGCAGGUAAAGCUUCAAUUACCAUACAAAGUUUACAUUUUUCAUGAUUUCUUGAAUUUGGGUUUUAAACAAAGGAAAUAUUGCUAGAUUCUUAUCUUAUGUGCAAAUUACUGGCUAUUUGGAUUGGUGCUUGAGAUUUAGAGAAUGUCUCGCAGCUUUAAUUUCUUUUUCCUUCAUUAUUACUGUUUUCAAAAUUUUUAUUGCUGGGUAUUGAUAAUUUGUAGUAUGUGAGGGCUUCAAUAUGUUGGAAUUUUGAAUGGUUAUUGCUUCAUCGGAAUUUGGGUGGUCCAAAUUUUGAAUUAGAAGAAACCCAUUUGAUUAAUAUUUUUGGUGGAUUGGUUCUCUGUGUUUUCUUUGCUAUUUCUCCCCCAGUUGGAAAUUGGAAGCCCCAACUUUGAGCUCAGAGCUUGAAUUUCUCAAUCGUUCGUUUCUCUACACUCUCAUCAGUCACUCUUGAUCCUCUAUCUAAAGAACUGGGUAAUUUUCCAGCUCUAUCAAGUAAUACUCAAUUUAAUUGCUUAAUUGAGGUUUUUUGUUUCUCUUUUUCGCUCUUUCAUCAGUUCAUUGGCUUUGAUGUUGAGCUUAAGUAAAUGGGAGAUCAUUAAUUGGCAUUGUUCAAAAUAUAAUUAUGUGUUUUUGGAUUUGUGAAACGAUUUGCCUAAUGAUGAUAGUGGUUAAAAUAAAUUUUUCGUUAUGAAAGAGAACAUUGUUCUUCAUUUGCCUACGGUUUUAACUACAAAGUUAAACUACUAUGCUUUUGUUCAAUUGAUUGCAACUCAUGCCGCAGUUUGCUUCACAAACCUCUAUGGUUAGCUUCCAUACAGUAUGUUGCAAGUUUGAGGAUAUCUUUACAUCUUAAUUUUUGCUCUCUCUGGUUGCUUCAAGUUUGUAAUUUUACGUGUUACAUUGCUACUUGAUUUGAUUAUAAAAAUGCAAAAGAAAAUCCAUUUUGCUUUUAUUCAACUUAAAUGUAUCCUUUUGUUUGUUCAUAAUUGUGUUGAAUUUAUUCAACUUAAAUGUGUUUUAUUCAUCUGUUUACGCUUAAAACAACUGGUUCCCCUAGCAAUGCGCGGACCUAAUUUCUAGUACAUAUACUAAAAGCCAGCAGAAAAUUACUGUUCAUCAUGGGAGAUAGAGCACUGUUCAUUAACAGUGAAAGGGAAAAAAUGCCCUCGGUUUCUUCUUUACUUCACGUACUGUUUACGAAUUGCUACAGUAUAAAGUCCGUUUUGUCAUUCCUGUCCACGCAUCUUUCAUCGUCCGUUUCUCUUGCUUCGACCGCAUCUUUUUCGCUUUACCUUUCCUCUUCGUUUUUCGCCUUCGCUAGGCUGCAAUUUUCGGAGGUGGAUUGUUUGCCCUUCUAUUUCCAUGCUCUCCCCAUGCCCUCCAUUGAUGUGUGGUCACGGUUAAACUAUGUCAACAUUUUAUAUUAAUUUUUUUAUAGAAAUAAUAAAAUAAAAAGUAAUAGGUAUCCAGGAAAUUUUCGUCAAAAUAUCCAGGAAAUAGGUAUCCAGGAAAUUUGCUUUACCGAUAUUUUAAUAGGUAUCCAGGAAAUUUGCUUUACCGAUAUUUCGCCGAUAUUAUCGGUUUUUUGCUUUACCGAUAUUUUAAUAGGUAUCCAGGAAAUUUUCGUCAAAAUAUCGCGAUAUUAUCGAUAUUAUCGAUAAUAUCGCGAUAUUUUAGAUAAUAUCGAGACAUUUUGGUUUCUCGACAGUCAGUCACAAUCUCGCCGGAGAAUCAGAAUAACUCCGAGCAAGAACAAAACCUGCAACCAAACGGAACAAAAUCAUCACUAUCUUUCAACAAAAAUCACCACUUUAUACCAAAAUCAGUGACAAAAUUACACUAAUCCGAGAAGCAAGGGCUUGAAUUCGAGCAAGAUCUGGAAGAAAACAGUAGAAGCUGAGAAAUCGAGUACCUCACCGGCAGUUACAGUGCUAAAGAUCAUCAUCUUUGGAAGGCCGCGGAUCAGACGGAGCUGAGAGAUCAAUGAGUAAGCAUUUCAUAGAUCGUAUUCGAUGAGCAGCUGAAAGAGAGGAGAGAGAAAGCAGAGAGAGACGCGGACGAGGAGGAUCUCGCUGAUGGGGACGACGAAGGAGAGGUAGAGGUCGCGGCCCGCGGGACAUGGUGACGGGCUCGACGAGGAGGAAGGCGAAGGAGGAGCAGAGGAGAUGGGUGCGUGCGUGCUGCGGUGCAGAGAAGAGAGAUGAGGGAGAUAUGAGAGAGAGAGAGCCGAGAGGGAGACAGAAGAAAAAGAAAAGAAAACAGAAAGAAGAAGAAAAGAAGAAGGGAGUCGCGGGGGAACAAAGAGAGAAAAGAGAAAAGUGGAGGGGCUGCCACGUGGCCACUUCAGAAAGAAAGGGAUCCAAUGUUUUGGAUCCUGAUUGGGUAGUCAAAGAGGACCAAUUUGAUAUAUUAAAAUGUUUAGGGGAUAAUUACACAAAUAUAUCUUUAUAAAUGGGGGUGGGUGUUACAUAUUGCCCUAAAAAACUCCAAGUAAUUACAACAUCGUAUUAGAAUUGUAAUUGAUCCUUGUUAGAUUUGGUUUAGAAAUUCUAUGUAAUUUAGUGAUUGUUUCAUAUUAGAUUUAGAUUUGAAUUUUUUACUCCAUUCAGAUUUUAAAUGAUUAUAAUAGAUUUAAAAAUUUACGAACUUUGAUGAAGUUUAAUAAUUUUUAAAACUUUUAUGUAAAAUUUUAAGUGAAUUCCCUCAAAUUUUCAGGUAGCGAUUUGAGAAUGUUUAAAAUAUUAUGUGAAAUAUUUCUAAUUUUUUCGAGUUUCCCAGCUUUUUAAAAAUCUCUUUGAAUCAAUUUCUAAAUUAAUACAUUUGGAAUGUAUGAAUUUCUUAAAAAUCAUGAUCGAAUACCCCUUAAACUUUAAAGAAUCACUUAAAAUCCUAAUUAAAUGCCCUUAGAUUUUUAAGGAGAAUUAAAAUGUUUAUAAGCCCCAAUUGGAUGUACCGCUUAAUUUAACUAAUUGACACAACACAACAUAACCAGUUAAGAUUACAAAUUAACACAAAAGACGACUUGAUGCGAGGUCAUAUCUACAAAACUUGCCGCAAUAAGCCCCAAUUGGUGUGUUUAAACUUCUUUCAUUAAUUACUACAUAUUUUCUACACUCAUAAUGUUUGUCAGCUCGCUAUAUAAUCAACUUGAUAAUGUUAAAUCCAUCAUGCAAUGCAUUUCCUUCCAAUUUUUUGUGAUAAACUAAUAGAUAAUUGACUAAAUAAACAUCCUGCAAAGUUUCAAUAAAAAUUUUCAAGUUUUUUUUACAAUUUCCGUGAUUUUCAUGUAAUUUUUAUCGGUAUCGAUAUUAUGCCGAUAUUUUUAUCAAUAUUUCCGUGUUUUCGAGUACAUAUUUCCGAUAUUACCGAUUCAUCCGCGAUUUUCUCCCUUUUCGCCAGCCCCUCUUUUGCUCUCAAAUCCUUGCUCUUUCUUUUUCAAACUAGUCUCAGAAGAGAUCCUGGGUUUAUCUAAUCCUUUGUUGUUCGGCGUUUUGUUCUCAUCUUGCGAUCGUCGGGGCAGCAGCUUUAAGGUAAGUUUGUUUUUAAUGAUUUAUCCUCAAUUUACGAUGUCUGGGCUAACAAAUUUAAGAUCUUUAUUUUUCUUUUUGCUGUGGAUCUGCAGGUUUUGACAAGUUUUUUGUGAAAUUGGUGCUGUCAGUGGGUGUUAAUAUCAGGUACCCAUGUUCAGUUUUUCGUUUUGAUUUGAAGGAAUUUCUUGCGCAGAAGAGCUAGGUUUCUUGGUGAGUUCUUCGGGUUGUGCAUAUGGGUAAUUUUCUUUUAGGUAUAACCCUCUGCUUCUGCUGCUCUCUCUCUCUCUCAUCCCUGCCUGCUCCUCUCCAAUUGUUUGCUGUUCUUAAAUAUUGUGUUCAUUGCCUGAUACAAGGAGCUGCAGCAAUCUGUUUUAUCCUACACGGGACAACGAGGCAAUGGCGUGACAACAAGUGAGCUUGGAUAUCCAAAGAAAAAGAACAGUUGGUUCAUCUGCUGGAGUCUGAAGCUCAGAGAAGUGGAGGAAAAUUGCAGGUGUGCGAGAAAUUUUAUUUUGCUGAUAGGACUCCUUAUUUACCGAUGCAUUUUGAAUUAAUUGAAAAGUUGGAUUUGAGUUAACAGCUAUAAAAAUGUAGACAUGAUUGCUGAGAUUAUGCUAUGAAAGUGGAAUAAAAAAAUGGUAGUUUAUAAUAUUGCGUACCAAUUUUUUUCUCUCUUUUUUACCAAAUGAUAAGGGUGGUGGCUCAGGCCGCCCCCCUACGCGUCCCCACUCUUCGACAAGUUGAAAUCAUGGUGAUAGUUUAUGGGUUGCGGUCUUGGGAUUCUGCAAAUAGAAUAAAAAACAGACACUUAACUAUCUUGUUAUUAAGCAUUUCUGCAUCAUUCAGUUGCUCUUGAUUUUCGUCUUUUAAGCGCUCUUAUUUCUGCGAUCUGACUUGAGGAGGGGUUUUAGACCUAUGGUUGUGGGUGUUUUGUCUGACCCCAUUAAAUUGGUUUCCGAGAUUUGUAGACUUGCGAUCGGCGGUCAAACAUUUCGUGAUUCUUGCUUUUUUUCCGACUGGGAUUGACGAAUUUUGGCCGAAUCUGUUUCCUGUUUUCUUCUCUGUUUGAGCGGCCGCUGCCUUUCGGUCGUUGAGCGCCGGCAGUCUUUAGAUCUUUGGCAAAUCAAUUUAAUACAACCGAGGUAUGUUUUAUAACUGCUGUCUUUCAAUUUUUGUUCUGUAUUUUUGUUAAUUUGGAUGAAGCUCUAAUAAUUUUGUUUUGGAUCAGUUGUGGUCCUCUGUUAGGAUUUUCCUGGCUAAGAGGGUAUUUGCAUUUUUGUUGCUUGGUUGGUCGAUCCAGUGUAUUAAAAGCGUGAGGCGUGGGCGAGGCGUCCGAGGGAAGCUCGGCCUAGGCGUGAGGCGUGAGGCGAAGCCUCAUGGGACCUAAAUUUUUUAAUAUAUAUACAUUGAGCGUACACAUAUAUUAUAUUAAAAAUAAGAAGAUUAUUAAUCAAUAAUCACCUUGAGCACACACAUAUAUUAUAAAUAUAUACACACACACAUAUAUAUACAUAUAUUAUAUUAUAUAUGCAUAAAAUAGAGGAUGAAAAACACAAUGAGCACACAUAUAACAAUGCACGCAAACAACACACACAUCCAUUAUAUAAAAAUAAAAAUCAGAAAAAAGGCAUAGAGACAAAAGUGCAAGGAAGAUGUAUGAGACAGUUAAAAUCCUACCCAAAAUUUGGGUUUGGGAGUAAAGAAAAAAAAAAAAAAAAAAAAACUCACUGAGGCGCGCCUAGGCGGCUCCGGCGACGCCUAGGCGGCCUUUCGCCCACUCCAGCAAAACUGAGGCGUUAGCCAUGGAGCCAAGCCUCAAGGGCGCCCUAGGCGCGCCUCGAGGCGAGUUUUUUAAAACAUUGGGUCGAUCACAAAUUUACGAACAGCUGUGGUGGUCCUGUUAGAGCCAAGCCUCAAGGGCGCCCUAGGCGCGCCUCGAGGCGAGUUUUUUAAAACAUUGGGUCGAUCACAGAUUUACGAACAGCUGUGGUGGUCCUGUUAUUUUUUUGGUAUGUUUUUUCUCCUUUUUGGUUUUUUCCCGGUUUGAGCACCCAUUCAUGAAGAAUUAAAAUGUGUUUAUAGUUUUUCAGGAGAGAUUAGAAAAGUGAUUUCAAUUUGGGAAAAUUUAAUGUUGGUUAAAAUUUGUUUAUAAUUUUUGGGAAGGAAUGAGAGGACCCAUUGAAGUAUGUGUUGUGAUUAUUUUUUAUUCAUAUUUUUAACAAAUUGGGCAUGAAUUGGUAGGUUAACUGUGUGUGUUUAUUAUUUGAAUCGGCCAUGUUUGUCUUUCUAUGGUUCUAAAAAAUUUGUAAAGGCUGUUAACUUGGAAGAAAAUGGGAUCGAGGGUGAGGGGAAAACAGCAGAGAAAGCAUGGAAGAGAGAUUUGGGAUUAGGGGUAGGAAAACAGAUGAAAAGAAUAUGAUAGAGGAAUGGGUUCAGUUCAUUUUCACUAUUUUUUUUAACUGAUUUGGAUUUUGUUUGGGUUUGAGGCCAUCAUUGGCGUUAAGACGUUUAUUAUCAGAUCGUGUGUGUUUUUUGCUAACUUUUAUUGGUAAUUUUUAUGUUGUUCUUAUGAUUUUGUGUGGUAGGGUUUCUGAAUUUUAUCGUUGUUCAUUUGGUUUUUUCUGAAUUUUAUCUGAUUUUGUGUGGUGAGUUUACAAAAUAAUACUAAAUAAAUUUAUUUGUAAUUUCGGAUGAUUGUGAUUCAAUCCUACUACAAUUGAAAUUCACAGAAAGAAUGAAAAACCAGAACAAAACUGCAGCACCUAAAAAGUUGUCAUACAAAAAAACAUGGAAUGUAAAAAUAUGUUAAGAAAUCUAGUUCGUUAAUUUCCAGCUGGUAAGCGGCAUUAUGUAACUUUAGUAGUAUAACUAAUUAACUACUUAUCUAGUGGGUUGCACUUCUAUCCUUGAUCUCAGUUGUGGCUGCAAAGUGCAGGCCACCACCAAGUCUCAGUGUUUGUGUAUUAGCAAAACACUUAAAUAAAUUAAAUUCUGAAAUGUAAAUUAUAUUCCUAUAACUUUAAGAUGCACAUAUAGUAUUGUUGAAGUCGAACUGAAAGCACUGACAAUUCCAAGCAACAGAGCAGCAAUUAUUAAGAGCCAAAACUCAUUCCUAGUCUCCUCAUCCUGGUACUCUACUCCGUAAUCUUCGUUCAGCAUCAUUGACUGAAAUUAGGAGAGAAAAAGAAAAGGAAUUUCAGAAAUUGUCUAUGAAGCAAAGGAUACUGCAGUUACUUCAAGACAUGUAAAUUGCAUAUGUAUAAAGUAAUUUUCUACAUAAAGUAACGAGGCAUAACUCUCUCUCUCCUCUUCAAACCCUAAACAGAGCAAAGCCACAAACUUUACAGAGAUUAGAAUGAGAACUGGAAUUAAUAGAACAAUGACUGAAAAGUAACAUACUUGAGGAGUGAAUGAUUUAGUGUUUCCAUCAUCGGAAAGCCGGAGUAAGUCGCUAAGAGAGGUCGCAAACAGCCCAAAGGGACAAACCCAGACCCCCGGCCCCGAUCCAUACCCUUCCCCCUCAAAUCCCGACGGCCCCCAUACUUUUCUCUGACUGUACCCCCUCUCCCACUCAUGAAAUCGAGGAUCUGUAGCAAUGGUACUGAGAUCCCCACUCCUCCCCCUCCCUUUCUCUCUGUCACUCUGUCUCCCUCUCCCUCUGUCUGUCUAUCUUUAUCCCAGAGCGGCAUGGCCUCGCAUCCCUGAAACCCUCACCGAAAGGUGGCAAUUUUGUAAAUAACUUGAAAUCCACCAACAGCAGGGGCAGAGAAUUGAAACAGACAUUUAGGCUCGUUCGAUAACCAUUUAGGCCAAAACUGAGCACACCUAAACCAUUCCUACUCGUGCCAAAUGUUAGCGGGGAAGCAAGAUGAUGACUUUAUUGUUCAAAACCAAAAGAAAAAAAGAGAGAAAACAAAAUAACAAAUCUAAUGGUUGUAGUGUAAAAGCUGAGAACGUAAAUAAACAUGCAGGGAAAAAAAUUGAAGAUACAAAGUAGCUGCAUCAUGAAACACUUGCUCCAAUUAGACGCAAAAAGUGAUGGUGAUGAGAAGAGAGAGAAAAUGCAGUCGUUUUGAUUUUUCUGGCUUUUAAAGGGAGCAGCUUUCUUCGACCACCAAAAAAAGGAAGCUGCUUUUCGUGUGGUUGUGAUUUCCUGAGUGUAUGUGAGCGGGUCUAUGGCACUUGCACUUUUUGUGUCGGUUACGGUAACCGGGCGAGGUGGACACGGCGGCGUGGGACUGAAUUCGGAGAGGUGAGAAAAAUUAAAAACACAAAAAGAAGGUGUUCAUUUUGUCACAUUUUUAUUACUAAAAAUUCAAUAAAGUACAUUCAUUAGUAUGGUAACUUAACUAUUUAAUUCCAUCUCAUUAAACUAAAAAAAACAAUUACAUAAAAAUAAGGGAAACCUUGUCCAGAGAGACCUGAGAGAAAGUGACGACUUCUCCUCUCAUUCCACUCCAUACUUGAUCUCUAAAGUCCAUUUGGCAUGUAAUUGAUGUUCAAUUUCAAAUUUAGUGGUAGCAAUUAGCAAAGCUAAUGAAAGAAUAAAAUAAAAUGAAAGAAAAAGCAUCAUGAAAUAAAUCAAGAUGAAGAAUGAAAUUUUGGCAACUCGCCAUUCUCUUCUUUUAUACAAAAGAUACAUCCUAUUUGUAGUGAAAACAGGUCCCGACAAACCCAGUUAUCGUCAAGAAGUAUUUUGUAUGACUUUAAAAACAUAUUCCGAGAAAUUAUCUCUUGGCUGAGAACAACAACAAAUCUUCAUGCAUAGCUUGUAGAGAAAGACAUCAGGCAUACAAAAGAACACGCAAGCAUAAAAUAAACGACGCAGGGAAAACCAAAAAUACAAUUGGAUACGCUGUCAAAAGAACAUAAAUAAAUGAAAAUUACAAAACAAAGAAGUGAUGAGAAACCAAAGUACCCAUUUCAUAAUCUAAUUGCUUUUUAGUUUGCUUGCCAUUUUUAGUUCUUCAAUUUAGAGAGAAACCAUAAUUCAGCACAUGAAUAAAGUGAAAACAUAAAAGAUAUGUGGGAUAAGCUAACAGCCAUCCCUGAGUAAUGCAUUCACUUCUGAACCCCAAACACACCAAAACAAAAAUUCACACACAUGAACUACAGCUCUGCUAUGUAACAAGAAUUAAAAGCAUCUCAAAACAAAAUGGCAAACUAUAAGAGCAAUGUAAAAGUAAAAUUGCAAGAAAUCUAAUACUUGGAGGGCAAGUACUAAUCAGACGAAAAUGAAAGAUUGAACUACCUCGCGUGGAACUGUGCCUUGGUUUUUUCCCAUGCUUACAGGAAGCUUUGCACUGAGCUCUUAUAGCCCAAAUUUUCUCUGAAGGGAAAAAAACACAAUUUUGAAAUAAGAUUUUCAUAUUAUACCUUAAAGAGAAGAAUUAGACAACAAAAAAGAGAACAAUGAGUACUUUUCAUCAUAUAUUGUUAGAGUAUGUGGUCCUCUAGUCCAAUGGUCCUGCAGCCAUAUUUACUUUAUAACUCUUUCUUUAGUCUAAAAACAUCUUGGAUCUCAAAUUAAUAUGAAUACGGAUUCAUACGCAUGCAUUGCAUUACAAUCACAAUGCAACAUCUCAUUAGAAAUCCCCACACAAAAUUCUUUUAUUGCUACUUUGAUUUUAGUUUAUAUUUUUUCUGAAGCACGAGGGAGCUAAUUUUUUUUUAAAAAUUUUUUAUUCCAAUAAUGUUAUAGGGUUGAAAGGAUAUUAUCAAUUUAAUUGAUUGUAUUUGAUUGGUGGAACUUCUAUAUCUAUAUUUCAGGUUUUCAAAUUCAGCACUGGGAGAGUCAUUCAUAAAAUGUUUGACAGUGAGAUUACCUCCAUGGAUUAUGCUCACAAUGGACAGCUCAUUUUCCGCGGUGAUGGGACAAUAUAUUUCAGUCAUUCGCCAUUCAAUCAAUUCAAACCGAGGAACAAGCAACAUCAAGAAGAGGAUCUGCCAUGUCAGGAUCACUGUCGUCCAAUUAAUACAAAAAAUCUAGAUAAAAACGAUCAAUUUACAUAAAAGCCUUUCAUUUUCUCAGCAACCAAGCAAAAGAAAAUACCUAUCCGUUAAACACUCGAUUUGGGAGUAAACGUUGCUGAAACUGGACUUCAAUCCCCUCAACCGCAACAAUCGAAUCGAGGUGUGCAAGUCAUUGAAAAACUCACCCAAGAUUUCAAAAUCUGCAUAAAGAAAUAAAUAAGCACAUAAAUUAGCCAACCCUGUUAUGAUCCCACAUCGGGUACACAAGAAAUUGUGUAGUGGUACUUAAGUGCAAGGGGUCAUCCCACCUAUUGGACUAGUUUUUUGGAUUGGGCUCUUCCCUUGGGCUUGAGUACCUAACAUUGGUAUCAGAGCCUAGGUUCCCGACGCUGCGAGACUUGGCGAGUGGUGCCGCCUCAUGGUGCCGCCUUGGGAGUAUGGGCUCCCAAGGGUCUUGGAGACGGGCAAGGUAUGAAAUGUCGAUAUUAUCGCGAUAUUUCGCCGAUAAUAUCGGUUUUUUGAGUUACCGAUAUUUUAAUACUUAUCCACUGAGUUUUCGUCAAAAUAUCGCAAUAUUAUCGAUAAUAUCAACAAUAUCGCGAUAUUACCGAUAAUAUCGCGAUAUUUUGGAGAUGUGCGAAUCGGAGAAGAAGGCCGGAGCUUCUACAGCUCCUGCCGACUGUAAAAGAGCACCCUAGACUCCGAUCUAGGUAUCAAAAUGAAAUACAAGACGAGAGGAAUGUUUUUAUAACUUCCGUUUGCCGUGAAACGGUCGAAGGUGUUCGGAAAGUUCGUCGACACCCACGGCCUCGCCAGAGAUGGGUGUGCCUAUUCUCGAGCCGAUUUCGUCCCAAAAACCUUGCAAAAACACGAGAUAGAACUUAAAUUUCACAUCUAAGCUUCAAUCUAGAAUAGAAUGAGGUAAACCCGAAGCUUACCUAACCGGAGAAAUUCAAGAAACUCGCCAGAGGGUUCCUGCGUCGCCGAGUUGCAGAGACGAGAAAGAGAUGGAGAAAGACGAGGUUGCUGAUAACGAUGGGUGUCUUCCUCAAGCAGGUGCGAUGGUGUGCGUGUGUGUAUGUGGGUCUCGGUGCAGAGAGAAAGGAGAGAGAUGAGAGUUUCAAGAAAGAGACGGCGCCAACGAGAGCUAUUUGUUUUUUUUUAUCUUAAAAAGAGAGAGGUCUAAGAGAAAUGGGAAGAGAGGGCCGAGUGAAAUGAAAGGAGGUCCUUGAAUUAUUGAGAGAUAUCUCUGAGAGAGGCCUAGGAUUUCUAAAAGGUAAUUAGAAAUGGGAAAAAUGGGGCACAUCUUAGCCUUUAUUUUGGAAUCCUAAGAAGUUCACCACAUGGAUGCAUGACAUGUGUGCAUGCCAUGUCUGUUGAAUGGGAAAAGUCUGACAUGGAAAGACAAAGAGUCGUUUGGUCCUCUGGGCUCGAGGCAAGAUAGAAAGUGCUAGGGUUUUUUUUUCUGAAAUGAACAUAAGCUGCUAAAUUCGCAUAUAUUAUAGUUGUUGCUAAAGAUUGACACUAGUGCGGACUUGGACGUGUUGGUCAACAUGUCCUCACAAUCCCCAAGUUCUCCGGUUCGAACCCUUACGCCCAUCAAAUUUUUCUUUCUUUUCGAUGCGCUUUUUCCAUGGCUCUAGGUCUUGAUUUCGAAUCCAGGUGAGCCCUUUCCUUUUUCUUUUUUUUUUCUUUUUGUUUUAUUAUUUGUUUAUUUUAAUUUAUUUGUUUCUUUUAUGUUUUUCCUUUCUUUUAGUUUCUUUGUCUUAGGCGUUCGUGUUUAUUAAAGUAGGAUGUAAAAUCAAUUAUCUUAAAAUUAUGUGUUUUUAAAUUUUGGACUUGUUUGUUGGAUACUUUUUUUGCAUUUUAUCAUUAUUUUAUUAUGAAAAUAUGCUAAAAUAUGCUAAAAUAUCACUUAUGUUUUUGUGAAAAUAUGCUAAAAUAUUUAUAUAUAUGGUUUUGUUUUGAAUUCUUUUUGUACUAAUUCAUUAUAUAUAAAUGAUUAUGGUGUGUUUAAACUUCUUUAAUUAAUUACUACAUAUUUUCUAUACUCACAAUGUUUGCUAGCUCGCUAUAUAAUCAACUUAAAUCAGUAAAAUCCAUCAUGCAAUGCAUUUGCUUCCAAUUUUUUGUGAUAAACUAAUAGAUAAUUGAUUAAAUAAACAUCCUGCAAAGUUUCAAUAAAAAUUUCCAAGUUUUUCUUACAAUUUCUGUGGUUUCCAUAUUAUUUUUAUCAAUAUCGAUAAUAUCCCGAUAUUUCCAUCGAUAUUUCCGUGUUUUUGGACUACCGAUAUUUCCGAUAUCAUCGAUAUUUAUACCUUGGCGACGGGGGACUUGCCGACUGGUGCCGCCAUGGACGUUGGGUCUUUCGAAAGGUGGUGUAAUGUUAUGAUCCCACAUCGGCUACACAAGAAAUUGUGUAGUGGUACUUAAGUGCGAGGGGUCCUCCCACCUAUUGGACUAGUCUUUUGAGUUGGGCUCUUCCCUUAGGCUUGAGUACCUAACAAACCCAUAAAUCAAAGAAAUCAAAAUCCACCCAGAAUCAAAGAAAUCAAAAUCCAUCCAAAACCAAAGAAAUCAAAAUCACACACAGAUAUACAAGGUGUACAGUAUUGACAUGCCUUAAAUGAUAUUAUUCACAAGAUUUAUAAAGCUCAUGUUGUAAUACUUGUGCAGAAUCUAUCAUUCACGGCGUCACUUUUGUGCAAGUCGUAAAUAAAAUUAUUCACGAUUUAAACAUUGUGUGUCGUAUUUGACAAUUUAUACUACGCACUUUCUUUUUCUUUUAAAGCUUUGCGUUAUGUCGUAAAGUUGACUUUCUAUAUAUUUGGGUUGUACCUUUUAUGGCGCAAAUAACACGUCGUAAAUAAUGGCUUUUAGCACAGAAGUUUUGUGGUAAAGAAGCCCGCGCACUAAUUCAUUCUCGCGCCUUCUCUUUUUUAUUUAGCCGCUUCUUUUUUUGGUUUUUUUUUUUUUUAAAAUUCCCCUCAAAUCUUAAAAGGGUUUGUAUUUUCUUUGGUAAACUUGAAAGAGAAACAUUGCAAUUGCAUUUUCAUUUACCCAAUAUUAAUUGUCGAGAGCCCACCCCCUUCCCUUCUCUCUGACAUCGUAACUCUCUCCUCUCCAUCGAUCUCGCUCCAUCUGCUCGCCGUCGCUCUAUAUGCUCGUCAUCGCCGUCGAUUCGUCUGCUCGUCGUCACCGUCGCCCAUCUGCUUUCCGUCACCGUCGAAGUGCCCCGCCAUUCAAAAUCUGAAAUCCCCAAUACAGGGUGCUUUGCGGCAUUUCGUUCUCCAAAACUUUAGGUAUGCUCUCAAUCUGUAUCAACCCUAUCCUGUCACCUCUACUUCAAGGUGAACAAUUUAUAGUUUAUAAAUUUUACUUGUGUUAAUAUAUAUUUUUUGGUAAAUGUUAUGGAUAUUUUAUCAAAUCAGAGAGUAAAUUCGUAUUAAGUGAAGAUUGGCAAAGAACAUAUUGUUUUGAAAGGUUGAAUAAUGUUUGCAGAUCACAUAAAUCAGUAGUUGUCAAGUCCAUAAGAGAAGCAAGAAAUCGGAAAGCAAGGCUUCGACUAAAACCAAAUAAUGUCAAAUUAAUUCAAGAUUGGAAGACUUUCCUUGCAAAGUGUAAGCUCAUUUUCAUUUUCUUUCAUUUCUAAGAUUAGUUAUCUUCUUUUGAGUUCAAAAUUGGGUCAGAGAAAUCAAACUGAUAGUAGUUAAAAGUCUAUUUCAACACCAAGCCUUGUCUACACAAGAAUUUGGUGUUAGUUAAACAUGUGUAUGAUUCUAUCUUGAUUGCAUGUUAAUUUAGUUUGAAGAUAGAUUUGGUACAUGCUAGCUAAUUGAUACGUGAUAUGAAUCUUUGGUUUCCUUUUGAUAGGACAAAAGUGAAACAUUCAGAGAGAUGAAGUCUAAGCAACUCCGCACACAUGUAGUCGCAAGGGAUAUGGUAGGUUGGCCGAGGAUUUGGUAAUUACAUUUCAUUCUAGUGCCUUCUUUUCUACAGGACAAGAACAAUUUACUAAUUUUAUUCUGUGUUCUACUGUGUGUUUACUACAUAUAUGUUUCUAUUUUGUAGAAAAGAAAAAGUGUAGACCCUUCUCUAGUUUCUAGAGGUGAUGUUUGGAUUGCAGCACAUACUAAAAAGGGUGGUGGACCAUCCAAUUUGCUUGCUGCAGAGACUAUUGUAAGUAAUUUUUAACCAUUUAUUUCUUCUUGUUUGUUGAUAUGCAAUGACGGAUGAGGUCUUAACUUUGAUGUGCAACGUUAGGAAAAAAAUUAAGCAAUAUGGAAAUGGAUCAUCAUCUGGUUUUCGAGGUGACGUUCUUUCCAAAGUUUUUGGUGCUGAGCGACAUGGUCGUGCAAGAGGAGUUGGAGGUGGUGUUCCUCCUACAAAGCUUGGAAUAUUUUCACAACAAAAAUUGCGUAAUCACCAAAUGGAUGAAAAGGUGCACAAUUUAACUAAUCAGGUCAGAGCACUGACAGAAUUGGUGCAUCUUUUUAUGAAAAAUCAGGUUAGUGAUUUAAUAACAUUGGUAUCAUAUUGAAUAUUUGUGAAAUCAGUUGUAGUGACACAUCAAAUCACAGGGUAAUGAUCUACCAAGUGAGGCAUCUCCUGACACACAGGUUGCAGCUCCUGAGGCACAUGUUGAUACUGUCGCAAGAACUGAAACUCGUCUUUCCCAAUGCGCAACAAAUGAAUCGUGGUGGCGAGGUUGAUACACUUUUUCAAUGAGCCUUCUAACUAUUAAUGCUCAUUGACUCUGUUAAAAGCUCUGCCAUUUUCAAUCUAACUAGACACUAGAAAUGAUCAUUGACUCAGUUAAAAGUUUUGAUGCUUUGGUCCUUUUGCAUAGUUGCGCAUCUACUGAUUUCUAUUUUUUUUCAAAUCCUGCAGGUUAUUUCUGAAAACAUUGAAACAUCGUGGUGUGCCAGAUGGUUUGAUUAUAAGACACCUUCCUUUUGGUCCACCAACUUAUUUAUAACUGCUAAAUGGUACGUAGUGUGAUAAUUUUCAAAUAUUUUGAUAUUAAGACAGGUGUAGGACAACAUAGAAAUUCUUAGGGCCUUCAGCAACAAAAUUAUGAAAAAGUGAGUGAGAUACAAUUAAAAAAAUGAAAGAGAAGGAUCAUGAUUCAUGAUCUAAAGGUUUGAAUAGGGUAGAAAGGAUUUAGUUUCGUUGUUAAAAUCGAUUUGUGAGUCUAUUGUUAUUGUAUUGUCAAUUUGUUUAUUUACUUGAACUUCCUAGUAUCAAUUUGGUUCGAUAUAUCUAGCACCACCAUAGAUAUAUCUAGUAUCAAUUUGGUUAGAUAUUGUCAAUUUGUUAUUUUAUUGUCAACUAUAGAAUGUGCAUCAGUUGUAAAAGGAACAAAACAAUUCAGAUUUUUUGUUUAUGUCCAAACUUAGAAUUGUAUUGUAAUUGACAAUUUCUACUAAUUAAUCCAAGUAUUUGGAGUUUAAUAUGUUUAUGAUCAAUAUUGUUAUCCUUGUAUUGUAUCAGUUUAGAUGUUAUGAAGUGAGGUCUGUCUAAAAAUGAUAUGCUAAAUAUAGAUGUAAAUUACGGCAUCUAAAAUCAGCAAUAAUUGUUGAUGGUAGUCUUUUUUUUACGAUGUAUGCCGUAAUCACCUUCACAAUAUUACGACACUCAACAAAUGCUGUAUCAAAUAUAAAUUACUGCACACUAGUAUGUCGUAAUUGUUUUUCAGUAUUACGACACCCUAUUAACGCUGUAACUAAUACCAAUUAAGGCACGUAGGACAUGCCUUAAGAACAUUUAUGGCGUGUUUUACUUAAAUUAUUCACGACUAUUAGAGUACGUUGUAUUUGUCAAAACAUCUUUUACAACAGGGGCUUUUACUGCUUGGAGGCUCAAGCCGUGAAUUUCCAUUUAUGGCACCCUUUGUGCGCCGUAAAAGGCCAAUUCUAUUGUAGUGAUCCAUGGGUACAUUUUUAAUCUACAUGUUUCGUUUUAAUAUAUCUAUUGCUAUAAUAUGUUUUGGUUGGUUCAAAUUCGUUUUACAUAAAUAUAUGGGUACAAAGUUUUUGGAGAAUAUUAUGUAAAAUGGUUUUUAAGGUUGUUGCAUUUUAUGUACCCACAUAUGCAUGUCUAUAAAACAAUGUGGUAUGAUGUACAUUCUUUUCCUUGAGUUUUUAAAUGUACCCAUGAGUUUUCUUGUAAAUUCGGUAUGUAUCCAUAUGCUAUUUAUGUUAUGGGUACAUACAUUAUUUUUGGUCUAAGUUGGUGGGUACAUUGCUUUUGUAUGUAUGAAUUCAUUGGGUACAUUAUUUCCCUUAAUACUACUCAAUAAAAUUCACAAAAAUGUGCAGUGUGCAUGAAUUUUUAUUGUAGAAAUUGUUUUUUUUUAUUUUUAAUUUUUAAGUCUCAUAAUUCGUGAAUUUUGUACAUAUUGAUCCCAUAAAUUUUUGAAUUUUAUUAAAUUUUUUUUAGACUUGAUCGAUUGAUUGAAUCUCAUAAUAAUCCCUUAAAUGUUCCAAUCAAUAUUUUAAAAUACAGCUUUUUAUUUAAGAUUUCAAAAAGAUGACAUGAAAACAUAGUAAUACUAAAAUUUUGUUUUAAAUUACAUUUGUGUAACAAUCAAUGGUAUGUUAAAACUGGGCAAAAAAAAAAAUGGUAUAUUAAAAAAUUAUAAUUUAUUCUUUUUUUCAUAACUGUCUUCUGCUUAGAUUAAUUUUUUCCAACGUUUCUCUUCGGGAGAAUUAGUUCUUACCAAUAUAUAUGCACAUUAUCUGCUUUUUACCUGGUCUUAACACAUGAUUAAUUACUUUCCUACCUGCUAACGCGUUGACUUGCGCAUCCAAAGUAUUAUCAAAGUCACUGCCACCAAAAAGGUGCCCACUCCACAACCUUUGGUUGAACCAAAGAACAUCACAACAAUAAGGAAAUCGUUAAAUCUAUCUCCGCAACAUUUUUAUUAAUCAUUAGAUAGAUUAAACGAUCCCCCUAUUCAUAUUGUGUUCUUUUGUUGAACCAAACCAUGUCAACAAAAUAUAUCUAUGGUUAAAGCAUCUAGAUUCAAGCUUUUGGAUGUGCAACUUAAACCCCUCAAUGAAUAGCCAAGCAAUUUAUCAUGUGUUUACAGUAGGUCAAAAGAAGAAAGUGUUUGUCUAUAUAUUAAUAGGAACUAAUUCCUCUGAAGAGGAGAGAUGGAAGUGAUGAUAAUAAAAAAAAAAAAAGUCGUAUUCAGUGCACAAGGCUCCCGCUUUACGCAGGGUCUGAGAGAGGUGAAUGUCGGCUAGCCUUACCCCCAUUUUAUGGAGAGGCUGCUCCCAAGUCUCGAACCCGAGACCUACCGCUCAUGGGCGAAGACACUUGCCAUCGCACCAAGUGCGACCUCUAAGGGAUAAGAGAGUAAUCAUGAAAAUUUUGAAAGUGAAAGCAUUGCCUUGGAAUAUAUAUUCUCUUUAGGAAUUCUGUGCCCAACUAAAUUCUAGAUUCUCAAAAUAUGAAAUUAGCAACUUCACCAAACACUUGGACAUGUAACAGGUCACACGUAUGGUACCAACCUUACCAACCUUACCAACCAUCUAUAUACCUAUGUUUUCGAACAUCGUUAGAUAAUUAAAGUACAGUUCACACAGCAUUUCACAUAAAAAUGGCAUCAUACAACACAUGAGAAGUACUUCUUACAGUAGCAGUCUCGUAACAUGACUAUAGUUUUUGUUACUUCUUAAGAAAAAAGAGUUUAAAAUCCUAUUGAAAGAUAAUUGUAGAGACAGAAACCCAAACUAGUUAAUUAGGUUUCUUUACAUCUCAAUAAAAUUGAAGGGAAUGUAUCUAAUAUUAUCUACUAGAGCCUCUACAAUCAUCAUAGAAUCCACAACCCACAUUUUAAUUAAUCGAAAUUCCAUGAACACAAAUAAGCAAAAGUUGAGUGAAGCCUAAGCAAUAUGUGAUCAUUUAGAGAGUCAAACUCCAUCUUUUUAGAAUUAGGGACUUUUCAAUAUGAAAAGGUAACCUCCACAAUCCAAUAUCAUAUGAAAAGGAAAACCCAAGAAAAAUACAGUAUAAUUGUGUGCAAGAGCAACACAAAAAAAGUUGAAGAAUUAGAAAUCAUAAAGAGACUUGAGACGAUUGUUGCUCACUUAGCUAAAGAGCAUUUGCACUUGAGGUCUCGAGUUCGAUUGCCCCCUUUCUUUAGAUCGCUUGAGAGGAAAAACCUACCAUUCUCUAGUCUAAAGAUAUAUGCAUCUUUGACAUGAAUGACUAGAGGGGAAGAAAGUGCAGACAAAUCACACAUACCUUCAAAAAAUUUUAUGGGGUUGGUGAAUGGUGAUUAGGGAUACUGACUUUUAAUAGCCGUUGAUCAGUGUAUAUUGCACACGCCUUCAUCAAUGGCUAGCGUCGGUACAACUGUGAUUGGGAGGGCCUUUUUACGAUAAUAGAUGGGUAAAGGUUUCAUUAGAAGGGGAAUUUUGUUCUGGUUUGCCAUAAUAACUUGAAAUUAAUGGUUUUUUGUAAUCCUUAAGUUAUUGUCAUUUUAGGUUAACUUUGUACCUGGACUCUUUACUGGAGCUAUCAAUUGAAACCCCCAUUUUCUUACCAAAAUAUGAAAAACAAAGAGUCCCAUUUUUACAGCACAGUCCUACUCUAGUUGAAAUCCGAUCGACGGUCAAGAUUUUCUAGUCAUGUGAAAGUAUCACAUAUAUAAAAUUGACUGGAGAAGGCAUGCCACAUUGCCAUGCCCUUGACAGCUUUACUUUGUUUACAAACUUUCUAAAAGAAAGAAAGAAAAAAAUCUAAAAUGGAAGGUGAUAGCGAUUUUACCACUUGUAAAACAAAGGGUUAAACCAUAGAAAAUUCUUGCAAGAGAACAAGUGUUUGUAGUAUAGAAUGGCUCAAGCAAGGUCGAUCUCCUCAGGGACUGAUAUAAACAAUUUACGAGUUUUUAUGUAUUUAACUUAUUUAACUCUAAGAAUUACACUAAUUUAACGAAACUAAAUAUUAUUGGAUGUGACUUAAACAAAUAUCUAAAAUGGGAAUUGGUUUUAGGGAAUAAUGAUUCAACUUAAACAAAACAAGUAAAUGAGGAAAUUCAAGAUAAAAUAAAUGAUUAAGAAAAAUAGAUUGACAAUAUGCUAGAGUUCAACAUUUACCAACAACACUCUUACGUAGCUAUUCCAAUUGCUUAAAUAAUUGAAAACACAUAUGCUUUGAAUGUUGGAUUUUCCUUGUGUAUGUUUUACUUGUGACAUUCAAGCUAAAACGCAUACCACUACAUGCAACUUAUCCAUGACAUUUGAAUUAAAUAUAAACAUGAGUGAUUCAUUAAUCUUGGUGAAAAUCCUUUUGUUAAACCAUAUAAUCCCUAAGAGCAUGAUAUUUACCUUAGGAGAUUACAAUUCUCAAUCACAAGAAGCACAACCAAUUUUAACGUGACAUUCGUUCAAAAUUGCAUCCGAUAACUUUUCUAAGCAUCCUAAUGGUGAUCAAGCAUCAAGGUACAUAGAUAGUUUAAUUCAGUGAUUGAAAAUAUCAAAACAAGCAUGUAACAACACUUAAGCAAUUGAAAAAUAAAACUACGUAUUCAUGUUGCGGCUCAUGGCCUCACUCUAGCAUAAUACUUUAAAUAAUUAAAGCCCAAACAAUUUACCAAAUUUCAUCUCUGUACUCCGCAGAGACGCUAAACGAGACAUAUUUGGUCCAUCUCUGAACAUCUUUUCUUACUGUUCUUACAAUAGAAAGGGCACAAAAUUGACUUACACAGUCUUGCACAAUACUCACUUUGCUUCAACCCAUAUUUCACUUUGUCAAAUCAUACACGUUCCUGCAACAGGUGAACUCAUAUUUAUCUACCACUUCUUGCUAAUUUUAAUUUUUCCAUUCCCAUUUUUACUACAAGUUUUCACAUAAUUUUUUUAUUGCAUUUGUCAAUUCUUUAUACUUUUUAAUUGUAUUUUUUUUUUUGUCUUUUAUGUGUUUUCUAUGUUGGCACAAGGUUACAACAGUAUUAAACAAUUACAGGUCCUCCAGAGGUUUGCUUAUUGCCCUAUUUCAUCAAGCUCGGUAUAAAUAGAUCUUAAUUUUUUACUACAGUUAAAUACAUGGACAUGCCUCCACAAAUACAAAUUAGUUCUUGCUUAAAUACUUUGUGUGUUUACAUAGAAAAUGUUCCCAUCGUCUACCAAAAUCCUCCACACAUGAAAACAAAAAUUCUUACUCAAAAUACUUAUUACAAUACCACCAUAUCUGUUGUUUUUUAUUAAAUUAACACACUGUUUUCAAUUUUAUCUUCAACACAAAAGAAAAUGCUCUUACACAAUGUGUUUGCUUACAUUUUAUAACUUAUCUACCACAUGUUAAUCGCAGUUAUAUAAAUAGGAAAAUACGUGUUCAAUAGAAGUGUGAUGCAUGUCACUUCGUUAACAAUAGUGGAAACUAAACAAUUAAAUAAUUUGUUUCAAUUAGUUAGUACAUUUUAUAAAUUUCUCAAUUAGAACUGUUUCAGUAUAUUUAAUACAUUUUUAAACAACUUUCCAGUUAGUUGCCCAAACUAAUUAUUCCAGCUUAUUCACAGUAUAAUACCAACAAUUUAACAACCAAUGAUACUUCGUUUAACAUAAACUUCAUUUGGAAAAAACAAAAAAAAUCUUUUUCUCUGCUGAAAAAAUCAACAGAUUUAAUGAUGUAGAUCAGUUAUACCAACAAAUUACCAUAGUUUACCCAAUGCUAUACAGGUUUGACUUUUGUUUAUAUUCUUGGAUCUGUUGCUUGGUUGUAUAAUUUGGCUGUGUGUUUUGUUUCAGGACAAUUUGUUCUUCGUUUCUUGAGGCUUCUAUGUGUAGAUUUGAACCGUUUAGCUUUCAAACCGUUUAUACUCAAGGUAAAUAAUUUCGUUUGUUUCUUUUUAACCUUUUUUGUAAGAAUUUUUUAUUUAAUGUUGUGAGAGUUGUGUUUUCUAUAGUAUGGAAAUUGAAUCUUUGUGAUCUUAUAUCGUUAGAUACGUUGCUUGGUUAAUGUGAACACGGAAAAUUCCCGAAACGAAAAAGACAAGAACAACGUGCACAAACAAAUAUUUUGUAUUUGAUGAUUAUUUUGGGUUACAAUCUCUCUCUAAUUUGAUCCUCUGAUUCGAUCUCCGUAAGAUAUUGGUUUGUGGAUGUGCGAUUGAUCCAAGGGCCGUCGAGGCUUGAUCUUGGAUGAACGGUGAUGAACGGAUCUUCAAGGGCUUUUGGGCUUGAUCUUGAAGAAUAGUGAUGAACGGGUCUUCAAGGGCUUUUGGGCUUGAUCUUGAAGGAUGGUUGGAUGUGUGGAUUUGUCGACGUUGUUAAUCCAAAGGGCUGUUGGGGCUUGAUCUUAGGAUGAACGGAUGAUGAACGAAUAACACUUUCUUCAAGGGCCGUCGGGGCUUGAUUUUGAAUUGGUGAAAGUUCUUCAAGGGCCGUCGGGGCUUGAUCUUGAAGGUAGAUGAUUGUUGAUCCAAGGGCUGUCGGGGCUUGAUCUUGGAAGAACGAUGAACGAAGAACGAAGAAGGCUUUCUUGAUUCUUCGGGAACCUGGAUGCUUGAGAGCUUCGGAGUUUCAGAGCUUCAGAGCUUCAAGGUGUAAUAUGAAUUUGGUUCCCUUAAAUGAAUGAAAUUGGCUUCUAUUUAUAGAAUUUUCCAAGGCCUAAUUUUGAAUAUAAUAUUCCAGAUGAAAUAAGUCGUUUCUGCCAAGUGUUGACACGUGUCCUAUUUGAUGACUUUUCCGACUCAUUUCAAUUUUUCGUCGAGUCACACACUACGUGUAAAAUUUAUGUAAUACAUGAGCGUUGAAACUUUGAUUUAUCAGUCAACAUUUAUUUACCAAAAUUUCGAUGUCUACAAAUGCCCCCACUUCAAGGCGCGUCGUAUACAUGUGCUUGUCACGUGUAGGAGAUGCGUUUUGAAGUCCCCUUACUGUAGAUGUCGAUCCAAGGGCCGUCGAGGCUUGAUCUUGAACCGGGCUGGAGAUUUCUUCAAGGGCCGUUGAGGCUUGUUCUCGAACUUUGUUCGAAAUUUCUUCAAGGGCCGUUGAGGCUUGAUUUUGAAUUGGGCUGAAAGUUUCUUCAAGGGCCGUUGAGGCUUGAUCUUGAAUUGGGUUGAAAGUUUCUUCAAAGGCCGUUGAGGCUUGUUCUUGAACCUUGUUUGAAAUUUCUUCAAGGGCCGUCGAGGCUUGAUCUUGAAUUGGGCUGGAAGUUUCUUCAAGGGCCGUCGGGGCUUGAUUCUUGAAGGUGGAUGAUUGUUUAUUCAAGGGCCGUUGAGGCUUGUUCUUGAACCUUGUUUGAAAUUUCUUCAAGGGCCGUCGAGGCUUGAUCUUGAAUUGGGCUGGAAGUUUCUUUAAGGGCCGUCGGGGCUUGAUUCUUGAAGGUGGAUGAUUUUUUCUUCAAGGGCCGUUGAGGCUUGUUCUUGAACCUUGUUUGAAAUUUCUUCAAGGGUCGUCGAGGCUUGAUCUUGAAUUGGGCUGGAAGUUUCUUCAAGGGCCGUCGGGGCUUGAUUCUUGAAGGUGGACUCGAACACAUGGCAAGCAGGCACGAGGUGAAGGUGACGGUCUGUUUCUUUGCUCAAUCUUUCCAAGUGCCGACCGAUUGCUUUUCUUUCUCCUUGUCCCGCAGGCAAGAGCAAGGGUAAAAGAAAAGCAUGCCAUGAGAUAUCUUUGUUUUUGACUCUGAUGAUAUGAGGUACUUCUGCUUUUGAAGAAGUUGCGGAUGAAUCGACACGUGCUUUGUUGUGCUUGUCUCCACAUGCUCAGACUCUUGGCAGAAUGUGAAAGGUGGCAUUUUCUCGAGUUACUCAACUCAGACUCAUUCUGCUGAGUUGACUGUGCGGGCCGCAUUCUUCUCUGCUUGUUUCUUCUGGCAGCCUUGCUCUCGAGUACUCAUCUUUAACAUCUUAUGUUUCUUCUUUGUCUACCACACUGUGGAAGACGAGUACUCGAGAGUAAUACCAUGUAAGCAAUCAGAAAAGGGUUCCAAGCAGUCGGUUCCAGAUCGGAAGAUUGAUACCAAGUGUUGGCUGAUUGCUUUCCUUCUCAUUGUCCUACAGGUUAGAACAAAGACAAGGAAAAGGACACGGAGAAUGCAUGAUAUGAGAUACUCUUGCUUUCUCCCUUCAUGAUAUGAAAUACUUUUGCUUUUCAAGAUUUGUUUGCAGAGGUAUCCUAUGGGAUGAAGAACACUGAGUGAGUUGAGAGGGUUUGUUGGAAAGCCAUUUGUCGGAGAUGACGGAAUGUUAUGUAUGUCUGCCUUGCCAUGGAGCGUGAAGGUCGACAUUUGUAGGAAAUAAUAACUGGUACUGUUCUUUCACUCCUGUCGGCAACCGUUGGAUGAUUGAACAGUAAACUUCACGUGAUUUCCUCAAAGCUUUUUCUGCAUGCGACAAGUGCUGACGAGGCUGAGAGAGACAUGCGAUUGGAAUCGGCGCUUCGACAAACUUUUCCAUGAUUUUCGCAAAGCUGACGAGGCUGAGAAAGACAGAUGGUUUGGAAUCGGCGUUUCGAUAAACUGCCCGUGAUUUCCGCAACGCUGACGAGGCUGAGAAGGACAGAUGGUUUGGAAUCGGCGUUUCGACAAAUUGCCCGUGAUUUCUGCAACGCUGAGUUUGCGUGUGACAGGUGCUGACGAGGCUGAGAAAGCUGACACUUCUUCGAUUUUUGAGAUCAGUCCGUGAUCCUUGAGUAGGCCUAGCUUUGGAGAAAGCAGGCGCUUCAUCGAUCUCUGAACUCGCCUCUUCGAUCUCUGAAAGCCCAUCGCAUGCUGUUUUUUUAUAGAGGUACGCAAGACAUUCAAAGCACACUUGAAUUUCUACCUGUGAAAAAAAACUCCCCUUUUGCAUAUCUGAGAUCUUUAAUUUGCCCGACCUCUUCAUUUUGUUGAACACCUUCGGAAAUGUCUUUCCCAUCUGACCGUCGUCUUGACUUGAAUAUCGAAGAAGAUAUUGACAUGUCUUCUCCAGGCAACAUUUGGCAGCUGUCCUUCGUAUCCUCCAACGAACCUCUUACGGUUGGGGACACUGUGAUGAGGAAUGACGCAACGGCUGCAGUGGUUGCUAGAAAUCUUCUCACUCCUAGGGAUAGUAAGAUGCUUUCCAAGCGGUCCGACGAGAUGGCUGUUCAAGACUCUCUGGCCUUCAGCGUCCAAUGUGCGGGCUCAGUAUCAAACAUGGGCCAACGCCUUCUUGCUCGAUCUCGUCAGGUUGAGUCUUUGAUGGCCGAGGUGGCUAGUCUUCGGCAGGAGAUCAGAGGGCUUAGGCACGAGAAUAAAGAGUUGCAUAUGCUAGCAACUAGUUACUCAACGAGCAUGAAGAAGAAGCUAGACCAACUGCAGGAGUGUGAAGUUCGGGCUCGAAAUGAUCAUCAAAGGUUUAUGGCGUUACUCCCGAGGCAUCUUCUGCCUUCGUCAUCUGGCGCUUCACCAAAUGUUGAGGCUCCGGAAAAUCAAACUCUGGCGCUUCGUCUUUCUGGAGCUUUACCAAGUGUGGAGGCUUCAGUUGAUCCACCUCCGGUGCUUCGUCUUUCUGGAGCUCCGUCGAGUACUGAGGCACCACAUGAUCAUCCUUGAAGAUCCUUUCCUGUAAAUUUGAUUUGACUUUUUUUUUAAGGUAUGUAUAAUGUAAAAUUUCUAGAAAAAUAAAAUGGACUUUAUUUCUCUGAACAUGUUUUUUUUGUUUUUUUUUUUGGCUGUAUAUUUUCUCUUUAAUCAUGGUGCACCCAUUUUCCACAUGGUGCCAGACGGACCAAAGAUCAAACAUUUCCUUUUUUUAUUUUUUUAUUUUUUCUUUAAUCAUGGUGGCAGACGCAUAAACAAUUUCAUUUAUAUUUUUUUUUCUUUUUGCUGGCACAUGGUGCCAGAUGCACCAUUCAUUUAUAUAUAUUAUUAUAUAUGUUUUUUUUAUUUUUUUUUAUUUGCACAUGGUGCCUGAUGCACCACCUCUUUUUUUUUCACGUGGUGCCAGCAUCACUUUGCUCCACCAUCCAUUUUUUUUAUUUUUAUUUUCUGUAUAAAUUUGGGUGAUGGGUAGAGGAUUUUGCAGGCAGGGAGCAAGGAGGCCGAGAAGAUGGUGCUUCGAACUUCAUGACCGGCUAGUCGUUUGACGGCGGUCGUUGAAGUCGUUGGCAGUUGCGAGGCAAAAGACGGAGGAGAAGGUGGAGUAGGUGACCUUGAUGUCGGAUCCAGCUAGAACCCAGAGCACAGCGACUGAGCCCAAUCACCGAGCACAACCGCUGCACACCCGUUGUACUGCCACCGAGCACUGCCACUGCGCAUCUGUUGCACUGCCAAUUGCUGCAAAGGAUUAUGUUUAACGGCGGAGACGCUGCCCUAUUUGCCAUGCUAUGCCGACGUGCUUCACAUAAUUAACCAUCCAGAAUUGUUAAACAUUCCAUCUGGGUUUAUCGCAAAAACAGAAGAAGAAAAAAACCAAGAUCCAUCCAUGCCAAACACCAAUCUGCCAUCUUUUUGGGAUUUGUACGACAUCAUCAGCCAAAACCUGCUUGGUCCGCUCGCAAAUUGUGGGAGAGGAAGAGUUGGCGGAGCAGCUGUAACACUGGAAAAUGGAGGACGUUGACGAGUCCUCCAAGUUGUUCUUGACGUUGGUGCUGGAGAAACCUGCCUCUCUCAUGACUCUGCUGACACUUGGGUCGUCAAGGAUGGGGAUGAUGAGCUGCUCGAGCUCGACUUUGAUGGUUAAGAGCGGCUGCUGCUGCUGCUCGAUGCAGUCUCUUCUCUGAUGGGCUUGGGCUCUCUUGAGGGCGUUGGAGAGAGAGGGCUGCCCGUGGAGGAGAGGGCAUGGAGUUGUUGGGAGAAAUCAGGGCCGGAAUGGAAAAUAUUCCCGAGCUGCAUCAACGAGGAGAUAACACCGCUAAGUUAUUCAUCUGGUUUGCUUUAGUCAAAUGGAUCAAUCCGCGGGUCAUGCUCGCUUGCCAUCAUCAUCCCAGUGCACAGGCAUGUCGGGCACAUGACCUUUCCAGCACCAGAGCAAUUUGGGCACCUCUCAGUUGUGGGCACUCGCAAAGGUUGGUCUGAUGCACUAGAUGCUGAUAUAGGAUUGAUGUUCAAGCACACUCCACUUGCAGAACAUCUAGCACAGGCCAAGUACCCAGUUCCAUGGCAAUAUUUGCACCUUUUCUUCUCUUGCUGCUCAACAUUAUUAGCUUCAAUCAACAUCAAUGCUGAAAUGACACCCACUGCCCCACCGGAGAAGGAUGCCACAAUAGGAUCAACCUGACUUAAUUGUAAAGGCAGAUGCAUGCUACGAAUGAAAUCUUCAUACGAGGUACCUCCUAUACCUAAUUUUAGUUCCAACGAUGGCGCAAUGAGACCCCCAAAUACAAUUACACUAGAUAUCAUAGAUAAGCUUGUGAGGUAGAGCUGCUUCAACGUCUUUGGUGUCAUAUGAGGGAGAAAAGGGAUAGUGGAUGGAAUGUCAGGCAUCUCAUUUGACUCUUCCUCACAAGCCUCAUCCAUAUCUCUCGCCAUCUUUAUCCGUUGCUGCACCCGCAAUCUCCUUAGCUCUUCCAUGAGAAGAAAAAUCUUGUUGUGCCGGCUUCUUAUGUUGUCCUAAAUUUCCUGUAGUUGCAUCUGCACAAAGUCCUGCACCGUCUCCGGCUCUUCUAUGAUACAAAAAGUGCUUGGCGUGUUAUCGCCGGGGAAUGAUUCCUUGGAAGCAGAACAGGAAAUUUGGGGAUGCGGGGAGGUGAAUUUGGACAGAGAGAGACGUCUAGGGAUUCCAUGGGAGGGGGGUUGAGAGUGGUUUUUUGCCGGCGCCUCUAGGGUAGUCGUCGUUGGCUAUUGCUAUAGAGAGGUCAAUGACUUCACCGGAGAUGGCGUUGUUCUGGAGCCCGAGCGUGAGAAGCCGGGUGAGAUUGUCUGGAAAGGGUCCCCAGAGGUUGUUGUCGGCGAGGUCGAGAAGCUUGAGCUUGGUGCAAUUGACGAGAGGAGAAACGGUGUCGUUGAGGCGGUUGUUGUGGAGGUCGAAGAGUGAGCUGGGCGAGAUCAGAGAACCUUGACGAAUUCGGAGCGUUGAGGGUUAUCAACACGAUCCCAUCGACGAAGAAGAAGCAGAAUGGGCCUCUUGCGGGGCCUAUGGCAUCAACCGGUCUUUGGGCUUCUGGGCCAGUAAAUUGGAGAGAAGCCUGGGCUUUUGACUUGCAGAGAGAUUAGGCUCUGGGAGCCGCUUGUAGUAUUGUGGCUAAAGGGGUUGCUUCCUGUGGCCACUUAUAUAUAUAUAUUUUGUAAAUACAUAAAACAUUUAUCUCUUUUUUUUUCUUUUUUUUUUGUACAAAGAAAUUGUAAUAGCAUCAAAACUUUUAAUAAAAUCUUUAUUCCUUAUUUUGGUGUGACUGAACUCAAAUUUUGAAUAUUCGAGUUGCCUACGUACCUCUCCAAAGAAGAGAUCAAGUCGUAACGUAGUUCAAAUGAGUGAUGAAUUUAACAGUGAUUUUGAUGAUGAUUUUGUCGUACACAGUUUAUGCUCUUGCGGGCCAGGAGCUUUGGUUCGUGCAGUUUAGGCUCGUGCGAACAAGGAGUGUUGGUGUUGCCUUUUAUGCUCGUGCAGACCAGGAGCGUUGGUGUUGCCUUUUAUGCUCGUGUAGACCAGGAGCUUUGUGCCAUGCAGUUUAGACUCGUGCAGGCAAGGAGCGUUGGUGUUGCCUUUUAUGCUCGUGCAGACCAGGAGCGUUGGUGUUGCCUUUUAUGCUCGUGCAGACCAGGAGCUUUGUGCCAUGCAGUUUAGACUCGUGCAGGCAAGAAGUGUUGGUGUUGCCUUUUAUGCUCGUGCAGACUAGGAGCUUUGUUGUGCCAUGCAGUUUAGGCUCGUGCAGGCGAUGAGCUUUGGUUCAUGCAGUUUAGGCUCGUGCGAACAAUGAGCAUUGUGCCAUGCAGUUAGGCUCAUGCAGGCGAGGAGCGUUUAUUGGUUCGUCAAGCGAUCCAGGAGAGUCGUUCCUCGCAAUCUUCAUAGCAAGGAGCCUUGACUGAGUGAUUGAAGAAGUCUUUGGGGAAGAAAUCGCGCAUCGUGAUGGGGAUGGACGAUAUUUGUGUCGUCAUUUCAUCAUCUUCAACACUUUCACUUUUCUUUGAAGGUUGACAAGAGCUGCUUUGCCCCAUUUCCGAUUGGCGGACUUGUGGAUGAGACGUAUGCUUCUUCUGCAGUUUCUCUAGAGUGACAUGAGUCAUUCCUUCAACUUCGCUUGGCUCAACUGGCAUGGUUUUGGAGCAUGCCCCCAGCGAUUGAGGUGAAGAUUUUGAGUUGACAAAGCCGGAAGUGACGUCUUCUUCCAUGAUUUCAUCUUCUUUGUCUUCUUGGGCUUGUUGGCGUGAAGAUUGGCCGGCGUAGAUGAUGGUGCGCCUCUUUACCUUCAGUGGUCCUUUUGUGUCGACCUCCCAAGCUGUUUGGCGCUUUAUCCUUGAAUGAAUCAAGCUUCGAACGUCGUCUUUUCCUGCUAGACCGUCGAGCUUUUCUUCCUUUGGCGUUGUCUUCCUAUUUCUAGAAUGCUUCUUGGUUUCUUCAAGUUUUUCCAAAGCCGAUCGUUGGGGAGGAGAGCCAGCCUUGCUGCUUUGUUUCUUAGGUUUUGACAACCUUUCAAAAACAGAGCUUUGGGGUGUUGGCGUGUUAAGCCGUUUGAAGAUGGAAGUUCGGUCUUGCCCACCAAUGCGAUCAAGUGCCGACCUUCUGGGUUUUGAACGAUUCAGCCUAUCGAAGACUGACACUCGAAUAGGAGGUUGAGGCUCCUCUUGAUCUUGUUCAAUCCUCAAGCUGAUGUGUCGAGUGCUAGCAUUUUUUGCUUUACUUGAAAUCUUCACGGGUGCAUUUGGUGUGAAGCCAAGUCUAGCUCUGUUGUUGUCAACUCCGUAAUCAUGCUUUUCCAACUUCUUCUGAGUCUCGGUGAAGUCAUGAUCUUUGUCGUUGAUGGUGUUUGAAACCUUCUUCUCAAGAUUUGAAGAGGAAGCAAAGUCGUACCCAGCCUUUAACAUGAGUUCGUAGGCGUUUGGGUUGAGACCUUCUUCGGUCCUCUUAGUUGGAAUGAAGCUUGGGUUCGCUUUGACGCCAUGAUGCGCCUCCAGACGGUUGAUAAGUCCAACGGUUUGCAAGUUUUUCUCCUCCGCAGUCUUUAUCAGCCUUGCAAUUGUUUCCUUCAUCUGAACUAGUUGUUCUUCAAUAGAGGUAGCGCCGAUGGUCAUGACUUGUUCUUUGUUUGAAGCCAUGAAGUGUGCUUGAAUUUCUUGAACAGAGAAAGAGAUGAGAGGUAGAGAUUGUCCCACUGGGCGUGCCAAUUUGUGAACACGGAAAAUUCCCGAAACGAAAGAGACAAGAACAACGUGCACAAACAAAUAUUUUGUAUUUGAUGAUUAUUUUGGGUUACAAUCUCUCUCUAAUUUGAUCCUCUGAUUCGAUCUCCGUAAGGUAUUGGUUUGUGGAUGUGCGAUUGAUCCAAGGGCCGUCGAGGCUUGAUCUUGGAUGAACGGAUCUUCAAGGGCUUUUGGGCUUAAUCUUGAAGAAUAGUGAUGAACGGGUCUUCAAGGGCUUUUGGGCUUGAUCUUGAAGGAUGGUUGGAUGUGUGGAUUUGUCGACGUUGUUGAUCCAAAGGGCCGUUGGGGCUUGAUCUUAGGAUGAACGGAUGAUGAACGAAUAACACUUUCUUCAAGGGCCGUCGGGGCUUGAUCUUGAAUUGGUGAAAGUUCUUCAAGGGCCGUCGGGACUUGAUCUUGAAGGUAGAUGAUUGUUGAUCCAAGGGCCGUCGGGGCUUGAUCUUGGAAGAACGAUGAACGAAGAACGAAGAAGGCUUUCUUGGUUCUUCGGGAACCUGGAUGCUUGAGAGCUUCGGAGUUUCAGAGCUUCAGAGCUUCAAGGUGUAAUAUGAAUUUGGUUCCCCUAAAUGAAUGAAAUUGGCUUCUAUUUAUAGAAUUUUUCAAGGCCUAAUUUUGAAUAUAAUAUUCCAGAUGAAAUAAGUCGUUUCUGCCAAGUGUUGACACGUGUCUUAUUUGAUGACUUUUCCGACUCAUUUCAAUUUUUCGUCGAGUCACACACUACGUGUAAAAUUUAUGUAAUACAUGAGCGUUGAAACUUUGAUUUAUCAGUCAACAUUUAUUUACCAAAAUUUCGAUGUCUACAGUUAAAUGAUUUGGCUGUGUGCAUUGUUUCAGGACAAUUUGUUCUUCGUUUUUUGGGGCUUCUGUGCGUAGCUUUGAAGUCCUUUGUAGUCAACAUAAAUAAUUUUAUUUUUCUUUGUUUUUAGUCUUCUAUGUAAGAAUUUCUUAGUUAAUAUUCUGAGAAUUAUGUUUACUAUAGUAUGAAAAUUGAAUCUUUGUGAUCUUCGAAGUGUAACGUCAUUGCAACAUGGACGACUGCCAUUAUCGAACAUGAAAAACAUUUUGAUUUCUGUACUCCGUCUAGUAGAAAACUCUCGACUUCUUCAGAAACCACGAGAAACUUAAAACUGAGAAAGCUUCGCGGUCUCCCUUCCAUCUCUGCUACGCGGUCUCUGCUUUGCGAUCUCUGCUUCCUUCGUGAUUUCUUCCUUCCUGAACGACAUCUAUUCGAAUUGAAAACCUUCUGGAGCUCUCUUCCCCAAAUUUCAGCAGCAACUUUGCUCCAGAUCUUUCCAAUUGAAAUUCCUCUCCUUCACAUUUUGCAUAUUGAAUUUCGCAUCAUCAUCAUCUCCCUAGAACCUAGGAGUUCGGUUCGGUUUCGAGUUUUCCGACGGAAAUCCGGCGACAGCGGCCAUCGAGGUUGGUCUGAAACUAUUCCUCAUCACCACAGGUACUUUCUACACCUAUUACAUUUUAGAAAAAGUUUCAUGACUUUGUGGAAUCCAAUUUAACGAUUAGAAAAAUUUUCAUUAAUUUUCUGGGUUCGUGAGUUGGAGGGGGAUUAGAAAUUUUUUCAUUAUUUUUCUGGGUUUGUGGUUUUUUUUUUCCAAAACGUUUUUCCUUUCUACUAAUCCAAGUUCCUUCACAUCAAUCUCUCUGUUUUGUUCUUGAUCUUCCUCGAGUAGAAUACCUCUUCUUGCUCUGGAGCGCGUGGGCAGUCUCUCUAAGGCAGCCCAUGACGUCAUUUUCCGAUUCGACUCGGAGGAGGUUGGCUGCUCUUCUUGGCUGAGCUUCAUGGCUGGCCGAAUUCCCCUAUUCCCUUCCUCUUAUACUUUUUUAUAUUCGUUCACCAAAACAAUAGGAAAACGUCUCCGUCUGUUUGAUUGACGGCGAAAAAAAAAAAGACGGAGAAUAAAAGCCUGACGGAAGCUGAAAGCUUGGACUCUGUUUGUAUUUUUAAUGGAUUUUCAGAACACAGGUCAAGAAUAUUGCGAUUUGAGAAAAAAAGAAAGAACCACGUUGACAUAAUAUAUUCACAAUAGGUGUACAAGGUUCAUAAAGCUUUACUGUGGUUCCAUUUUUUGUUAAUGGAAUUAGCCUUUUGUUUUAGGAAGAACUUGGAACCCCCUCCGUCCAUUCUAUCCCCAAUGGAAUUAACACUUAGAUAGUACUAUGACAAUGUGUCAUUAUUUGAUGCAUACCUGUAUAAAUUUAGGCUAAGUGUUUUAUACACAAAUUGAUACAGAUUAACUAUACAAUGAUAACUAUAUACCGGAGAGCUAACUAUACAAUGAUACAUUCUUAUCUGUUAAUUAUCUUUGGUUACCAGCUAUCCAUGUUGCUGUCAUAUUAAACUACACAACAUCAGUUGUAAUUUAUGUCUUAUUAGUAUCAUCAUUUUUGUUCAUUAUUUCAAUGUCUAACAUAACUCCGCCUAUGUCUUACAUGGCCGGUCCCAAGCCCGGAUAAAGGAGGAGGGGGAGGGCGUCAGGUAGUCGACAGCCGGCACUCCAUGAUCACGUCGAAUCCUUAUGAAAAUGAAUCCAGAACAAAACCCCACUUAGUGGGAAAAGGCUUUGUUGUUGUUGUAUUUCAAUGUCUAACAUGAUGAUCUGGUUUCAAUUUGCUACAGGCAUUAUUUCCAGACAAUAGCUAUGGUUUUGAUUGUAGCGGUGACUGAAAAAUUAUUCCGAAACUAACAUUUGAGGAAUUCAAGGUUUGUUAGUUAAUUUGUACAUCAGAAUACCAUGACAAACUAUGAAGUUGUAAUUGUUGACCUUACAAUGUAUCUUUUUUGGUUUGGAGCAUUAGACUUAUAUGUGUUGCUUUCACCUCAUGAAGGCUAACUCUUUAUUUUAGGCCGUAAGAGUAUAAUUUCUUGGAGAAUCUACAUUGUUGAUAAUUUUUUGAACAAUAUUAUCCCCAAAAUUUCUCCGCAUGUUACCCUCAACGUAGACAUCAUAUAACCAUCAUUGAACUUCUGAACCAAAAAUUUGAGUUUUAUGAUUAUAACUAAACGUCUAUAAACACAUGAUACAGAUUGAGACGAAUGUCAAAUUUAAAAUGGCAUUAAUACAGCUGCAAACUCUGAUUUGCGGGAUUUGAAAUGGAGCAGUUACUUCUUGCUUCACUUCAGCAGCAUAGUCCAGCUUCUAAAUUCAGUUCUCAGGUAUGAGGUUUCUCAGUUACCUCUUUUUUGUAAUAAAACAUUUGAUCAGUACUUGCCAGGAUAUCCAAUUAAUUAGGUCAGUUUUUGUUAGCAGUAAUAAUUUGUUUUUGCAGCUUUAUAUGUGUCUCUGUCUCCAAAUAUGAUGAUCUCUUAAUUUGCUUCUAUAGCUUUUGUAAUAUAAUGAUCUCUUAAUUUUCUUUUGCAUAUCUUCUUUGCUUCCUCUGCUAGCUCUAUAUGAGAUUCCAUCUCCAAAUAAUUAUUCCUUAUUUCCUAUUUUUACCAGAAGCAAAUCAUUGAAUACACAUGGUAAAUUAAAAGGGUUUUAGUUUUUGGAGUAGUUUAAAUUUUUUGUUUGUUAUUGCUUGUAUUGCUGUUAAAUAUUUGAUGGGUAGUUUGAAAUGGGGAACUUGGUUGAUUGAGUAUUAACUUUUAUUAAAUUAAUAUUCUUAUUCAAUAUUGAAUUAAGACUCCUCUUAUUAAAUUAAGACUCUUAAGGCUCUAAUCUAAUGUUCAUGCUCAAUAUCUCCUCUAUCUUUCUACAAUUGGUAAAACUUUUGUAUUAUUAUUCCAAUUUUGGUUACUGGGUUGUGGAAUUUUCCAUUUUUUUUCUGGGUAAUCAAUACUAUAUAUAUGCAUGACAAGUAUAAACAAUAUUUUGGGGCAAAUUUAGUUGUUUAAUUUUUAAUUUUUAUGUGACAGUGAGAUUAUGGUAGGAUUUCGUUUAGAUUCUGCGGCCCAAUGGGAGUCUCUGCUUUGAUAAGAUUGGGGUUGAUGCCAAGAAAGCCAAUAAGCCUACUGUGGACGCCGUAGCCGCCUGGCGCUGUUUUCCAAAAUCCUCUCUCACUUGGUUAAGCAAUUAAGACUUUUUGGUUCAGUUUUUAUUAUGCCCAAUUUUGUAUUUAAACCUUAAAAAAAUUUAAACUGAUAUGGGGAUACUGAAAUAGGCUGCAGAGCUGCCAUCCCUGAAUCAGAAGAUGUUCAGAAGGAAGAAGAAGAACAAGAAGAAAGUCGUGGAAUAUCAAAAGCUUUUAGCUUUGUGAAGGUAUGCUUUUUCCCAACUCACCUCUUGCUUUUGUUGCACUGAAUUGGUAGAUUGGGUUCAAAAAUAUAUAUAUGUGAUUUUUCGUGUAACUAUUUCUUUACAUAAUUACCAAUUGGAGGUGAUUUGAGAUCAUGUAACAUUUCCUCGCUAGAACCGAAGAUUGCCGUCGCUCAGAGCUGCGUUUCAUGAAACAAGUUCAUCUCCUGCCAAUUUUGUGUACCCACCUUUUAUUCAUGAGGGUUGGUGCUUGCUUGCAACACAAUUUGGUGCUAUUAAGUUUUGCGGUUUUACAAUUUGUUCAUGCUUAAACCUCUUUCAAAUUUUCAUUUCUAUGUAAAUCUUGCAGGUAGGACGACACACCUAUCUUGGCAAUGUCGGGAUGUCUAGGCUUGGGUGGAGACGUGGUCUUAUGGAAGAGGUGAAGUAGCUUAGCUCGAUCUCAUUAGCUCUUAUCUGUUCUAUUAUGCUAAGAUCAAUAGUAAAAAGUUCUAUUGAUUUUAUAAUCAAAGAUACAUAUAUUAUAGAAACAGAGGGUAUAUAAUUAAUUUCUUGAUGUAAACAAUUAUAACUUGAGGAACCAUUUAAAGUAUUUUGGUAAUCAGCAUACUUAAACUUAAAUGUGAUAUAUCCGUUUAGUAUUUUUUUUAUACAGUGAUAAUACUUAAGUAUAAUUUACAUCAUAUAUCUUUUGAAGUACAUGAAACUAUGAAGAAAAUGAUAAACCAAAUCCCAUUCCAUCUCUGUUUGCUACUGCACAAUCACAAUCCAAUUCCAACAUGGAAUCCUCAGACGACAUGCCUACUGCAGAACAAGUUUCAUCCUGACUUAACUUAUAUUUAGUCCACGUCCUGUUUAGAUUGUAAUCCUAGUUCUACGUGUGUUUGUAUAGUACUCCUAUAAAUAUCAAUGAACAUCGCUCACUCUAAUUAAGAGUUGAGAUUCUGCAAAUCAUAUUUACUAUCUUUCAUGGUAUCACGAGCCAGCGUCUAACGACAACGGUUCCUAUUAUAAUUUUUUUCUCUUUUGCAGAUCCUAAACUAUGGCAUCUUCUUCCUCCUCCGCUGCUCCCUCCAUCACAAAUUUUCUUACGAUCAAGCUCGACCGCAACAACUACCCUCUUUGGCAUGCUCAGUUUCUUCCCUUGCUGCGCAGCCGCAACUUACUCUCUUAUGUUACUGGCGAAACUCAAUGCCCCUCUUUCUUCUUGAUGACAAUGGUAAAUUCACCGAUAAAGUCAAUCCAUUAUAUAAUGAAUGGAUCCAGACUGACCAGAUGAUCCUAUCUUGGAUUACGAGUUCUCUUACUCCCAAGGUUCUUGCUACGAUCGUCAACAAAAUUGAUUCGGCCUCUGCUUGGUCGUCAAACUCGAAUUAAUCUGAUUGUGAGGGUUUUGUUUUAUAUCAAUAUAUUGCAACAGAAGUCACACUUUGAAGAGUUCAUGCUGCACAGAAAGAUGAUGAAAUGCUACCCGUUGAGUCUAUCAUUGCUCCAUUGGAGACAGAGCUGAAGCUUACUGCAGGAGUUAUACAUUUGUUAUGCAAUAUGACCCCUUUAAUUUUAUUUUAAAACUGAUACAAAAAUACUACAAAAAUUUAUGUAGUAUUUUUGUAUCAGUUUUGAGUGUCUAUUUUGGCUUCCAUAUAUCGUCUGUACAUGUGAGAGGUAUAGUGUUCAAUAUGUAUUUGGUUUCUAUAUUGUUAAUGGAUCCUUUUUUUUUUUUUAAUUUUAAUAUAAUUUUAUUAAGGUAACCAAGUUGCAGGAUGACAUCAGAACACUUGAUCUGCAGGUAAACCUUCAAUUUCCAUAUGAAGUUUGCAUGUUCGUUGUUUCUGGAAUUUGAGUUUUUAUUAUUUCUCAAUUCUAUCACAUAGAUUACGAUUUCACAUAUGUGAUUAUUAAUGGCAAUUAUAUGAUAGAAGAAUUGGGAUUGGAAGAAGAUAUUGAGUUGUUUAUUUAUGGGGAUUAGAAAAUGAUUAUCAUACAAGUGAUAUUUAUUUUUGUGUGGAUUGUUAAUAUAUAAAACUAUAAGCUUUUGAGAUUGGGAGAUAAAACCCACAAAUUCAAAUCAGACAAAAUAAAUAAAAAAUUUAACUGACUUAAAGAUCAAACUCCAAAAGGGUAUUAAAAACAAGGCUUAUUUGAUCCAUUGAGUGUGAAAGUUUUGAGCUUUGAAGAAGCAUAGGAGGAGAGUUGUUAACCAAGCUGCAUUAUCCAUGUAUUAGGAUGUUGAGGGUAGGCAGGAAAAAUACUUUUUGACGCCAUAUCCAGAGGAGCAUAACGACAGGCCUGCAUUUUUGCAGCAAGGACCAAAACAAGUAGAAGUGAAGGCUUGACUGUUUGGGUAUUAAUCCUAAACCUAAUUAUUCUUAUUUAGGUUUAGGAUAAAUGAUUGAGUGUGUCUCGAUGAUUGUAUUACCAUGUUUGAUGAAUGACUUGAGGAGUUGGAAAUGGUUUAUUGCUUAUGUUUUUCUUAGGUGUGUACUUUGGUUAUUUCCGAGCUUUUCACGACUCUUGAUACCUAAUAGAGAAAAUGGAAACCCCAACUUUAAUUUUAUGAAUUGGUUUUGGUGCCUAAAAUGAAAUCUAGCAUAGUGAAAUCUUGCAUAAUGAAAUUAUGACAAAUUUCCCUUCAUCUUUAGAUUUUCAUUUAGUUCAAUUUGUAUGCAAUUUAGGGUUAUUCAAUUCAUGAGUGAUCAAAUUAUGUUUUUAAUUCCUUCUUCUUUUGAUUUACAGUUCAACAUUGUCGUACAAAAUGAAAAAGGUGCCAGUAACAUAGUUAUGGAUUUGGAUGCCUUUAGCGGAAUAAAACUGAAUUUUUUAACUUUGUAUAGUUGUAAACAUAAAAUACUCCAUCAGAUAGACUCAUAGCAUUUGAAAACAAUCCUUGAGGAUGGCAUAACAACAUCUCCAACUUUUGUCAUGUAAUGUAUGAAUGUAAAUAGCACUUUGUAAACAUAUGGAUGUAAUAUAUGUAUAUAAACAGUCUUUAGCAUGUAUAUUUUUCAAAACUUUCUACAUCUUCAACAAUGUUUCAAUGAUUUCUUGAUGUAAACAAUGAUAAUUUGAAGAACCAUUUAAAGUUUUCGGUAAUCAGCAUACUUAAGCUUAAAUGUGAUAUAUCCGUUUAGUAUUUUUUAUACAGUGAUAAUACUCAAGUAUAAUUUACAUCAUAUAUCUUUUGAAGUACAUGAAACUAUGAAGAAAAAACCCUAAUUAAUCUGAUUAUGGGGGUUUUGUUUUAUAUCAAAAUAUUGCAGCAGAAGUCACACUUUGAAGAGUUCACGCUGCACAGAAAGACGAUGAAAUGCUAUCUGUUGAGUCCAUCAUUGCUCCAUUGGAGACAGAGCUGAAGCUUGCUGCAGGUGGUAUACUUUUGUUCUGCAAUAUGACCCCUUUAAUUUUAUUUUAAGACAGAUAGGGUUGAAAAGAAUUUAUGUAGUAUUUUUGUAUCAGUUUUGAAUGUCUAUUUUGACUUCCAUAUUUGGUCUGUACAUGUGAGGUAUAGAGUGUUCAAUAUGUAUUUGGUUUCUAUAUUGUUAAUGGAUCUUUUUUUUUUGUUUUUUAGGUAACCAAGUUGCAGGAUGAAAACAAAACACUUGAUCAGCAGGUAAACCUUCAAUUUCCAUAUGAAGUUUGCAUUUUUGUUGUUUCUGGAAUUUGAGUUUUUUGCAGGAUGAAAACAGAACACUUAAUCUGCAGGUAAACACUUGAUUUGUUAUUUCCAAGCUUUUCACGACUUUCGAUACCCAAUAGAGAAUAUGGAAACCCCAACUUUAAUUUUAUGAAUUUGUUUUGGUGCCUAAAAUGAAAUCUAGCAUAGUGAAAUCUUGCAUAAUGAAAUUAUGACAAAUUUCCCUUCAUCUUUACAUUUUCAUUUAGUUCAAAUCGUAUGGUUUAGGGUUAUUCAAUUCAUGAGUGAUCAAAUUAGGUUUUUAAUUCCUUCUUCUUUUGAUUUUCAGUUCAGCAUUGUCGUAUUUUGGAUGCCUUUAGUGGAAUAAAACUGAAUUUUUUUAACUUUGUAUAGUUGUAAACAUAAAAUACUCCAUGAGAUAGACUCAUAACUUUUGAAAACAAUCUUUGAGGAGGGCAUAACAACAUCUCCAACUUUUGUCAUGUAAUGUAUGAAUGUAAAUAGCACUUUGUAAACAUAUGUAUGUAAUAUAUGUAUAUAAACACCACUCUUUAGCAUAUAUAUUUUUCAAAACUUUCUACAUCUUCAACAAUGUUUCAAGCCCCGCGGCAACGGGCGGGUACACUUGCUAGUAUACAUCUAAAAUUAUAAGACUAAAUCCUUUAGUUCUUGGAUUCAUCUAAGAACUACUUAUUCCAGCAGAUGCUAUGCUUGCACUACUAGAAUUUAUGGCUUGCCCUGUCAACUAUUGCGCGACAGAAGAUUUCGUCGGUUUCACCUUUUUUAACCGACAGAAUAUAAGUUUAGUAGGGCAAAAUCAGUCAACAAACUGGGUUGAUUGAAUAAAUUUACAGGAUGGCUAGAGUUCGUAGGUUAAGACAUCGGUCGUUGGGCAAACAUUUGGAGCGAAGAUGUGAGUGUUUUAACUGACGAAUAAGCUGGUCGUCAUGUAGAUCUUCUUUCCCGACGGACGGUUCAACAGGUAGCUCUUUGGAUAAUAAUUCAUCUUCAAGGGGAACAGGUUGCCCCUCAGAUGAAUGGUUAGAGGCAAUUGUGAGACUAUAAUUUUCUAGGGCCGGAAUAAAAAAUACAUAAACCCUCACCUAUUCUGUCUCUGUAACCAUCCACCAAAUACCCAUUUUUCCCUUUCUAUUUCUCUCCUAGUAAUUUCCCCUGACCGAAUCACACAAUCCAACCAACUCUCUUUAAGCCUCCCUCACUGAUUCCAUGGAUUUCAUGGACUUAUCCCACCCUCUCUCCUUCCUUCUAUAUAUAGCAAGUCCCCUUGCCUCAGUGUCCCUGGCAACAGAAUUUAUGGCGUUUCUUCGUUCUUUCAAUUAUUUGAAAGCUUCCCUGCCCUGCAAUCUUGUAUAAAGGCGUAUGGUGUUUCAUCAGUUCCAUUUGGUGGUCGGGUGGGAAAUGAAAUUAAAACACUGCAUUUCAAAUGCAUUUCAAAUGGUCUAAACCAAAUUGAAUCAAAUGUGAAGCAAAGGGCAAGAGGUGUAGAUUGAAGAACAAUGGCACCAAGAGCGAAAUUGAACUUGUUGACAGGAGGAAACCAAGUAAGGAUAACACGUCUAAAUCUUAUUUUGAAUCCAUUCAGCUCAUGAUGUUUUGAAUGAUGAUGAUCGGUAUACUCUGCUACAUGCUGUGAUUUUUCCGCUUUCAUGUAAUUAACGGCUUAUAUUUGUGGUAACCAUAUUGAUUAAAAAAGGUCGUACCCAGUGCACAAGGCUCCCGCUUUACGCAGGGUCUGAAAGGUGAAUGUCGGCUAGCCUUACCCCCAUUUUAUGGAGAGGCUGCUCCAAAGUCUCAAACCCAAGACCUACCGCUCAUGGGCGAAGACACUUGCCAUCGCACCAAGUGCGAUAUUGAUUAAUUUCGAGAAAUGACAGUCUAAUUUUUGCAACUGUCUUUUGCAGGCAAAACAAAGACGUUUGCAAGGGUGAGUUGUGUAGGAGCUUUGUUUCAUGUCCAAAGGACACUUGAGAAUAAAUGUUUACACUCAUGGAUAAUAUCUAUCUAUUUGCAGGAGUAACCCUGGGUUCAUUUGUUCUGUAACUGCUGGUCAUUGCGGCAUAUCACGCCUAUAGCACUGACAAAAGUAAAAAGAGAAUCGAAUGAAAUUUGAUAAGUUUUCAGCGGACUACAAAGAUCUUAAGCCAAGCAUAUAUUCCCAUGCAGAUAUUAAGAGGUUUACAAAUCAAUUCAAGUACAAGUUGGGCCAAGGAGCAUACGGAACUAUUUUUAAAGGAAUGCUUUUUUCUGAAUGCUUUGUUGCCAUGAAGUACUUAACAAUGGGCCAUAUUCACCAUGUCAAUGUGGUUCACUUGGUUGGUUUUUGUGCUGAUGGAUUUAGAUGAGCUCUGGUUUAUGAGUUCUUUUCCUUUGGUUCACUCCAGGAUUAUAUUUCAUCAGUAGAUAGAUUUCUUUCCUUGGUUGGCAUAAGUUACAAGAUAUUGCUAUCAGCAUAGCCAAAGGAACCAAGGAUGUGAUCUACAAAUCCUCCAUUUCGAUAUCAAACCCCAUAAUGUUUUGCUCAACCAAAAAAUCACGCCAAAAAUCUCUGAUUUUGGUCUGGCCAAGUUAUGUUCCAAGGAUCAAUCGGCGUGACUAAAGCAAGGGGGACUAUGUGACUAAAGCACCCGAAGUGUUUUCCAGGAAUUUCGGAAAUGUGUCUUACAAGGCAGAUGUCUUGAAUGCUGCUGCUUGAGAUGGUAGGAGAAAAGAAGAAUAUUGGUUCAACCAGAGGACACGACAAAUGAAAUCUACUAUCCAAAAUGGAUUUAUAAUCUUCUAGAGGAAGGAAAUGACCAACAGAUCCCUAUUGAGGAAGAAUGUUAUGGUAAGAUUCCAAAGCAACUUGCAAGUUUAGGGCUCUGGUGCAGCCAGUGACACUCAGUGGAUCGGCGGUCCAUGAAAACGGUGGUUCGGAUGUUAGGAGGAGGAGAAAACUUGAUGAUGCAAGCAACCCUAAAAGCCUCAUACAGUUAGAAGCAAUUGCUGAAUUAGAGUAACAUACGUAUAUGUAUACGCACCAACACAAGUCGUUCUUAGAUGAAUCCAAGCCAAACAAUUACAGACAAUAGUUAUUCACUAAAUCACUUUAAGGCAAGAAUUUAAUUAAUAAUACAUUACUGCACUUUCUUAACCAUUUGACUAUCACCUAGCUGACAAUGAACACGUUAGCUCCGCGUUAGAACAUCUUGGGUUCAAUUCAUUGUCUUGAAUAUCACCCACUGUCACAGGCGUCUUUUGGGGGCAUAGAGAAGGCCUGAGAGGCAUUUGCAGACAUUCAACAUCUCCUCCAAGCAUUUUGACAACUUUGGACAUCGAAGGGCGAUCACUUGGUUUCAUUUGAAUACACCACAAGGCGGUUAUAACCAUCUUUCUUAUUACUUUCUUUUCCUCCUCUGUAACAUUGUCCAUUUCCAAGUCAUUUCCUACAAUAUACUGAUCGUAUACCCACAUUGGGAAGUAGAUUUGGCUUGAAUGCUCUACCGUUGGAUUCAAAUUCCUCCUUCUGCUUGCCAUUUCCAUCAACAACAUUCCAAAACUAUAGACAUCUGACUUAUAUGAGACGCCUCCAAUAUUUUUGUAGAACAACUCAGGAGCAAUAUAUCCCAGUGUACCCCGUGCUGCUGUCAAAGAGACAAUGCUAUUAUCUACAUGAUACAAUUUUGCAAGCCCAAAGUCAGAAACCUUUGCUUUAAAGUUCUCAUCAAGAAGGAUGUUAUGAGGCUUGAUGUCGAAAUGUAGAAUUUGCAUUUCGCAACCUUGGUGUAGAUAUUCGAUCCCUUGAGCCACUCCAAGAGAAAUCUCGUACAUGUUCUUGAUAGUUAAGGGGACACUUCCUUCUUUGGAAUAAAUGUAUUUAUCAAGAGAACCAUUAGGCAUGAAGUCAUAGACUAGAGCGCGUUUUGAUCCCUCAACAUAGUAUCCAACAAGUUGCACCACAUUGGCAUGGUGAAUCCUUCCGAUUGUAGCUAAUUCGCUAAUGAAAUCUUGGCCAUCAGCUUUGGGCUUGGCCAAAACUUUAACUGCUACAAAUCGACCACUGCGUAGCUUUCCCUUAAAUACAGAGCCAAAGCCACCUUUGCCCAACUUGUCCUUAAACUUGCGAGUCAUUUUCUUGACGUCCGAGUAAGAGUACCUUAUAGGCAUGAAGUUGUUAUUGCAUUGCAGAAAAUCUUCUAUUGUGCUAUACAUUGAUAAAUGUCUUCUGCGCCAUGUGUAGAUUAGAAAUGCAGUCACAAUUGGAACUCCAAAAACAAAUCUGGCUAGGAAAAAUAACCCUACAUGCAUUGACAUUAAUAUGUUAGAUCCACUGCGUACUACUUUUUCUUCCCUUUCUUUCCAAAUUACUUUGUCUUUGAUGUAAUUAAAGAGAGAAUGGGAAAUGUACAUAUGUUGAUAAUACAAUCUCGUCUUAGUCCUUACCGAUGCAUAUGAGUAUAAACCAUACACGUACUGCAACAAAAUCAAUCGACUAUGAGUUUGAAAAGUGCAUAAAGUGAAAAAAAAAUAAAAAAAAUCAAAGGGUGCCUUUAUUGACAUCCAAAUUUUAGUUAGUUUUACUCAACUAAAAAAUUUUUGUCAUCAAACUUUUUAAUUUGCCGUCGAAAUUGAGUUCACCCAACCCACAAAGCAGCAACUACCACUCACCAAAAAAACCAACAACACACAGCCACCAGUACCAUUCACCAAUAGAAAGAGAAGGAACACACAGACCCACCAAGGAGCCGGCAUCGACGCGUCUACGAGGGAGGGACCGGAGGGUGGUGUAGUUUUGUUGGGCGCGCGGUAGUGGUUUUGUCUGUUCAUUUUCUCUUUGUUUUGGUAGGUGGAGGCUGGUGUGGAUUUGGGCGAACUUAAAAAUGAGGGGAAACUAUGAAGUUUGACAAAAUGUUUUAGUUAGGUGAACUUCACUAAAAUUUGGGUGCCGAUAAAGAUACCCAAAAUCAAAAGACUAGAUGGACUAAUUAAAUGAAGCUCUUACCCAUAUAUAACGAUGGACGCAACUUGCCAGCUGCUGCAGUACAUACCACGGAAAAGUGAGCAAAGACAUACAGUUACUAGGUUUAAGAAGUACAGAUAGAGCACACAAAAAAUAAAAGAAGCUUUUGGGAAGAAACUUCUUACGCAAAUAGAUUUUUUUCAUGACCUACAGUAAAAAAAUGUCAAGAAGAAUACACAACAUUAGCAAUAGCUCACCCAGUCUUCAAAAUUUAAAAAAUCAAGUUUGUCGAUCGAAAACUUGUAAAUAAAACAAAAAGAGGACCCCUUACCGAUUUGUUGCCAUAGAUAUUGAAAGAAACCUACAAGAACAAAGAAAGAACAAGACCACAUGCAUUAGAAUAACAAGUGUGAGGUGUAUAAGCCGUUAGAAAAUAAAUUUAAAAUUCUAGUGCUGUCAAUACAUUGAUAAUAUAUAUAUAUAUAUAUAUAUAUAUAUAUAUAUGUAUGUAUGUAUUAUUUUUUCUGAAAAUUUAACUUUUCCCGUCCAAACUCAUUUUUCUAGUCUCUAGCCCAACAUAUAAUAUUUAUCUGAAUAAAACCAAAUGAUUAGGAUCCAACUAAGAAACUUACCAAAUUAAGUUUGUGUGUCCAUUUUUAUAUUUUUUGGAUCCCUAAUAUACCCCAUCUAAGCCAGUAUGGAAAGGUCUUGUAAUUUUGCUUUAAGUGAUUACGUGCAUUGAAUUUGGCAAGGUCUUAUAGCCAUGAAAUAUGGUUCUAGAUGGAGGAAUUAAUUUGGAAUUUUUUUUAAUUUCGACAACAAAUUUCAAUUUGAAUAUACCUAAUUUAGUGUUUAUUUUCAACAAUAAAUGUGCCUACUUUUUAAAUUUGUAACAAAAUUAAUUUACCUACUUUUUAUGGUAUUAGUGACACACCCUGUCCCGAAGGAGGGCAUGCUGGCCGUCACGAGAGAGUGACGUAACCAUUUGCACAGUACGGAAGCUUUAAGAUACAAUUUAUAAGUUGAUACACCCGAAGGUGAGUCCUAAUUUUUGUCCAAUCUGUCAGAACACCGUCAAAUUCCUCGUAGUCACCACACCUUUGUGAUUCCUGAACCUGGAGGGGCGCAAAACCAAAAUUGAGUGGGUCAGUAAAACAAUUCUUUUCCAAAUCCAAACAUUUCUCAAAACGUUGUAACCCUCUCCGUAAAACUUGUAUACUUUCCCAGAAAUGUAAAAUAUAAAUAUACAUAUAUAUUCUCAAACUUCAUUUUUACUAUCUCAACAUUUUUCUUUAUCAAACAUGCCAUGCCAUGUCUAAUUCAACAGUUAAGUAUGGAUGCAUCAACAAUAAUCAUAUCAGGUGCAAGAAAGUAAUCAACCGGAGGCCCUCUAAUAGCCCUGUACGGUUGAACCUAGAGCUCAAAAUCUAUCACUCUCACUCUGCCGGGAGUCACCUCUGUGACCUGUCCGGCCUUCUGCACACAAGUUACGCUCUAGUGCUUUCUCAUCAAUCAUCUGUGCACAUAAUCUAAGGUCACCCACCAGUCGAAAUCUCACUAACACUCUUCGACUGGCCCGUCGCACCCACUCCGCGUGGACUGUGCGACCAGCAUCUACUUGGAUCCAAGGCGAGCGUGCGAUGCGGUGAAUACUAUAAGCACUAAACCAUGGUGCAGGAUUUGAGCUCAAUAUAUAUCAACAUCAUCAUAACAGUACUUAAAUACUCACCUGAUACUCACCUGUGCGUCCGCCGCACCAAUUCAUACAUAUGCAUCAUAUUUCAAUUCAUAUCAUUUCAUGCAUGGCAAUUCGAUUCACAUUUCUAUAUACAUUUCAUAUACUUCUAUGCAUGACCUUUCAAUUCACGUUUUCAUAUAAUUCUAUAUACCUUUCAUUUAAAACAUAAUUUCAUUCUAAUUCAAUUUCUGGGAAAACGUCAAGUAUAUAUAUACGGAAAACAAAACUGCCCACUCACCUGGAGUUCGUCCAACAACUCCCUAGCACCACACAUCAAGGCGUCAUGACGAUCGCCGUCUAGAACAGUAAUCAAAUCCAGCCUCAGAAUUCAUAUCGAUAGAACAUAUAACUUAUAUAAAAUAUGUCACUACGUAGAUCGAUCCGGAAGAUCUGCCACUCAGAUUUUAAAUCCAUAACUUCCAGAGGUCCACAAUAUAUCUCUAGGAUAACAUCCUAAAAUUUCAUUACCAUCCAACGGUCGGAUCUCCGUCAAUUUCCAAAACUAAGUGACGGUUAACAUUUUAUUUUAUGAACUUACAAUUCUAAUUCCGGAAGAUCCGUAACUCGGAUUCCCAAUCCGUAAGUUCCAAUAAUCCUCAAAUAUUACGUAUUACAACGUAUCAAAGUUUGGUAACGAUCCAACGGUCGGAUCAUCAAUUCACAUUUUCACCUAAUGCGAAAACUAUAAAACGUUAUUCGAACACCUAACCAACAAUCCUUAAUAACUUUCUCAUACGGUGUUCAAUUUGGGUAUAUGAAUAUACCACAGUGAUCUACUCAUUAAAAUAAUUUUUUACUGUAGCACGCGCCCCCACGCGCCAAGGAAGGCACGGACCUACGCGCCCCCACGCGCACCUUCUUCUUCCUUGGGUCGCCGGACUGGUUUUUCCGGCGGCCGUUUUUCAAAUUGCCAUAACUUUGUCAUUUCUCAACGAAAUCAAGUGAUUCAAAAACGAAAGUUGUAGCCCUUGAAGAGACAAAGAGAAUGGUACCUUGCACAACACCUAGUUCGCCGUGGUUUGGCCGGAAACUGCUUCGAAAGCCUCGGAGGUCGCCAGAAACUGGGUAUUUUUCAAAUCAGUAUAACUUCUUCAAUACUCAACGAAAUUGAGUGAAACAAAAAGGAAAGUUGUAGUACUUGACGAGACGAAGAGAUUGAUACCUACCUCGACUCCUAACUCACCGGAUAUUCGCCGGAAAAUGCCUCGAAAGCUCCGGCCAAACUUUGAACUUGUCGAUCUCCGUGUUCUUACAUCCAAAAACUUCCAACGAAGCACUCCGAGCUUCCUUGGGACCUCACUAAGCUCGCUAUGAUCUUGUUUUAGCCUAAAACGUAGUCAUUUAGAAGAUCAUGAACAAUACCAUUUCACGGGAACUUUGAAACUAGGGUUUUCCGAAGCAAAACUUACCUGAAAUGGAUACCAUCGUGAUCGUGGAGGUUCCAGGAGUUUGAUGGUGGUCUUAACUCUGUCGUUGGUGGAAGUUUAAGGUUGUUUUGUGGUUGGUUUGUUCGAACGGAGAAGAAGAGUGACAGAGAGAGUGAGAGAGUCGUGAGGGAAGAGAGAGAGAGACAGCAUGCAGAAAAUAGGGAGAGGAUUGAGGGGUGUGGGGAUCCCACGUGGUCCUUUUCCAAUCCCCAACUCCAAACCAUAAAAUUUUAACCUAAAAAUCUAAGUUCAAUCCUUAAUAAAUUCCAUUUUAUUUUCAAAACUUAGGAACCUAGAUAAUUAUCAACUUGAGCUUCACAUACUUAGUAUUUCUUAAGGGCAAUUUCGUUCAUUCACAGCCACGAAUGUAAUAUUUUGGAACGGGCUGUGACAAUUAGUAUACAUAAAUGUAGAAUAUAUGUCCGUAUAUAUUUGAUCCAAUUAGUAUUAGGGAGAAUGACAAGUCAUCCAAGUCUGCUACUGUUAAUAAUUCUGUUACUGUAAAUUAACUGAUUGUAUUAGUUGUGAUUAGUUAAGAUAGUUAUAAAGUAGUUAGGGGUAUCUAUGUAAAUAGCCAAAGGCUAUAUAUAUUCCUACACAAUGUGUAAAGUUCUCAGUCAAGUAAAUACAAUCAAGAAAACUUACUGUUGAAGUUUUCUGUUUCUACAUGGUAUCACGCCAUUCCGCUUCACAGCUUCGAUCUUUCUCUUCGCUUGCUGCAUCGAUCGACUCUUGAUCGAUUUUUCUUCUCUGAUCUUCUCUUCGCUUGCUGCAUCGAUCGACUCAUGAUCGAUUUUUCUUCUCUGAUCGUCACUUCUUCCCUUCCGAUCUUGUAGUAUUUUCUUGAUUUCUGUCAGUAAUGGCGGCUCAAUCGACUGGUUCAUCUUCUCCGGUCAUCUCCCCCUCGAGCCCAAACCCUAAUUUUCUCUGGAAACCCUAAUUCCUCUGGAAAUCCGAGUCCUCUGACUUCCUACACUUCUCUCUCACAAUUCAUAACAUCGGCAGCAUGGUGCCGAUCAAGCUCAAAAGAUCCAAUUACCUACCAUGGCGCGCCCUGUUUGGCCCGAUUUUCCGGCGAUACAAGCUUCUUGGAGUAAUCGAUGGUACUGACGUCUGUCCAUCGCCAUUUCUGCCUGAUCGUAGCAUCAAUCCUGCUUUUGAGGACUGGUAUGAGAAAGAUCAAAAUCUUUUUGAUCUGGUUGAAUUCCACACUUUCUGAGGAAAUCAUCCCGUUCACGGUUGGGGUUUCAUCCUCUCGAGAACUUUGGGUAAAGCUUGAACAGCGCUUUGGUGGAAUUUCAGAGGCUCAUAUCCAUCAGUUGCGAUCGCGCCUUCAAUCUGUUCAGAAAGGAUCGCGUUCUAUCUCUGACUAUCUUCAAGAACUCAAGGAAAUUUCAGAUUCUCUGCAAGCUGCUGGUGCUUCUGUCUCUGAUCGAGAUCUUAUCGCCGCCACACUACAUGGCUUGCCUGAUGAAUUUGAGUCUUUCAUCGACUGUAUCAUGCUCCGAUUGUCCUCUACCUCUCUGAUGAACUUCAUGGCCUCCUUCUCACAAAGGAAUUGUCUAUGGCCAGACGCAAAACUGUCAGUUCAUCUCCUGUCCCUGAAUCUUUUCAGGCUUUCUCGGUGCAGUCUCAGCCUCAUCUCCUUCCUACUCCAUCUGCUUUUGCUGCUCAGAAUCUCCCUCUUCAAUCUGCAUCUCGGUUCAACUCUAAUCGUGGCAGGAACACUAAGGGCCAGUUCUUUUCCAAUCGAGGUCAUCGAGGUAAUCGUGGUAAUUUUCCUAAUAAACCGUGGCAAUCGAGGUUAUCAAGGAUUUCGCAGCAAUCAAGGCUCUUCUCACUUCAAAGUGCUUUGUCAAAUCUGUGGUUCUACCAGUCAUGAGGCUAUUGACUGCUUUGAUCGUAUGAAUCCUGACAUCUUGUGGUCGUAUUCCUCCAGCUAAGCUUGCUGCCAUGUGUGCCACAACAUUCUGCUAAACCAUCUCAGCCUUGGUUAAUUGAUUCAGGGGCAACCUCUCAUAUCACUAAUGAUGUUGCUAACCUCACCUCUCCUACUCCCUACACUGGCGAGGAUUAAAGUGUAUAUUGGAGAUGGUAAAGGUUUAUCCAUCCUCAAUGUUGGUUCAUCUACUCUGCACACCUCUCAUAAUUCUUUUCAAUUGCGAAAUGUUUUACAUGUUCCCCACAUAACCCAUAAUCUUAUCUGCUUAUCAGUUUUGUUAAUGAUAAUAAUUGUUCAUUGACACUUGACCCUUAUGGAUCCUAUGUCAAGGAUCGUAUUUCGGGGAAGAUGCUUUUACGGGGACCGGUUAGAGAUGGCUUCUAUCCUCUUCAAAGUUCCAGCAAUCUUCAUCCUCUUUCACAUACCGCUUUACUUAGUAUUAAAGCUCCAGUUACAAUUUGGCACAAGCGUUUGGGUCACCCUUCCUCCUCCAUUUUUAGAAGGCUCCUUUCAUCCAAUAAUCUUGCUUUACAAGGCAAGUCUACUGUGGACUUUUUCUGUUCGGAUUGUGCUCUUGCCAAGAAUCAUAAGCUUCCAUUUAAAGCUGCUACUUCAUCAUCAACUCACAGCCUUCAACUACUGCACUGUGAUCUGUGGGGACCUGCCUCAAUCACAUCAAGUAGUGGUUUUCAAUAUUAUUUGCUCAUUGUUGAUGACUAUAGCAAAUAUAGUUGGUUCUUUCCUUUGAAAUCUAAGUCAGAUGUAUUUUCUACAUUUGUUGUCUUCAAAUCAUAUGUAGAAAAUUCACUUGGAAAUAAAAUAAAGGUUCUGCGUUCAGAUUCAGGGGGUGAAUUUACUAGUCACUCUUUUGCAUCAUAUCUCAGCAAACAUGGCAUUCUUCAUCAGUUCAGUUGUCCCCACACCCCUGAGCAAAAUGGUUGUGCAGAAAGAAAGCACAGGCACCUUGUUGAAAACAGCUCGCACUUUGCUUCUUGCAUUCUCAUGUCCCUCAUAUUUUCUGGGUUGAAGCAUUCUCCACUGCUAUCUAUCUUAUUAAUCGCCUUCCUAUUUCUGGCAUUUCACAGUCCCCUUGGCAGUUGCUAUUUCACAACCAUCCAGACUACUCUAAGCUCAAAGUAUUUGGUUGCCAAUGCUUUCCUUGGCUCAAACCUUACUUUCAUAGCAAAUUGGAUCCCAAGAGCAAAAAGUGUGUUUUCUUGGGGUAUAGUCUUCAACACAAAGGCUAUAGGUGCCUUGAUCCUAUCACCAAUCGCAUCUACAUCUCUCGUCAUGUCUGUAUUCGAUGAAAGUACUUAUCCAUUUCAGUUGUCCCACAUUCAACACUCUUUUCCUGUUCCAAGUCCUCCAUCUUCCUCACCAACAAUUUCUUCCUCUCUGGAUCUUCAUUUUUUAGCAAACACAUUCCUCCUGUUUUCAGUCAGCCAUCUACAUCACCAUUAUGUGCUUCUGUGCCUGUUCCUAUUUCUUCAUCUUCAUCUUCCCCUGCACCUGUCUCAGUUGGCUCUUCUUUCCAGUUUUGUUCCUCCUUCAGCACAUUCAUCUUUCUCCCAAAAUCAACAGAGUCAUCCUCCUGCCCCUGUUAAUUCUCAUCCAAUGAUUACUAGAUCCAAGGCUGGUAUACUCACGUCGAGAGCCUGUGCAGCAACUAAGCACCCACUUCCGGUUGAUAUGGAUUAUGUUCCUACAACAUACUUGCAAGCUUCUAAGCAUGCUCAUUGGAGGCAAGCUAUGCAAGAUGAAUUUAAUGCCUUGCUAACCACUGGUUACUUUGGUCUCUUGUUCCUUCUCACCAUUCUCAAAACUUAGUGGGCUGCAAGUGGGUUUUCCGGAUUAAGAAGAAGCCCGAUGGCACUGUUGACAGAUAUAAAGCCCGGCUUGUGGCCAAGGGUUUUCAUCAACAAGAAGGUAUUGACUUUUCAAGAAAACCUUCAGUCCAGUUGCCAAACCGGUUACAAUUCGGAUCCUUCUUACCCUUUGCUGUGCAAUAUAAUUGGUUUCUCAAUCAAUUGGACAUUAGUAAUGCCUUUCUUCAUGGAGACUUAAAGAGAGGAUGUCUACAUGCAACAACCCCCUGGUUUUGUUGAUCCCUUUACCCUACAUUUUGUAAGUUGAGGAAAUCGUUGUAUGGUCUCAAACAAGCUCCUCGAGCUUGGUUUGAUAAACUGUUCCAAGCUCUUCCUCUCUUGGAUUCACCCAAUCAUCCUCAGAUGCUUCUUUAUUUGUUCUCAAUGGUCCUCAGUUUAGUCAUUGUCCUUGUCUAUGUUGAUGACAUUCUUGUCACCGGACCCUAUCCUUACCUCUGUCAACACUUCAUUCAGCAACUUGGGGCUCAAUUUCCAGUAAAAGACCUUGGUCCUCUUCAUUAUUUCUUGGGAUUAGAAGUACAUCGAUCUUCCCAGGGUAUAUUUCUCCAUCAAACAAAGUACUUAUUGGAUCUUCUCAAGAAAACAAAUAUGGAGGGUGCAAAACCUUGUUGUACUCCCCUUGGCUCUAAGAAAUUAGAUCACAGUGGCCCUCUUCUGUCCAAUCCUACUGAAUAUCGCUCCAUUGUUGGUGGUUUACAAUAUCUUACUUGGACUAGACCCGACCUUGCUUUUGCUGUGAACCAAAUCUGCCAAUUCAUGCAUGCUCCCAGGGAACAACAUCUCCAGGCAGCAAAAAGGGUUCUCAGAUUUCUCAAAGGCUCUAUCUCACAUGGUGUGUGGUUCACUAAAGGCCCUGUCCAUCUUUCUGCCUACUCGGAUGCCGACUGGGCUGGUUGCACAAUUGACAGGAGAUCAACCACUGGUUAUUGUGUAUUUUUGGGUUCCAAUCUUAUCAGCUGGAGUGCCAAGAAGCAAAGUACUGUUGCCAAGGUCCUCUACAGAGGCUGAAUAUCGCUCCUUAGCUCACACAGCUGCUGAGAUAACUUGGGUUUGCAGAUUCUCAAAGAUCUGCACUAUCCUCUCUCUUACAUUCCCUACUUUUGGUGUGACAACAUAUCAGCAAUAUCUUUAGCAUCUAAUCCUGUCUUUCAUGCUCGAACAAAGCAUGUUGAGAUCGAUUAUCNGAAGUUUUCUGUUUUCUACAUGGUAUCACGCCAUUCCGCUUCACAGCUUCGAUCUUUCUCUUCGCUUGCUGCAUCGAUCGACUCUUGAUCGAUUUUUCUUCUCUGAUCUUCUCUUCGCUUGCUGCAUCGAUCGACUCAUGAUCGAUUUUUCUUCUCUGAUCGUCACUUCUUCCCUUCCGAUCUUGUAGUAUUUCUUGAUUUCUGUCAGUAAUGGCGGCUCAAUCGACUGGUUCAUCUUCUCCGGUCAUCUCCCCCUCGAGCCCAAACCCUAAUUUCUCUGGAAACCCUAAUUCCUCUGGAAAUCCGAGUCCUCUGGACUUCCUACACUUCUCUCACAAUUCAUAACAUCGGCAGCAUGGUGCCGAUCAAGCUCAAAAGAUCCAAUUACCUACCAUGGCGCGGCCCUGUUUGGCCCGAUUUUCCGGCGAUACAAGCUUCUUGGAGUAAUCGAUGGUACUGACGUCUGUCCAUCGCCAUUUCUGCCUGAUCGUAGCAUCAAUCCUGCUUUUGAGGACUGGUAUGAGAAAGAUCAAAAUCUUUUGAUCUGGUUGAAUUCCACACUUUCUGAGGAAAUCAUCCCGUUCACGGUUGGGGUUUCAUCCUCUCGAGAACUUUGGGUAAAGCUUGAACACAGCGCUUUGGUGGAAUUUCAGAGGCUCAUAUCCAUCAGUUGCGAUCGCGCCUUCAAUCUGUUCAGAAAGGAUCGCGUUCUAUCUCUGACUAUCUUCAAGAACUCAAGGAAAUUUCAGAUUCUCUGCAAGCUGCUGGUGCUUCUGUCUCUGAUCGAGAUCUUAUCGCCGCCACACUACAUGGCUUGCCUGAUGAAUUUGAGUCUUUCAUCGACUGUAUCAUGCUCCGAUUGUCCUCUACCUCUCUUGAUGAACUUCAUGGCCUCCUUCUCACAAAGGAAUUGUCUAUGGCCAGACGCAAAAACUGUCAGUUCAUCUUCCUGUCCCUGAAUCUUUUCAGGCUUUCUCGGUGCAGUCUCAGCCUCAUCUCCUUCCUACUCCAUCUGCUUUUGCUGCUCAGAAUCUCCCUCUUCAAUCUGCAUCUCGGUUCAACUCUAAUCGUGGCAGGAACACUAAGGGCCAGUUCUUUUCCAAUCGAGGUCAUCGAGGUAAUCGUGGUAAUUUUCCUAAUAACCGUGGCAAUCGAGGUUAUCAAGGAUUUCGCAGCAAUCAAGGCUCUUCUCACUUCAAAGUGCUUUGUCAAAUCUGUGGUUCUACCAGUCAUGAGGCUAUUGACUGCUUUGAUCGUAUGAAUCCUGACAUCUGUGGUCGUAUUCCUCCAGCUAAGCUUGCUGCCAUGUGUGCACAACAUUCUGCUAAACCAUCUCAGCCUUGGUUAAUUGAUUCAGGGGCAACCUCUCAUAUCACUAAUGAUGUUGCUAACCUCACCUCUCCUACUCCCUACACUGGCGAGGAUAAAGUGUAUAUUGGAGAUGGUAAAGGUUUAUCCAUCCUCAAUGUUGGUUCAUCUACUCUGCACACCUCUCAUAAUUCUUUUCAAUUGCGAAAUGUUUUACAUGUUCCCCACAUAACCCAUAAUCUCUUAUCUGCUUAUCAGUUUGUUAAUGAUAAUAAUUGUUCAUUGACACUUGACCCUUAUGGAUCCUAUGUCAAGGAUCGUAUUUCGGGGAAGAUGCUUUUACGGGGACCGGUUAGAGAUGGCUUCUAUCCUCUUCAAAGUUCCAGCAAUCUUCAUCCUCUUUCACAUACCGCUUUACUUAGUAUUAAAGCUCCAGUUACAAUUUGGCACAAGCGUUUGGGUCACCCUUCCUCCUCCAUUUUUAGAAGGCUCCUUUCAUCCAAUAAUCUUGCUUUACAAGGCAAGUCUACUGUGGACUUUUUCUGUUCGGAUUGUGCUCUUGCCAAGAAUCAUAAGCUUCCAUUUAAAGCUGCUACUUCAUCAUCAACUCACAGCCUUCAACUACUGCACUGUGAUCUGUGGGGACCUGCCUCAAUCACAUCAAGUAGUGGUUUUCAAUAUUUAUUUGCUCAUUGUUGAUGACUAUAGCAAAUAUAGUUGGUUCUUUCCUUUGAAAUCUAAGUCAGAUGUAUUUUCUACAUUUGUUGUCUUCAAAUCAUAUGUAGAAAAUUCACUUGGAAAUAAAAUAAAGGUUCUGCGUUCAGAUUCAGGGGGUGAAUUUACUAGUCACUCUUUUGCAUCAUAUCUCAGCAAACAUGGCAUUCUUCAUCAGUUCAGUUGUCCCCACACCCCUGAGCAAAAUGGUUGUGCAGAAAGAAAGCACAGGCACCUUGUUGAAACAGCUCGCACUUUGCUUCUUGCAUCUCAUGUCCCUCAUAUUUUCUGGGUUGAAGCAUUCUCCACUGCUAUCUAUCUUAUUAAUCGCCUUCCUAUUUCUGGCAUUUCACAGUCCCCUUGGCAGUUGCUAUUUCACAACCAUCCAGACUACUCUAAGCUCAAAGUAUUUGGUUGCCAAUGCUUUCCUUGGCUCAAACCUUACUUUCAUAGCAAAUUGGAUCCCAAGAGCAAAAAGUGUGUUUUCUUGGGGUAUAGUCUUCAACACAAAGGCUAUAGGUGCCUUGAUCCUAUCACCAAUCGCAUCUACAUCUCUCGUCAUGUUGUAUUCGAUGAAAGUACUUAUCCAUUUCAGUUGUCCCACAUUCAACACUCUUUUCCUGUUCCAAGUCCUCCAUCUUCCUCACCAACAAUUUCUUCCUCUCUGGAUCUUCAUUUUAGCAAACACAUUCCUCCUGUUUUCAGUCAGCCAUCUACAUCACCAUUAUGUGCUUCUGUGCCUGUUCCUAUUUCUUCAUCUUCAUCUUCCCCUGCACCUGUCUCAGUUGGCUCUUCUUCCAGUUUUGUUCCUCCUUCAGCACAUUCAUCUUUCUCCCAAAAUCAACAGAGUCAUCCUCCUGCCCCUGUUAAUUCUCAUCCAAUGAUUACUAGAUCCAAGGCUGGUAUACUCACGUCGAGAGCCUGUGCAGCAACUAAGCACCCACUUCCGGUUGAUAUGGAUUAUGUUCCUACAACAUACUUUGCAAGCUUCUAAAGCAUGCUCAUUGGAGGCAAGCUAUGCAAGAUGAAUUUAAUGCCUUGCUAACCACUGGUUACUUGGUCUCUUGUUCCUUCUCACCAUUCUCAAAACUUAGUGGGCUGCAAGUGGGUUUUCCGGAUUAAGAAGAAGCCCGAUGGCACUGUUGACAGAUAUAAAGCCCGGCUUGUGGCCAAGGGUUUUCAUCAACAAGAAGGUAUUGACUUUCAAGAAAACCUUCAGUCCAGUUGCCAAACCGGUUACAAUUCGGAUCCUUCUUACCCUUGCUGUGCAAUAUAAUUGGUUUCUCAAUCAAUUGGACAUUAGUAAUGCCUUUCUUCAUGGAGACUUAAAGGAGGAUGUCUACAUGCAACAACCCCCUGGUUUUGUUGAUCCCUUACACCCUACAUCUGUUUGUAAGUUGAGGAAAUCGUUGUAUGGUCUCAAACAAGCUCCUCGAGCUUGGUUUGAUAAACUGUUCCAAGCUCUUCACUCUCUUGGAUUCACCCAAUCAUCCUCAGAUGCUUCUUUAUUUGUUCUCAAUGGUCCUCAGUUUAGUCAUUGUCCUUGUCUAUGUUGAUGACAUUCUUGUCACCGGACCCUAUCCUUACCUCUGUCAACACUUCAUUCAGCAACUUGGGGCUCAAUUUCCAGUAAAAGACCUUGGUCCUCUUCAUUAUUUCUUGGGAUUAGAAGUACAUCGAUCUUCCCAGGGUAUAUUUCUCCAUCAAACAAAGUACUUAUUGGAUCUUCUCAAGAAAACAAAUAUGGAGGGUGCAAAACCUUGUUGUACUCCCCUUGGCUCUAAGAAAUUAGAUCACAGUGGCCCUCUUCUGUCCAAUCCUACUGAAUAUCGCUCCAUUGUUGGUGGUUUACAAUAUCUUACUUGGACUAGACCCGACCUUUGCUUUUGCUGUGAACCAAAUCUGCCAAUUCAUGCAUGCUCCCAGGGAACAACAUCUCCAGGCAGCAAAAAGGGUUCUCAGAUUUCUCAAAGGCUCUAUCUCACAUGGUGUGUGGUUCACUAAAGGCCCUGUCCAUCUUUCUGCCUACUCGGAUGCCGACUGGGCUGGUUGCACAAUUGACAGGAGAUCAACCACUGGUUAUUGUGUAUUUUUGGGUUCCAAUCUUAUCAGCUGGAGUGCCAAGAAGCAAAGUACUGUUGCAAGGUCCUCUACAGAGGCUGAAUAUCGCUCCUUAGCUCACACAGCUGCUGAGAUAACUUGGGUUUGCAAGAUUCUCAAAGAUCUGCACUAUCCUCUCUCUACAUUCCCUACUCUUUGGUGUGACAACAUAUCAGCAAUAUCUUUAGCAUCUAAUCCUGUCUUUCAUGCUCGAACAAAGCAUGUUGAGAUCGAUUAUCACUAUAUUAGAGAAUUGGUUUUGGCUCAACUUCUCAAAGUCAAGUUCAUCUGCAGUGAAGACCAAUUAGCUGAUCUUCACACCAAGUCUCUGUCUAAAACCAGAUUUAAUUAUCUGUGUUCCAAGCUUCCCAUUGGUCUCAUUUCUGAUCCCCCUUCUCGCUUGAGGGGGUGUAUUAGGGAGAAUGACAAGUCAUCCAAGUCUGCUACUGUUAAUAAUUCUGUUACUGUAAAUUAACUGAUUGUAUUAGUUGUGAUUAGUUAAGAUAGUUAUAAAGUAGUUAGGGGUAUCUAUGUAAAUAGCCAAAGGCUAUAUAUAUUCCUACACAAUGUGUAAAGUUCUCAGUCAAGUAAAUACAAUCAAGAAAACUUACUGUUGAAGUUUUCUGUUUCUACAGGUUUUGGAUUGGAGGAGUUGACACAAAAUUAUAAAUAUAUUAAACAAAUUUAUCUAUUCUAAAGUUGGAGGGAAAUUGGCCUGUACAUUGCUACAGUAAUUUUUUUUUACCCAAUUUCACGUUAUUUACAACAAAGCUAUCAGAUUUGGGUUGGGUUGGAGGGUAAUUUGUUAAAAGUUAGGAGGGUAAUUUUGUGCAUAGGGUUUAGGUGCCCUCCUAUACAUGACCCUUGAUUUUACUUUAUUUACACCACUGCCAUCAAAUAUGUGGCUGAAUUGGAGGGUAUUAUUAAAAGUUAGGAGGGUAGUUUGUUCAAGGGGUGAGGGCGACAUUCGCAGACAGAGAGCGAUGGGAGCCAUGGCCAUUGCACAGAGAGAAAGGGAGUGAUGGGGGAAAUUACAGACAGAAAAGGAAGGGAUGGGGGGGAUUUGAUGGAUGGUCACAGAGAGAGAUUGGGUGAGGGAUGUGAGAGGAGAUUACAGAGAGAUAAAUAAAAGGGAGGGAUCGGGGGAUGUGAGGGAUGGUCAGGGAGAGAAAUAGUGAGGGAGGGAGGGAUGGGGGGGCUGAUUUUCGGUUCCUCCUUCCAGAUUUGUUCCGUAAAAACCUGUUGGGUAGAAUUCAAUUUCCUCCCCCUUUCCCCUGAACGAAAAAUUCGAAACCUACAACUCAAAACUCACUCAUUUGUCGUCCCUCCUUGGCUUUCCGCUUUACUCAUCUCCCGGUGGUUCUCUCUCCAUACGAUUCCAUUUCGGUGAGUUCUUCGUUGCCCUCAUGAUUUCCCACUUUUAUUUUUGGGGCGUCCUUAGUCGUCGUUUUUAUCUGGGUUUACUGCAUUGUUGCUUUUAGUUUCUGGAUUUUUAUUUUUUUGGCACUUGGAUGAAUCGUGGUUAAUAAUUUCACAUCAUGGGAUUUUCGCACUUCUGAUGGAAUUGAGCGCGGGGAUUCGGGGUGGGGUUUUACUGAUAAUUUGUCUUCAUUCAAACGAAGGGUUAAAAUUUAUGAGUAUUAACAAAUUUUGUAAAUUAUUCUUAUACAUUUUAUUGAGGGAUCUAAUCGAUUUCUUUCUGUAGUGGGAUUGAAAUUGGGGCUUUGUGGUACUCUCUCUCGCUCACUCUCUCUCCUAUGUGUAUGAAUUGAGUUCUGCAGUGAGUUUGCAGGUGGGCGCGUUCACUAACUAAGCUUUCAAGGGAACCGAUCAACGGUUUGCUUGCUGGGGGAAUUCGGAGACUACCAGUGUAUGAUUUAGUUAUCAUUAAUUUUUUUACUUAAUUUUAUCCAUAUAUAAUAUGUGGGUAAAUUUAGAGGUCGCACUUGGUGCGAUGGCAAGUUCCUUCGCCCAUGAGCGGUAGGUCUCGGGUUCGAGACUUGGGAGCAGCCUCUCCAUAAAUGGGGGUAAGGCUAGCCGACAUUUACCUCUCCCAGACCCUGCGUAAAGCGGGAGCCUUGUGCACUGGGUACGAUCUUUUAUAAUAUGUGGGUAAAUUUAUACUAAACAAUUGUGAUAAGCCAAUAUGCUAUACGACUUUGAAAGCAUUGAUUUUGUGUUUAGUUUGCAUUUUUGCAUUGUGAAUGUUGAAUUUUGUGUUUAAUUUGGAUUUUUGUGUUUGAAUUUGUAGCAUGAUCUUCCGCUGCAGCAUCCAAAUUUUGCAUUUGUAAAUUGUCAAAGAAAAACGAAGUAUGAGGAAAUUAUAGGAGAUUGUGUCGGCUUUGGCCAUGAAGGGUAUCAGCAGCUUGUUCCCCCAUACAGGUGAUUAAUCGCAGUCUGUUCUAUUUGGAUGAGAAAGUGAUUGAAAAAUAUGAUUUUUUAUUUGUUGGUUGAUUUUGUAUAACUCCGCCGUGUAAGUUUAUCUUACAUUGCCGGUCCCAAGCCCGGAUAAAGGAGGAGGGGGAGGGCGUCAGGUAGUCGACAGCUGGCACUCCAUGAUCACGUCGAAUCCUUAUGAAAAUGAAUCCAGAACGAAAUCGCGCUAAAGCUAGGGCGUCACCCAUAAGUGGCGCGCUGUGUGGCCCGAGCACAGUGAUAAGUGAGCAAGGGUCGUUGUAUCUCCAUCGGCACCCGGAUGCAGUGUUAAAUGAGCAAGGGGCUAUAGAAACUUCUUUUCGAACGACUCCACUCAAAGUUGUUUGGGAGCAUAUGCUCCUAUCAACUUUACACGGGACACACAAAAGAAGUACUUUGAUCCUAUUAGACGGGGAAGGGUGAAGAAGCUAGGACAGAAGGGUAGAGUUCAAGAGAGCAAAAUGCGUUUAGGAACGUGGAAUAUAGGAACCUUGAACGGGAAAAUCUAUGGAAGUAGUAGAAGUUAUGGUGAGGAGAAGGAUAAAUAUUAUGUGCCUACAAGAAACUAAGUGGGUUGGUCGUAAGGCAAAGGAUCUAGAAAACUCAGGGUUUAAACUAUGGUAUUCGGGCACAAAUAGAACGAGAAACGGUGUUGGCAUCAUCGUGGACAAGACCUUGACACAAGAUGUUGUAGAUGUCAAGAGGGUAGGAGAUAGAAUCAUGGCAAUCAAGAUUGUAAUAGGACAAGAACUUAUCAAUGUGAUUAGUGCGUACGCACCUCAAGUAGGGUUGGAUACGAGUUCGAAGGAGAAAUUUUGGGAAGACCUUGGAGACUUGGUGCAAGGAAUUGCUCAGACGGAGAAGUUAUUUAUAGGAGGAGAUUUAAAUGGACACGUGGGCAGGGAGACAGGCAACUAUGGAGGUUUUCAUGGUGGCCAUGGUUUUGGGGAGAGAAACGAGGAUGGGGAAGCUAUCUUGGAUUUUGCAAUGGCAUAUGAUCUCUUCUUAGCCAACACCUUCUUUAAGAAGAGAGAAGAACAUGUGAUCACCUACAAGAGUGGGUCGUCAAAAACACAAAUAGAUUUUCUUCUAAUGAGGAAAGGGGAUCGUAUAACUUGUAAGGAUUGCAAAGUUAUACCAGGAGAGAGCGUGGCUAAUCAACAUCGCUUGUUGGUGAUGGAUGUACAUAUCAAAAGAGUGAGAAAAAAGAACAAGACUUGGAAGUGCCCAAGGACUAGAUGGUGGAAUCUAAAAGAAGAAAAACAAGCCAUUUUCAAAGAGAAAGUAAUCACCCAGUGUGUGUGGGAUAGAGAGGGGGAAGCUAACCAAAUGUGGGAUUCCAUGGCUAGUUGUAUCCGAAAAGUAGCAAAAGAGGUAUUAGGAGAGUCCAAGGGCUUUGCCCCACACCAAAAGGAAUCUUGGUGGUGGAAUGAGGAGGUACAAACAAAGGUGAAGGCUAAGAAGGAAUGUUGUAAAGCCUUAUACAAGGAUAGGACCGAUGAAAAUGGUGAAAGGUAUAGAAAAGCGAAGCAAGAGGCGAAGAAAGCUGUGAGAGAAGCUAAGUUAGCGGCUUAUGACGAUAUGUAUAAGCGACUAGAUACCAAAGAAGGAGAGUUGGAUAUCUAUAAACUAGCUAGAGCAAGGGAAAAGAAGACAAGGGACCUAAACCAAGUGAGGUGCAUCAAGGAUGAGGAUGGAAAGGUUCUUGCUACAGAGAACGCGGUUAAAGACAGAUGGAAAGGUUAUUUUCAUAAUCUUUUCAAUGAAGGACAUGAAAGGAGUGCUUCUUUAGGGGAGUUGAGUAACUCAGAAGAGUGUAGAAACUACUCUUUUUAUCGUAGAAUCCGGAAGGAAGAAGUGGUUGUAGCUUUGAAGAAGAUGAAGCAUAGAAAAGCAGUAGGCCCAGACGAUAUACCAAUCGAAGUGUGGAAAGUUUUGGGAGAGACAGGUAUAACAUGGCUCACUGACCUUUUCAAUAGGAUUUUGAAAACGAAGAAGAUGCCAAAUGAGUGGCGAACGAGCACUUUGGUGCCUAUCUACAAGAAUAAGGGCGAUGUACAAAAUUGCAUGAACUAUAGGGGUAUUAAGCUAAUGAGUCAUACAAUGAAGCUCUGGGAGAGAGUCAUUGAGCAUAGAUUGAGGCAAGAGACACGGGUUUCGGACAACCAAUUCGGGUUCAUGCCAGGGCGCUCAACCAUGGAGGCAAUCUAUCUCUUACGAAGAUUGAUGGAAAGAUAUAGAGAUGGGAAAAAGGAUUUACACAUGGUCUUUAUAGAUUUGGAAAAAGCGUAUGAUAGGGUCCCAAGAGACAUUCUUUGGAGGAUUUUAGAGAAGAAAGGAGUACGAGUAGCAUAUAUCCAAGCUAUACAGGAUAUGUAUGAAGGAGCAAAGACUGCCGUAAGAACUCAUGAAGGACAAACCGAAAGCUUUCCCAUAACUGUAGGAUUACAUCAAGGCUCAUCCUUAAGUCCUUACCUUUUUGCGUUGGUAAUGGAUGAGUUAACAGGACAUAUUCAAGAUGAUAUUCCUUGGUGUAUGCUUUUCGCAGACGAUAUAGUGUUGAUAGAUGAAACUCAGGAAGGGGUAAAUGCAAAGCUUAACCUUUGGAGAGAAGUGUUGGAAUCUAAAGGUCUUCGCCUAAGCCGAUCAAAGACAGAAUAUAUGGAGUGCAAGUUCAGUGCAAAUGGAGGCCAAAACGAGUUAGGGGUGAGGAUCGGAGAUCAAGAAAAUACCAAAGAGCGACCGUUUUCGUUACCUAGGAUCUAUCUUGCAAAAGAACGGAGAAUUAGAUGGAGAUCUCAACCAUAGAAUACAAGCUGGAUGGAUGAAGUGGAAGAGUGCAUCCGGCGUGUUGUGUGACCGCCGUAUGCCACUGAAGCUCAAGGGAAAAUUUUAUAGGACGGCAAUAAGGCCGGCGAUGCUGUAUGGCACAGAAUGUUGGGCGGUGAAGCAUCAACACGUACACAAAAUGGGUGUAGCGGAGAUGAGGAUGCUUCGUUGGAUGUGUGGGCACACGAGAAAGGAUAAGAUUAGGAAUGAGGAUAUCCGGGGUAAAGUAGGAGUAGCCGAAAUUGAAGGAAAGAUGAGAGAAAAUCGGUUACGGUGGUUUGGACAUGUGCAAAGAAGGCCUACUGACGCUCCGAUUAGAAGAUGCGACUAUGGGACAGAGGUUCAGGGCCGAAGGGGUAGAGGAAGACCUAGGAAAACUUUGGAAGAGACCCUAAGAAAAGACUUAGAGUACUUGGAUCUAACGGAGGACAUGACACAGGACAGAACACAAUGGCGUUCUAAGAUUCAUAUAGCCGAUCCCACUCAGUGACUUGGAUUUUCCAAGUCUCCAACCGAGAAGUUUUCCUCACUCGGGAAAUUAAGGGAACACUACCUCAACCUACAUGCUCCACUCACAAAGCUUCAACAUACAAGCUUCAACAAAAGAAAAUUCAAAGAACUUAGCGAAGAAGGCUUUGGUGUAUUUAACACAAUACGUUGAAAUGAAGGAAAGCUUAUUUAUUGAUAUCCCCGAUAAGUUACAAAUAUGUACAUAUACUUGAGUCAAAAUAAACAAACAAGAGGGAGCCUUCACAAAGGUUGCUUAGGAGAAGUCUCAGCAGUCGGUAGAGCCCCAGAAAGAGAAGGCACCGGAGGGGGAUCAUUCGGAGCCUCAGUACUGGACAGAACCCUAGAAGGAGGAGGCAUCAGAGGUUGAUCAUUUGGAGCUUCAUUACGCGGUACAGCCCCAGAAGACGAAGGCAAUAAAUGCCUUUGGAACAAACCCACAAAUCUCUGAUGAUCAAGUAAAACCUGACCAUCAGAUUCCUUCAUCUGGUCAAGCUUCCUCUUCAUGUUUGUAGCAUAGUCAUGUGCGAGCCGGUGCAACUGUUUAUUCUCAUGCUUGAGCCCUCUAAUCUCCUGUUUGAGACUCAUCACUUCAGCCGCCAAUGAUUCAACUUGGCGGGUUCGAGCAAAUAGGCGUUGGGCCAUAUUAGACACAGAACCUGCACACUGAACACUGAGAGCCAGAGAAUCCUUAACAGCCAACUCAUCAGACCGUUUGGAAAGUAGUCUGUUAUCUUUGGGAGUGAGAAGGUUCCUGGCCACUACCGCAGCGGUCAUAUCAUUCUUCAUCACGGAAUCCCCAACGGUAAGAGGACCAGUAGGGGAGACGAAGGAUGGGCGCCAUAUGUUGUCUGGAGAAGGCGGGGCUGCCUCUUCAACAAGGUUCAAGUCAAAACGACGGUCGGAGGGGCCAGACAUUUUCAAAGGUGUUGAAGAGAGAAGAGGUCGGACAAAUCAAGAUCUUAGAAGUGCAAGAAUGGAGCUUCUACUGGUGGAUAUUCAAGUGUGCUUUGGAACUUAAUGUCAGCCCCUAUAAAAAUCUGCACUCGACGAAGCUUCAGAAAUCGAAGAGGCGCCUGCUCAGAAAUCGAAGAGGCGUUUGCUUUCUCAAAAGCUGGGCUGCUCAGAGACCACGAGGGUCGAUCUCAGAAAUCGAAGAGGCGUUUGCUUUCUCAAAAGCUGGGCUGCUCAAAGACCACGAAGGCCGAUCUCAGAAAUCGAAGAGGCUUGCUUUCUCAAAAGCUGGGCUGCUCAGAGACCACGAGGGCCGAUCUCAGAAAUCGAAGAGGCACCUACUUUUCCAGCCUUGUCAGCACCUGUCACACGCACACUCAGCUUUGCGGAAAUUAUGGGCAUUCUGUCGAAGAUUUCUGGCGAAGUAGAAAGCACAUGAAUCGUACUGUUCAAUCACCCACUUCCCACACGCAACAGUAGCUCAUGGGUACCACAGAUAACUUUGCCAAAGUUCUCUGACAAAGUUGAGACACGUGAAGCUUGCAGCUCCCACUACAUCGCUCUGACCAAGAAGGGUAAAAGAAUUAGCAAAGAAACAACACUAACAAAGUUUAGACACAUAAAUUUUGAAGGUCUAGCUACCAUAUUAUUACCCACAAGGGUAAAGGAACAGUACCACUGCUGGAUAAUUGGAAAGUCCCGGUGUGUCAACCUCUGUGCUUCGUGGCAAGGUAGACUAGCAAACAUGCCCAACCUUUACUCACAUUCGAGAAAACACUCCCAACAAGAUUGCUUGCUCCAAAAUCGAAGAGGCACCGCCCUCCGAAUCUCGAGAGCCAGACUCCCAACAUGAUUACUUUCUCAAAAAUCGAAGAGAGGGUAAAGGAACAGUACCACUGCUGGAUAAUUGGAAAGUCCCUGUGUGUCAACCUCUGUGCUUCGUGGCAAGGUAGACUAGCAAACAUGCCCAACCUUUACUCACAUUCGAGAAAACACUCCCAACAAGAUUGCUUGCUCCAAAAUCGAAGAGGCACCGCCCCUCCGAAUCUCGAGAGCCAGACUCCCAACAUGAUUACUUUCUCAAAAAUCGAAGAGAGGGUAAAGGAACAGUACCACUGCUGGAUAAUUGGAAAGUCCCUGUGUGUCAACCUCUGUGCUUCGUGGCAAGGUAGACUAGCAAACAUGCCCAACCUUUACUCACAUUCGAGAAAACACUCCCAACAAGAUUGCUUGCUCCAAAAUCGAAGAGGCACCGCCCUCCGAAUCUCGAGAGCCAGACUCCCAACAUGAUUACUUUCUCAAAAAAUCGAAGAGACACCGCUCUCCGAAUCUCGAGAGCCAGACCCCCAGCAGGAUUGCUUUCUCAAAAAUCGAAGAGGCAUCGUUCUCCGAAUCUCGAGAGCCAGAUCCCCGACAGGAUUGCUUGUUCGAAAACCGAAGAGGCACCACUUUCCCAACUUCAAGAGCUGGAUCUCCUUGGAUAAAGCUUGUCUGUAAUCUUCACACGCAACAUCAGCUUUCCAGAUACCACAGACCACUUUUUCAAAGUGCUCUGACAGAGUUAAAACAUGUGAAGCUGGCAGCUCCCACUACCGUGCUAUGACCAAGCAGGGUAAAGGAAUAGCAUUAUUACUUGAUGUUAGGGAGACUCCUAUAUAUGUCGACCUCCAUCCCCAACGGACAGGCAGACCUGCAAAAAUGCUCAACCCUUCCUCUUAUCUGAGAGGGCACUCCCAACGAAGCCUUUCGAAAUAUUCAGCUUUCUUUCCCCCCGAUAAUACCUCUGUAAACAAGCUAUACUAGAGCAAGAAUAUCUCAUAUCAUCAGGGUUAAAAGCAAGAGUAUCCCAUAUCAUGCUUUUUCCCUGUCUUUUCCUUUGGCCUUGUUCUUACCUGCAAGACAAGGAGAAAGAGAGCAAUCAGUCAGCACUUGGAAUCAAGCUUCCAGCCAGGAACUGACUGCCUGGAACCCCUUACCUGAUUACUUACCUGGCAUUGCUCUCGAGUACUCAUCUUCAACAUCUUAUGCUUCCAGGGAAGAUACCGCAUCUGCCUGAGGAACAGAUAGGGCAAGUGAGAAGGAUACAAGGAAGCAUGUGGAGACAAGCGUAACAGCACACGUGCCGAUACAUCCAUUACUCUGUCAAAAGCAAAAGUAUCCCAUAUCAGCAGGGUCGAACGUACUCUAGAUUUGAUGGACUUGUUUUGACCCUCAAAUUCUUCAGUCGGCCUUAUACUCUGGAGGAAACCAGAAAACCCUCCAGCCCAGUUCAAGAAUAAGCCUGUGGAAAGUUACUUCUUCAAAAGCAAAAGUAUCCCAUAUCAUCUCUUCUCAUUUUUCUUCUCUUUAUCCUUCAUGCUGCCUGCAAGAUAGGGAGAAUGUGAACAAUCAGCCGGAGCUCUGAUUGCUUACCUUGUCUGUCACCUCUUUCAGCAGAUCCCCUAGCUCGGCGACUUGGGGGACUCCUACUACAUGGUUUGUAUCGCGCUUGACCAAGCCUGAAACUACAAGUAAGCUUCAAGUGACAAUUGAUACAUUACCUUGUGCAUCUCCACCAGUUACAGAUACCACCCCUGGAUGGAGGAAGAGUACUUCCAGAGAAGAUGCCACAUCUACCUAUGAGACAGAUAAGGAAAGUCAAGACGAUACCACACUCCGGUACUUAGAAGUUUCGUGGUUACGAGAUCAUUCUCCCACAAUAUUUCCUAAUGUCAUUUGUACUAAAUCAUUCACUUGUACUCACUAAAGGAGAGCUUGAACCUAUGUACUUGUGUAAACCCUUCACAAUUAAUGAGAACUCCUCUAUUCCGUGGACGUAGCCAAUCUGGGUGAACCACGUACAUCUUGUGUUUGCUUUCCUAUCUCUAUCCAUUUAUAUACUUAUCCACACACUAAUGACCGGAGCAAUCUAGCGAAGAUCACAAAAAAGUGACCGUUUUCGCUACCUAGGAUCUAUCUUGCAAGAGAACGGAGAAUUAGAUGGAGAUCUCAACCAUAGAAUACAAGCUGGAUGGAUGAAGUGUAAGAGUGCAUCCGGCGUGUUGUGUGACCGUCGUAGGCCACUGAAGCUCAAGGGAAAAUUUUAUAGGACGGCAAUAAGGCCAGCGAUGUUGUAUGGCACAGAAUGUUGGGCGGUGAAGCAUCAACACGUACACAAAAUGGGUGUAGCGGAGAUGAGGAUGCUUCGUGGGAUGUAUGGGCACACGAGAAAUGAUAAGAUUGGGAAUGAGGAUAUCCGAGGUAAAGUAGGAGUAGCCAAAAUUGAAGGAAAUAUGAGAGAAAAUCGGUUCUGGUGGUUUGGACAUAUGCAAAGAAGGCCUACUGACGCUCCGGUUCGAAAAUGUGACUACUGGACAGAGGUUCAGGACCGAAGGGGUAGAGGAAGACCUAGAAAAACUUUGGAAGAGACCCUAAGAAAAGACUUGAGUACUUGGAUCUAACGGAGGACAUGACACAAAACCGAGCGCAAUGGCGUUCUAGGAUUCAUAUAGCCGACCCCACUUAGUGGGAAAAGGCUUUGUUGUUGUUGUUGUUGGUUGAUUUUGUAUGGACGAUGUAUUAAUUUUUUUUUUUUUUUGGGAUUUUGUGUAUUGGGUAUUGUGUAGAACCAGCAAUGCAGGAUCUGAUCAGUCACGCCCGAAAAGGGGUUUGUUUCUCAAAUCACAUUAAUUAAUUAGAUUAUUAAUGUGCGUUGGAAGGCUCUUCAAUAUGAUUUCUAAUUUCUCCUUUCCAGCAUUCUCUUUUUGGUUUUUGGAGUAUGUAUGUGAUUUGUAUUUGAUUAUAGAAUAAAAAUUAAUAAAACACGAGAUGCAGCAAUUAAUUUGCAUCCUUAUGACAACACAUAUAUGAAAGUGCAUUCAAUUUCAAUGUGCGAAUGUGUGACAGGACAGGAUGUGCCUGCCUGCUGGUGGUGGUAUGCUUGCUGUUGUUUCUUGCGUUGUUAAUUUUUUGUGUGUUGAUUUGAUUAACAAUUCAAGCGUAUCUUAUUUUUUUUGUGUUGGUUAGCAGCCAGUUUUAUGGCCCCGAUCUAGUGAUGCUUCUCAGUGACUGGUAAUUGCAGUUCAUUGCCACCAGUUGGUCAGCUACCUGCUCUGAAAGAGCUCUACGUAGAAGGGAUGAAAGUUGUUAAGAGUGUUGGUGUUGAGUUGUACGGGGGAAAUCAACCAUUUCAAUGUUUAGAGAAGGUAAAGUUUCGGGAGAUGCCAGAGUGGGAGGAAUGGCAGCCUAGUCCAAGUGGAUGUGAAAGUCCAGACUUUCCUCAUCUUAAGGAGCUGAGGUUAUCCGAAUGUCCGAAGCUGAGAGGAAACUUGCCCACUCAUCUUCCCUCCUUGAAAACACUUUAUGUGAACAAGUGUGAGGUUCUACAUAAAAACAGGGCCAGUAAUACCCUGAACGUGGAAUCCUUACGAGGAUCUCUUGAAAAACUGACAAUAAAUGGAUGCCCGGGUCUCUCAUUGUUACUAGAGUCGAUGGAGACGCUGCCGUCGCUUCAGAAGCUUGAUAUUGAUAGUGUUGGUGGGAAAGAGUUGUUGGUGCAAAUGGUGCACAACAGCAAUCGUCUUCAAAGUUUUGACUUUAUAUAAAUGUUCCUCACCCUUGUCGUUCCCUACAAAUGGUCUGCCCACCACGCUGACGUCACCGAGCAUAACAGAUUGCAAGAAAUUAGAAUUCCUAUCACGUGAGAUGAUGGCCAAAUUGACUUCCCUUCAGUCUUUGCGUCUAUCCAACAGCUGUGAAUGCAAAGGCUUGAGUAAUUUUUGUGAGUCUGCUGUUUGGUUUUUUUUUCUUCAUUUUAGAGAUUUUUCUACUGUUUGGUUUUUGGGUUUUGUCUAAUUUUUGUGGUCUGCUUUAUAGAUUGUUCUCUUUGGAAGCUUCUUUCCAGCCUUGACCUUCUUCUUGCCUGGUGCCUUCUCAUUGAGUAUUGGAGGAGCAUUAAAACACAGGUGUGUGUGUUUUGUCGAUGUAAGAGAUGAACGACAUAAAAACAUCCGUCUUUGUAUUUUUUUGUGCUUUUUCUAACCCAUCAAUUUCUUUUGAGUCAACCAAAUAGUCCCAAAUUGCAACUUAUGUUGUGAGGUAUUAUUGUCUAAAAUUAAGUAUGCAUGUAUAUUUUAUGUUUGUGCGCGCGCACACCUCCGCAUGGUGUUAAUCUCUGUGGGUCAUCUAUGUAUAUGUAGACAUAUCUAUAUGUGUAUGUGUGGAAUGCAACAUAUCGGAUUUAGGUUAUACUGUGCAUAGUUUUAUUGCCUGUUAUUAUCUACGAUAUCACUAUGCCAUUUCUAUGCAGGCUCUGAAAGUUAUCCAUGAGCUUUAUAAGCACUUACCAUAAUUUAAGCAGUCUGUUUUGGGUUCUUUUUCAUUAGGUCAUUAGCUACAGAUUAAUGGAGAAACGAGGACCAUGCAACUGAUUUGGGUUCUUUUUCUAAUUUUCUGAUUUUGGGGUUUUGCAGGGAGUACUGAUGUACUGAUUUUCUGGGAUUUUUUUUGUCCUUGCAGGAUUUUUGGUCUUUGGAAUGGGUAUGUGUUGUUUUUAACGUUUCAGUUCUAGCUUGUUCCGUUCUUCGUUGCUUCGUGAUUCUCAUUUUUUAGUGUUGGGUGAUGGAAAUUUGUUCAAGUAGUUGGUAGUUUUUUUAGAAAGUUGGCAUUUUUAGUUAUAUUUUCUGUUUAAUCCUAAAUGUUAGACUGGAAAAUCAUUGAAAUGACGGUUUUUUAAAAACUCAUAAUUUUUUUGUUCUGGGAGUUAAAAGCAUCUUUUCCAGAUUGGUUAUAAGGGUUAUGUUCUCUUCAAUUGGUUCACCUAAUUUUGAUUAGUUUUAAGUUUUGUCCUUUUAAGUUUUGUCUUUUAAGUUUUGUUCUUUAAGUUGUCUUUUAAGUUUGUUCUCUAAGUUUUGUCUUUUAAGUUUUAUCUUCUGUGCUGUAAUGAGAGAUUUCUGUUGGCCUUUCGGAUUUUGGCAUGGGAAAGUUCACUUAUUUGUCUAAUUAGAUUGUGUAUGCCUUCGAUUCUUUAUUUAAUUGUUCUGUUUGUGUUCAGGUGUGAUGAUCUAAAUUUCAUAUGUUUGGAAUUAUUCACUUAACACCAAUUUGUUACAUUCAGAUCUCCACCCCACAUUUCACUAGUUCAAAUUCCAUAGAAGUCGGUUACUGCAGAUUGCGUCUACAAUUAGAUCAGAGAUCAACUGCUCUUUUGUUAUCCUGCAGAAGAUUGCUUUUGGGAAGGAUCUGAAGUAGUUUCUUUCUGUAAGUUUAUUCCCAUGUAGCUCUGUCUUUUCUAAUUGAUGGUGUUGAUAUUACACUGUAAUUCAUGAUGAUGAUUUAAUUGUUUAUUGAUUUGUAAUUGUUUGUGAAUAAUGUGGCAUAUAUGACUUGCAAUAUGUGUUUGUAUGAAAGGGAUGACAUAUUAUGUUGCUGACUUAAUUGUUUAUGUUUUUCAUAUUUGCGAAUGGUGUUAUGAUCAAUUAGGUGAUUGCUGACCUGUGACUUUGUUUGGAGCUCAAAUUUUGUGAGCAUUACAUUGGAUUGUUUUGAUGUUGUUUUGGUUGACAAUGCAGGGAUAGGAGAAACAAAGAGGAUGACACUUAUAACUGCCCUUCCCCAUCGGCCGUCUUCAAAUUUGGAUCACAAGAAGGGAGCAACAUAGGUGUUUUCCUUCUUCAUUUAGAUAUGGUUAGUGUAAAUAAUUGGACAAAAGAGCCAAACAAACCCUGUUCUCUCAAAUGGAGUCGAUGAUGUGGUCGAUGGCCACCAGCCCCAACUCAAGAGUUUGGCCUUCAUAUAAUUGGAUUGUAGUAUAAUUUUAUUUUGGUUCAUUUCUUUUUUCCUUUAUAUAAGUGCAGGUGUUGUGAUGUUUUGAAUAAAGGGUGAUGAAAGGUGGUUCACACACUUCCUCCUUACUUAAAGCAAGUGGAGAUGAUGGGUUGUAUAAAAAGAAAAACUUGCCAGGUACUUCGAUUUUCUAUUUUAUUAAUUAUUGUUUGGUUUUCCAAAUGUUGUAUUCACAAAGAGAGACCAAUGAUGUCUUUGAGAAACAAGUUUCUUUGUCUACAUUGCGAGAAUUUGCAGUUUGCAACUUUCAUUGGUUAUUAUAUUUGAUUGAGUUAAACUUGGAUUUCUGGAUUUUGACUUUUUCGUUUGUUUCUUUGUUGUAGAGUUGGCUUCAUUUCAUUCCAGUAACUCUAUUCCAGUAACUCUCUAAAAUAGGGCCAAGAACUCACUAAAUAGGUAGUCAAGAGGAAUUCAGUUUUGCCUUCAAUUUUUGCCUUCUGUUUACAUUCUUCCUGGAUGCACUCUCACCGCUUCUCUCGCUUACCACUUUUGUCUCACUCACCGCUUCAUCUCUUCUGUUGCUUACAAGGUCGUGUCAUAUAUUUUUUUAAUUUUUGUGUGUUUAAUUUAUUGAAUAUUUGAAAAAAGAGAUAAAAUUUUCAAUUUACAAUUACUGAUAUGAUGUUUGUUUUGAAAAUCAUUAAGGUGAAUGGAGAGAUUUACAACCAUGAAGAGCUGAGGAGCCGUUUGCCAAAUCAGAUUUAUAAGGUCUCAUCAAUUAUAAAUAAACGACUUUUCAUUCCCAAUGACCUUUAUCGUUUUUCUUAAUGGGUUAGCUGAACAUGAGGUAGAUGCUGACUUUAUAAAAUAUGAGAAUGUUUUAGGAUUUCAUUCUAAUUUUUUGGCUGUUUGAUUACUUUGCUUUUCGUAAUUUGUUUUGCUUAUCGUCAAUUGGAUGGGACAACAUAUUUUUGUAACCAGUUUGUACUUUUUUUUUUUGUGGAAACUAACCAGUAUGUACUUUUACCAUCUCGGUUUUGAUGGAAUUGGAGCUUUCAGUAAUGGGUUCUGAGGGAAUUGGAGUUUUGAGUAAUGGGUUUUUUAACAACUAUAGUAUCAUUUGUGAUUCUUUUAUUUAUAAGAUAUUAUAUAGGAAACUGUUAUUAGCACUCUAAUAAUCUUAUUCUACACUCGCGACAAGUGUAUUUUUCUUUCUAAUUAUGGAAAGUUUGGAGUGCAAAAUGAGAAUUUUGGAGUGCCAAUAACAAUUCCCUAUUAUAUAUAGCUCUACUAAGAAGGCGACUGUAUAUGUCUUCAUCCUGUUAAAUUGUAUAUGGCUCUUGAUGUCGGCUGAAUUAAAUCAAAAUGAAAACCAAGCUGCUGAUCUUACCAGCCCAUAUCACUUAUCACUUAUUUAAAUUAUUUGAAGAUGCAUACGUGGAUUGGUGAUUUUGUUGGAUUCACUUAGCUCAAAUAUAUGUUAUCUGAGUCGCUACAUUUGAGAAUGUGAUUCUGUUCCUACCACCAUUUUGCCCACUUUUUGUGGAAAUUAUUCAUUCCUGUUGUGAAUAAUAUCCCCGGCAGCGAAGUGCGGGCGCAUUUUCUAGUUUAAGUUAAAUCACACAAUGGGUCAUCAAUAAUGACAAACUCGUCAUUUAUGCGAGUCAAACAUGAGACCACCUACCUACUAGUUUAGUGGAAUACCACAAGUGACAUGUUGAUACCUUUAAAUCUCAUAUAAUGGAUUGCAGAAUUAGGAUAUACCUAGUCUAAUUUAGUCAGUGCGUGAACCCGAACAAUUAACCAGGGUUUUAUUCUUGCUUGAAUGUUUGUAAUAUGUUCCUAGUUUGACAAGGCAAUUAUAUUUCCGACUACAAAAGUUAUUAAUUUAGUCGAGAAUUGACGCACCUGAAAUGGUGUGAGGAAAACAUGUAGACACAUCAGACGCGGUCCAUCCUGAGCAUUGUGUAUUAAGGAUAAAGCUCAAAGCCAUACAUGAGGGCAUUGUGUAUGUCUUUAUAAGAGAAGUUGCUGUAGUCCUCAACGUGGCCGGCAGCCAAACUCAUCCACUCUACACUGCAACCCUCAUCCAAAUCCCAUGCUUCCAACCUGCCCCCGACAUAGUCAUCGACCAUGACAUAGCUAUACGUUUUUGGUUGACUCGAAGAAGAAGAAGAAGAAGAAGUAUUAUUCAAGCAUGGAGCAGUGUCCACGUACAGAGAAGAAUUCGAUGGAUUCGAACACUUCAAGUAAUAUAUAGAUAGAGAAUUGAUGUCAUAGGUGGGCCAAUAUAGAGAAUCGAUGUCCUCGAUGGGCGGAAUAUUUUGAGACAUGGAAGAGCAAUUGUUGUUGUCAAGCCCAGGAUCUAGAAGUCGGAUUGUUUUGUUAAUGUAGUUGAUUGCCUGGACAUAGUAUUUUCCGGAAGAAGGUAGGUCUAGUACUGUAAUGUUGCUCUCACAGGACAGAGUAAACCUUACGUCGCCACAGUACUUUGGAUCAUCGUUCAGUCGAAAAGGAUGGCUUAUGUUGUGGAUAUGGCCGCAGGAUGAAGUGCAGGACUUGGCACUACUGUUGUCAGCGUUACAAGUUUCACUGCAAAAGCAAAGAAGAAGAAAGGCUAAACUUAAGGUGAAGGACCUGGUUCCACUGAUUUCCAUUGCUCUGAGAGAGAGAGAGAGAGAGAGAGGGCACUAUAGCUUAAACACCAAGGAGUUAUAUAAUAUGGGAGGGGUUAAAGCACCUCGCUUAAAGUUGCAGUAAGCCCGUCAAAUAUCCUAGGGAAAAGUCGGUCAAUGCUGUCCUAUAGAGAAAAGUCGGCCUUGAUGUUUGACACGGUCACACUCUCUCUCUCUCUCUCUCUCUCUCUCAUUGACGAGGGACACUGUAAUUGAAAAAAAAAAUUGUUAUUCAGAGAUAGAUCUUGAAAUUCUUAUUUUAUAUAAAAAAAAGGGGUAUUUAGAUUUUAGGACCUAUAUAAGAUAAUUUUUAGAUUAUAAGGUUUCAAAAUCUUAUUUUAGUCCCUAAUUUAAUAUUCAUCGCCACAUCAUAUUAUAAGAUACCUCUAUUACCUACCAUAUUUACAAACUUUGCCAUUUAAAUUGUCAACCUAUUCUAUAAUUAAGGCUUAAAUAUAUUCCGUUAAUAAACCAUUCGUCAAUAAGAUAAAUCCAACUAUGGUAAAUUAUACUAAUUUAUACUUGCUGACAAACAAAUUAAGUCUAUAGUAAUUUUAGGUCAGUCACCUUAAGAAGUCGAAGAUGAAAAAAUCAAAUACAAAACAAUAGGUUAAAAAAAUUAAAUAAUAACCCUUAAUAUAUAUAUAUAUAUAUAUAUAUAUAUAUAUCACAAAAAAAAAGUAUAACAACUCCUUAUUGUCUAUAUAUAGGAAUUGCAUAAGUGUCGGUACAUAUGUGUAGGUACAUACAUGCACAUAGGUACGGAAGUAUCGGUAUGGAAGUGCCGGUACAUACGUACACAUAGGUACGAAAAUAUUGAUACGUUAGCAUCGGUACAAAAGUAUCGGUGCGGAAGUGUCGAUACUUAUGUACAUAUAUAUAGGUACGCAAAUAUUGAUACAUAAACAUCAAAAGAAAAAAUCGGUAGAUUCGAUGUAUGAGAAGGUAAAAAUAAAUCAUCAACACUAGAAAAAAAUGAUAAAAGUAAAUCAUGCACUAUUAGAUGCAUAAGAAGAAGAAAUAUUAGAUGUGGAUGGUGGCCCUAGCCCUCUCUUCUAACACGGUUGAAGAUAAUUUUUUGGGUUGGACAAAAAGUUUCAUUUUUAAGGAGAACCAUUUAUGUUAGCAAUAAAACUGAAAAGUUAUAAAUAAAAUAAAUAUAAGACAUUAUAAUUCACUCAAGGAUAAUAUAGGAAGAAAAAAAUUACAUAAAAGGAAUUAACUCUGACAUUAAAUAUAAAUGCUGACUUGGACAUAAGUCAAAGGACUAUAAUUAGUUUUUUAUCUUGGUUAAGGUUUUAGUCUAAAGAUAAUCUUUUUCAAGGAUUAAUAUCUAGUUUCCUAUAAAAAAAAACACCUAAUAUUAAUCAUUCAAAUGAAAUUGUUAAAAUUAAGUAUAAAUAAUACAUAAUGAAAACUGAACACAUACAAUCAACGGUCACGACCAUGAAAUCCUCCGGAUCCUCAGAAAAAAAUCCGACGAUGAUCUUUUUCUGUGUAAAAUAAUUUGAGGGUAUAAUACUGGAUGUGCGAUUAAACCGAAGAACCCACCCACCUCCAUCUUCUCUGACCAACUUGAACCCAGCCACUACUACAUGUCAUCCCGACAACCCACUCUCAGCUUCCCAAACCGCCAUUUUUCACCCAAUGGAACAUUUAAAGAAAAAAUCCAUCUGCAAAUCGAAAACCACCGAAAAAAAUUAAAUCAGAUACAUUGGAAAAAACGCAAAACUCAAUGGAACAACACUGGCGUGGAAGAGAAAAAAAGCAGAAGGUGAGAAUGGAGAGAAAGAAGCGAACGGAAAGAAAAAGCAAAGAAGAGGUUGGAAACGGAACAACAGAAGAACAAUAGAAGAACAGAAAUGGGUAUGGGAAACGGAACAACAGAACAAAAAGCAGGCGGUGUAUAGAGCAAGAAAAGCAAACCUCACGAUGACCAACACGUGCUAAGAGAGGCCCCGGUUCACUGUGUAUCACAUUUUUUAAUAUUUUUUUUGGUCUUCCCACCGGCUAUACAUGGGAUUCCAAAAUUAAGAAGGUAUAAAUUUUUAUUGUUUCUUGUGCCACAAACCAUGUGGCCCAGUCUUAAUCACAUUUUUUAAAUAUUUUUUUUGCUCUUCCCAUCAGCAGUACAUGGGUUAAAAAAAUUAGGAAAGUAUAAAUUUUUAUUGUUUGUUGUGUCACAAACCACGUUGCCCGGUUUUAAUCACAUUUUUUUAAUAUUUUUUUGUCUGCCCACCAGCUAGGUUUAAAGAAUUAAAAAAGGACUAAAAGAAAGACUCCACAGAUGGAGGAACAUGGGAAUAGAAAGGGCAAAUUUGGGAUUUUACUGUACAAAAAAGACAAAAAGUAACUGCUGAAGACUAACUUGAGGGGCAUUUUGGUCUGCACACUGCCCUAGAACAGUAACCAUCGGAUUGGGUUUUAGUAUAUAUAGAAUAUGUUUAGAUAAGGACAAUAAACUUAGAAUUUUGCCAAAAGUCAGAAUUUAUAAAUUGAUACAAUCAAUUCAUUUGUUUGGAUUCAUAAACAUAGAAAUUUAGACUUUCCGCGUGAGAAAAAACUUGGAAUUUGGGACCUUCAAUUCUCAUGUUUAAAUUUCAUGUAAAUAGGUGUCAUUUAUAAAUUUCAGUAAGUGAGAGUUUAAAAAUAACAAACAUGUAUUCAAAUUUCAUUCCUCCUUUGGUUAACCAAAAAAGAAAAUUUAUAAAUUCUAGAAAAUAAAAUUUCUUUAUUUUAAUUUCUGUUAUUUUAAAAUUCUUAGGGCUUGUUUGGUAUUCUACUUGAAUCCAACUUUUUAAACUAAAAAAUAAUUUUCAAGUUUUAGGCCUUAAAAACUUAUUUGGUAGAACUAUUUAAAAAAACUGAACUUAAGACUAACUAAAAAAUAUAAUAUAUUAUCUAAAAACACAAAAAAUGAGUUUUUAGAAUUUUUAAACUUAAAUUCACUCAUUUCUUUUCUCUCCCUCCUCCCCUCUCACUCCAAAUCUCUCUCUCUCUCUCUCUUUUCUUCUUUCUCUCUCCCCUUCUCUUUUUUUUAACCUUUUUUUGUCUCUCAUCUAAUCCGCUCUCUUCAUUUUCUCGGUUCUUUCUCUCACUCAUAUUCCUCUCUAUCUCCUCCAAUUCUCUCUCUUCAUUCUUUUUCAACCAAUAAUUUCUUACUUUUUUCCUCUUCUCUCCUCUUGAUUCUCUCUCUUCAUUCUUUUUCAACCAAUCAUUUUUUACUUUUUUUCCUUCUCUCCUCUUUCUCCCUCGACUUCCUCUUUUUGGAUCUCUUUGUUCAGUUUGAGCUGUAAGAUUUAAAAUUAUUUUAAAUCGUAUACCAAACAAGUUUUUGAGUCUUAAAGAAAAUUGUUUUUCAAAAAAUGUUCUUAAGAAAUGUUUUGAGAAAUGAUAAAAAAUUUCAAAUAAGAUACCAAACAAGCCCUUAAUAAUCUUAAAUUUUCCCAUCCAAACAAAAAAUUUUCUUGUCAUAGAACUUUCAAUUGGAAUCAAAGAAGACAAUCUUUUCACAACUAAUUAUUCUCACCAAAAGCAAUUUUUAUUUUAAAGCAAUCAAUACCAAACUGCAAAAGCAAAGUAGGAAGGCUAAAAUUAAGGUGAAGAACCUGCUUCCACUAAUUUCCUUAGGAGGGAGAGAGAGAGGGGGAGAGAGAACCAAGCGAGCGAGCAGAGAGAGAAAACACCAAGUAGUAUUCUAAUGUUGGUGGGGUUAAGUCACCUUCCGUGAAGUUGCAGUAAGGACUUCUAUCCCAGAGAAAAGUCAGUAAAUGAUGUUGACACAGUCAACGACAAAGACAGAAUUGUGUAACCAUAAUUCUCUCUCUAUCUCUUUUUCAUUAUCGGAUGACAGUGUAACACUACUACGUAUAUAUCUCUGCUCAAUUAUUGAAAAGAAAAAUCCAUGUGCAUUAUUUUUAUUAUUAUUAUCUCAGAAAUGCAGAAAUUGAUCAUCUCUUCCUUUUGCAUAUUGAUACUGGUUUUCUUCAAACUAGUUGAAGCAAGUCAAUAUGUGUGCGCGAAAUCCAACUGUAGCAAUGAUCAAAGCGGGGCUAUCCAUUUCCCAUUAAACAUCAGGCGCACACAUCAUUGUGGUAAUUCUGGGCUUGAAUGCAAUGGGAGAUAUGAACAGCAAAUACUAAUAAAAUUAUUUGUCAAAGACAUAGAUUACAAGCGUCAGGAAAUCCAAGUCUAUUCCCCAAGUAACUGCCUGCUGCUAAAGCAUGUUGAAAUCCCAAACAUGCCACCCUCUCCCUUCAACGUGUCAGUCGAUGACUACAUGAGUAACCUUACCUUAUUCAGUUGUCCUACUUCUUUUGCAAGACGAGAUACGGAUGUGUAUCAAGUCCCCUGCCUCGGCGACCGUGGCAAGAGAACUUAUGCCAUUUAUUCUGAUUAUGGUUUUAGAACUCUCUUCCGGAAUCUACAAUCUUGUACAAAAAUGUAUGAUGUUUUAUCAGUUCCAAUACCCUCUGAAUAUUAUGUUCUUCGUUUCAAAUGGUCUAUACCAAAUUGCAGAAAAUGUGGAGAGGGAAAGAGGUGUGAAUGGCAGAACAAUGAAAUUAAAUGUAUUCAAUGGAGGAAACCAAGUAAGGAUAACAUAUGUAUUCAUUGCUAGUUUUAAACAUCUUUACAUUUGUUUCUCAGUAAUUAUUGUUUAAAACAUGUCCAAUCCAUUUUUACUAUGAAUAUUAACUGACAGUCUCAUUUGAAUUUGCCUUUAUCUUUUACAGGCAACACAUGGAAAUUAGUGGUCACAGGGGGAAUCCUGGGUUCUUUGCUUCUUGUUCUACUGAUGAUUGCAGCAUAUCGGGUAUAUAGCGUUGAUAGAAAGAAAAAAGAGAUUCGAUUACGAAUUGAAAGAUUCUUGGAGGAUUACAAAGCACUCAAACCAAGCAGAUACUCGUACGCAGAUAUUAAGAGGAUUACAAAUCAAUUCAAGGACAAGUUGGGCAAAGGAGCCUAUGGAACUGUCUUCAAAGGAAUGCUCUCUUCUGAAUUCUUUAUUGCUGUCAAAGUCCUCAACAGUUCCAAGGGAGAUGGGGAAGAGUUCGUAAAUGAAGUGCGAACGAUGGGUCAUAUCCACCACGUAAACGUGGCUCGCUUGGUUGGAUUUUGUGCUGAUGGAUUUGUACAAGCUCUUGUUUACGAGUUCUUCCCCAUUGGUUCCCUGCAGGAUUUCAUUUCAUCUGCAGAUAGUAAGAAUUCAUUUCUUGGUUGGGAUAAGCUGCAAGAUAUUGCCCUAGGCAUAGCCAAAGGAAUUGAAUAUCUUCACCAGGGAUGCGAUCUACGAAUCCUGCAUUUCGACAUCAAACCCCAUAAUGUUUUGCUAGACCAAAACUUCACUCCAAAAAUUUCUGAUUUUGGUAUGGCCAAGUUAUGUUCCAAGGAUCAAAGCUUGGUGUCCAUGACUACAGCUAGGGGGACCAUGGGCUACAUUGCACCUGAAGUGUUCUCCAGGAAUUUCGGAAAUGUGUCUUACAAGGCAGAUGUCUAUAGCUUUGGAAUGCUGCUGCUUGAGAUGGUAGGAGGAAGGAAGAAUAUUGGUUCAAUCACGGAUAACACUACAAAUGAAAUUUACUAUCCACAGUGGAUUUAUAAUCUUCUAGGGGAAGGGGAUGACCUACGAAUCCACAUUGGGGAAGAAGGAGACGGUAAAAUUUCAAAGAAACUUGCAAUUAUAGGGCUAUGGUGUAUCCAGUGGCACCCGUCGGAUCGUCCUUCCAUGAAAAUAGCGGUUCAGAUGUUAGAAGGAGGAGGAGAAAGCUUGAGUAUGCCGCCUAAUCCCUUUGUGCCUACUGGUUCUACAACUAGGAAUGCAAGACGCCUAGAGCUAGAAGCUAUUGCUGAAUUAGAGUAAAAUGUAUAUGCAGAUAUAUAGACGUAUAGAUAUAGUAAUAUUUACAUUGAAUAAGAUACCGUUUGAUAACCAUUUCGUUUUCAGCUUUUAAUUUUUAUUUUUCACUUUUUUGAAAACUGAAAACUAAAAUCUUGUUUGGUAAAUACUUUUAGUUAAAAAAAAAUGAAGACUGAGAACUAAAAAGUGAAAGCUCAAAGGAAGUAGAUUAAAAGUAGUUACCAAACAAACCGGAAUCUCAAUAAUAAAAAAGAUUGAAUUGCACAAUGCAAUCCAAACCAAUCAAAACAUUAAAAUAGCAAAAAAAUUAAAAUUCUAGUUGAUUAGAUUCUGAACAUAGUAAAAAUGAACAGAUCCGAUGAAAAAACAAAAAAUUCUCAGAUAAAAAUAGGGAUAAAGUAGAAUAUUUAUAAAUAGCUCAUUGUCUCUUAUGUCAUCAAUUAUUUCUAUAGUAUAUACAGGUUUUUGGAAAAAUUAGGUUCCCAUCCCUUAUUUUCAUAUUACAUUGAUUGAAAUCUUAUUAUUUUUCUAUUUUAGAUCAAGGUCCCUUGACUUAUUCCAUGUCAUCAUUUUAGUAUUUAAAAUAUUACACGUCAUCAUAAACGAAAUCUCAUCCCUUUCUGCAUUUAAGGCAAAAUAAACUAUAUAAGUAAGUUUAAAACAAGGAAAAUCCAUUUGAACUCCUCCAUUCUUCUUCUUCCCUUAUGCACAUCUGGAAUCUACAACACCCCAAACCCAAUUUUCUCCAUUUUUCUUCAUUCCUGAAUUGAUCCAAUGCAUAUAUGUUGAAUAAACCUAUUGUGAUUAAAAUACAAAUUAGCAUCAAUGAUUUUAUCGGCUUGUGAGAUUUGUGUGGCAUAGGCAAGGCAAUGCAGGCAUCGCUUUAUCAAAGAAUCUGGUUGAUUCAAACAUGCAGAGACUGUAGAGUGAGCGGGCUAUGUAAAAACUGUACCAUUUUGAAGUCAUUUUCUUUUGUUCUUUACAUUUUUUUUUCUUUUAUUAUUAUAUAUUAGUCUUGAUUAUUCAAUGUCUGGUUGGCUACACUUAUAUCCAUGGGUACAUUUUUAAUCUACAUGUUUCGUUCUAAUAUAUCUAUUGCUAUAAUAUGUUUUGGUUGGUUCAAAUUUGUUUUACAUAAAUAUAUGGGUACAAAGUUUUUGUAGAAUAUUAUGUAAAAUGGUUUUUAAGGUUGCUGCAUUUUACGUACCCACAUAUGCAUGUCUAUAAAACAAUGUGGUAUGAUGUACAUUCUUUUCUUUGAGUUUUUAAAUGUACCCAUGAGUUUUCUUGUAAAUUCGGUAUGUACCCAUAUGCUAUUUAUGUUAUGGGUACAUACAUUAUUUUUGGUCUAAGUUCAUGGGUACAUUACUUUUGUAUGUAUGAAUUCAUGGAGUACAUUAUUUCCCUUAAUACUACUCAAUAAAAUUCACAAAAAUAUGUGUAGCGUGCAUGAUUUUUUAUUGUAGAAAUUGUUUGUUUUUUUUAAGUCUCAUAAUUCAUGAAAUUUGUACAUAUAUGAUCACAUAAAUUUUUUAAUUUUAUUAAAUUUCUUUUAGACUUGAUCGAUUGAUUGAAUCUCAUAAUACUAGGAUUUUGAAUUACAUAAAUUCUUGGAUUUAAAUCCCUUAAAUGUUGAACUGCAAUCAAUAUUUUAAAUUACAGUUUUUUAUUUAAGAUAUCAAAAAGAUGACAUGGAAAUAUAGUAAUACUAAAAUGCUGAGGUGUACAAAGUCAAAGGACUUUGAUAAAAAAAUAAAAAACAAUAAGAUUUCAAUCUAACAAUUGAAUUGACUAGGGAUCGGAACCAAAAUGACCCUAGAUUUUUAUUGAGUUUAAUCUUAAUAAAAAAAAGACUUCUUGUAUCACAAAAAAUACAAGAACCAUUAUUUGAAUGAAAUAAAAGCUAUGGGAUGGAGAUAUAAAUGGAUCCUUUAUUUCACAAUUGGAUUAUAUUUAUUUGAUACACUGUUGUCAAUAUGAAUGCUGAGAAAAGACUACAAAAGAAAAAAACAAUUUAUAAAUAUAACUAACAAUUCCAAUUUCAAUCAAUUAGACAAUUAGAAUUAUAAGAAGAAAAAAAAAAGAAAUUUCAGUUUUCAGUUUAAAAAAAAUGAAAAAAAAAUGGUUAUCAAAGCCGUCCAAAUAAUACAAGUUUGUUUCCACUCUUUGUUUAAGCAUAGAUGCCAAUUUUUGUUUAUCAUUUUUUUAACCUUUAUUUUUUGUUACAGUAGAAGCCCUGGAAGGAAAUCGAGCACUGGACUUACCAAACUCUUAACUUAUUUCUACACACCAAGAGCUUGAUUUCGGUUCUUAUUUAUACUAUUUAAGCUAUAAGCCGUGACAAGAAUUAGAGAACUAUCAUUUGUUGUGAGCUUCAAUUGGUUAGCACUUUGUAUGUUUUCAUUAGAAUAUAUAUUUCACUUAGACUUUCUUAUUAAAAAAGGGAUCAGCUGGUGACUUUACCACGACAAUCCAAUUUUAUGGGGGUCAUGAAUACUCACAAAGGCAUUUCAGCCUCCCCCUAUAUCUACCGUCGCGUGAUUCACCAUUGUCAGAAAUCGAACCCAAGACGUGUUGUAUAGAAUACGGGCCUAAAAUUCAUUUCUAACCACUGAGUCACCCCGCGUUUGAUUAUAUUUCACUUAGACUUAUCUUGCGGUAUAGCAUGUCAUCCCCGCCCAAGUUUUUCCCUUCGCGUUGACUUUGGGAUACCAAAACUUGCCAAACAAAGUAGAUUGAUUAGUAAGCGAAGCUAAUUAUUCGACUAAACAUUGUUUAGAAUUUUAAUUAAAAGAACCAAUAUGAAUCUGUUUUUUUUUUUUUUGACAAACUAUAACGUUAAGGAGUUAAAUUGUUAGUUGUUAAGAGUACGGGGAUAGGUGAGGAUCGAACCUCCACCAUAGUGCAUAGACAUUAUUGGUUCUACAACUGCUGUAAAUCACAUAAAACAAAACGUAAUACUUUGAGGAUGGAAGACACUUCGUGGAUAGCGGGCAAUCAACACUAUCAGUUGCUAUCCAAAACUUGGAAUUAUGUUUAUUGUCCGAAGGAUUUUUCUUCCAUUAAAUUGCUAAGGAAGAUGAGGAUGGGUAGAGUGUCUAAAUGUCAAGGUUGAUAAGAACGUGUAUGGUGUUCAGCUUGCGAUUGAGAUUUGUUGAGUGGCACAACAAACCACAUAAAAUUUUCUAAAUGAUAAGCUUGAGUAUAAUUUUUUACCACGUAUUUAUCUUUAAAAUCAUUAUAAUUAGAUUUUCUCUUAAUUAAUAUAGACCGUUAGAUUCAUCUAAUGACCCAAGUUUUUUUCCUCUUUUCUUUCUACUCUUUUUUUCUUCUCUGAUUUUCCAUUCACCGUGUAGCAGUCGUUCUUCCCCAACUAAGUUUCUUAUUUUUCUUCACAAAAAAAUUGUAGAAAAUAUUAAGAAAAGAAAAGUCAUCAAUAUCAGACUCGACCAGGUAAUCGUUCCAACCUUCCCAGCAACUCUCAGUCUUAACAAGGCACCAAAUUUUCUCCGCCACCUAACUCGUCAUUCAUUUAUGGGUGUUUCAAGCUUGGUGAAAAUUGAUAGAGUUCCAUGUGUGUACACGGAUGUGAACAUAUUGGCCACUCUCUAAUGUGUUGGUUUAUCACAAAGAACCCAGAUACAAAAUUUUAAAAAGCAAACAAUUACAACUUCUCAAAUAUUAUCUAACAAACUUUCAAUGAAAUGUUGCUCAUAAUUGAAAAAAGGUUGACGAAGGACGGAGUUGGAGUUAUUUUAGAUGGGGAAGAGUUAAAAGAAGGAAGCACCAUUUAAUUAAUAAAAGCGAUUGGAGAAAUAGUAAUUCAAUGGUGGGCGUUUUUAAGGUGUGGACCUUGUAUCACACCCCGAUUCCAACAUACAUUGAGGAUCAACACGUGACAUGGGGACAUAGGGGACAUAAAUCUUAUGUAAGAUACAAAAUGAAAUACUAUAAAUAAUAUCCCAAAAUGAAUAUGAUAGUGGGUUCACCCCUAUAAAAUAUAUACGAGUUUGUACAUUCACAAAAAAAAAAAAAAAAAAAAAAAAAAAACACAUACACACACACAAAACUCUCGCUAGGCCAAGACUUGCCCAUGGUGCUCAAAGGAAAGUCCCAAAAGAAAGAGUACAAUGAAGGAUAAAGGGGUAACCUAAACACUCCAAGUCUCUGAUCUCUGCACUGCUACCCUCACCGGCUCCUCGUAAUCUACUCAGACCUAUCACAUGUACAAACAGUGCCUACAUUGUGGGAAUGGUGCAUCGGGCAAACAAAAACCCGGAUAAGCUGCAAAACUCGUGUGAGUGACAAUAAUGCAACAUAUGUGAUAAUCAAGAAAAACAUACCAUCGAUCGCAGUUUAUAAACCUCAAAUAUAACUUCAUACUUAUGAAAUCAUAAUCAAGUCACUGAAAACUUCGAAUGAGUCACCCAGACAUCCAACGACUUUUUAAAAUCAAAUCUCAGAGAUUCCAAAACUAUCAUUCACAAAUACACUAAAAACUAGGGCUAGAGUGACACAGUUCGGCCAAAGACUACAUAAGUAACCAAACAAGAAGUGGCCCCCCAUAGCGGAUUAACCAAGCAGAGCCACUCCUGAAAAAGUAACCAAGUAGGUAGUGACCCCCAUCACGGAUUAACCAAGCAAAGUCACUCCUACGAAACUGUUAGGUAGUGAUCACCCAUCGCGGAUUAACCAAGCAUGAUCACCCCUAAGUACGUAUGGCCAUACCUAAGAAAUAAGGAUCGCCCACCGCAGAUUAACCAAGCACGAUCCAAAAAUAUUAUGGGUCCCCUAUCACGGAUUAACCAAGCAUGACCAUCCAUGUACCACUACUACAUGGUGUAAAUUCGGUGUCACCUAACCUCGUGACACUAGGGUAACGGUCCUUUACUAGCCCUCACGUUUUUCAAACAUUUCAAAUAUAUAAUUUAAAACACAAUUCAUAAACAUUUCGAAUAAGGAAGUCACAUAGUGUUUAAUAAUGUAGGUCAAUGGAAAACUUUAAAAACAAUUAUUUAGCAUAAAACAUAUUUUAGAAAUCCAUGUUGUAUCCACAAAGUAUACUAGCAUGGGAGAUUUUCAGGGUAAUAACUCUAUCAUAUAUAUUAAAGUCACUCACCUGGAGUCCACACUAACGCACCCUAACACGAAUAUCAAGACGUCACGUACUAUCAUCUGUAACAUCCCACAUCAACCAACGGAGAGAGGGUGAUGUGCCUUAUAUGUACAUGCCCACCUCCAUAGCAUGAGACCUUUUGGGAGCUCACUGGCUUCAUAUUCCAUCGGAACUCCAAAGUUAAGCGAGUUUGGGCGAGAGUAGUCCCAGGAAGAGUGACCCACUGGAAAGUUCUCGUGUGAGUUCCUAGAAACAAAAUCGUGAAGGCGUGGCCGGGGGGGGGGGUUAAAGCGGACAAUAUUGUGCUACGACGAAAUUGAGACUGAGAUGUGACAGAAUGGUAUCAAAGCCACUCUGCCGUGUGGUGCGAGUGUGCCGACGAGGAUGUCGGGCCCCUAAGGGGGGUGGAUUGUAACAUCCCACAUCGACCAACGGAGAGGAGGUGAUGUGCCUUAUAUGUACAUGCCCACCUCCAUUUAGCACGAGGUCUUUUGGGAGCUCACUGGCUUCGGAUUCCAUAAGAACUCCGAAGUUAAGCGAGUUCGAGCGAGAGCAUUCCCAGGAUGAGUAACCUACUGGGAAGUUCUCGUGUGAGUUCCCAGAAACAAAAUUGUGAGGGCGUGGCCAAGGCCCAAAGCGGACAAUAUCGUGCUAUGGCGGAGCCGAGAUUGGGAUGUAACAUCGUCACCUAAGACAAAGUACAAGUCCACAUUUAAAGUUCUUCGUGUAUUCACAUAAUAAAAAAUUUCCAUAUGCCCCCUACAACUAAUGAAGAGAAAUCGAGACACGUUGACAAAAAGUCAACUGUUGAUCAACGGUAGGGUCCAUAACCCUACGUAACUCGAUCUGCAAGAUCCAGCCACUGUAUUUGUGAUUCAUAAGUUCCUAAGGUCCUUAAAUCUUACGUACAAUAACAUACUAAACUUUGGUGACGAUCUAAUUGUCGAAUCAUCAUUUGCUAUAAUGUUCAAAUGACGCAAAUUCAUCAAUCAGAUGUUAAAUAUGGAAUCGGUCAUCGAAUUUAGCUUAGGAAGGUCAAGUGGUGUCUCGAGCCACGUGCUGCCGUGCGCAGCAGCUGGCAACCCAAAUUCGUCGGAAAAAUCACCUAAUUCCAAAAUGAAUGUCGUUAGACGUGGAGUAAAUUGUAUACCUGUGAAGAAGCCCAAUUUGGUCGGGAAGUGGCCUGAAAUCACUUUAGACCGUCGGAAACCCUAAAAUAGGUGAAUCUCGAUUCGUCAUCUCCGGUAUUCCACCGUCCUCAAACUUGUUUAGGGUUUGCUCCUGGUCUCAAAAGAAUGCUAAUGAUGGUGGUGAUUGAAGGAGAAUGUUUCAGAAAUAAUGAAUCGUCGACGAGGGUUUCACGAAACCGACAUGGGUGUUCCUUGUGGAACUAAGACCAAAUCUCAACGGUUUUGGCUAGAAAUGGAUGCUGGGAUGUCGUGGUGAGGUUUGGUAGUGAUGGGAGGUCGAAGAAAGCCAAAAAAAUCGACGAAAAAACAGUCGUCGGAGUCGCAGGAAACGGGUUAGAAAAACGAGUCGCCAGGUCUGAAACGGGUCGAAGGCUUUUGGGACAGCUACUUACUCUCUCUUCUUUGAUUAGUCACUCCACUCACUCUCUCAUUUGAUUAGUCCAGCCUUCCCACAUGGUGGGAGUUCCCUCAUAUAGUAACCCAAAAUUUACUAUUUAAAUCUGGUAUCGAACGUUCGUAACUUUUUCGUUAUAGUUUCGAUUCGCAAACAGCUUUCGCCUACGCGCUCGUAUGAUCGAAUUAUACUCGAAAACAUUAAUUGUGACCUCGAAAAGGUCUACGAGUUUUAAAAGAUUAAUUACAAAAAUUCACACCUUGUAACUAUACGAUCCAAAUUCUAAAAUUAACGGAAUUAAAAUAAACUAAAAAUAAUGUAAACACGAAAUACAGACUUUAAUAAUGAAAUACGUAAUUAAUAGUAGUAUUCCGGGAACGGGAUUUCACACCUUGCGUCCGGACCUUGAGUGCGGAUCAGAAUCCAAAGGUCGUGAUCUGACAAGCUCAUGCAUAGAACGGAGUCGUUGUGACCCAAUGCAAUUCAAAACUUUUAUGUUUUUUAUUUGCUGGGUACGUUUUUGUAGGAGGAAAAGGGGAAGUCGAGGGAUUCUUUGCGCAUUAAAGAGGGAAAGAGAGAAAGGGGGAGCUAAGAGGUUCUUCGCGCGUUAAAUUUUUGCUUCUAAUUUUGCAACCUAGAAAUAAAGUAUUUUCUUUAUGGUUUAUGGUUCAAGAAUAUAAUGGAUGCAACCUAAAAAUGUUUCUUUUUUUAUUUUUUACUUUUUUUCUUCUUAUGUUGGCUUUUGGUUUAUUUUUAUAACGCACUAUAUAUUAACUAAAUUUAUAAACAUUUUGUAUCUUUGUUGCAGUCAAAUUAAUCAUAUGGGUCGGCAUGACUAAGUUCGACUGAGACAUACAGAUGUUUUGCAAUCUUAAGUCUAACCUGACACACCUCGACCUCAAUAUCCAGUGAACACCAAAAUUAAGGUGUGCUGGCCAUCAUCCGGAUGGGUGACGAAACCAUAAUAUGCAUGAAAACAUAACUAAAUUAUCAACCAAUAAAAUCUAUUGAAAAAUUUGGCAGAACAUCCCUUAAAAUAGGGAUAUGCCCAAAUUAAAAACACUUGCACAUGAUCACAAUUAUUCAAACACAUCCCGAAGGGCCACACUUAAUGGGACUUCGACCAUCUAUUACAUGCAUGAGAAUAUGUUCAGAGAAUAAUUACCCAAAUACGUCUUAUUAAAAUAUUGAGUAAAUACCAUACAAGAUAGAAUACGUCAGAGCUGUUGCAAAAUACCUCAACGUCGGAUGUAAUCACUGAUAGAAUUACUGAAUCAUGUAUAAAUGGAAAGCUGAUAAAUACAUGUAAUUUGAGUGGAUACUUACCAACAGCAUGGAUACAAUAUCAUCCACCAGUCGUAACUAGUGAAAACUGGAUAAUAUAAUCAUGUCAUUGCCGAGUAAUCUCAAGGCAAUGACAAGAUGAGAAUGUAACUGAGUAAUCAUAUCAUUACUAAAUAAUUUCAAAGCAAUGACAAGCUGAGAGUAUAACCGUAUAAUCAUGUCAUUACCGCGUAAUCUCAAAAUAAUGACAAGCUGAGAGUAUAACUGUAGUACCUCUUAUUAGUGCAAUGCAUGAUAUGAAUUCCAUCUCACAUAUAUAUGCAAGCCAUAAUCAAACCAAUAAACAUCCAACAAAAGCCACAAUCCUUUUAACAUUCGACCACAAGAUCAAUUUUCAUAUUUCCCAAACCUAGGUUCCGAAGCAUUGUUUCGAAUUAUUAAUACAAGAAACCACCACCACCUCAAUCAAUUCCUAUUCAUAAGUGUAAGCAAUUACUAAAUGCAUCACUUUCGACUCUAGUCUUAAUUAGAUUACUUGGGAUACUCAUUCACACCAUCAGAUCCACGUACAAUUUUGAUAAACUUUAAAUAGCAUGGUUAAAAUAAAUGAAACAUUUGAAUGAAACACUUUUAGAAAAUAAGUGAAGAUGUUGUUUACAAAUAUAGAUGCAUCUGUAUAUAAAAGCUUUGGCGGUUGAUUCGUAUACUUCCAGAGAUAUAAGCAAGUUCAUUGGAAUAUGCAUACAUGGUUAAUGUAUUACGGUAUAAUUAAUAAGAAAACAAUUGCAUCCCCUUCAGAUUAUAUAUAUAUAUAUAUAGACACACACACAUACACAUACAUACACACAGGCCCUUUAUGCAAAGGAAUUUCCAUUUUUUUUCAAAAAAUGGGGAUUAGUUGUGGGGCCCACGCUGCAUUGAACUUUAACGAUCCGAACAAUCUAUUUUGUAAGUCUCGAUUCAUAGAUCAUCCUUGCAAAAAUUCAAUUCAAUCCGAACCCUUUUGCCUAUUUAAUUAUCAAGAUAAAAUUUCAUUGUUUCUUAUAUAACAAAGUAUUCGUUAAUUUCUUUGAACUCAAUUAGAUAUCUUAAACAUUUCCGAUUUGGCUAAUAUUUUGCAAAGAUGAUCUAUGUGGUGCAACUUGAAAAAUAGACGAUUUCGAUUGUUAAAGUUCGAUGUGGUGUGAACCCUACAAUUAAUCUUCAUUUUUAUAAAAGAAUGGGAACCCCUCCCCUUAAAGGUUUCCUAUGUAUAUAUUUGUUCUUCAGACAUAUGCAAAAGGUAAUGUAAAACCAAUGAGAACUUAAAUAGAUAUUCCAUACAUAGGACAAUUCCAUAUAUGCUUUUUCAACAUUUAUAUCGAAAAGCCAAAUUGUUUUGAGGAAAUUAAUUGUAGUAAUGGUCCCUUAACUUUUAUCUUAUUGGAGCAAUGGUCUCUCAACUAAAAAUUCAUGACCAUUGGUUCCUUAACUCCACAAAACGUGUAGUUAUGGUCAUUUUCAUUAACUCCGUCAGAACUUUUGUUAAAACAAGUAAUGUUAGAAGAAUCAUUGCUACAAUCAGGUUAAAGUUGGGGACCAUUGCUCUAAUUGAAUUAAAGUUGAGGGAUCAUUACUCCAAAUUGCUUAAAGUUCAAGGACCAUUUCUACAAUUUUCUCAUCUAGUUUCCCAUAUUUACCCCAUGAUUCAGCUUCACAUGCAUUGCACAUGACUCAUUUUGACAAAAGUUUUAACGAAAUUGACGAAAAUGACCAUAAAUGCACGUUUUGAAGAGUAAGAGACCAAUGGUCGCAGAUUUUAGUUGAGGGAUCAUUGCUCCAAUUUGGUUAAAGUUGAGGGACCAUUGCUACAAUUUGCUCAAAUGUUUCGUAUGCGAAAAUAGGCAUUUGUAAAGUUUGGCUUGUUCAUGGCAUUAUUACUUUAGUCUAAAGUAAGGCUGGAAAUGGCACUGUAGAAAUGAAUAGUGUUCCAAUCCGAAUUUCAGUUUAAUUACAACAAUGCCAUUGCUCUUUGUGUUGCCUUUAGGUGAGCAACCCAACUUCCAGCCAGGCCCAAAUGUAUUGGUUUUAGCUGAGAAGCCCGACCUUUGGUCAGGCCCAAAACUUUAAAUUACAGUUUUGCCCAUACAAAAUAACAAUUUGAUUGUAUCGGGAAGGACAAUUUUGUCCUUUUAGUUUUGGGCGAGAUAGGGGGUAACCGGGUAGAUUUCAUUUGCUGUCGUUGAAUGAAGGUUUCGGGGAUGAAGGUUGUGUGUGUGUGUGAGGGAGAUGACGAUGGAAGGAGAGCGAAGGGGAGGGGAAGGGUUCUCGGCACUGUUGCUGCAUGUGGAUUUCACAAGUGGGUGAAUGGGUAUGGUUAGAGAAUACCAUAUAGGUUGUCGGGAUUUCAGGAAACGGGGUAGGGGUCAUGAAUGAACCCUGCUGAGAGUGGGUGCCGGAUCUUGCGCUGCAUGCCUCAAAUCAAAGAUAAGUUCAUUUUUUUAUUGUAUUCUUUAAUGGUAGCUUAGCUUUUGGAAUUGUUUAGUAUGUUAGGUCCAGUUUUGGGGGAUUUAUCUUUUAGAGAGAGAGAUGGACAGGGAGAUAAAGAUAGACAGAGAGAGAGAGAGGAGGAGGAGGCGGAGGAAGUAUGGCUGUGUGCUAUUUUUGGUGUUAAUUAAUGGGUUGGUGCGCAGGGUGAGUGACAGAGUGACAGAGUGACGGAGGGAUGUGUGGGAGGGUAUGGGUUUUUAGUUCUUUCUUUUGAUUCAAUAGGUUAUACACUGUUUGAAAAACCUUUUUUUUAUUUUUUUGUUCUCGUUUGCUUUGUUAAAACCAUCAUUUGAAUUUUUGGGUUUCACUGUGCUCAUUUCUCUGUUUCUUCAUAAUUUGUUGGUGUUUGCUUCUCAUCCCUCUGUUGGUAGAUCUUUUUCUCAUUUCUUGGUUCCUUAUGUAUUCUUUGGUACAAAUCUGUUUACUUUUUGGUUGUGUGAUAAUCUUAGCAGGUGAACUAUAUGAACGUUUUUUUGAAACGAGCACAGUGAAGCAAGCGUAGAUUGGGAGGCAACCCAAUAUUUCUAUUCAUUGCCUUUUUCUGUCAUUUUCAAUUUUCUUGCAUGCUAAACUGAAUUAUUUCUUUUCUUUGUAUUUGGGUUAUGUCCACCCUUGGAGUUGAUUGCGGAAUUAUAGUUUGGGGGUCAUCAUUUGAUUUCACUGCAAAUUGGGGAAGUUUUUAGUCCAAAUGCCGGAUCACUUCAAGUAUCACCUUCCAUUCGAAGUUCACUUCCAUGCCAUGGAACCUAUGGGAGUGUGACUGGAGGCAUCGUCCGGCUGCAAGACGUUAAAGAAAGCGCUUCUUGGGAGGCAACCCAAGCUUUCUAUCUUUCAUCUUUAUUUUGAAUAAUUUUAAAUGUUCUUGUUCUGUUUUUCUCUUAUUUUCUGGUUUUUGUAUUUAAGUCCUACUUUUGUUCCUUUAUGCAGGUAAUGAUUUUGCAAUCUCUACCACAACUUCUUGCAAGGUAGUUUUACAUUCAUAAAAACGAAAGGAACAUUAAGCAUAUAAAUACAAGAGGGAGCCUUCACAAAGGCUGCUUAGGAGAAGUUUCAGCAGUCGGCGGAGUCCCAGAAGGAGGAGGCAUCAGAGGUUGAUCAUUUGGAGCUUCAUUACGUGGUACAACCCCAGAAGACGAAGGCAAAUGCAAAUAAGGAAGAUCUAUGAAUCGCUUCACAAUCGAAAAGGAACAUAUGGUAGAAAAAUUCAAAGAUGAGCAUACAAACAAGAAGGAGUCUUCAUUGGUCAGGAGGUGUCGCAGCAGUCGAAGGAACAUCAGAAAGACGAAGUGUCAGAGCUUGAUUGUCCGGAGCACUUGGUGAAGCACCAGAUGAUGAAGGCAGAAGUUGCCUCAGGAGUAAAGCCAUAAACCUUUGAUGAUCACUCCGAGCCCGAACUUCAGCCUCUUGCAGCUGGUCCAACUUCCUCUUUAUGCUUGUUGAGUAGUUAGUUGCGAGCAUGUGCAACUCUUUAUCUUCAUGCCUCAGCGCUCUGACCUCUUGCCAAAGGCUAGCCACUUCAGCCAUCAACGACUCCACUUGACGAGUUCGAGCAAGAAGGCGUUGGCCCAUGUUUGAUACUGAGCCUGCACUUUGGACGCUGAAAGCCAAAGAAUCCUGAACAGCCUGCUCGUCAGACCGCUUAGAUAGCAUCCUACUGUCUCUUGGAGUAUGAAGAUUUCUAGCAACCACUGCAGCUGUUGCAUCAUUUCUCAUCACAGUGUCCCCAACUGUAAGAGGACCGUUGGAGGAUAUGAAAGAUGGCUGCCAAAUGUUACCUGGAGACGAGAGGUCAAUAUCUUCUUCGAUAUUCAGGUCAAAACGACGGUCGGAUGGGCUAGACAUUUUCAUAGGUGUUAAAGAAAGAAGAGGUCAGACAAGUCAAGAUAGUAGAAAUGCAAGAAGGGAGUAUUCACAGGCAGAAAUUCAUGUGUGCUUUGAACAUCCUGCGAACCUCUAUAAAAAAUAGCACACAAUGAGAUUUCAGGGAUCGAAUAGGCGAGUUCAGAGAUCGAUGAAGCGCCUGCUUUCUCCAAAGCUAGGCCUACUCAGGAAUCACAGGCUGAUCUCAGGUAGUGAAGACGCGCCUGUCUCUCUCAGCCCCGUCAGCACUUGUCACAUGCAGAGAAAACUUUGAGGAAAUCACGGGCAGUUUGUCGAAGCGCCGAUUCCAACCAUCUGUCUUUCUCAGCCUCGUCAGCUUUGAGGAAAUCACGGGCAGUUUGUCGAAGCGCCGAGUCCAACCGCCUGUCUCUCUCAGCCUCGUCGGCACUCGCUUUCUCAAAAGCUGGGCUUGAAAUCACAGGCCAAUCUUCAGUUUCUAAAUUUGUUCGCACUUGUCACAUGCAACCUCUGCACUCAACGAAGCUCAGAACUCGAAGCGCCAAUUCCGGAUAUUAAAGAAGCCUUUGCUUUAUCAGACGUGUCAGCAUCUGUCAAUUGCACAUCUGCGUUGCGUAAAUCACGCGCAAUCUGUCGAAGAUUUCUGGAGAAACGGAAUGCACGUGAAGUUUACUGUUAAAUUACCCCAGGCUUGCUGACACGAGUACUAGAACAAUGCCUUCCCAGCCAUUAAGAAAAAUUCUACAAAUGUUAAAGGCAACCUCACUCAACUUUCAGCCUCACUCAACCUUUCUUCCUCUCUGAGAAUGUAUUCCCGAAGAAGCCUCCCGAGUCACUCUGUGUUUCUCAUCCCUUGGGAUACCCCUGCAAACAACCCACCCAGAGCAAAAGUAUUUCAUAUCAUAACGGUUGAGAGCAAGAGUAUCUCAUAUCAUGCUUUCUCCCUGUCCUUUGUCUCGCCAGCACUUGGUAUCAAUCUUCCGAGCGGGGACCGACUGCCUGGAACCCAUUCCUGAUUGCUUACCUAACCUUGCUCUCGAGUACUCAUCCUUCUUAUGUUUCCUCUUCGUCUACCACAUAGGGGAAGUGAUAAUGAUACCUCGAAGCAUGUGGAUACAACGUGCUGAUUCAUCCUCAACUAAGGACAAGGGAGAAAGCAAGCAAGAUGUGGGCACUUGGAAAGAUUGAACAAAGAAACAGACUAACACCUCUACCUCGUGCCUGCCUACCGAGCAGAAGAAACAAGCAGAGAAGAAUGCAGACUGCACAAUCAAACAACCCAGGAACUCUGAUAUUCCUCGCUCAGGAUUCCAAACCAGUUUGAGAUUCGCCUACACAAAUUGGUGUGUUCUUUCCUUUUCUUUAUGUGUCUUUAUUUCAUUUUAUAUUUCUUUCCUUCCAUUUUCAUGUCUUAUUGUUCAAAAAUUCCUUUCAUUAUCAUUGGGGACAAUGCUAUAAUUAAGUUUGGGGGUAUUUGGAAAUAUAUUUCGUUAGUUUAUUUCUCUAUUAAAAAAAAAAAAAAAUUUUGCAUUUUUAUUGUUGUUUGUAGCUACUUCUCAAUUCAAUGAUGAGAUUUGAUUUUAAUUUCCUUCUUACUUUCAAGAAAGUCUAAGUUCUUUUCGUUGUCUUUGUGUUAACUGUGAUUUCCAGAAAUCAACUUGAAAAAAGAAAUGUGCCUAGUCUUGUCAAUGUGAAACUUGAGCAUGAUUUAGCGUUUCAUAUGUGAAUCAUGUGAGAUUAUGUAAACCUUGUGAGUUUUUUAGCCUAUACAUGAUUGAACCAUUAUGCAUCAAUCUCAUUCCUUCUUGUGCGUAUGAUCUCACUGUACAUGUAUCUCUAGAACUUGCUUUAUACUACUCGAUUCAUUAAUCAAUUCAUGUAAUAACUUGGAAGUGAUAUAGGCCAUCUUUGGAUCGUUUGAGCCUUUCAUGCCUACCUUAUAUGCUAUGUUUAUCCUUAGUAGCCCUUUGAGCCUUUAACUAAGCCAUUUCUUUGUUAACCACAUCUCUUUACCUUGCUCCAAUAUUGGAGUUGAGCCCAUACACAAAAAUCGAUUCCUUAUUGUUUUGAGAAAGUAUUACAUGGGUUGUGCUUUUGGGGGUUUCAUUUAUAUAGAAAGAUGGAUGGAGUAUGUGUAUACAAUGAAAUGUGAAUUUGAUGGGUGAUGUAGAUUUUGAAAAUUAUUUCAAAAGAAAAAAAAAACGAAAAAAAACGAAAAAAAUGAAAAUUGGAGAGUGUUGAUUUGUUGAAAAUGUGUCGGUAGAGUAUAAAUUUCCUUUUAAAGUUAAAUUUGGGGAGUAACAGGUGCUCGAGGUUUUAUUAUUUUGCUUUCAAUUUGAGGUGGUGUGAUAUUGAGGUGUUGGAAAACUACCAAAGUGUACUUUCUCAAAAUUUUUGAUUUCCAUAUCCUUUCUUUCAUUAGCCUAUCACCUUUAGCCCCAUUACAACCGUAAUAAAGUCCUAUUGAUCCAAGGUAUUACUUAAAUAUUGAUAAGCGAGUUAGGUGGACAAGCAAGCACAUGGCGGCAUGUACAAUGAGAUUACUUGAGUGAAACACAUUAACAAAAAAUUAUGAGUGAAUGAGCGUAUGUCUUGUGAGAAACUCACAUGUUUGCAUAUGAUGAUUUAAAGGAGCUUGGAAUUGCAUUGACAUAGCUAGCUCACACAUGGCAUUUCAACGUUUUGUUUGAAGGAAAUUUGGUUAACUAUUGGAUGAUGUUUUGAGCUCUUGCUUACUUCUUGGCAGUGUAUCUCAUGACUAGCACUUAUCUCUGAAAUCGAAAUUGAGAAGUUGGCUACUAAGUUGUUGAAUCUAGUCUUAGUUGAGUGGUUUUGUUUUGCUAGAGGACUAGCAAAAAUGUAAGUUUGGGGGUAUUUGAUCACUCAUAUAUUUCAUGCAUUUAUACCAUCCAUUUCUAAAGUCUUUGUGAUGUUUUUGUGUUAAAGUUGUGGCAUUUUACCUUACCUUGUGUUAAUGUACAGUUAAUUUUAUUUUAGGAUCAAUUUCAAAGAAAAUGGGCUGAAAAGAAAAUAAAAGAAAAGAAAUAAAUGGGACGGAAAGGAAGACACUGACAGAAUAAAAGAAUGAAGAAAGAGGUAGAACGGCAGAUAGAGAAGUGGGAAGAAAGUGGAGUGCGCAUGGGAUGGAAGUGGAACAAAAAGCAGGAGAGGGAGUGAGGAGUGCGGGAUAAAAGCAAAGAAAAAUAGAAGAAUAAGAAAGAAGUGGGAGGACACGGACUGAGUGGAAGAAUUAAAGAGAGAAGCAGGGUGCAGGCACGGACAGAAAGGAGAACUGAAGAAUAAAAGAGAAGACAGAGAAGCAGAAAAAAGAAGAGAAACUGACGUGAAAGCCAGUGCGCAGAGGGCGCAGAGAGAUAGGAGAGAUUGUGCGGGAGCAGAAGCACAGAAGCAGAGGGAACAAAAUCACAGACUGACAGCAGACGCAAGAGGCACGGCAGAGAGCAAAGCUUCACUCUAUUUUUCUUGGUUUUAUCUUCUCAAACCCAUGUUUUACUUUUGGUUUAAUUUGUGAAUUAUGUGUAACUAAAUUUUAAGUAGUUAGGGGCUGUUUUGAAGCCCCGAAUAUGAUUGUAAGUUUGUUGUGAUAUUUUGUUUGAAUGACUUUUAUGAAAGGAUGAAAAUUGUUUCACUACUUAUGUGAUUGAUAAAUUCUUUAUGUGUUUCUAUGGAUGCAUACAUAGUGAGCAUAUCUAGGAUUUUAAUGCUAUGAAUAUAUGUUUACCUGCCCUUGUUGAAUGAGGACCUACAUAUGUUCUAGAGUAGCACUUGUUAAUUGUGGUUAACAUGUGAACCGAUUUCUAGGAUAAGUAAGACAAUGCCAGUACUUAUCAUGCCUUGUGAUGACUCAAACUCUUUUCGUUCUUAAUGAUUUCUACUUGUUAAAUCUAUGAACACGACAUUCUAGAUUACAUGCUAGGGACUACGUUAAGUUGAAAACGCUAUUCUCUUAACAUACUACGUAAGAAAAAGUAAUAGGUUGUGUUCUAACAUUGAGCCAACUUGAGCAUCUUCAUCCGGAAAUAAAAGGAAUUUGAAUGAAACAUAACAUGUUUGCAUGAUUAUUUGGUGGUGGAUAGCAUUUCCCCUAAUUCGUUUUCUUAACUUGUGAAUUAAAAUCUAUUGGUAUUAUUUAAAACUGGUUGAGGUCCUGUUUUGUCCGAUUUAAUUUAAAUAGCUAAUCAACUUCAAAAAUCCCAAACAUUUGUGUGAGCAUAGCUUGGUGUGUCUAGUUUAUGUGUAUAAAAUUUCGUUGCAUUUGGAUAAGUGUAAGUUAGUCUAAUAAUUAUUGUUCGGUGGCUGGUCAGUGGAGACAACCAUCCUGUUUUUGUGACAUUUUAAGUGUUUGGAUAAAACAAUUUUCUGCGGAAAAGACCCUUAUUUUCAUAUGCUACAAUCGACAAAAUUUUAGUGUUAAUAAGGAAAAUCAAUAGGAUUAUUGUGGGCUACUUUGUGGUGCGUUAUAAUUACUACCAUGCUGUCAGUGGGUGUUAAUAUCAGGUACCCAUGUUCAGUUUUUCGUUUUGAUUUGAAGGAAUUUCUUGCGGAGAGGAGCAAGGGUUUCUUGGUGAGUUCUUCGGGUUGUGCAUAUGGGUAAUUUUCUUUUCGGUUUAACCCUCUGCUUCUGCUGCUCUCUCUCUUUCUCUCAUCCCUGCCUGCUCCUCUCCAAUUGUUUGCUGUUCUUAAAUAUUGUGUUCAUUGCCUGAUACAAGGGGCUGCAGCAAUCUGUUUUAUCCUACACGGGACAACGAGGCAAUGGCGUGACAACAGGUGAGCUUGGAUAUCCAAAGAAAAAGAACAGUUGGUUCAUCUGCUGGAGUCUGAGCUUAGAGAAGUGGAGGAAAAUUGCAGGUGUGCGAGAAAUUUUAUUUUGCUGAUAGGACUCCUUAUUUACUGAUGCAUUUUGAAAUAAUUGAAAAGUUGGAUUUGAGUUAACAGCUAUAAAAAUGUAGACAUGAUUGCUGAGAUUAUGCUAUGAAAGUGGAAUAAAAAAAUGGUAGUUUAUAAUAUUGCGUACCAAUUGUUUUCUCUCUUUUUUACCAAAUGAUAAGGGUGGUGGCUCAGGCCGCCCCCCUAAGCGUCCCCACUCUUCGACAAGUUGAAAUCGUGGUGAUAGUUUAUGGGCUGUGGUCUUGGGAUUCUGCAAAUAGAAUGAAAAACAGACACUUAACUAUCUUGUUAUUAAGCAUUUCUGCAUCAUUCAGUUGCUCUUGAUUUUCGUCUUUUAAGCGAUCUUAUUUCUGCGAUCUGACUUGAGGAGGGUUUUUAGACCUAUGGUUGUGGGUGUUUUCUCUGACCCCAUUAUCCGAGAUUUGUAGACUUGCGAUCGGCGGUCAAACAUUUUGUGAUUCUUGUUUUCUCUGCCUUUCGGUCGUUAAGCGCCGGCAGUCUUUAGAUCUUUGGCAAAUCAAUUUAAUACAACCGAGGUAUGUUUUAUAACUGCUGUCUUUCAAUUUUUGUUCUGUAUUUUUGUUAAUUUGGAUGAAGCUCUAAUAAUUUUGUUUUGGAUCAGUUGUGGUCCUCUGUUAGGAUUUUCCUGGCUAAGAGGGUAUUUGCGUUUUUGUUGCUUGGUUGGUCGAUCACAGAUUUACGAACAGCUGUGGUGGUCCUGUUAUUUUUUGGUAUGUUUUUUCUCCUUUUUGGUUUUUUUCCCGGUUUGAGCACCCAUUCUUGAAGAAUUAAAAUGUGUUUUAUAGUUUUUUCAGGAGAGAUUAGAAAAGUGAUUUCAAUUUGGGAAAAUUUAAUGUUGGUUAAAAUUUGUUUAUAAUUUUUGGGAAGGAAUGAGAGGACCCAUUGAAGUAUGUGUUGUGAUUAUUUUUUAUUCAUAUUUUUAACAAAUUGGGCAUGAAUUGGUAGGUUAACUGUGUGUGUUUAUUAUUUGAAUCGGCCAUGUUUGUCUUUCUAUGGUUCUAAAAAAUUUGUAAAGGCUGUUAACUUGGAAGAAAAUGGGAUCGAGGGUGAGGGGAAAACGGCAGAGAAAGCAUGGAAGAGAGAUUUGGGAUUAGGGGUAGGAAAACAGAUGAAAAGAAUAUGAUAGAGGAAUGGGUUCAGUUCAUUUUCACUAUUUUUUUUUAACUGAUUUGGAUUUUGUUUGGGUUUAACUCCGCCUAUGUCUUACAUGGCCGGUCCCAAGCCCGGAUAAAGGAGGAGGGGGAGGGCGUCAGGUAGUCGACAGCCGGCACUCCAUGAUCAUGUCGAAUCCUUAUGAAAAUGAAUCCAGAACAAAAUCGCGCUAAAGCUAGGACGUCACCCGUAAGUGGCGCGCUGUAUGGCCCGAGCACAGUGAUAAGUGAGCAAGGGUCGCUGUAUCUCCAUCGGCACCCGGAUGCAGUGUUAAAUGAGCAAGGGGGCCAUAGAAACUUCUUUUCGAACGACUCCACUCAAAGUUGUUUGAGAGCAUAUGCUCCUAUCAACUUUACCCGGGACACACAAAAGAAGUACUUUGAUCCUAUUAGACGGGGGAGGGUGAAGAAGCUAGGACAGAAGGGUAGAGUUCAAGAGAGCAAAAUGCGUUUAGGAACGUGGAAUAUAGGAACCUUAACGGGAAAAUCUAUGGAAGUAGUGGAAGUUAUGGUGAGGAGAAGGAUAAAUAUUAUGUGCCUACAAGAAACUAAGUGGGUUGGUAGUAAGGCAAAGGAUCUAGAAAACUCAGGGUUUAAACUUUGGUAUUCGGGCACAAAUAGAACGAGAAACGGUGUUGGCAUCAUCGUGGACAAGACCUUGGUACAAGAUGUUGUAGAUGUCAAGAGGGUAGGAGAUAGAAUCAUGGCAAUCAAGAUUGUAAUAGGACAAGAACUUAUCAAUGUGAUUAGUGCGUACGCACCUCAAGUAGGGUUGGAUACGAGUUCGAAGGAGAAAUUUUGGGAAGAUCUUGGAGACUUGGUGCAAGGAAUUGCUCAGACGGAGAAGUUAUUUAUAGGAGGAGAUUUAAAUGGACACGUGGGCAGGGAGACAGGCAACUAUGGAGGUUUUCAUGGUGGCCAUGGUUUUGGGGAGAGAAACGAGGAUGGGGAAGCUAUCUUGGAUUUUGCAAUGGCAUAUGAUCUCUUCUUAGCCAACACCUUCUUUAAGAAGAGAGAAGAACAUGUGAUCACCUACAAGAGUGGGUCGUCAAAAACACAAAUAGAUUUUCUUCUAAUGAGGAAAGGGGAUCGUAUAACUUGUAAGGAUUGCAAAGUUAUACCAGGAGAGAGCGUGGCUAAUCAACAUCGCUUGUUGGUGAUGGAUGUACAUAUCAAAAGAGUAAGACAAAAGAACAAGACUUGGAAGUGCCCAAGGACUAGAUGGUGGAAUCUAAAAGAAGAAAAACAAGCCAUUUUCAAAGAGAAGGUAAUCACCCAAUGUGUGUGGGAUAGAGAGGGGGAAGCUAGCCAAAUGUGGGAUUCCAUGGCUAGUUGUAUCCGAAAAGUAGCAAAAGAGGUAUUAGGAGAGUCCAAGGGCUUUGCCCCACACCAAAAGGAAUCUUGGUGGUGGAAUGAGGAGGUACAAACAAAGGUGAAGGCUAAGAAGGAAUGUUGUAAAGCCUUAUACAAGGAGAGGACCGAUGAAAAUGGUGAAAGGUAUAGAAAAGCGAAGCAAGAGGCGAAGAAAGCUGUCAGAGAAGCUAAGUUAGCGGCUUACGACGAUAUGUAUAAACGACUAGAUACCAAAGAAGGAGAGUUGGAUAUCUAUAAACUAUCUAGAGCAAGGGAAAAGAAGACAAGGGACCUAAACCAAGUGAGGUGCAUCAAGGAUGAGGAUGGAAAGGUUCUUGCUACAGAGAACGCGGUUAAAGACAGAUGGAGAGGUUAUUUUCAUAAUCUUUUCAAUGAAGGACAUGAAAUGAGUGCUUCUUUAGGGGAGUUGAGUAACUCAGAAGAGUGUAGAAACUACUCUUUUUAUCGUCGAAUCCGGAAGGAAGAAGUGGUUGUAGCUUUGAAGAAGAUGAAGCAUAAAAAAAGCAAUAGGCCCAGACGAUAUACCAAUCGAAGUGUGGAAACUUUUGGGAGAGACAGGUAUAACAUGGCUCACUGACCUUUUCAAUAGGAUUUUGAAAACGAAGAAGAUGCCAAAUGAGUGGCGAACGAGCACUUUGGUGCCUAUCUACAAGAAUAAGGGCGACGUACAAAAUUGCAUGAACUAUAGGGGUAUUAAGCUAAUGAGUCAUACAAUGAAGCUCUGGGAGAGAGUCAUUGAGCAUAGAUGAGGCAAGAGACACGGGUUUCGGACAACCAAUUCGGGUUCAUGCCAGGGCGCUCAACCAUGGAGGCAAUCUAUCUCUUACGAAGAUUGAUGGAAAGAUAUAGAGAUGGGAAAAAGGAUUUACACAUGGUCUUUAUAGAUUUGGAAAAAGCGUAUGAUAGGGUCCCAAGAGACAUUCUUUGGAGGAUUUUAGAGAAGAAAGGAGUACGAGUAGCAUAUAUCCAAGCUAUAAAGGAUAUGUAUGAAGGAGCAAAGACUGCCGUAAGAACUCAUGAAGGACAAACCGAAAGCUUUCCCAUAACUGUAGGAUUACAUCAAGGCUCAUCCUUAAGUCCUUACCUUUUUGCGUUGGUAAUGGAUGAGUUAACAGGACAUAUUCAAGAUGAUAUUCCUUGGUGUAUGCUUUUCGCAGACGAUAUAGUGUUGAUAGAUGAAACUCAGGAAGGGGUAAAUGCAAAGCUUAACCUUUGGAGAGAAGUGUUGGAAUCUAAAGGUCUUCGCCUAAGCCGAUCAAAGACAGAAUAUAUGGAGUGCAAGUUCAGUGCAAAUGGAGGCCAAAACGAGUUAGGGGUGAGGAUCGGAGAUCAAGAAAUACCAAAGAGCGACCGUUUUCGUUACCUAGGAUCUAUCUUGCAAAAGAACGGAGAAUUAGAUGGAGAUCUCAACCAUAGAAUACAAGCUGGAUGGAUGAAGUGGAAGAGUGCAUCCGGCGUGUUGUGUGACCGCCGUAUGCCACUGAAGCUCAAGGGAAAAUUUUAUAGGACGGCAAUAAGGCCGGCGAUGCUGUAUGGCACAGAAUGUUGGGCGGUGAAACAUCAACACGUACACAAAAUGGGUGUAGCGGAGAUGAGGAUGCUUCGUUGGAUGUGUGGGCACACGAGAAAGGAUAAGAUUAGGAAUGAGGAUAUCCGGGGUAAAGUAGGAGUAGCCGAAAUUGAAGGAAAGAUGAGAGAAAAUCGGUUACGGUGGUUUGGACAUGUGCAAAGAAGGCCUACUGACGCUCCGAUUAGAAGAUGCGACUAUGGGACAGAGGUUCAGGGCCGAAGGGGUAGAGGAAGACCUAGGAAAACUUUGGAAAGAGACUCUAAGAAAAGACUUAGAGUACUUGGAUCUAACGAAGGACAUGACACAGGAUCGAGCACAAUGGCGUUCUAAGAUUCAUAUAGCCGAUCCCACUCAGUGACUUGGAUUUUCCAAGUCUCCAACCGAGAAGUUUUCCUCACUCGGAAAAUUAAGGGAACACUACCCCAACCUACAUGCUCCACUCAGAAAGCUUCAACAUACAAGCUUCAACAAAAGAAAAUUCAAAGAACUUAGCGAAGAAGGCUUUGGUGUAUUUAACACAAUACGUUGAAAUGAAGGAAAGCUUAUUUAUUGAUAUCCCCGAUAAGCUACAAAUAUGUACAUAUACAUGAGUCAAAAUAAACACACAAGAGGGAGCCUUCACAAAGGUUGCUUAGGAGAAGUCUCAGCAGUCGGUAGAGCCCCAGAAAGAGAAGGCACCGGAGGGGGAUCAUUUGGAGCCUCAGUACUGGACAGAACCCUAGAAGGAGGAGGCAUCAGAGGUUGAUCAUUUGGAGCUUCAUUACGCGGUACAGCCCCAGAAGACGAAGGCAAUAAAUGCCUUUGGAACAAACCCACAAAUCUCUGAUGAUCAAGUAAAACCUGACCAUCAGUUUCCUUCAUCUGGUCAAGCUUCCUCUUCAUGUUUGUAGCAUAGUCAUGUGCGAGCCGGUGCAACUGUUUAUUCUCAUGCUUGAGCCCUCUAAUCUCCUGUUUGAGACUCAUCACUUCAGCCGCCAAUGAUUCAACUUGGCGGGUUCGAGCAAAUAGGCGUUGGGCCAUAUUAGACACAGAACCUGCACACUGAACACUGAGAGCCAGCGAAUCCUUAACAGCUAACUCAUCAGACCGUUUGGAAAGUAGUCUGUUAUCUUUGGGAGUGAGAAGGUUCCUGGCCACCACCGCAGCGGUCAUAUCAUUCUUCAUCACGGAAUCCCCAACGGUAAGAGGACCAGUAGGGGAGACGAAGGAUGGGCGCCAUAUGUUGUCUGGAGAAGGCGGGGCUGCCUCUUCAACAAGGUUCAAGUCAAAACGACGGUCGGAGGGGCCAGACAUUUUCAAAUGUGUUGAAGAGAGAAGAGGUCGGACAAAUCAAGAUCUUAGAAGUGCAAGAAUGAAGCUUCUACUGGUGGAGAUUCAAGUGUGCUUUGGAACUUAAUGCCAGCCCCUAUAAAAAUCUGCACUCGACGGAGCUUCAGAAAUCGAAGAGGCGCCUGCUCAGAAAUCGAAGAGGCGUUUGCUUUCUCAAAAGCUGGGCUGCUUAGAGAUCACGAGGGUUGAUCUCAGAAAUCGAAGAGGCGUUUGCUUUCUCAAAAGUUGGGCUGCUCAAAGACCUCGAAGGCUGAUCUCAGAAAUCGAAGAGGCGCUCGCUUUCUCAAAAGCUGGGCUCCCUAGAGACCACGAGGGCCGAUCUCAGAAAUCGAAGAGGCACCUACUUUUCCAGCCUUGUCAGCACCUGUCACACGCGCACACUCAGCUUUGCGGAAAUUAUGGGCAUUCUGUCGAAGACUUCUGGGGAAGUAGAAAAAACACAUGAAUCUUACUGUUCAAUCACCCACUUCCCACACGCAACAAUAGCUCAUGGGUACCACAGAUAACUUUGCCAAAGUUCUCUGCCAAAGUUGAGCACGUGAAGCUUGCAGCUCCCACUACAUCGCUCUGACCAAGAAGGGUAAAAGAAUAGCAAAGAAACACAGCACUAACAAAGUUUAGACCCAUAAAUUUUGAAGGUCUAGCUACCAUAUUAUUACCACACACAGGGUAAAGGAACAGUACCACUGCUGGAUAAUUGGAAAGUCCCUGUUUGUCAACCUCUGUGCUUCGUGGCAAGGUAGACUAGCAAACAUGCCCAACCUUUACUCACAUUCGAGAAAACACUCCCAAUAAGAUUGCUUGCUCCAAAAUCGAAGAGGCACCGUCCUCCGAAUCUCGAGAGCCAGACUCCCAACAUGACUACUUUCUUAAAAAUCGAAGAGAGGGUAAAGGAACAGUACCAUUGCUGGAUAAUUGGAAAGUCCCUGUGUGUCAACCUCUGUGCUUCGUGGCAAGGUAGACUAGCAAACAUGCCCAACCUUUACUCACAUUCGAGAAAACACUCCCAACAAGAUUGCUUGCUCCAAAAUCGAAGAGGCACCGCCCUCCGAAUCUCGAGAGCCAGACUCCAAACAUGAUUACUUUCUCAAAAAAUCGAAGAGACACUGCUCCCCGAAUCUUCGAGAGCCAGACCCCCAGCAUGAUUGCUUUCUCAAAAAUCGAUGAGGCAUCGUUCUCCGAAUCAAUCGAAGAGGCGCUCGCUUUCUCAAAAGCUGGGCUGCUCAGAGACCACGAGGGCCGAUCUCAGAAAUCGAAGAGGCACCUACUUUUCUAGCCUUGUCAGCACCUGUCACACGCACACUCAGCUUUGCAGAAAUUAUGGGCAUUCUGUCGAAGACUUCUGGUGAAGUAGAAAGCACAUGAAUCUUACUGUUCAAUCACCCACUUCCCACACGCAACAAUAGCUCAUGGGUACCACAGAUAACUUUGCCAAAGUUCUCUGCCAAAGUUGAGCACGUGAAGCUUGCAGCUCCCACUACAUCGCUCUGACCAAGAAGGGUAAAAGAAUAGCAAAGAAACAGCACUAACAAAGUUUAGACACAUAAAUUUUGAAGGUCUAGCUACCAUAUUAUUACCCACAAGGGUAAAGGAACAGUACCACUGCUGGAUAAUUGGAAAGUCCCUGUGUGUCAACCUCUGUGCUUCGUGGCAAGGUAGACUAGCAAACAUGCCCAACCUUUACUCACAUUCGAGAAAACACUCCCAACAAGAUUGCUUGCUCCAAAAUCGAAGAGGCACCGUCCUCCGAAUCUCGAGAGCCAGACUCCCAACAUGACUACUUUCUCAAAAUCGAAGAGAGGGUAAAGGAACAGUACCAUUGCUGGAUAAUUGGAAAGUCCCUGUGUGUCAACCUCUUUGCUUCGUGGCAAGGUAGACUAGCAAACAUGCCCAACCUUUACUCACAUUCGAGACAACAGUCCCAACAAGAUUGCUUGCUCCAAAAUCGAAGAGGCACCGCCCUCCGAAUCUCGAGAGCCAGACUCCCAACAUGAUUACUUUCUCAAAAAUCGAAGAGACACUGCUCUCCGAAUCUCGAGAGCCAGACCCCCAGCAUGAUUGCUUUCUCAAAAAUCGAAGUGGCAUCGUUAUCCGAAUCUCGAGAGCCAGACUCCCAACAUGAUUACUUUCUCAAAAAUCGAAGAGACACUGCUCUCCGAAUCUCGAAAGCCAGACCCCCAGCAUGAUUGCUUUCUCAAAAAUCGAAGAGGCAUCGUUCUCCGAAUCUCGAGAGCCAGAUACCACAUACCACUUUUUCAAAGUGCUCUGACAGAGUUAAAACAUGUGAAACUGGCAGCUCCCACUACCGUGCUAUGACCAAGCAGGGUAAAGGAAUAACAUUACUACUUGUUAGGGAGACUCCUAUAUAUGUUGACCUCCAUCCCCAACAGACAGGCAGACCUGCAAAAAUGCUCAACCCUUCAUCAUAUCUGAGAGGGCACUCCCAACGAAGCCUUUCGAAAUAUUCAGCUUUCUUUCCCCCCGAUAAUACCUCUGCAAACAAGCUAUACUAGAGCAAGAAUAUCUCAUAUCAUCAGGGUUAAAAGCAAGAGUAUCCCAUAUCAUGCUUUUUCCCUGUCUUUUCCUUUGGCCUUGUUUUUACCUGCAAGACAAGGAGAAAGAGAGCAAUCAGUCAGCACUUGGAAUCAAGCUUCCAGCUAGGAACUGACUGCCUGGAACCCCUUACCUGAUUACUUACCUGGCAUUGCUCUCGAGUACUCAUCUUCAACAUCUUAUGUUUCCAGGGAAGAUUCCGCAUCUGCUUGAGGAACAGAUAGGGCAAGUGCGAAAGAUACAAGGAAGCAUGUGGAGACAAGCGUAACAGCACACGUGCCGAUACAUCCAUUACUCUGUCAAAAGCAAAAGUAUCCCAUAUCAGCAGGGUGGAAAGUACUCUAGAUUUGAUGGACUUGUUUUGACCCUCAAAUUCUUCAGUCGACCUUAUACUCUGGAGGAAACCAGAAAACCCUCCAGCUCAGUUCAAGAAUAAGCCUGUGGAAAGUUACUUCUUCAAAAGCAAAAGUAUCUCAUAUCAUCUCUUCUCAUUUUUCUUCUCUUUAUCCUUCAUGCUGCUGCAAGAUGGGGAGAAGGUGAACAAUCAGUCGGAGCUCUGAUUGCUUACCUUGUCUGUCACCUCUUUCAGCAGACCCCUAGCUCGGCGACUUGGGGGACUCCUACUACAUGGUUUGUAUCGCGCUUGACCAAGCCUGAAACUACAAGUAAGCUUCAAGUGAAAUUGAUACAUUACCUUGUGCAUCUCCACCAGUUAAAGAUACCACCCCUGGAUGGAGGAAGAGUACUUCCAGAAAAGAUGCCACAUCUACCUAUGAGACAGAUAAGGCAAGUCAAGACGACACCACACUCCGAUACUUAGAAGUUUCGUGAUUACGAGAUCAUUCUCCCACAAUAUUUCCUAAUGUCAUUUGUACUAAAUCAUUCACUUGUACUCACUAAAGGAGAGCUUGAACCUAUGUACUUGUGUAAACCCUUCACAAUUAAUGAGAACUCUUCUAUUCCGUGGACGUAGCCAAUCUGGGUGAACCACGUACAUCUUGUGUUUGCUUUCCUAUCUCUAUCCAUUUAUAUACCUAUCCACACUAAUGACCGGAGCAAUCUAGCGAAGAUCACAAAAAGCGACCGUUUUCGCUACCUAGGAUCUUAUCUUGCAAGAGAACGGAGAAUUAGAUGGAGAUCUCAACCAUAGAAUACGAGCUGGAUGGAUGAAGUGUAAGAAUGCAUCCGGCGUGUUGUGUGACUGUCGUAGGCCACUAAAGCUCAAGGGAAAAUUUUAUAGGACGGCAAUAAGGCCAACGAUGUUGUAUGGCAUAGAAUGUUAGGCGGUGAAGCAUCAACACGUACACAAAAUGGGUGUAGCGGAGAUGAGGAUGCUUCGUGGGAUGUGUGGGCACACGAGAAAGGAUAAGAUUGGGAAUGAGGAUAUCCGAGGUAAAGUAGGAGUAGCCGAAAUUGUAGGAAAGAUGAGAGAAAAUCGGCUCCGGUGAUUUGGACAUGUGCAAAGAAGGCCGAAUGACACUCCGAUGUGACUACGGGACAGAGGUUCAGGGCCGAAGGGGUAGAGGAAGAUCUAGGAAAACUUUGGAAGAGACUCUAAGAAAAGACUUAGAGUACUUGGAUCUAACGGAGGACAUGAUACAAAACCGAGCGCAAUGGCGUUCUAGGAUUCAUAUAGCCGACCCCACUUAGUGGGAAAAGGCUUUGUUGUUCUGUUGUUGUUGUUGGAUUUUGUUUGGGUUUGAGGCCAUCAUUGGCGUUAAGACGUUUAUUAUCAGAUCGUGUGUUUUUUGCUAACUUUUAUUGGUAAUUUUAAUGUUGUUCUUAUGAUUUUGUGUGGUAGGGUUUCUGAUUUUUAUCGUUAUUCAUUUGGUUUUUUGUGUGUGUUGGUUUGUUUAUUUUGCAGGUUGUGUUUGUGCUGGGACAACAUUUUCCACCUUCUGUUUGCACUGGGAUGAUUGCGUUUUAAAACUGUUGGGGUGAGAUUUACAUAUGGAAUCAUUCCAUUUUUUUUCUUCCAAAUAUGUGCAUUUAGUUCUCUUUUAUUUUAAAUUUUAAAAAUUAAAUCGUUAUUUGAGUAAAAUGUUUUAUCAGUUUAUGUUAUGUGUUGUGACCAGGAAUUCUGUUGGAUUUGCGAAUUUUGGUUUGAUGAGAGAAAUGAGGAGUUUUUUUUGUUUGAAUUUUUUAUUGGACCGAUUUUCAAUUGGAUUGCAUUCUGCCUUUUUGCACCAUUCGUAUGCAAGCAAUUCAUUGUUUUAAAUACAAUUUGAAGAGAGCUGGGUUGCGGGUUGGAUAUAAAAUGUUAAGGUGAGAUAAAAUCGAGAUACCAAGGGUGGAAGAAUGAUUCAGAAUUGGGGGAGGAAAACAGAGGGAAGAUAGAAGAGUAUAAGAGAAGGAUAGGGUUGACCUCAUUUAGAGUUUUUAUUUACUUAUUUUUUUUUAUAAAUUGAUUCAGGACUUGCAUAUCAUUUCUAAAUUUCUAACAUUUUUGUUUAAUUUGACUCCAGUUGAUGGAAAACAGAGCUCUUACUCCUAUCAAUCAGUUGGUCCCGUACAUAAAUGCAGAAAAAUCAAGGUUCGAGUUUGCAGAGUAUGCAGACCAAGGUUUCCCGAAACUACUGGUGCAUAUUCAGGCUUGCAUUGUAUAUUACUUACCUAUUAAAAAUUUGUUUGGAAUUUGCUUUUCCCACAGAGGAGAAGAGCUGACAGUUACGCUGUGGGCAGAUGUUGCUCGAAGUAUUGCUUCUUUAUCCAUUGAAUCAUUGUCUCUGCCGAUCAUUGUGGUUUUCACAAGUUUAAAGGUCAAGCUGUACCUAGGUAUUUGACUUAGUUAAAAACUAAUCUAUUUACUAUUAAUUUUUCUAUUAUAUUCAAACGUUAUUUAAUAUAUACUCUACUAAUAUUUUCUUAACAUGUCACACAAACAUAUUCACUUCUUUUGAUCAAUUUUUUACAGCGUUUCAUAUAAAAGCUAACAUUUAGUUGAAAUUGAUUAGCAACUCUUUUCUUGCAUGUAUACAUACGAAUUAAACAAUAGUAUUAAACUAUUUGUUAUCAUUCUCAGUUUUUGUUUUAGAAUUAGAUUAAUAUAUUUAACCUGUUUUAGAAUUAGAAUUAUUUGGUAUCACUCUCAGUAUUUGUUUUAGAAUUAGAAUUAGAUUAAUAUACUGAGAUUAUUUAGACAAAUCUAGCAUUUUCUCAAAAUAUUUGACUUUUAAACUUAGAUUAAUAUAUUUAGCAGUUUUUUAACAUGCAAUUUUUCAUUAAUUUUUCAACACACAGACAAGAUAGUCUUGAACACCAUUGGUUCAUCACUUUUCUUCAUUGAUCUAGAUAUUCUGGAAGUAAAUUCAUACAAAUCAGUGUAAGUGUGUUUACUUUGUUUAAAAAAAUAUUAUAUGCUCUCACAAUAAAAGAAGGGCUAUUCUCACAAAAUUUAUGAACUAAUGUUCUGUUUUAACCUCUACAGCUUUUCCAAAUGCACAGAACCUCUAAAAAUACUGCCACCUUUUACAAAACAGGCCCGUGAAGCUCAAAUCUUGCAGACAGCGAAGGUCACAAUUGCAGACGCUGAAAUUUUCAUGCCAAAAUAUGAUGUGGAGGAUGAGAAAUUGUUUGCUGUUGUUCUCUUUUCAGUUUUGCAGGCGAUGAUCUUUUACCAAAUGUCGAGGAGCUUCCAUGGGACAUGCUCUAUGCUCUCGCUUCCCAGUUGCCUCUGUUGGGGUUGGAAAAGCUACAGAUCACAAUGUAAGUCAAAAACAGUAAAGUUCCCAAGAUGUUCUGUGCUGGAGCAGAUUUAAAGGUACGAAUUUUUAAUUUUUUUGUGAAGUCGAUGUUUUGUUUUAAAAGGAGUUAUAAUGGAUUGAUUGGACAAGUACAGAGUGUUUGUUUGUUUGGUUGAAUGUAAAAAGGAAUUGGAAGAAUGAUGAAAGUACUUGCAUUUGGUUGUAGUUGGUCAGGCACUGAAGGACCGGUCAAUACGAAGUGCAUCUGUGGGACAAUAGUUGAAAGAAGGCCAGAGCAGGAAGAGAAGGCAAGGUUUGUGAAGAAAAACAGUAAAAGGUCGUACCCAGUGCACAAGGCUCCCGCUUUACGCAAGGUCUGGGAGAGGUGAAUGUCGGCUAGCCUUACCCCCAUUCUGCUUUUGUUUAAUUAGAAGAAAUGUGCAUUUUUUUUUCCCAGUCAAAUUCUGCUUUUGUUCUGACUAUUUUCCUUACUGUAUGCUGAUUUUAUUAUUUAAUUUUUGGUUUUUCCUUGAUUGGCUUGGGAAUUACAAUCAAAUGAUGAAUCUUCAGUUUACUUGGGUAAGCAUUUUUUAACAUAUAAUUUAGCUGACCAUUUUAACUGUCAGACCAUGUUGUUUUUGGUUAUCUAAUCAUUCCAAGAUGGCAAGUUAGGAUUGGAAGGGUUGCUAGAAAUAAGGAUUAUAUCUUGGGACAUUCGGUGAGUGAUUUUUCAAACUUUCAGUUUUACAAGACAAAAUAUCUAUUUUUGUGUGUAUUCUUCAAGCAUGUUAUCAUUAUUUAGGUUGUAGGAAAAAAAGAGAGUGACUUGAGGUGUUUUUAGAUAUUUUUGUGUGUAUUCUUCACAAUGUAUUAAAAGCGCGAGGCGUGGGCGAGGCGUCCGAGGGAUAGCCCACGCCUCACGCCUUACGGGACCUAAAUUUUUUAAUAUAUACACUGAGCGUACACAUAUAUUAUAUUAAAAAAAAUUAUUAAUCAAUAAUCACCCUGAGCACACAUAUAUAUUAUAAAUACAUAUAUACACAUAUAUAUACAUAUAUAUACAUAUAUUAUGUUAUAUAUAUAUAUAUAAAAUAGAGGAUGAAAAGCACAAUGAGCACACAUAUAACAAUGCAUGCAGACAGCACACAAUAUAGUGCAAGGAAUAGGUAUGAGGUAGUUAAAACCCUACCCAAAAUCUGGGUUUGGGAGUAAAAAUAAAAAAAAAAAAAAAAAUUGCAUGAGGCGCGCCUAGACGGCUCCGACAACGCCUUCCGGCGCCUUCCGCCCACUCCCUCAAAACAAAGGCGGCAACCCUCAAGUCCAGCCUCACAGGGUGCCUAGGCGCACCCUGAGGUGAGCCUUUUAAAACAUUGAUUCUUCAAGCAUGCUAUCAUAAUAUUUGUAACUAUAAAAAAUAAUAUACUAUUAUACCUCUGUUUCUCUUUUCUUUGUUUUCAUGAGAAAUUAAUUGCCAUUGGCAGCACUAUAGAAAGCCAUCUUUCUCCAUUAUUCUCCGCUUCAUGCAUAAUUACAUAAUUCUACUAUCACAGUUGUCAGUCCUGAACAAUAAUGCAAGUCUAGUGGCAAAAACCACCUCAAUGAACAACUCACACACACACACAGACACUGAUCAUACAUCUCUAACUCUCUUUUUCAAAUAACACACUCUGAUCCAAAACAGGGUAAAUAAAAUGCACAUCCUUAUACAUUUCUAACUUUGUUUUUCGAAAUCCAAAAUAGGGUAUUCUAACUCUCUUUUUCAUUCAUUUCUUACAAACCAAUCAUACAUUUAAAAUAGGCUUUGAAUAAAAAUAGGGUAUAUAAUUAUAUACCUCAAAAUGCCUAGGAACCAACUUCCCCCUCCAACGAUUCAAAUUCUUGAAAUUGCCAACACAGUAAAUCCAUUAGUACUAUAUAAAUGAAAACACAAUUGAAACCCAUCAAACAAAACAAUCCCACAAUUUAAAUGAUUCAAUCCUACUACAAUUGAAAUUCACAGAAAGAAUGAAAAACCAGAACAAAACUGCAGCACCUAAAAAGUUGUCAUACAAAAAAAAACAUGGAAUGUAAAAAUAUGUUAAGAAAUCUAGUUCGUUAAUUUCCAGCUGCUAAGUGGCAUUAUGUAACUUUAGUAGUAUAACUAAUUAACUACUUAUCUGGUGGGUUGCACUUUUAUCCAAUUGGUAAGGAAAGGAAAAUAAAAAUCAACCCCUUGGUCUUAGUUGUGGCUGCAAAGUGCAGGCCACCACCAAGUCUCAGUGUUUGUGUUUUAGCAAAACACUUAAAUAAAUUAAAUUCUGAAACGUAAAUUAUAUUCCUAUAACUUUAAGAUGCACAUAUAGUAUUGUUGAAGUCGAACUGAAAGCACUGACAAUUCCAAGCAACAAAGCAGCAAUUAUUAAGAGCCAAAACUCAUUCCUAGUCUCCUCAUCCUGGUACUCAACUCCGUAAUCUUCUGUCAGCAUCAUUGACUGAAAUUAGGAGAGAAAAAGAAAAGGAAUUUCAGAAAUUGUCUAUGAAGCAAAGGAUACUGCAGUUACUUCAAGACAUGUAAAUUGCAUAUGUAUAAAGUAAUUUUCUACAUAAAGUAAUGAGGCAUAACUUUCUCUCUCCUCUUCAAACCCUAAACAGAGCAAAGCAAACUUUACAGAGAUUAGAAUGAGAACUGGAACUAAUCGAACAAUGACUGAAAAGUAACAUACUUGAGGAGUGAAUGAUUUAGUGUUUCCAUCAUCGGAAGCCGGAGUAAGUCGCUAAGAGAGGUCGCAAACAGCCCAAAGGGACAAACCCAGAUCCCCGGCCCCGAUCCAUACCCUUCCCCCUCAAAUCCCGACGGCCCCCAUACUUUUCUCUGACUGUACCCCCUCUCCCACUCAUGAAAUCGAGGAUCUGUCGCAAUGGUACUGAGAUCCCCACUCCUCCCUCUCCCUUUCUCUCUGUCGCUCUGUCUCCCUCUCCCUCUGUCUGUCUAUCUUUAUCCCAGAGCGGCAUGGCCUCCCAUCCCUGAAACCCUCACCGAAAGUUGGCAAUUUUGUAAAUAACUUGAAAUCCACCAACAGCAGGGGUAGAGAAUUGAAACAAACAUUUAGGCUCGUUCGAUAACCAUUUAGGCCAAAACUGAGCACACCUAAACCAUUCCUACUCGUGCCAAAUGUUAGUGGGGAAGCAAGAUGAUGACUUUAUUAUUCAAAACCAAAAGAAAAAAAGAGAGAAAACAAAAUAACAAAUGUAAUGGUUGUAGUGUAAAAGCUGAGAACGUAAAUAAACAUGCAGGGAAAAAAAUUGAAGAUACAAAGUAGCUGCAUCAUGAACACUUACUCCAAUUAGACGCAAAAAGUGAUGGUGAUGAGAAGAGAGAGAAAAUGCAGUCGUUUUGAUUUUUCUGGCUUUUAAAGGGAGCAGCUUUCUUCGACCACCAAAAAAAGGAAGCUGCUUUUCGUGUGGUUGUGAUUUCCUGAGUGUAUGUGAGCGGGUCUAUGGCACUUGCACUGUUUGUGUCGGUUACGGUAACCGGGCGAGCUGGACACGGCAGCGUGGGACUGAAUUCGGAGAGGUGAGAAAAAUUAAAAACACAAAAAGAAGGUGUUCAUUUUGUCACAUUUUUAUUACGAAAAAUUCAAUAAAGUACAUUCAUUAGUAUGGUAACUUAACUAUUUAAUUCCAUCUCAUUAAACUAAAAAAAACAAUUACAAAAAAAUAAGGAAAACCUUGUCCAGAGAGACCUGAGAGAAAGUGACGACUUCUCCUCUCAUUCAACUCCAUACUUGAUCUCUAAAGUCCAUUUGGCAUGUAAUUGAUGUUCACUUUCAAAUUUAGUGGUAGCAAUUAGCAAAGCUAAUGAAAGAAUCAAAUAAAAUGAAAGAAAAAGCAUCAUGAAAUAAAUCAAGAUGAAGAAUGAAAUUUUGGCAACUCGCCAUUCUCUUCUUUUAUAUAAAAGAUACAUCCUAUUUGUAGUGAAAACAGAUCCCGACAAACCCAGUUAUCCUCAAGAAGUAUUUUGUAUGACUUUAAAAACAUAAUCCGUGAAAUUAUCUCUUGGCUGAGAACAACAACAAAUCUUCAUGCAUAGCUUGUAGAGAAAGACAUCAGGCAUACAAAAGAACACGCAAGCAUAAAAUAAACGAAGCAGGGAAAACCAAAAAUACAAUUGAAUACGCUGUCAAAAGAACAUGAAUAAAUGAAAAUACCAAACAAAGCAGUGAUGAGAAACCAAAGUACCCAUUUCAUAAUCUAAUUGCUUUUUAGUUUGCUUGCCAUUUUUAGUUCUUCAAUUUAGAGAGACACCAUAAUUCAGCACAUGAAUAAAGUGAAAACGUAAAAGAUAUGUGGGAUAGGCUGACAGCCAUCCCUGAGUAAUGCAUUCACUUCUGAACCCCAAACACACUGAAACAAAAAUUCACACACAUGAACUACAGCUCCGCUUUGUAACAAGAAUUAAAAGCAUCUCAAAACAAAAUGGCAAACUAUAAGAGCAUUGUAAAAGUAAAAUUGCAAGAAAUCUAAUACUUGGAGGGCAAGUACUCAUCAGACGAAAAUGAAAGAUUGAACUACCUCGCGUGGAACUGUGCCUUGGUUUUUUCCCAUGCUUACAGGAAGCUUUGCACUGAGCUCUUAUAGUCCAAAUUUUCUCUGAAGGAAAAAAACACAAUUUUGAAAUAAGAUUUUCGUAUUAUACCUUAAAGAGAAGAAUUAGACAACAAAAUAGAGAACAAUGAGUACUAUUCAUCAUAUAUUGUUAGAGUAUGUGGCCCUCUGGUCCAAUGGUCCCGCAGCCAUAUUUCCUUUAUAACUCUUUCUUUUAAUCUAAAAAACAUCUUGAAUCUCAAAUUAGUAUGAAUACGGAUUCAUACUUUAUAACUAAAGAUCUUACUGCUCUUGAUAAGAUGAACAAUACGCCAUUUCUCGCAUGCAUUGCAUUACAAUCACAAUGCAACAUCUCAUUAGAAAUCCCCACACAAAUUUUUUUUAUUGCUACUUUGAUUUUAGUUUAUAUUUUUUCUGAAGCAUGAGGGAGCUAAUUUUUUUUUUUAAAUUUUUUAUUCCAAUAAUGUUAUAGGGAGGGUUGCAAGGAUAUUAUCAAUUGUAUUUGAUUGGUGGAACUUCUACAUCUAUAUUUUAGGUUUUCAAUUUUAGCACUGGGAGAGUCAUUCAUAAAAUGUUUGACAGUGAGAUUACCUCCAUGGACUAUGCUCACAAUGGACAGCUCAUUUUCCGCGGUGAUGGGACAAUAUAUUUCAGUCAUUCGCCAUUCAAUCAAUUCAAACUGAGGAACAUGCAACAUCAAGAAGAGGAUCUACCAUGUCAGGAUCACUAUCGUCCAAUUAAUACAAAAAAAUCUAGAUAAAAACGAUCAAUUUACAUAAAAGCCCUUCAUUUUCUCAGCAACCAAGCAAAAGAAAAUACCUAUCCGUUAAACACUCGAUUUGGGAGUAAAUGUUGCUGAAACUGGACUUCAAUCCCCUCAACCGCAACAACCGAAUCGAGGUGUGCAAGUCAUUGAAAAACUCACCCAAGAUUUCAAAAUCUGCAUAGAGAAAUAAAUAAGCACAUAAAUUAGCCCAACCCAUAAAUCAAAGAAAUCAAAAUCCACCCAGAAUCAAAGAAAUCAAAAUCCAUCCAGAACCAAAGAAAUCAAAAUCACACACAGAUAUGCAAGACAACGCAAAUUUGAAGCCUUACUUUUCGGGUAGCUUGGCGGCUGACAUGAGUCUUCUUCAGAGUUUCAUCCAUCCAUGGAUCCAUUUGGUCCGCCCGUCGCUUCUGGGUCGUACAAUCUUAAAAUCUGCAAAAUGAAUUUAAAGAAUCAAUUUUUACGAUUGAAAAGCCAAAAGUGCUACAAACUCCAAAUUGCUGAGAACCAAAGUGGAGUAACAGUUACAGGUCACGAGAUGAGAUGAGGACAUUGUCGGAUUUCAGGGCGAACCUGACUCUGGAAAUUGCAUCUCGGAUCGGGCUUUCGAACUUCAAAGGAGCUCCGCUCAUUGUGGUCCUUGCAGACCGAACUGGCCUAACAAUCAGCGAGAGAAAGGAGACGGCGGCAAGAUGAGGGAUACAAUGGAUGCGAGAUCGUCUGUAUCGUUCUCGCGGGGGGUUUGCAAGACGGACGAGGAAAGUAGGGUUUGAUGAGGCAUUGUCUUCGCGCGGGGUAUGUGUCCUUCCCAUUCCAUGAUUAUCAACACGUGUGCAUCAACAGAAGCGGCAGAGAGAGGCAUUAUUGUAAAUAAAGUGAAAUCGAAGGGCAAUGGCCCUUUUUUUUUUAAGGUAAUGGCAUGGCCAUAAAUAGAAUGAAAUCCAGAUCAAAACACUGUCAUUUGUACAGUACAAUUUCUCCAUCUUCUUUAGACUAAAGUAAUGUAUAUGUUAUACGCACCAACACAAGUCCUUCUUAGAUAAAUCCAAGCCAAACAAUUACAGACGAUAGUUAUUCACAAAAUCACUUUAAAGUAAGAAUUUAAUUAAUAAUACAUUACUGCACUUUCUUAACAAUUUGACUAUCACCUAGCUGACAAUGAACAUGUUAGCUAUGCGUUAGAACAUAUUGGGUUCAAUCCAUUGUCUUGAAUAUUACCCCCAGUCACAGCCGUCUCUUGGGGGCAUACAGAAGGCCUGAGAGGCAUUUGCAGACAUUCAACAUCUCCUCCAAGCAUUUCGACAACUUUGGACAUCGAAGGGCGAUCACUUGGUUUCAUUUGAAUACACCACAAGGCGGUUAUAACCACCUUUCUUAUCACUUUCUUUUCCUUCUCUGUAACAUUGUCUAUUUCCAAGUCAUUUCCCACAAAAUACUGAUCGUAUACCUACAGCGGGAAGUAGAUUUGGCUUGGAUGCUCUACCGUUGCAUUCAAAUUCUUCCUUAUGCUUGCCAUUUCCAUCAACAACAUUCCAAAACUAUAGACAUCGGCCUUGUAUGAGACACCUCCAAUAUUUUUGUAGAACAACUCAGGAGCAAUAUAUCUCAUUGUACCCCGUGCUGUCGUCAAAGAGACAAUGCUAUUAUCUACUGGAUACAAUUUUGCAAGCCCAAAGUCAGAAACCUUUGCUUUAAAGUUCUCAUCAAGAGGGAUGUUAUGAGGCUUGAUGUCAAAAUGUAGAAUUUUCAUUUUACAACCUUGAUCUAGAUAUUCGAUCCCAUGACUCCAAGAGAAAUCUUGUACAUAGUCUUGAUAGUUAAGGGAAGACUUCCUUCUUUGGAAUAAAUGUAUUUAUCAAAAGAGCCAUUAGGCAUAAAGUCAUAUAUUAGAGCGCGCUUUGAUCCCUCGACACAAUCACAAUCACAAUCACAAUCACAAUCACAAUCACAUUCCAACAUGGAAUCCUCAGACGACAUGCCUACUGCAGAACAAGUUUCAUCCUUACUUAACUUCUAUUUAGUCCACUUCCUGUUUAGAUUGUAAUCCUAGUUCUGCGUGUGUUUGUAUAGUACUCCUAUAAAUAUCAAUGAAAACCGCUCACUCUAAUUAGGAGUUGAGAUUCUGCAAAUCAUAUUUACUAUCUUUCAUGGUAUCACGAGCCAAGGUCUAACGACAACGGUUCCUGUUAUAAUUUUUUUCUCUUUUGUAGAUCCUAAACUAUGGCAUCUUCUUCCUCCUCCGAUGCUCCCUCCGUCACAAAUUUUCUUACGAUCAAGCUCGACCUCAACAACUACCCUCUCUGGCGUGCUCAAUUUCUUCCCUUGCUGCGCAGCCGCAACUUACUCUCUUAUGUUACUGGCGAAACUCAAUGCCCAUCUGCCUUUGUUCUUGAUGACAAUGGUAAAUUCACAGACAAAGUCAAUCCAUUAUAUAAUGAAUGGAUCCAGACUGACUAGAUGAUCCUAUCUUGGAUUACGAGUUCUCUUACUCCCAAGGUUCUUGCUACGAUCGUCAACAAAAUUGAUUCGACCUCUGCUUGGUUGUCAAACCCGAAUUAAUCUGAUUAUGGGGGUUUUAUUUUAUAUCAAUAUAUUGCAGCAGAAGUCGCACUUUGAAGAGUUCAUGCUGCACAGAAAGAUUCUUAAAUGCUACCUGUUGAGUCUAUCAUUGCUCCAUUGGAGACAGAGCUGAAGCUUGCUGCAGGAGUUAUACAUUUGUUAUGCAAUAUGACCCCUUUAAUUUUAUUUUAAAACUGAUACAAAAAUUUAUGUAGUAUUUUUGUAUCAGUUUUGAGUGUCUAUUUUGGCUUCCAUAUUUCGUCUGUACAUGUGAGAGGUAUAGCGUUCAAUAUGUAUUUGGUUUCUAUAUUGUUAAUGGAUCUUUUUUUUUUUAAGAUAACCAAGUUGCAGGAUGACAGCAGAACACUUGAUCUGUAGGUAAACCUUCAAUUUCCAUAUGAAGUUUGCAUGUUCGUUGUUUCUGGAAUUUGAGUUUUUAUUAUUUCUCAAUUCUAUCACAUAGAUUACGAUUUCACAUAUGGGAUUAUUAAUGGCAAUUAGAUGAUGGAAGAAUUGGGAUUGGAAGAAGAUAUUGAGUUGUUUAUUUAUGGGGAUUAGAAAAUUUUUAUCAUAAGUGUGGAUGCAAAUUUCUUCCUCCUUGAUCUUGGACAAAAUUGCACCUACAAAACAAUUAACACCUUAGGUCAAGGCCAAGAGCCUCACGCGCUCACGAUGAAGGGGGGGGCUUUGGUCGAAGAACCUCCGAUGCCAAAGUUAGAAUUUAGAGAGAAAAAGUGUUUGAGAAUUCUAGAGAAUUUUAGCAAGAGUUGCAACUAGGUUUUGGUGAGAAAUGUGGGGCUUUCUAUAGAGGAGUGGCCGGCCUCUUAGGGUGAGAAAGGACCGGUCACAUAGCCUAGUUUGUGGGUUUUGUUCAUGAUUUAAGAUGAUUUUGGGAGUUAUGUGAUUAAUUGACUAAUUAAUUAGGAAAACUAAUAAAAAGGGCUUGAAAACUUUGAGUUUUAAUGAUAAGGACAAAAUAAAGGGUAAAGUGAAUAGUACCAGGAUUGACUUUUUAGUGUAAAAAUGUGGUUUUUCGUUAAAAUGAACAGUACCGGGUGCUUUUCGUUAAAGUUCCCUAAUUAAUUUGGCGAAAUAAAAUUAUUACCAAAUGAAUUAGCUAAUUAAUGGGAUGAAAUGGGCAAAUAUCAAGAGAUAAACAAAACAUGACCAAUUCCUUUUCUAACAAUAGGUGGCCGGCCCUUCACUUGUUUUUGGGGUUGCAUGGAUGUUUUAAUUGACAAUUAAGGAAUUGAUUAGGCAAUUAAUCCCUUAAUUAGUCAAUUAUUAUGAUUUUAAAGGAAGAUUUUAGGAAAUAUGAAAGGAAUAUAUUAUUUAGCUAAUUGAUUAGCUAAAUGGAAUAAAUUAGGUUUUGGGAAUUACCUUAAAUGAGGAUGGAUGAGAUAAUUUGGAAUUGGUUACCUUUUUGGAGCAUUUUUGACUUGGUUAAGGAUGAUUGCCCGCUACUUGCGCAUAGGAAUCCCGUUAUACCUCAAGGGUAUUUUUGUCAUCUUUUACCCAAAAAACCACGUGUCACCUUGUGAUUAUUUUUGGCUCCACAAUACGAGUGAUAUUUAUUUUUGUGUGGAUUGUUAAUAUAUAAAACUAUAAGCUUUUGAGAUUGGGAGACAAAACCCACAAAUUCAAUUCAGACAAAAUAAAUAAAAAAUUUAACUGACUUAAAGAUCAAACUCCAAAAGGGUAUUAAAAACAAGGCUUAUUUGAUCCAUUGAGUGUGAAAGUUUUGAGCUUUGAAGAAGCAGAGGAGGAGAGUUGUUAACCAAGCUGCAUUAUCUAUGUAUUAGGAUGUUGAGGGUAGGCAGGAAAAAUACUUUUUGACGCCAAAUCCAGAGGAGCAUAACGACAGGCCUGCAUUUUUGCAGCAAGGACCAAAACAAGUAUAAGUGAAGGCUUGACUGUUUGGGUAUUAAUCCUAAACCUAAUUAUUCUUAUUUAGGUUUAGGAUAAAUGAUUGAGUGUGUCUCGAUGAUUGUAUUACUAUGUUUGAUGAAUGAUUUGAGGAGUUGGAAAUGGUUUAUUGCUUAUGUUUUUCUUAGGUGUGUACUUUGGUUAUUUCCGAGCUUUUCACGACUUUUGAUACCUAAUAAAGAAUAUGGAAACCCCAACUUCAAUUUUAUGAAUUGAUUUUGGUGCCUAAAAUGAAAUCUAGCAUAGUGAAAUCUUGCAUAAUGAAAUUAUGACAAAUUUCCCUUCAUCUUUAUAUUUUCAUUUAAUUCAAUUGGUAUGCAAUUUAGGGUUAUUCAAUUCAUGAGUGAUCAAAUUAUGUUUUUAAUUCCUUCUUUUGAUUUACAGUUCAACAUUGUCGUACAAAAUGAAAAAGGCGCCAGUAACAGAGUUAUGGAUUUGGAUGCCUUUAGUGGAAUAAAACUGAAUUUUUUAACUUUGUAUAGUUGUAAACAUAAAAUACUCCAUGAGGUAGACUCAUAGCUUUUGAAAACAAUCCUUGAGGAUGGCAUAACAACAUCUCCAACUUUUGUCAUGUAAUGUAUGAAUGUAAAUAGCACUUCGUAAACAUAUGGAUGUAAUAUAUGUAUAUAAACACUCUUUAGCAUGUAUAUUUUUCAAAACUUUCUACAUCUUCAACAAUGUUUCAAUGAUUUCUUGAUGUAAACAAUGAUAAUUUGAAGAACCAUUUAAAGUAUUUUGGUAAUCAUCAUACUUAAGCUUAAAUGUGAUAUAUCCGUUUAUUAUUUUUUAUACAGUGAUAAUACUCAAGUAUAAUUUACAUCAUAUAUCUUUUGAAGUACAUGAAACUAUGAAGAAAAAACCCUAAUUAAUCUGAUUAUGGGGGUUUUGUUUUAUAUCAAAAUAUUGCAGCAGAAGUCACACUUUGAAGAGUUCACGCUGCAUAGAAAGACGAUGAAAUGCUAUCUGUUGAGUCCAUCAUUGAUCCAUUGGAGACAGAGCUGAAGCUUGAUGCAGGUGGUAUACUUUUGUUAUGCAAUAUGAUCCCUUUAAUUUUAUUUUAAGACAUAUAGGGUUGAAAAAAAUUUAUGUAGUAUUUUUGUAUCAGUUUUGAGUGUCUAUUUUGGCUUCCAUAUUUGGUCUAUACAUGUGAGGUAUAGAGUGUUCAAUAUGAAUUUGGUUUCUAUAUUGUAAAUGGAUCUAUUUUUUUUUUAGGUAACCAAGUUGCAGGAUGAAAACCGAACACUUGAUCUGCAGGUAAACCUUCAAUUUCCAUAUGAAGUUUGCAUUUUCGUUGUUUCUGGAAUUUGAGUUUUUGCAGGAUGAAAACAGAACACUUGAUUGGUUAUUUCCGAGCUUUUCAUGACUUUCGAUACCCAAUAGAGAAUAUGGAAACCCCAACUUUAAUUUUAUGAAUUGGUUUUGGUGCCUAAAAUGAAAUCUAGCACAGUGAAAUCUUGCAUAAUGAAAUUAUGACAAAGUUCCCUUCAUCUUUAAAUUUUCAUUUAGUUCAAUUCGUAUGCAGUUUAGGGUUAUUCAAUUCAUGAGUGAUCAAAUUAGGUUUUUAAUUCCUUCUUUUGAUUUUCAGUUCAGCAUUGUCGUAUUUUGGAUGCCUUUAGUGGAAUAAAACUGAAUUUUUUUAACUUUGUAUAGUUGUAAACAUAAAAUACUCCAUGAGAUAGACUCAUAGCUUUUGAAAACAAUCUUUGAGGAUGGCAUAACAACAUCUCCAACUUUUGUCAUGUAAUGUAUGAAUGUAAAUAACACUUUGUAAACAUAUGGAUGUAAUAUAUGUAUAUAAACACCACUCUUUAGCAUAUAUAUUUUUCAAAACUUUCUACAUCUUCAACAAUGUUUCAAACCCCGCAGCAACGGGCGGGUACACUUGCUAGUAUACAUCUAAAAUUAUAAGACUAAAUCCUUUAGUUCUUGGAUUCAUCUAAGAACUACUUAUUCAAGCAGAUGCUAUGCUUGCACUACUAGAAUUUAUGGCUUGCCCUGUCAACUAUUGCGCGACAGAAGAUUUCGUCGGUUUCACCUUUUUUAACCGACAAAAUAUAAGUUUAGUAAGGCAAAAUCAGUCAACAAACUUGGUUUACUGAAUAGAUUUACAGGAUGUUUAGAGUUCGUAGGUUAAGACAUCAGUCGUUGGGCAAACAUUUGGAGCGAAGAUGUGAGUGUUUUAACUGACGAAUAAGCUGGUCGUCAUGUAGAUCUUCUUUCCCGACUGACGGUUCAACGGGUAGCUCUUUGGAUAACAAAUCAUCUUCAAGGGGAACAGGUUGCCCCUCAGAUGAAUGGUUAGAGGCAAUUGUGAGACUAUAAUUUUCUAGGGCCGGAAAAUCUGUAACCAUCCACCAAAUACCCCUUCUUCCCUUUCUAUUUCUCUCUCAGUAAUUUCCCCUGACCUAAUCACACAAUCCAACCAACUCUUUUUAAGCCUCCCUCAUUGAUUCCAUGGAUUUCAUGGACUUAUCCCACCCUCUCUCCUUCCCUCUAUAUAUAGCAAGUCCCCUUGCCUCAGUGUCCCUGGCAACAGAAUUUAUGGUGUGUCUUCGUUCUUUCAAUUAUUUGAAAGCUUUCCUGCCCUGCAGUCUUGUACAAAGGCGUAUGGUGUUUCAUCAGUUCCAUUUGGUGGUUGGGUGGGAAAUGAAAUUAAAACAUUGAUUUCAAAUGGUCUAAACCAAAUUGAAUCAAAUGUGAAGCAAAGGGCAAAAGGUGUAGAUUGAAGAACAAUGGCACCAAGAGCGAAAUUGAACUUGUUGACAGGAGGAAACCAAGUAACGAUAACGCGUCUAAAUCUUAUUUCGAAUCCAUUCAGCUUAUGAUGUUUUUAAUGAUGAUGAUCUGUAUACUUUGCUACAUGCUGUGAUUUUUUCGCUUUCAUGUAAUUAACGGCUUAUAUUUAUGGUAAAGAUAUUGAUUAAUUUUGAGAAAUGACAGUCUAAUUUUUGCAACUGUCUUUUGCAGGCAAAACAAAGACGUUUGCAAGGGUGAGUUUUGUAGGACCGGUGUUUAGCUUUGUUUCAUGUCCAAAGGACACUUGAGAAUAAAUGUUUACUCAUGGAUAAUAUCUAUCUAUUUGCAUGAGCAACCCUGGGUUCAUUUGUUCUGUUACUGCUGGUCAUUGCGGCAUAUCACGCCUACAGCACUGACAAAGUAAAAAGAAAAUCGAAUGAAAUUUGGUAAGAUUUUAGCGGACUACAAAGAUCUUAAGCCAAUCAUAUAUUCCCAUGCAGAUAUUAAGAGGUUUACAAAUCAAUUCAAGUACAAGUUGGGCCAAGGAGCAUACAUAACUGUUUUUAAAGGAAAGCUUUUUUCUGAAUGCUUUGUUGCCAUGAAAGUACUUAACAUUUCCAAGGGUGACGGGGAAGAGCUUGUAAAUGAAGUGGGGAACAAUGGGCCAUAUUCACCAUGUCAAUGUGGUUCACUUGGUUGGUUUUUGUGCUGAUGGAUUUAGAUGAGCUCUGGUUUAUGAGUUCUUUCCCUUUGGUUCACUUCAGGAUUAUAUGUCAUCAGUAGAUAGAUUUCUUUCCUUGGUUGGCAUAAGUUGCAAGAUAUUGCUAUCAACAUAGCCAAAGGAACCAGGGAUGUGAUCUACAAAUCCUCCAUUUCGAUAUCAAACCCCAUAAUGCUUUGCUCGACCAAAAAAUCACGCCAAAAAUCUCUGAUUUUGGUCUGGCCAAGUUAUGUUCCAAGGAUCAAUCAGUGUGACUAAAGCAAGGGGGACCAUGUGACUAAAGCACCUGAAGUGUUUUCCAGGAAUUUCGGAAAUGUGUCUUACAAGGUAGAUGUCUUGAAUGUUGCUGCUUGAAAUGGUAGGAGAAAAGAAGAAUAUUGGUUCAACCAGAGGACACGACAAAUGAAAUCUACUAUCCAAAAUGGAUUUAUAAUCUUCUAGAGGAAGGAAUGACCAACAGAUCCAUAUUGAGGAAGAAUGUUAUGGUAAGAUUCCAAAGCAACUUGCAAGUUUAGGGCUCUGGUGCAGCCAGUGGCACUUGGUGGAUCGGCGGUCCAUGAAAACGGUGGUUCGGAUGUUAGGAGGAUGAGAAAACUUGAUGAUGCAAGCAACCCUAAAAGCCUCAUACAAUUAAAAGUAAUUGCUGAAUUAGAGUAACAUAUGUAUAUGUAUACGCACCAACACAAGUCGUUCUUAGAUGAAUCCAAGCCAAACAAUUACAAACAACAGUUAUUCACUAAAUCACUUUAAGGCAAGAAUUUAAUUAAUAAUACAUUACUGCACUUUCUUAACCAUUUGACUAUCACCUAGCUGACAAUGAACACGUUAGCUCCGCGUUAGAACAUCUUGGGUUCACUUCAUUGUCUUGAAUAUCACCCACUGUCACAGGCGUCUCUAGGGGGCAUAGAGAAGGCCUGAGAGGCAUUUGCAGACAUUCAACAUCUCCUCCAAGCAUUUUGACAACUUUGGACAUCGAAGGGCGAUCACUUGGUUUCAUUUGAAUACACCACAAGGCGGUUAUAACCAUCUUUCUUAUUACUUUCUUUUCCUCCUCUGUAACAUUGUCCAUUUCCAAGUCAUUUCCCACAAUAUACUGAUCGUAUACCCAUAUUGGGAAGUAGAUUUGGCUUGAAUGCUCUACCGUUGGAUUCAAAUUCUUCCUUCUGCUUGCCAUCUCCAUCAACAACAUUCCAAAACUAUAGACAUCUGACUUGUAUGAGACACCUCCAAUAUUUUUGUAGAACAACUCAGGAGCAAUGUAUCCCAGUGUACCCCGUGCUGCCGUCAAAGAGACAAUGCUAUUAUCUACAGGAUACAAUUUUGCAAGCCCAAAGUCAGAAACCUUUGCUUUAAAGUUCUCAUCAAGAAGGAUGUUAUGAGGCUUGAUGUCGAAAUGUAGAAUUUGCAUUUCGCAACCUUGGUGUAGAUAUUCGAUCCCUUGAGCCACUCCAAGAGAAAUCUCGUACAUGUUCUUGAUAGUUAAGGGAACACUUCCUUCUUUGGAAUAAAUGUAUUUAUCAAGAGAACCAUUAGGCAUGAAGUCAUAUACUAGAGCUCGUUUUGAUCCCUCAACACAGUAUCCAACAAGUUGCACCACAUUGGCAUGGUGAAUCCUUCCGAUUGUAGCUAUUUCGCUAAUGAAAUCUUGGCCAUCAGCUUUGGGCUUGCCCAAAACUUUAACUGCUACAAAUCGACCACUGCGUAGCUUUCCCUUAAAUACAGAGCCAAAGCCACCUUCGCCCAACUUGUCCUUAAACGUGCGAGUCAUUUUCUUGACGUCCGAGUAAGAGUACCUUAUAGGCAUGAAGUUGUUAUUGCAUUGCAGAAAAUCUUCUAUUGUGUUAUACAUUGAUAAAUGUCUUCUGCGCCAUGUGUAGAUUAGAAAUGCAGUCACAACUGGAACUCCAAAAACAAAUCUGGCUAGGAAAAAUAACCCUGCAUGCAUGGACAUUAAUAUGUUAGAUCCACUGCGUACUACUUUUUCUUCCCUUUCUUUCCAAAUUACUUUGUCUUUGAUGUAAUUAAAGAGAGAGAAUGAGAAAUCUACAUAUGUUGAUAAUACAAUCUCAUCUUAGUCCUUACCGAUGCAUAUGAGUAUAAACCAUCCACGUACUGCAACAAAAUCAAUCGACUAUGAGUUUGAAAAGUGCAUAAAGUGAAAAAUAAAUAAUAAAUAAAAUCAAAGGGUGCCUUUAUUGACACCCAAAUUUUAGUUAGUUUUACUCAACUAAAAAAUUUUUGUCAUCAAACUUUUUAAUUUGCCGUUGAAAUUGAGUUCACCCAACCCACAAAGCAGCAACUACCACUCACCAAAAAAACCAACAACACACACCCACCACUCACCAAUAGAAAGAGAAUGAACACACAGACCCACAAAGAGCUGGCAUCGACGCUGUCGAUGAGGGAGGGACCAGAGGAUGGUGUAGUUUUGUCUAGCGCGCGGUAGUGGUUUUGUCUGUUCAUUUUCUCUUUCUUUUGGUAGGUGGAGGCUGGUGUGGAUUUGGGCGAACUUAAAAAUGAGGGGAAACUAUGAAGUUUGACAAAAUGUUUUAGUUAGGGGAACUUAACUAAAAUUUGGGUGCCGAUAAAGAUACCCAAUAUCAAAAAUACUUGAGCGUAUAGACUAAUUAAAUGAAGUUGAUCAAGUUUGUCUCGAUCGAAAACUUGUAAAUAAAACAAAAAGAGGACCCCUUACCGAUUUGUUGCCAUAUAUAUUGAAAGAAACCUACAAAAACAAAGAAAGAACAAGACUACAUGCAUUAGCAUAACAAGAGUGAGGUGUAUAAGCCGUUAGAAAAUAAAUUUAAAAUUCUAGUGCUGUCAAUACAUUGAUAAUAUAUAUAUAUAUAUAUAUAUAUAUGUAUUAUUUUUUCUGAAAAUUUAACUUUUUCCCUCCAAACUCAUUUUUCUAGUCUCUAGCCCAUCAUAUAAUAUUUAUCCGAAUAAAACCAAAUGAUUAGGAUCCAACUAAGAAACUUACCAAAUUAAGUUUGUGUGUCCAUUUUUAUAUUUUUUGGAUCCCUAAUAUACCCCAUCUAAGUCAGUAUGGAAAGUUCUUGUAAUUUUGCUUUAAGUGAUCACGUGCAUUGAAUUUGGCAAUGUCUUGUAGCCAUGAAAUAUGGUUGUAGAUGGAGGAAUUAAUUUGGAAUUUUUUUUAAUUUCAACAACAAAUUUAGUGUUAUUUUCAACAAUAUCUAUUGUUUAAUUUUAUGAAAAUAAUUUACCUAAUAUGAAAAUUAAUUUUAUGAAAACAAUAUCUAUUGUUUUAUUUUAUACCUACAGGAUAAUUACAUGAAAAUAGUUUACCUACUAUGAAAAUUAAUUUUUUGAAAGCAAUAUCUAUUGUUUAAUUUUAUGAAGAUAAUUUACCUACUAUAAUUACAUGAAAAUAGUUUACCUACUAUGAAAAUUAAUUUUUUGAAAGCAAUAUCUAUUGUUUAAUUUUAUGAAGAUAAUUUACCUACUAUAAUUACAUGAAAAAAUUUACCUACUAUGAAAAUUAAUUUUUUGAAAACAAUAUUAUUGUUUAAUUUUAUGAAAAUAAUUUACCUACUGUAUAAUUACAUAAAAAUUAAUGUGCCUACUUUUUAAAUUUGUAACAAAAUUAAUUUACCUACUUUUUAUGGUAUUAGUAUACAUAAAUGUAGAAUAUAUGUCCGUAUAUAUUUGAUCUAAUUAGGUUUUGGAUUGGAGGAGUUGACACAAAAUUAUAAAUAUGUUAAACAAAUUUAUCAAUUCUAAAGUUGGAGGGGAAUUGGUCUGUACAUUGCUACAGUAAACAAAUGCUACUCAAUUUCACGUUAUUUACAACAAAGCUAUCAGAUUUGGGUUGGGUUGGAGGGUAAUUUGUUAAAAGUUAGGAGGGUAAUUUGUUAAAAGUUAGGAGGGUAAUUUUGUGCAUAGGGUUUAGGUGCCCUCCUAUACAUGACCCUUGAUUUUACUUUAUUUACACCACUGCCAUCAUAUAUGUGGCUGAAUUGGGGGGGGUAUUAUUAAAAGUUAAGAGGGUAGUUUUGUUCAAGGAAGAAAAUAUCGGUAAUAUCGGAAAUAUCGGUAGUCCGAAAACACGGAAAUAUCGAUGGAAAUAUCGGGAUAAUAUCGAUAUCGAUAAAAAUUACAUGGAAACCACGGAAAUUGUAAGAAAAACUUGGAAAUUUUUAUUGAAAUUUUGCAGGAUGUUUAUUUAGUCAAUUAUCUAUUAGUUUAUCACAAAAAAUUGGAAGGAAAUGCAUUGCAUGAUGGAUUUAACUUAUUUAAGUUGAUUAUAUAGCGAGCUGACAAACAUUGUGAGUGUAGAAAAUAUGUAGUAAUUAAUGAAAGAAGUUUAAACUUUAUAUAUAAUGACUUAGUACAAUAUUUUACACUUUAUACAUUGCAUGGUAAGAUACAUGAGUUACACAAACAACGGGAAAUUAAUGAGAAAACCCUUCCCAAAACGUCAGCACCCGCUUUUUUAAAUAACUUAUAUAAUGAACCUGUCUGGAUCACUUGUUCUAAUAUAUAAACACAAAACAAUACUAUUUGUAUCACAUUUUCUGACAAUCUCAUUGACCGCUUUUAAUUAAUAAAUUGGUCUCAAGUCUAGUUUCCUAAGAAUUUGUUUGUUUGGGCUCAUCUUUGUUGUAAUAACUUAAUUGGGCUUAGAGUUUUAUUGGGUUUACCUAGCCCGUGCGAGCUCAUCUUUGUAUUUAUUUGACGGAUACCCCGAUUUGUUAUGGCAAAAGCAACCACGCAGUCGACGCCCGAAAACCCUUCCCUCUCUCAUUUGGUCUUCGUCUGUUUUCCCGCAUCAUCCAACAGGUGGACUCGGCGCUUCUCUCUCUCUCCCCCCUCUUCGCCCUCUCCACCAAACCCUAACCCCCCAAAUUCCAACCUUCCACCAUUCAAUCCAACCAAAAUCCCCCCAAUCGGACCCCUACCCGACCCAGUUCAUCUCCGAUUGCCUCCAAUUCCACUCCGCCCCGACCCAUUUCUUCAAAAUUCCAAUUCCACUCCGCCCCGACCCAGUUCCUUCAAUUUCUCAGGUAGGUAAGCUUCGGGUUUUUCUUUUUAUAUUCUAGAUCGAAGCGUAGAUGUGAAAUUGAAGUUAUAUGUCGUGUUUUUGCAAGGUUUUUGGGAUGAAAUCGACUCGGGAAUAAGUACACCCAUCUCCGGCGAGGCUAGGGGGUAGUUUUACAGUCGACCGGAGCUGUAGAAGCUCCAGCGUUCGUCUCCGACGUGCACAGUUCCGAAAUUUCGCGAUAAUAUCGAUAAUAUCGCGAUAUUAUCGAUAUUAUCGCGAUAUUAUAACGAAAACACCUUGGAUACCAUUUAAAAUAUCGGUUCGGGAAAAAACCGAUAAUAUCGGCGAUAUAUCGCCGAUAUUAUCGAUAUUUUCUUCUAUGGUUUUGUUCAAGGGGUGGGGGCGACAUUCGCAGACAGGGCGAUUGGAGCCAUGCCCAUGCCCAUUGCACAGAGAGAAAGGGAGUGAUGGGGGAAAUUACAGACAGAAAGGGAAGGGAUGGGAGGAUUUGAUGGAUGGUCACAGAGAAAGAUUCGGUGAGGGAUGUGAGGGGAGAUUACAGAGAGAUAAAUUAAAGGGGGAUCGGGGGAUUUGAGGGAUGGUCAGAGAGAGAAAUAGUGACGAAGGGAGGGAUGGGGGGGCUAAUUUUCGGUUCCUCCUUCAGAUUUGUUCCGUAAAACUUGUUGGGUACAAUUCAAUUUCCUCCCCCUUUCCCCUGAACGAAAAAUUCGAAACCUACAAUUCAAUUUCCUCCCUUCUUGGCUUUCCGCUUUACUCAUCUCCCGGUGGUUCUUUCUCUCCAUACGAUUCGAUUUCGGUG